RNAcentral lists this long non-coding RNA (394244 nucleotides) under Eucalyptus grandis. RNAcentral's name for it is "long non-coding RNA (EGRA_LNC000868)". Lineage: Eukaryota; Viridiplantae; Streptophyta; Magnoliopsida; Myrtales; Myrtaceae. The record is from RNAcentral.
AGCAAAUCCAGUUAAUACCUUGUAAGAAACACAAUCAAUGAUCACGUGGGUGGACCUUUGCCUUUCUCAAGUUGUCAGUAUAUAGUGUAACCAUUAAUAGAAUAAAUAGAUACACAAGAACCAGCUUAAGAGAUGGAGUAUCAGCAGAUGGCAUCCUUAUUCAGGCUUAUGCCACUUCCAAUUACUUUUGAUUGGACAUUUGAUUGGAUGAGAGACCCCAUAAGCAACUUACUAAAUGCUUUUGGACAUGAACAUAGUGUAGGUCCUUUGCUGCGUGCAGAAUCACAAGCAAAUUGGAAAUGAUCAAGUAGAGAAUAAAUUAUAAGAGAAAAGCACAGUCACACUGAUUUAAGUGGUUUGGCGGUAUUGUCUAUGUACAUGGGAGAAGCAUACCAUGGAUUCUAAAGAUUGUCUCCCCAGAAUUUAAGUGGAUGUAUUGCUUAGAGUACUGCUUUGGCCAGGAAUAUACAUGAGGAUUUCCUUCCCGUUUUACUGCCCAAUACAUCAUCUUUGUCUUCACCGUCAGUAGAGGAAUCCUCACCUCGAGGAAAGUUUGAUUUUUCACACGUUGUGGAGAAUCUUCUAUAAUAUUGACAUCGUGUAUAACAAUGCAUUCACCAUCAUUACAGAUAUCUUGGCCAAACAUAUUUGUCAAAACUCCACAAGCUUUUGAUUCCACAGCUUGCAAAUCAUCCCAAUCUUAAGAAUCUUGCAUGGUUUCAGCAAGUUCCGCUAGGAUGUCAUCGCCAGUGCUCCAUAGUGAUCAACUCUCGACCUUUGUCACCUUGAGAAAAGCAAAAGAAGUAAGAGAUGACUUUGCAAAAUCCGUGGCAAACAAGAGAUCAAAUAAAUACAAUUUCCAAUACGUAAUUUGCACUUAGUUCAAAGAGACACGACAUUGAUAUUAUUGCGAGACACCAUAAGUAAUUUGCAGUGAUUUAAGCCAGACAGUUCACUUGUCAAUAAGAUUACUCCACCAAACCCACAAAAAAACAGGGGAUGAGACUAACGCUCAAUGACCUAAACUCUGGUCCCAUUCAAAUCCAAAGUAGACCGUGAUUCCAUAGCCAUCAUCAGAUUCGAGACUAACCGCAAUAAAUCUCCUUAACUAAGAAUGCACGUUCAAUCGAAUGCACGUUCAAUCGAAUGCACAAACUAUCCCCGCAACACAAGCGAUUAAAGUCAUUCCUUGAUGACCAGAUAUCACGCAAUUUGGGCCAAUAAUCAAGAAAAAACCGCCGUUCAUCCCAAGUAACCUAAGCACAUCAAGCUGGAACAGUGCCGGACAUUUCACUCGUCAGUAGGACUGCUACUUCGCUAAACCCACUCCGAUGCAUUCAAACCUAAAGCAAGACGAUUCCACAGCCAUCAUCAUCAUCAUCGUGGGGACGAGAGCUACCUCCAUAAUCUCCGCAAACGCUAAUUAACAUAAGAACACGCGACGAAAUAACGAUUCGAGUCACCAUAGAGCGAAACGAGAUGGCCCGAGCACUUGCUGGCGAUAAGUGCUCGGGCGAACUGCUUGUCGAAGCUGAACUCGUGAACCGAGCUUAGUAACCGAGCUUUCUCUUCCUCUGAGCCCCGCUCCCUCCAUGGAACUUCAACCUGUUCGAGUGAUUCGAUCGAUCGAUGAUGCCCGAGUCGGAAUCGAAUCAAUCCGUAGCCUCAAAUUGGAAUCGAGCUCGCUCGAAGUGCUCUUGUUCGAUAACCUUGCCAACGAUGGCGGGAUUGAUGUUUUUCGUUUUCCAAUUUUAUACGCCGGAGAAUGGGAGAGACUUGGAGCCAUAUUUUUCAGUUCUUUUUUUUUUCGCAAUUCCGUUUUGCCCCUGAAGUUUGUUUAAGUUCUAUUUUUGCUCCCCCAUAAGUUUUUUUCUGGUUUCAUUUGACACCCUUGGGUUCGUUCUGUGUGAAGGCUCCCUUGCAAACACGAGACUUGCAUGUCGUACUGAAAGUUUUACAUUUACGAGACGUAUCUCAAAUUUCUUUCCUGUUGAUUGUUUAUCUGCAAAGCAAAAAAUUGACAUAGUAAUGCCUUUUCUUUAAUUUACAUUUUCACCUUUCUCUAUAUUAAUAUAUAUAGUUCAAUGGAACGAUUUUCAAAUUUUAGAAAAAUAGCGUUUCCAUAACUACUUUAAUAUUUUACUAAAUAUACACAAAAUUAGUGACACAUAGGCCGCAAAACUUUAUGAAAUAUAAAGAAAAUUACAAUCAAUUUAAUAUUUAACUAAAUAUACAUUUCCAAAACUACUUCAAUAUUUUGCUAAAUAUACACAAAAUUAGUGACACAUAGGCUGCAAAACUUUACGAAAUAUAAAGAAAGUUACAAUCAAUUUAAUAUUUUACUAAAUAUACGUAAAAGAAAGUUAUUUUCAAUUAUGACUGUGUUUGUUUCGCGAAGAAAAUACUUUUUCCAUAAUAUCUAAUAUUUCGGACGCGAAAAAUGGGUGAUAAAAAAAAAAUUCUAUCGUCUCCGCCGCUCCUCCUCCGCUGCUGUCUUGUCCUUCUCUUCUAGAUAGUAGAGCAAACCUCUCUCUCUCUCUCUCUCUCUCUCUCUCCUAACAUAACAUUGAAACCUCGUCAAAUCUGAGAAAUAAUCAUUCGAUUUUGAUCAAAAAAAUAUGUUUUGAUUGAUCGAAAUGAUAGCGGUAUCAAAUCUUCCUUCGCGUUGUCGGGAUUACUUUGCCCAAAAAAUUGAACUAUUGCCUCAUGAGAUUGUCAAUCUGUAGCCAAAGACACUUAUUUUCAGCCAACAAAUGUUGACAAAUGCGUAGUUCGUUCACAUAAUGCUUGGUGUGCUGAAUUUGUAGGUGAUGUCGGAAGGAAGUAGGAAAUGGGUCGACCACAAAUGAAUAGAUAAGACUGUCUAUUUAGUGAUAAUUGUCAUGCUUUGGUAGUAAAGUUUGGAGGGAAGUGACCAUAAACUGGUUGGAAUAAUUUAGUUGGAAGACAAUUUGUUGAUCCGGCCUUGUGCUAUAGAAUAUGAUAAUUCAUGCAUAUAUCUCGACCUGGACAUUUUUGUGGGAAGGAAAAGCAUAAACUGGAUUCAUUACUAACAUUGCGCUAUCAAUUUUUGUCGAAGCAAUCGAUCUACUCUUGCAUAUCAUGAAACUGUGAAAUAUUGACCUGGACCAAAGGUUACUCCUUUUGCAGUUGAUUUAGUGCUUCAUUUGCGUUGUGGGGAUUGCCUAUUCUAUUGAAUGGGAUGGGUCAGGGAUGAUAGUGAUGUGCCUUAUCAUGAUGUAGUGUUUAUUAGUUUGAUAGUCAUCUUGCCUUAUCUAAUGAUUUGCAAAUGGAAGACAAUGUGGCCUAGCUGAAGUAAUUUGGUUGGGAGAAUGUCAUCUGGCAUUUUGCUUUUAGAAGCUAAUGGCAUUUUUUGUCGUGUAUUCGCUGCUAUUGGGAUGUCUGUUUUGGUCUUUAACAUGGUGUACCUAUGUUUGAGUUGAGUGACAAGUGAAGAGGCUUUGAAGGCAUUGGUGGGCAUUGCUCUGAAGUGGCUGAAAUAGAGACGUGGAGCUGCAUUUUCCCUGUAGUUUAGCUGCAUUUAGGUCAUAUACAUUGGCACGAAUUAGCUCUCUUAUAGAGUGCCAGUCAUUACCGGGUGCGUAUAUUUGAAACAAUUUUUGGUAGAAAUUGAUGUUUUUGGUUCUUAUUGAAAAGCAGCUACUUUGUAUAUUCAUAAGCAAAUGUAUCUACUGAAAUUGAUGUUUCUUGGUUCAUAAGUUUAGUUCUACCUUUGUGUGCUUUGCUUACAUCUUGAGCCCAACCAUCCAAUCCUGACUGCAUGAUGCUUCUUAAGUUUGUGACUCAAUAAUUCACAAAUAUUCCCAAAUACUGCUCUAAAUUGAUAAUUCUUGAACAUGGCAACUGAGUUUGUGAAACAAUUUUCUCAGUUUCAAGUACAGUUGUGACUUGGCAAUCUCAUUUCUAUUGAUGUGAGGAAAAUGUCACAAAUGGUCCAUGGACUUCUACUUAAUGUGCAAUCUCGUCCCUGAACUUUCGAUUGGUUCAAUUUGGUUUCUAAACUAUCAAUAUAUGUCCAAUCUAGUCCAUGACUAUUUGAAAAUGGACCAAUUUCGUCAUUUCGUUAGUUAAAGUUAACAUAAUUGGGGAUUUUGGUCUUUUUCUUCUUCUUCUUCUUCUUCUUCUUCUUCUUCUUCUCUCUUCCCUCCGCCGGCCAUGGCAAAGCCGACGGAGGGAAGCCGGCAUCAGGCGAGGGCCGUCCUCGCUGGAUGCAAGCAAGUUGGCGAGGGCCGCCCCUGCCUACGUCAGGCGAGGGCCGUCCUCACCCGACAUAGGCGAGGGCUGCCCCCGCCUGAGUCUGGCGAGGACGGCCCUCGCCGGACGCCGACUUCCCUCCGCCAACUCUGCCAUGGCCGGCGAAGGGAAGAGAGAAGAAGAAGAAGAUAAAAAGAAGAAGAAGGAAAAACAGUUAAUUUUUAACAAAAGAAUUAGAUCGGACGAUUAUCGAUAGUUUAGGGACCAAAUUGAGCUAAUCAAAAAUUCAGGGACGAGAUUGCACAUUAAGUAAAAGUCUAAGGACCAUUUGUGACAUUUUCCCAUUGAUGUGUGAUAGAAGUUACUAGUGACAUGGAAUUGACAAUUCAUUGUGUAGAUGGAUAAGAUAAAAUUUAAGUGGCAAAAGCAAGUGCCUCUAUAGCAGUCAUGACUGUUAUCACAUUGGUUACAGAUGAUUAUAAUCAUUGGAAAGAUCAUAUAUUUGGAAGUGGAGAGCUUGGAUACCGUUGAUAAUGUCAAAGCUUAGGUACAGGACAAGGUAGGCAUUCUCCCAGAUCAGCAGAGGUAUAUUUUUUUUUUCCAGGAAGCAACUCAAGGAUGGCUAGACAAUCUACAUCUUGUGCUUCGCCUUCGAGGUGAAAUGCAGACUUUCUCAACUUUUUAGAUGUCGAACAACUUCGAAUUAUCUCCUAAAAAAUCUCUCAUGAAAUGUCAACAGUGCGUAUUUUUUCAAUGGAUAGCUAAUUUUACACCUAGUAGUAAAGUUCCAUCAUUCUAUCUGUAUCAAAGAAUUAUUUCUCCACCAUCUAUACCAAAGCAUUAUUUCUCAAGUUCCUAAAAAUAAUUGCUCUUCAUUUAUCAUAUUUCACAAUCGGAAGAAUGAUUGUUGCAAAACACGGCUCUUAAAUUUGCAAGACUAUUAUGCUAAAAGUUUCUAACAAUAAUUCCUUAAACUUUGGGAUGUAAAGAAACUACAAAAUUUUGGAGGGACCAAGUUCCUUAAAUGAAUAUGAAAAUUUUUGUAAAUAAAGAAAAGCAUCAGCAAGGGGGGCCAGGAAAGAGACAUGGAUUGCUACCAUUCUUAGGGUGGAGCUAACUAUCAUUGAGAGAGACCACAUCAGGUUUGUCUAUUCCCAUCACAAAGACAAUGUCAGCACAUACAAUCUGGACCUCUCCAAUAUGCCAUUUCGUUUAAAAAGCUACUCUCUGGCAGGCUGCUAAUCCAGCAUGACAGCACACUGUCUUUAUACGGCACUUCUCAUUCAAGUAUUUUGCGACGUCAACACAUUUACUCUUCAAAAGGCAAUAUAUUGUGCCACAAAAAUUAGCAAAACAAUUCUUUAGCAGCCCUCCAAGUUGCUUCGGUGGUUCCUUGUCUUAGCUAUAGCCUCUAUUUUAGAUUUGCUCUGUCAAAGCUUGUCUCAAGAACAUGAGCAUGGGGAAUCCUAAGAGCUUUUAGGAUAUCCUACAAUGAUGUAUAAUUCAAUUAGAACAAACAGAUUAUUUCAACACAAUCAGGAGGUUAACGUGUAAUUUUAGUACUUCACGAACUGACUGAGUGGCAGUAGCAAUUAAGGCCAUCACUGGGACAUACAGAAAGUUUUGCUCGAGAUAUCCCAGUCCCUGAUAAUCUGGACAAAAAUCAUGUUCCCAUUGACAACAAUGAUGACAACCACGAAAGUGACAAUCAAUGAGCUUUUCUCAUUAAUCAGUCAAAUGUACAAGAGAAGCUCAAACCAGCAGUACGUUCCUUUCACGAGAUCACAUUGACAGAGCAAAUCCAGUUAAGACCUUGAAAGAAACACAAUCAAUAACCACAUGGGUGAACCUUUGUCUUUCUCAAGUUGUUAACAUAUAGUAUAACCAUUAACAGAAUAAAAAGGGACUCAGGAACCAGCUUAAGAGACUGAGAAUCAUGCCAACAAAGACAGGAGAUGGGAUCGUUAUCCAAGCUUGUGCCGGUUCCAAUUACUUUGGAAAGUAAUCUCCAUUGGAGCUUAUUUAAGUUGUGUCUUCUUUACUCAAUAUAAUGAAUGAUAAGCCACUAAGUGUUUUCAAAUGAUGGAACCUAGAUCUUUUCUAAAGUUCAAACAACGAACACUGCAUUUUGUCAUAUUAUAACUUCAAAGGGGUCUGGGCUUCAGAAGGUUUAGUGUAACACAGACAAUUUAAUUAGGCUAGAAACACUGAAAAUGCAAAAAGGUUUGGAGAAAGAGUUUAAGUUUGCAUAUAUAAAAGUUAACUUGCUUAGCUAUAUCAGCAACAAGAACAAUAGUUUUGCAGUGUUAACAUUCAAAUACUUAUUUCUUUUGAAGUAACUCUAGCAUAAUUUUUCUUCAUGUACGAGGCAUACCAAAGAUUAUGCAUACCUUGCGCAAUGUGCCUCAUCAACAACAAAACCAGCUAGUUGUGCCCACAAUGCAUGAUGGUUGAAUAUAAAAAAUUUAUAAAGAACCUUUUCGAAAAAGUUAUGGUGCAUUAGAAACAAUACCCUUUUAUGCAAGCAUUUCAAUAUCUCGAGAAAUGACGGGUUUCCCACAAUCCUUUAAGGAGUUGCAUACAAUAGUUUGCAUGAUGGUUUAUCUUUUCUGGAAAGGCAGGCAAAGCAGAAUUGGAGAUUAAUAAUUUGACGGUCACAACACUCAGCAUAAAAGCUUUAGAAGUCCAAUAUAGUUAAACCUUUGCCUUAGUUUUUGGAGGACAGCUGCUGCUUGGGCAGCAGUUUGUUGAGAGUUCAAAAAAGUAGAUGGUAUUCCGCACUUAAAGGGUUGGAGUAACUAAUUGAUCUUGGACGAGAGAUAGCAACGAGAUAUAACAACUGUGAUGCCUGAUUUAAGAGUUGCUGGCGGCUAAAACAAAGGGUAAAACCAUCAGAAGAACACAUGAAGAAAAGAAGGGGCAAGCAAAUUAUUAUUUCUUUCACCAUCAGCUGAUUAGGAAGGACCAGUAGUCACUACUUGUCUUAUAACUACUUUCAGCUAGAAACAUAUAUCAACCCCCUCAAGACUGAACAGAAAACACUUCCAAUAAAUUCAGAUUAAUACUUCGUCCUUAAUUCAGUAAAUCAAAUAUCUUGCAUGCUACCAAGAUCCAUUGUAUAUUAAAGGGCAUUCAUUUCAUACCAAUGAUAAAAAAAAGAAGAAGUCAUAUAUCAUCACCCCUUGUGAGAUAAUGGCAUAGCCAAUAACUGCGAGGAAAUUUAGAAAUCUAGAACCCAUAUUUGGUGGAAGUACUUUGAAAAUUAUUCCUCUUUGACUUAGUAACCCAUUUGGAUUGGACCUAAAUUAAGACUGACAACAACACUUGCAUGCAUAAACAAGAUGAAUUUUCCAAUCAGUGAUCAGAAGGUCCUAGAUGCUGCAUUGGUUGAAAUGAAGCAAUCUUGCUUGGCUACAGAAGAUUUACAAGCCUGAUGCUGCAUUGAUUGAAAUGUCUUAUUUCUGAAUAUUACAACAUUUGUCAAUUCUAUGUCAUCCAAGGCUUGCAAUUCCUCAUGACUCAAAGUUCCUUGUUUGCAUGUCAAAAUUUGAGAGCAAUGUCUUUUAUUUGAAACUGACGAUAUCGAAUCUUGAGUGACAGUGUUCUUGCAAUCCUUCAACACAAAUAAGCCUCUCCGGCACCAUAAAUACUUUCUGACAUGGGAGUGAUGGAAAAUGAAAAUUGUGCACAAAGAAAUCCCAAGCCUUCAUUUCGCAAAAAACUCCUAUCAAAGAUGCCGGUUGCUAAGUCCAACACCUGGAUGAUGUAAUAUACUUUCAAAACAAAAAUCAACUGUUUUUAUUGACCAAAUGGUUCUAAUAUAAGUAAUUUUAGAUCUUAAAGACUGAAGUAACUGGCAAAAGUUAUGAAUGUCUUAUACAUAUGAUUGGAUGAGAGCCCUCAUAAGCAAUUUACUAAAUGCUCUUGUAUAGACAAACCUGCGUAAGGUCCUUGAGGAGGUUGCCAAACACCCUCUCUUUGGCUGAAGGGGCUUUGGGGGCUGGAUGGGCUUUCUAAAUGCCCAUCCAAACGCACCCUAUGUGCGAAGGUUACUUUGGAAACGGAAGACUUGCAUAUCAUACUAGAGUUACAGACAUAUCUAUUACUAUGCGUCAGUCAAUAAAAGACAACAUCGAGAAAGUAAUACCCUUCCUUAAUUUACGUUUUUACCUUUCUAUAUAUAUAUAUAUAUAUAUAUAUAUAUAUUUUGGUCUGAAUACCUUUCUAUAUAUUAAAUAUAAAUAUGUGCCUUGCCCGGGGUGCGUGGGUGGUGGUUUCCUGCGUGUCUCCCCAGGGUUUACUCCCUGGCUGUCGACCGUGCGGCGGGUUCCCUGGGUCACAAAAAAAAAUUAUAAAUAUCAUAGCGGAAUGAUUUUCCAAACUUUAGAAAAAUAGCAUUUUCAACACUACUUUAUCAUGGAUGGGAACGAAACUUCAUAAGUCAAAGCUCUCUUUUUUAUGGGAUUGGUCUUAUAUUCAACAUGGACCGUUAAAUAGAAAGGGAAAAAACAUGACUUUUCCAAGUCUGUUUUGCAAAAUCGAUUUUCUUUCAUCACUUUCAAACAUUAAAGGAAAGUUAUAGACGUGAUCAAAUUAUCGUUUGAUUAAGAAAAGUUACAAUGAGUAAGGAAAUUUAUAAAGACAAAGAUCUAAAAAAUUUACGAAGUGCAAAGGAGAGUUAGAGGCUCUCUCUUUAAUUUUUUGACGUGAUCAAAAUAUCAUCUAUAAUGGUCAUCAUUUUAUUAAUUAUCAAUUAAUUUGUAGCGGUUUUCUAACAACUCUCUCUUUUGUUUGAAUACAAGAUUAACCAUAAAUCCACAAUCUUUCAAUAUACAUCCAACUCACAAGAUUCACAUGUCUUUCCUUGUCUAGCUGGGCUAUGCACAUAACAUGUUCCCAUUCCUUCUGUUAUUCCAUGUAGAGUUUUAUCUCGUGAAGAUAGCCACUAGAGCCCAUCGUACCGACUUUCAUGCUCUGAAGGGAGAAAUUGAUCUCGAGGAUAGUGCUUGAAUGCCUCAAACAAUAUAUCUUAUAUUUUUUCAUCAUUUUUAAUAUAUUUCCAACAAUUCUUUCUCUUUUAUUCAUAUUAUCUAAUAUUUUUCCAACAUUUCCAUGGAGAAAGGGCAAAACCAAAGCAAGAGAAACAAAAGGGAUGCACUAUUUCGUUUCACAUCAUUCCUUUGCGGUGCUCGUUGUGUCAAUUAUUCUUUUUAUCCUUAUAUUUAGGGGUGUGCAUGGUCCGGGCGGGCGGUUCCCGACCUAGAACCAGGAACCGCCCGCUAAGUACCGGUUCCGAAAAAUGGGAACCGGGAUCCACCCGGGAACCGGACCGCCGGUCCGGUCCGGUUCCCGGGUGGAUCCAUGGAACCAAUUUUGACGCGGGCGAUGCUGGUUCUUCGGGAUCUGCAGAAGGGUCGCUUGGGCGAGAGGCAGCGGUGGAGCUGGGUCACGGGUCGUUGAACUGGAUCACCGGUCGCAGGGAGGCUAAACGGCGACGGCGUCAGGGCUGAGAUGAGCUCAGAUCUGUAGUCGUCGAGCGAGAUCAGCGUGGCUGAAGCAGGGAACGCCGAACGUUGGUCGCAGAUGGGUCUCGUGGGUUGCUGGAGUCGCGGCCACCGGCGUGAAGAAACGAGCGGUGGUUGUGGUGCUGCACGUCGGGGGGAAGGCGGAUCUGGCAGGGAGGCUGAACGGCGACGGGAUGAGCUCAGAUCUGUAGUCGUCGAGCGAGAUCAGCACGGCUGAAGCAGGGGACGCCGAGCGUUGGUCGCGGAUGGGUCUCGUGGGUUGCUGGAGUCGCGGCCACCGGCGUGAAGAAACGAGCGGCGGUUGCGGUGCUGCACGUCGGGGGAAGGCGGAUCUGGCAGGGAGGCUGAACGGCGACGGCGUCAGGGCUGAGAAGAGCUCAGAUCUGUAGUCGUCGAGCGAGAUCAGCGCGGCUGAAGCAGGGGACGCCGAGCGUUGGUCGCGGAUGGGUCUCGUGGGUUGCUGGAGUCGCGGCCACCGGCGUGAAGAAACGAUCGGCGGUUGCAGUGCUGCAUGUCAGGGGGAAGGCGGAUCUGGCAGGACGACGAUGGCGGAGGUGCGGAGCUGUCGCAGGCGCGCGGGUAUGAGAUCGGAGCGGCGCCGACAGGAGGGUGGCGGACGACUGGGCUACAGCGGCUUCGCGGCUAAAAAAAAUGAGGCGGACGCACAGGUCACCGAGGAGGAAUCGAAAUAGCGAGAGGAACUGAGGAAGAGAGAGAGAGAGAGAGAGAGAGAGAGAGAGAGAGAGGCAGCCGCAGAAGAGAAGUGGAAGAGACAGAGAGAGACCUAGGUUUGUUUUAGAAAUAUUUUUUUUUUAAUAUUAAAAGGGAACCGGUCCGGUUCGGGUGGGCGGGCGGGUGGAUCCGCCCAUGGAACCGGGAACCGGACCGGUUCCCACCGGUUCCCAAAAACUGGAAUCGGGAAUCGGACCGGUUCCCUCAAGAACCGCCGGUUCCGGGCGGUUCCGGUCCGGUUCCGGGCGGUCCGGGCGGAUCCGGGUAUUUUGCACACCCCUACUUAUAUUCAAUCAUCUCAAGAAGAAAAAACAAAAAUGCUGCAAAAGAUAGCAUCAAGGGAGUAUUCAUGCUCCUUCUUCAGUAUCUUAUAACAAGUUAUUGCUCUACAUAUCAAUCAAUUAUUUAAAAUUUCUAAGUUUAAGAGAAUAACUCGGUGAUAUCAUAUCGUUUUAAAAUACGUUGGAUUUAGAUGAAAUCGUUAGCUUGUGGAGCUAGCGCGGAAUAAACACGAGCCCAUUUGUUUAUCUCCACCCCACGUUUGCAACUCCAUUUAGGGAGAUGGGCCGCGGAUAUACUUUUGAAAAUUAGCCAACUGGGCUCCAGCGUCCAAGACACAGCGCCUCCACCCAUGGCACGUGAUCAUGUUCCAGCGUAAAAUCAACGCGGAACCGCGUUAUCCGAUUCCCAAGUACAAGUUCUCCCUACUUCCAGAUCUGAAGCGGAGGAAGCAGCGAUCUUCUUUCUCGCGAAUCCACCGAGCAGUACACCCGAGGCCGUCGCGAAGAGCACCUGCAGUCGCUCCUUCCGAACCACCGGAUUCAAAGGACUGGUUUUUUGGCGGGCACCAAUCAGCAGGUAAAAUCAACUCGAAUCGUGUCGAGUUUCGAACUUUUUAGUGUUCCGCUUGCUAUAAUUUCUGAUAACGGACUCCGCUGAGGUGAUUAGGGUUCCUGGAUUUGGGGGCUCUUCGGCGGAACACAAGGGUCGUUUCUGGAUUUUAUCGAAAGAUCGUAAGUUCCCCGUCUGUAGUUGGUGAUUUCGUAGCCACUACUCGUCCUUUCUCGCGAUGAACUGAGAUGAUCUGCAAAUUUACCUUUGUGUCUUUCCAAACCAAGCCGAUCUAGGUCGAGGCGUGAAGGUGAUCUUCGGGAUUGCGCGGCCUUUCGGGACUCGGACCCAACUCGAUCUGCUUCAAGGCGACAUCUUCUCAAACACUAAAACCCGUCACAGCUAUUUCAUCUCUGAAUCGCUCCCGGAGGUAAGCACAACCUUCAUUCUCUGGUCUAUUCCAAUUGAUAGCACACAGAAUAAAAUACAUGUGAUUAUUUAUUACUCAUCCCAUAACUUCUAACAUCCUUUUAAGGCAUACAGAAUAAUACGUGUGAAAUUUCCUCGAUUUUUGUAAAAUCAUCAUCACAUAUAUAUUGCUAAUUUUUGUUACUUUUCAAUCUUCUCAUUUAAACUAAUCGGUUGAAUCUGGUGAAAUCACAUGCUGGCCGUUGUCCCGGUAUUGUUUUCAAAACAUCUACGGUUGACUGAACUCCCUCGGGACAAAGGACCCGCUCCAUGAAAAUUAUGAAUAUACUCUUCUAGACCUGAUUUUGGGUCCAUUGGCCCUAUACAUACCCCAAUUGUCAAAAAUUACUUAAGGCCUGAAACAUCCAAAAUACUCCGUUUUUGUAGAAAUAAUUCUCUUCUUUUCUCUUGAAAAUGGUUUAAAACUAUACUUUUUCUUUCCAAAUAUAGAUCGUGCUGGCCUAUUCUCUUCAAUAAUUGCACUAAACCUUUCACAGCCUACGGAUCAAAAUUGUCAACAACAAAAUUUAUCCAAACAAAUCAGAUCAACUAGAGAAUUUUUUAAUGUCCAUAAAACCAGUUUCCAUUAUAUUGGCAAUAAUCAUAAUUUCUGGAAAAUUACAGAAUAUUCAAAUGUUUUCUGGAAGUUAUGAAAAAUACACAAUUGUUACUAUUUUUUUUUUUUUUUUUGGUGCUGGUUACAAUGGAAAACUUGAAAGUGAGCAAAGCUGCUGGUUUCAGAGCACUUACACAUAUUUAAUAUGUGGAUUAUGCGGGUUAAAAUAGAGAAAAUUGUCAUAAAGUGUGGUUUUCGUGAGAUUUAACUGCUUAUAGCAAAGCCGUGAUAUAACAUAAAAAGUUACUGACCUACGAUAGAUUUGACAAUAUGAUUUAUGCAUGUGUAGGGUGGGAGAGAAUGUAGCAUUUACAAGAGGAAGAACGUCUUUGAUAAUAUUAUACUGAAAUAUUAGCAGGAGCCACAUUUACCUGUUUAACAGUAUGGUUUAUAAGUAGAUAUGAACAGAAUUGGUCAUUUUGUACUCUGGUCCAAAUUGUGCUCUCUCACGUUUGGCCUCUCUCUUGCAGAACAAUUCGGAACUAUUGUCAGCACUUGCUUUCUUUGAUCUUUUCACUCUUGUAAGUUUUCACCUGGGCUUGUUUAAGGUCUCCUCUCUCCAAUCUCACGCCUCUCUUCGCAUCUCAGCUCGCGGGAGGUAAUUGCUUUUUCAUGUCUUCUUAGCAUGUCGUUUCUAUUGAUUUGUCACUUUGUUAUUGGAAUAAUCGGCUGAACUAAGUGCGUUCUGGGCCCCUUGUUGUCAAUUGGGGAUGUGGGGUGGCCGCUAAAUAGCAUAGGAGGGUCUUUUAUUCUCUCUUUGGAGUCGUCGUUACCUGUUAACGAGGUAUGUACCCAGCUCAGAUUUGACUUCGGUGAAAAAAGAAAGCCUUUGUUUUCGACUAUAGACGUGGCUAAUCCUAAGAAUGUCUGAUUGUUAGUUGCAUCGUAAUUCAGUAUUGAUCUUUUGUUGAACUACAACGAGUAGGUCUGCAAGUGCGCUAGACUCUAUUGCGUGCAAAAUUGCCACAUUUCGCUUGAAGCCAUAGGCCAUUUCUUUUUUUAUGCAUUGUGAGGCUUUCUGUGUUUGAAGGUCCUAGAUCAAUUUAUGGAAAAAUAAAUCAGAAAAAUAGGAGGAGGCUGGUUCUUGGGUCAACUCGUUGGGUUCUCGGUUACAAAAACGGAGAACUGAUUAUUACGGAAUAAGUUCUUGACUCUUAGUUUAGAACGUACUCAUCCUGAAAUCAAUCAUCCUAAGAGUAAAUCUUCUCUUAAGGAGAAUUUGGUCGACAAUUUUACCUCCCUAUAGAACAUUCCAAAUGAGUGAUAUUCUAUUUUCCUCGAAUUGUUGGACUAUUAAUUGUAGAAAGUAUAUUCCCUUGCAAUAGUAGGGAAGAAAACCUAGUUGAUCUUUUAACAGACACGAAAACGAUCAAAUAAAUUGAGUCAUAUAUGCAAAUUAGAAGAUUCACCUAGCUCUAUAUCACUUAUUUCUUACACCUCUUUGUGGUGAUAUUCUCAUUAUGGGCCCUCCGACAAAAAUGGGGACAAUCACUCAACGCCAUUCUCAAGGUGGUCGUCUCUGAAUUUUCCUUAGCAGCUUCCUUUCACUUCCCUUCUUCUCUUCUUCUCCUUCUUCCAUCGAAUCAGUACCUAAUUCUAAUCGUUCAGACUAACAUGGAGAAAGAGGAGUGCAUAAAAAGAGAGCACCAAGGAGCAUCUACUCCUCCGUUUUUUUCAUCUAACAAAGUAUAGCUCUAUUUUACAGACAAGAUAUCAAUCAACCUAUUAGACUUGAAAAUUUGAAAUGAAAGGCUCGGUGAUAACAUACCACCUAAAAAUAAUUUCAUUUUGCAUGGAAUUGGAGCAUGUGGUGCUGGCUUGGAAUAGAUAAAUGAUAAAUAACCGUGAGCAUUUUUGUUUAUCACUACCUCACGUUUCCAACUUCGUUAACAAUAUUAUAAUUUUAAAUGAAAUUAAAAUAUAAAAUCUCAUCCACAGCUCGGUCCUUUCUCGACAUCUUCCCCACAUUUCUAAUUCCGUUUUGACUCAAUAUAAAAUCUUUUGAAUGGUUUAUCAAAUUCCGAUUUUCAAUAACUAAAUUAAAACAAACUUAUGCUUAUAUUUUUAAUUGAAUGUAAUAUGCUUGUACUCAUAUUCUAGUUCUUUAUAGCUCAAUUGAAAAAAUUAACGUACACGUUAUUGGUGAGUGGAUCAAGCCAACAAAUUUGACUUGAAUAGUGUGAAGUCCAAAAGAAGAUAAGGCGCGGUCUAAAUGCAACUGCUCUUAGUCAAUCAAUUACCAAUUAAUUAAAGAUUUAAUGUUGGUUUUUUCUUGCAUGUAGCGGGUUCAUGUUCAUACUUUUAGUAGAGAUUAGUUCAUUUAUCCUUUUAUGCAAUAUAAAAGCGUCUUUUGUUCCAACUUUCGCCCUUUGAUUGCCAUGCAUCUUUUGUUCCCCUUUUUACUUUUAAUUCAACAAAUGAAUAAAAGUAAAGGACAUGAUUGAAGGACUCUUUGAAAUAGCAUUGUGUGAAAACUAAUUCCCAUUUUGAACACCUUGACUCCAGCAUAAAAGUAUCUAUUCUUUUAGUUAAUGGGGUGGGAAAAGCAAAAGGCGAGGAUGAAGCAUAAAGUAUCACCCAUCUUCAAUUCGAUUUGAGGGACCAUGCGGUCCAAUCACAAUCUAAUUGCUACGACAACUAGAAAUAGGGGUGUCACUCAAUCAAUAAUUUGAGUGGCCGCGUGUAGCCAUUGUCAAAAGGUGAGGAUAAAGCAAAAGGUAUUGCCCAUCUUCAAAAUUUUAAUUUUCACUAUGAUUUGCUUGGCCACGGGAUCCAACAACAAAAAGAACUAACAAGUACAAUCUAUAGGGGUAGUCUUGCCAAUUUCGAGGAAGGGAUUGUUUUGGUGUUUUUGGUCAAAAAGGUUAGAAUCAAAAGAAGUACAAUUACCUCAUCUAACGUCAUCCACCACAAGAUUGUGCGUCUUCUUUGGGGCAAGAGAAGAAGUAAAGCUUUAAAUAAAGUCCCAAGUGCUUGUGUUUGAAGAAGAGAAACGCCAAUCACCGUAGCUCAUAGAGACGCUCGUUUUUCUUCUGAGAUAUCUGAUUUUGAUAGCUCCAGGUUGAGGCGUGAAGGUGAUCCUCGGAUUGCAUUGCCUUUCAAGACUUGGACACAUUGAUUUGCUUCAAGCAACUUCUUCUCAAACACUAAAACCCAUCACAGAAAUUUUAUCCUCGCAUCGCUCCUCGAGGUAAGCCCGGCCUUCAUUCUCCAGUUUAUUACAAUUGAUAGGACAAACAUAUAUUUGUUUAUUACUAGUCGCAUAGCACCUAACGUCCUUUAAGGCAUAGAAAAUAUCACUUAUGAAAUUCCCUCAACUUUUUCAAAAUGAUCACCUCAUAUAUAUUACUAAUUUUUAUUAUACAAUAUUUUCACUUAAACUAAUUGGUUAUGAAUGGUUAGCCCAAUUGAAUCUGGUGGAAAAGCAUGUUGGCCGUCAUCACUGUUGUUUGCAAAACAUUAACGGGUGACUAAACUCCCUCGGGACAAAUGACCUCCAAAAGAAAAGAGCACCCUCCUAAUAAAACCUAUGAAAGGAUGUUUUACACGUAAAAUGGCUCCAACGGUUAGUUUUCUAUAAAAAGAUUCCAUGGAUGCUGAUAAACUUGGCAGAAAUUGAGAAAGCACCAAAUCUCUAAAUUGCUCGAUCUCUCUUGCGUUCAUGAUAUGUUUUAGCUUGCAUUUGAUUCCUUUUGUUUAAAAAAAAGCCUUAAUGGUGGUUUUUAGUUUGAGAGAGUGGACGUAGUUUUGCUAUAAUCUGAACUGUUAUAAGUCUAUUGGCAUAUUCUUUUAUUCUUUAGUCUCAUUACUUUAUUUGUUUGAUAGAAGUAUCUCCUUCAUAAAUUGUUUCCGCAUGUACUGUAAAAUCCUGAAAAUUUAAUUUCUUAAUAUAAUUUAAUAGAUUAAGAGCUCUUCAUUCACGACCAUAGACACUCACUUGGUCACUUCUGACUGUCAAAGUGAACUGUAAUAAAAUACGGUCAAAAAGCGAAAAGUUAUUUGGUGGAAAGGUACUAAUAUUGGGUGAAGUGGAGUUUGAAUGAUGAGAAAAAAGAGGAAAAGACAUUGGAGUCAAAAGGUAAAGAGGAAAAGAAAGAAAGAAGGGAAAAGAAAGUGGGAAAAGAAAGGAGAGAGAGGAGAAGAAGGGAAGGAAAAAGGAGAAAAAGAGGAGAGAGAGGAGAGAGAGAGCGGGGGAAGAGAGGAUGUGUCGGCGAGAGGAGAAGAUAAAAAAAGGAGACGGGAGGUUUUGAGCUGUGCAGGAGGAGAAAUCUAUGGCAAAAUUAAAUUUAAAAUCACAUUCAUAAUUACUAUUAGGUCCUUUCUUCACGUCUUGCCCACAUUGCCAAUUUUGUCUCUAACUCAAUUAACAGCUUCUAAAUGAUUUAUCAAAUUCUUUGACAAAAAUGUUUAUCAAAAUCUUAUUUUCAAUAACCAAGUAAAAACUGAACCACUAUGUAUAAUUUUGAAGUAAUGCGAUAUACUUGUACAUAGAUUCUGGUAUUUUAUAGCCCAAUUAAGAAAUUAACGUACUCAUUGUAUGUGCGGGGAGCAAAACCAACAAGAUUGACUGACUACAGGAUGAUGUGUUAAAAGAAGAUAAGGCAAGGACUAAAAGCAUGCAACUGCUCCUAGUCAAUCAAAUACUAAUUAAUUAAAGAUUUCACGUUUAUUUUUUUCUUGCUAUGUUCAUACUUGUUCAUACUUCAUAGAGACUAGUUAUCCAAUCUUUUUAUGCAGCAGAAGAGCAUCUUUCUUUCCAACUUCCCCCGGUUGCCACCAUGGACAAUGGACGGAGUCACAUUGAAACAAACGAAGGGAUGCACCCUUUUGUAAUGGGGCGUUCUUGGGGGAGGAAGAGGAAGAGAGCAGUCAAUCUUCUCAAGAAGAAGAAGAAAGCAUCCACACCUUCAUUCAUCUCUCCAACACCCACAGGAGAAGGUAAUGAUCAUUAUGAUGUGUUCUUGAGCUUUAGAGGGUCAGAUACCCGCAAGGGAUUCGCCGAUCACCUCUAUCACAGUCUAGACAAGGUGGGGAUUGUACCGGUUUUCGUGUUCAGGGAUGAUAAGAGCAUUCCAAUUGGCGAGGAAUUCGGUCCAAGGAUUCUUGAUGCUAUUGCUCAGUCUAAGAUUUCGAUCCCCAUAAUCUCCAAAAAUUAUGCUUCAAGCAAAUGGUGCCUUCGUGAGCUUAUUCACAUCAUGGAUCUUCGGAAGAGAACAUCACACAUAGUUUUACCCAUCUUUUAUAAAGUGAAUCCAUCGGACGUGCGGCGUCUAAAAGGAAGUUUUGGGAAGGCUUUCCAUUCACAUAAGAAGUAUUUUGAUGAGGAGGAUAUCCACAAAGGGCCGCAAGCACUUGAAGAAGUGAGUUACUUACAUGGAUGGGAGUCUAAGAAAGUUGCUAACGGGUACUUUGCUUCCACCUUAACUCUUCUUUUUUGAUAAGUAAGUUAUUGGGGAAAUUACCAAAAAAAUUUUAAAUCUAUUGUAAUUGUGUCAAUGUAGUCCUAAAUAUUUUUAUUUAGUCAAAUUAAUCCUAAACCCUUAGAAAUUUGCCAAUACAGUUAUUCGGUCGAUUUCAACUGGAAAUUGUUAACGUAAACAAUUUUUUUAUUAUUUUUUCUGAAAUUUUUAGUUUUAUUUUUCUUUCUUUCUUCCACUCUGGCUGCGGCCUCCUUGAUGGAGGGUGACAGGCCACAAACGAGGGUCGGUGAGGCUUGCCCUCGCGAAUCUGGCAAGGGCGACCUCGCUGGAAUCUGGUCCUUUAGAAAAGGCGAGGCCAACCCAAACUGAAAUCUCACAAAAAAAGAAGAAGGAAGAGCGUCAGAAAUUGGGAAUCCAUGAACACAAUCAUUCGAGAACACGAUUACAUUUGCAGAAUAAUUGGGGAUGUCGCAAGCGAAGUGGUUGAGGGUGAGGCAUUGUCUUUCUCUUCCACAGAUUCGCUUCCUUCUUCGCCUUCGACUCCACUCCACCUACCAAAAUGGGGGACGAAAAUGGAGUCACCACUUCGUCGCCGUCGUCGUCAUCUCGCUCUUCUUUGUCUCUGUCUUUGUCGUCAAAGUAACAGCUCCUCUGCUCCGCUGCAUCCAUCGGCGCCACCUGCGCCGUCCAGUCGAAGUUUGCCAGCACGUUCUGGCUGCUGGCGAACCUCCUCAUCUGACCCAACGACGGCCCUCUCUUGUUGGAAAAACUCUCGGUCUCUCCCUCCUUGCGAUUCUCUAUAGGACCCACUAGAAGGACCAGAUUCAGGCGAGGUCAGCCCUCAUGGCGAGGCAGCCCUCAUCUAUGGCCAGUGACCGUAGAAGAUGGAAAAAAAGAAAAGAAAGAAAGAAUAAACAAAAAAUAUAAGCAAAUUCAACAAAAUUAUAAAAAAUUAUAGAAAUACUUCAUGUCGAUAUCGACGGUGCCUUGUAGAAUAGCCUGUGUCCAUGUUAGCGAUUUCUAGCCAAAGUUGGCUAGAUGGAUCACAUUAGCAUAUUUUCAAAAUGUGUAGGACUAAAUUGGCCAUAAAAAAAUUAAAGACUAAAUUAACACAAUUAUAAUAAAUUCAAUUUUUUUUUAGUAAUUAUUCUGUAAAUUUUCUUGUUCAUGCCAAACAGAUGAAUUACAGUUGUCUUCAACAGAGCAAAAAUCAAAUAAAUGACAACCCCUCCAGCCAAUAGUGUCAAUCACCAAACAAUAUGCUUAGAAAGGACUCGCGUGCUCAGUAUUUCAAAGCUUUAUCACCACCAGAUAAAAUAGACCUGUUCAUGCGAAUGGAAGUUGGCUCAGGUGAAAAGGACCGGACACUUCGCAUUUGGCAUGUCUAGGUUUGAUUUCCAUUGUUAGUAGACCCCAUCGGUAUCGAUUUGUAAAUCAACUAUAAGUUCUCAAUUUUAGCAUGUGAGAUGCCCUGGCCUUAGAGCGGAGUAACCUACUUUUCUCCUAAACUUCUUUAAUUAAAACAAAAUUGGCCUCCUAUGAUUUAACUAGCAUCAAUCUUAAGCCUUGUAACAAACAUUACACUUCUAAAGACUCUUAACGAGCCACGCGCACCGCCUUAUUUUCUUUCAACAAGAUCCAUCUAGCAAAAGAGAGAAGACAAAAUGAAAUGACCGCUGGCCAUCAUACCCCAUUGUUAUUUGUAAAACCAAAACAUCUUGCAUGUUAAUUGGUCCCAUCCAUUCUUCACAUGCCUGUCGGUGCCUUUUGAUGAGUUUAAGUAUAAUCAUGAAAUUAUCAACGAGUUUUUUUGUUGGACAGGCAUGAAGGAGAAUUAGUGAAAAUAGUUAUCGAAAAUGUUCUGAGCAAGUUGCAACAAGAUUUUCAGCUUGAUGUUACUGAGCACUUAAUUGGAAUUGAUGAUCAUGUGAAUAGAAUCAUGAAAUGGGUAGACACUCCUACCACUAAUGCUCGAAUGAUUGGAAUCUAUGGCAUGNNNNNNNNNNNNNNNNNNNNNNNNNNNNNNNNNNNNNNNNNNNNNNNNNNNNNNNNNNNNNNNNNNNNNNNNNNNNNNNNNNNNNNNNNNNNNNNNNNNNNNNNNNNNNNNNNNNNNNNNNNNNNNNNNNNNNNNNNNNNNNNNNNUCUGCAAAUCGACCUUGAAUUUGGGAAUGUUGAUGAUGAAUUAGUUUGAUCAAAUCUAGAUCAGAGAAAAAAGGUUCUCAUUCUUCUGGAUGAUAUAGAUCACAAGGAUCAAUUAGAUGCUUUGGCUAGAGAACAUAAUUGGUUUAUGGCGGGAAGUAUAAUUAUUGUUACAACCAGAUACAAAGCCAUUCUUGAUCAAUCUAAAUUCGCUGUACACGAGUAUGAUUUGAAUGAAUUGGAUCAGGAGCAUGCUUUGCUUUUGUUUAAUAGACAUGCCUUUGGUACGGACUAUUCUCUAAGGGACUUUGAGGGUAUAUCUGGUGAUAUCGUAUCCACCAUGGGUGGGCUUCCCUUGGCAGUUAAGGUUGUAGGUUCAUAUUUGAAUAAAGAAAUGAAUCGAGAAGUAUGGGAAGAGGUGCUGGAUAAGUUAAAAACCCAACCACAUGAAGACGUCCAAAAAACAUUGCGAAUAAGUUUUGAUGCAUUAGAAGACGGACCUAAGCAGAUUUUUCUCGAUAUUGUUUGUUUCUUUAUUGGCGAAACGAGUGAAUACGCCAUGUACAUGUGGAAGGACUGUGGGUUUUAUCCAAUUCAAGGUAUUAAAGAGUUGAAGUUGAGGUGCUUAAUUAAAAUUGGAGAUGAUGAUAGAUUUAAGGUGCAUGAUCAAUUGAGAGAUCUUGGAAGGAUCAUUUUUUGCGAAGGACAACCGCUUGACAAACGUAGCGGACCAUGGGACGACGACUACAAGGGAGUCCCAAAAGUACUAAGAACCUAUGAACAGGUAAAAUAUGGCACUCCCUUCUUUUUCUUUCCCUCUUAUUUUAAUAUAUUUAAUCUGAUCUAUUCUAAUAUUUCAUCUAGGAUGAACAUAUAUGCUCUUACUUUUUAGGAUAAAAAGAUCUAUGUAAACAUCCAUUUAUGUCCAUCUUAGAUUAUUUGUGACAACUAAAUGGAUUAUAAGUAUUUAAAGGAUGAAAAAGUUAUACCAUUUGAUUCGAUUUCAUUGAUAUAAAUUACAUCUGUAAAGAUUUGCUUGACAAUCAAUUUAAGAUCCUUUAGUUACAAUUUUGCUCUAUAAAACUCAUUGACUAAAAGCAUGCCAUUGUCAUAUCUAGUUGAAAAUAUUGAUAAUCUGAAGGAAUACAAGAACAAAUGUAGAUGAAGUAUAAACAUCAUAGAUCAAAUAAAUGAAGAUUUCUAGGUUAAAAGAAGAAGAAGAUAGUAUGUGUCAAUUACAAUAACUGAUAAUUAAUUCAAAACAAUAAGAUUAAAAAAAAUUCUCACACUUCUGACAUGUGCUUACUUUCUAGUAUGACCAAAUGUAUUGGGGGGCUCUUGUGAUUCAAGAAUCCAAUGUUUGAUAUUAUUUUCUCCAUUUUGAUUUUGAAGAUAUCGGUCCCUCUAUCAGUUAUAUCUAUCUCUUUUCAUUCUUAUUUCCUCUUAAUAGAUAAGAUAGCAAAAAUCCUUUAAAAAUAUUUUUAGGAAGAUCUUAACGCUUUUAAAAGUUUUAUCCUGUUGACCUUGCUCAUUUCAUGGAUUAGGUUACGUGUGUGAUAAAGAGUGGAUUUUCUUGUAACAAACAUUUCUAUAUGCUAUAAGUUGUCUUAUAUUAUUUAUAUUGUUGAGACAAUGCCUCUUUCGUGCUAGAAACGUCUAGAAUGACUUGACUAUUUAUAAAAUAAAUUAAAAAAGAAAACUUGACCAAUUAAAGGAAAUGUCAUGCUUAUUGUUAUAUCCAUACCUUGUCUUCUGAUCUAUGAUUUUCAGCAUGAAGCCAAUUUUUUCAACUAUGUUUUAUCUUUUGCUUAAAUUAUCAAUGUUCAUGUCAUUCUAUUAUUAUAUAUUGUCCAUUUAGGAUGCCUCAUAGGCUCAUGGCUGAUCAAAGGCGAGGAAUUAGCCCUAGCAAUUAACCUAGAGAUGGGCAAACAAAACGGCUCUAUAUUCUUGAUAUAAUUUGAAAUAGUCCGUUCCUAUGAUUCCAUAUCACACUCUUUUGUUGAUCCAAUAACUUCUUAACAUUAGCAAAAAGACCACACUAUACGGGUGUUUGAAAAAUGACCCAAAAAAAAAAGAAGAAGUCAAAUCUGUUUGGAAUGGACAAAUAGCUGAAAGAUGAUAAUUAGUGUGGUAAAAAAAUUGAAUGAUUGUUUGAUUUGAGAGAUUUUGAUUUAACUUUGGAAAUUGAAAUACGUAUGGGAAUAAUUUCCAAUUGUCUUGACUAUUUCAAAUAUUAUUAUGUUUGACUAUUUCAAAUAUUAUUAUGUCUAUUUUGUUAUAUCCUAUUUCUUCAGUUCAUUUUGGUGAAAUAUAUGCGUAUUGUGUGGAAACUUUUGAAGAAAGUUUGAGGUUUAAAAUCCCCUUUCCAUAUAGUAGAUUUUUUUUUAAUGUAAUACAUAGUAUAGAUUGAUGUACGAGCAAAAAUUAUUGAAGAUAGUGUGGGAUGGUGAUUACAACAAUUUAGCGACUUUUCAGACGGAUAGACUUAAGAGAAUUUAUUCCCAUUGCAUUUCACUGGUUAAUAUUUAAAGCAGAUAUAAUGACAAACGUGUCUAACCAUAAAAGUGAAUUUCUAACCAAUUAAACUUUUGGGGGAAAAUAUAGGUAUUAUUAUAAAAGUCAAAUAAAGCCAUAAGGAAAUUUCUUUCACCGUUUGCAACUAAUUAAAUGAUCUAUUUUAGCAGGGAGUUAAACAGUAUGUUUUUUGAUUUAUAAGAUGGAAAAAAGAAACGGUGCCAUUCUUAUGGAACCGACAUAUGAUGAUUAAACAAUGUUACCACCGCACUUUUUAGUUCAUUUUCUAGUUAUUCUAAAAGUGACUUAUUUUUUUUCAAUCCUAGUCAAAACUGCUAACCAAUGUCACCACGUCACUUUUUAAACAUACUUUACCAAUAAAUAAAUAAAAAACGCUUCAAUUGUCAAAGACAUGAGUAAUCACUUCACGUAAAUAUUUAAUGACGUUAAAGAUAUUUAGAUACCUUCUAGAGAUAAGGUAUUUCUUUUAAUUUUCUAUAUCUAUUUUGAUAAUGCAUAUUAUAUUUGAUUUAUUUUAAUUUCCCUCCACGUAAACUUUUCUAUUUAUCUGAAUAUAUUAAAAAUUCCUUUUUUUUCUCUUCCACAUAAUUACAUUUAACUAAUGAAAUGAAAAUAGGAUGCUUCCUUAGCUGCUUAUAGGUGGCCCGUUGACACUCUUUAACAAUUCUUUUAAGAAAUUAUACAUAAGUCAUUUAAAAAUUUACAAGUAAAUAUUUGUACGUUGUAAACUAGUUUUAUGUAUUUCUUCUUAAAUGAAAGUGAAAAUCCAUGCGCUACAAAAUUUUGAAAAAGAAGAAGAAGCAAGAGAUAAAACAUUGAGGUGCAUUUGCCUUAGUUGUUUUAAAGCAAUAAUUAUUAUUUUUUCUUUGUCUUUGCGUCAUUUGUUUAACUUUCAAAAGGUCGUAAAAAAAAGAAAAAAGAAAUAAAUGUGAGUUUACGUAUCCAUACAUGUAUAGGGGAAGGAUAAAAAGGUAAUCGUGCAAAUUCAAGAUUUAAAAAAAAGCAAAAACUAAAAAGUGAAAAAACUUGCAGAGAUGGUUCCACGACUUUUUGGGGGCAGCUUCUAGCGGAGAUUCCAAGUUUUCUGAAGUGAGAUGGUUAAAGUGGGGCGUUUAUGGAAACGAAGCGUCUCUUUCGACGAUCAACUUGCAUUUGCCAAAAUUAUCGGUGCUGGACUUAUCUUGGGGAGUAAUCACAGAGAAUUGGGAAGGAUGGAAGUCAUUCAAGGUAAGAUUGGGAAAAGAAUACAUCCUCUCUGCGAUCUUGAGGUUUGUUUUUGUUUAGCCAAUCAACUCCUCAUUUGACGGAUUAUUCUCCUUUUGUAUUAGGUGUCAAAGCAGCUUAAAGUUCUCAACGUUGGAUGUUGUUUUUAUUUAAGAUGUACUCCUGAACUCUCAGCUUUCACGCAGUUGAAAAUUCUCAUAUUGAACGAUUGUCUUGGAUUGGAGCAUCUCCACCCUUCUAUUGGCAAACUCACAAGCCUCGUUACCUUGGACUUGAAUUUCUGUCCAGAAUUGAAGCAUCUCCACCCUUCUAUUGGCAAACUCACAAGCCUCGUUACCUUGGACUUGAGUCGCUGUUCAAGUCUCAAGGAGCUACCAGAGGAGGUGGGUGGAUUAAAAGAUUUAGAAGAACUUAUUUUAGAUGAAUCUGGUAUUACAGCAAUUCCUUGGUCUAUUGGUUCUUUGAGGAAAUUGAAGACACUGAGUGCCUUCGAAUGUAAGUCACUGAGAGAAAUCCCCAGCUCAAUUGGGGAUUUACAGAAUUUGCAACAUCUUGACUUGACUGAUACUGCAAUCAAAAAGCUUCCCAGUGCUAUUGAAGGGUUGAAAAAUCUGCAGAUUCUAAAUUGGUGAAAUCGGUGACUUGCCUUCCCUCGAGUAUCUCGAUAUCAGUGACACAUCAAUAUCUGACCUUCCAGAAAGCGUCUGGAAUCUUUCUUCUCUCCAAAGCCUUUACCUAUGGGACUGUAUGUGACAUCCUGAAAUUCGACCCCGUUUCGAUAAAGUGAAAUGGGCAUUUCGUCGGCGUGCCUAUGGCCUUUUUCUCUGAGCUGAUCACUCACGAGUUAACUAACCUAUUGGGUGAAGCCGUUAAGGGAUGUAUCAGCUGUAAAAUCCCUAAAAGCUACUUAAUUGGUUAGAUUGAGCUAAAAUCACGUCCGAUCGAUUUUUAACCACGAAAUUGAACUCGAUUUCGGGAAUCGAAUUUUAAGCGCGUCAUAAUUCUUAUUUUAGGAUCCUGUCUCAUCGCUCGUCAAUUUAUUGACGAGUCCGAAAUUUCAAGAAAGAAAUUAUCGGAAGAAAUAUUGAAGCCCAAAAGAAAAGGAAAAGAGAAAAGGAAAAUUUAAAUAAGGAAUUAUACAUUUCCUUUUCUUUUUCCUCUCUCUCCCUCUCUUUCCUUUUCUUUCUUUUUCUUUUUCUUUCUCUCUCCUCUCCCCUUUUUCCCCUCCCCCUCGUGCGAAUUCCCACCGCUCACUUUCCCUCUCUCCUUCUUUGACCGGUCCAACCCUAUCCUCUCUCUUCUCUCUCCUCUUUCUUCUUCCUUCCCACACACGACAGAACCAGCUCCUAUCUUCUUCUUCUUUCUUCAUGCUCGAGCGAACCAGAAGCUGCAGCUCGCCGAGAACCGCUCGCUGCUCGUCCCGCCGCCGCACCGCCGCACCGCCGCGCCGCGCCCGUGCGCCCGCCGCCGUCCGUGCGCGCUCAGGCCGCGCGAUCCAGCGACCCAGCUGCUGUUCGCUUCUGUUACAGCUUCGUCCAGCCAUCCCCGGCCACCUCCGGCCACCGCCCAACCCCGCCGGACCUCCCCCGCAACCCCCUCGCCCUCCGCCGGCUUUCCCUCGCCGCCCUAGCCGCCGGAGCAAGCCCGAUCGGCUCUGUCCAGCAGACCCACGGAGUGGGUUUCAGCGACUUCGGGCCCACUUUUGGGUCGUUUCCCGGCCCCGAACCCGAGCCGUGCUUUGGGAACAAUCGUUCCUCGCGUCGCCGCCGUCGGAUUGAUCCGAUUUGCGGGCGAUUUGGUGAGUAAUCUCACUAAUCUCGGAUUAGUUGGCUAAUUAUGCUUUAGGUUGGUUUAGUUUUAAUUAAUUAUGUUUAGGUUGUUAGAUUAGAAGUAAUUAGCAAUUAUUAGUCAAUUGUGAUGCGAUUUAGAUAAAUUGAUUGUGCAAUUAACAAGUAGACGUGGUCUACUAUUUAUUGGGAGUGUCUCGGGAAUUUUCGGACCCCUAAUUGGGCUUCAAUUUGGCAAUUCGGGCCUAAGUGAGAUUUUUGGGCAUUUAAAUAUUAAUUUUCGGAAUUAAAUUAAAUAAUUAUUUAUUUUCCGAAAAUUCAAGGGAGAUGGUUCGGAACCGGAAUAUUAUGCUGAUGACCGUGGUGAAGUCUAUUUAUUUAAUCGGGCUUUAUUUUAAGCUAAAUUGAAUUUUUAAUAUUAAUUAUUUAAUUUUAGAAAUUAAUAAGNNNNNNNNNNNNNNNNNNNNNNNNNNNNNNNNNNNNNNNNNNNNNNNNNNNNNNNNNNNNNNNNNNNNNNNNNNNNNNNNNNNNNNNNNNNNNNNNNNNNNNNNNNNNNNNNNNNNNNNNNNNNNNNNNNNNNNNNNNNNNNNNNNNNNNNNNNNNNNNNNNNNNNNNNNNNNNNNNNNNNNNNNNNNNNNNNNNNNNNNNNNNNNNNNNNNNNNNNNNNNNNNNNNNNNNNNNNNNNNNNNNNNNNNNNNNNNNNNNNNNNNNNNNNNNNNNNNNNNNNNNNNNNNNNNNNNNNNNNNNNNNNNNNNNNNNNNNNNNNNNNNNNNNNNNNNNNNNNNNNNNNNNNNNNNNNNNNNNNNNNNNNNNNNNNNNNNNNNNNNNNNNNNNNNNNNNNNNNNNNNNNNNNNNNNNNNNNNNNNNNNNNNNNNNNNNNNNNNNNNNNNNNNNNNNNNNNNNNNNNNNNNNNNNNNNNNNNNNNNNNNNNNNNNNNNNNNNNNNNNNNNNNNNNNNNNNNNNNNNNNNNNNNNNNNNNNNNNNNNNNNNNNNNNNNNNNNNNNNNNNNNNNNNNNNNNNNNNNNNNNNNNNNNNNNNNNNNNNNNNNNNNNNNNNNNNNNNNNNNNNNNNNNNNNNNNNNNNNNNNNNNNNNNNNNNNNNNNNNNNNNNNNNNNNNNNNNNNNNNNNNNNNNNNNNNNNNNNNNNNNNNNNNNNNNNNNNNNNNNNNNNNNNNNNNNNNNNNNNNNNNNNNNNNNNNNNNNNNNNNNNNNNNNNNNNNNNNNNNNNNNNNNNNNNNNNNNNNNNNNNNNNNNNNNNNNNNNNNNNNNNNNNNNNNNNNNNNNNNNNNNNNNNNNNNNNNNNNNNNNNNNNNNNNNNNNNNNNNNNNNNNNNNNNNNNNNNNNNNNNNNNNNNNNNNNNNNNNNNNNNNNNNNNNNNNNNNNNNNNNNNNNNNNNNNNNNNNNNNNNNNNNNNNNNNNNNNNNNNNNNNNNNNNNNNNNNNNNNNNNNNNNNNNNNNNNNNNNNNNNNNNNNNNNNNNNNNNNNNNNNNNNNNNNNNNNNNNNNNNNNNNNNNNNNNNNNNNNNNNNNNNNNNNNNNNNNNNNNNNNNNNNNNNNNNNNNNNNNNNNNNNNNNNNNNNNNNNNNNNNNNNNNNNNNNNNNNNNNNNNNNNNNNNNNNNNNNNNNNNNNNNNNNNNNNNNNNNNNNNNNNNNNNNNNNNNNNNNNNNNNNNNNNNNNNNNNNNNNNNNNNNNNNNNNNNNNNNNNNNNNNNNNNNNNNNNNNNNNNNNNNNNNNNNNNNNNNNNNNNNNNNNNNNNNNNNNNNNNNNNNNNNNNNNNNNNNNNNNNNNNNNNNNNNNNNNNNNNNNNNNNNNNNNNNNNNNNNNNNNNNNNNNNNNNNNNNNNNNNNNNNNNNNNNNNNNNNNNNNNNNNNNNNNNNNNNNNNNNNNNNNNNNNNNNNNNNNNNNNNNNNNNNNNNNNNNNNNNNNNNNNNNNNNNNNNNNNNNNNNNNNNNNNNNNNNNNNNNNNNNNNNNNNNNNNNNNNNNNNNNNNNNNNNNNNNNNNNNNNNNNNNNNNNNNNNNNNNNNNNNNNNNNNNNNNNNNNNNNNNNNNNNNNNNNNNNNNNNNNNNNNNNNNNNNNNNNNNNNNNNNNNNNNNNNNNNNNNNNNNNNNNNNNNNNNNNNNNNNNNNNNNNNNNNNNNNNNNNNNNNNNNNNNNNNNNNNNNNNNNNNNNNNNNNNNNNNNNNNNNNNNNNNNNNNNNNNNNNNNNNNNNNNNNNNNNNNNNNNNNNGGUACGGUCUCGCUCAACGACCAACCUGCUUAUGCUUUGUUUGAUUCGGGAGCAACCCAUUCCUUCAUUGCCGAACAAUAUGUUAGGAUGCUAGGAUUGAAUCCUGUAUUGUUAGAAUCGGCAAUUUGCAUAUCUACACCCUUGAAAGAUAAAGUUAUUGCUGCUUUGGGAUGUUCGGGGUGCAAGUUAGAGAUUGGUGAGCGAGUGGGGAAAAUUGACUUGUUAGUCCUAGCCAUGUAUGAUUUUGAUUUGAUAAUUGGCAUGGACUGGCUCACCAAUCAACGAGCUAAAAUGGACUGCUAUCGCAAGGCGAUACAGUUUAACCCAUUAGAGAGUAAGAGUUUCGAGUUUGUCGGAAAUCGAGGAGGACCUUCGAUUUCCUUAAUCUCGUCGCCGGAAGCAACUCGUUUGUUAGACGAGGGUUGCCGAGGCUAUUUAGCGACUGUCGUGGAUACGACAGUUGAAGGGUUGAAAAUGGAAGAUAUUGCAGUGGUACAGGAGUUUCCAGAUGUUUUUCCAAAAGAAUUGCCAGGAUUACCGCUAGAAAGGGAGAUUGAAUUUGUAAUCGAGCUAGCACCAGGGACAGAACCGAUCUCAAAGGCACCGUACCGAAUGGCGUUAUCUGAGUUGAAGGAACUGAAGGUGCAGAUGCAAGAGUUAUUGGAUAAAGGAUUUAUUCGUCCUAGUGCAUCGCCUUGGGGAGCACCAGUUCUGUUUGUUAAGAAGAAAGAUGGUUCGUUGCGUUUGUGCAUCGACUAUCGGCAGCUCAAUCAGGUAACGAUCAAGAACAAGUAUCCAUUGCCGAGAAUAGAUGACUUGUUUGAUCAACUGCAAGGAGCAUCAAUAUUCUCGAAGAUCGACUUGAGGACAGGAUACCAUCAGCUGAGGAUUCGGAAAGAUGAUAUUCCUAAGUCAGCAUUUUGUACCCGGUACGGGCAUUACGAGUUCACAGUGAUGCCGUUUGGAUUGACGAAUGCUCCAGCUGCCUUUAUGGAUUUGAUGAAUAGAGUGUUCAAGGAAUAUCUAGAUCAAUUUGUGAUCGUGUUUAUAGAUGAUAUCCUGGUCUAUUCGAGAAGUAAUGAAGAGCACGAGAAUCAUCUGAGAUUAGUGCUUCAGACCUUAAGAACACAUCAGUUAUAUGCUAAGUUUAGCAAAUGCGAGUUUUGGCUGACUCGUGUUGCGUUCUUAGGUCAUGUGAUUUCCGGAGAAGGAAUCUCCGUCGACCCGAGCAAGAUAGAAGCCGUGAUCAAGUGGCCAAGACCGACAUCAGUGACAGAAAUCAGAAGCUUUCUGGGAUUGGCAAGUUAUUACAGACGGUUUGUGGAAGGUUUCUCAGCAUUAGCGUCACCUUUGACAAAGCUCACGAAGAAAAAUGAGAAAUUUAUAUGGACAGACAAGUGCGAGCGUAGUUUCCAAGAGCUGAAGGAAAAGCUAACUACCGCACCUGUGCUGACGAUUCCAUCUGGUCCUGGAGGAUUCGAGAUCUACAGUGAUGCGUCAUUUAGGGGAUUGGGUUGCGUGUUGAUGCAACAUGGCAGAGUUGUUGCAUACGCUUCCCGGCAGUUGAGACCUCAUGAAUUGAAUUAUCCGACGCAUGACUUAGAACUUGCAGCCAUCAUAUUUGCGUUGAAGAUUUGGAGGCACUACUUGUGUGGGGAAAAGUUUCAGAUCUUCACAGACCAUCAGAGUCUCAAGUAUUUGUUCUCUCAGAAGGAGUUGAACAUGAGACAGCGUCGAUGGAUGGAAUUGUUGAAGGAUUAUGACUGUGAUAUUUUAUAUCACCCGGGAAAGGCAAAUAAGGUUGCCGAUGCAUUGAGUAGGAAGUCUUCAAUAGCGCAAAUCUUGAUUAAGGAGUGGAACUUGAUUGAGAGAGCUCGAGAUUCGGAAUUCAAAUUUGAGGUAGGCCACCUCUCAAGUUUUAUGGCCACCCUCAGAAUUGAACCGGAUGUCCAGGUUAGAAUCAAGCAACUUCAACCGACAGAUCCAGAAGUACAGAAAAUUCUUCAAGAAGAUACCGACAAAAGAAAAGCUGAUUUUCAAGUUUCUGAUGAUGGGGUACUGAGGUUUCGUGGACGUUUGGUUGUACCUAACGAUGUAGAGCUUAGAGAAGAGAUUUUAUCUGAAGCACAUCGUAGCAAUUACAGCGUUCAUCCCGGAAGCACUAAGAUGUAUCAGAAUUUGCGUCAACACUACUGGUGGUCAGGUAUGAAGGCGGACAUCGCCAAGCAUGUGGCCAAGUGUUUGACUUGUCAGCAAGUAAAAGCCCAGCAUUGCAAGCCGGGAGGACUUUUGCAACCUCUCGCGAUCCCAGAGUGGAAAUGGGAGCAUAUCACGAUGGACUUCGUGACUGGACUACCAAGGAGUCAAAGGGGAAAUGAUUCAAUUUGGGUAGUAGUCGACAGGUUGACAAAGUCGGCUCAUUUCAUUGCAGUUCGAAAGGACCUGAGUCUAGAUAGACACGCAGACCUGUAUGUGCGUCAGGUGGUUCGUAUGCAUGGAGUGCCAGUUACGAUAACAUCUGAUAGAGACCCAAGGUUUACUGCUGCUUUUUGGAAGAGCUUACAGAGUGCUUUGGGUACAAAGCUUCAGUACAGUACGGCAUAUCAUCCUCAGACGGAUGGCCAGUCAGAAAGGACGAUUCAGACUCUUGAAGAUAUGCUGAGAGCGUGUGUAAUAGACUUCAAAGGAAGCUGGGAAGAUCAGCUUCAUCUGGUGGAAUUCGCCUACAACAAUAGUUAUCAGCAGAGCAUCAAGAUGGCUCCAUUUGAAGCGUUGUAUGGCAGAGCAUGCAGAACUCCAGUGUGUUGGGAUGAAGUCGGAGAAAGGAAGAUAACAGGCCCAGAGUUGGUUCAGCAAUCAGUAGAUGCCGUGGCAGUGAUCAGAGACAGAUUGAAGACAGCGCAGAGCAGGCAGAAAAGUUAUGCAGAUAAGCGUCGAAGGUCUUUGGAAUUCCAAGUUGGUGAUCACGUUUUUCUAAAAGUGUCACCAAUGAGGGGAACUUCGCGCUUUGGUAAGAAAGGCAAACUGAGUCCGAGGUACGUAGGUCCGUUUGAGAUUCUUGAAAGAAUCGGAAACCUAGCGUAUCGUCUUGCGUUGCCGCCAAGAUUGGCGCAAGUGCAUGACGUCUUUCACGUGUCGAUGUUAAGGAAGUAUGAGCCUGACUCGACCCACGUGCUCAAUUUUGAGGAAUUGGACGUGGAUGACCGUGUGUCAUACGUUGAAAGCCCGGUUCAAAUUGUCGAUCGCAAAGAGCAAGUUCUGCGUACAAAGACCAUUCCGUUGGUCAAAGUGGUCUGGCAACACCACGGUACUGAAGGAGCGACUUGGGAGACUGAAGAAUCGAUGAGACAGUUGUACCCCCACCUUUUUGAGCAAAGUGUAAUGGUUUAAAUUCGAGGACGAAANNNNNNNNNNNNNNNNNNNNNNNNNNNNNNNNNNNNNNNNNNNNNNNNNNNNNNNNNNNNNNNNNNNNNNNNNNNNNNNNNNNNNNNNNNNNNNNNNNNNGAUUGUGAAUCCUGAAUUCGACCCCGUUUCGAUAAAGUGAAAUGGGCAUUUCGUCGGCGUGCCUAUGGCCUUUUUCUCUGAGCUGAUCACUCACGAGUUAACUAACCUAUUGGGUGAAGCCGUUAAGGGAUGUAUCAGCUGUAAAAUCCCUAAAAGCUACCUAAUUGGUUAGAUUGAGCUAAAAUCACGUCCGAUCGAUUUUUAACCACGAAAUUGAACUCGAUUUCGGGAAUCGAAUUUUAAGCGCGUCAUAAUUCUUAUUUUAGGAUCCUGUCUCAUCGCUCGUCAAUUUAUUGACGAGUCCGAAAUUUCAAGAAAGAAAUUAUCGGAAGAAAUAUUGAAGCCCAAAAGAAAAGGAAAAGAGAAAAGGAAAAUUUAAAUAAGGAAUUAUACAUUUCCUUUUCUUUUUCCUCUCUCUCCCUCUCUUUCCUUUUCUUUCUUUUUCUUUUUCUUUCUCUCUCCUCUCCCCUUUUUCCCCUCCCCCUCGUGCGAAUUCCCACCGCUCACUUUCCCUCUCUCCUUCUUUGACCGGUCCAACCCUAUCCUCUCUCUUCUCUCUCCUCUUUCUUCUUCCUUCCCACACACGACAGAACCAGCUCCUAUCUUCUUCUUCUUUCUUCAUGCUCGAGCGAACCAGAAGCUGCAGCUCGCCGAGAACCGCUCGCUGCUCGUCCCGCCGCCGCACCGCCGCACCGCCGCGCCGCGCCCGUGCGCCCGCCGCCGUCCGUGCGCGCUCAGGCCGCGCGAUCCAGCGACCCAGCUGCUGUUCGCUUCUGUUACAGCUUCGUCCAGCCAUCCCCGGCCACCUCCGGCCACCGCCCAACCCCGCCGGACCUCCCCCGCAACCCCCUCGCCCUCCGCCGGCUUUCCCUCGCCGCCCUAGCCGCCGGAGCAAGCCCGAUCGGCUCCGUCCAGCAGACCCACGGAGUGGGUUUCAGCGACUUCGGGCCCACUUUUGGGUCGUUUCCCGGCCCCGAACCCGAGCCGUGCUUUGGGAACAAUCGUUCCUCGCGUCGCCGCCGUCGGAUUGAUCCGAUUUGCGGGCGAUUUGGUGAGUAAUCUCACUAAUCUCGGAUUAGUUGGCUAAUUAUGCUUUAGGUUGGUUUAGUUUUAAUUAAUUAUGUUUAGGUUGUUAGAUUAGAAGUAAUUAGCAAUUAUUAGUCAAUUGUGAUGCGAUUUAGAUAAAUUGAUUGUGCAAUUAACAAGUAGACGUGGUCUACUAUUUAUUGGGAGUGUCUCGGGAAUUUUCGGACCCCUAAUUGGGCUUCAAUUUGGCAAUUCGGGCCUAAGUGAGAUUUUUGGGCAUUUAAAUAUUAAUUUUCGGAAUUAAAUUAAAUAAUUAUUUAUUUUCCGAAAAUUCAAGGGAGAUGGUUCGGAACCGGAAUAUUAUGCUGAUGACCGUGGUGAAGUCUAUUUAUUUAAUCGGGCUUUAUUUUAAGCUAAAUUGAAUUUUUAAUAUUAAUUAUUUAAUUUUAGAAAUUAAUUAAUUAUUUAUUUAUUUCUUGAAAAUUCAACUGAGAUGGCCUGGAACCGGAAAAUUAUGCUGAUGAUCGUGGUGAAGCCCGUUUGUUUAAUUGAGUUUUAGUUUGUGCUAAUUUAAAUUUUUAAUAUUUAUUAAUUAAAUUUCGAAAUUAAUUAAUUAAUUAUUUAUUUUUCGGAAAUUAAGAUUGAGAUGGCCGACGACCGAAAUCUCGUGCCGAUUGUCGUGACGCAGUCCGUUUAUUUAUUUGAGCUUUGAAUUGUGCCAAAUUAAAUCUUGCAAGUGGUCGAGUGGGACCGUAAAGCCAUUAAAUCUUGCAAGUGGUCGAGUGGGACCGUAAAGCCAUUAAAUCUUGCAAGUGGUCGAGUGGGACCGUAAAGCCAUUAAAUCUUGAAAGUGGUCGAGUGGGACCGUAAAGCCAUUAAAUCUUGCAAGUGGUCGAGUGGGACCGUAAAGCCAUUAAAUCUUGCAAGGGGUCGAGUGGGACCGUAAAGCCAUUAAAUCUUGCAAGGGGUCGAGUGGGACCGUAAAGCCAUUAAAUCUUGCAAGUGGUCGAGUGGGACCGUAAAGCCAUUAAAUCUUGCAAGUGGUCGAGUGGGACCGUAAAGCCAUUAAAUAUUGAAUGUUGCUGAGUGGGACUCUGAAUAGCAAUAGUUUGAAUGACCGGGAAAUGGUCAGGUUGACAUGUAAUCGACAAGGUCGAUUGAUCAUUGUUUUGAUUUGAUGUUGUGAAUUGAUUGACUGAAUGGGAAUGACCGUGAGUGGUCUUGUUGACUUGUCAUCGACUAGGUCGAUUUGAUUGAUGCCUUGAUCGGUGAUACGAUUGCUUGAGUGCCUAUUGUGAAUUGUACUGACUUGCAGGUGGGAUCUGAUGCUAAGGUACGUCUUCUGACUUAUGCGUGUUUAGGCAGCCUUAGUAUAAUGGUUCACUAAUCGGGCUUAGUGGGGUAGAACUCGCUGAGACGUAGUCUCAUCCCAGUUUGGGGAAAACCAUUUCAGGACCCCGCUAAGGAGCUGAGGAGGAAGAGUUGGAGAAGGAUUUUGGGAGAAGAAGACAAUCUCGAGAGGGCCCGUGAGUACGGCCUAGAUGGACUGAAAUUUUAUCUUCUUUGAUAUCUCCAUUUUGAUGUGAAUAGAGUUUAGAAUAAAAAAUUGUGAAGUGUUCUGGUUUGUGGUUUGUAUAAAAGUUUGGUUAUAAAUUUUUCAAUAUGAAAAAUAUGGCCCUGCUUUUCUAUCCCAUCGAUUUAUUGUCUGGGGAUUUUUAAUUGCUUCCGCAUGUGCUUAAAAAUGAAAGGGUCGGCGAUACAUUGUCCUGGGAUAUCGCAUUAUAAAAUCGACCAAGUGAGACGGAUGUGUGCGUGCCUGAGGAUCGGGGCGUGACACUGUAAGGAGCUCCGGUCGCUGCCAGAGCUUCCUUCGGGCUUAACAUGUCUGUCGGUUACUUGUCAGAGUCUUGGACUGCCACAGCUCCUUCGCCUCAUCCACCUAGAAGAACUCAAUCUUGAGGUACCCCAUUUACUUGAAGACAUCCGCGACCUUUCUUCAAUAACAUUGAAACUCUGUUUUGAGGAGUGGGAUAAGCUGAUAUCACUUUCGCUCUACGAACACAUGCACCUGGAAGAGCUUUCAAUAAAAAAGUGCAGGUCCAUCAAUAGGUCGACCCUUUCACAAUUGAUUCAUCUGAGACGAUUACGCAUUGAGCAUUGCAAUAGUCUAUUUGAAAUUUCAAGAUUUAUAAAUUUGGAGUCCUUGGAGGUCAUAUUUUUAUAUGAUUGCAAUUCCAUUAGAAGGCUUUUCUGUCCAAAAUCAGAGUGUUUGAAGAAAUUAGUGGUAGUUGGGUGCGACAAUCUAGUCGAAAUUCAAUGUCUUGAGAAUGUGAAUCUCGUAGUAGAGUUGGAUUUUACAGGAUGCAAAUCAAUGGAGACUUUGCCAGAUUUGAUAGGAUGUGUGAAGUUAUGAUCUCUAAGAGUUCGAGGCUGCAAGAAACUUACACGGCUUCAGGGACUUGAAAAGUUGAAUUUAGUUGAUUUGGAUAUUUCUGGUUGUGACUCCUUGGAAGCAACACCGAACUUAUUUGGAACUCGCAUCUUUAGAAAUUAUGAACAAGAGCUGUCUUUUGAUUCAUGGAGUGAUGUUUCCUGAAUAGAGGUAAAUAAGCGGUGAACAAUCAUUUUUUGUCUGAGAUUCAUGACCUACUUUUGAUCACUUUUUUUGACAAGGAGGUUUUCUAUGACAGGGUUCUGUACUAUCCUAAAUUGCUAGUCUUACAUAAUUGAAGGAGUGGGGCAGUUGGUUGUAGAAGCUGAGAUGAUGCUUUAGCGAAGAUCAAAAUGCAGACCCUAAUGUCAAUAGAAGGCAUAGAGGCUGAUGAACUUCUGCUACUCAUUAUUGUAUACUACGCCUAGAAUUUCCCAACGUCCAAUGUUCAUAUUUUCUUUGAAAAACCAUUUUGAGUUACUUUGUAUGUUCUUUUAUAUGUCAAAUUUGACUAAUGGUAGAUAUCGUGUUUGGGACAAACGCCUUUCGAUUUUCCAUAAUGCAUGAAACCCCUGUCAAGUUUCUUACUGUUCCCUUGAUGUCCCUCAUUAACCUUCUAAGAAGAGCAUAACUUCUCGGAAUAUGAUGAACUGAGCUAAAAUAAAAUUCAAGGUUCAAGUGUUUCUGUUUGGUGACCAAAAAAAAAAGAGUAGUUUUGGCUAGUCUGUCAUAUAUGAAUGUAGACCACCUUAACAUUAUUAGUAGCUGAACUGUUGUUUUGAAGGAUUAUCAAGCAAGGUAAACUGGUGUUGCUUCUAUGACAUGUUUGGUUGGUCUAUGCGACGAUCUAGGCUUACUUUGGGACUUCAAUUCAAUUAAUUGCAUCAAUGACCUUUUGCAUUAUUGGACAAUUUUUUGCCUGUCUGUGAAACAAGCUGGGAUGCGGAGCUCAAGAAUCUGCUAAUUAGUUUGCAUCCCGUUUGAUCCUAUUGUUGUCAUGGAAUUGCUUUAUGGCAUGACUGAUUUGGGCAUGGCUAACUGUGCUGAGGAACUUCAAAUUCCAUACCUGAGGCUGAUCAAAAUAAAGAAAAGGGAUUUUUCAGAGGAAGCUACCGCGACAACUGAGGACCAUCUUGCGUGCCAACCUUGAAGAUGCUCUGGGGCUGACUGGAGUGUUACAAGGAAGUUUUGAUGCUUCUGAAUAUUCAAACACUUGAUCUGAUCUCGACGUCACAUCCCUGAAUGAUUCUAAAUGUAUUUUUUUUUUCAAUUAAAUAUUCUUUGUAUGCUCAUCAGGUUCUAGCUCUCAUUUAAUCAAAUACUAAGCUGCUGAUUUUUUGUAUGUUACCCAAAUGCAGAGUUGUCCGAUGCGGUUACAUUCUAAUGGUAUCACUCCCGAAUUGAUAAGGCUUUGUAGAGGGAGGUAUGCACUGCUAGGCUCCUCCAUUUUUAUCAGUUUAUUUGUGUGAUGAUAUCCUUUGAAUGUUGUCAUAUAGGUUUCUGAUUUGAUAAGAUCAAUUUUCAUGUAUGCAACAUUGGAUCUGUAAAGUUGAAAUUAACCUCCUCACAAGCUAAUCCUGUAUUGCUGAUAUUGCUAUCUGGAUCUUGCAAUAUAACCCAGUAGCAAAUAAAUUUUUAUGUUCUGUAGUUUAGGCACUAAUCCUUUCAGCAUAAUUUUAUUAAUUUCAAUUCUGUUCCUAAACACAAAAAGGAAAAGUGUUGCUAAUUGCUUACUCCUUUUAUGCCUGUUGGUUUCUUUUUCAUCGGCCAUCUAAUAAAGUCUCUGUUCAUUGUGGUCCAACUCUGGUAUUGAUAUUUACGCAUUUGUACCUUAUCUCUCAUGGGGUAAAUUCUGAUGCUACGAUCUUGGAUUUAUUGAUAAUUAGUUAGUGCUAUCUUCCUUGUGCAGACUAAAGCUGCAUUUGAUGAAACUUGGAGAAAGUCCCCAGACACCAUGGGUUGAAGAUACGGGCAAGAAUGAGCUAUGUGAGUAUAGAAAGGCAUUUUGGAGUUUUUUGCUAUUGGCGUUUGUCAUUGGCUCUGUGUUGUUAUUACUCUUCAAAGGAUUCUUGAUAUAAGGCGACCUCUUCUCAUGUGGUGUAUUAGUCCUUCGCAAGCUUUGAAAUUGUGCUACUCUUUAGCAAAGGCUGCAUCACAAAUCGCUUGGAGGUAGCAACGGCUGCAUCAUAAAUCACUUGGAGGAAGACCGCACGUGUAGAUGGUUCUACAUGUGGAGUCAAGCUUAAAAUGAGAGUUGUUGACAAGAUUACCAUUUAGAUGUCCACUUUAAGCUACAGUUUUGUGACUGGGAGGGACUUUUUUUGUGGAAAAAGCAAAUGCCAAGAGAUCAGCAAAUAAUCUGUAAAUUGCAGCCAAGAGUUUCAAUGAACAGCUUUCCAAGAAGACAGGAGUUUCCCAUUUGGAAGAAUUUUGAACACAAAAGAAUGGCAUUCAUUAGUGUAAAAUCAUCUCUCUGGUCUGGUUAUGUCGGAAUAUUCAUAUGUAGGCAUUUUGCAAUCACUUUGGCGGUAUAAUCUCAAACUUGAUUUGUUUAAGCAUGAAUCUAAAAGCAGAAGAGACACAGCCAUGUACAUUUUCAUACCUAAAAUCAAGUAGAGAGACUAGUUCGUUCUUGAAGAGCAGCAUUACUUUCUCCUUUGAGAUUCUCUUAGGUGGACGCAUGGAGCUCAUGUCGCUCGGAGUCGCACCUCCACGGUUGUUUUUAGCGUUUCCACCUCUAAAACCAGGUCUCUCUCUCUCUCUCUCUCUCUCUCUCUCUCUCUCUAUGGAUUUGUUCUUGUACACUUAUGUCAGUCUGAUCAAGCACUGGGUUCUAAAGUGAAGUAUAGAGUUGUUUUAUGCAAUUCUCUAUCAAAAGUUUGUCUGAGUCUCUAGUGUGGAUGGAGUUUAUGUGGGCUCUAUUUCUUGAACGAGAAUUGAUGUAGAAAAAAUAGUUUUUUCUAUUCUUCUUUCGAGUUCUUCCUGCAAUAAAAGCUAGUGGCAUUGAUUAUCUGACGCCAUCUUGAUUUGAGGUUUCUCUUUGAAUGUGGUGUUAAAUGACAAAGAAAGAAUCGGUGGUUCACGUGAAAAUGGCUAUUUGAGUUGUUUGGAAAGGAAGGAAGCUAUUGGUAGUAGCUAUAACUUAGUGUGUUUAUUGCAGAGGAGGAGGGGAAAGCAAAGAAGAUAAGAUCAAAACAGGAUGGGAGAAUGUGUGUCUCAGUGUUUGGUUGGUUCACCAAGUUGAAAUUGGGGAGAGCAUGGCAAUCUUAGUAGCCACAAGAGAAUUUGGGAUCUUGGAUGAAGAAUGUGGCAACAGACUGGACCAAGAGCAGAUUGUUACAUGAGUUAGAACUGAAAAGAGGUGAAUCUGUCAAAUUAGAAGAACUUAUGUUAGAUUUUGCUGAUAUUACUGAGAUUCCUACGUCUAUCGGUUAUCUGAUGAAGUUGGAGAAAUUGAGUGCCUGCUGUUGUGAGUCACUCAGAGAAAUCCUAGCUUAAUUUGAGAUUUGCUGAAUAUGCAACAUUUGGACAUUAGUGAUCCUGGGAUUGAAAAGCUUCCUAGUGCUAUUGGAAGGUGUUGAAAAAUCUGCACACUAUAAGUCUCCUAUCAUGCCUUGUCUGAAAAAGCAAUUCCAAGUGAAAUCGGCGACUUGUCUUCACUCGAGAUUCUCUAUAUCACUUGUGCCGCUAUCUACCCUGCCAGAAAGCAUUCGGAAUGUUUCUUCUCUCCAAUGCCUUAGCCUAAUGGGCUAUGACAAGCUCCGGUUGCUGCCAGAGCUUCCUUCAAGCUUGACAUAUCUGUUGAUCUCUUGUCAGAGUCCCAGGUUGCCACAGCUUUCUAGCCUAAUUCACCCAUAAAAACUCCAUUUUAAGGCAUGCCAUCUAGUUGAAGACAUCCAUGAGAUUUCCUCAAGACCCUUGAAAUUCUGUAUUGAGGAGUGUGAUAAGCUGAUAUUGGUUAAGCUCAACAGAUUCAAGUACUUGGAAGAGUUUUGAUAUAAAAAAAAAAAAAAAAGUGCAGUUUGAUUGAAAGAUUGGCCCUUUCACAAUUAAUCCAUCUGAAAUGAUUAUGCACCAAGCAUUGCGAUAACCUAGUUGAAGUUCAGACCCAUGAUGAUUUGGAGUUCUUGGAGGGCAUAUUUAUACAUGACUGCAAUUCCAUUAAAAGGCUUCUCUGUCCAAAAUCAUGGUGUUUGGAGUAAUUACAGACCAUCAGGUGCAACAAUCUAGUCGAAAAUUGAGGUUUUGACAGUGUGUAGUUCUUAGAAAAAUUGGAUAUUACAAGAUGCAUGACAAUGGAGGCUUUGCCAAGUUUGACGGGAUGUGAGAAGUUACAAUCUCUAGUAAUUAAAGACUGAGAGAAACUUACUCAGCUUCAGGGACUUAAAAAGAUGGAUUUAGAUCUUUUGGAUGUUCAAGGUUGCAACUCAAUUGGAAAUGCUACUGAAAUUAUCUAGAACAUGCGUCACUGGAAAUUAUGAAGAGAUCUAUCUUGAUCUCUUUGUUGAAAUAUUAUACUACAGUGAUAGUGAUGUGAUGAAUCUUAUACCUGUAUUACAACAGUGAGACGAGUCAUGUUUCCUUGACAGAGAUAAAUAAGUAGUAAGCUAUCAUUUUUCUUCUAAUAUUCAUGACCUACUUUUCAUCACUAUCUUCUUUUGACAAGAUGGUUUUCCAUGACAGGGUUCUGACUUCCCUAAAUUGCCAGUAUUACAUAAUUGAAGGAGCAAGGGUAGUUGGUCAUAGAAGCUGACAUGAUGCUUCGGCCAAGAUCAUAAUAUAGACCCUAAUGUCAAUAGAAGGCACUGGUUAUCUAGUAAGAUUCUCCAUCCUUGAAUGGCCAGCGUGAGGGAAUGGAGUAACACUUUUCUUGAAGCUAUAUUUUUUAAGAAUGAUUUGCUCCGCACCGGGUAUCUAUUUGAUUGAUUUUGGAGACUCUGGAUUUGCUAACAUAUACUUGCUGUUGAAUACGGUAUAGCAAUGUUUUUCAUUUAUCCUUCCAUUGGCAGCUUUUGUAGACUGCAAACAGAUUAGUGAUUUGUGAGGCAAGACUGAAUAUCAACAUAGUUAGACAAGAAUCACCUAGUGAUUAACAGUUUCCCUCUCUGUAAACUUGGGAUUUGAAUUUUUCAUCUAGAGACCGAUGAUCUUCUGGUACUCAAUAUUGUAAACUAUGGCAAGUAUCCAUUUUCCCUAUGUUCAAAAUUCAUAUUUUCUUUGAAAAAAUCCUUGGCCAUUUUGAGUUCCUUUGUGAGUUCUUCUAUGUGUCAAAUUUGACCAAUGGCAGAUACCCCAUUGGGGAUUAACACAUUUUGAUUUUCUGUGAUGAACCCUAUCAGGUUUCUUAUUGUUCCCUUGAUUUUCCUCUUGAAUCUUCUAGAUAAGUAUCAAUUCCAGUAAGUAUAAAGAACUGAGCUAAAAUAAAAAUCAAAGUUCAAGUAUUUCUGGUUGGUGAUAAAAUAAAAAAAUGGAGAGUAUUUUUGGCUAGUCUUUCAUGUGUGAUUCUAGACUGCCUAUUCUUAACCUGCAGUCAAAUUAUUAUUUUGAAAGAUUAUCAAGCAAGGUAAAUUGGUACUGCUUCUACGACAGGUCUGGUUGGUCUAUAGGAUGAUCAAGGCUUACUUUGGGACUUAAAUUUGAUGAGCUUUAUCAAUGAUCUUUUGCAUAAUCUGGACAAAUUUUUUGCCCAAUCUGUGAAACAAGCGGGGGCAAGGAGCUCAAGAACUUGCUAAUGAGUCUGCAUCCCAUCUGAUCCUAUUGUUGUCAUGGAAUCGUUUUAUCACAUGAUUAAUCUGAGUCUGGCUAACUUGGCUGAGGAACUUCAAAUUCCAUGCCAAAGACUGAUCAAAAUGAAGAGGAUAUAUUUUGCAAAGGAAGCACCAGCAACAGCUGAGGACCAUCUUUUGUGCCAACGUUGAAGAGGCUCAUGGACCAACUGGAGUGUGUUUAGGAAGUUUUGAUGCUUGUGAGGAUCCAAAACACUUCAUCUGAUCUCAACAGCACAUGCUUGAAUGAUUUAAAUGUUGUAUUUCCAGUUGAGUCUGCUUUUUGUAUGCACUCGAGGUUCAACCUCUCUGUCAAUCAAAUGUGUAGCUGGCUGAUUCUUUUGUAUGUCAUCCUGAUGCAGAGGUGUUUGCUGCCAUUGCAUUCUAAUGUAAUCACACCUGAACUCAGUGAGGCUCUGCAGAGGGAGGUAUGCACUACUAGUCAUACCAUGACAAUGAAAAAAUAACCUGUGUGCUUAUACUAUAUGAGCUAUGGAAUUUCACCUGAAAAUCAGUAAGCAAGUAUGCAUGAGGACAAUGUCCUCCAUUUCUAUCAGUUUAUCAAUGCAAUACUAUCCAUUGAAUGUUGUCAUAUAGGAUUCUGAUUUUUUUUUUUUCAAUUUGAUAAGCUCAGUUCUCAUGCGACGUCGACUUUGUAAAGUUGAAAUUCACCUCCUAGCAAAUUUUAUUGCACCGCUGAUUUUGUUGAUGGGAUAUUGCGAAAUAACCAUGUAACAAAUUCAUCUUUCUGUUCUGCAGUCUGAGCACCUCAUCUUCUCAGCAUAAUUUUAUUAACAAGGAAAGUGUUGCUAGUUGCUUUCGUCUCCAAAGCCUGCUAUUUUCUUUUUCAUUGGCCAGCUGAUGAGUUCUCUGUUCAUUGCUGUCCAACUGCAAUUGGGGCAAAUGAUGCUUUGUGCAUUUGUACCUUGUCUUUUACGGUGUAUAUUGUGAUGCUCCGAUCUUAGUUAUCUUCAUUCAUUGAUAAUUAGUAAAUUCUAUCCUUCUUGUGUAGAUUUAACCUGCAUUUCAUAAAAUGUAGAUAACAUCCCCAAACAUCACAGGAAGGAGAUGUGGGCAAGAAUGAGGUGUGUCAUGAGGUGUUACGGAAAGGCGUUCCAAAGUUCUUCGCCAUUGGUGCUUAUAAUGUGCUCCAUGUUGUUAAUAUUCUUCAAGGAUUCAUGAUAUAAAGGGACCUCUUAUAAUGUGUAGUAGUCCUUUGCAAGCUUUGAAAUCGUGCUAAUAAUGCCGAAUUUUCAAAAUGCUUUGAAGAGGACCGCAUAUGUACAGGUGGUUCUGUACGUGAAGUUAAGCAUAUGGCGAGGUUUAUCAAAAAGAUUACUGUUUAGAUGUCCACUUCAAGCUACGAUUUUUGUCAAUGUGGAAGACAUCUUCAUGGAAAAAGCGAAUGUCAUGGAAUCACCAAAUAAUCUAUCAAUUGCAGGCAAGAUUUUCAGCAAAACGAUUCCCAAAAGAAAGUACUUUCUCAUUUGGAAGAAUUUUGAGCACAAAAUAAGUGUUUCAUCAAUAUACGAUCAUCUCUGAGCCUCGGGAAGUUCAUGUAUCGGCGUUUUGCAAUCACUUGUAAGAGUAUAAUCUCAAACUCGAUUCCUUUAAGCAGGAAUCUAUAAAGCAGAGUAUACACAGCCGUACAUUUUCCAUACCUGGAACCAAAUUUUCUUUGGCAUUGGCUACAAUUGAACUGGAUAAAAAUGUCAAGAAUAAUCUCUGGAAAGGUGAAAGUAUCUCCUCCCAAUGCUUAUACUCAUUUGGUUUGGACAAAAACACUGGAGGGGUCAUCUAAUUAAUUAGUACUCGGACUAUACUACACCAAAUUGUGGUCAUUAGUCAUCAUUCAAGUUUAAAUCGAAGCAAUUUCUUUGGAGCCACUCUCAGAUGUUCCUCUUUAUCAUACGACAUUACAAUUGUGGAACUUUAGUAGUUGAAAGCUACUCGCAUCAUAGAGUCUGAUUCGCUCGUUGUCUAGCUGAACUUUAAGUUAAUACUUUCUGGAGCUAAAGAUAAGGCCAAGUAACUUUAAGUCAAUACUUUCUGGAACCUUUGUUUGAUACAAGCCUUGAACUUGCCUCGACCGAAUAAAGCUUGUAUCUGGCCAGCCUCCUCUUCCUCUGCUUCUCGGGGUCAUUCCACCACGACACUUUUAUCGACUUCUAAAAUGUAAGAAAUAGGCAAAGCCAAAGUCCAUUUUGACUUCCGACAUCAGGUUUGUCUAUUUCCAUCCCAGAGACGAUGGUAGCACAUACAAUCUGGACCUCUCUAGUAUACCAUUUCUUUUGAACAGCUACUCCUUGACGGGCUACCAAUCCAGCAUGAUUGUACACCAUCUUUAUACGUCACUUCUCUUGUGACAUCAACACAUUCACUCUUCAAAAGGCCAUGUACUAUGCCACAAAAAUUAGCAAAACAAUUCUUUAGCAGCUCUCCAAGCUGCUUCAGUGGUUCAUUGGUCUUAGCUAUGACCUCAUACUUUAGAUUUAGUCUGUCAAAGUUCGUGUCAGAACAAGAGCAUAGGGAACCCCAAGAGCCUUUAGGAUAUCCUGUAAUGGACAUGUAAUUUAAUCAGAAUAGACAGAUUAUUUCAACAUAAUCAGGCGAUUAAUAUGUAAUUCAAGUACCUCACGAACUGACUGAGUGGUAGUUGCAGUUAAAGCCAUCACUGGGACAUUCGGAAAGUUCUGCUCGAGACAUCCCAGUCCCCCGUAAUCUGGACAAAAUGUCCUAUAGACUACAAUAAUGACAACCACGAAAGUGACAACCAAUGAGCUUUCUACGUUAAUCAGUCAAAUGUACAAGAAAAGCUCAAACCAGCAGUAUGUUCCUUUCAUGAGAUCAAACUGGCAGAGCAAAUCCAUUUAAAACCUUGUAAGAAACACAAUCAAUGAUCACAUGGUUGAACCUUUGCCUUUCUCAAGUCGUUAACGUUAAGUAUAAGCAUUAAUAGAAUAAACAGGGACACAAGAACCAGCUUAAGAGACUGAGUAUCAUGCCAAACAUAGAGAGGAGAAUUGAUCAUUAUCCAAGCUUAUGCCGAUUCCAAUUAGUCUAGGAAGUGAUUUCUAUUGGAGCUUAUUUAAGUUGUGUGCUCUUUACUCAAUAUAAUGAACAAUGUGCUGCUAAGUGUACCCAAACAAUGGAACCUAAAUCUUUUCAUCAAACAUGGAACACUGAAUUCUGUUAUAUUAGAACUUCACAGGGUUCUGGGCUUCAGUAGGUCUAGUGUAACAUUGAUAACUCAAUUAGGCUAGGAACAUAGAAAAAUGCAGAGAAGUUUGGAAAAAGAGUUUAAGUUAGCAUACAUAAAAGUUAGUUUGCUUAUAUUUAUCUAGAACAAGGACAACAGUUUUACAGUGAAAUCACAAAUAAUUAUUCCUUUUGAAGUAAUUCUAGCAUGAUCUUUCUCAUGUACAAGGCAUGCCAAAGAUUAUGCAUACCUCACGCAAUGUGCCUCAUCAGUAAGAAAACCAGCUAGUAGUGCCUGCAAUGCAUGAUGGUCAAAUAUAAAAUAUUUACAAACCUUUUAGAAAAAGUUAUGGUGCAUCAGAAACAAUGCUUUUCUAUGUCAAUAUCUCAAGAAAUGAUGGGUUUCCCACGAUACUUUCAGGAGUUACAUACAAUAGCUUACACAAAGGUUUAUCUUUUCUGAAAAGGCAAGUGAAGCAGAAGCGGAGAUCAUUAAUUUGACAGUCACAAUGCUCAGCAUAAAUCACAAGCGUUCGUUUACGCAAAACAUUCCUUUCAAUGAUGCUGGAUUGCUAAUCCACACUUUGAUGAUCUGCUAUACUCUCAAAAGUAUUUGAGAAAUAUAGGAAUUUGUAAAUCAUCCAAACUGAAAUCAACUUCUUUAUUGACCAAAGUGUUCUAAUAUGUCAUUUUGGAUCUUGAAGAGUGUGGAAGCAAUUGGCAAAAGUUAUGACUCUCUAUUGGAUAUUUGAUUGGAUGAGAGGCCCCAUAAGCAAUUUACUAAAUGCUUUCGGACAUGUACAAUGGUAGGUCCUGUGCUGUGUGCAGAAUCACAAGCAAAUUGGAAAUGAUCAAGCAGAGAAAAAAUUAUAAGAGAAAAGAAUAGUGAAACAUUGAUUUAAGUGGUUUGGCAGCAUUGUCUAUGUCCAUGGAAGAAGCAUACCGUGGAUUCUAAAGAUCAUCUGGCCAGAAUUUGAGAGUUCUGCUUUGGUUAGGAACAUAGCACGUGGAUUUCCUACCUAUUUUAUUACCCAAAACAUCAUCUUCGUCUUCACUGUCAGUAGAGGAAUCCACCUCAAGGAAAGUUUGAUUUUUCACAGGUUGUGGAGAAUCUUCUAUAAUAUGGACAUCUUGUAUAACAUUGCAGUCACCGUCAUUACGGAUAUCUUAGCCAAACAUAUCAGUCAAAACUCCACAAGCUUCUGAUCUGCAGCUUGCAAAUCAUCCCAAUCCUCAGAGUCUUGCAUGGUUUUGACAAGUUCUGCUAGGAAGACAUUGCCACAGUGAUAAACUCUUGACCUUCGUCACCUUAACAGAACUAAAAGAAGAAAGAGAUGAAUUUGCAGAGCCAUGGCAAACAAGAGAUCAAAUAUAUACUAUCUACAAUAAGUAUUCUACACUUAGUUCAGUGCAACACAAUAUUGGUAUUAUCGCAAGACACCCAUAAGCAAUUUGCAAUGAAUUUAGAAAAAAAGCCAGACGGUUUGCUUGUCAAUAGGACUACUCCACCAAACCCACAAAGAAACAGGGGAUGAGAUUAACGCUCAACAAACCAAACUCCGGUCCAUUCAAAUCCAAAGUAGACUAUUAUUCCAGAGCCAUCGCCAGAAUGACUAAACGCAAUGAAUCUCCUUAAUUAAGAAUAUGCACAUUCAAUCAAAUGCACAAAUUAUCCGCGCAACACAAGCAAUUAAAGUCAUUCCCCCGAUGACCAGAUAUCACACAAUUUGGCCCAAUAAUCAAGAAAAAAACCACCGUCAUCCGAAGUAACCUAAGCACAUCAAGCUGGACCAGUGCCGGACAUUUUGCUCGUCAGUAGGACUGCUACUUCACUAAACCCGCUCCGAUCCAUUCAGACCUAAAGCAAGACCCUUCUACUGCCAUCAACAUCGUGGGGACGAGAGCUACCUACGCAAUCUCUGAAAAUGCUUAUUAGCAUAAAAAGCGCGUGACGAAAUAACGAUUCGAGUUACCGUAGAGAGCGAAACGAGACGGUCCAGGCACUUGCUGGUGGACUGCUCGUCGAAGCCGAACUCAAGAGCCGAGCUCAGCAACCGAGCUUUCUCUACCUCCGAGCCCUGCUCCCUCCACGGAAUGUUCAACCUGUCCGAGCGGUUCGAGCGAUUGAUGGUGGCCGAGUUGGAAUCGGAUCGAAUCGAUCCAUAGUCUCGAAUCGAAUUCGAGCGAGCUCGGAGAAUGGGGGAGAUCGGAGCCUUACAGUUCUUUUUUUGACAAUUCCGUUUUCGCCCCUGAAGUUUGUUUAAGUUCUAUUUUUGCUCCCCCUCUUCUAAGUUUUUUCUGGUUUCAUUCGACCCCCUCGGGCUCGUUUGGUGUGAAGGCUCCCUUGGCAAACGCGAGACUUGCAUGGGGUACUAGAAGUUUUAGGGUGCGUUUGGCUGGCACCUAUUCUGUUCCCAGGAACAGAAAUUUCUGUUUUUUUGUUCCUGGGACAAAAAGGACAGAAACGCGUUUGGUGCGUUUAUGUCUUUUUGUCUUUGUCCAGGACAAAANNNNNNNNNNNNNNNNNNNNNNNNNNNNNNNNNNNNNNNNNNNNNNNNNNNNNNNNNNNNNNNNNNNNNNNNNNNNNNNNNNNNNNNNNNNNNNNNNNNNNNNNNNNNNNNNNNNNNNNNNNNNNNNNNNNNNNNNNNNNNNNNNNNNNNNNNNNNNNNNNNNNNNNNNNNNNNNNNNNNNNNNNNNNNNNNNNNNNNNNNNNNNNNNNNNNNNNNNNNNNNNNNNNNNNNNNNNNNNNNNNNNNNNNNNNNNNNNNNNNNNNNNNNNNNNNNNNNNNNNNNNNNNNNNNNNNNNNNNNNNNNNNNNNNNNNNNNNNNNNNNNNNNNNNNNNNNNNNNNNNNNNNNNNNNNNNNNNNNNNNNNNNNNNNNNNNNNNNNNNNNNNNNNNNNNNNNNNNNNNNNNNNNNNNNNNNNNNNNNNNNNNNNNNNNNNNNNNNNNNNNNNNNNNNNNNNNNNNNNNNNNNNNNNNNNNNNNNNNNNNNNNNNNNNNNNNNNNNNNNNNNNNNNNNNNNNNNNNNNNNNNNNNNNNNNNNNNNNNNNNNNNNNNNNNNNNNNNNNNNNNNNNNNNNNNNNNNNNNNNNNNNNNNNNNNNNNNNNNNNNNNNNNNNNNNNNNNNNNNNNNNNNNNNNNNNNNNNNNNNNNNNNNNNNNNNNNNNNNNNNNNNNNNNNNNNNNNNNNNNNNNNNNNNNNNNNNNNNNNNNNNNNNNNNNNNNNNNNNNNNNNNNNNNNNNNNNNNNNNNNNNNNNNNNNNNNNNNNNNNNNNNNNNNNNNNNNNNNNNNNNNNNNNNNNNNNNNNNNNNNNNNNNNNNNNNNNNNNNNNNNNNNNNNNNNNNNNNNNNNNNNNNNNNNNNNNNNNNNNNNNNNNNNNNNNNNNNNNNNNNNNNNNNNNNNNNNNNNNNNNNNNNNNNNNNNNNNNNNNNNNNNNNNNNNNNNNNNNNNNNNNNNNNNNNNNNNNNNNNNNNNNNNNNNNNNNNNNNNNNNNNNNNNNNNNNNNNNNNNNNNNNNNNNNNNNNNNNNNNNNNNNNNNNNNNNNNNNNNNNNNNNNNNNNNNNNNNNNNNNNNNNNNNNNNNNNNNNNNNNNNNNNNNNNNNNNNNNNNNNNNNNNNNNNNNNNNNNNNNNNNNNNNNNNNNNNNNNNNNNNNNNNNNNNNNNNNNNNNNNNNNNNNNNNNNNNNNNNNNNNNNNNNNNNNNNNNNNNNNNNNNNNNNNNNNNNNNNNNNNNNNNNNNNNNNNNNNNNNNNNNNNNNNNNNNNNNNNNNNNNNNNNNNNNNNNNNNNNNNNNNNNNNNNNNNNNNNNNNNNNNNNNNNNNNNNNNNNNNNNNNNNNNNNNNNNNNNNNNNNNNNNNNNNNNNNNNNNNNNNNNNNNNNNNNNNNNNNNNNNNNNNNNNNNNNNNNNNNNNNNNNNNNNNNNNNNNNNNNNNNNNNNNNNNNNNNNNNNNNNNNNNNNNNNNNNNNNNNNNNNNNNNNNNNNNNNNNNNNNNNNNNNNNNNNNNNNNNNNNNNNNNNNNNNNNNNNNNNNNNNNNNNNNNNNNNNNNNNNNNNNNNNNNNNNNNNNNNNNNNNNNNNNNNNNNNNNNNNNNNNNNNNNNNNNNNNNNNNNNNNNNNNNNNNNNNNNNNNNNNNNNNNNNNNNNNNNNNNNNNNNNNNNNNNNNNNNNNNNNNNNNNNNNNNNNNNNNNNNNNNNNNNNNNNNNNNNNNNNNNNNNNNNNNNNNNNNNNNNNNNNNNNNNNNNNNNNNNNNNNNNNNNNNNNNNNNNNNNNNNNNNNNNNNNNNNNNNNNNNNNNNNNNNNNNNNNNNNNNNNNNNNNNNNNNNNNNNNNNNNNNNNNNNNNNNNNNNNNNNNNNNNNNNNNNNNNNNNNNNNNNNNNNNNNNNNNNNNNNNNNNNNNNNNNNNNNNNNNNNNNNNNNNNNNNNNNNNNNNNNNNNNNNNNNNNNNNNNNNNNNNNNNNNNNNNNNNNNNNNNNNNNNNNNNNNNNNNNNNNNNNNNNNNNNNNNNNNNNNNNNNNNNNNNNNNNNNNNNNNNNNNNNNNNNNNNNNNNNNNNNNNNNNNNNNNNNNNNNNNNNNNNNNNNNNNNNNNNNNNNNNNNNNNNNNNNNNNNNNNNNNNNNNNNNNNNNNNNNNNNNNNNNNNNNNNNNNNNNNNNNNNNNNNNNNNNNNNNNNNNNNNNNNNNNNNNNNNNNNNNNNNNNNNNNNNNNNNNNNNNNNNNNNNNNNNNNNNNNNNNNNNNNNNNNNNNNNNNNNNNNNNNNNNNNNNNNNNNNNNNNNNNNNNNNNNNNNNNNNNNNNNNNNNNNNNNNNNNNNNNNNNNNNNNNNNNNNNNNNNNNNNNNNNNNNNNNNNNNNNNNNNNNNNNNNNNNNNNNNNNNNNNNNNNNNNNNNNNNNNNNNNNNNNNNNNNNNNNNNNNNNNNNNNNNNNNNNNNNNNNNNNNNNNNNNNNNNNNNNNNNNNNNNNNNNNNNNNNNNNNNNNNNNNNNNNNNNNNNNNNNNNNNNNNNNNNNNNNNNNNNNNNNNNNNNNNNNNNNNNNNNNNNNNNNNNNNNNNNNNNNNNNNNNNNNNNNNNNNNNNNNNNNNNNNNNNNNNNNNNNNNNNNNNNNNNNNNNNNNNNNNNNNNNNNNNNNNNNNNNNNNNNNNNNNNNNNNNNNNNNNNNNNNNNNNNNNNNNNNNNNNNNNNNNNNNNNNNNNNNNNNNNNNNNNNNNNNNNNNNNNNNNNNNNNNNNNNNNNNNNNNNNNNNNNNNNNNNNNNNNNNNNNNNNNNNNNNNNNNNNNNNNNNNNNNNNNNNNNNNNNNNNNNNNNNNNNNNNNNNNNNNNNNNNNNNNNNNNNNNNNNNNNNNNNNNNNNNNNNNNNNNNNNNNNNNNNNNNNNNNNNNNNNNNNNNNNNNNNNNNNNNNNNNNNNNNNNNNNNNNNNNNNNNNNNNNNNNNNNNNNNNNNNNNNNNNNNNNNNNNNNNNNNNNNNNNNNNNNNNNNNNNNNNNNNNNNNNNNNNNNNNNNNNNNNNNNNNNNNNNNNNNNNNNNNNNNNNNNNNNNNNNNNNNNNNNNNNNNNNNNNNNNNNNNNNNNNNNNNNNNNNNNNNNNNNNNNNNNNNNNNNNNNNNNNNNNNNNNNNNNNNNNNNNNNNNNNNNNNNNNNNNNNNNNNNNNNNNNNNNNNNNNNNNNNNNNNNNNNNNNNNNNNNNNNNNNNNNNNNNNNNNNNNNNNNNNNNNNNNNNNNNNNNNNNNNNNNNNNNNNNNNNNNNNNNNNNNNNNNNNNNNNNNNNNNNNNNNNNNNNNNNNNNNNNNNNNNNNNNNNNNNNNNNNNNNNNNNNNNNNNNNNNNNNNNNNNNNNNNNNNNNNNNNNNNNNNNNNNNNNNNNNNNNNNNNNNNNNNNNNNNNNNNNNNNNNNNNNNNNNNNNNNNNNNNNNNNNNNNNNNNNNNNNNNNNNNNNNNNNNNNNNNNNNNNNNNNNNNNNNNNNNNNNNNNNNNNNNNNNNNNNNNNNNNNNNNNNNNNNNNNNNNNNNNNNNNNNNNNNNNNNNNNNNNNNNNNNNNNNNNNNNNNNNNNNNNNNNNNNNNNNNNNNNNNNNNNNNNNNNNNNNNNNNNNNNNNNNNNNNNNNNNNNNNNNNNNNNNNNNNNNNNNNNNNNNNNNNNNNNNNNNNNNNNNNNNNNNNNGACCGGCCAAAAGAAGAAAAAAGAAAAAAGGAAAAAGAAAAAAGAAAAAGGAAAAAUAAGAAAAAAAUAGAAAAAAAUAAAAGAAAUAAAAAAUUUAUACAAAUUUACCAAACGUGUUUCUAUUUAUUUUUUGUUCCCGGAACAAGUUUACCAAACGCAUUUUUUUGUUCAGAAAUUGUUCCCAGGAACAGAAACACUUUUUUUUAUUUCCGUUCCUUAGAACAAUUUUUAAACAGAAACGCAAACAAACACACCCUUAGAUUUCCAAGACGGAUCUCAAAUUUAUUUUCUGUUGCUGUUUAUCUACUAAACAAACAAUCGGCAAAGUAAUAGCUUUUUUCUAACCAAAAAAGCAAAGAAAAGAAAAGUAAUAGCUUUUUCUUUACUUUACAUUUUUACCUUUAUAUAUAUUAAUAUACAUAUUUCAAUGGAAUGAUUUUCAAAAAUUUUGGAAAAAUAGUUUCCAACACUACUUUAUUGUUUGGCACAAAAACAAAAAACUACUCUACCGUCUUUACCAAAAAAAAAAAAAAAAAACUACUCUAUUGUGCCCAAAACAUCAUGAUUAUAAUGGAAAUUUCAUAAUUUAAAACUCUCUUUUAUGGGAUCAAUCCCGCAUUCAAUGUGGAUAGUUGGAUGGGCAAAAACAAAAUCCGUCAAGCCUAUUCUACAAAUUCUAUUUUCUAUUGUAACUUUCAGGCAUUAAAGAAAAGUUCUGGAUGCAAAUGUUUUCAAUUAUAUCUGCUCAAGAAACGUUAUGACAAAAUAAAGAAAAUUACUAACACAUAGGUUGCAAAACUUUACAAAGUGUGAAUAAAGUUACAAUCACUUUAAUAUUUUACUGACAUACACACAAGAAGUUCACUAUUAAUAAGUAGACUACUGUUUUUAUGGAAUAUUGUGAACCAUAGGCUCAGAGGAUUUACGACCUCCAAAAAUAAAAAUUAAACUCUCCAAAGAAAAUUUAUCCAAGGAUAUUUUACAAAUAAAUCACUACAGUAAGAACAACUACAUACGCCAUAGGAAAAUUACAUUCUAUUAAGUGAUUUACUAACAAUCUAAGAAAAAAAUUGUCAUAAACUUAAGACAGUUUUUUUUUUUUGGUGAUAUAUUCCAAAUCAUAAGAUACAUGAAAUUUAAGUAACAAAAGAAAAAAUACACCAAUUAGUAAAUUAUUAUUAAUUAGGAAAAUUAAGGAUACUAAAGAAAGAUCACGAUAAAUUAGAUGGAUUCGGUCCGUUUUGCCUUCUCAUGAAACCAGCACCUAUCCCUUGGUCUUGUGAGGAUCUACCAGAACUAGUCAACAGCAAUCUAUGAGACAACGUAAAUCAUUAAAACCAGAAAAGAUUAAAUCUGCAACUGUAAUAUCCAAGAGAGAUUAGUGCUUGCUCUUCAAACAACUAUCGGAGAGAGAGAAGUGCAAAUAUUUACUCAUUCCAAACCGUUUAAUAAGGCCAUAGAUGUGGCAGAGAUGGAUGUAGAUGACACCUUCAGAAAUUUCAAAGUCAAUAGAACCCACUGUAAAGUCCACAUGCCCCAGAAGUUAUAAGGCCUUAAAUCAAGCAGCAUCAUUGACAUAUCACAAUAAUGCCGCAAUUGAAAUAUGGAAAUGAGAACACCACUUCAAAUCCAGAACUUCUGUUAGAAAUAUUGGCAAUGCGCCAUACAGUAAAUCUCGGGAGGCAUACCUUUAUAUUUAACCCCAUUUUUAUUUGAAAGAAUUGCAGUUUUUUUCUUUUUUGAUCAGCCUAUUCAUAUCGAUAAUUUAUCAUCUCAUGUUUCUGCUUUCUGUGGAGACCGCUUCUCUCUCUUCCCAUGCAAUGAUGCGAAACCGUGAGCCUUGAACUAUGAGGACUAAAAAUGAGACCCCAUCAUAUCAAUCUCUCACAAGUCAUCGACCAAUCUUAAUGAAACAAAAUUGGAUGAUAAACUAGAUUGUGCAUGGAGAUUUAAUAAUCGCAAAUGUAUAACAUGUUCAAGGGAACUAACCAGGCUUGCCUCCAGAAAAUACAGGGCUUUCAACAGGUUCAACACCAUAGAGCUGACAAAUAAAAGAGAACCAGCAAGAAGUUAGACUAGAAGGGGAGAAAAAGAAUAACAUGCAGCUGAUGCAGCGCUCUCAACACAAAAAGAAUGUUCAGGCAAAAGGUUUUUUAUUCAAGGCAUCCAUAAUUGAUAAUCACCCAAAAUUGACAUUAUUUUGUCUGAGUUCAACACAUGACAAACAAUAUCAUAAAAACAAUCUACCUUUAUGUCAGGGUUUUGCUCUUUCAAAAACUUUCCAGCACCAGUUAUAGUACCACCAGUUCCUAUUCCAGAAACAAAGGCAUCUAUUUUGCCGCCCGAGCCUUUCCAUGUCCCUGGUCCGGUUGUUUCAUAAUGUAUCUAAACAGAACAAUGACAGCAAAGCUCAAGUUCGUGCCAUCACCUGCAUAUACAACCAACAAGACAUUACAGUUGACCACACAUGUGCCUUUGGGUUAGCAGGAUUCUUGAACUGCUGAAGAAUGUAAGAGUUAGGUUUCUUUGCCAUUAUCUCCACUGCUUUCUGAAUAGCCCUUUUCAUGCCCUUGGGAGGAUUGGUCAGGACCAACCCAGCUCCAAAAGCACAGAGGAUGAUCCUUCUUUCCAAAUUCAUAGAUGCUGGUAUUGUAAUGAUUAACCUGUGUAGCCUUUGUUGCUGCCAUGAAUGCCAAAGGCAAUGCCAGUAUUGCCAUUGGUAGGCUCAAUCAGUACACUCUUCAGCAAUUUUGAAUAAAAAGACAAAAUGAAAAAUCCAUUAGCAAAAGAGCUUCAUUUCUAUAUAAAUUCAUUUGCAACUGUGCAUAAUACCAAUACAGUGAUUAUUUGCUGGCAUUCCCUAAUGACCAGAUACAGCGCAUUUUGGCCAAUAAACAAGAAAGGCUUUGCCGCGUGCCCAGUUAUCAUCAAAGAUAAGACUACUUCACCAAACCCACUCCGAUCUAUUCAAACCUAGAGCACACUAUUCCCUAGCCAUCAUCACCAUCGUCGUGGUGGACGAUGAAAUACCUACACGACCUAACCUCUGCAAAGGCAAAUAAGCAUUAUUAAAAAAAAAAAAGAUGGGCGACAAAGUAACGAUUGAAGUUACCGUAGAGGGAAACGAGACGGUCCCAAGCACUUGCUGGAGGACUGCUCGUUGAAGCCGAACUGGAGAGCCAAGCUCAGCAACCCGAGACUUCUCUGCCUCCUCAAACCCCCGAUGCUCGAUGGAAUCUCAACUUGUUCGACGCGAUUCGAAUCGAUUGAUCGAUGAUGCAAUGAAGAGAGAGAGAGAGAGAGCGCGCUCGAAGCGCUCUCUUCGAAGAAAAACGAUGCCAGCGAUGGCGGGACUGACGUUUUUUGCUCUGCUUUUUUACCAGCUGGAGAAUGGGAGAGAUUGGAGUCAUAUUUUUUUUAUUCUUUCUAAAACUCCGUUUUUGCGCCUGAAUUUUGUUGGAGUCUCUAUUUUUGCCCCCCUCAUAAGUUUUCCUGGUUUCAUUCGACACCCUUGGGUUGGGUCUAAGUAUUAGAAGAAGAGCAAGUAUUUUCCGCGAGACUUACAAGUAUACCAUCGACGUGAUACAUCAAGCCAAGCGUUAUUUAACAAAAUGGCUGUAGGUUACAAUUAGUCCUAAAAUUAUAUAUACGUAUAUCAAUUCGGUCAUAAACUUAUUCCUUGUACUAAAUUAAUCCGAAAUCUUUGCUAAAAAAAAUCUAAUAUAAUUAUUCUAGCCAAUUUUCACUGAAAAUUAUUGACAUUGCAGUGUGUCACGUAAAACUGCCGAUGGUGAUUCAACCACCACGUUAACAAUUCAUGAAGAAAAUUAACAGGAAUGACUAUGUUGAAAUUUUUUGAAAGGAUUUAGGACUAAAUCAACAAAAUUAGAAAAAUUUAGAAUUGAAUUAAUAUAUAUAUACACACACACAAUAAAUUUAUGAUUGAUUGGGUAAUUUUUCUUAUAAACAGCAAAGCAACUUUACUAUUUUUUUUUUUAAUUUCAAGUUAUAUAAACUUCAAUUUGUGACAUCUAUAACAUGGAAUGCCGGGGUGAAACCUGUGACGNNNNNNNNNNNNNNNNNNNNNNNNNNNNNNNNNNNNNNNNNNNNNNNNNNNNNNNNNNNNNNNNNNNNNNNNNNNNNNNNNNNNNNNNNNNNNNNNNNNNUUAAAAAAAGCUAUGAUGAGUGUCUCAAAACUUUCGAAGAAAUUUACUGUAAGUGAAUAAAAUACUGUUUUUACGGUAUAUGAAGAAUCAUAGGUUCCAGAGAAUUAACGCCCUCCAAACAAAAAUUACAUCCUCCUAAGAAAAAUUACUAAAGGAUAUUUUACAAAUAAUUUACUAUUAGUAAGGAUGAUUACAUAUGCCCAAAGGAAAAUUAAGAUCCAUUAGGAGAAAUUUACUAUAAACUUAGGUAGAUUACUAUUUUUAAUAGAAUAUUACAAUUAUAGGACCUACAUAAAUUACAAUGACAAAAAGGAAAUUACGUUGUGUCAAAAAAGUUUUGAUAGGAUUAAAGAGGAUUUGUUUCGGGCUUCUCAGUUUUCCUCAUUUUUGUAGACCGAGCUUGACGGGAUAAUACUAGAAUAUCUAGCUUCAGACGUAUAUGUUGCCAUAUGAUGAACCGUACAACGAAGAGGAAUCGAAAGAGACAUUGAAGAAGCUAAGGAGGGUUAAGAACCCUAGAAAUGAGGCGUAAACAACAUUUGGCCAAAACAAAGUCGUUACCAAUAUAAUCGACCCCAAGAUAGAUCGAAACGUCAAUCCUACCAAAUACUAAGUAUUCAUCUAGUUUUACAAUCAGCAUCAAAUUUACUAGGAAAAGAGCUUACUGAAAAUAGGAGAGAUGAGCAGAUCAGACAAUUUUAAUCAGCUCCAUGAACUAAAUUCAAUCAUCAUAACAUUUUGCAUCUGGUGCGCAUGUUUCCAGGUUAAUACUCACGGGCGGUGCAUCGGUGAAAAUUUUGUUUUAUAAUAUUGCAGGUUAAGUCAUUUGUGACUUGUGUGGAGAGCAAACUUCCUGCAGGACCUAAGCGAGAGCAUCUUGCCUGUGGAAUCCGUGUUGAGGCUGCCGCUGAGUACACGAGGGUACAACGCGUGAUUGAAAUUUGAUGAAUGCGAGGUAGAGUGAUUCCUCGAGCUGUACUUUGAAGGCCAAGUUUCUGUCUAGUUGAAAAUGCAAUCGUCGUGGCUGCAGAAGUAGCCACGCACGGUCGUGAAGCCAGGCCACGAGUCCAAAAGAUCCCGACCCGCAAUUUUUGAGCUUACUAUCUAACCAAUUUGGUCAAUGUGACUCUACGUGUGUUGACCUCGACUUGCCCAGAUCGCCAAAGUAAUGGUCAACGUUACCCGAACACGAUAAGUUAAAUGUCAAUCUCAUCUUUCUAGGAGAGCAUAUCGCUGAGGUAGCCAAGUAGGUAAGGAAAUGUAAGGUCUUACGUCUGGAAGAAUAAAUCAAGACUCCAUAAGCCAACAAAAUGUUACUGUCCUAACACGAUGGCCAUGAGAAUAAGACGUCAACGAGGCCUAGCAAUGUUAAGGAGAUCGCCCAAAAAUAACCCGAUGGGUUUUUCGAUCGACUAAAUCUAAGUUAGUUCAGUUAGUGCAGACCAUCUAAGAGCACCCUGGAAAUUUCUUUGAAAAUUAGAUGCCUAUUUAGAAGCAUGGUGAUCUAAAUUGAAUGAAAAUGGGAGUUGAAAAUCUAUGAUGACACGAAAAUGGAAUCUUAUCUAAUUCUUAAUUAAUUCUGUUUCUGGUUAAGCAUUACGGGCAAUGGAAUCAAAAUUGCGAUUUGGGUUUGUAAAAUCCACAGCCAUCAUUAGGAUGGAGACUAAACGCAAUGAAUCUCCUCAAUUAGAAAAAUGCACAAUCAAUCAAUUUCACAUAUUAUUCGCGCGCACAAGAAAUUAUGUCAUUCCCUGGUGACCAGAUAUCACACAAAUUGGGCCAAUAAUCAAGAGAAACCACCAUCCAAAGUAACCUAAGAACAUCAAGCUGGACCGGUGGCGGACAUUUUGCUCGUCAGUAGGACUACUACUUCACUAAACCCACUCCAAUCUAUUCAAACCCAGUGCACACUAUUCCAAGGCCAUCAUCGUCGUGGUGGGGGUGGACAAGAAAUACCUACAUAACCUCUGCAAAUGCUAAUCAUCAAUAACAUCCUACAACAAGGCAACAAAUUAUGCAAGUCAAAUAGAUGGAACUCAUACACGACUAAAAAAGAUUUUGACAACAGUAGUGUCAAAAAAACUCCCACCAUCUGAAAUUUUGACUUCGCCAAAAUAUCUGCAUCAUCUUUUCCUUGCUCAACUCCAUCUAUAAUAAGAAACAAAGCAUGCUAAUAGCUUUAAAUGAGCCAUCUCCACCAGAAAACUUUCAAAUGCUAGCGAUGCGCGGCCGUGACUAACAAAAUUGAUAAAAAGAUAAUGUGGGCCGUACCGGCACCAGGUAUAUCAGGACUGUUUGAGAACAGCUUCUUCCUGGACUUGCCAUUCCAGUCGAAAAACUGUCGGAAGCCUCCCUUUUUCCGUCUUUUCUCCACCUCCAUCUCUCAAUUACAGGUAUCUAGAAAGAACAGAAACAAAAGUACAUACAUAAAGAGCAGAUAGGAAGACCCAGAACAACCACAUCCAGAGUAAAUUUGCAACAUCGGCAGGUGCAUUCAACUAUUUCCCAGACAAAACUACGCGAGAACGCAUGAAAAAUGGAGACCCAGUUCAUAUUAUCCAAAUUUCAAUAACCCUCCAUCCCUAUCCGCAAGCAUUUCACGACUCACAGCUCGGGUAAUUCUAAUUCCACGUUUGCCAAGAAUCGACCCAACAACCACUUUCGGUGCAUUAUCCGAACCAACACCAAGCAUUCCCACAUAACUCAAAUGAAACACGAUUCAUUCACACAGCAUUUCCCAAACUCCUGAACCCCCCUUUGCUUGUAGAACACGACCUCACUACCUCCCCCUGCUAAGUCCAGACUCUAAACUGAAGUGGAGANNNNNNNNNNNNNNNNNNNNNNNNNNNNNNNNNNNNNNNNNNNNNNNNNNNNNNNNNNNNNNNNNNNNNNNNNNNNNNNNNNNNNNNNNNNNNNNNNNNNAGACAGCGAUCUUGCUAUUAAAAAAGGAUUUUUGUUUUUAUUUUUUUAUUUUCUCUAUUUGUUUUUUCAGAGAGUCAGGGUGCCGUGUCCGACCGCCACGUGUCAGUCUUGUGAGUUAAGCCAGUUUAAAUUGGAGAAAAAGUUGCUAUUUCCUUUUUUUGCUGGUUGGUGUCUUUUUGUUGUCAUUUCAGAAAGGGUCAGGGGAAAGGUUCCUGCUUCCCAAAUCUAAUGGGAUUAAUUUUUCGGUUAUUAUUUUUACUUUGCAUACUUGGUACGUUGCAAUUUAGGAGAGAGUAUGUUCUUUUGGGCUAAAAAAUUUGUUGGCAUAUCAUUUUGUAACUAAUAAUGUUUUAUAGAACGAGUUACGCAAAAUGGUAUUCCAACUUAAACAAAAAAAUUGAGUCUUAUAACUUACUCACCUUGUCGUGAAAAUUUUUUCUAGAAGAUACAUUUCAAUUCGAUAAAAUAAUAAAAACAAAUUAAGUGACUAGAUUGCACAUUUGGCAAUAAAUUAAGGAAAUGUGAUGGCUAUUUUCUUUUGAUGACCAAGAGACCGCCGGAGAUCACUCUUCGGGGAUCACAUAAUCCUUCGAUACUCGAUAACAUCGGUGGGGUCUCGCCGCAAGCCGCUAUUUAGACGUAAACCCUUGGUGGGCUGUCCUAAUAAACCACCCGUGGGACCUCCACUUAAGUCGUGAGUAUUCGAAGAUUCAACCUCGUUCCCUCGGCGAUAAGAUAGUAAAGCCCAACUAUCAAUAAAUUAGGGAAAUGUGAUGACUUUCUUCUUUAGGAAAGUAAACUCAUCAAAUGGGUGGAUUAAGUCGAAAAUAGUUCGACUCAAAUUGAUCAAUUUAACUCAUUUUGACACAUUUCAACGCAAUACAAAUUUAGUGAUUCGUAAUUAAACCAAUUAAUACCAAAUCUAACCAUAUGACUAGAACACUUUCAUAUUUAACCUAAUUUAAGAAAAUUCAUGCUUAAACUGAGAUGAGAGCAUAAAGUGAGCAUAAGAUUUAAUGAGAGCGAGAGAGGAAAAAGAGAGUCAUAGAGGUGAAAUGAAUUCAAGUAAGCAUGAAUCUAUUUAUGCAUAUUAUUUUAGUUUUUACCACCCUAAAACCAUUUAUGACCAAUUUUUUGGAAUAUAGCCAACUUAUAUAAUAGCUCAUCACAUCAAAUAUGGAUUAAGAAAUAAGUCUAUGAUUCUUUUGACAAGUCUAAAGAAUAAUUUAAAGAUCACAUUGAAUAAAUUAUUAUCACAUGUUGAAUCAAAGUUUAUUGAUUAUUAACGUCAAUUCUCUUAAACGAUCUUUUCUCUUGUUGGGAAAGAAAUGGAAAAGACAAAUCGUUUGGCUUUAGUGCGCAUCUCCGAAAAAAUGAAUUACAACAGUACUCAAAAACAUCAAGCAUGAUUCACGUGUUUCCUUUUUUUUUUUUCAUUCUCUUUACCUAUUUUACCUCUUACACGAUGCUACAUAAUAGUCUUGGGUUGAGGGUCAAAUACUGCCACAUUUUUUUUUGGUCAUACAAACACUGCCACUUGACAUGCAUGAAACGUAGACCCCCUCCAUUGACCAAAAACAAAGACAAUUUCGGUCUUGGUAGAACAAGACAAUGUGAUACUCAACAUUUAAUCGAAAUUGACGUAGGAUCGUUAGGUAGCUUAUUUGCUAAGACCAUGUUAGGUAGCUUAUCUGCUAAGACCAUGUUCCUUUUUUCUGAAUGUUGCAUGCACAUUCCAAAUGACUUCGUUGCAAUCCCACUUUUGAAAUGGAGUCACCGUACGAACCUUUCUCGAUAGUCAAUAAUCCAACCUUUGAGAAGUUCCAAUUUUGAAGGUUCUUGGAAAUUUCCAUACAUGCAAUGACAAUAUAUAGUCUACAAUAUGACUAUUUGAGUACAAUCCCUAUAAGAUUUGGGAUAAAGAAUGCUUAAAUAGAUAUGAUACAAGCCGAGAAAAAUAUACAAAUGAGGAAUACCCCACGACAGGUAGUCUGAUUAGAACUAGUGUUUCUUGUCGCAUCAAAGUCACCAUUAACUUGUCUUUUUCUUUUUCUUUUGGGAGACUUAAAUCACUUUAUCCAAUUUGAUCUCUCUUAUGGUGUACAAUCAUGCGCAUGUACCUCAUAGAAGCAUUUGGCAUCAUCACAACUCAGAGUCAUAACCAAAAAACUAGCCGGGUUAUAACCACUAGGAUCCUCUUUAAAAUGAUAAGGGGACCAUCUCAAAUUCCUGAACAAGGAUAAUCACAUUCCAAUCCUUUAAUAAAUAUCAAAGAGUUAAGACAGUCCAUUCGCAUCGUUUAUUUCUGAUUGUAACCGUAAAAUUUUCCCAUUCAUUACAUAAUGUUUGAUUUAGGUCAUGAUCAUUAAGUAUCGCCUAUAAUGUAAGUUUCGAUGAUGGCAAACCCAUCACCACAACUAAACGGUAUGUCAGUAAUUCAUUAUUUAAUAGGACCGAAGGGCACAAAUCAAUCGCUUUCGGUUACAACACAACUCAAACUUGUAAUUUUGGUACUUACGUGAUCAUAGAGCCAACCAAGCUCAAUAAUAAUUAACUAGUUGCCACUUCUAGAAAAUAGGAGAUUUCUGUUGAUUGAUAUCAAGAAUCUAUAGGAUUAUUUGUUUAUUUCUCAUUUAUCUAUUUCGAUCCAUGUAACAGCUGUUCUUCCUCUAAUAUCCCAUGCAAUCUGAGCUGCAGUUACUACCCUCUUACAAGCUUCCAAAAUACAUUUGCCCUCACGUGAAGAUUUACUACGGUACGGGCUCUCCUCUGUGGUCUUCAGAGGACGAUGGGUAUACCCCAAAGUUUCUUCUUCUUUUCCUAGGCCGAAGAGAAUCCCCCCAGUCCAAUAUAUUUCCGAAACAAUCCUUUUCAAAUGACUCAUGCACGCACUAACAUUCAGAGAAACAAUUUUGUCCUCACUUCAAAAGGCAAUAAAUGAAUUACCUCCUUCUGGGCCAAUACUGUCAAUUUCCCUCACCUUGUGCGAUGCUAUGCCGUCAUCAAAACCGUGCUGAUUCCAACUAUUCUGAGUGCAAAGCGUUGGCUGCAAUUCUAUAUAUAUAUGCAAUCAUCACCGUGAAUUGUUAUGCAAAUACAACAGAGAAGCAACUGAUAAGUGCCACGUGAGAGCAUUAUUAGGCAGUUGACACGUCCAAGUCAAAAUGAAUCUAACGUUGUGCCUGACCCAAGAAUAAUAAAAUCAUGUUAAAUCCCUCGGUAUCGAAUUAUGGAUGCACUGCCAUGUGCUCUCCGUGAAAAACUAUUGCAUAAUGGGGAUCUAAGAUCCCAGUCCACUAAUGACUUGAACAAUCCAAUCCACCGAUGCAAUGCUUGCUGACCAGCAAGCCAGGAGUGUUCAAUAGUUGGAUUAACUGAUGAUCGAUAAAGGUUUUCAACCAAUCGAUUGUAUCUUUAGAUAUACUACUUGGAAAAUUGAAUCUGCAAGUAAACUAACUUUAGAUGCAGUCAUGAUAUGCAUUCAUCACUAAUUCAAAACGGGAAAGAAGAAUUGCAACAUGCCUUCGUAUAAUUGGAUUUCAUUGUUAUUCAUUGCUGAACUAAAACAAGAAACUUUUUCUUCUGCAGUCAAGACCGGAGGGUGUGUUCCCAUAUGCCUCUUUGGUUUAUAUGUCGACCCACAUUUUGUUUCCCCAUAUGAAAAUAAUUAGUUCCAGACAAGGAACAUGUCACAUAUGAAAGGAAAAGACAAACAUGAGAUGACAAGACCAUCACAACUGAAGAAUUCUGUGUCCAUAGUUAAGGACCUUUGCCCCUUCAUUACCAUGUGGUCUUCCAAUAAUUGCGGAUGAUGGAACCAGAAGAACUGUGCGGCUCAAGAUCAUGCGUAAGUCGGUAUGUGUCGUCCAUCAAGAUAGUUGACACGUGAAAGGUUUACCUUUAUGAAGAGGUUUUGAGACUAUUAUCGCAAGGAUUAGAACCAUAUUUACAGUCUUCCUGAUUCACAAACAUGCCAAAGUGCACAAGUAAGGUUUGCCACUGACACUUAUCCUGAAAAUUCACAAAUUGGAGAAGAAACACCCGUUUAUCAAUAGACUUUGCUCCAUUUAGGUGAGCGGAAUAUGAUUUUGGCCCAAAGGGUCCAUUACUUUGUGAAUAUGUUGCCAACAGACCCAUCUAAUGAUCCAGCAUCCAGACGGGGUAAUGCCAGACUAACACUAAGAACAAUCAAUAGAACAAAGUGGAAAGCGUAAACACAAAAUAGAAGCAUCACUUAGUUGAGAUCUUCAGAGAGAAGUCGAGAACACAAAUUGGAUUACCUUGAGAUCACAAUAUCGCUGAUUUUCCUAGCUUGAGCAAAUGCACUUCUAAAGAUUUCAGUUUUACAUCCUUGACCACUCCUUAACAUGCACACAACCCGACUGAAGUCCUUUUUUGCAUAUAGAGCAAUGCGCACUGCUGGUAGAUUAUCUCUUCCUGCCCUCCCUCAUUCUUGGUAACAGCUUUCGAUUGACUUGGACAUUGUGUUGUGGAUGACAAAACGCUUACCACAUGCCAUAAAAAAUAUUUACUGAACCAUCAAAGUUGAAAUAUGAUAAAAAGAUCAUAACAGGAGGACAAAUUAGAUCAGAUUCAUUUGCUACUUUUACAGUAAAGAAAAGAACUUUAUCCUAGUUUAACUUGAUUUCAGCACAACAAAUGCCAUGCGUGGAAGAAAAAAUUUGAAGUGAAAAAAACACAUAAUGCGCUAGUUGCAAUCAAUAGCCAAGGACGACAAUUCAGCAGGCCACUGGACCAAGGAACUAGCAAAGUUUACUUCCAAGCACACCAAUAAACCGAUCAGCGAAACUAAAGCAUUAGAAAAAAGGUAAAUUAGUUGAGUAUUUGCUGGCAUGUCAGCUUGACAACUAAAAAUAGGCAAAGGCUUAGAAUCCAUUUCAACUUACAACAUCAGGUUUGUCUAUUCCCAUUCCAAAAGCGAUGACUGCACAUACAACCUGGACCUCUCUAGCAUGCCAUUUCUUUUGGACAGCUACUCUUUGACAGGCUGCUAAUACAACAUGAUAGUACACUGUCUUUAUACCGCACUUAUCAUUCAAGUAAUUUGCAACAUCAACGCAUUCACUCUUUGAGAGGCAAUACACUAUGCGACACAAAUUAGCAAAACGAUUCUUUAGUAGCUCUUCAAGUUGCUUCAGUGGUUCCUUGGUCUUAGAUAUGACCUCAUAUUUUAGGUUUGGUCUGUCAGAGUCUUGAGAACAAGAGCAUGGGGGAUCUUGAGAGCUUUUAGGAUAUCCUGCAAUGGAUGUACAUUUCAAUCAGAUCCAAAUGAUUUUUUCAACAUAAUCUGGAGGAUGAUGUGCAAGUUUCAUACCUCAUGAACUGGCUGAGUGACGGUUGCAGUUAAGGCCAUCACCGGGACGUAUGGAAAGUUUUGCUUGAGACAUCCCAGUACCAUAUAAUAUGGACGAAAAAUCAUGUCCCUGUUGACUGCAAUAAUGACAACCGAGAAAGUAAUGAUCAAUAAACUUUACGUUUACAAUCAUUCAAAUAUAGGAGAAAAGCUCAAAACAUGGAUACAUUCCUUUCAUGAAAUUGCACUGGCAGAGCAAGUCCAAUAAAGACCUUAUAAGAAACCCGAUCACUGAUCACAUGCGUGAACUUUUGCCUUAUAUCUUGAGUUGUUAAUACAUGGUAUAAAAGUUAAAAGAAUAAGUAGGGACACAAGAACCAGCUUAAAAGACCUGACUAUCGUGCCAAACAUGGACACUUUCACUUACUUCCGAAAGUAAUUUCCGUGAAGCUAAAUUUAGUUGUGCGCAUUGUGCUUAUUAUGAUUAAUGAUGUGCCACCGACAUUUCGCAAAAGAAGAAACUAGAUCAUUUCCAGAAUUAGUUAUUUCAACAUUGCAUUCUGUUAUACUAGAAAUCCACAGACAGUCUGGGUUUCAGAAGGUUUAGCGUGACACCAACAAUGUCAUUAGGCCAGCAACACAGAAGAUGUAAAAAUGUUUGAAAAAAAAGAGUUUGAGUGAGCAUAUAUAAAAGUUAACUUGCUUUUCUCUAUCUGGAACAAGGACAGUAGUUUUGCAAAGGGAACAACAUAAAUACUUAUUCCUUUUAAUGUAACUCUAUCUUGAUCUUUGCUUUAGAUACAAGGAUGCCAAAGAGCAUACCUCACACAAUGUGUCUCAUCAACAACAAAACCAGCUAGUUGUGCCUGCAGUGCGUGAUGAUCGAGUAUCAAAAAGUUAAAAAGAAACUUUCAGAAAAAGUUACACGGUGUAUCAUAAAUAGUACCUUUCUAUGCAAUCAUUUUAAUAUCUUGAGAAAUGAUGGGUUUCCCACAAUCCUUUCAGGAGUUACAUACAAUAGCUUGCACAAUGGUUUAUCUUUCCUGAAAAGGCAGGUAGAGCAGCGAAGAUUAAUGACUUGACAAUCCCAACACUAAGCCAAAAAAAAAAAAAUUUAGAAGUCCAGUGGAAAUCCCAUCGCAACAUAUGGAGCAUGGCCCAACAUUUUAUGGAGGGACAAUGAUUGUACGGUAUGAUAUACUUCUCUCGGAAGGCUAAGAUGCUAAAAUUUAUUUUUAAGGGAAACAUCUUAGGCAUGCAUCUUUUCAUUAACUACUUAAAAAAUGUACAUCCUUUGCAACUAUGGAGCAAACCAUUUUAUGGCGGGAGAAAGAUUGUAGAGUAGGAUGUACUUCAGCAGGAAGAGAGCUAAACCUUGCCUUAGUUAUUGGAGGACAGCUGCUGCCUGGGCAGCGGUUUGCUGAGAGCUCAAGAAAGUUGAUGGUAUUCCGUACUUGAGGGUUAGAGUAAUUAUUUGAUCCUGGAUGAGAGAUAGCAGGAGAGAUAUAACAACUGUGACACCUGGUUUAAGAGUUGAUGGCAACUAAAAUGAAGGGUAAAAACAUCAGAAAAGCCAAUGAAGGGAUGAGGAAUAACUCUUUUAUUCACCUUCAGCUAAUUAGAAAGCACCAGUUGUCACCAUUUGUCUUAUAAUUACUUUAGCUAGAAACAUAUAUGAACUACUCUAAGACAGAACAGAAAACAUUUCAGGAUAAUUAAACUUAAUAAAUUCAGAUUAAUAUCUUCCUUCGUGAUUCAGUGGGUCCAAUAUUUUGCAUGCUCCCAAGAUCCAUCUUAUAUGAAAGGAUAUCCAUUUCAAACCAAUUAUGGAAAUGAUCACCCCUAGUUGAGAUGAUGACAUAGCACAUAUGUACAUAGGAAAUAUAGAAUGUACAAUAUGUAUUUGGUGCAAGUAAUUUGAAAACUUAUUCCUCUUUGACUUAAUAACCCUAUUGAAUUGGACCUAAAGCAUGACUGACGACAACACUUACAUGCAAAAACAAGAUAAAUUUUCCAGUAAGUAAUUAGAAGUUCCUAGAAGCAGAGCACAAACCUCAAAUUCUAGAAAUUACAGAAUGGACAAAGAUGGGUGAAGGCAGAAUGAGAAUGUCCUAUAUUUCAGCACAAACUUCUCAAUAGUGCUAAUAAAGCAGAUUGCAAGAUCAUUUUAUAGCUUAAAUUUCAAUAUACAGGUCUACCCGUCUAGUAUAUAAUCGGUGGAACCAUUCAGCAAAGUGCACAGGGCUUGUGCUCUAAACACUGUCUCCACACAUGCUUCUACAUUCGAUCAUUACACAAAUGAAAUAAUGUUAACAUUCACUAACCUAGUAACGUAAACUUUUACCAUCUCCAGUGGGCGUGAGAACGAAGCAAUCUUGCUUGGCUACAGAAGUUUUACAAGCCUGAUGCUGCAUUGGUCGAAAUGCCUUGUUUCCGAAUAUUACAACAUUUGCCAAUUCUAUGUCAUCCAAGGCUUGCAAUUCCUCAUUACUCAGAGUUCCUUGUUUGCAUGUUGAAAUCUGAGAGUGAUGUCUUUUACUUGAAACUGAUGAUAUCGAACCAUGAGUAUCAGUGCUCUUACAGUCCUUCAACACAAAUAAGCCUCUUCAGCACCAUAAAUAGUUUCUGACAUGUGGUGAUGGAAAAUGAAAAUCAUGCACAAAGAAAUUCCAAGCCUUCAUUUUGCAAAACACACCUGUCAAAGAUGCUGGAUGCUAAGUUCAACGCUUGGAUGAUGUACCAUACUCUCAAAAUACAUGAGAAAUAUAGGUAUUAUUACAUAUCCAAAACAAUAAUGAACUGUUUUUAUUGACCAAACAAUUCUCAUAUAAGUCAUUUUAGAUCUUAUAGACUGUAGAAGUAACUGGCAAGUUAGGAGUGUCUAUUAUACAUUUGAUCAUAUGAGAGCCCUCAUGAGCAAUUUACUAAAUGCUUUUGUACAGGUAUACCGCGUAAGGUUUGUUGCUGAGCAGAAUUGCAAGCAAACUGGAAAUGAUCAAGGAAAGACAUAAGUUGAAGAGGAAAGAACAGUGACACACUAAUUUAAAGGGAUGAGUUGUUUAACAGUGAUUAGGAGAUAAUUACAAUAAGAAAUAAAUCAAUUUCUCACUAACCAAAACCUCAAUUGCAAGAGUCAAUCAAAAACAAAUGAGACAAGUGGAAAGUGUUUCCCAAGAGUUUUCUGAGGACACUAUAAUCUCCUGAUCAAAAACCAAGACAAUCUGUUCUCAAUUCUUCUCGUUUUCCUUGUUGACACCCCAAUAUACCUCAGCAACAAAAAUAUAUAAAAGUACGGGUGUAGAAUUAUUGUUAAAACAAUAAAAGGUCAUGCAGAGAUCUGCCAACUUUUUGUCAACCUCCUAAACAACUGGACCAUUGUGGCCAGACUCAUGGGAUUUUCCUAGUAACUAUUGUGUCUUCUUCAGGUGCCCAUAGUUUCUUCAUUGAACGGGCAACCCUGUAAAAUACUGAGACAUUCUUCAAGCCACACAUUUGGUCCAAGCAAUUACACGGGCUAAUCCCAAGACAAAUCUAGGUCCAUGGAUAAAAAACUUAAGCUACAAACUUAACACCUAUCAACCAAAUUACUUUUGGGCAUGGGAAAAAACAUGCCAAGCCACCAUGCUUUUCUUUUUUUCUUUUUCCUUAAUCCCUUCAAACUGGUUAGAACAGAAAGGAGUGAGACAACUUCACAGUUUUCAGAAGCAUACCAUGGAUUCUAAAGAUCGUCUGGUCAAAAGUUGAGUGGACGAAUUGCUCGGAGUACUACCAAAUAUAUCAUCUUCGUCUUCACUUUCAGUAGAGGAAUCCACCUCAAGAAAUGUUUGAUUUUUCUCAGGUUGUGGAGAAUCCUCUAUAAUGUUAACAUCGUGCACAACAUUGCAUUCGCCGUCAUUAGGGGUAUCUUGGCCAAACAUAUCAGUCAAAACUCACAAGCUUCUGAUUCUGCAUCUUGCAAAUCAUCCCAAUCCUCAAUGUGUUGCAUAGUUUCAGCAAGUUUUGCUAGAAAAUCAUCGCCACAGUGCUCAACGGUGAUAAACUCUCGACCCUCGUCACCUUAAGAAGACCAAAAGAAGAGAGGGAUGAUUUUGUGAGUUCCAUGACAAACAAGAGAGAUAAAAUAAAUACAAUCUACACAAUAUGUGAUUUGCGGUUAGUUUAGAAAUAAAACAGACAUUUCGCUAGUCAAGAAGACUACACCGCAAAACCUCGUCAAAAUGACGACCUAACUGCAAUAAAUCUUCUCAUUUAGGAAUGCACAAUUGAUCAAUUCACCAAUCAUCCCCGCAACACAAUCAAUUACGCCAUUCCCUAAUCACUAGAUACCGCGAAAUUCGGCGAAUAACCAAGAAAAGCAACCUAAACAUAUCAAACUGGAACAGCACCAGACAUUUCGCUCGUUGGCAAGACUACUUCCCUGAACCAGCUCCAAUCUAUUCAAACCUAAAGCAGACUACGAGAAGGACCAACACAACCUCUACAAACGCUAAUCGGCAUAAAAAAUGGGCGACAAGGUAAUGAUGAUUCGAGGUACCGCAGAGGGAAAUGAGACGGUCCAAGCACUUGGUGGCGGACUGCUCGUCGAAGCCGAACUUGGCUCUCGAGUUCGGAGCGAUUCGAGCGACCAAUCGAUCGAUGAUGCACCAGUCGGAAUGGAAUUUCAAUCUUCUCGAGAGCACGCGCGCGCCCGAAUUGCUCUUGUUCGAAAAACCUUGCCAGCUAUGGCGGGACUGCUGGAGAAUGGGAGAGAUUGGAGCCGAUUCCAUUUUCGCGCCUGAAGUUUGUUGAAAUUCUAUUUUUGCCCCCCCUCAAAAGAGCUAUGGCUCUUUUUACGUUAAUCUUUUAUUGGGCUUGAUUCAUUCUUGAACUUGGCAGAUAGGAAUAUAGGAAAAGCCUUCUUUGCAUACAUUAGACCACGAGAAGUUAUCUCAAAUUUUCUUUUUAUCUGUUGCUGUGUAUCAGCAAAAGGAAAAAUUGAUAAAGUAAUACUUAUCUUAAUGUACAUUUUUACCUUUUACCUUUAUAUAAAUUUCGAAAGAACGAACUUCAAAUAAUUUGAAAAAUUAAGUUUCCAACACUACUUUAUAAUUUCACAAAAAAGAAAAUACUUUUUUGUUGUGGCCGAAACGUCGUGAUCACAAUGGAAAUUCCACAAGUCGAAGCUCUCCUUUUAUGAGAUUGGUCCCGCAUUCAACGUGGACCGCUAGAUAAGAAGGGGAAAAAAUUGGUCCGUCAAUUUUUUUUUGCAAAAUUGACUUUUGGUCAUAAUUUGAAUUCGCAAACGUUAAAGAAAAGUUACAAAUGCAAAACUGAUCAAACUUUCAUUUGAUUAAAAAAAAAUUAAGAUGAGUAAGGAAAAUUACCAAUAUAUAAGUCUCAAAACAUUACAAAAUGCAAGGAAAGUUGCUAAAUUCAGAUAUUUCAUUAAACAUGCAAAAAGAAAUUUACCCUUAACCGAAUAAAUUACUGCUUUUAUGAAAUAUUACAAGGCACAGACGCCAAAAAUUUAUGCCCUCCAAACAAAAAUUACAUCCUCCAUAAGAAAAAUUACAAAAGGAUAUUUUACCAAUACAUUACUAAUAGUGAGGAUGAUUAUGUACACUGAACAAAGUUAGGAUUUAUUCGAUAAUUUACUAAUGAUAAGAAAAGAAAUUUACUAUAAUGUAGAUUACAAUUUUUAAUGGAAUAUUACAAACUAUAGGACCUACAGAGCUUACGACCACCGAAAGGAAAUUACGUUGUGUUAAAAAAGUCAUAAGAUGAUAUGUUACUAGGAGAUUACUUUUAGCGAGAAAAAUGACUGAUACAAAAAAAAAAUCACAAUCAAUUAGACAAGAUCAGGUCUAUUUUCCUUUCAGAUCUGGUCAUCGUUGAUCAUUAGACUAAUCCUUGCCAAUCCUUAGGCAGCUUUGAGUUGCGAAGAGUAUGGAGGAAUUUGUUCAAAUCAAAGGAUGUGUCGUAGCUUUGUAAAGAUUUGCAGAUUCAUUUGGUGAGUUUUGGGAUUUUCAUCUUCCAUUGGGCUGCCUAUGUUCUUGUGCUAGUGUAUAGGUAUAAUGCUUACUUCCUCCAGAAGCUUUCUUAUUCUGCCCAGAUUUAGUGAUUUUCUUAGGGGAUUUAAUCACCGUUUAGAAAUCUUUGACAAGUUUUUUAUGCGUCAGAUUUGACUAAUAGCAGAAAUCAUGCUUGAAACAAUCACAUUUCGAAUUUUCAAGCUAUUGUUUUACGCCAAGUUGGAUUAGUUCCAUUGAAACUCCUCUUGGACCUUGGAAUGUGAGAAUGAACUUGCAAACCACGUGAAAAACUGAGAAUCUAUUGAAAAUUGAAAUCCGAAGAUUUGGAUUAGCAGUCAAGCAAUCGAGUCCUUCCAAUUCUAUACCUAAUGUCAAUUGAAUUGGCAAACAAGAAUGGUGAUCCCUUUUUCAACGAAAUGGUAGGGGCCUUAAAGGCGAAAUUCUUUAAAUAUUACAAAAACAUCCCACUUUUUUUGGGUAGCCACUAUCGUGGAUCCAAAGUUCAAGUUGGAGGAGCUGGAAACUCUUCUUGUUUCAUAUCACAAACAUUUGGGACUUAGUUAGGAGUUCUAAGUAGAACGCAAAUUAGCAAUAACAAUGAGAUGGCUCUCAAAUAUGUCCGUGGCAUAUGCCGGUUAAUAUUAUAGGACAAGUUCUAUCUCACAGACAAACAAUGCGGCCUCUUUGAGUAGUGCCCACAAACCUAUAUUGUCUUUGUUUUAUAAGUAGGAAAACACCCCACUGCCCGCUAAGUCUUCGUCUUCAUUGUUUACCAAUGAGCUGGAGUGGUACUUGGGAAUAGACUACUCCAAGCAUAUCGAUAGAAUUGGCGAAAAUAACCUCGAGGACCUGAAAUGGUGGAAGAGGUGAACUACCACUUUUCCGAUUGUUUCUAUUAUGACUUGUGACUCACCCGUUCCACUGGCGUACCUGGCACCUUCAAAAUCUAUGUUCGCUACAAGCUCCCUUUUGGAAGUCAAAUAGAUCGAACUUGUUUGCGUAAAAUUUAAAAAUGGUUACUGUAGGGGUUAAUUAGUUUUUACAAGAAUUAACUCCGGAGGAAUAUAACCAACAUGGACUCGAGAACAACAAUGAUACUAUAUUAUUUGAAUCAUGGUGAAGGACAUUUGAGUGGAGCCAUUAAUUAGGGCACCACUAAGUGUAAUUUUUAUUUUUCAAAUUAUUUGAAAAUGUGUCAUAAUUGGGUUUAACAGAAUGUGUGUUUUUAUUAAUUUCCCUCAAUUAAUCUCUCAUUAUUUCUAAUAUUUGAACAAAAAUUAUUUUUUAUUGAUUUUUUUUUUUAACUAGGCCCAGACCAACAAUGCCCAAGUGGUGUCGUCCCCGGCAUGCCCUAAUGCCCAAUCUUAACCAUUCUUCGUCAUGUGACAAGGCCCAAAUACUAUAUCGGCUAUGGUUAAAGCCUAAUAAAUCACAUCGACUGUGAUUAAACCCCAAAUCAGAAUCAUCGGUAAACAUAUAUCAUAUAUCAAUACGUAGUUCGACAAUGAGUGCCAAUCCAAUAUCUAUAUAUCAUAAUCCAACAUGCCCAUAUGCUAUAUAUUAGAAAUAAUUCCCCCAUCUAAACAAUUUCGAUGAAUGUUCAAAAUAACAAUCAACUUGGAAAUCCAUUCAACGCUUGAUCCAAUUUUAUAGAAUAAGAUGCCAUAAGUUAAUUUAAUUUUUCCCUUAGUUCUGAAAGUGCAGGAGCUAAGGAAAAAUUUAAUUGGCCUGUUUGGAUUAUUUAGCGUUUAAACAAGGUAAGUCUAUGUCCAAAAGAACAAAGGUAAGUCACUCCUACCAUUUCUGUGUUUUCAUGAAAAAACUGCAUUGCGUGGUUUAUCGAAAGGAAACCCUAUGUUAUGCAAUUUUACCAUUUCUGCGUUUUCAGUAAAAACUGCAAUACUUGGUUUAAUGGAAGGAAACCCUAUGUCAUGCACUUUUCAACUGGUCUGAAGAAUACUCCUGCAUUUAAUGAAGUUUUUCAAUAUAACUUAGAAAGACGGACAAGAAUCAUUUGACUAUUUCGGGGAUUAGAAAAUCAAGUUCAUCCCCUUGUUGCUCCGCCUCUAAAGAAAAGUCCCUAGAUUAUUACUACCCCCCAUUUUCUUUCCCUUCCCUCAAUCCGAACACAUAUUGGACGUGAAUCAAUUGUAUUAUUUCAUUAAAGACUGUUGACCUUGAAGAUACCUAUUUUUUUUUUCACUGAGUUUCAACUUGAUUUUGAUCAAAAGUUAACGCCUGCUAAGAUUAUGAUCGAUUGCAAUAAUUGGGUUGUGCAUUGCAAGAGCUUUCCAACAUCGCCUAGUUUGCCCAAAUUGGAUGACCAGAUUGCUAGAUAUAUCAGCACAAGGAAAUGCUUGAUCCUUUGGAUGCUCACAUGUGAUCUGCAACUACCAUUCAAAGUUAGCUUGAAGAUACAAAACUUGGUGAUCUGAUUUUGGAGGCAACGGAGCCUUAAAUGGUUUUGCUGGACACAUUUGAUGCCCGACUAAAGAGUAUAUCAUUGUACACUGCUUUCUCUUGUUUCAUUAUUAUUCUCCGUGCCCUUCAUGUGAACAAUGAGAAGGCCGAAAUGUUAGUACUGCCUAAUAAGACAAUUGUCGCUGAUUCUAAUGUCAUUUGGCUGUCUUUAACAUAUGAUUAGUGGAUGAAGGUAAUGUGAUCCCUUAAAUGUCCUUGUCAGCUUGCAACUCUCCAAUUUGAGGAGCUUCUUAUCUUCUUCUCCCUUAUCUUUUUUGGAGAAAUUGUCCAAAAUACCCUAAACCUUUUGACAAUUUACCAAUUUAGUGUUAAAUUUUUCAAUUUUACCAAUUAAAUCCUUAAUCUUUUGACAAUUUGUCAAUUGAGUUCAUCUUGCCAAAAUUGCUAAUUUCAUGUUGAGAUCAAGUCAAUUUUUCAAUGUUGAGAUGCACAGCAACAUGUGAUAUCUUACCAUGUGCAUGAAAAGUACAUUUGAGAGUGACGUGCUUUUCGGAUACCAUGCUCUUCAUGACAGGGUUGGCAAAUUAUGCCGAAUGAAAUUGUUGUUUUUAGAUGUUAAAAAGAUGACAUAUGACUAUAGUUAUUUCGCAUUGAAGACAAUCUUUCAGCCCUUCCUGUAAUGGCACACAUAUUGUUACCUGGAUAGUAUCUGCUUAUAAAUUAUAGAUGGUCUCGUAUGGUUUUCUUCUGGAUUUCUUUCUUGCAUUUUGCUGUUGACCCUUCAAUCUUUUGGCUGGUGAAGGUAAACAAGUUGGUGAAGGUAUACAAUCUUCAUUAUUCUCUUCAUGCGUUGAUCCUUUGCUUUUGUUCAUUGCGCAGUAGAACCCAAGAUUCUUAACCUCAUUUCGAAGUCUUAAAUUUGGUAGUACUAAGAUAUGGGUGUGAAUGAAUUUAUUCCUUUUUGCUAUUUACCAUUUUGGGUCGUUGAUGUCCCAUCUCAGUCAAUGACGAAAGAGGGAAGAGUCAAAGAUCCAAUGUUAUUCCAUUUAUCUUAAUGUUGCUCUGGAGUACACUUAAAGAGCACCGAGUUGCCUUUAAUUCAUAUGGUUUCUAUCCAAUAAAAGCCGGCUAAAUCAGAUUGUUCCAGAUCAGUCUAAGGAUCCAUAAUUUUUUUUUUUUGGUGACCCAGGGGAACCCCGCACGGCCGACAGCUGGGAGUAAACCCCUGGGGAGGCACGUAGGAAACCAUCACCCACGCACCUUGGGUAAGUCGCCAAAUGAUCCGCCUGCUUCCCUGCAACUUGCGUUGCAGUGGCUUCGAACUCCAGACCUCCUGCGUGGAGGAAUUAUUCCGUAAAUUAAAUAUAUGUGCUAAAUUGAAUCUGGAGCCACAAAACUGAUGGAUUUAAUUUAAAUCUUAAAAAAAAAAAAACUCACGAACAACAUAAGCAGAGCAAGCAGGGGAGAAGAAAAUGGAUUUUACGAAUUCAAGUAAAGAUGAAAACUUGACAAACUUCAUCAGGUAGCUAAUCUUGGCUAUGCUAAGUAACAUAUAGCUUUUGCAUAUCAACUUCAACUCACCUUUUGAUGAUGGACUAGCUUUAGAAUUAUAUGUAUCGCAUAUUUGUGUAUUCACAUUUAUGGACCGUGAUCAGUUUGGGCUCACUCUUGUCAAUUUAAAGGAAAACAAGUAUAAUUAUAGAACAAUAACAUUACCACGUAUGCUAUUAGAUCAGCAUGAGUUAUUUGGAGUCAAGAGGCAAAUUGAAGAGUUUGAUGUGUAGCGUAUUUACGUAGCAUUGUUGGACAUCUAGAUUUUAUUAAAACACUUAAGUGAAACCGUGCAAACCCCAUACAAAGCCUCAUCGUAAAAUACAAAUUUCAAUAAAAUUAUUAUAUUGUGAUUGAUUUUCUUCGUCGCAUCAUUUAUAAAUUAAAUUUAUACAAUAUUUUCACGGUAAAUAAUAAUCUCUAGUCUCCCAAUGCAACUAACCAAGCAAGAUAGUGGAAGACUUUGACUUGCCUUCAAUCGCUAGAAUAUUUUUCCCCACUUUUCUUUUGAGUGGGUCUUUUCGGCUUUUACCUUAUCCCUUUCUUGGCAACUGGCAAGCAAGAUAGUGGAAGACUUGAACUUGCUUUCCCUCACCAAUUCAUUUUCCCCCUUUCUUUUGAGUAGGUCUUGUUGGCUUUUGCCUUAUUGCUUUCUUUGCAACUAACCAAGCAAGAUGGUGGAAGACUUUGACUUGCUUUCCCUCACCAAAGAAUUUUCUUAAAGUUAAUUAAUUCGGUUUCAUACAAAAAUUGAUAUAUAAUCUUUGAAAAAGUCUUUUCUUCGUAAUAAAGAUUUCUUUUGCAAAAUGCAAAUACUGACAUGAGUAUGCUAUGUAAAGAAAAAUAUCGCAUCGAUCUAAUUUGGCAUCACGCUAGAUUGUUGCAAUAACAUAUUUAUUCUUAAGUUAUGAGUCCUCAUAUGACGGUCCAUCGCUUGGGCUCGACAUCANNNNNNNNNNNNNNNNNNNNNNNNNNNNNNNNNNNNNNNNNNNNNNNNNNNNNNNNNNNNNNNNNNNNNNNNNNNNNNNNNNNNNNNNNNNNNNNNNNNNNNNNNNNNNNNNNNNNNNNNNNNNNNNNNNNNNNNNNNNNNNNNNNNNNNNNNNNNNNNNNNNNNNNNNNNNNNNNNNNNNNNNNNNNNNNNNNNNNNNNNNNNNNNNNNNNNNNNNNNNNNNNNNNNNNNNNNNNNNNNNNNNNNNNNNNNNNNNNNNNNNNNNNNNNNNNNNNNNNNNNNNNNNNNNNNNNNNNNNNNNNNNNNNNNNNNNNNNNNNNNNNNNNNNNNNNNNNNNNNNNNNNNNNNNNNNNNNNNNNNNNNNNNNNNNNNNNNNNNNNNNNNNNNNNNNNNNNNNNNNNNNNNNNNNNNNNNNNNNNNNNNNNNNNNNNNNNNNNNNNNNNNNNNNNNNNNNNNNNNNNNNNNNNNNNNNNNNNNNNNNNNNNNNNNNNNNNNNNNNNNNNNNNNNNNNNNNNNNNNNNNNNNNNNNNNNNNNNNNNNNNNNNNNNNNNNNNNNNNNNNNNNNNNNNNNNNNNNNNNNNNNNNNNNNNNNNNNNNNNNNNNNNNNNNNNNNNNNNNNNNNNNNNNNNNNNNNNNNNNNNNNNNNNNNNNNNNNNNNNNNNNNNNNNNNNNNNNNNNNNNNNNNNNNNNNNNNNNNNNNNNNNNNNNNNNNNNNNNNNNNNNNNNNNNNNNNNNNNNNNNNNNNNNNNNNNNNNNNNNNNNNNNNNNNNNNNNNNNNNNNNNNNNNNNNNNNNNNNNNNNNNNNNNNNNNNNNNNNNNNNNNNNNNNNNNNNNNNNNNNNNNNNNNNNNNNNNNNNNNNNNNNNNNNNNNNNNNNNNNNNUGCUUGAUCUAGUCAGCGUGAUUGCACUUUGAGCAAGACGCCUCUAAUUUUGAGUCGGGCCAUGACAAAGAAGAGAGAGAGAGAGAGAGAUGCAGACAAAGAUGGGGGCUAAGUUGCGGAGGGCGUCGUUGGCGCUGGUCGGGGGAGUGACCGUAGGCUGCUGACAUUGAUUGGCAAUGGUGGGGGAGGGGGAGUGGUGGAAAGAGAGCAAUGAUGUGAUAGAAUAAAGGCUUUUCACCUGAUGGUGUAUCACGGGGUGCAUAAGUUAAUAGAAAGUGAGUAUUUUUGACAUCUAAGCGUCCUUUAAGAUGCAAUUCGGCUAAUAACAAAAAAAAAAAAAAAAAACACCAUCCAAAGCAACCUAAACACAAUCAAACUAGAACAGUACCAAACAUUUUGCUUGUCGGCAAGACUACUUCGCUGAAGCAGUUUCGAUUUAUUAAAAAAAUAAACCAAAACCAAAUUGAUCUAUCAUCGUAGUGGACAAGAAAUACCUACAUAAUAUCUGCAAAGUUGACUAGCACAAAAAAUGCAUGACAAAAUAAUAAUUCAAGUACCGUGGAGUGAAAUGAGACAGUCCAAGCACCUGUCGGUGGACUACUCGUCGAAGCUGAACUCGAGCACCAAGCUCAGUAAUCAAGCAUUCUCUACCUUCAAGCCCCGAUCCUCCAUGGAAGUCAACCUGUUCGAGCAAUUCAAUCAAUCGAUGGUGCACAAGUCGGAAUCAAACUGAUCGCUAGUCUUUGCCAAAAGCGUGCGCUCGAAGUGCUCUUUUGAAAAACCUUCCUAGCGAUGGCGAGAUUAAUGUUUUUCCUUUUUACUUUUAUAUAUGCUGGAGAAUGGGAGAGAUUGGAGCCAUAUUUUUUUCAAUUUUUUUGGAAAAUUCCAUUUUCGUAACUGAAGUUUGUCUAAGCUCUAUUUUGCCUUCCUGUAAGUUCUUCUGGCUUCAUUUUACACCCUUGGUUCUUUUUAUUUUUAUUUUUCUGGGUUUGAGUCAUUGUUGACCUCGAUAGAUAAUGUGUGAAGGCUCCUUUGCAAAAAGAAGACUCGCAUGUCGUACUAAAGUUGUAGAACCAUGAGAAGUGUCUCAAAUUUCUUCCAUCUGUUGCUGUGCAUCAGCAAAAAAAAAUAUUGACAAAGUAAUAUAGUUUCUUAGUUACAUUUUUACCCUUAUAUAUAUUUCAAUGGAAUGAUUUACCAAUUUUGGAAAAAUAGCAUUUCCAACCCCCGGCUCCCCGGGGGGGGGGGGGGGGGGGAGGGUGGGGUGGGGUGAGGAAUUUCCAACAAAGAUUGGCAAAGAUCGGUCAAACAAUCGACAACAACUAGAUGAGAAGGGGAAAAUUUGACUGGAUCUCAUCUAAGUAAUGGCUACUCUUAUUUGACACUCAUAAAUUACCUAUUAAUUUUCACACAGUGCAUAUGUAUCAAUUUCAGGACUUUUCUUCACAAGUAGUCAAGUUGAGCCUGAGCAUUUCAAAUAAAGGAAAGACUCAAAGCGAAUUAAAGAGAGAAUGCAUCAGUUCAUUUUAGGGCGUUCUUCUAUGGUGCUUGUUGCACCAAUUCUUUGAUCUGGGUUAGGUUGUAUUCUUCUCAAGAAGAGGAAAAAGAGUGGAAGCGAUACAAAUGCAGAAAAUAAGAGCACUGAUGAAGCAUCUACAUAUUCGUUCAUCUAUCGAACACCAACACGGGAAAGUAAUUCUUAUGAUGUAUUCUUGAGCUUUAGAGGCUCAGGUACUCACAAGAUCCUUUUUUUUCAUGUCUUCUAUCCAUUUCCAAAUCCGUUUUAACUCAAUAUGAUUUAUGAAAUUCUAAUCUUCAAUAUCCAAAUAACAAUCGAACUUACGCUUAAUUCUUUUAUAGCCCAAUUUAGAAAUUAACGUACACGUUAGUCGAGAAUGCACCAAGCCAACAAGUUUGACUUGACUAGAGGGUGAGGUCUCAAAGUAGAUGAAGGCAAGGACUAAAAGCAUCCGCAAUUGCUCCUUGUCCCUCAAUUACUAAUUUAUUAAAUCCAUCGCAAUAAAGGGUAAUGUCGUGUGGUUUGUAUGAUUGCAUGAGAUCCUUUUGAAAAAGAAGGCGCCCGCCAUUCUUGAGUUCUGUGGCUUGUAUGAUUGCAUGAGAUCCUUUUGAAAAAGAAGUAUAUCUGACAAUUGCAGUUCAAAUCUGUCAUUGAUUGUGAAUAACAGCAAUGUCCCUCCAGUCUUCCACUAACUUAGUUUGCUUAAAAUUUAUUCUUCCACAAAUCAAUUUUAAAGAUUAAAUUAAAAUCCUCCAAGCCCCGAUGGAUCUCAACCCGUUUGGAGCGAUUCGAGCGAUCGAUCAAUCGAUGAUGCACGAGUCAGGAAUGGAACUUCAAUCUUCUUGAGAGCACGUUCGUGCCCGAGUUGCUCUUGUUCGAUGAACCUUGCCAGCUAUGGCGGGAUUGCUGGAGAAUGGGAGAGAUUGGAGCCGAUUCCGUUUUCACGACUGAAGUUUGUUGAAAUUCUAUUUUUGCCCCCUCAAAAGAGCCAUGGCUCUUUUUACGUUAAUCUUUUCUUGGCUUGAAUCAUUCUUGAACUUGGUAGAUAGGAAUGUGGGUCAAGGCUUCUUUGCAUACAUAUGACUAUGGGUAGUCAUCUCAAAUUUUCUUUUUAUCUGUUGCUGUGUGUCAGUAAAAGGAAAAACUGGUAAAGUAAUACUUAUCUUAAUUUACAUUUUUACCUUUUACCUCUAUAUAUUUUUCAAUAGAAUGAACUUAAAAUAAUUUGGAAAGAUAGGUUUUCAAAGCUACUUUACUAUUUUGUGAAAAAGAAAAUACUGUUUUGCUGUGCCCGAAAUGUCGCGAUAGCGACGGGAAUUUCAUAAGUCGAAGCUCUCAUUUUACGGGACCAGUCCCACAUUCAACGUGGACCAUUGGAUAAGAAAGGGAAAAAAACUGGUCUGUCAUAUCUAUUUUGCAAAGUUGACUUUUGGUCGUAAUUUGAAUUUGCAGACGUUAAAGAAAAGUUAUGAAUGCAAACGUGAUCAAACUUUCAAUUGAAUAAAAAAAAUUAAGAUGAGUAAGGAAAAUUACCAACAUAUAAGUCUCAAAACAUUACAAAAUGUAAAGAAAGUUACUAUCAUUUUAGAUAUUUCAUUAAACCUACAAAAAAGAAAUUUACCUUAAAUUGAAUAAAUUACUGUUUUUAUGAAAUAUUACAAAGCACGGAUUCCAAAGAUUUAUGCCCUCCAAAUGAAUAUUACAUCCUCCAUAAGAAAAAUUACAAAAGUAUAUUAUACAGAUAAAUUUCUAUUAGUGAGGAUGAUUAUGUUUGCCGAACGAAAGUUAAGAUCUAUUAGAUGAUUUACUAAUAAUAAGAAAAGAAAUUUAUUAUAAAUUUAGGUAGAUUACAAUUUUUAAUGGAAUAUUACAAACUAUAGGACCUACAGAGCUUACGACUACAUAAGGAAAUUAUGUCAUGUUCAAAAGUUAUGAGAUCAUAUUUUAUUAGAAGAUUACUGUUAGUGAGGAAAAUGACCGAUACCAAAGAAAAAUCACGAUCAAUUAGACAGGAUCCAGUCCAUUUUCCUUUCAGAUUUGGUUGUUGUUGAUCAUUAGAUUGAUCCUUGCCAAUCCUUAGGUGGCUUUGAGUUGUGAAGAAUAUGGAGAAUUUGUUUAAAUCAAAAUGGUGUGUCGUAGCUUUGAAUAGAUUUGCAGAUUCCAUUUGGGUAGUUUUGGGAUUUCAUCUUCCAUUUCGCUGCUUUCGUUCUUGUGCUAAUUUACAAGUAUAAUGCUUACUCUGCCCAAAAGCUUUCUUAUUCUGCCCAGAUUUAGUAUUUUUUCUUUUUAGGGGGGUUCCUUGCCUUAAAUUUUUUUUGACUAAUUUAUUAUGCAUCAAAUUUGACUAAUAGCAGAAACAUGCUUGAAACAAUCACAUUCUGCUUUUCUGAUAUGAUGAUUCAAGCUCUUGUUUUACACCAUGGUGGAUUUGUUCCAUUGAUACAUGUCUUGUACCUUGGAAUGAGAGAAUGAGCUUGCAAAUUACAUGAAAAAAGAAGAAUUUAUUGAGACUGAGACCCGAAGAUUUAGAUUAAUGGUCAAGCAAUUGAGUCAUUCCAUUUUAACACCUAAUGUCAAUUGAAUUCGUGAACAAGAAGGGCGAUACCUUUUUCAAUGAAAUAACAGUGGCCAUAAAGGCAAAAUUCCUCAAACAUUACAAGAAUGUCUCGCUCUUUUUUUUUUUUUUUUGGUAGCCAUUGCCUUGGCUUCAAGGUUCAAGUUGGAGGGGCUUACAAUGCUUCUUGUUCCAUAUUACAAAUCUUUGGGACUGAGUCAGGAGCUCCAACUGGAGCACCUAUUGGCGAUAACGAUGAGUUGACUCUCAAAUAUGCAUGUGGCAUAUGUGGGUCGAUAUAAUACAAUCCAUCCACAGAGAAAGAAUGCAACCUCAUUAAGUAGUGCCCACAAACCUCUAUGGUCUUUGCUUCGAAGAACACCGCACGGCCUGCUAGGUAUUCAUCUUCAUUGUCUACUGGUGAAUUGGAGAUGUAAUUGGGAAUAGAAUAGACUACACCAAGCACAUUAAUAGAGUUGGUGAAAAUAACCUCGAGAAUGUGAAAUGGUGGAACUCGUGACUUACUCACUCCACUAACAUAUACGGCACCUUCGAAGUCUAUGUUCACUACUAGCCAACUUUUCGAAGUCAAAUAGAUCCAACUUGUUUGCGUGAAAUUUGGAAAUAAUUACCGUAGGGUGAAAUUAGUUUUUACAAGAAUCAACUCCAGAGGAAUGUACCCAACAUGGACACAAGAACAACAAUGACACUGUAUAGUCCAAAUCAUGGUGAGGAUAUGAAUUAGUAUCGGAUGAAAGAGGGAAGAGUCAAAGAUCCAAUGGUGUUCCAUUUAUCCUACGAUUGCUCUGGAAGACACUUGGGCUUCAUUCGUAUCGCGGAAAAUAGUUUCCAGGAAAAGUUUUUCGGAUUUUUCAAAAUUCAUUUAAUAGAAAAUGAACUAGUUAAGAAAAACAUUUUGCAUUAGUAGCAAAAAGUUUUCUAAAAUAGGGGAAAACAUUUUCCUCACUUACUCUAUCUUAUCUCACACCCUUGCUAGCCUCUUCUUCUUUCUUUUUUUCUUUUUUUCUUUUUUUUUUAAUUUUUAAUCUUUUUUCUUUUUUCUUUUUUUCGUUUCUUUUUUUUUUUCCUUCUUUUCGGGCCCAUCCCGUGGUUGGCGAUUGACCAAAGAAGAAGGAGGAAAAGAAAAAAAAAUAAAAGGUAAAAAUAGAAAAGAAAGAGUAAAAGAAAAAAAAGUAGAAAGAAAAUUUAAAAGUAAAAUAAUCAAAUUUGAUUUUUUAAAAAUAAAAAAUUAUUAAAAUGAGUGCACAAUAAGAAAUCAAAUCGAAUUUUCCACACUGAAUGGCGAAAAAUAUUUUCUAGUUCAUUCUCAUGUUUCAAGCAAACACCGGAAAAUAUUAUUAUUUUCUUAAAAAAUGGCUUUCUUAAAAAUAUUUUCCAGAACCACAAUAUUUUAUGUGAAACGAAUGAAGCCAUGGAGAGUGCCUAGAUACCUUUGAUUCCCGGGGUUUAUGACUAAUAAGAGCUGGCAAAAAUCAGAUUUUUCAUAUCAUCAUAACUAUCCAUUAUCUAUUAAGCCAAAAAACGACAAGUAUGUUCCUAGCAAAAGGCAUAAAUUUCAAUAGUUUUAUAUGUUACUCCUUUUAAUAGCAUUCUCAUGAUAUGGAGCAAUUACUCUGUAAAUAUGAUAUAUAUGCUGAAUUGUAUCUGGACCAAAAAUGUUGGAUGUAAUGUAAAUCUCAUUAAAAAAAAAAAAAUUCACGAUCAACAUAAGCAAAGCAAGCAGGAGAGAAGAAAAUUAAUUUUAUGACUUUAAAUAAAGAUGAUAAUUUGACCAACUUAAUGAAGUAACUACUUUUGGUUGUGCUGAUUUAUAUUUUCACGUAACAUAUAGCUUUCAAAUGUAAAUUUCAGCCGUCCUCAAGCACUUGAUGAUAAACUAACAUUAGGAUCAAACCUAUUGCAUAUUCAUUCAUUCACAUCUAUGGACUGUGACUUAUAUUGGCUCACUCUUGUCAAUUUAAAGGAAAAAGAGUAUAAUUAUAGAAGAAUAACAUUACCAUGUAUGCUAUCAGAACAAUAUAAGUUACUGAGAGUCAAUAGGAAAAUUGAAGAGUUUGAUGUAUAACAUAUUUACGAAGCAUUGUCGGACAUCUAGAUUUUAUUAAAAUACUUAAGAGAAACCAUGCAAACCCUAUAAGAAACCCAAUUGUAAAAUGCAAAUUUUGGUACAAUUAUUAUCUUAUAAUUUUUUGCUGCAUCAUUUAUUUAUUAAGUUUAUGCAAUAUUUUCAAGAUAAAUAAUGGCCUCUCCUCUCUUGAUGCAACCAAGCAAGUGAGAUGGUAGAAGACUUUGACUUGCUUGUAAUUGCUAGAAUCUUCCCCCUAGGUUUUGCCAGCUUUUAUCUUAUCCCUUUCUUUGUAGCUAAGCAAGCAAGAUGGUGGAAGACCUUAACUUACUUUUUCUCCCCCUUCCUUUUUCCCUCCUUUCUUUUGAGUAGGUCUUGUUGACUUUUGCCUUAUCACUUUCUUUGCGACUAAGCAAGCAAGAUGGCGGAAGACUUAGACUUGCUUUCCCUCACCAGAGAAUUUUUUAAAAGGUAAUUAACUCAAUUCAUAGAAAAAUUGAUAUGAAAUCUCCGAAAAAUUCUUUUUCUUAAUAAAGAUUUCUUUUGCAAAAUGCAAAUACUGACGUGAGCAUGCUAUGUAUGGAGAAAUAUCCUAUUGACCCAAUUUGGCGUCAUGCUUGAUUGCUGCAACAACAUAUUUGUUCUUGAGAUAUAUAUCCUUGAUGAUGGCCCACUACGGUGUUGGGCUCUACAUUAGAUCUAAUGGAGAUCCGAUGUUGUGUAUAGCUCGAUGCAUGCCAGAAUGACUCAAAUGCGACGUUAGAUCUAGUCAAGUGUCAUUACAGCAAGAUGCCUCUAUUUUUGAGUUGAGCCAUGACAAAGGGUGUUUGGGGGGGGGGAGAGAGAGAGAUAUUUUUGAGUUGAGCCAUGACAAAGGGUGUUGGGGGGGAGAGAGAGAGAGAGAGAGAGAGAGAGAGAGAGAGAGAUUGCGGGGGAGGGGAUAAGUUGUGGAAGGCAUCAUUGGUGUUGGUUAGGAUAGUGAAUAUGGGAUGGUGACAUUAAUUGGUAGUGGUAGGGAAGGGGGGUUGGCGUAGAGAACAAGAGAGAAACGAUGCGGUAGAAUAAACGGUAUUUCAUGUGACAAUUGUAUGGAGGAGGUUUGGCUGAAUUGCCCUAAAUUGAUGUUGCCCUAAAUUGAUGUUGUCAUCUGGACGUGAAGCUCAUUGAUAUCGUGAGAAAGAUCAUGUUUGGAAGACUAAAAAAGAUAGGGAACAAACGACGUACCACUCAAUUGUUGGUCAAAGCAAUAGGCAAGUAAAGAAAAAGCUCAUGUAGUUGUCACACCACAUACAAUGGGCUCCAUAUGCUGGGGUUACCACACUCGAGCAUGAGGCCAACUAAGGAGUCCCGUGAAAGCAAAUGGAAAAAUCAAUUUUAUUUUCUCUUCGUUAAUUAACAUGAAUUGCAUAUAGACAUGAUUUAGACUCAUAAAAAAAUAUAUAUGAAAUUAAAUACUUUGAAUUCAUAAAAAAGCGUAUUUUUUAAAUUUUAGCUAAUCCAUAUAUGAUAUGAGUCACUAAAUAUGAGUUAAAAUGUAAAUUUUUUUACCAUUUCAAUGCCUCUAGCAGUGAGAAGCUUUCAUUUCAAUGGGAAGGGAAAGCAAAAUGUUGUCCAUCUUCACUUCGAUUUAUGUGGUCAUGCCAUCCCAUUACAUAGAGAACUAACAAAAGUUGAGAGUUAAUCGGUUACGGUAGUACUUUUUUUCAACAAGGACGCGUAAAUCCACGGUGGGAUUGUGUGUAUCCCAAGCACAUGUGGCUCAUCUUUUGAGGUAAGAGGGGAAGUAAUUUCCAAUGAAGUUGCCAAUUAAAGUAGAUGACUGUGUCAGACCAAAAAAAAGAAAAAGUAAUUGAUUGUGGGGCUCUUUUGAAAUAGUAUCGUGUGAAAACUAAUUUCCAUUGUGAACACCUUGACUUCAACAUAAAAGUAUGUACUCUUUCAAUUAAUGGGGCAGGAAAAGCAAAAGGCGAGGAUAAAGCAAAAAGUAUCGCCCAUCUUCAAUUUGAUUUGAGUGGCCACGCGGUCCAAUUACAAUCUAAUUGCUAUGACAAUCAGCAAUAGGGGUGCCAAUCAAUCAAUAAUUCGAGUGGCAAAGCGGAGCCAUUGUCAAAAGGUGCGGAUAAAGCAAAAAGUAUCGCCCAUCUUCAAAAAGUUAAUUUUCACUAUGAUUUGCUUGGCCAAUGGAUCCAAUAACAAAAAGAACCAACAAGGAAAGUCUAUAGAGGGGUCAUCUUGGCAAUUUCGAGGAAGGAAUUGUUUUGGGGUCUUGGCCAAAAAGGUUAAAAUCAAAAGAAGACAUGAGAGGAAAUAUCUAGAACCGGUCGUGAACUUCAUGGGAGGAAAGUGACCUUCUUUCAUUCUAAAAUGAUUUAAUAUGCAAUAUAUUUGUAGGAAGACAUAUGCGGAUUGGAUUAGAGAAACUUAUCAUUUAGUGUGAUUUCCAUAUGAUUUAAUGGGAGAAAAUUAUCAAUUUUUUUUAAAUUUAUUGUAUUUAUGCCCAAUUUAAUCAUAAAUCUUUUAAUUCAACUAGCUUAAUCUUCAACUUAUUAACAAUUUCCUAAUAUAGGCUAGUUAAAAAUCUGGAUGAUGGGCAUCUUAUAUGGCAUGGCUGGCGAGAACUUGCAACCUGACCGUAGAGGGCUCUCGGCUCUUGCUUGCGGUGUAUGAGGGCAGCGAGCCCUCGCCCUUCACCUACCAAUCAGCUAUUUGAUUCACCGUUCUGCCACGGUGGGCCACCGAUAUUCUUUUGAAAUUUUGGGCGUCCAAUACACGUGCCUCCAGCUAAACAUGGCACGUGAUUAUGCUCCUGCAGAGAGAGUCAGCACAGAGCCGCGUUGUCCGACUCCCAAGUAUAAGUUGUCUCUACUUCUUGAUCUGAAGCACAUCGAAUCCUCUUACCAGAGCGAGAGCUUCAGCUUGAAUCGGCAGAGGGAGCAAGGGAUCUUCUUUCUCGCGAAUCCAUCGAGCAGUACGCCUGAGGCCGUCACGAAGAGCACCUGCAAUCGCUCCUUCCGAACCACCACCGGCUUCAAAGGACCCCAUCGAUAGUUUUCUUGAGGGACUGGGUAUUCGGCGGGCAGCGAUUAACAGGUAAAAUCAACUCGAAUCGUGUCGAGUUUCCAACUUUUUAGUGUUCCGCUCGCUAUAAUUUCUGAUCGCAGACUCCGCUGAGGCGAUUAGGGUUCCUGGGUUUGGUGGCGCGGUCUUCGCUGGGAACACGAGGGUCGUUUCUGGGAUCUCCAGAUAUACCAGAGAAAAGCUGCGAUUUAAUCGAGAGAUAGUAAGUUCCUUGCCUGUUGUUGGUGAUUUUGUAGCCACUGCUCGUCCUUUCUUGUGAUGUUCUGACCUGAGAUGAUCUGCAAAUUUACCUCGGCGUAUUUCCAAACCAAGCCGGUCCAGGUCAAGGCGUGAAGGUGAUCCUUGGGAUUGUGCUGCCUUACGGGACUCAGACACGACUCGAUCUGCUUCGAGGCGACUUCUUCUCAAACACUGAAACCCAUCACAGUGAGCUCCUCGAGGUAAGCACGACCUUUAUUCUCCAGUCUAUUACAAUUGAUCGGACAAAUAAUAAAAUACAUCUGAUUAUUACUCAUAAGGCAUACGAAAUAUUACAUGUGAAACUCCCUCAGACUUUUUCAAAAUCAUCAGCACAUAUUUAUUGCUAAUUUUUCUUACUACAAUCUUCUCAUUUAAACUAAUUGGUUAUGAAUGGUUAGACAGAUUGAAUUUGGUGGAAUCACAUGCUGCCCCUCAUCCCGAUAUUGUUUGCAAAACAUUAAUGGUUGACUGAACUCCCUUGGGACAAAAGGCCUGUCUUAAGAUUACGAAAAUACCCUUCUAGAUGCAAUAAAGCCUGAAACAUCCAAAAUACUCAGUUUUUGGAAAAGUAUUUUUUUUCCCUUGGAAGCAGUUAAAAACUAGAUUUUUUUUUUCAAAUAUCGAUUGUGCUGGUCUAUUCUCUUCAAUAAUCGCACAAAACCUUUCAAAGGAAUCAAAAUUAUCAACAACAAAAAAAUUAUCUGAACAAUCGGAUCAACUGCAGAAUUUUUGAAUGUCCAUAAAGCUAUUUUCCAUUAUAUUGGCAAUUUUCGUAAUUUCCGGAAAAUGACAGAAAAUUCAAAUAUUUUUCAGAAAUUAUACACUAUUGCAAUUUUUUUUAAAAUUUUUUUUAAAAUUUUUUUAAUUUUUAAUUUUUUUUUCGUGUUGGUUACCAUAGAGAACUUGAAAUUGAGCAAAGCUGCUGGUUUCGAUGCGCUUACACAUAUUUAAUAUGUGGACAAUUUUUAGGUGGACUGUGUCUUAGCGGAUUGAAUUAGAGAAACUCAUCACAAAGUGUGGUUUUCAUGUAAUUUAAAUGCUUACAGCAAAUACAUGACUUUUACGUAUAUAUAGCAUAGAAAGUUACUGACCUACCAUAGAUUUGACAAUAUGAUUAAUGCAUGUUCAGGGUGGGAGAGAAUGUAGCAUUUACAGGAGGAAGAACGUCUUUGAUAAUAUCAUAAUGAAAAAUUAGCAAGAGCCACAUUUAUCUGUUUAACAAAAUGGUUUAUACGUAGAUAUGAACAGAAUUGGUCAAUCUGUAUUCUGGUCCAAAUAAUUCUCUCUCUCUCUCUCUCUCUCUCAUGUUUGGCCUCUCUUUUGCAGAACAAUUCAAAACUAUCGUCCUCAUUCGCUUUCUUUGAUCUUUUCCCUCUUAAAAGUUCUCACCUAGGCUUGUUUAGGGUCUCCUCUGUCCGAUCUCGCACCUCUCUUUGCGUCUCAGCUCACGGGAGGUAAUUGACUUUUCAUAUCUAAUUAGCGUGUUGUUUCUAUUGAUCGGCUGCUUUGUUAUUGUAAUGAUGAUGGGCUGAACUAGUGUGUUUUGGGCCCUUUUUGUCUAUUGGCGAUGUGGGGUGGCUGCUGAAUAGCUGAGGAGGGUCUUUUAUUCUCUCUUUGGAGUCGCUGUGGCCUGUUAACGAGGUAUGUCCCCCAGCUCAGAUUUGACUUCGGUGAAAAAGGAAUCCUUUGUUUUCAACUUCAGAUGUGGCUAAUGCUCCGAUGGCCUUGUUGUCUGAUUGUUAGUUUCAUUGCGAUUCUAUUGUGCGCAAAAUAUCCAUAUUGUGCUUGAAUCCAAAGAUCAUUUUUUUGUGCGUUGUAAGGUUCCUCUGUGUUUGAAGGUCCUAGGUCAAUUUAUAGAAAAAUAAAUCAGAAAAAUAAAAGUAGGCUGGUUCAGGGUCAGCUAGUUUGGUUCUUACAUACAAAAAUGGAGAACUGAUUAUUAUUGAACAAAUUCCUAAUUCUUAGUUUAGAACCCACUCAUCCCGAAAUCGAUGAUCCUAAGAGUAAGUCUUAUCUUAAGGAGACUUCAUGGGACAAUUUUACCUCCCUAUAGAACAUUCCAAAUGAGUAAUAUUCUGUUUUCCUCGAAUUGUUGGACCAUUAAUCCUAGAAAGUAUAUUCCCUUUCACAUUUUCUCCCUUCUUUAUCAAGAAAAAGAAAAAGAAAGAAAAGCUCAUUUUCUCUUUCCAAAGCUUUAAAGCUUGACCGGGUCUUUAUUUGAAAAAAGAAAAAGAAAAUGAGGAAUAAAAAAGUACAGUGAAAGUUUGAGCAUUUUAACUAUAUUGCUACUUUUCACCUGCUCUCAACAUAAUUUCAAUCAUCACAGUGAAAAAGAUACCAAAAUCCAUAAUAUGAUAUUUCUUAAGAUCUUUUACAUGAUAUCCAAUAGUUAUUAAAAAAAAAAAAAAACAUAGUUCAAUCUGACACAUGAAAACAAUCAAAUGAGGCGAGCCAAUACACGUAUAUUAUUCGCCUAGCUUUAAAUCACUCGUUUCUUACACCUUUUGUGAUACAAACGACAAAUUCGUUCUUGAAAAUGUGAUUAAUCAAUUUAACCUGACUGAGCACAAUUCAGCCGAUAAUCCUAUUCUACUUCUAUUUAAUUGGAUUAAAAAAAAAAAUCUUUGCAGUGAUAUUCUCAAGGUCGGCCCUCCAACAAAAAUGGGGACAAGCACUAAACGCCAUUGUUUCAAACCUUGGUCGUCUCUGAAUUUUCCUCAGCAGCUUCCUUUUACUUCCUUUCUUAUCUUCUUCUCCUUCUUCCAUGGAAUCAGUACCUACUUUCUAAUCGUUCAGAUUAACAUGGAGAAAGAAAAGAGUGCAUAAAAAUAGAGCACUGAGGAAGCAUCCACUCUUCCGUUCGGUGCCAUCUAACAAUUUAUAGCUCUAUUUCAAAGACAAGAUAUCAGUCAAGUGGACCCGGCACAGAAUAGAUGAAAGAUAAAUAACCACGAGCAUUUGUUUAUCUCAACCCCACAUUUCCAAUUUUGUCUCAGCUCAAUUAUCAGCUUUUAAAUGAUUUAUCAAAUUCUUUGACAAAAAUUGAUUUAUCAAAAUCUUAUUUUCAAUGAUCAAGUAAAAACUGAACCACUACAUAUAAUUUUGAACGAAUGCAAUAUGCUUGUACAUAGAUUCCAUUAUUCUAUAGCCCAAUUAAGAAAUUAAUGUACGUGUUAUACGUUAGGGGACCAAAGCCGGCAAGAUUGACUUGACUAGAGGAUGAUAUCCAAAAGAAGAUAAAGCAAGGAUUGAAAGCAUCAGCGACUGCUCCUAGUCAAUCAAAUAAUAAUUAAUUAAUAAUUUUAUGUUUAUUUUUUCUUGCUUGGUAAAAGAUUUCAUGUUUAUACUUGUUCAUACUUCAUAGAGACUAAUUAUCAAUCCUUUUUAUGCAGCAGGAGAGCAUCUUUCUCUCCAACUUUCCCACUCAGAUUGCCAUCGACAAAGGGCGGAGUCACACUGAAACAAACGAAGGGAUGCACCCUUUAAUAAUGGGGCGUUCUCCCGCGGUGCUUGCCACGACGAUUCUUUUUAGUAUGCUUGCAUUCUAUCUUGUCAAGAAGAAGAGAGCAUCCACACCUUCGAAAAACUCUCCAACACUCGAAGGAAUACGUAACGAUAAUUAUGAUGUGUUCUUGAGCUUUAACGGGUCAGAUACCCGCAAGGGAUUCACCGAUCACCUCUAUCACAGUCUAAUCAGGGUAGGGAUUGCACCAGUUUCUGUGUUCAAGGAUGAUAAGAGCAUCCAAAUUGGUGAGGAAUUCGGUCCACAAAUUCUCGAUGCCAUCGCUCGGUCUAAGAUUUCGAUUCUCAUCAUCUCCGAAAAUUAUGCUUCAAGCAAAUGGUGCCUCCUCGAGCUUAUUCAUAUCAUGGAUCGUGUGAAGAGCCCAUCACACACAGUUUUGCCCAUCUUUUAUAAAGUGGACCCAUCGCAUGUGGGGAAUCUAAAGGGAAACUUUGGUAAGAAGGCCUCUCAUACAUGUAAGAAGUAUAAGAAGUGUUUUAAUGAGGAGAACAUCCAGAAAUUGCGGAAAGCACUCGAAGACGUGAGUCAUUUACAAGGAUGGGAGUCUCAAAAAGUUGCUGACGGGUACUUUGCUUCUACCUAAACUUCUCUUUUUUGAUAAGUAAGUUUUUGGAGAAAUUACCAAAAAAAAAAUAUUAAACCUAUUAUAACAGUGAUAAUUUAGUUCUAGAAUUUUUUAUUUAGUCAUUUUAAUCAUAAAGCUUUUGAAAAUCUACCAAUAUAGUCCUUCUGGCUGAUUUUAGCUAGAAAUCCCUUCUUUCUCUCCGGCUGCCGACCUCCUUGAUGGCCGGCAACAGGCCACAUACUAGGGUUAGUGAGGCUCGCCCUCCCUGUCAAGGGCCAACCUCGCCGGAAUCUGGUCCUUCUAAAGAGGUCAGGCCAACACAAACUAAUAACCCUAAAAAAAGGAAGGAAGAACAUCAGAAAUCGGGAAUCCAGAAACGCAAUCAUUCGAGAACACGAUUAUAUUUGCAGAAUUAAUGGGGAUGUCGCAAGCGAAGUGGUUGAGGGGGAGCCACUGUCCUUUUCUUCCGCAGAUUCACUUCCUUCUUCGCCUUCGACUCCACUCCACCUACCAAAAAUGGGGGACGAAAAUGGAAUCACCACUUCGUCGCUGCCGUCGUCAUCUCGCUCUUCUUUGUCUCUGUCUUCGUCGUCAAAGUAACAGUCCCUCUGCUCCGCUGCCUCCACCGGCCCCACCUGCGCCGUCCAGUCGAAGUUCGCCAGCACGUUCUGGCUGCUGACGAACCUCCUCAUCUGACCCAACGACGGCCCUCUCUUAUUGGAAAAACUCUCGGUCUCCCUCCUUGCGAUUCUCUAUAGGACCACUAGAAGGACCAGAUUCUGGCGAGGUCAGCCCUCAUAAUGAGGCAGCCCUCGUCUAUGGCCGGUGACCGUAGAGAAAAAAAAAAAAAAAAAAAAAACAAAACAAAAAAUAUAAAUAAAUUAAAUCAAGUUCAGAAAAAAUAAUAAAAAAUAAUAAAAAUUCGCCAUAUCAAUACUAGGGGUAUACAUAGAUUUCUAGUCAAAAUUGAUUGGAUAGAUUGUAUUUGCAUAUUUUCAAAAUGUUUAGGAUUAAAUUAACCAUAAAAAAAUUAAAACUGAACAGAUAUAAUUAUAAUAAAUUUAGGACUUUUUUAGUAAUUAUCCCGUAAAUUUUCUUGUUCAUGCGAAACAGAUGAAUUGCGGUUGUCUCCAACAGAGCAAAAAUCAAAGAAAUGACUACCCCUCCAGCCAAUAGUGUCAAUCACCAAACAAUAUGCUUAGAAAGGACUCGAAUGCUCAGUAUUUCAAAGCUUUAUCACCGCCAGAUAAAAUAUACCUCCUCAUGUGAAUGGAAGUUGGCUCUGGUGAAAAGGAUCAGACACUUCACAUUUACCAUGUCUAGGUUUGAUUUCCACUGUCAGUAGACCCCAUUGGUAGCGAUUUGUAAAUCAACUAUAAGUCCUCAAUUUUGGCAUGUGAGAUGCCCUGGCCUUAGAGCGGAGUAACCUACUUUUCUCCUAAACUUCUUUAAUUAAAACAAAAUUGGCCUCCUAUGAUUUAACUAGCAUCAAUCUUAAGCCUUGUAACAAACAUUACACUUCUAAAGACUCUUAACGAGCCACGCGCACCGUCUUAUUUUCUUUCAACAAGAUCCAUCUAGCAAAAGAGAGAAGACAAAAUGAAAUGACCGCUGGCCACCAUACCCCAUUGUUAUUUGUAAAACCAAAAUAUCUUGCAUGUUAAUUGGUCCCAUCCAUUCUUCACAUGCCUGUCGGUGCCUUUUGAUGAGUUUAAGUAUAAUCAUGAAAUUAUCAACGAGUUUUUUUGUUGGACAGGCAUGAAGGAGAAUUAGUGAAAAUAGUUAUCGAAAAUGUUCUGAGCAAGUUGCAACAAGAUUUUCAGCUUGAUGUUACUGAGCACUUAAUUGGAAUUGAUGAUCAUGUGAAUAGAAUCAUGAAAUGGGUAGACACUCCUACCACUAAUGCUCGAAUGAUUGGAAUCUAUGGCAUGGGUGGGAUUGGAAAAACGACUCUUGCCAAGGUACUCUAUAACCAGCUGUUGAAUGACUUUGUGCAUCGUAGCUUCCUUGCAGAUAUUCGAGAAACAGCUCGCCGCAAUAAAAUUGCUUAUGUACAAAAGCAACUAAUUAAGGAUAUUCUGCAAAUUGACCUUGAAUUUGGGAAUGUUGAUGAUGGAAUUAGUUUGAUCGAAUCUAGAUUCAGAGGAAAAAAGGUUCUCAUUCUUCUGGAUGAUAUAGAUCACGAGGAUCAAUUAAAUGCUUUGGCUAGAGAACAUAAUUGGUUUAUGGCGGGAAGUAUAAUUAUUGUUACAACCAGAUACAAAGCCAUUCUUGAUCGAUCUAAAUUCGCUGUACACGAGUAUGAUUUGAAUGAAUUGGAUCAGGAGCAUGCUUUGCUUUUGUUUAAUAGACAUGCUUUUGGUACGGACUAUUCUCUGAGGGACUUUGAGGGUAUAUCUGGUGAUAUCGUAUCCACCAUGGGUGGGCUUCCCUUGGCAGUUAAGGUUGUAGGUUCAUAUUUGAAUAAAGAAAUGAAUCGAGAAGUAUGGGAAGAGGUGCUGGAUAAGUUAAAAACCCAACCACAUGAAGACGUCCAAAAAACAUUGCGAAUAAGUUUUGAUGCAUUAGAAGACGGACCUAAGCAGAUUUUUCUCGAUAUUGUUUGUUUCUUUAUUGGCGAAAUGAGUAAAUACGCCAUGUACAUGUGGAAGGACUGUGGGUUUUAUCCAAUUCAAGGUAUUAAAGAGUUGAAGUUGAGGUGCUUAAUUAAAAUUGGAGAUGGUGGUACAUUUAAGGUGCAUGAUCAAUUGAGAGAUCUUGGAAGGAGCAUUUUUUGCGAAGGACAACCGCUUGACAAACGUAGCGGACCAUGGGACGACGACUACAAGGGAGUCCCAAAAGUACUAAGAAUCUUUGUACAGGUAAAAUAUGGCACUACCUUCUUUUUCUUUCCCUCUUAUUUUAAUAUAUUUAAUCUUAUCUAUUCUAAUAUUUCAUCUAGGAUGAACAUAUGCUCUUACUUUUUAGGAUAAAAAGAUCUAUGUAAACAUCCAUUUAUGUCCAUCUUAGAUUAUUUGUGACAACUAAAUGGAUUAUAAGUAUUUAAAGGAUGAAAAAGUUAUACCAUUUGAUUCGAUUUCAUUGAUAUAAAUUACAUCUGUAAAGAUUUGCUUGACAAUCAAUUUAAGAUCCUUUAGUUAUAAUUUUGCUCUAUAAAACUCAUUUACUAAAAGCAUGCCAUUGUCAUAUCUAGUUGAAAAUAUUGAUAAUCUGAAGGAAUACAAGAACAAAUGUAGAUGAAGUAUAAAUAUCAUAGAUCAAAUAAAUGAAGAUUUCUGGUUUAAAAAAAAAAGAAAAAAAAGAUAGUAUGUGCCGAUUACAAUAACUGAUAAUUAAUUCAAAACAAUAAGAUUCGAAAAAAUCUCACACUUUUGACAUGUGCUUACUUUCUAGUAUGGUGGAAUGUACUAGGGGGCUCUUGUGAUUCGGGAAUCCAAUGUUUGAUAUUAUUUUCUCCAUUUUGAUUUUGAAGAUAUCGGUCCCUCUAUUAGUUAUAUCUAUCUCUUUACAUCCUUAUUUCCUCUUAAUAGAUAAGAUAGCAAAAAUCCCCUUAAAAAUAUUUUUAGGAAGAUCUUACUGUUUUCAAAAGUUUUAUCUCGUUGACCUUGCUCAUUUUAUGGAUUAGGUUAGGUGUAUGAUAAAGAGUGGAUUUUCUUGUAACAAACAUUUCUAUCCGUUAUAAGUUGUUUUAUAUUAUUUAUAUUGUUGGGGACAAUGCCUCUUUCAUGCCAGAAACGUCUAGACUGACUUGACUAUUUAUAAAAUAAAUAAAUAAAAGAAAACUUGACCAAUUAAAGGAAAUGUCAUGCUUAUUAUUAUAUCCAUACCCUUGUCUUCUGAUAUGUGAUUUUCAGCAUGAAGCCAAUUUUUUCAACUAUGUUUUAUCUUUUACUUAAAUUAUCAAUGUUCGUGUCAUUUAUUAUUAUACAUUGUCCAUUUGGGAUGCCUCAUAAGCUCAUGGCUAAUCAAAGGCGAGGAAUUAGCCCUAGCAAUUAACCAAGAGAUGGGCAAACAAAACGGCUUUAUAUUCUUGAUAUAAUUUGAAAUAGUUCGUUCCUAUGAUUCCAUAUCACACUCGUUUGUUGAUCCAAUAACUUCUUAACAUUAGCAAAAGGAGCACACCAUACUGGUGUUUGAAAAAUGACCCAAAAAAAAAAAGUCAAAUCUGUUUUGAAUGGACAAAAGACAAUAAUUAGUGUGGUAAAAAAAUUAAAUGAUUGUACGAUUCGAGAGAUUUUGAUUUAACUUUGGAAAUUGAAAUACUUAUGGUAAUAAUUUUCAAUUGUCUUGACUAUUUCAAAUAUGAUUAUGUCUAUUUUGUUACAUUCUAUUUGUUCAGUUCAUUUUGGUGAAAUAUAUGUGUAUUGUUGUGGAAACUUUUCGCGAAAGCUUGAGUUUGAAACCCUCUUUCCAUAUAAUAGAUUUUUUUAAUGUAAUAUACAGUAUAGAUGAAUGUGCAAGCAAAAAUUAUGAAAGCUAGUAUGGGAUGGUGAUUGCAACAAUUUAGUGACUUUUAUGAUGAACGGACCUAAGAGAAAUUAUACCAUUGCAUUUCUAUGGUUAAUAUUUAAAACAGAGAUAACAACAAACGUGCCAAACCAUAAAAGUGAAUUUCUAACCAAUUAAACUUUUUGGGGGAAAAUAUAGGUAUUAUUAUAAAAGUCAAUCAAAGCCAUGGGGGAAUUUUUUUUCACCAUCUUCAACUCAUUAAAUGAUCUGUUUUAGCAGGAAAGUUAAAGAAUAUGUUUUUUGAUUUAUAAGAUGGAAAAAGAAACGAUGCCAUUCUUAUGGAAACGGACAUAUGAUGAUUAAACAAUGUCAUCGCGUCACUUUUUAGUUAAUCGGUUCAUGUUUUAGCUAUUCUGAAAGCGACUUAUUUUUUUCAAUCCCUAUUACAACUACUAACCAAUGUCAACACGUCACUUUUUAAACAUACUUUACCGCAUAAAAAAAAACAUUUCAAUUUUCAAAGAAAUGAGUAAACACUUAACACAAAUAGUUAAUGAUGUUAAAGAUAGUUAUAUAUCUUCUAGAGAUAUUUAGUAUAUUUAUUUUGAUUUUGCAUAUCAGAUUUGAUUUCUUUUUAUUUCCCUCCAUGUAAUCUUCUUUAUAUAUUGAAAUAUAUUAAAAAUUUCCUUUUUUUUCUACAUUUAACUAAUGAAAUGAAAACCGGGUGCUUCCUUAGCUACUUACAAGUGGCCCAUUGGCACUUUUUAACAUAUUCUUUAGAGAAAUUAUAGAGAAGUCAUAUGAAAAUUUACAAUUAAACAUUUGUACGUUGUAAAAUGGUUCCAUGUAUUUCAUCUUAAAUAAAAGUCAAAGUGCACGCGCUACAAAAUUUGAAAAAAGAAGAAGCAAGAGACAAAACAUUGAGGUGCAUUUUGCCUUAGUUUAAAGCAAUAACUUUUUUUUUUUCUUUAUCUUUGUGUCAUUAGCUUAAUUUUCGAAAGGUCGUCAUAAAAAGAAUUAUAUGUGAGUUUAUGUGUCCGUAUCUUUAUUGGGGAAGGAUAAAAAGGCAUCAACUCGUGCAAAUCCGAGAUUUUUAAAAAGCAAAAAACUAAAAAGUUAAAAAACUUGCAGAGACUCCCCUUGGUAGAAAACUUGCAGUUGCAGAGAUACUUUUCGUUCCACGACUUUUUUGGGGCAACUUCAACCAGACGCGUCGAGCAACUUUCCGAAGUGAGAUGGCUUCAGUGUAAUGAUCGUGGAAGGAAUGCAUCUCUUUCGACGAUCAAUUUGCAUCUGCCGAACUUAUCGGUGUUGUGGUUAUCUAACAUCAAGAUUACAGAGGAUUGGGAAGGAUGGAGUUCAUUUAGGGUAAGAUUGGGAAAAAUACAUCCUCUCUGCGAUUUUAGGGUUUUGUUUUUGUUUAGCCGAUUAACUCCUUCUCUGAUAGCUUAUUCUCCUUUUACAUCAGCUGUCAAAGCGGCUACAAGUUCUCGAUCUUUAUGGGCUUUCUAAUUUAAGAUGUACUCCAGAUUUCUCGGCUUUCACACAGUUGAAGAUUCUCAAAUUGUCCACUUGUGGCAGAUUGGAGCAUCUCCACCCGUCUAUUGGCAAACUCACGAGCCUCGUUACCCUGAAUUUGUCUUACUGUGAAAAUCUCAAGGACCUGCCAGAGGAAAUGGGCGAAUUAAAAGAUUUAGAAGAACUUAUAUUAACAAGGACUGAUAUUAUAGAGAUUCCUACAUCUAUUGGUAAGCUGAAGAAACUGGAUGCCUCCAAGUGUCAGUCCCUGAGAAAAAUCCCUAGCUCAAUUGGGGAUUUACAGAAUUUGCAACAUCUGGACUUGUUUUCUUCUGCGAUUGAAAAACUUCCCAGUGCUAUUGGAAGGUUGAAAAAUCUGCGGACUCUAUUUCUCUUAUGGUGCCCUAGUCUGAAAGGGGCAAUUCCAAGUGAAAUUGGUGACUUGUCUUCCCUCGAGUAUCUCAAUCUCGAAGGCUCACCGAUAUCUGACCUGCCAGAAAGUGUCCGGAAUCUUUCUUCUCUCCGACGCCUUGAACUAGUGGGCUGUAAGGAGCUCCAGUCGUUGCCAGAGCUUCACUCGGGCUUAACUACGCUGUCGAUCUCUUGUCAGAGUCCCAGAAGGUUGCCACAGCUUUCUAGCCUAAUCCACCUAGAAGAACUCCAUCUUAAGGCAUGUCCUCUACUUGAAUCCAUCCCCGAGCUUUCCUCGAGACUCUCGAAACUCUGUGUUGAGGAGUGUGAUAAGCUGAUAUUACUCAAUCUCGAUGGAUGCACGUAUUUGGAAGGGUUUACAAUAAGAGAGUGCGGUUCCAUUGAAAGAUUGGACCUUUCAGGAUUGGUUCGUCUGAAAGGAUUGCAUGCUAAGGGUUGCAAAAACCUAGUAGAAAUUCAGAGCUAUGAUAAUUUGGAGUCUUUACAGGUCAUAUUUAUAUAUGACUGUGUUUCCAUUAAAAGGCUUCUCUGUCCAGAAUCACAGCGUUUGAAGAAAUUAGUGGUUGUCUGCUGCGACAAUAUGGUCGAAAUUCAAGGUCUUGACGGUGCAAAGUUCUUAGAAGAGUUGAAUUUUACAAAAUGCAGUUCAAUGGAGGCUUUGCCAAAUUUGACGGGAUGUGAGAAGUUACAAUCUCUAAUAGUUCGAGACUGCAAGAAACUUACUCAACUUCGGGGACUUGAAAAGUUGGAUUUAAUUGAUUUGGAUAGUUCUGGUUGUGACUCAUUGGAAGCAUUACUGAAAUUAUCUGGAACGCGCAUCUUAAGAAAUUAUGAUGAAGACCUGGAUUUUGACUCAAUGAGUGAAGUUUUCCUAUAUAAUGUAAAUAAGCAGUGAACAAUCAUUUUUCUUAUCAGAUUCAUGACCUACUUUUCAUAUUUUCUUUUGACAAGAAGGUUUUCCAUGGCAGGGUUGGGGAACUUUCUAAAUUGCUAGUCUUACACAAUUGAAGGAUUGGGGGAGUCGGUCAAAAGAUGACAUGAUGCAUCAGCCAAGAUCAAAAUGUAGCCCCAAAUGUCAAUAGAAGGCAUAGUAAGAUUCUUCAUCCUUGAAUCGCCAGUGUGAGCAAAAAGAGAAAUUUUUAGAAUGAUUUGCUCUACACUGGGUAUCUAUUUGAUUGAUUUUGGAAACUCCAGAUUUGCCUCUGUAUAAUUGUUGUUGAUUAUGUUAUAGCAAUGUUUUUCGUUUAUUCUUCCAUUGCCAGCUUUUGUAGAUUGCAAACAUAUAGCGGCUUGCGAGGCAAGAAUGAAAAUAUCAAUAAAGGUAAACAGGAAUUACCUUGUAAUUAACAGUUCCCUUAUCGGUAAACUCAGGAUUUGAAAUUUUCAUCUAGAGGCUGAUGAACUUCUACUACUCGUUAUUGUAUACUACGCCUAGAGUUUCCCAACAUCCAAUGUUCAUAUUUUCUUUGAAAGUUCUUUUGUAUGUCAAAUUUGAUUAAUGGGAGAUAUCCUGUUCGCCUUUGGAUUUUCCGUAAUGAACGAAACCCCCGUCAAGUUUCUUAUUGUUCCAUUGAUGUCCCUCAAUAAUCUUCUAAGAAGAGCAUCGCUUCUCGGAAUAUGAUCAACUGAGCCAAAAUAAAAUUCAAGGUUCAAGUGUUUCUGUUUGGUGACAAAGAAAAUGUUAAAAGUUGUUUUGGCUAGUCUGUCAUAUAUGAAUGUAGAAAAUUUUUUCCCGUCUGUGAAACAAGCUGGGACGAGGGGCUCAAGAAUUGGCUAAUUGGUUUGCAUCACGUUUGAUCCUAUUGCUGCCAUGGAAUUGUUUUAUCACGACUGAUUUGGGUGUGGCUAACUUGGCUGAGGAACUUCAAAUUCCAUACUUGCGACCAAUCAAAAUGAAGAAAAGGGAUUUUGUGGAGGAAGCAUCAGCAACAGCUGAGGACCAUCUUGUGUGCCAACCUUGAAGACGUUCUAGGGCCAACUGGAGUGUCCGAAAGAAGUUUUGAUUUGUGUGAAUGUUCAAACAUGUGAUCUUGUCUCAACAACACAUGCCUGAACAAUUGUAAAUGUACCUUUUAAAAUUAAAUAGGCUUUCUAUAUGCUCAUUAGGUUCACCUCUCCGUUAAUCAAACAUAGCUUCUAACCUUUUAUAUGUUAACCUGAUGCAGAGUUGCUUGAUACAGUUGCAUUCUAAUGAUAUCACUCCUGAACUCGAUGAGGCUUUGAAAGGGGAGGUAUGCACUGCUAGUCGUACCGUGAAAGACCAAAUUGUGUGCUUAUUCUCUAUGAGCUGUGGAAUUUCACUUGAAAUUAGGACACAAGUAUGCAUGAUGACAAUCUCCUCACUUCUGUCAGUUUAUUAGUGUGAUAAUAUCCUCUAAAUGUUCUCAAAUAGGUUUCUGAUUUGAUAGGCUCAGCUCUCAUGUAUGUGGCAUUGGAUUUGUUCCUCGCAAAUUAUCCUGUAUUGCCGAUUUUGCUAAUUGGAUUCGGCAAAAUAACCAAGUAGCAAAUACAUCUUUCUAUUCUAUAGUUUAGGGAAUUCACCUUUUCAGCAUAAUUUUAUUAACUUCAAUUCCGUUCCUAAACACAAACAGGGAAAGUGUUGUUAAUUGCUUACUUCUUUUGAGCCUAUUGGUUUCUUUUUCAUCGGCCAGCUAAUGAAGUCUCUGUUCAUUGUCGUCUAACUGCAAUUUGGUGUCAAUGAUGUUUACACAAUUGUACUUUAUCUCUCAUGGGGUAAAUUGUGAUGCUAGGAUCUCAGAUAUCUUCAUUUAUUGAUAACUAGUCAGUGCUAUCUUCCUUGUGUAGAUUGAAGCUGCAUUUCAUGAAACUCGGAGAAAGUCCCAAAACACUGCAGGGAUGAGCUAUGUCAUUAUGGAAAGGCAUUCCGAAGUUCCUUGCUAAUGGCGUUUAUCAUGUGCUCUGUGUUGUUAAUACUCUCCAAAGGAUUCUUGAUACAAAGCAAACUCUUCUCAUGUGGUGUUUUAGUCCUUUGCAAGCUUUGGCAUCGUCCAGUUUUUUGGCAAAGAUUGAAUCACAAAUCACUUUCGGGAAGAUUGCAUGUGCAGGUGGUUCUAUAUGUGAAGUCAAGUAUAAAAUGAGAUUUGUUAACAUGAUUACUAGUUCUAACUUGGCUGAGGAACUUCAAAUUCCAUACCUGAGACCAAUCAAAAUGAAGAAAGGGGAUUUUGUGGGGGAAGCAUCAACAACAGCCGAGGACCAUCUUUUGUGCCAACCUUGAAGACACUCUAGGGCCAACUGGAGUGUCCUGAGGAAGUUUUGAUGCUUGUGAAUAUUCGAUCACUUGAUCAUGUCUCAACAGUACAUACCUGAACGAUUGUAAAUGUAUUUUUUAAAAUAAAAUAUGGUUUCUGUAUGCUCAUUAGGUUCUAUCUCUUUGUUAAUCAAACACGUAGCUGCUGACUUUUUGUAUGUUACUCUGAUGCAAAGUUGUUUGAUACAGUUGCAUUCUAAAUAUAUCACCCUUGAACCCGCUGAGGCUCUGAAGGGAGAGGUAUGUACUGCUAGUUGUACCAUGAAAGACUAACUUAUGUGCUUUGACUAUAUGAGCUGUGGAAUUUCACCUGAAAUUAGUACGCAAGUAUGCAUGAUGACAAUCUCCUCCAUUUCUAUCAGGUUAUUAGUGUGAUAAUAUCUUGUAAAUGUUCUCAUAUAGGUUUUUGAUUUGAUAGGCUCAGCUCUCAUGUAUGCGGCAUUGGAUUUGUAAAGUUGAAAUUGUAUUGCUGAUUUUGCUAAGAGGAUAUUACGAAAUACCCAAGUAACAAAUACAUCUUUCUGUCAUGUGGUUUAGUUACUCACACCUUUUCAGCAUCAUUCUGUUAGCAUCAAUUUUGUUCCUAAAUACAAACAAGGGAAGUAUUGCUAAUUGCUUACUUCUCCAAGUCUGUUGUUUUCUAUUUCAUCGGCCAGCUAAUGAAGCGUCUGUUUUUUGUGGUCCAAUCGGUGGAAAUGAUGUUUAUGCAUUUGUGCCUUAUCUUUGAUGGGGUAAAUUGUGAUGCUACGUAUCUUGGUUUUUUUCAUUACUGAUGAUUAUAGUUAGUGCUAUUCCUCUGGUGUAGAUUCAAGCUGUAAUUCAUGAAACUCGGAGAAAGUCCCCAAACACCAUGGGAUGGAGAUGUGAGCAAGAAUGAGCUUUGUCAUUAUGGAAAGUCAUCCCGAAGUUAUUUACUGUUGGCGUUUGUGUUGUUAGUACUCUUCAAAGGAUUCUAGAUGUGAAGCGACCUCUUCUCAUAUGGUUCAUUAGGCCUUGGCGAGCCUUGACAUCAUGCUAUUCUUUAGAAAAGGCCGAAUCACAAAUUGCUUGCUGGAAGAAAGCAUUUGCAGGUUAAGCAUAACAUGAGAUUUGCUAACAAGAUUACUGGUUAGAUGUCCACUUCAAGCUAUAAUUUUGUGGCGGAGAGAUUAAAAGCGAAUGCCAUGGAAUUAGCAAAUAAUUUGUCAAUUGCAGGCAAGAGUUUCAAUGAUAAUGUUUCCAAGAAGACAAUAGUUUUCUCAUUUGAAAGAAUUUUGAACACAAAAUAAAGCACUCGUCAGUGUAAAAUCAUCUUUCAAGUCUGGUUACAUUGAAAAAUCAUAUGUAGGUAUUUUGCAAUUAUUUUGAUCGUAUAAUCUGAAACUUGAUUUAUUUAAGCAUGAAUCUAAAAGCGGAAUUUUUUUUCUUACCAAAAAAAAAAAAAACUAAAAGCGGAAGAGCCACAUCCAUGCACAUUUUCAUAUCUGAAACCUAUUUUUCUCUGGCGUAGACUACGAUUGAAGACUAUUGAAAAAUGUGGGAAAUUUUUGGAAGGGUGAAAAGGGCCAUUUUCAAAAUUUACUCAUUUGGUUUGAACAAAAAAAAUUUAAAAGGGUCAUCUUAUUGGUUAAUAAUCAGACUCUCCUACACCAAAUUGUGUUAACCAGUCACGCAUUGAACCCCUAAUCGAAGCAAUUUCUUUGAGGUUACUCUUUGAUAUUCCUGUACCCUUGUACUAGAUGACAAUGGUGGAAUUUUAGUAGUUGAAAGGCUGAAAGCUCCUGGGAAGGUACUCUGUCUAUUUCGCUGCUUGUCUACUUGAACUUAUACUCAAUUUUUCCAGAGCUCAAUACAAGGCCAAGUAGCUUGUAAGGGCAAGUAGCUUUCUAAGCCAAGUUCGAAUCUAUAAUUACUAACACAAAUAUAGUGUGGGUCGUGUUGAAAUACUUGUUAAACAUACUUAAUGUGAAAUAAUUAAAUUUUCAGAAUAUUGAUUGAACAUUUCACAAGAAAAAUCACAAGUCGAUGUAUUGAGUCUACACUUUAUUUACUAAGUUGCUUAACCAGUGUCUAAGCCAUUAUUCCAAAGGGCAAUGGCUAUGUGUUUUGACUACUUUUAGAAUAUUAGUCACAACCUUAUCGGCUGAAUUGAUUUAAAAUUUGAAAACUGUGAAUCGACUAGAUAACUAGAUGAGGGUGUUAAACCCGGUGAACUGGUUCGGUUCUGCUCCUUCGAUUUCAUGCCAAAGAUUUGCUUUGACCUUGUUUUUGAAAGUUCCAUAACAUUUUACAUCAAGAUCCUAUAAAUUACGACCAUUUGAACAAUAACUACGCAAGUUUUGAUAGAAUUAAAGAGGGUUCCCUUUGGGCUUUUCAAUGUUCCACAUUUUUGUAACUCCAGUCUCAAUGGGACGGCAUUCGAAAUAUGAAAAAUUGUCCUCAAAUCAAAAUGGAACCAUCGAAAGCCUUUCGUUUUGUUUAGCGCAUGUCAUUUUAGAAUAUCUACUUUAGGAAUAUAUGUUGCCAUAUGAUGAAUCAUACAACAAAGAGGAAUUGAACCAGACAAAUUGAGGAAAUAAGGGGGUUAAAGAACCCCAGAAACAAGGCGUAGACAACAUUCGGCCAAAACAAAAUCGUACCCAACAAAAUCGACCACAAAAUAGAUGGUAAUGUCAAUCCUACAAAUACAAGUAUCCAUCUGGUUUUGCAAUCAGCAUCACAUUUCUUAGGAAAAGAUCUUACAGAAAAGAGGAGAAUUGAACAAAUCAGACAAUUCUACUUUGCAUGGGCAUGGAUGCAGAAUCCUGUUACAAAUGUAUUAGAAGGUAAGAAAAUUCAAAAAAGAAAAAGAAAAAUCGGUAAAUAUAAAUAUAUAUUACUAUCACGUACGAGUCAUCUCAUUUGCCUAUGUUUUGAAUGCUGGAGAUCGAUGAAUGAAACAACGAGUCAGAAGAACAUAAUAUCGGAGAGAUUGAACAUUUGCGGCACCCUUUCGAAUAUUUGAUUACCAUUAGAUACAUAUAAAGAUGAAGACCCACAGAGCACAGCAAAUCUCUCUGUUUCUCACCCUUUUUCUCUCUUCAUGACGAUGGACACCGUAUUCCUUAAUUUCUGCUAAUUAGAAUCGACGUGCGAAGGUCGAGCAUUUGCGCUUCAACCAUCGGAACCCUUGUUUGAAAGAAGCCUUGAACUUGCCUUCGACCGAAUAAAGCUUGUACCUGGCCACCCUCCUCUUCCUCUUCUUCUCUGGAUCAUUCCACCACGAUGCUUUUAUCGCCGACUCCUUGACGUUGUCUAGUCUGUGCGGGGGCGAAGCGUGUUCGAGCAUGCGAGGCCGGGAUUUGGCUACGUACAUCUGGUUUUGGUUAAGAGUUUGAAUCGUCAUGAUCUCUAGACUCCGGCCAACCCCAUGGGAUCUGUAGCUCGGCGACCACGGGUCCAUCUCUGUCCUCAAUAUCUCCCCUCUCUCUCUCUCCCGGCCUCGGCCUCUCCCCUUUCUCGGAUGGGAAGGAUUUUUUUUUUGGAGGAUUUUUUUUUCUCUCUUGAUGACCAUGAACACGUCUACUGGUUCUCUGAGGAAGUUGAAGAAAUCGAGUGCUUAUGGUUGUGAGUCUCUGAGAGAAAUCCCUAGCUUGAUUGUGGAUUUACCGAAUUUGCAACAUCUUCACUUGAGUCAUUCUGCGAUUGAAAAGCUUCCUAGUGCUAUUGGAAGGUUGAAAAAUCUGCAGACUCUACAUCUCUCAUCGUGCUGUAAAGUGAAAUCGGUGACUUGCCUUCCCUCGAGAUUUUCAAUAGAAAAGUGCAGUUCCUUUGAAAGAUUGGACCUUAGACAAUUGAUUCGUCUGGGCAGAAGAACAGCACAAGUGCCAUAACUUGGCACGCCGGGACACUUAAGUGCCAUAACUUCCAAACGGUACACUUAAGUGCCACUUUUUUUUUCGAGUGGGACACUUAAGUGCCACCUCCGGCGACCCUUGCCGGAAAUCCUACGUGGCAAUAUUUUAUUAUUAUUUUUUGCCUACGUGGCUCGCCGGAGCUCCAAAUCAGCAUAAAAAUUAACAAAAAAAUUUUUUAAAAAAGAAAAUUUUAAAAAUUUUAAUUUUAAAAAUUUUUAAAAUUUAAAAAAAAUAGAAAUUUAAAAAUUUAGAUUUAGAAUUAAAAAAAAAAANNNNNNNNNNNNNNNNNNNNNNNNNNNNNNNNNNNNNNNNNNNNNNNNNNNNNNNNNNNNNNNNNNNNNNNNNNNNNNNNNNNNNNNNNNNNNNNNNNNNNNNNNNNNNNNNNNNNNNNNNNNNNNNNNNNNNNNNNNNNNNNNNNNNNNNNNNNNNNNNNNNNNNNNNNNNNNNNNNNNNNNNNNNNNNNNNNNNNNNNNNNNNNNNNNNNNNNNNNNNNNNNNNNNNNNNNNNNNNNNNNNNNNNNNNNNNNNNNNNNNNNNNNNNNNNNNNNNNNNNNNNNNNNNNNNNNNNNNNNNNNNNNNNNNNNNNNNNNNNNNNNNNNNNNNNNNNNNNNNNNNNNNNNNNNNNNNNNNNNNNNNNNNNNNNNNNNNNNNNNNNNNNNNNNNNNNNNNNNNNNNNNNNNNNNNNNNNNNNNNNNNNNNNNNNNNNNNNNNNNNNNNNNNNNNNNNNNNNNNNNNNNNNNNNNNNNNNNNNNNNNNNNNNNNNNNNNNNNNNNNNNNNNNNNNNNNNNNNNNNNNNNNNNNNNNNNNNNNNNNNNNNNNNNNNNNNNNNNNNNNNNNNNNNNNNNNNNNNNNNUCCACUUGAUGCGUCGCCCCAGAUCUGGGCGAGGGCUCGCGGGCCCUCGCCGCCGGUCGGCCGGCCCCUGGCCAGGGCCCGGCGACCCCGGCCGACCCUCCCCCCUCCGUCGCCAGCCCUUCCCGGCGACGGCGGGGAGGCGGCGACGGCGGGGAGGCGGCGGCAGCGAGGGCUCAGCCCUCAGCCGCCCGUUCGACCUCCCCCACCCUUUUUUUUUUAAUUUUUCAUUUUCUUAAUUUUUUAAAAUUUUUAAAUUUUUCUUAAUUUUUUAAAUUUUUUGAAUACUUUAUAAUUUAAUUAAUUUUUAUAUUAUUAUUUACACGUAGGCACAAAACGGCGUCGUUUUUGCGUUUUCUCUGCCACGUCAGCGUGCAAAACGACGCCGUUUUGGACUAAACUCGCCGGAAAAUUGCCACGUCAGCCAUUUGGCCGGAUUUUCGCCGGAGUGGCACUUAAGUGUCCCAUUUUACUCCGAUGAUGGCACUUAAGUGUACCAUUUUAAAGUUAUGGCACUUAAGUGUCCCGGCGUGCCAAGUUAUGGCACUCCAGGUGUCCUCACCUCAUUCGUCUGAAAUGAUUACAUGCUGAGCUUCGUGAUAGCCUAGUUGAAAUUCAGGGCAUGAUAAUUUGGCAUUCUUGGAGGUCAUAUUUAUAUAUGACUGCAAUUCUAUUAAAAAAGGCUUCUCUGUCCAGAAUCAUGGUGUUUGAAGAAAUUAGUGGCUGUCGAGUGCGACAAUCUUACGUCUUCCUAAUGCCGCACAUCACUGCUGUCUGCUUCGAGCUUUAGCUUAUCUCUACUUAGGCUCUUCGUUCUUCGUCCCUUCCUCUGGAUGCUGGUCGAGGUUUGCUGGGCUGUUUUUGUAGUUGUGGCUUUUAUGGUGUGUCCUUUCGGCUGUUAGUUUGGUUGUCUUCUUCUUGUUGCCUUGUGGCUUUCUUCGGCUCCCUUUCACUCUUUAUGCUUGUAGCAUUUAGAGUGUAAGUUUUCGGCGCCGUUUUUGUAAAGUUGACCUCAGCUCUUUAUAUAUUCUUACCUUUACCAAAAAUAUAUAUAUAGUCGAAAUUCAAUGUCUUGACGGUGCGAAGUUCUUAGAAAAGUUGGAUUUUAUAGGAUGCAAAUCAAUGGAGACUUUGCCAAAUUUGAUGUAUGUGAGAAGUUACGAUCCCUAAGAGUUCGAGACUACAAGAAACUUACUCAGUUUCGGGGACUUGAAAAGUUGGAUUUAAUUGAUUUGGAUAUUUCUGGUUGUGACUCAUUGGAAGCAAUACCGAAAUUAUCUAGGAAUGCACAUCUUUAGAAAUUAUGAACAACAUCAGUUUGGAGUUCUCUAUGGAAAUAUUAUCUUGCAGUGAUAUUGAUGUGAGGAAUCUUAUACCCAUAUUACAACAGUGAGACUAGUCCUGUUUCUUCAAUAGAGGUAAACAAGCAUCAUUUUUUUUUUUUUUAUGAGAUUGAUGACCUAGUUUCCAUCACUAUCUCCUUUUGACAAGAAGGUUUUCCAUGACAGGUUUCUGUACUUUCCUAAAUUCCUUGUCUUAGAUAUUUGAAGGAGUGGGGGAGUUGGUCAUAGAAUCUGACAUGAUGCUUCAGCGGAGAUCAAAAUGCAGACCCGAAUGUCAAUAGAAGGUAUAGUAAGAUUCUUCAUCCUUGAAUGGUCAGCAUGAGCAAAUAGAGUAAUACUUUUCUCGAAGCUCUACUUUUUUUUUUUUUAAAAGAAUGAUUUGCUCCACAUUGGGUAUCUAUCUGAUUGAUUUUGGAAACUCCAGAUUUGCCUACAUAUAUUGCCGUUGGUUUCGACAUAGCAAUAUUUUUCAUUUAUUCUUCCAUUGGUAGCUUCUGCAGACUGCAAACAUAUUAGCAGCUUGCGAGGCAAAGAUGAAAAUAUCAAGCAAAGAUGAACAAUUCCCUAGUGAUUUAAUAGUUCCUCUAUCAGUAAACCUGGAUUCGAAAUUUUCGAAUUGAGGCCGAUGAACUUUUGCUACUCAAUAUAGUAAACUAUGCCUAGAAUUUCCCUGUCCAGAAUCAAUAUUUUCUUUGAAAAAAAUCCUUGGCCAUUUUGAGUUACUUUCGUGAGUUCUUUUGUAUCAAAUUUGACUAAUGGCAGAUGUCUUGUUUGGGAUAAACAUAUCAGUUUUCUGUGAUGAAACCCUGUCAAGUUUCUUAUUGUUCUCUUGAUGUCCCUCUUGAAACUUCUAAGAAGAGCAUCAAUUCCUAUUAAGUAUGAUGAACUGAGCUAAAAUAAAACAUAUCAAGUGUUUCUAGUUAGUGAUAAAAAAAAAUGUUGAAGUAGUUUUGGUUAGUCUGUCAUAUAUGAAUGUACACCACCUUAACAUUACUAGUAGUCAAACUAUUGUUUUGAAAGUUUAUCAAGCAAGGUAAAUUGGUGUUGCUUCUAUGACAAGUUUGGUUGGUUUAUGUAACGACCAAGGCUUACUUUGGGACUUCAAUUCAAUCUACUGUGAAACAAGCUGGGAUGAGGAGCUCAAGAAUUUGCUGAUUAGUUUGCAUCCCAUUUGAUCCUAUUAUUGUCAUGGAAUUGCUUUAUCACAUGACUGAUUUGGGCGUGGUUCACUUGGCCAAGGAACUUCAAAUUCCAUACUUGAGACCGAUCAAAAUAAAGAAAAGGGAUUUUGCAGAGGAAGCAUCAGCAACAGCUAAGGACCAUCUUGCGUGGCAAACUUGAAGAGGCUUUGGGGCCAACUAGAGUGUCCUGAGGAAGUUUUGAUGCUUGUGAAGAUCCAAAACACUCAAUCUGAUCUCAACGUCACAUCCCUAAGUGAUUGUAAAUGUAUUUUUUUUCAAUUAAAUAUGCUUUUUGUAUGCUCAUUAGAUUCUAGCUCUCCUUUAAUCAAAUACUAAACUGCUGAUUUUUUGUAUGUUACCGUGAUCCCUGAUGCAGAGUUGUUCAAUGCGGUUGCAGUCUAAUGAUAUCACACUGGAGUUGAUGAGGCUAUGAAGAGGGAGGUAUGCACUGCUAGGCUCCUCCAUUUCUAUCAGUUUAUUUGUGUGAUGAUAUCCUUCGAAUGUUAUCAUAUAGAUUUGACAAGCUCAAUUCUCAUGUAUGUGGCAUUGGAUUUGUAAAGUUGAAAUUGACCUCCUCGCAAACUAUCCCGUAUUGCUAUUGGAUCUUGCAAAAUUACCAAGUAGGAAAUACAUCUUUCUGUUCUGUAGUUUAGGCACUUCACCUUUUCAGCAUAAUUUUAUUAAUUUCAGUUCUGUUCCUAAACACAAAUAGGGAGCUAAUUGCUUACCUCUUUUAGCCUGUUGGUUACUUUUUCAUUGGCCAGCUAAUGAAGUCUCUGUCCAUUGUGGUCCAACUCUAAUUGAUGCCGAUGUUUAUGCAUUUGUACCUUAUCUCUCAUGGGGUAAGUUCUGAUGCUAUGAUCUUGGACAUCUUCAUUUAUUGAUAAUUACUCAGUGCUAUCUUCCUUGUGUAGAUUAAAUCUACAUUUGAUGAAACUUGGAGAAAGUCCCCAAACACCACAGGGUUUAGAUACGGGCAAGAAUAAGCUACGUCAGUAUAGAAAGGCAUUUCGAAGUUCUUUGCUACGUCAGUAUGCUGUUAAUAUUCUUCAAAGGGUUCUUGAUAUAGGGCGACCCCUUCUCAUGUGGUGUAUUAGUUUGCAAGGUUGAAAUCAUGCUAUUCUUUAGCAAAGACUGCAUCACAGAUCACUUGGAGGAAGACUGCAUGUGUAGGUGGCUUUAUAUGUGAAGUCAAGCAUAAAAUGAGAUUUGUUAACAAGAUUACCAUUUAGAUGCCCACUUCAAGCUACAGUUUUAUGAUUGGGAGAGACAUUUUUGGUGGAAAAAGCAAAUGUCGUGGAAUCAGCAAAAAAUCUGUCAAAUGCAGCCAAGAGUUUCAAUGAAAAGGUUUCCAAGAAGAUGGUAGUUUCUUAUUUGGAAGAAUUUUGAACCCAAAAUAAUGGCAUUCUAAAAUCAUCUGUUUGCCCUGGUUACAUCAAAAUUCAUAUGUAGGCAUUUCCAAUCACUUUGGUUGGAUAACCUCAAACUUGAUUUAUUUAAGCAUGAAUAUAAAAGUAGGAGAGACACAGCCAUGCACAUUUUCAUACCUAAAACCAAGUAGAGAGACCAGUUCGUUCUUGAAGAGCAGCAUUACUUCUCCCCUUCGAGAUUCUCUCAUGCGGACGCAUGGAGCUCACGCCACUUGGAGUCGCUCCUCCAUGGUUGUUUGUGGUGAUUCCACUACCAAAACCAAGUCUUGGUGAAUUUGUUCUAGUACAUUUACCUCAGUCUGAUAGGGCACCGGGGUCUGUAGUGAAGUAUUGAGUUGUUUUAUGCAAUGUGUUUUAUCAAAGGUUUGUCUGUGUUGCUAGUGUGGAUGGAGUUUAUGUGGGGUCUAUUUCUUGAAUGAGAAUUGGUGCGAAAUAAAAGAGUUAUUUUGUUCUUCUUUUGAGUUUUUCUUGCAAUAAAAGCUAGCGGCACUGAUUCUCUGACACUAUCUGUAUUUGAGGUUUCUCUUUGAAUGUGGUGUUAAAUGACAAAGAAUGAAUUGGUGGUUCAAGUGAAAAUUGCUAUUUAAGUUGUUUAGACAAGGAAGGAGGUUAUUGGUAGAAGCUAUAAUUUAGUGUGUUUGUUGCAGAGAAGAGAGAAGAGAGCGAAGAAGAACAUAUCAAAGUCGGGAUGGGAGAAGGUGCAUCUCAACGUUCGGUUGGAUCACCAAGUUCAAAUUGGGGAGAUUGUGGCAAUCUUAGGAUCCACAGGAGAUUUGGGAUCGUCGAAGAAGAAUGUGGCAAUGGACUGGACCAAGAGCGGAUGGUACGUGAGUUAGAACUGAAAGGAGGCAAAUCUGUCAAAUUAGAAGAACUUAUAUCAGAUUUUGCUGAUAUUACUGAGAUUCCUAAGUCUAUCGGUUCUUUGAGGAAUCUGGAGAAACUGAGCGCCAGCUGUUGUGUGUCACUCGGAGACAUCCCUAGCUUAAUUUGGGAUUUAUAGAAUUUGCAACAUCUAGACAUUAGUGUUCUUACCCAAAAAAAAAACAUCUAGACAUUAGUGGUGUUGGGAUUGAAAAGCUUCCUAGUGCUACAGUAUCGUUGAAAAAUCUGCGCACUAUAAGUCUCUUAUCAUGCUGUAAUUUGAAAGAGCAAUUCCAAGUGAAAUUGGUGACUUGUCUUUGCCUGAGAUUCUCUAUGUCACUUGAGGAAGUUUUGAUGCUUGUGAGGAUCUAGUACACUUUUUCUAGGCUCAACAGGACAUACUUGAAUGAUUUUGAUGUUGUAUUUUGAGUUGAGUCUGCUUUUUUGUAUGCUCAUGAGGUUCAACCUCUCUGUUAAUCAAAUACGUAGCUACUGAUUUUUUUGGAUGUCACUCUGAUGCAGAGGUGUUUGAUGCCGUUGCAUUCAAAUGUUACUGCUCCUAAACUCGAUAAGGCUCUAAAAAGGGAGGUAUGCACUACUAGUUGUACCAUAACAAUGAAAAAAUAACCUGUGUGCUUAUGCUAUGCGAGCUGUGGAAUUUUACUUGAAAAAUCAGUAUGUAAGUAUGUAUGAGGACAAUCUCCUUCAUCUCUAUCAGUUUUUCGAUGUGAUACUAUCCUCUAUUGCUGAUUUUGCUAACAGGAUAUUGCAAAAUAACCAAGUAAUAAAUUCAUCUUUCUGCUUUGUAGUUUAAGCACUUCACCUUUCAGCAUAUUUUUAUUGACAUCAAUUAUGUUCCUAAACACAAAAAAGGAAAGUGUUGCUCAUUGCUACUUCUCCCAGGCCUGUUGUUUUCGUUUUCAUCAGGCAGCUCAUGAAGUCUCUGCUCAUUGCGGUCCAACUGCAAUUGGUGCAAAUGAUGUUUGUGCAUUUGUACCGUAUCUUUCAUGAUGUAAAUCGUGAUGCUUCGAUCUUAGUUAUCUCUAUUUAUUGAUAAUUAGUAAAUCCUAUCCUUCUUGUGUAGAUUCAAGCUGCAUUUCAUAAAAUUCAGAGAGAAUUCCCAAACAUCACAAGAUGGUGAUGUGGACCGGAAUGAGAUUUGUCAUGAGACGUUAUGGAAAGGCGUUCCAAAGUGCUUCGCUAAAGGUGCUUAUAAUGUGCUUGAUGCUGAUAAUCUUGAUAGGAUUCUUGAUAUAAAGGGACCUCUUCUAAUGUGGUGCAGUAGUCGACUCUUUGCAAGCUUUGACAUCAUGUUAUUAUUUAGCAAAGGUCGAAUUUCAAGAUGCUCGCAGGAAGACUGCAUGUGCAGGUGGUUCUGGAUGUGAAGUUAAGCAUAAAGUCAUGUUUGUCAACAAGAUUACCAUUUAGAUGACCACUUCAAGCUACAAUUCUGGGAAUGUGAGAGACUUCUUUCAUGAAAAAAGCGAAUGUCAUGGGAUCAGCAAAUAAUCUAUCGAUUGCAGGCAAGAUUUUCAGUAACAAGGUUCCUGAAAGACAGUUGUUUCUCAUUCGUAAGAAUUUUGAGCACAAAAUAACAGUGUUUGUUAGUGUACAAUCUGUCACGCCCCGAUCCUCGGACGCGCGCACAUCCUUCUACUUGGUCGAUUUUAUAAUGCGAUAUCCCAGGACUAUGUAUCGCCGACCCUUUAUUUUUAUUAAGCACAUGCGGAAGCAGUUAUAAAUCCCCAGACAAUAAAACAAUGGGAUAGGAAAGUAGGCCAUAUUUUUCAUAUUGAAAUUUACAACCACACUUUCUUUAACAUCACCACUCAUGGUAUAUUUACAAUACUAUUUACAGCAUAAAAGUCUCACACCUAUCUAUACCAAGACAGGGUUCACAAAAAGGGACGGGAUCUCAAUCCACAUCCGGGUUAUACUUAAGAUCCCUCUCUGGAUCAUCUUCUUCCUCAAAAGUCUUUCUCCAUCUUCAGGUUCCUCCUCCUUAGAUUCUCCUCAGGGUCCUGAAAUGGUUAUUCAAUAACCAAUGAGACCACGUCUCAGCGAGUCCUACCCACUAAGACUCGAUUAAUAAACUAAUACACCAUACGGUUGCCUAAGCACAACACGAGUCAGAGGACUUACCUUGGCCUCAGUUUCAGCCUGCAAUUCAAGGUUAAACACAAGCAUUCAAACAAUUCACGACAUCCGAUCAAGCAUUGAUCAAUCGACUAAGUCGAUUACAUGUCAGCCAGACCCUCUCUAGGUCAUUCCCACUCAUACCACGCUUUCCCAGUGGUGUACUCAUUCACCAAAUCACAUGUGUUUCUCGGGCGUCGUUUUCGCCAAUGACAUACCGAUCACCGACACCGUGCGUUCUUUAAGGCGCCGUUUUCACCAGUGAUAACCUUGAUCACCGAACCACGUGUCCUUUCAAGGGCGCCGUUUUCGCCAAGGUGACAUCGGCUAUAGACAACAUCGUGUGUUCUUUAAGGCGCCGUUUUCACCAGUAAUAUUCCCAUAAUCACCGAACCACAUGUGUCUAUAAGUCAUUUACGUGCGUUCUUUAAGGCGCCGUUUUCGCCAGUGAUACUUCCAAUCACCGAACCACGUAUGUCCAAUAAUAUCGUACCUGAUUGGUCUCACCAUUCUUCCUACUAUAUAGCCCAUCAACGUACUGGCGCUAUAUAUCCAUGCUUAGCCAUUACCAAUCAAAUACUCAAUAACAAACAAUUUAGGACAAUUCCUAAAAUUCCACAAUAAAUUCAAUUCCACACAACGUAGAGCUCAAAUAAAUAAACGGUCUGCACCACGACAAUCGGCACGAAAUUCCGGUCACCGGCCAUCCCGGUUGAAUUUCCGGAAAAUAAUUAAUUAAAUAAAUAAAUUUCGAAAAUAAAUAAAUAAACAUUAAAAAUCCAAUUUAGGCCUAUAUUGCCUUAUUGGAGCCCGAAACGGGUCGGGAAAAAUCCCGAGAUACAUUCAAUAAAUAACCAAACAUUUCUACUUGCUAAUAGCUAGGUCUAACCACCUAACAUGCAUUAUUAAGUCACUAAUUUAAUUGUUCUAACCUAAUCUAACCACCUAAGUGCAUGUAAUUAAAUCUAACCAACCCUAAGGCAUAAUUAGCAAAUUAAUAAAGCUUUAGUGAGUAAAACUCACUUGAUAAAAGCGGAGACCGAAUCACCGCAACGGCAACGCUACGGCGGCCGAAAUCGGACUUUCGACAACACCGGCGGGCUUGGGACCGGGCCUUAAGCUUGGCCCAACAAAUCUCAGUCCAAAUGAGAUUUGUUCUUGCACUGGAAUGGGCUGGACCUGCUGAAUUGGGCUUGCGAAAUUCACUUGGGCUUCAAGCUAUGGGCUGGGCUGCAAUUGAUUUGCUGAAAAUUGGGCUUGGCCAAUUAACUCACAUGGACUGGACUGGGCUUGAACUUGGGCCAAACUGAUGCUGAUCACUUGGGCUGGAAUAAAACUAAACUGGGCUGUCUUUGCUGGGCCCAAAAGAAAUUCACUGAGCUUGGAGACUGCUGGACUUGCGGUUGAACUCACGAAGGAGUUGGGCUUCGCUAGCUUCGUUGGACGCUGCUCCGUUAGCAAAUCAAAGGGGCGGGUUGUUGGAGUUGACCGGUGAAUUCCACACGGUUAGAUGAAGAUGAUGAUGCUGUGCGACUUCGGUGAGUGGGGGGGGGGGCAGCGAAAAUGGAGUGGCAGGUUCGGUCUUCAUGGAUGUGUGGAGACGCAAGCUGUUUCGUUUGAGCAGAACACGAACAUGGACGGGUGGCAACGAGCGGCUGGCUUCGGUCAAUCACGGGGGAGCUCGCUGGUUUGGUUGACUGAAGAACCGUGGACCGUUGCGGAGGAGGAGCAGCUUCGCUUGGUGGAGUCUUCGCUGGCUCAACGUGGCAGCAGCUUGGUCAACAGAUUGAAGAGGAGAAGCUUGGAGUUGACUGGCGUGCGCUGGCCGCGUGGGUGCUUGGAGUAGCUUCGUGGACGAUCAAUCUUCAACGAAGCAGAAUAAAAAAAGUUUCGGUGGAGCUGCUGUAGGGGUCUUCGCUGGCGUGAGUGGCCGACCAGCUCGGUGGGAUCGUGGCUUCACUCGGUGGAGUUUCUGUCUUCAAAGCUUCGUGCGGUGAGGAUCUUCAGUCAACGACGGGGCUUCUUCUGGCUUCGCUAUUGACCGAGCGUGAGCUGGCUGAAGACACGAAGCGGUGGAGAAUUCGGCGGAUGCUGAGCUCCUCGGGCAGCUUGGUGGACGCUCGGAAAAAUUUCAAAGGAAGCAGCCGGGUCUUCUUCAAUUGCUGCUGGAAGUGUCGCACGCCAGAGAAAAAUGGAAAGAGGAGAGAAGCAAUUCACGGCAGCAAGAUGGAGAGGAUGAGGAAGAGGUGGGCCUUAGCUUGAUAUUUUGCAAGAAUAUCUCCAUGGAUCACUCUUAGCCAAGUAAAAACACUUGGCCCUCAUUAGACCAUCCAAAUGACUUCCAUAACCUCUCAACUAGUCCAAAAAUGCUAGAGUGAGGGGAUGAUACGAAUUUCACCAUUUGAACUUCAAUGUCUCCAAUAAAUUCCCAAAUUGAGGUCCAAUUUCGACGUAGGAAAAUCCCAAAUGAUUUUCUAUAAAUCCCCGACACACAACGGCUCAACCCGAAAGUCAAAUUUCCCAUUAAUUUAGCCAAUCUGAACUUCGGCCAAACUUCCGCGACGUCCGAAUCCAAUUUCCGUAAAAAUCUCGGGACCUCCGAAAAAUCUUCUGAGACUGAGUCGAUGCUCCUAAAAUUUAUUGUGACAUGGCCAAAACUUCAAUUUCUGAAAUCUGACUCAAAUCGACGGUUAAUUUCACUCCGACGUGCUUUUAGUGUGACCUAGACUACCGGGUAGUUUUCAGAACUUUUUAGGGCAAUUGACUCGUGGUCGAUUUUCUUCGAGCCACAAUGAACCCACUCGACACAUUGGCGACUCUCAAUUGUCGUGAAAAUCUCGAGGGCUCGACUACCAACACAGGGUACCAAAACGACAGAAAAUCAAAUUAGUGUCGGUCGACGAGAAUUUUCCAAUUUAGUGGAGUCACCCACGAUCGGCCACACAUCUCAGUCGAACCGACCUAUCUCUGAUCUCAAUUCGAUCUUUAACUGUGCAGUAGUGACCUCUAAAGAUGAACACGGUCGAGAAGCCGCUUCCUGGUCGAAUUCUCAAGUCUAUUGCCUUAAUAUUCUUUAAUGGCUUACCCAGCUAGUCUAGUUAUCUCGAGAGUGAUCAGCUCUGAGAACAACCCUAUAGACACGUCAAUGAAAUGCCCGAUUAAUUUAAUAGAAAACAAUACUGAAAAUUCUGGAUGUCACACAAUCAGCUCUCGGAUCCAGGGAGUUCAUGUAUUGGCAUUUUGCAAUCACUUUAAUCGUAUAAGCUCAAACUUGAUUCUUUUAAGCAUGAGUCUCAAGACCAAACAAAAAGAAAAAAAGAAAACAUGAGUCUAUAAAGUAGAGUAGACACAGCCAUACAUUUUCAUACCUGAAACAAAAUUUUCUUUGGCGUUGGCUACAGUUGAAGACUGAGAAAAAUGUGAAGAACCUUUGGAAGGGUGAAAGUACCCCCUCAAGAUUUAUACUCAUUUGGUUGGUACUUGGACUCUACUAUGCCAAAUUGUAGUCAUUGGUCGUGCAUUCAAGUUUCAAUCGAAGCAAUUUCUUUGGGGCCACCACUCUCAGAUGUUACUCUUCAUACAAUGGUGGAACUUUGUAGUUAAAAGCUACUCACAAGAUAAUCAUAUAGUCUGAUUCGCUUGCUCUCUACCUACUCACAAGAUAAUCAUAUAGUCUGAUUCGCUCGUUCUCUACCAAAACUUUAACUCAAUCAUGCAUAAUGUGGGCCGCACUAACAAGUUAAAACAUUAGUGAAGUAUACCAAACACAAAAUAAUCUAAUUUUGAGCUUAUUGAUUAUAUAUAACAUGAGAAAAGUUGCAAGUAAAGUCAAUGUAUUGAAUGUAUAAUUUAUAACUUAGCUGCUCAACAAGUGACUAGAUAUUUUAUCCAAAGGGCAGUGGCAUUAUGUUUGACUGCUUAUACGACAUGAGUCAUGACCUUAUUGACCGAAUUAUUUGAAGUUGGAACGUGAAUCGACCAGAUGAUUGGAUGAACAUGUUGAACUGAUUGAACCAUUUGGUUCUAUUCAUGAGUUUCCCCCCUUUUUCUCUUCUACUUUGGUUUCAUGCAGAGGAUUUGCUUUGAGCUUGUUUAUAAUAGUUCCAUCACAUAUUACAUAAAGAUCCUAUUAAUAACAGCCAUUCGAACAAUAACAACGUAGGUUUCGAAAGGACAGGAAAAGUUCUUUGGUUCUCCUCAUUUUUUUUUGGCCCAAGCUUGACGGGAGGGUACUAAAUUAAUGAAAGCCGUCACAAAAAAUCAGAAUGAAACUGUUGAAGGCCUUUCGAUUUAUUUUACAACUGCAAACUGCAUGUCGGACUUUAUAGCUUCUUUAGUUUGCCAUAUGAUGAAUCAUAUAACGCAGAGGAAUCGAAAUAGACAAAUUGAGGAAAUUACAGGGUUAAAAGAACCCCAAAACGGAGACUUAAAAAACAUUUGGCCAAAAGAGAGUUCUAAACAAUGAAACCGACCACGAAGUAGAUCUAAACGUUAAAUCCAACAAACGAAAGUAGUCUUCUUAUUUUGCAUUCAGCAUCAUGUUGUCAAGAAGAGGAGAAAUUAGCAGGACAGAUGAUUUUACUUUGCAUGCGAAUGCAUGCAUGCUUGUAAAAUCAUGUUGCAGAUAAAUCAAAAGGUAAGGAAAUUCGGGGAAAAAAACAAUCCUUUUGGCAAAUACAAAGACAAGACAUAUGGACUAUCACAUAAAAGUUGUCUCAUUUUCCUAUGUCUUGAAUGCUGGAGAUCGAUGAAUGAAACAACAAUUUGAACGGACAUCAUACCAGAAAGAUUGAACAUUGUGACACUCUUUUGGAUACUUAUUUAACAUUAGAUACAUAUUAAAGUGAUAACCCAAUAAACAAAACAAACCCCUCUGUUUCCUCCUGACUGAUUUCAUCCUUUUCUCCCUUAAUGACGAUAAGCAUGAUAUUCAGUAAUUUCUACAUAUUAAAUCGACACACAAAGCUCGAGCAUUUGCGCUUCAACCUUCGAAACCCUUGUUUGAAAGAAGCCUUGAACUUGACUCGACCAAAUAAAGCUUGUAUCUGGCCACCUUCCUCUUCCUCCGCUUCUCCAGGCAUUAUACCACGAUGAUUUUAUCGACUUCUAAAAGAUAAGAAAUAGGCAAAGGCCAGAGUCCAUUUCUACAUACAACAUUAGGUUUGUCUAUUCCCAUUCCAAAGGCAAAUGGUAGCACAUACAGUCUGGGCCUCUCCAGUAUGCCAUUUCUUUUGAACAGCUACUCUUCGAUGGGCUAGUAAUCAAGCAUGAUAGUACACUAUCUUUAUACAGCACUUCUUAUUCAAGUAUCUUGUGAUAUCAACACAUUCACUCUUUGAAAGGCAAUAUGCUAUGCCACAACAAUUUGCAAAACGAUUCUUUAGCAACUCUCCCAGUUGCCUCAUAAUUUAGAUUUAGUUUGUCAAAGCUUGUCUCGAGAACAAGAGCAUGGGGAAGCCCAAGAGUUUGUAGGAUAUCCUCCAAUGGAUGAAUAAUUCAAUCAGAACGAACAUAUUAUUUCAACAUAAUGAGGAGGUUAAUAUAUAAGUUUAGUACCUCACGAACUCACUGAGUGGCAGUUGCGGCUAAGGCCAUCACUAAGUCAUAAGCAAAGUUAGUCUUGAGACAUACCAGUACAUAAUCUGGACAAAAAUCUUGUCCCCACAGACUACAAUAAUGACAACCACGAAAGUGACAAUCAAUAAGCUUUCAAUUAUAAUCAGUCUAAUGUAGAAGAAAAGCUCAAACCAGCAGUACGUUCCUUUCAUGAGAUCAAAUUGGCAGAGCAAAUCCAGUUAAGACCUUGUAAGAAACACAAUCAAUGAUCACAUGGUCAAACCUUUGCCUUUCUCAAGUUGUUAACAUAAAGUAUAAGCAUUAAUAUAAUAAAUAGGGAUACAAGAGCCAGCUUAAGAGACUGAGUAUCCUGCCAAACAUAGAGAGGAGUUUGGAUCCUUAUCCAAGCUUAUGUUGGAUUCAAUUUCUCUAGAAAGUAAUUUCCGUUGGAGCUUAUUUAAGUUGUGUGCUCUUUACUCAAUAUAAUGAACGAUGUGCCACUAUGUAUUCCCAAAUGACAGAACCUAAAUCUUUUCAUCAAACAAGGAACACUACAUUCUGUUAUAUUAGAACUUCACAGGAUUCUGGGCUUCGAAGACAAUUUAAUUAGGCUAGAAAUGCAGAAAAUGUAGAAAAGUUUGGAAAAAGAGUUUACGUUAGCAUAUAUAAAAGUUAACUUGCUUAUAUUUAUCAAGAACAAGGACAACAGUUUUACAGUGAUAACAAUAAAACCAGCUAGUCGUGUUCGUAAUGCACGAUGGUCAAAUAUAAAUUUUUUUAUAAAGAACCAUUUAGAAAAAGUUAUGGUGCAUCAGAAACAAUACCUUUCUAUGCAAGCAUUUCAAUAUCUUGAGAAAAGGUGGGUUUCCCACAAUCCUUUCAGGAGUUACAUACAAUAGCUAGCAUGAUGGUUUAUCUUUUCUGAAAAAGCAGGCAAAGCAGAAGUGGAGAUUAAUAAUUUGACAGUCACAACACUUAGAAUAUAAGUUUUAGAAGUCCAAUAUAGCUAACUCUUGCAUUAGUUAUUGGAGGACAACUGCUGCUUGGGCAGCACUUUUUCGAGAGUUCAAGAAAAUAGAUGGUAUGCCGUACUUGAGGUAUAGAGUAAUUAUUUGAUCUUAAAUGAGAGAUAGCAGGGGAGAUAUAACAACUGUUACACCUGGUUUAAGAGUUGCUGGCAGCUGAAACGAAGGGUAAAAACAUCAGAAGAGCACAUGAAGAAAGGAAGGGACAAGGGAAUUAUUACUUCUUUCACCAUCAGCUGAUCAGGAAGGACCAGUAGUCACUACUUGUCUUCUAAUUACUUUGAGCUAGAAACACAUAUCAACUACUUCAAGACUGAACAUAAAACACUUCUAAAAUUUUUGACUUAAUAAAUCCAGAUUAUGAUCUUACUCCUUAAUUCAGUAAAUCAAAUAUUUUGCAUGCUAUGAAGAUCCAUUGUAUAUUAAAGGACAUUAAUUUCGAACCAAUUAUGGGAAAAAUAAGUGAUAGAUUAUCAACCCUUGUGAGAUAAUGGCAUAGCCAAUAACUGCGAGGAAAUAUAGAAAUCUAGAACCUGUAUUUGGCGGAAGUACUUUAAAAACUUAUUCCUCUUUGACUUAGCAUAACCCAUUUGAAUUGGACCUAAAUUAUGACUGACAAUAACACUUACAUGCAUAAACAAGAUGAAUUUUCCGGUAAGUGAUUAGAAGGUCCUAGAUGCUGCAUUGGUUGAAAUGAAGCAAUCUUGCUUGGCUACAGAAGAUUUACAAGCUUGAUGCUGCAUUGGUUGAAAUGCUUUGUUUCUGAAUAUUACAACAUUUGCCAAUUCUAUGUCAUCCAAGGGUUGCAAUUCCUCAUAACUCAGAGUUCCCUAUUUGCAUGUCGAAAUCUGAGAGUAAUGUCUUUUAUUUGAAACUGACGAUAUCAAACCUUGGGUGACAAUGUUCUUACAGUCCUUCAACACAAAUAAGCCUGUUCAGCACCAUAGAUAGUUUCCAACAUGGAAGUGAUGGAAAAUGAAAAUUGUGCACAAAAAAAUCCCAAGCCUUCAUUUCGCAAAACACUCCUAUUAAAGCCAUCGGAUGCUAAGUCCAACACUUGGAUGAUGUACUAUACUUUCAAAACAAAAAUCAACUGUUUUUAUUGGCCAAACGGUUCUAAUAUAAGUCAUUUUAGAUCUUAAAAGACUGAAGUAACUAGCAAAAGUUAGGAGUGUCUUAUACAUUUGAUCGAAUGAGAGCCCUCAUAAGCAAUUUACUAAAUGCUCUUGUACAGAGAACCCUGUGUAAGGUCCUUUGCUGUAAGCAGAAUUACAAGCAAACUGGAAACGAUCAAGGAAAGACAUUAAUUUUAAGAGCAAAGAACAGUAACACGCUAAUUUAAGGGGUUGGUCAGUUUCAUCCAUGUCAAUGGGAGGACUUGUUUCACAAUGACCAAGAAGGAAUUACAAUAAGAAAUAAAUCAAUUUCUCACUAACCAAAACCCCAAUUGCAAGAGUCAAUCAAAAGCAAGCUAGAUGAGUGGAAAGCGUUUUAAGAGUUUUCUGAAAGGAAACUCUAAACUCUCUUGAUCAAAAACCAAGACAAUCUGUUCUCAAUUCUUCUUAUUAUCCUUCUUGGCCCAAAUAUACCUCAGCAACAAAAAUAUAUAAAAAUAUGAGUUGCAGAAUCAUUGUUAAAAGAAUAAAAACUCAUGAGCCGAGAUCUGCCAACUUUUUGUUAACCUCCUAGACAAUUGGACCAUUGUGGCCAGACUCUUGGGAUUUGCCCAGUAACUAUCGUGGCUUCUUCAGGUGUCCACAGUUGCUUCACUAAACGGCCAACCCUAUACAAUACUCAGACAUUCUUCAAGCUGCGUAUUUGGUCCAUGCAAUUAAACGAGCCAAUCCCAAGCCAAAUCUAGGUCCAUGAAUAAAAAACUCGAGCCAUAAAUUUAACAACUAUCACCCAAUUACGUUUGGGCAUGGGAAAAAACAUGCCAAGCCACCUUGCUUUUCUUUCUUUUUCUUAAUCCUUUCAAACUGGUGGGGGCAGAAGGGAGUGAGACAACUUCAUAGUUUUUAGAAGCAUGCCAUGGAUUCUAAAGAUUGUCUGGCCAGAAGUUGAGUGGAUAAAAGGCUCGGAGUAUUGCUUUGAUCAGGAAUAUAGCAUGUGGGAUUCCUGCUCAUUUUACUGCAAAUAUAUCGUCGUCGUCUGCACUAUCAGUAGAGGAAUCUACCUCAAGGAAAGUUCAAUUUUUCUCAGGUCAUGGAGAAUCUUCUAUAAAAUUGACAUCGUACACAGCAUUGCAUUCACCAUCAUUAUUGAUAUCUUGGCCAAACAUAUCAGUCAAAACUGCAGAAGCCUCUGAUUCCACAGCUUGCAAAUCAUCCCAAUCCUCAAAAUUUUUGCAUGGUUUCAGGAAGUUCUGCUAGGAAGUCAUUGCCCCAGUGCUCAACAGUGAUAAACUCUUGACCUUCCUUGCCUUAAGAAAACCAAAAGAAGAAAGAAAUGAUUUUGCAAGUUCCACAGCAAACAAGAGAUUAAAUAAACAAAAUCCACAAUAUGUAAUUUGCACUUAGUUCAGUGAGACACCAUAUUUAUAUGCAGGCAAGACACCAUAUGUAAAUUUCGCUAGUCAAUAAGACUGCUCCGCAAAACCCACAGAGAAAUGGGGACGAGAUCAAUGAACUAGAUUUAACCAGCUCUCUGGUCCAUUCACAUCCAAAAGGCAGACCAUUCCACAGCCAUCGUCAGAAUGACGACUAACCCCAAUAAAUCUCCGUAUUCACGACUGCACAAUCAAUCGAUUCAUGAAUCAUCCACGCAACACAAUCAAUCGCCAGAAUACCUACACAACCUCCGCAACGCUAAUCAGCAUAAAAAAAAUGGGCGACGAAAUAACGAUUCCAGUUACCGUAGAGGGAAACGAGACUGUCCCAAGCACUUGCUGGCGGACUGCUUGUCGAAGCCGAACUCAAGGGCCAAGCUCAGCAACCCCGAGCUUUCUCUACCUCUUCCAAGCCCCGAUCCUCCAUGGAGUCUCGACCUGUUCGAACGAUUCAAUCAAUCGAUCGAUCGAUGAUGCACGAGCUGCAGUCGAAUCGAGACGAUCGCUAAUCUCUCCAGAGACCGCGGGCUUCGAAGUGCUCUUUUCAAAAGACGUUUCCAGCGAUGGCGGGAUUGGUGAUGUUUUCCGCUGCCUAUUUUUAUAUAUACGCUGGAGAAUGGGAGAGAUUGGAACCUUAUUUUUUCGAUUUUCUUUUUUGAAAUUUCCUCUUUCGCCCCUGAAGUUUGUCUAAGCUCUAUUUUGCACCCCGGGCUUCAUUUGACACGCUUGGGCUUGAAAAAUCGUUAACCUCGGCAGAUAGGAUUAUGUGUGAAGGUUACUUCGGAAACGGAAGACUUGCAUAUCAUAUGAAAUUUAUAGACGUAUCUGUUGCUGUGCGUCAGUGAAAGACAACUUUGGCAAAGUAAUAUUGUUUCUUAAUUUACAUUUUUUUCCUUUCUAUAUAUUAAAUAUAUAUUACAAUGGAAUGAUUUUCAAAACUUCAGGAAAAAUAGCAUUUCCAAACACUACUUUACUGUUUGGCAAAAAUAAUAAUAAAAAGCUACUUUAUUAUAGGCAAAACCUCUUGAUGGGGACGGAAAUUUCGCAAAUCAAAACUCUCUUUUAUGGGAUUAGUCCUACAUUCAACGUGGACCGUUGGAUGGAAAGGGCAAAAACAUGAUCCGUCGAGUCUAUUUUGCAAAAUCGAUUUUCUGUCAUCACUUCAAUACAUGAAAGAAAGUCAUGGAUGUGAUCAAAUUAUCAUUUGAUAAAGAAAAGUUACGAUGAGUAAGGAAAUUUACCAAGACAAAGAUCUCAAGACUUUACGAAGUGCAAAAUUGAAAGAUUUGUCAUCUUUAACGGUUUCUUUCGUGACGUGACUGACUUGUUAAUGGCUUUUUUAUCAGAUUUAUUAAUGUUUGAUGCCAAGGGGUUCAGAAGAAUUUGUAUUUUGUUGGUUCCUUAAUUGUGGUUUAUGUUGUUGCAUUGCUUACCAAAGUUAGCAUUCCCCGCCAGAUAUUCAGGCUCUACAUCAUCAAUCUGGAGCAUCGAAUGAUUUUCAGGAAUUGGAAGGAAAAAGAAAUUCCUAAAAGACAAUAUGACAUGGAUCCUGCAAUGGAGGACAAGAUUUGUGAUCUCUAUGACCUUUUUGUUGAUGUACAUAUUUCCUUUGCAUUUUUUUAUACUGCCUUUUUCUACUUGAAACAUGCUUUAGAAAGCUACUUUUAAACAUGAGUGUCUAUUUGAUUUCAUGCUUUGAGGGUCUUGAUGAGGACACCGGUCCACAAGUCAGAAAAUUAUAUGCUGAGGUACCACUAGCCCCAAAAACUAAAAAUUACUAUCUGUAUGGCUGUUUAGCUGUUAUAGACAUGUUGCAAUCUUGUUUUGACAAUUCAUCUUUGUGAAGCGUUCGCAAAACCAUCAUGAUGGUGUAUAUUGCCAUAGUUUGCAGGAUAUAAUAGUUGGAUGUGAGAUCAAUUGCAUUUACAGUGCUGAUAUAUAAUAUAUUUUAUGUUCACAGUUGCAAGUAUGUUCAUAUAGUGGUCAAACAUGGUGAUGGUUUUCAAUGUGGGUUUCACAUGCAGUGUUAGUUUAUGAUUUAUUUAUGCAAUUAUAUGAAACUAUGCAAGCACUAAACCCGCAUUUCCCCUUGUUCUGAAUUAAUAACUGAUGCAAAGAGUGGAGAGUGCAACCUACUUUUUGAAAUGGCUGCAGUUGUCAACUUUGGGCUGCUACGAAGUCGUUUCGAGUAAACGUUUUGAUGAUAAUCAUGAUGGCAUGCAUAUGAAAUGUGGAGAACCCACUGAAUUGGUUGGCUUGACUUGUUAUUUUAUAUGAUCUCUGUUUAUUUAUCACACUUUGAUCUCCGUCCUUGUCUGAACCCUGGGAUUACUGGGAUUUAAAACAACUAGAGGGUAUUCUCGAGAAGGAAAAGAUACAGGAGGAAUUGAGGUUGCGAGGCAUGUGGGCACCGGCAUCUUAAAAUAAGAAAUAUUUUCAUGGAGUUUGUCAUCUCUGCAUCGCAAACGGUUUUAUAUGAUCUCUAUUUGUUUAUCACCUCGGUUGGUUUUUACCUGCAUCCACUGGUUCUAAGACUUUUGUCAGUGUAAAGUCUUCACUUUUUGGAGGGUAGGUACAGCUUGCAGAGCUGUGGCCAAAUGGUUUUAUGGACAACCAUGGUAUUAAGCCGGCAAUUUGUAGGGCCGAAGAGAGGCGAAGGACACUUUACAACAGACACGAGGUAUGGUUAAUUUCUACAUUCUUCCACCAACUUUCUUUUCCAUGAACUGAAAGAGAAUAUGUAGUGCUUGGUGAAAGGGGAGAACGCCAAUAUUUUUUGUGUUCUACCUGGCCGCUGCAUGACUUAACAUAGUUUUCCUUCAAAGUGAUUAUAAUAUCGUCUUUACUUAUCCACAUAUUGCUUUGACUUUUUUUAUGGGUAAUUGCUAUGUAAUAUGGCUCUUAUGUUUCUUCAUGUGGACGGAGGAAAUGGUGAUUCCCGAUUCGCAAAGAAAUAAAAGUGGUUGUCGGCUUUACAAAAUAGAUUAGACAUUGGUAGUAUAAUUAAUGUAUUUGCCUUGAGCGGUGUAAUUUAUGAAUUUUGAGACCUCAUAGUGGUAGAAAUAUAUGCAGUUUCGCUUUUCACGAGAAUGUAGAGUAGCAUCUUUCUUCUUUACUUGUGUAUGUGAAUUUUCUUCCAAGUGCGAUGCAUAAGCAGAUAUAUGCCACUGGAUGGUAGCUUAUGUCAUCCUUAUAAUCCGUUUAUAGGAGGAUCAAAGAAAAUGAGGCGGGAAAAGAUGUUGGUGCCUAAAACAGAGGAGUCAGUUCCAGUUGAGGGUCUUUCAGUUGCUCAGCCACAAACCCCGCCAGAGAGAUUGUCUAUUGAUUUAGGCUUCAUGGUACAACUACUACUAGCAGACCUAUUCACAGCCCAACAACGGCAACUGCUAGGGUUUCUAAAUUUGUUUAUGCAAAAAAGCUUUCAAUCCUUGCCAUAUUGACAUGAUACUGGGACCAGAAUCCUAGCUGUUUCAUCUCUCCAAUAUGAACAUAUUUGAGGUUGUAUGCCAUAAUUACAUGAACGGCAGACAAAGUAAAGGAUGAAACAGAAAAGCUCACUUGUGUUGCAUAAAAGUAACCGUAAUCAAUCAUCAUCAUCAUCCGGUACUAAAAGAAUCCUAAUAAACUACUAGGGUGUGGGAGAUUAGGGUUUUGCCUCUUCUGUUCCCCAUGGCGGUCGACGCUCGCUCAAUGCUUGACGGAGACGAUGAACUGCUAUGUCUGUUCUGCAUUUUCAGAGUGAAGGGUGGUGAAAGUGUUUUUCAAAGAGCGACGGAGAGAGAGAGAGAGAGAGAGAGAGAGGAUUUGAGGAGGAAGACCAAAGGUGCGAGUCUUAUGAAUUUUCGGUAGGAUGGGAAUUGAGGCAAGGGGAUGGCGAGUUUUGACCUCACAAGUUCGGCCAGGCGCAUUUUCCGCACGCUCCUCCGCCACGGGGGCAGCUGCAAUUUAUUGAUCUUUUUGGUAGUCAAACUCUCUGCAUAAAUUUUUUGACCAAAAAAAAAAAAUCAAAAGAAGACUUUGCAUCAAUUCUAUUGAUCCGGUCUUAUAAAUUAUAAUUUACUCGUACUUCUUUUUCGACGGUAAUCCAAUUUCAGAAAAAUCUCCAAAAAUAACCCUCUAUGUCAUAAACCGAAUAAAACAUAAGUCAAAAUCCUAAUAAGUGGCCAAAGCAUUUGUAGUACUUCUUUUUAUACAACGCAUCUAAUCCAUCUCGAGAGAUUCGUUCUCGUUUUUUUGCAAAAAUUGAGGUUUCUCCACUAUUCAGAAAUAAUUUUAUUGCCAAUAAGUGAAAAUGGAAAAAAGAGAAGGGUACCCAGAUAUACAUGGCUUCAAUUUGACGGACUUUCCCUUUUCAAGAUCUCUUUCAUUUAAUUAGCAAAAAAAAGAAAAGAAAAGAAAAUUUCGUCCUGCACAAAUCGGGAUUUGCCUUGUUAGAAAUAUUCGAUUUGGCCUUUAACCAUAUUCAAGAAGAAGAAAAAAAGAAAAGGAAAAAAAGAAAAGAUGAAAAGUUCAAAAAUGGAGGAUGGAAGAGCGAAACGACGUUCUCCUCUGCCAAGAACUGCCGAGGUCGAGCAGUUCGUGCUGCGUCGUCGUUUUUUCCUUUAAACUCCAAGCGUUGAAGCUGGCGGAUCUAGGCGUUGGAGGGGGGCUCACAUGGAAACCGGAAGCCUUCAAAUCUCCCUCUGUCUCUGCACCUGCGAGUCAUGUGCCAUAGACGAGAAAUGUGGGGGAUGGAUCGUGGGUCGGGCGAGGAAAGAGGCCAUUUGCCCGUGGCAAUCGGUGCUGCGAAAACGGUGCUGAGUCCGGAUCCGAUCCGGGUGUGUUUUUGUCUUCUUAUCCUUCUUGAAUAUCUAAACCUGUCAAAAGUAGAUCGUUUAAUGAAUGACAAGAUAUUAAAUGGAUUUAUGACCCGACCCAUCUCGUUUUUGGGUGUAAAUUUUUCUAGAUUUGGGUUAAAUAAAAAAAUGUUUUAGCAUCACGGGACAAUGUUAGAUAUGAGUCACUUAUAUACAUAUUGUAUAUAAAUUGAUUAAAACGGAUUAAAAUGAGUUUAUUUAGGUUGAACUAUUUUCGAUACAUACCAAAACCAGGCUCAAACACCCUUUUGAUGGGUAUAUGAAGAUCUAUCUCCAAAUGGCAAAAUAAGUUCACUACCAUUCAAUCUUUAUCACUCGUGGUCCCAGGUUUGAAUCUCCCAACAUUUGCACCUCUUUGUUUUCACCAAGACAUCAUUUUGUUGCUCUCUUUUUACCAAAAAAAAAAAAAUCUAUAAAAAGAUUUAUCGCCAAGAAGCCCCAAUCUUUGGUUGCUCUUGAAACAUGAUAAAAAGUGUUAUCCAUGAUCCGAUGUAAUUUUUAAGCACUUAUGGGUCCACAAUAAAAACUUCAUGUGGAGUUUUGAUUUAGACAUGAAGUUUUUAUUUAGACAUGUGACUAACCUCUUAGAGAAAAUUAACAAAAUAAUCCUUAACGGAUGUCGAUUUGAUCAUAAACUUUAUAAUUUAGUCGAUUUAGUUCUAAAAUUAUUGACAAUUCGUUAAUGUAAUUUUUCUGAUUAAUUUUAAUUAAAAAUUACUGACGUAAAUAUUGAUCAUUUGUUGUGACGUAACUAAUAUUGGCAUGGACAACUUUUUACAAUUUUUAGAAGAAUCUUUUUGAAUUCUUUGCUUUUAUUCUUUUCUUUUACUUUCUUUUCAUGGCUCGUGUCGCCUGGCGCGGGCAUAGUGUGUAACUUUUUCAAAGUUGGAGAGCAGUCGUGCAACGGUGUGGAAGUUGCGGGGGUUUUUGAGAAAUUAUCCACAAAAUUAAUGGCACAAAGAAGGGGAAUUAAAAAGGAAAAUCCGAAAAGAGCGCAAGAAAAACCCCAUUCCCGCGCUUUCUCAUACCCUAAUCCAUCCCAAUUUGGGGGAAGAAUGCACGUGGUCCCAAUGAGUACAUUUGGCAUCUAAAAGGACACGUGGGCUCGGUAAUUUGAUGCAUUACCUCGGAGAAUGCACGUGGUCCCAAUGAGUACAUUUGGCAUCCUGAAGAGACACGUGGGCUCGGUGACUUGAUGCAUCGCCUCGGAGAAUGCACGUGGGCUCGCUGAUUCAAAAUGGCAUUUUAAAGGGCACGUGGGCUCGGUAAAUUAAUGCAUUACCUCGGAGAAUGCACGUGGCUUGGUAAUUGGUUUUGUCAAUUGAGACUGUAUAGCAAUAGCCUGAAUGACCGGGAAAGGGUCAGUCUGAUACGUAAUCGACUAGGUCGAUUGAUCAUUGAUUUGAUUUGAUGUUGUGGAUUGAUUGAUUGAUUAGAAAUGACCAUGAGUGGUCUUGUUGACAUGUAAUCGACUAGGUCGAUUUGAUCGAUGCUUCGAUCAGCGAUAUGAUUGCUUGGGUGCCUAUUAUGAAUUGUACUGACUUGCAGGUGGGAUCUGAUGCUAAGGUACGUCUUCUGACCCAUGCGUGUAUAGGCAGCCUUUAGUAUAAUGGUUUACUAAUCGGGCUUAGUGGGGUAGAACUCGCUGAGACGUAGUCUCAUCCCAGUUUGGGGAAAAACAUUUCAGGACCCCGUUGAGGAGCUGAGGAGGAAUCUGAGAAGGAGAACUUGGAGGUGAAACCUGAGUAGAAGGAUUUUUGGAAGAAGAAGAUAAUACCGAGAGAGAUUUUGAGUAUGACCUGAAGGGAUUGAGAUUCCAUCUUCUUUUGUGAACUCCAAUUGAUGUGAAUAGUUAUGAAGUUCUCUAAUUGAUGUCAUGUACAAAAGUUUGGUUAUAAAUUUCAAUAUGAAAAAUAUGACCCUGCUUUUCUAUUCCAUUGUUUUAUUGUCUGGGGAUUUUAACUGCUUUCGCAUGUGCUUAAUAACUGAAAGGGUCGGCGAUACAUUGUCCUAGGAUAUCGCAUUUAAAAAUCGACCAAGAAGAAGGAUGUGUGCGUGCCCGAGGAUCGGGGCGUGACAAUAAGACUACUUCACCAAACCCGCUCGAUCUAUUCAAACCUAGAGCAGACUAUUCCCUAGUCAUCAUCACCAUCGUCAUGGUGGAUGAUGAAAUACCUACACAACCUAACCUCUGCAAACGCUAAUUAGCAUAAAAAAAAAUGGGCGACAAAGUAGCGAUUGAAGUUACCGUAGAGCGAAAUGAGACGGUCCCAAGCACUUGCUGGAGGACUGCUCGUCGAAGCCGAACUCGAUAGCUAAGCUCAGCAACCAGAGAUUCCUCUACCUCCUCCAACCCCCGAUGCUCCAUGGAAUCGCAACCUGUUCGACGCAAUUCGAAUCGAUCGAUCAACUAUGCAAGGGUAGGAAUCAAAUCGAUCCGUAGUCUCUCUCUCUCUCGAGAGCGCGCACGCUCGAAGCGAUCUCUUCCAAGAAAAACCAUGCCAGCGAUGGCGAGACUGAUGUUUUUUGCUUUGCUUUUUUACUUGUUGGUUGCUGGAGAGUGGGAGAGAUUGGAGCCAUGUUUUUUUUUUUUUUUCAAUUAUUCCGUUUUUGCACCUGAAUUUUGCUGGAAGCUCUAUUUUUUGCCCCCCUAAUAAGUUUUCCUGGUUUCAUUUGACACUCUUCGGUUUGGUCUGCGUAAGUAUCAGAAGAAGAGCAAGCAUUAUCUAACAAAAGUGGCUGCGGGUUACAACUAGUAGGGAGAUUGUCCCAUUAGUCUUAAAAUUAUAUAUACGGAUGUCGCUUCAAUUAUAAAAUUAUCAAUUAUAUCAAUUAAUAUGAAAUCUUUGCUCAAAAAUCUAAUAUAGUCCUUCUAGAUAAUUUUCGUUGAAAGUCGCUGACAUUAUAGUGUGCCACGUAAGAUGGUCAACAGUAACUGGACCGUCAUGUCAACAAUUGCUUAUGGAAAUUGAUCAGAAUGACUACAUUGAAAUUUCUCAUAAAGAUUUAAAACUAAAUCAAUGGAAUUGAAAAAUUUUAAAAUUAAAUUGAUAUAUAUAUAUAUAUAUAUAUAAUAAAUUUAUUAUUGAUUGGAUAAUUUUCCUUAUAAACGGCAAAGUAGCUUUACUUUUUCUUUUUUUUGUAAUUUCAAGUUCUAUAAACUCCAAUGUGUGACAUUUAUAACAUGGAAUCCAAGAAGAUCUUCUCUCCUUUCUUCGUCGCGUAUUUUUUCCUGUUCUUUUAGGGUUGUCCUUUAUUUUUCUUUUUCUUAUUUUUUGUGCCAAUGACUUAUUUAUUUCCUUCAUAUGUUGAAUUUCUAAGUCCAUCAACCCAGCGCCUUAUUUCAAAUUAUAUAAACACCACCCUCACAUAGACAGUAUACUUAACUCUCGCAUAAAAUACUUACUCACAUCUUUUUUUCUUUUUUUCCUUUGCAAAGAGAAGACUUUACGUGUCAAACUUAUAAACUUUGGAUUGUCAUGCUCUUGACGGGUCUACGCUGCACGUUCCAAUUUUGCUUUUUUCGGAAAUGUGGGUUUGUUUUAAACUCAGAUAAUUCGAAUUAAAAAAUAAGUUGAAUAAAAAAAGAAAAGAAGAAGAAGAAAGGGGAGGAGGAAGUGAUGAUUUAUAGAGAUGUGAGAUAAGAAAGAUCGAGAGAGGAAAAUAUUUUCCAUUUUUCCUUUCAUGAAAAAUAUUUUUCUCAAUAAAUUCAUUUUCUGUGAAAUAAACGCCGAAAAUUCCAAAAAAUGUUUUUUUAGAAAUUAUUUUCCACGAAACGAACGGAGCCCAAGUGUUUCUACAAAAUUUUUGUAAAUUCUUCUACAUUUCGGAGAUAGUGGAGUAAUAUAUAUAUAUUGGUUGAAGUAAACAUAUUUCAUUAUUUCAAGUAGCUCCAUGAUUACAAACUAAGUAGACCUCUAACUAAAUUAGGUCUCACAAUAUUUUUGGCGGAUAAGAAACCCAGUUGGUGGGAAGGGAUUUUCGCCGAUGGGCCUUAGAGAUCCAAUCAGCUACCUAGCUCGCUCCUCUCCUAUAGUAGGCUAAUCACUUGCUCUUGUAUUGGGCUAGCAGGUUGUUGCCUUUAGAGAUAAGAGACUGGAUGCUCCGCGCUGGUUGUUCUUGAUUUGAACGUGCGCUUAUCGUUGACCAACUAUCUAACUCUAGAGAGUACUUGAGUUCAGAAGUAGAACAAAAGAAGCGUAGGGCUUCCAUGCAUGCCAGGGCUUCCACUUGCUCCGCCGAGUUCGCCCGUACUUUCUUCACAAAUGCAUCCACGAUGUUCCCAGACUCGUCUCUACAAACGCCGGCGAUGCUUCCUGUUCUCUCUCCCUUCGUAUACGAGCUAUCCACAUUGAUUUUCAGAGUGCAUUUCUUGGGCGGAAUCCAUUUUGUUGAGGAGAUGAUGUUAAGCCAAAGGCUGAAGUAGGCGCAUCCUUAUGAUACAAUUGAUUACACAUAAUAGGAAAAAAAAUGUAGCAAUUUCGGAAUUUGAUGGCUAUCUAUAUAAAGGAAUUGGUAGACGCGGAACACAAAUACAACAAAGACCACUUAACCAAAAAAAAAAAUACAACAAAGACCAAGUAAAACACUCUACCCAAUGGUAUAUAAGAAUCAUCAAGUCCCUAGUUUUGAGGGACGUAUACGGCGUACGGACAAUUGACGAUGAUUGACCUCUGAGGAAAUGGUGCCUAAUGACACGAUUGCUCGAGUGAAAUCAUUAGUAGAGCACCACCAAGCGUAAUUUUUUUUUUUAAAUAUUUGAAUAAGUACUUGGGUUUCAAUUUGGUUUAAAGAACGAGUGUUUUUUUCUUAUUAAUUUUCCUCAAAUAAUUUCUCAUUAUUUUCAUUAUUUGAAAAAAAUAUUAUAGUUGUUUUGAAUUUAAUUUUGCUUAAUGAUUUUUUUUUAAAUAUCUAGGUCCAUGCCAACCAUGCCCAGGUCGUGUCCGCUCAAACAUGCCCCAGUGCUCAGUGUUGACAUUUAAAUUUUGGCGACCCAGUUAUUUAUUUAUUGCAUAAAAAAUUAGGGAUUAAUUUUAAUCCCUAAAAAAAAAAAGAAUUGCAUAGUAUAUAAUUUUAGUUGCACUUGUUUAUUUGUUUAUCACUUUUGCAUUUGAUUAGUGGGGGAUAAGCUAUUAAUUUUACAAGUUGACAAUUCGGUAUUUUCAAAAAGAAUUCAUAUUAUUCUUUCAAUAUUCGGUAAAUAUUUCAUAUAUUUACAUGAUUUAUACAUUAAGUGAUAAAUUUUACAGAGGAUUGAAAGUUUAAGGAUGAAAUAGAAUAUUGCACGGGACAUGUAUUGAAUAAUAUAUUUUUCGACUCAAAAUAAGAAAGAUCACAUGAUCAAAGGGGAUUUCAUGCGUGAACCAAAAAUGAAAAAAAAUGUUCUGCAAAAACUCAAAUCCCUCGCCUGUAAGAAGGCUGUUCGCGUAAGGAGAAAAGGGGGGGGGGGGGGGGGGGAAGGACUUUUUUUUUUUUUUUCGGAAAAAAGGGGGUCAAGGUCAACAAAAAGGGUUUCCUUUGCUGUUUGGCUUGUCCUUGGCCUAGAUCAAUGUAAAAUGAAAGUAUGAAAAAAUUUCAUCAUGCUUAGUCAACAAAAAAAGUAAACUCUAUUGAUGGUCCUUUCGAUUCCGUCAAUAACUCUUCCCGUGAUUAUUGUUGAAAAGUUAAUGGUUGUCAACCAAUAAAACAUUUCUAAUAUGCAAAUCUUUUAAUAAUAGAUAGUAAAUCGCAUUGUGUUCAUUGACAAAAUCAUUGCUUUAUUUUCCAUUUGCCUAUGCAACAUAAGCCAUGUCUCAAGGAAUUAUAACAUCUAGGCGACUUCUCAAGCUAGUCAUUAUGUUAAAGAACUUCAAUAACUCUGUCACUAGUCUUUUUAAUUUACAAAGGCAUUUAUUAGAAUGUUGAGACAAAAAACAUUGGGAGUCAUUUCCUUCGAAUUCAUGCGACUAGUCGUGUCAAUGGCAGGGGCGCAAUAUUUCUUCAUCUUCUCCAUGGCUGUAACAUCCUCGAUUCCAACCCCGUAAGGAUUGGCUAUAAGGUCCUACAUGGAUUGACCAUGGGCCAUGGAUCGACCAAUUCGAUUGGCAAUGAAUCACGGAUCGGUCCAACCGACCAACCAAUUGAUUGAUCGAUUACGAAUUGGUCGAGGUAUCGGCCGUGAAUUUUCUACCGACCAUACCGAUGGGAUAGGAUCACCAGCUCAUAAGAUGACAUUUUUUAUCACGAAGAUUGGUCAUGGGAUCAUUUUGGAUCAGCGGAUGAUCAUGGGUCGAUCCGACCAGUCAUAGUUUCUAGUCGCGGGUGAAUUCGUCCAGUUAUGCACCGAUACACGGACGAUCUGACUUGACCAAAUGUGAUCAUCUUAUGAUCGAAAAUGCAUCAUUUCCUAUUUAAUUCUUAGUAAUCAGAAAGGAAUCUUGAAUUGGUGAUGUCCAAUUGUGGAUCGGUAAUGCGCCGACCAUGAGCCAUACAGAUGGAUUGGGUGCUAACCAGAAUGAGCUUAGGGAUAGACUCAGCUAUUCUGCCACUAAUUCUAAGAUCCAUGAGUGUCUUGAUUUAGUGCUAGGCCAUAGGUAGCCUUAGGAUUGGCCUUGAAUCGGCCGAAGGACAACUAACUCUUUAGGCCGAUCGACCGUCCAAAGCGGUUCGGGCAAGCAUAGGGAGUGAUGGCCGAAUCUUGGGUGUACAUGAUUCGAUUUUUCAAGGUGUAUCGAAUGAUCCCUUGUCCAGUCUCGAAACCAACUUAGACGAUAUAAUUCUCUACAUCGUCUUCUUGAGGAAGAAAAGUUUAAAAAGAAAUCCUCUAGAAUACCCUAGCUUCUUCAUAAAGGGGUUGACUUAUCAUUCCACCUAGAAUUUUCUAGAUAUGGUCAUGAUUAUCAAGGAUUUACCUUGGGAAUUAAGCAAAGUAUCCAAGUGAAUUGUCCCAAUAAAAAUAUGAAAUAUUGGAGCUACUUAUGGCUAUCUUAUAGCCUUGAUGCUACCUUAAAUUUCAUAGGUUUUGACUUUCCAGUUUUUUUUUUUUUAACUACUAGGUUUUUCUUACUUUUCAAUUUUAUAGAGCUCUUUGUACUUCGAAUUUGGAGAAACUUCCUUCAUGAAAGUUGUUCAAAAUAUCUUAAUCUAUAACAUACUUAAAUUUCAUAGUUUUCUGAGGUGAAAUAGUUGAGACGAAGGCCCAAUCAAUUACCAUAUGGAACUUGCCCAAAAUAGUGAAAACGGUAACCAAGUCGCUUUCUCGAAUUUUUAUAAAAUCUUUCCUUUAGAAUUUGGACAUUCUUUCUUUAGAAAAGUUUUGAAUGACAUCUAUAUAUACAACAUAUUAAAAUUUCAAAGAGUUUUGUGAAUAUUUGGAUUUCGAAAUGAGUCUCUCUCUCUUUCUCUGACCAUGCAGUUUGCUCAAUGGAUGAAUUUUUGGGUUGUGUUCAAUGAUUUUAUGCUCUUUCCAUAGAACGAAUUUGGCUUGGAUUCUUUCAUAAAAAAUAUUUGCUAAGGUCUUCUCUAGAACACAUUAAGAUUUUAUAAUUCUUCGGGUCUAUUUGUUAAGGUAAUGGUAAUGAUUUCGAAAGUUGCUCAAAAUUGUUUUCGUCUUAGAAUGAGAAAACCACAUGCUCAACUUGGAGGGGAAGGGGGCUGCACGCCCACCUUGAGGAGCAAGCUAAUUUAGAGACUUAUUGGUUUGAAGAUAAGAAUACAUUAAAUGCUUUUGGACCUUAGUUUGUUAAAGAGAAGAAACUUGGAGAAAGUUGGCUAAUGCAAACAUAUCUAAGCCUAAUGAUUGCAUGAAAUCUUGGCAAUUAAUGAGAGAGGUGAGUCACCUACUUAGGUGUCCCCUAGAAUCUUAGGUGAACCUUAGGUUAUGAUGGCCUUAGAUUGUAGCCUUAGGUUAUGGUGUCUCCUACGCUUAUCGAUUUUAGGAUUAUGUCAUCAUUUGCUUCUGUUGGCUUUGUAUUGUUAUGCUUGUUGUUUUUCUAUUGCUUGUUGUUGUAUCAAGUAAGUUCAUGAUCAUGUGUGGGUGUCGAGCACACCCGGAUGUUGAGCACACCUGGAUGUCGAGGAAUGGUCUUGGCGACUUUGGAUGUGUGCCGAGGUGUGUGCACGACUCACACUUGAACCCGAGACAAUAUUGAGGCGUGUUGUUACUCGGGACAAGUCAUGGGUCGAUGUUGAAACCAGAGCGAAUGGUUCCAAGUCAAGACCACAAGGCCGAAUCGCAUCUAGCAUGAGUCUAACAAGGUAUAAGAGUUGUUGAUUGAUUCACUUUACAUGGCACGCCUUCGGGCCUUUCAUCUGGCUAAAAGUUCAAAGAUAAAAUAAAUCGAUUGAUGCUUGAAACACAUGAAUACACAAUGGACUUAUAUGCCGACGUUGGGGAUGCCGGGUUGUUGCCUGGGGUAAAGCCCCAGAUGCCUUCCCGAUAUUGAGAUCGUGGACGAUGCUGGCCUAGGUGAGGCUAAUGCUUGGGGGUUGCCAUGGAUGCCAUCCUGAUAAUGAGAUCAGGACAAUGCUGGUUGCCAAAGGGGGGGACCAAUGCUUGGUUGUUAACAGAAGAGUCGAUUAAUUUCGACGAAUAUAAUACUAAAAAAGAUAAAUGAAACUCCACAUGUGGUCCAUGACUGAGACUUGUGUGAUGCUUGCAAAAGUUGAGUUUGUCUGAUAUGUAUUGUUAAGUCCUUGCAGCAAUUCGAGCAUAUAAUUGAAUUGGGUCACUUAGUGCUUGAAUGAGUUUCAUGAGAUGUGAGCAUCCGUUUUUAUGACCGAAAUUAUCAUAAGCCACAGAUCCUUGGAAAGAUUGUUUAUAUAAACUAACUCAUUGUCUUUAAUUCUUGAAAGCACAUAGAAGGUUGAGAGCCUUUCAUAUGCAUAAGCAAGGCAAGGCAUGAACCUUGCUAUUGAUUUGCCAUCAACAAGUGGUGGUGAUCUUGUAUCCAACGAUCGACGGCGAGAUGUCCUCCUAUAGGAGAAUGAGAGAUUUCUGCUUACUAAGUCAUCGACUCACUCUUGUUGUUCUCACCAUUUCAGGUAUGUGUUGGGUGAACAAGGGUCCAAGAAGGGAAUGAAUCUAGCAUGGGGGCUGCUUUUAGGAGCAGCUUGGUAGAGGAGCUAGGCUACCCCAGCCCUUUUGAUUGACUAUAUAUGAAAAUAAAAAUAAGUAACCCAGGACCAGGAUGGGCAUGUAAUCAAAACAGCUUUUGUUGUGUAAUAUGUAUAUGUAUAUGUUACUUUUAUUUACUUGGCCUGCAUAUAUCUUGUCCGGCUUCCAUGCUUGUUUGUAUGGGGAUUAUUUAUGAUAUAACUAAAGACAAAAGACUUUCGGGACAUUUGACGUUGCCUAGGGCAUUGAUGCUAACCCGCCGGGUCAUGCUCUCGUGCCAAAGAUAGGCGGGGGUGUGACAACGCCCCCCCAAGGAGUUGGGUGAAAUAGGGAGGUGAACGCCAAGGGUUCAUCCUAAUCAUCCUCUUCCAGUAGAAUAAAGCAUCGUUGUUCUUCUAGCAAUCUGCCAAUUUUGCAUUUGUUUAUCACAAAAGGCCAAAGACUCCGAUAGAUUCACGGAGAUAGUAACUCACAUUAGUGGAUGGGCAAGUGUGAGAGUGACGCGAAAAAACUAUUUGAUGCAAAGACAGGAAGAUAAAUGAAAGGUUAAGCGAGAUAACCAGAUUCUCAAACAAGAUCAUCAAAUCAAACAGCAGAACCACAAAUCGACCCAUUUAUUCUCUUCAUUUAGGCUAAUUUUGUCUUAUUGUGAGUCCACACAUUCAUAAAAUAGUUUUUGGAGAGGGUGAAGUUAAACAGUUCAAUGAGUUCCUUCAAGGUAUGCAGGUUCAAGCUCUACUUAGCUCAUCUAAAGUUAUUAAAAUUUCAGGAAGAGCCCCAAUCACCGAAAACUUCUGUAAUUAAGUGUUUCUACAAAAAUUUUGUAAAUCCUUCUACAUUUCAGAGAUAAUGGAGGAAUCUAUAUAUAUAUAUAUAUAUAUAUGGUUGAAGUAAACAUCUUUCGUUAUUUCAAGUAGCUCCAUGAUUACAAACUAAGCAGACCUCUAAACAGAUUAGGUCUCACAAUAUUUUUGGCGGAUAAAACCCAGUUGGUGGGAAGGGAUAUUUGCCAAUGGUCCUUAGAGAUCCAAUCAGCUACCUAGCUCGCUCCUCUCCUAUAGUAGGCUAAUCACAUGCUCUUGUAUUGGGCUAGCAGGUUGUUGCCUUUAGAGAUAAGAGACUGGAUGCUCCGCGUUGGUUGUUCUUGAUUUGAAAGUGCCCUUAUCGUUGACCAACUAUCUAACUCUAGAGAGUACUUGAGUUCAGAAGUAGAACAAAAGAAGAGUAGGGCUUCCAUGCAUGCCAGGGCUUCCACUUUCUCCGCCGAGUUCGCCCGUACUUCCUUCACAAAUGCAGCCACAAUGUUCCCAAACUCGUCUCAUCUCUACAAACGCCGGCGAUGCUUCCUGUUCCCUCUCCCUUCGUAUACGAGCUAUCCACAUUGAUUUUUAGAGUGCAUUUCUUGGGUGGAAUCCAUUUUGUUGAGGAGAUGAUGUUAAGCCAAAGGCUGAAGUAGGCGCAGAACACAAAUACAACAAUAAGGGCACUUGCGGAAUUUGAUGGCUAUCUAUAUAAAGGAAUUGGUAGACGCAGAACACAAAUACAACAAAGAUCAAGUAAAACACUCUACCCAAUGGUAUGUAAGAAUCAUCAAGUCCCUAGUUUUGAGGGACGUAUAAGGCGUACGGACAAUUGACAAUGAUUGACCUCUGAGGAAUGGUGCCUAAUGACAUGAUUGCUCGAGUGAAAUCAUUAGUAGAGCACCACCAAGCGUUUUUUUUUUUUUUUGAAAAUAUUUGAAUAAGUACUUGGGUUUCAAUUUGGUUUAAAGAACGAGUGUUUUUUUCUUAUUAAUUUUCCUCAAAUAAUUUCUCAUUAUUUUCAUUAUUUGAGAAAAUUAUUACAGUUGUUUGAAUUUAAUUUUUCUUAAAUGAUUUUUUUUUUAAAUAUCUAGGUCCAUGCCAUCCAUGCCCAGGUCGUCCUGGCUCAAACAUACAUGCCCCAAUGCUUAGUGUUGGCUUUUUACUGGGGAAAAGGACUUCUUUUUAUUUUUUCGGAAAAAAGGGGGUCAAGGUCAACAAAAAGGGUUUCCUUUGCUGUUUGUCUGAAUGUGUGCAGAGAGAGGGGACGUGUGAGAGAGAAAAAAGGAAAGCAAAAAGACAAAAAAGCAAAGGUCUCCUUCUUCGUGCAGCCGAGCUCCUCGCCGACCCCUGCACUCGCCGCCGCUGCUGCCGACGCCAGCAGCCGCACCUCUGCCCGUCGACUCCCUCCUUCCGGUGAGCACCGCUCGCCCGUCCCCGUCUCCACUGCCGCCCGUCCCUCGCUGGUCGCCGUCCGCGACGCCCGCAGCACCUCCGCCCGCCGCCUUCCUCCUUCCGGCGAGCAUCGCUCGCCCGUCCGCGACGCUUGCAGCGCCAUCCGCCGCAAAUCCUCCGGCGACCGGCCGGAUCCCACCAAACGAGGCGAUCUCAUCAGCGCGUUGCCAGACGAGGCGAUCCGCCGCAUCUUCUCGUUUCUGCCCCUCGAAGACGUCGUGAGGACCAGCGUCCUCUCCAAGCGGUGGCGGUACAGAUGGAGGCCACACAUUGAACAUACGGCCAAGAGAAUACACGUGAAUAGAGAGGAAGAAGGAGAGGGACGCUACGGCCAGUACUCUAAGUCAUACAUCCUCACGGCCACGCUUUCACCCAUCCUCAUCGCUGCCGUCGGCGUCCUUGCUGCCAUCUGUUGCUGCCCAAACGAAGCUGAGAAGCUGCUGCCGUGCUGAACAUCGGUAUGAUUCGCAAGUGACACGUGAAAGAACAGGGAGAGUACACGGAGGAGGGAUAAAUUGUGAAAGGUGGUCCACAAUUUGAGAGGGAAUUGGUGCAUGAGUUUUGUGGGUAAAAGUGAGUGGGAGAGCUGCACCACGCCCACUGAGACGAAUUCCACAUGCAGAAAAUGUCAAAAAGAGAAGGCGUUUACGAAGUCUCUUUCGCCCGACGCCGGUAACAGACUUCAAGGACCCGAGCGGCUUCCCUGUUGCCGUCAUAGCAGCGAUCUUGCAGCCUUGCCGCCGUUUCCUUGGCGAGGUUACCUACCGUGACGGCUAGUCGUAGCGCCCCACAUCAAGCCUAUAGUCAUAUAAGUUGCCGCGCCCCUCCAAGUUUCAAAGCCGGCCCCUCGACUAUCGCUGAACCACCAGCCAUCCUUGCUUAACCGAGCACCACCACACACCGCCGGUCACUCGUUGAACGGAUCGGUUCAAAUUUGGUAAUAUUAUUUGCGGAAUUAGGUAAUUAUCUUAUCAAAAUUUGAUUUGGAUAUUUUAUUGUCUAAUAUAUAUGCAAUAUCUUACAUGCAUAUAUGAAUGGAAGACGUAUUUCCAAUUAGGAUUUAUUGCCUAAGAUGCAACUGCACGUCGAUUUUUUAUUCCAUUUAUAAGGCUUUAAAUGGAAUAAUUAACCAUGCGGGAAUAAAAUUGAUAUUAUGAUCUUUAAGGCUUAACAUCAAUUUAUCGAUUUUAUUAGCGAAAUAAUCAAAUUGAUUAUAUAUUGUUUCCUAAUUUGAACAAUGGAUAAUGUCUUUGAUGACCGUGAAUGAUUUGGUACUUAUCUUUUAAUUGCUUUAUUUAUCCCAAAAAAAAAAAAAAUUGCAUUUGCAUAUCAUGUAGAUUAGAAUUGAUUUCUUAGAUAGAAUUGCAUGAUAGAAUAAUUAGAUUCUUUUUUAAUUAUAUUAGAAUGCAUGUUUAGAUGGUAUCCAAGUUAGACAAUAUCUUUGAAUUAAAUUGCAUGACAUAUAGCUUAGGUUUCAUUAAACAAGAGAAAAUCCUAAAAAAAUUGGGUGACUGCGUGUUAAUUAGGAAUCAUAUCUAGGGCUUUUGAUGUGAAUUUCGAGCUAACAUUUUAGAUACUUUCAUUAUUACGAGGUAAGUCCCGUAAUUUAUUCAUUGCUUACUUGGGUGUUAAAUUGGUGGUUUGCGCACUCGCAUGAUCACCUCACAUGUUAGGGAAGUAAAUUAAAAUUAAUUUAAAAUGCCUGCAAAAUAUUUUUUUUAAAAUAAAAGAGAAAGGUACCGAAAGGGCGUUAGAAUCUAGCGUAAUCAAGUCCUUGAGCUCACAAUCUCUGAUUUGCAAGAGUAACACCAAAAAUAGAUUAGUGGCGACUUCUAAUUGAAAAAUCACAGACAUGUUAAAAAGUUGAAUCUAAGUUGUGAAUUGAUAUGAGUUUGGGAGAGCCCGAACUAAGUUUAAGUUUAGUAAUCCAUUAGCCAAACCUUAGGUGAUUCACCCGGGGUUAGGUUGUGACACUCAGUCCCAUUCAUGCUUCACCAGGCAAUAAGGCCCGAAAACUAUGUCAACUGUCAUAUUGCUUGUGAUUAAACCUAGAACAAAACUAGCUUAUGAACAUAUAUCAUAUCCCAAGACACAGUUCGACCAUGAGCACUGACCCAAUUUCCAUAUAUCAUAAUCUAACAUGCUGAUAUGAGAUAUACGAAAAAUAAUUCACCCAUCUAAACAUUUUCGAUGUAUGUCCAAAAUAAUAAUCUAACUUGAAAUCCAUUCAAUGCUCAAUCCAAUCUUAUUAAAUUAGAUGCGAUGAAUAGUUUAAUUUUCUCUUAAUUCUUAAAGUGCGUGGGUUAAGGAAAUAUGUGGUUGGGCUAUGUGGUUUAUUUAGUGCAUUGCAUGGUUUAUUGAAAAUAAUAAAAACCAAAGACCAUGAUUCAAACAAUUAUAAAAGACCAAGAUAAAUAAUCAAUGACUAGUGAGGCACAAUUCUUAAUUUUUCUAUUUUUGUCCAAAACAUACAUAUUAGUUAUCCUUUGCCUAGAUUGAUAUAAAAUGAAAGUGUGACAAAUUUUGAUUAUGACUCGCCCUCAGAAAAAUAAUCCCUAUUUAUGGUCAUUUGACAAUAUAAACUAGUUGGCUUCAAUAACUCAUCCCCCGACUAUUUUUGAUAAGUCGAUGGUUGUGGACCAAUAAAACAUUAUUCAAAAUGCAAGAAUCUUUUAAUAUUGGACAGUGAAUGGUGUUCCAUUUUUCUGGCAUAUAUUCUGAUUAUAGACCAUACUUUCCCAAACAAUUUCUUGAACUGCAUGCCUUGUAUUCAAAAUACUCUUCUUUUUUAUGGUUCUUUUGCGACCAACUUUUAAAAGGCAAUAAUGUCACAAUCUAAGAUCCCAUCCAUGUUAGCCAGCUGGAAGAUGCAACAAAGACCAAGACUCUUUCUAGUGAAAAAAGAAAAUAAAAAACAAAGACCAAGACUCAAACCCUUAUAAAAGGCAAAUAAUCAGUGACUAAUGAGGUAGAUUUAUUAAUUUUUAUUUUUCCCGGAAAAUUAGAGUUAUUACUUCUCCUUGGACUAGAUCAAUAUAAAAUGAAAGUGUGAUAAAAUUUCAUUAUGAUCAGCCAUAAACAAAAAAAUCCCAUAUUUAUGGUUCUUAGACGGAAUAUAACUUUAAUAACUCAUCCCGCAACUUUUUUUGAAAAUUCAUUGGUUAUGGACAAAAAAAUAUUAUCCAAGGUGAAUAUCUUUUAAUAAUGGACAGUAAAUAGUGUUCAAUUUUUUAGCAUAUCUUCUAAUACUAGCCCAUAAUUUCUUGAACAAUUUCUUAUAUCGCGUGCCUUGUAUUCAAAAUCUUCUUCUUCUUUUUUUAACUGUGUGUGUGUUUUUUUUUUUUUUUUUUUUUUUGUGACUGAAGAUGAAUAUUAUUUCUUUGUUUCCACAUUCAACAACCAAAUCCAGUUAUCAAGCAAUACCGCAGAAGAUAAAUGCCAUGUUUUCUCAUUUUCAUGCUUUCAAAAACCCAUAAAUAUUUAACCAAAAUUUUUCUUACUAUGAACCAAAUUAAAACGUCAGCUUUGAAAAUCUGUCUGAGUUUCAAAAAAUUGAGAUGUUAACAUUAAAUCAAAACCUGAUUUCAAACUCUAAAAAGUUCUAUAUAUAUAUAAGGAGAACCUAACUUUAAGAGUAAAAAUCGUACCGUGCUCCUAUUUAUCUAAAAAAAUUAUGAGUCGAAAGCACCCAAAAUCUAUUUAAUUGUAACAUCAAAUAAAAAUCAUUAAUUUAUAAAAUGAUGUACAAAACAACUUAUCAUAUAUGAUUGUGGUGAAUGUCACGUGAAAUUACUGAAUCUCUUACAUAUUCAGAAUAGCAUGUGCAUCUCGUAGAUGGUCAUAUUAUGUCUAUAUUCAUGAUAUUGCGUAUCUCUAUAUUACUUCGGGGUCUACAUAAUUUAUUGCCAGUACUUGUAUUAGACAUUCCGGUUAUGAACAAAAGGCCUUCAGUUCAUUCGUCUCAGCGCUUCGAAGCUCGCCAUAGACGUUGAGACAGCCUCUGCAGAAAUAUACUAAAAAAGACUUUGAAUCCAAGAAUCAAGUUGCUGAAGUGAGGCCCACUGCGACCCAACUCCACCAUGGAUGAAAGCCUCACGAACCGGGACGACACAAACUCCUCCAAUCUGUGCCAUCAUACCCCGCCAAACUUCGACACUCAUUUGUCAACGAACCACUCAUCAGACAAGCUAGCGCCACUCACCGCCAAGUUAGUGCCACAGCCCGUCCUUGCAUCAUCCUCAGGAAGAUAAUGUCAGCAUCAAGUAACCACCACAUCUCCGACAAGUUAGUGCCGCUGAACCCUCCAUGUUAUCACAACAAUUUCGCUGUGAGAGCUGGCAAUUUUUGUUCACAUGUAAUAAUCGGGUCUUGCAAUCGUGUCAAGCAGCGCUUCCAAACCCGGACCGUCAAAGAACCGGUUUGUGUUCUAGUCUAAAGGUCAACUGGUCGAAUCGUCCUAUUGAACCAUUGGAACUGAAAACUUCUGUGUCCCUGGUUAAGGACCUCUGCCCCUCCAUUACCAUGUAGUCUUCCAAUAAUUGCGGAUGAUGGAACUAGAAGAACUGUGCGGGUCAAGAUCAUGCGUAAGGCAAAACCUUUUGCCCUCAAGAGAGUUGACACCUGAAAGGUUUACCUUCAUGAAGAGGCUUUGAGACAAUUGUCGUAAGGAUUAGAACUGUAUUUACAGUCUUUCCGAUUCAAAGACUCGCCAAAGUGUGCAAGGAAGGUUUGUCGCUGACACUCAUCCUGAAAAUUUCACAAAUUAGAGAUGAAACACACGUUUAUCAAUAGACUUUUCUCUAUUUAGAUGUGCGGAAUUUGAGUUUAUCCCAAAGGUUCCAUUAUUAUUUGAAUAUGUUGCCAACCCGACCCAUCUAAUGAUCCAGCACCCGGACAAGUUAAUGCCAGACCAACCCUAACAACAAUCAAUAGAACAAAGUGAAAAGCGUAAAAACAAAAUAAAAGCAUCACUUAGUUGAGAUCAUCAUAAAUUGAGAAAUUGGAUUACCUUGAGUUCACAAUAUUGCUGCAUUUUCCUAGCUUGAGCCAUUGCACUUUUAAAGAUUUCGGUUUUACAUCCUUGACCACUCGUUGUUAACAUGCACAAAACCCGGCCGAAAUCCUUUUGCCAUAUAGAGCACUGCACAGUACUGGUAGAUUAUCUCUUCCUGCCCUCCCUGAUUCUUGGUAAUAGCUUUCGAUUGACUUGAACAUUGUGUUGUGGACAACAAAACGCUGACCACAUGCCAUAAUUAAAAAUAAAAAAUAAAAAUACUGAACCGACAAAAAUAAGUUGAAAUAUGACAAAAACAUUAUAACAGAAAGUCAAGUUAGAUCAGAUUCAUUUGCCACUCUUGCAGUAAAGAAAAGAAUUUUAUCCUAGUUUAACAUAAUUUCAGCAUACCAAAGUUCCAUGCAUGGAAGAAAGAAUUUGACUUGAAAAAGACAUAAUUUGCUAGUUCCCGCAAUCAAUAGCCAAGAGCAACAAUUUAGCAGGCCACUGGACCAUGGAACUAGCAAAGUUUACUUCCAAGCACACUAACAAACCGAUGAGUGAAACUAAAACAUUAGAAAAAAAGUGAAUUAGUUGAGUAAUUGCUAGCAUGUCACCUUGAUUCUAAAACUGAAAAUAGGCAAAGGCUUAGAGUCCAUUUCAACUUACAACAUCAGGUUUUGUCUAUUCCCAUCCCAAAAGCAAUGGUUACUCAUGCAACCUGGACCUCUCCAGUAUGCCAUUUCUUUUGAACAGCUACUCUUUGAUGGGCUACUAAUCCAGCAUGAUAGUACAGUCUUUAUACCACACUUAACAUUCAAGUAUUUUGCAACAUCAACACAUUCGCUCUUCAAGAGACAAUACACUGCCACACAAAUUAGCAAAACGAUUCUUUAGCAGCUCUCCAAGCUGCUUCAACGGUUCCUUGGGUCUCAGCUAUGAUCUCAUAUUUUAGGUUUGGUCUGUCAAAGCUUGUCUCCAGAACAAGAGCAUGGCGGAUCUCGAGAGCUUUUAGGAUAUCCUGCAAUAGAUGGACAUUUCGAUCAGACCCAAGUGAUUUUUUAACAUAAUCUGGAGGAUAAUGUGCAAGUUUCGUACCUCAUGAACUAGCUGAGUGGCAGUUGCAGAUAAGGCCAUCACUGGGACGUAUGGAAAUGUAGGUAUUGUUACAUCAUCCAAAACGAAAGUCAACUGUUUUUAUUGACUAGACAGUUCUAAUAAAGUCAUUUUGGAUCUUAAAGACUGGAAGUAACUGGCAAGUUAGGAGUGUCUACUAUAAGUUUGAUCGGAUGAGAGCCCUCAAAAGCAAUUUAUUAAAUGCUUUUGUACAGAUACCUUGCAUAAGGUUCUUUGCUGGGAGCAGAAUUACAAGCAAAGUGGAAAUGAUCCAAGAAAGACAUAUUUUUAAGAGCAAAGAACAGUGACAAGCUAAUUUAAGGGGAUGAGCAGUUUCAUCUAAGUCAACGGGAGGAGUUGUUUCACAAUGACCAAGAGGGAAUUACAAUAAGUAAUGAAUCAAUUUCUCACCAACCAAAACCCUAGUUGCAAUAGUCAAUCAAAAAUGAAUGAGACGAGUGGAAAGCGUUUCCCAAGAGUUUUAUGAGAAGGACACUCUAAUCUCUCACAAUCAAAAACCAAGACAAUCUGUUCUCAAUUCUUCUCAUUGUCCUUGUUGACCCUAAUAUACCUCAGCAACAAAAAAAAGGGAUAUAUGGGUUGCAGAAUCAUUGUUAAAAGAACAAAAAGUCGUGCCCAGAUCUCCCAACUUUUUGUCAACCUCCUGAACAACUGGACCAUUAUGGCCAGACUCCUGGGAUUUGCCUAGUAACUAUUGUGGCCUCCAGGUGUCCACAAUUGCUUCACCGAAAGGCCAACCCUGUACAAUACCGAGACAUUCUUCAAGCCGCGUAUUUGGUCCAUGCAAUUACACGGGCCAAUCCCAAGCCAAAUGAAUCAAAAACUCGAGCCACAAACUUAACAACUAUUGACCAAAUUAGUUUUAGGCAUGGGGGUGGACACAGAAAAGAGUGAGACAAAUUCACAGUUUUCAGAAGCAUACCAUGUAUUCUGAAGAUUCUCUGGCCAGAAGUUGAGUGGAUGAAUUGCUAGGAGUACUGCUUUGAUCAGGAAUAUAGCAUGUGGGUUUCCUGCCCAUUUUAUUGCCAAAUAUAUCAUCUUCGUCUUCAUUGUCAGUAGAGGAAUCCACCUAAAAAGAAGUCCGAUUUUUCUCAGGUUGUGGAGAAUCUUCUAUAAUAUCAAUAUCGUGCACAACAUUGCAUUCACUGUCAUUAGGGGUAUCUUGGCCAAACAUAUCAGUAAAAAAUCCACAAGCUUUUGAUUCCAUAGCUUGCAAAUCAUCCCAAUCCUCAGUGUCUUGCAUAGUUUCGGCAAGUUCUGCUAGAAAAUCAUCACCACAGUGCUCCACAGUGAUAAACUCUCAACCUUUGUCACCUUAAGACAACCAAAAGAAGAGUGCGAUGAUUUUGCAAGUUCCAUGACAAAAAAGAGAUCAAAUAAAUACAAUCUACAAUAUGUAAUCUGCAAAAAGAUGCCAUACUUAAUUGUAGGCAAGACAAAGAUAAUUCAGACAUUUCACUAGUCAAUAAGACUACUCUGCAAAACCCACCGAGAAAUGGGGAUGGGAUUAACGCUCAAUGAACUAGAUUUAACUAGCUCCGCUCCAUUCAAAUCUAAAAGGGAGAGUAUUCCAUAGCCAUCAUCAGAGUGACGACUGACAGUAAUAAAUCUCCUCCUCUACGAUUGCACAAUCGAUCAAUGACAAAUUAUCUUCGCAACACAAGCAAUUACAGCAACUACAUCAUUCCUUAAUCACCAGAUACCAUGCUAAUCGGCUAAUAACCCAGAAAAGCCACCAUCCAAAGCAACCUAAACACAUCAAACUGGAACAGCACCAGACUAUUUGUUCGUCAAGAAGACUACUUCGCUAAACCAGCUCCGAUCUAUUCAAACCUAAAGCAGACUUCCAGAAGGACCUACACAACCUCUACAACGCUGACUAGCACAAAAAGUGCUCUAUUCAAACCUAGAGCAAACUAUUCCACAGCCAUCAUCAUCGCGGGACAAGAAAUACCUACAUAACCUCUGCCAACAGUAGUCAGCAGUGCAUUGUAGAGCUUUCCAACGUCACCUAAUUUACCCGAAUCGGAUGACCAGAUUGCUAGAUAUAUUGCUGCAGGGUAAUGCUUGAUUAUUCGGAUGUUCACUUUGUUAGAUUUCCCCAAUAGUGUUCCUAAAAGAAGUGAUCUGCAACUAAACAUUCAAAGUUAGCUUGAAGAUACAAAACUUGGUGAUCUGGUAUUGAAGGCAACGGAGUGUUAAAUGGUUCUGCUUGACACGUAUGAUGACCGAUUGAAGAGUAUAUCGUUGGACACUGCUUUCUCUCAUUUCAUUAUGAUUCUCCGUGCUCUUCAUCUAAAUAAUGAGAAGGCUGAAAUGUUAGUACAACAUAAUAGGACAGUUGUCGCUGAUUCACAUGACAUUUGGUUUUCUUUCACACAUGAUUAGUGGCUGAAGGUAAUGUGAUCCCUUAAAUGUCCUCGUCAGCUUUCAACUCUCCAAUUUGAGGAACUUAUGAUCUUUUCUCCCUUAUGUUUACCUUUUAACAAUUUACCAAUUCAGCUUUAAGUCAUUCAAUUUGCCAAUUGAGUCCUGAACCUUUUGACAAUUUAUCAAUGGAGUCCAUCUUGCCAAAAUUGCUAAUUUCAUGUUGGGAUCAAGUCAAUUUUUCGGUUUUGCAUCACAAAGUAACACUUAGCACCUUGCCAUGUGCAUGAAAGAUACAUUUGGGAGUGAUGUGCUUUUUGUUAGACGCAUAUUGCGCAAACCCCAAGAUCUCCAUAACUAGAACAAGCACACGCGCGAUUGAGUAGAAAGAAUUGACGCACCUGUUUUAGGAUCGAUUGUUCUUGAAGUGGAAGCGGAAACACAAUGUUCCAUGCGCAAGUCCUUCUCCUCUAUUGCCCUCCGUAUCACUGGCUCAAUGAGGCGGCCCCCUCACAUGUAGCGUUAGGUAAACGCCCCUUAGGUGAGGAUAUAUGUGAGAAUUAGGGUUAGAGGAGAGACUUGAGCACUAUUUAUAGAGUUUCCAACCAGUCCCCCUCAUUACGGGCCAGGCUCAACUCGGCCCACACUAGCCAGCCCAUAUUAGACUAAUUAAGAAACCUACUAUCUCACCUUAGACCAAACCCCGUAAAACGAUAAACGUUAAACGGUAAAUUACAAUAUCAAUUAAUGUAGUCCACAAUUAGAAAAACUCUUACAUUUUCCCACUUGGACUAUAUUAAUUGAAAUCGUACUGUAUGUGCGCACAUUGGUCCAGAGAUAAUUCUUAAUAGUCAAUCCUAUCCCAUAAAGUCUUAAACACCGAAUCAUGGCGGUAACUGCAUGUAUACACACAGAGCCUUCCAUGGUCACAAGUGCUCUCAACUUUAUUGAUAUGGAUUCAAUAUGGUAGUGUGGCAAAUGGAUAACAUCUCUCAUAGAGAGACCCCAUUUGUCAGUCACCAUUCUCUUAACUUUAGGUGUCAUAAAAACUUGUGCCACUAGAGAAUGCUUUAUGGUUCCAAUGAACCCACAUAUGUCUUGUCCUUACGGUUAACAUUUCUUUAUGUAUCACAAGACAUAUGCACAAGGCUAAUAACCGGAUGCCCGGAUGCCCCUAGCCUUCACUCAAGGUUUAAGUAAUACCUUGAGACUUUUAACAAUAUAUAUAUUCAACAUAAUAACAAUCCAUUCAAAAUAUUUUAUUGAAUGCAAAAGUUGACAUAUAUAUAUCAAAGUGUUACUAAAUUGUAACAAAACAGAUGUAGACUUUAUUCAAAGAAAAAUAAAAACACAGCUCCCACUAAAUAACAGCAUCCCAAGAUGCUCCUAGGCCCAUACUAAUGACAUGUCGAUCAAAAACACACGGGCGUAGGCCUUUAGUUAAUGGGUCUGCAACCAUAUCAUCUGUAUGAAUAUAAUUUACCGCAACGUCACCAUUCUGUACUAAUUCUUUUAUAGUCAAAAACUUGACCUCCAUGUGUUUAGACCCCUUUAAACUUCUGUUGUUAUUAAUAAACAACACUGCAGAGUUAUUAUCACAAUAUAACUGUAUGGGUCUAUCCACAAAACCAUAAACUGAUAACUCUCUAAUGAGGUUCCGGAGCCAAAUAGCUUGAGUAGCAGCUGAAAAGCAUGCUACAAACUCCACUUGCAUGGUUGAAGAAGAUAUGGAUUUCUGUUUCUCGCUCUUCCAUGAUACUGCACCUCCUGCCAACAUAAAUAUAUAUCCAGUCGUUGAUUUCUUAUCAUCUUGAUAACCAGCAAAAUCUGCAUCUGAAUACCCUACUAGUUGCAGGUCUGGAACAUAUUUAUAAAUCAGCAUAUAAUCUUUUGUUCUUUUUAAGUACCUUAAAACCUUCUUGGCAGCAACCCAGUGAUCGCGUCUUGGAUUAGACUGAUAUCUGCCUAGAAGCCCUGUUGCAAAAGCAAUAUCUGGCCUAUUGCAAACUUGAGCAUAUAUGAUGCUUCCAAGCACACUAGCAUAAGGCAAAUCCUUCAUUUGAGCUUUCUCAAAAUCUGAAUUAGGGCAUUGUGAAAGACUCAAUUUAUCACCCUUAACAACAGGAGCAAUUCCUGGUUUGCAAUCCUGCAUAUUGAAUCUUUCUAAAAUGCAAUCAAUAUAUGCCCUCUGAGAUAAACCCAAUGAACGGCUUGAGCGAUCCCUAUGGAUCUCAAUGCCAAGAACAAAAGACGCCUUACCAAGGUCUUUCAUGUCAAAAUUUUUCGAUAACAUCCGCUUUGUCUCAUGCAGUAAACCAAUGUCACUACUAGCAAGCAAGAUAUCAUCUACAUAAAGUAUGAGAAAAAUAUAUUUCCUCCCACUGACCUUGGUGUAUAUGCACUGAUCUACUUUGUUCUCAAUAAAUCCAAAUGAAGUCACAACACUAUGAAACUUGAAAUACCACUGUCUAGAAGCUUGCUUAAGGCCAUAAAUAGACUUUUUCAAUCUACAAACAAGCUGACCUGAGUCAUCUGCUACAAAACCUUCAGGCUGCACCAUAUAAACCUCCUCAUCAAGGUCUCCAUUUAGAAAAGCAGUCUUAACAUCCAUAUGGGGUAACUCCAUAUUGUAAUAAGCUACCAAUGCUAAGAUCACUCUAAAGGAAUCUUUAGAAGAAACUGGAGAAAAUGUUGCUUCAUAAUCUAUUCAUUCUCUUUGAGUGAAACCCUUAGCUACCAGUCUGGCUUUAAACUUUUCAAUCUUUCCUUUGGAAUCCCUUUUAGUCUUGAAUACCCAUUUGCAGCCAAUAGGUUUACAACCUUCAGGCAAUUCAACAAACUCCCAAACACGAUUGUGUUUCAUAGAUUGCAUCUCAUCUUUCAUCGCAUCUAACCACAAAUCUGAUUGAGGACAUGAGAUGGCUUCAGUAUAAGUCACGGGAUCAACAACACAGCCUAUGUCAUAAUCAUGCUCUCCCAGGUAGACUAGAUAGUCUGGUGGUAUAGCUGAACGUCUUUCUCUAGUUGAUCUUCUGAGUGGAGCUACUUCAACCUCAUUCUGAAUUUGAGGAGCUUGAGGAAUUUCAUCAGGAACUGUCUCAACAAUAGGAUCAUGAGCCACAUGAGGCUCCAUAAUUGUUUGCACAGGAUGAGACAUAGAUCCAGUAAUCCCCAUCGAUACAAGUCCUUUCCANNNNNNNNNNNNNNNNNNNNNNNNNNNNNNNNNNNNNNNNNNNNNNNNNNNNNNNNNNNNNNNNNNNNNNNNNNNNNNNNNNNNNNNNNNNNNNNNNNNNAUUCUUGUACCUCCAUUAGGGUUAUAAAAGCGAUACCCCUUUGAAUGGUCUGGGUAAGACACGAAGUAACAUCGAGUAGUUUUGGAAUCCAGUUUACUCAAUGUUGGAUUAUAUAACUUCACUUCUGUUGGACAUCCCCAAACUCUAAGAUGAUUCAAGCCUGGUUUACGCCCAGUCCACAACUCAAGAAGGGUCAAUGGAAUUGCUUUAGUAGGAACACGAUUUAGAAUAUAAAGAGCUGUUUUCAAAGCUUCUCCCCACAGAAAAUUAGGUAAAUUUGUCAUACUAAUCAUACUUCUCAUCAUGUCCAUAAGAGUACGAUUCCGCCUUUCAGCUACUCCAUUUUGUUCAGGACUUCCAGGCAUAGUAAAUUGACCUAUUAUCCCAGAAUCCUCUAAGUAUUUAGCAAAUGGCCCUUUAAGCUGUCCAGCAUCACCGUGCCUACCAAAAUACUCACCACCACGAUCAGAUCUGACAAUCUUAAUAACUUUUCCCAACUGUUUCUCCACUUCAGUCCGAAAAAUCUUGAAUUUAUCAAGAGACUCGGACUUUUCUUUAAUCAAGUAUAAGUAUCCAUAUCGGGAAUAGUCGUCAAUAAAUGUGAUGAAAUAAAAAUUUCUGCACAAAGUAGCCGUGUAUGGUCCACUAAUGUUAGUGUGAAUAACCUCCAACAAAUCUGAACUUCGUACAGUAGAUUUCUUCUUUAUCUUAGUCAUCUUACCUCUGCAACAGUCUACGCAAGUCUCUUGAUCAUCUUUAAGAGUAGGCAAGAUAUCAGCCUUUAUAAGCCUUUUUACUUUGUCUUUAGAGAUGUGACCAAGACGUUUAUGCCACAAUGCAUAAGACUGUUCCUUAGGUAGAGGUCUUUUGGAAACAACCUUUUCAGCGGAAUAAGCAACGUAUAUGUCGUUGGGAGAUAAUCUCAAUCGAUAUAAUCCAUCAGAUAAAUUGCAACACCCAAUCUUAUUUGAAUAAAAAAACAUGGAAUUAGUAUUACUCUUUAUUUCAAAAGAGUAUCCACACAUGUCCAAACAAGACACAGAAACUAAAUUCCGCCUAAAAGAAGGUAUGUAAAAAGUGUUUCUUAACACCAUCCGAAAACCAGAAUCUAAAAUCAAAAUAACAUCUCCCACGAACUCAACGUUAACUCCAACGUUGUUUCCAACAGUGAGCUUUGAUUCAUCCUGAGUUGGCGUCAUUCGGUUUAUGAACCCCUGUAUAGUAAAUGCAACAUGAUUAGUUGCACCACUAUCUAGCCACCAAGAAUUGGUCGGAACUUUAGAUAGAUUGGAUUCAUAAACUAAUGCCAAAGAAUCAUUACCUUUAGGCUCUCUCUUAUUUCUCUUAGACAACCAAGCCUUAAACUUGCUACAACGUUUCUUCACGUGUCCUCUCUCCCUACAAAAGUAGCAAAGAACACCAUCCUUCUUGGUGAUUGCCUUCUUAGGACCCAGAGUGUUAGAAGGACCUGCUCCUUCAGAAUUUCCUUUGUUGUUGGAGGGACCAGCAACUUCUGAAUUGCUUUUAUGGGUAUAAGUUUUCACUUCUUACCCUUGUCACUAGCAGAACUAGAAGCAUAAAGAGCAUAUGUCCUUAUCUUUCUUUAAUUNNNNNNNNNNNNNNNNNNNNNNNNNNNNNNNNNNNNNNNNNNNNNNNNNNNNNNNNNNNNNNNNNNNNNNNNNNNNNNNNNNNNNNNNNNNNNNNNNNNNAUCAGGUCAUUAACAGACCAGGUUUCAUCUUGGGAAUUAUAAUUGGUCUUAAUAAUCCCAAAAUCAGGAGGAAGAGUAUUUAGAGCUUGAUGGACAAUGCAAGCAGUAGGAAUUUCCACAUUGAGAAUCUGAAGCUUUGUUUGCAAAUCAACCAUCCUCAGAACAUAAUCUCUAACUCCACCAGAACCAUCAUACUUCAUAGUAAAAAGUGUUUGCAUAUGUGUCCCUAUCUCAGCAUUAGGCGACACACGAUUUCUAGCCAUCAAAGCUUCCAUCAUCUGUCUAGCAUUGCAGUUUGCAGGCAAACCACUUUUUAAGUGUUCCUGAAUGAAAUGCUUCAUGGACAGCAAGCAAAUUCUAUUGCUCUUUUCCCAUGCAGCAAAAUUUGCUUUUUGAGCCUCUGUACUCUCGGCAGUCAAAUCUGCCAGCCGAUCAGCAGUAAGAGCCAUAUGAACGUCGGCCAUCUCCAUAGCAAACAGAAAAUCCUCUCUCCAUCUCUUAAAAUUCGAACCAGCAAGAACCUCAAUGGUGACAGAGUUACCAUUUACAGAAAAGGUGACUGAAAGACAAGUAAUAUAUACAAUUAGCAUCAUGUGAGCAUUGUGUAACUUGACGCACAAGUACACAUCCAGAGAGUUACAUGCAAAAUCACAUAAUCACCUUUGGGCAGAAUACAUGACAAGCAAUAUAUACACUCCCCACAUGAUAAGGGUUAUGAGAAUAUAUUCCAAUCUUCGUGAAUUCAUCACCUUUGGGUAUAUGAACCAUUAGGAUCGGUCACUCCUCCACCACACUAUCAUGUAUCCCUCCAUAAACUAAUACAUAAUCACCUCAUUUGGGAGUAUAACUAUGCAUUAGACCAGGAGACAUCCCAAUCAAUAUAUGAGAUCGAAAUUUCUCAAACUCAACCAAGUGUGCCACUUUGGCGGUCACAACUCAAUUGAAUCCUUGAAACUCUCUCAUCCCAGGGAUAUAAUCUUUACAUCUCACAUACAUCAUAUACAUGUGAUUUAACUUUAGUGAUAGGGGCAUCAUAUCACUCAAAUCACAUGCCAUGCUAAUUAUAUUGCCUUAUUCAUUAAUAAAAUACAAUCAAGUUUAAUUUUUAUUAAUGAAUCACACUUUUAUAAUGUUUAUGUGAUAACAUAGCUGUAUCCCGGCACCUGUAUUUUCUAAAUCACAGAAAAAUACAAGAAAAAUACGCAAAAAAUACACUAAAAAGCACGUAUUUUGGGCUUUGCAUGUAUUUUCACAUCCAUAAAAUCAUUAAAAAUAUAAAAUAAAUACACCAUGACGUAGGAAAUAAGCAUACGAGUCCGUCGCCGCCGACCACGCGCGAAUUGGAGUCUCCACGCGCCCGCACGCGCCGCUUGAGUGAGCGGAGCGUAGAGCACACGCUCGGCGCGUGUUCGACGCGCAGGAGGUGCGUGGCCGUGCGUAGGGGUGCGUGCGGCCUCCUCCGGCGACGCGCCGCCCACGGUUUUCUUCGUCUCGUCGAUCCCAAUCCGAAUAUAUAAUUUAAUUUAAUUUUUAUUGAACGAAAAGUCUCGAAAAUCGCAAAUUAGGGCAAGAUCCGCACUAAUUAGGGUUAAUCCGUACAAAUUAGGGCAAAAUCAAUUGCGUUCGUGUUCUAGGGUUAUGGAGGCUCUGAUACCACAUGUUAGACGCAUAUUGCGCAAACCCCAAGAUCUCCAUAACUAGAACAAGCACACUCGCGAUUGAGUAGAAAGAAUUGACGCACCUGUUUUAGGAUCCAUUGUUCUUGAAGCGGAAGCGGAAACACAAUGUUCCACGCGCAAGUCCUUCUCCUCUAUUGCCCUCCGUAUCACUGGCUCAAUGAGGCGGCCCCCUCACGUGUAGCGUUAGGUAAACGCUCCUUAGGUGAUGAUAUAUGUGAGAAUUAGGGUUAGAGGAGAGAUUUGAGCACUAUUUAUAGAGUUUCCAACCAGUCCCCCUCAUUACGGGCCAGGCUCAACUCGGCCCACACUAGCCAGCCCAUAUUAGACUAAUUAAGAAACCUACUAUCUCACCUUAGACCAAACCCCGUAAAACGAUAAACGUUAAACGGUAAAUUACAAUAUCAAUUAAUGCAGUCCACAAUUAGAAAAACUCUUACACUUUUCGGAUAUCGCGUUCUUCAUGACAGGGGUUAGCAAAUUUUGCCAAAUGAAAUCUUUGCUUUUACAUGUUAAAAGAUGACGUACAACUACAGUUAUUUUGUAUUGAAGACAAACUUUCAGGUCUUCCCAUCAAUGACAGGUAUAUUGUUACCAGGAUAGUAUAUGCUUGUAAAACAGUUUCGUAUGGUUUUCUUAUGAAUCUCUUUCCUGCAUUUGAUGUUGACCUUGCAAUCUUUUGGCUGGUGAAUGUAAACAAUCUUCUUUGUUCUCGUCCUGUGUGGAUCCUUUGCUUUUGUUUCCCGCGCAGCAGAACCCUAGAUUUUUAACCUCUUUUCGAAGUCUUAAAUUUGGUGGUACUGAGAUGAUGGGUGUGAAUGAAUUUAUUCCUUUUUGUUCUUUUCCAUUUUGGGCGACUUAUGUCUCAUCUCAAUCAAUGGAUGAAAGAGGGAAGAGUCAAAGAUCCAAUGUUAUUCCCUUUGUCUUACUAUUGCUCUGGAAUACACUUAGAGAGCACCAAUAUACCUUUGAUUCAUGUGGUUUAUGACUAUUGAUAGCUGACAAAAUCAGAUUUUUGGGAUCAUUUUAACGAUCCAUUAUCUGUUGAGCCAGAAAACGACAAGUAUGUUCUGUGACAUCCAGAAUUUUCAGUAUUGUUUUCUAUUAAAUUAAUCGGGCAUUUCAUUGACGUGUCUAUAGGGUUGUUCUCAGAGCUGAUCACUCUCGAGAUAACUAGACUAGCUGGGUAUGCCAUUAAAGAAUAUUAAGGCAAUAGACUUGAGAAUUCGACCAGGAAGCGGCUUCUCGACCGUGUUCAUCUUUAGAGGUCAUUACUGCACAGUAAAGAUCGAAUUGAGAUCAGAGAUAGGUCGGUUCGACUGAGAUGUGUGGCCGAUCGUGGGUGACUCCACUAAAUUGGAAAAAUUCUCGUCAACCGGCACUAAUUUGAUUUUCUGUCGUUUUGGUACCCUGUGUUGGUAGUCGAGCCAUCGAGAUUUUUACGACAAUUGAGAGUCGCCAAUGUGUCGAGUGGGUUCAUUGUGGCUCGAAGAAAAUCGACCACGAGUCAAUUGCCCUAAAAAGUUCUGAAAACUACCCGGUAGUCUAGGUCACACUAAAAGCACGCCGGAGUGAAAUUAACCGUCGAUUUGAGCCAGAUUUCAGAAAUCGAAAGUUCAGUGAUGUCACAAGCUAUUUUAGGAACGUCAACUCAGUCUCAGAAGAUUUUUCGGACGUUCCGAGAUUUUUACGGAAAUUGGGUUCGGACGUCAUGGAAGUUUGGCCGAAGUUCAGAUUGGCUAAAUUAAUGGGAAAUUUGACUUCUGGGUUGAGCCUGUGUGUGUCGGAGAUUUAUAGAAAAUUUCUUGGGAUUUUUCUACGUCGAAAUUGGACCUCAAUUUGGGAAUUUAUUGGAGAAAUUGAAGUUCAAAUGGUGAAAUUCGUAUCAUCCCCUCACCCUAGCAAUAUUGGACUACUUGAGAGGUUAUGGAAGUCAUUUGGAUGGUCUAAUGAGGGCCAAGUGUUUUUACUUGGCUAAGAGUGAUUCAUGGAGAUAUUCUUGCAAAAUAUCAAGCUAAGGCCCACCUCUUCCUCAUCCUCUCCAUCUUGCUGCCAUGAAUUGCUUCUCUCCCCUUUCCAUUUUUCUCUGGCGUGCGACCCUUCCAACAGCAAUUGAAGAAGACCCGGCUGCUUCCUUCGAAAUUUUCCGAGCGUCCACCAAGCUGCCCGAGAAGCUCAGCAUCCGUCGAAUUCUCCACCGCUUCGUGUCUUCAGCCAGCUCACGCUUGGUCAAUAGCGAAGCCAGAAGAAGCCUCGUCGUUGACUGAAGAUCCUCACCGCACGAAGCCUUGAAGACCGAAACUCCACCGAGUGAAGCCUCGAUCCCACCGAGCUGGUCGGCCACUCACGCUAGCGAAGACCCUUGCAGCAGCUCCACCGAAACUCUUUUUCUUCCGCUUCGUUGAAGAUUGAUCAUCCACGAAGCUGCUCCAAGCAUCCACGCGGCUAGAAGUUCAAGCAGACAUCUCCACUACAAAUUGUCCCUUUGGUCAACAACAAGCCAUAGAAGCUCCUUGAUUGACCGAAUCAGCGACCUCACGUCCCAGCUGCAGCUGCUUCGUGCGUCCAGUGAAGUCUCCACGCGUCCAGGUCAACUGAAGCCGCUCCUUGCCGUUUGUUGACCCUGUCGGCCACUCACUCAUCUCCGGCACCGAACGAAGACUCCACCGGUUCUGCCGCUCCAGCUCGUCGAAGCUCCACCAACCGCAGCUCACGUGUCCGUUUAGCCGCAGUGGAUUCCAGCGCCCCUCGCCACUUCUUUCGUUUAGUUAGCGUGAAGACCGAAACCACGGAUCCAGCGGCCUCGAUUUUCUUUUGCUUGUGGACAGACCUCAGCGAGCCCAUUCCGCUUCUCUUGCCGGCCCAGCUCGCUCAAACUCAAUUGAAGCCCAUCGAAUUGGACUUAUUUCAGCCCAAAGAGAGCAGACCAUUUUCAGUUUAAUUUCAAGUCUAGCAAGUUGCAAGCCCAAUUUCCAGCAAAGAAAUUUGAAGCCCAAGUGAAGUCAGUCCAGAAAUUUCAGCUGGCCCAAUUCAACUUGAGUCCGGCCCAAAAGCAAGUACAAAUCUCAGUUGGGCUGAGAUUUGUUGGGCCAAGUCCAAGGCCCGGUCCAAGCCCGCCGGUGUUGUCGGAAGUCCGAUUUCGGCCGCCGUUGCGUCGUCGUUGCGGUGAUUCGAUCUCCGCUUUUGUCAAGUGAGUUUUACUCACUAAUGCUUUAAUUAAGUGCACUUAGGUGGUUAGAACAAUUAAUUUAGUGACUUAAUGAUGCAUGUUAGGUGGUUAGACCUAGCUAUUAGCAAGUAGAAAUGUUUGGUUAUUUAUUGAAUGCAUCUCGGGAUUUUUCCUGACCCGUUUCGGGCUCCAAUAAGGCAAUAUAGGCCUAAAUUGGAUUUUUUUAUGUUUAUUUAUUUAUUUUUCGAAAUUAAUUAUUUAAUUAAUUAUUUUUCUGGAAUUCAACCGGGAUGGCCGGUGACCGGAAUUUCGUGCCGAUUGUCGUGGUGCAGACCGUUUAUUUAUUUGAGCUCUACGUUGUGUGGAAUUGAAUUUAUUGUGGAAUUUUAGGAAUUGUCCUAAAUUGUUUGUUAUUGAGUAUUUGAUUGGUAAUGGCUAAGCAUAGAUAUAUAGCGCCAGUACGUUGAUGGGCUAUAUAGUAGAGAGAAUGGUGAGACCAAUCAGGUACGAUAUUAUUGGACAUACGUGGUUCGGUGAUUGGAAGUAUCACUGGCGAAAACGGCGCCUUAAAGAACGCACGUAAAUGACUUAUAGACAAACGUGGUUCGGUGGUUAUGGGAAUAUCACUGGUGAAAACGGCGCCUUAAAGAACGCACGAUGUUGUCUAUAGCCGAUGUCACCUUGGCGAAAACGGCGCCCUUGAAAGGACACGUGGUUCGGUGAUCAAGGUUAUCACUGGUGAAAACGGCGCCUUAAAGAACGCACGGUGUCGGUGAUCGGUAUGUCAUUGGCGAAAACGACGCCCGAGAAACACAUGUGAUUUGGUGAAUGAGUACACCACUGGGAAUUCGUGGUAUGAGUGGGAAUGACCUAGAAAGGGUCUGGCUGACAUGUAAUCGACUUAGUCGAUUGAUCAAUGCUUGAUCGGAUGUCGUGAAUUGUUUGAAUGCUUGUGUUUAACCUUGAAUUGCAGGUUGGAACUGAGGCCAAGGUAAGUCCUCUGACUCGUGUUGUGCUUAGGCAACCGUAUGGCGUAUUAGUUUAUUAAUCGAGUCUUAGUGGGUAGGACUCGCUGAGAUGUGGUCUCAUUGGUUAUUGAAUAACCAUUUCAGGACCCUGUGGAGAAUCUAAUGAAGAGGAACCUGAAGAGGAGAAAGAUGUUUGAGGAAGAAGAUGAUCCAGAGAGGGAUCUUAAAUAUAACCCAGAUGUGGAUUGAGAUCCCAUCCCUUUUGUGAACCCUGUCUUGGUAUAGAUAGGUGUGAGACUUUUAUGCUAUAAAUAGUAUUGUAAAUAUACUGUGAGUUGUGCUGUUAACGAAAGUGUGGUUGUGAAUUUCAAUAUGAAAAAUAUGGCCUACUUUCCUAUCCCAUUGUUUUAUUGUCUGGGGAUUUAUAACUGCAUCCGCAUGUGCUGAAUAAAUUGAAAGGGUCGGCGAUACAUAGUCCUAGGAUAUCGCAUUCUAAAAUCGACCAAGUAGAAGGAUGUGCGCGCGUCUGAGGAUCGGGGCGUGACAUGUUCCUCAGCAAAAGGCAAAAAUCUUACUAGUUUUACGUGUGACUCCUUUUAAUGGCAUUCUUAUAACACGGAGCCUUUAUUCUAUAAAUCUAAUAGAUGUGUUGAAUUGUAUCUGGACCAAAAAAGAAUGUGGGAUCGAAUGGAAAUCUCAAAAGAAAAAAAAAAUUCACAAUCAGCAUAAGCAAAGGAAGCAGGGGAGAAGAAAAUGGAUUUCAUAAAUUUAAAUAAAGAUGGAAAUUUGACAAACUUUAUAAGGUAUCUACUCUUGACUAGGUUGAUGUAUAUUUCAAGUAACAUAUAACUUUCACAUGUCAAUUUCAACUCUCCUCAAACACUUGGUAAUAGACUAGCGUCAAGAUUAUAGGUAUUGCAUUUUCAUGAGUUCACAUUCGUGGACAAUGAUUUGUGUUGGCUCACUCUAGUCAAUUUAAGGGAAAAAGAGUAUAAUUAUAGAAAAAUAACAUUACCACGUAUGCUAUCACAUCAAUAUUAGUUAUUUAGAGUUAACAAGCAAAUUGAAGAGUUUGAUUUAUAAUGUAUUUACAUAGCAUUACUGGACAUCUAGAUUUUAUUAAAAUACUUGAGAGAAACUGUGCAAACCCCAUAAAAAGCCCCAUCAUAAAAUGAAAAUUUCAAUAUAAUUAUUAUAUUGCAAUUGGGUUUUUCCAUUGCAUCAUUUAUAAAAUAAAUUUGUACAAUAUUUUCAUGAUAAAUAAUGGUCUCUUGUCUCCUAAUGCAACUAAGCAAGCAAGAUGAUGGAAGACUUUGACUUGCAUUCAAUCACUAGAAUCUUUUUUUCCCCUUUUUCGUUUGAGUAGGCCACAUUGGCUUUUACCUUAUCCCUUUCUUGGCAACUAAGCAAGCAAGAUGGUGGAAGACUUUGACUUACUUUUUCUCCCUCAUCCUUUUCCCCCCUUUCUUUUGAGUAGGUCUUGUCGGCUUUUCCCUAAUCACUUUCUUUGCAACUAAGCAAGCAAGAUGGUGGAAGAUUUGACUUGCUUUUUCUCGCUCGUCCUAUUUCCCCCCUUUCUUUUGAGUAGGUCUUGUUGGCUUUUGCCUCAUCACUUUCUUUGCAACUAAGCAACUAAGAUGGUGGAAGAAUUUGACUUGCUUUCCCUUACCGCAAAAUUUUCUAAAAGGUAAUUAACUCGAUUUCAUAGAAAAUUUGAUAUAGAAUCUUCCAAAAAAUUAUUUUUUUUCAUGAUAAAGAUUUCUUUUGCAGAAUGCAAAUACUGGCAUGAGCAUGCCAUGUAAGAAGAAAUAUCCCAUUGACCCAAUUUGACGUUGCCCUUAACUGCGAUAACAACAUAUUUGUUCUUGAGUUAAUCCAUAUAUGAUAUAGGUCACCAAAUAUGAGUGACAACGGGAAGGGAAAGCAAAAUGUUGUCAAUCUUCACUUUGAUUUGUGUGGUCAUGUGAUCCCAUCACAGAGGGAACUAACAAAAGGUGAGAGUUAGUUAGUUAAAGAAAUAAAUGUCCUCAUCGAAGAUGCACAAAUCCACGGUAGGAUUGUGUGUAUCCCAAGCACAUUUGGCUCAUCUAUUGAGGCAAGAGAAAAAGUAAUUUCCAAUAUCAACACCUUGUAAAAGUAGCCAAUUAAAGGAGAUGAUUGCAAGGCUCUUUUGACAUAGUAUCAUGUGAAACUAAUUUCCAUUGUGAACACCUUGACUUCAGCAUAAACGUAUCUAUUUAUUGGUUGAUGGGGUAGGUAAAGCAAAGGGCGAGGACAAAGCAAAAAGUAUCACCCAUCUUCAAUUUGAUUUGAGUGACCACACCAUCCAAUUACAAUCUAAUUGUUGCGUCGAUUAGCAAUACAGUUGCCAGUCAAUCAAUAAUUUGAGAGGCCACGUGGAGCCAUUGUGAAAAGUUGAGGAUAAAGCAAAAAAGUAUUGCCAAUCUUCCAAAAGUUAAUUUCCUCUGUGAUUUGCUUGGCCACGAGCUCUAAUAACAAAAGGAACUAACAAGUCAAGUCUACAGGGGGUCGUCUUUCCAAUUUCAAGGAGAAGAUUGUUUUGGCGGUCGUGGUCAAAAAGGUUAGAAUCAAAAGAAGUACAAUUGCCUCGUCUAAGAAACACCAUUUGCCACAAGAUUGCACGUCUCCUUUGGGGCAAGAGAAGAAGUAAAGCUUUGUAUAAAGUCCCAAGUGCUUGUGCUUGAAGAGGAGAAAUGCCAAUCACCAGAAAUCACUGAGAGGCUCGUUUUUGUUAUGAGAUAUCUAGGUUGAAGCAUGAAGGUGAACCUUGAAUUGCAUUGACUUUCAAGAUUCUGACACAACUUGAUUUGCUUCAAGGCAACUUCUUCUCAAAUACUGAAACCCAUCACAGUAAUUUCAUCUAUAAAUCGCUCCUCGAGGUAAGCCUAACCUUCAUUCUCUAGUCUAUUACAAUUGAUAGGACAAAAACACAUUUGAUUAUUACUCAUGGCAUAACACCUAACAUCCUUUAAGGCAUACAAAAUGUUACUUGUGAAAUUCCCUUGACUUUUUAAAAAUCAUCAUCACAUAUAUUGCUAAUUUUUCUUACUUCAAUCUUCUCAUUUGAACUAAUCAAUUAUUUUGACCAUAAAAAAAUUGGUUAUGUAUGGCUAGACCAGUUGAAUCCGGUGGAAUUGCAUGCCGGCCCUUAUGCUGAUGUUGUUUUCAAAACAUUGUUGAUUGACCGAACUCCCUUGGGACAAAAAGUCUGCUUGACGAAAAUUGCAAAAAUACCCUUCUAGACCCGAUUUUGGGUUCAUCGGCCCUAUACAUACCCCAAUUGUCCCAAAUUACUUAAACCCUGAAACAUCCAAAAUAAUCAGUUUUAGUAGAAAUAAUUCUUUUUUUUUCUUGAAAACAAUUAAAAAACUAGAUUUUUCCAAAUAUCAAUCGUGCAAGUCUAUUCCCUUCAAUAAUCGCACAAAACCUUUCAUAGGCUACGAAUUAGAAUUGUCAAGAACAAAAAUUUAUCUGAAUGGAUCAAACUAGCUAGAAAAUUGCUGGAUGUCCAUAAAACCGAUUUCCAUUAUAUUGGCAAUUUUCGUAAUUUCUGGAAAAAUGACAGAAAAUUCAAAUGCUUUCCAGAAAUUAUGAAAAAUUCACGAUUGUACUUUCUUUUCUUUUCUUUGUUUUGUGCUGGUUACAAUGGAAAACUUGAAAGUCAGCGAAGCUGCUGGUUUCAAUGCACUUGCAUGUAUUUAUUAUGUGGACAAUUUUUAGGUGGACUUUGUCUUUGCGGAUUAAAUUAGAGAAACUCAUCAUAAAGUAUGGUUUUUGUGUGAUUUUACUGCUUAUAGCAAUGACAUGACUUUUACGUAUAUAUAGCGUAGACAAUUAUUGACCCAUGAUGGAUUUGACAAUAUGAUUUAUGCAUAUUUGGGGUGGCAGGAGAAUGCAGCAUUUACAGGACUAAAAACGUCUUUGAUAAUAAUAUAAUGGAAGAUUAACAAGCCGGUUAGAGCCACAUUUAUCUGUAUAACAAAAUAGUUUUAAGUGGAUAUGAACAGAAGUGGCCAUUCCGUACUCUAUUCCAAAUUGUGUGGCUUGACUAGGCUUGCCAUCUGAAAACAAUUUAAUAGCUACGGUCAAUCAGCAUAUCAUCUACCAAUCGAUCAAUAAUAAUUUGAGACUAUCGUCUACUACUGAUUGGUCCUCUCUCUCUCUCUCUCUCUCUCUCUCUCUCUCUCUCAUCUCUCACUUUAGCUUUUGCAUUCGGCCUCUCUCUUGCAGAACAAUUCGAGAUUAUCAUCUACUGUUUAGUCCUCACUCGCUUUCUCUAUUCUUUUCCCUCUUGAAAGUUCUCACCCAGGCUUUUUUACAAUCUCCUCUCUCUCCGUUCUCAGCCUGUCUUCGCAUCUCAGCUCGCGGGAGGUAAUUGCUUUUUCAUCUCUUAUUAGCUUGUCGUUUAUAUUGAUUUGUCGCCUUGUUAUUAGAAUAAUUGACUGAACUAAAAGUGUUCCGGGCCCUUUUUGUCUAUUGGGGAUGUGGGGUGGCUGCUGAGUAGAGAGGAGGGUCUUUUAUUCUCUCUUUUGGAAUCGCUGUUGCCUAUUAAACUUCGAUGAAAAAGGAAAGCCUUUAUUUUCGACUUUAGAUGUGGCUAAUCCUAUGAUGCCCUUGCUGUCUAAUUGUUAGUUGCAUCGUAACUUAGCAUUGAUCUUUUGUUGAGUAGUUCUGCAAGCGCACUAGACUCUAUUGCAUGCAAAAUUGCCACAUUUCGCUUGAAUCCAGAGGCCAUGUUUUUUUAUCCGCUAUGAGGUUUCUCUGUGUUUGAAGGUCCUAGAUCAAUUUAAGGAAAAAUAAAUCAGAAAAAUAAAAGUAAGCUGGUUCAAGGUCAACUAAUUUGGUUCUCGGUUACAAAAACAGAGAAUUGAUAUUACAAAAUAACCUAAUUUUGAGUUUAGAAUCUACUCAUCUCAAAACUGAUCAUCCUAAGAGUAACUCUUCUCUUAAGAUAUUUCAUCUGACAAUUUUACCUUCCUAUAUAACACUCUAGAUGAGUAAUAUUAUGUUUUCCUCGAAUUGUUGGACCAUUAAUCCUAUAACAUAUGUUCCCUUUCACCUCUAACUCAUUUUUUCCCCUCUUUAGCAAGAAAAGAAAGAAAGAAAGAAAAACUCAUUUUCUCCCUUCAAAGCUUUAAAAAUUGAUCGAUUCUUUACUUGGAAAAAAGAAAAGUAAAUGAGUAAUAAAAAAGUAUGGGGAAAGUUUGUGCAUUUUAACCAUAUCGCUACUUUUCACCUGCUCUCAAGUAAUGAUAGUUUCAAUCAUCACAACAUAAAACAUACCAAAAUCCAUAGCAUGAUACUUCUUAAUUUUUUUACAUGAUAUCUAAUAGUGAGAAAAAAAAAUAGUUCGAUCUUAUGACACACGCAAGAAAACAAUUAAAUAAGUCGAGCCAUAUGCACAUGCUAGGAGAUUCACCCUGCUUUAUAUCACUCAUUUCUUACGCCUCUUUUGUUGCAAAGAAUAAAUUCGUUCUUGAGAUAUGUGAUUAAUCAAUUUAACCUGACGUAUCUCAAAUUUAGCCGAUAAUCUUAUUCUACUUCCAUUUUAUUGGAUAAAAAAUCUUUUUGGUGAUAUUCUCAAGGUGGGCCCUCCAACGAAAAUGGGGACAAGCACUCAACGCUAUUGUUUCAAAUCUUGGUUGUCUCUGAAUUUUCCUCAGCAACUUCCUUUUACUUUCUUUCUUCUCUUUUUCUCUUUCUUCCAUUGAAUCAGUACCUAAUUUCUAAUCGUUCAGACUAACAAGGAGAAAGAAAAGAGUGCAUAAAAAGAGAGUACUGAGGGAGCAUCCGCUCCACCUUUUGGUGUCACCUAACAAAUUAUAUCUCUAUUUUACAAUCAAGAUAUCAAUCAACUUUUAGAUUUGAAAAUUUGAAAUAAAAGGCUCAGCGAUAACACACUAGUUCAAAAUAAAUUCAUUUUAAAUGGAAUUGUAGCAUGUGGUGCUAGCAGGGAAUAGAUGAAAGAUAAAUAACCACGAGCACUUGUUUAUCUCUGUCUCACAUUUCCAACUUCAUUAAGAAUAUUGCAAUUUUAAACAAAAUUAAAAUAUAAAAUCCCAUUGACAAUUAGUAGCUCGGUCCUUUCUUGAUGUCUUUCACAAAUCUCUAAUUCCGUUCCAACUCAAUCACUAACUUUUAAAUGGUUUAUCAAAUAUCUGUUAAAAAAAAUUGGUUUAUCAAAUUAUGGUUUUCAAUAACCAAAUAAAAAACUGGACGGAUGAUUAUAUUUUUAAGCGAAUGCAAUAUGCUUGUGCACAUAUUAUAGUUCUUUAUGGCCCAAUUGAAAAAUUAACGUACAUAUUACUUAUGAGUGGAUCAAGCCAACAAGUUUUGACUUGAAUAGAAUGAGGUCCAAAAGAAGAUAAGGUGAGGACUAAAAGCAUCUACAACUGCUCCUAGUCAAUCAAUUACCAAUUAUUUAAAGUUUUCAUGUUCGUUUUUUCUUGCAUGGUAACAUAUUCAUGCUCAUAAUUGUUCAUCGAUCCUUUUAUCCAGCAGAAAAGCAUCUUUCAUUCCAACUUUCGCCCUCAAAUUGCCAUGCAUCUUUCAUUCCACUUUUUGCUUUUAAUUCGUGUUCAUGAAGUUUUCCAUGUGUCAUGAAUUCAUAAUUCAAAAGCCUUUUGGAUGUUACCUCUAAAUAUCGCUACUUCCUUCUAAAAGUAGGCCCAAAGACACCAUUCCCUUCUUUUCUAUGCUUUUUCCUAAAUUAUCUUCUUCUUCUUUUAAUAUUUCACAAACUUCUUUUUUCAGUGGAUUAUUGACUUUUCAAGAGCUGAAUGAUAUGCCAACAAAAUAGUAAUAAAAAAAUGACCCGGAAAAGAACUCAAGGACAAUGUACAAGUAUUUCAUUUGUCAUUAGUAACUUAAUACUAACGCAUUAUGCUUAUUUGGUGUCAUUUAACAAAUUAUAGCGCAGACAAUAUAUCAAUCUAUAAUUUAAAUUUAAGAGUUAAAAGCGAAUAGCUUGGCCCUUAUAUAGAAAUAUUGGCAUGUGGGGCUAGCAUGAAAUAAAUAAGAGAGAAAUGACAACAACCAUUUGUUCAUCUCUACCUCGCAUUUCCAACUUCAAUAAGAACAUGGCAAUUUUAAAUAAAAUUAAAAAUAUGAAAUCAUCGAAUUUGAACCAAAACAUUAAGGAAGUGAAGCAAGCGACCCGAAACGAAUAGGGAAACAACAUUCACACAAAAAGAGAAAAGAUCAUAGGAGGGGGAGGGAGGGAGGGAGGGAGGGAGAGAAAGAGAGAGGACCAAGCCAACAAUCAUUUGCAAAUGUAUCUUUCGUCUUUCAUCAAUCCUUUUAAGCAAAAGAUAAGCAUAUUUCUUUUCAACUUCCCCUCUUAGAUCACCAUGGAAGAGCAGAGUCAAAGAAAGAGAGCAGAGGAAGAGAGCACUCAGGGAGCAUCCUCUUCUUCAUCCAUCUCUUCAGAAGCCACAGAUUUAUGUAGUGGUCAAUAUAACGUGUUCUUGAGCUUUAAAGGCUCAUAUACUCGCAAGACAUUCACCGAUCACCUCUACCACAGUCUAAUCAAGGUAGGAACUGUACUGUUUUGCGUGUUUAGGGAUGAGAACAACAUCCCAAUUGGAGAGGAAUUUGGUUCAAAGAUUCUUGAUGCCAUCGUACGGUCUAAGAUUUCGAUCCCUGUCAUCUCCGAAAAUUAUGCUUCAAGCAAAUGGUGCCUCCGCGAGCUCAUUCAUAUCAUGGACUAUAAGAAGAGCGCGUCACACAUAAUGUUGCCUAUAUUUUACAAAGUUGCUCCAUCGGAUGUGCGGCAUCUAAAAGGAAAUUUCGGAAAUGCCUUCCAAUCGAGUCGGGAACGUUUUGAUGAGAAGGAUAUCCAGGAAGGGCAACGAGCACUUAAUGAAGUCAGUUACUUAAAUGGAUGAGAAUCUCAAAAAAUUGAGGAUGGGUACUUUACUAAACUUUUCAUAAGUUUUCUUCUUCUCGCAAAACCAAGGACAUGAAGAUGAAUUACUUUCAUUGCAAGCUCAAAAAAGAUCCCCAAAAUAAACAACCAAAAUGACUUGAAGACAACAAACACCAGUACGCCCCAAUAGUCCCUAAAAACCAAACCAACGACACCUAAAACCAAAGCAUCCCAUAGUGCCCAAGAAUUUACAUUUUCCUCCAGUAUAGAGCCAAAAAAAGAAAGAAAUGACAAUACAUCCAGCCAAUAGUAUCAAUCACUAAACAAUAGGCCUCCAAAUGACUCCAAUGCUCGGUCUUCAAAGCUUGAUCACCACCAGAUAAAAUCAACCUCCUAUAGCCAACAAGUGUUGGCUCAGUUGAUAAGGAUAGAAUACUUUGCAUAGACUAUGUCUAGGUUCAUAACUUCUCAUUGUUUUUGUUGUUUGACAGGCAUGAGGGAAAAUUAAUAGAACAUGUGGUUGAAACAGUUAUAAGCAAGUUACGGAAAGAUUUUCAGCUGGAUAUGCCUGAGCAACUAGUUGGACUUGAUGAUCGUAUGAAGGAAAUUAUGAAUUGGAUCGACAAUCCUUCCAUGAAUGCUCGAAUGAUUGGAAUUUAUGGCAUGGGCGGGAUAGGCAAGACAACUCUUGCCAAGUGCAUCUACAAUCAACUCUCAAAUAAAUUUGUGCAUGUUAGCUUCCUUCCAGAUGUUCGAGAAACUACCAGGCGCCACGGUAUUACAUAUCUACAGAGUCAACUAAUAUCAGAUAUACUACAAAGCAAAAGUGAAGUGUCUAGAAUUGAUGAUGGAAUUAGUAUAAUCAAAUCUAGAUUCAAAUGGAAAAAGGUUCUCAUUCUUCUAGAUGAUAUAGAUUACAAGAGUCAACUAGAUGCGUUGGCUAGGGAGCGUCAUUGGUUUAUGGUAGGAAGUGUGAUCAUUGUUACAACUAGAAACAAAGCCAUUCUUGAUCAAUCUAAAUUUGAGGUAGACUACAAGUAUGAAUUGAAUGAAUUGGAUAAGGUGCAAAGUUUGCUUUUGUUCAAUAGACAUGCAUUUCGUAUGGACCAUUCUUUGAGGGAGUUUGAGGGUAUAUCUCGUGAUAUCAUAUCCAACAUGGGUGGGCUUCCCUUGGCAAUUCAAGUUGUAGGUUCAUACUUGUAUAAAAAAAUGAAUAGACAGGUAUGGGAAGACGUGCAGGAGCAAUUAAAAAAUGAACCACAUAGAGAUGUCCAAACGAUAUUGCAAAUCAGUUAUGAUGCAUUAGGAGAUGGAGAAGAGCAGAUUUUUCUCGAUAUUGUUUGUUUCUUUAUUGGCAAAGAGAGAAGAUUCGCCCAUGUACAUGUGGGAGGACUGUGGGCUUUAUCCAAGUCAAGGUAUUGAAGAGUUAGAGUUGAGGUGCUUAAUUAAAAUUAGAGAUGAUGGUUGGUUUGAGAUGCAUGACCAAUUGAGAGAUCUUGGAAGGAGCAUUUUUUGCCAAGGACAACCGCUUGAGAAACGUAGCGGACCAUGGGACUACAACUACAAGAGACUCUCAAAAGUACUACGUUUUGGAUUGGUAAAAUAUGGCACUGCUUUCUUUAUUACUCCCUCUUAUUUUAAUAUAUUUAAUCUAAUCUAUUCUACAAUUUCAUCUAGGAUUGACAUGUGCUCUUACUUUCUUGGAGUAAACAUCCACUUAUGUCCAUCUUAGAUUUAUUAUGACAGCUAAAUGAUUAUAAGUGUCUAAAGGAUGAAAAAGUUAUACCAUUUCAUUCAAUUUCAUUGAUAUAAAUUACAUUUGUAAAAAUUUGAUUGACAUUCAAUUUAAGAUCCUUUAACUACAAUUUACACUAUAAAUCUAGUUCACUAAAAGCAUGUAAUUGUCAUAUCUAGUUGAAAAUAUUGAUAAUCUAAAGGACUACAAUAAUGAAUGAAGAUGAAAUAUAAACAUCAUAGAUAAGAUAAAUGAAGAUAUCUUGAAAAAAAAAAAAAAGAUAGCAUGUGCCAAAAAUAAUAACUGAUAAGUAAUUCAAAAUGAUAAGAUUGGAAAAAAUUUCACACUUAUCACAUGUUCUUGCUUACUAGUGUGGCCAAAUCUAUUGGUGGUACUCUUGUGAUUUAGGAAUCCAAUGUUUGAUAUUUUUUUCUCCAUUUUGAUUUUGAAGAUACCCGUCCCUCUACUCUGCUAGUUAUAUCUAUCUCUUAUUUCCUUUUAAUAGAUAAGAUAGCGAAAAUUCCCUUAAAAGUUUUUUUUAGGAAAAUCUUACUUUUUUUAAGGUUUUGUCACAUUGACCUUGCUCAUUUCAUGGAUUAGGUUAGGUGUACGAUAAAUAGUGGAUUUUCUUAUAACAAACAUUUGUAUCCGCUCUAAGUUACUUAUAGCACAUACAACUAUUUGUAACAAAAAAAUCCAUGAAAACUGGCUAAUUGGAGGAAAUGCCAUACUUAUUAUUAUAUCCAUACCUUUGAGUAUAAUGAUGCUCAGCAUGAAGCCAAUAUUUUAGUUAAAUUAACAAUGUUCGUGUCAUUUUAUUAUUAUAUAUUAUCCAUUUAGGUUGCCUCAUGAUAUGAUUUAUACACUAUUGUCCAAUAUCACCAUGUCACUUGUUAAACAGACUUAACAAAAAAAAAGUUUCAGUUUUCAAAAAAAAAUGAUUAAACACUUCACAACAAUAGAUAAUGAUGUUAAAGAUAUGUAAAUAUCUUCUAGAGAUAUUUAGGAUAUUUUCUCUGAGUUUCUAUAUGUAUUUUGAUCAUAUCUGAUUUGACUUUCUUUGAUUUCCUUAGAUAGUCCUGUAAUAGAGUUUAUAAAUAGGCUCUCAAUGUAAUCUCUUCUAUAUAUAGAAAUAUAUUGAAAAUUCCCCAUUUUUUCUCUUCGACAUUAUUAUAUUUAACUAAUGAAAUGAAAAGCAGGUGUUUCCAUAGCUACUUACAGGUGGCCCACUGACAGUCCUUAACAAAUUCUUUCCAAAAUUAUACGAAAGUCAUUAAACUUUACAAAUAAACAUUUGUAUGUGGUAAAAUGGUUUCAUGUAUUUCGUAUUAAAAAAAGUCAAAGUGCACAUGUUACAAAAUUUGAAAAAAAGAAGAAGAAAAAAAUAAAACAUUGAGUUGCAUUUGCUUUAGUUGUUUUAGAGCAAUAACCAUUUUUUCUUUAUUUUCACGUCAUUUGUUUAAUUUUCGAAAGGAAAUUAAAUGUAACUUCACGUGUCCGUAUUUGUACACUGGGAAGGAUAGGGAGGUUACAAAUCGUGCAAAAUCUGAGAUUUAAGAAAAGAAAAAUCUAAAAAGUUAAAAGAAAAAAAAAACUUGCAGAGAUGCAAGAAAAAUCUAAAAAGUUAAAAGAAAAAAAAAAAAAACUUGCAGAGAUGCCCCUUAUGGUUCCGCAAAAUUUUGCGGAGACGCCUCUCCUGGUUCUGCGACAUUUUACGGGCAGAUUCAAGCAGGAACGCCAAUGACGAUCUCCUUUAUGAGGUGAGAUGGCUUCAGUGGAUGGUCGAGCAAAGUGAUUUGUCUCUUUGGAUGAUUAAUUUGCAUCUACCGAAAUUAUCGAUACUGGAUUUAUCAUAUAGUAACAUCACAGAGAAUUGGCGAGGAUGGAGUUCAUUCACUGUAAGAUUGAAAAAAGAAGAUAUCCUUUUUGCGAUUUUAGGGUUUUGUACUUGUUUAGCCGAUCAACUCAUUCUUUGACAGCUUAUUCUUCUUCUGUAUUAGGCAUCAAAGCGACUGAAAGUUCUCAACCUUGAAUGUUGUCCUAAUUUAAGAUGUACUCCUUAUCUCUCGGCAUUCACCCAGUUGAAGAUUCUCAUCUUGAGCCAUUGUGGCGGACUGGAGCAUCUCCACCCUUCUAUCGGCAAACUCAUGAGCCUUGUUUCCUUGGAUUUGAGUUUCUGUGGAUGUCUCAAGGAGCUACCAGAGGAGGUGGGUGAAUUAAAAGAUUUAGAAGAACUUAAAUUAGAUUCUUCUGGUAUUACAAAGAUUCCUAUGUCUAUCGGUUUUUUGAGAAAGCUGGAGAAAUUGAGUGCCUUCUAUUGUGGGUCACUGAGAGAAAUCCCUAGCUCAAUUGGGUAUUUACAGAAUUUGCAACAGCUUCACUUGAGUCAUUCUGCGAUCGAAAAGCUUCCCAAUGCUAUUGGAAAGUUGAAAAAUCUGCGAACUCUAAAUCUCUCACGGUGUGAUAAUCUGAAAGGGGCAAUUCCAAGUGAAAUCAGUAACUUGCCUUUCCUCAAGUGUCACGUCCCGAUCCUCGGGCACGCACACAUCCUUCUUACUUGGUCGAUUUUAUAAUGCGAUAUCCCAGGACUAUAUAUCGCCGACCCUUUCAUUUAUUAAGCACAUGUGGAAGCAGUUAAAAUCCUCAGACAAUAAAAUAAUGGGAUAGAAAAACAGGGCAAUAUUUUUCAUAUUGAAACUUAUAACCAAACUUUUAUACAAACCACAAACUAGAGCACUUCACAACUUUUUACUUUAAACUCUAUUCACAUCAAAAUGAAAAUCUCAAAAGAAGAUAAACUCUCAGCCAUCCAGGCCGUACUCAAGGCCCUUCUCGGGAUUAUCAUCUUCUCCCAAAAAUCUUUCUCCUUAAGAUUCGCCUCCGAGUCCUCCUUCUCGAAUUCCUCCUUCUCAGCUCUUCAGCGGGGUCCUGAAAUGGUUUUCCCCAAACUGGGAUGAGACUACGUCUCAGCGAGUUCUACCCCACUAAGCCCGAUUAGGUAAACCAUUAUACUAAAGGCUGCCUAAACACGCACAGGGCAGAGGACUUACCUUGGCCUCUGAUCCCAGCUGCAAGUCAGUACAAUUCACAAUAAACAGCCAUUUNNNNNNNNNNNNNNNNNNNNNNNNNNNNNNNNNNNNNNNNNNNNNNNNNNNNNNNNNNNNNNNNNNNNNNNNNNNNNNNNNNNNNNNNNNNNNNNNNNNNNNNNNNNNNNNNNNNNNNNNNNNNNNNNNNNGGACCCACGUGCAUUCUCUAAGGCGACCUCUCGCCAAGGUGGUACAUCAAGCCACCGAGCCACGUGUCCUUUUUACGAUGCCCGGGCCCACGUGCAUUCUCUAAGGUACUCGCUUACCAAAGUGACGCAUCAGAUCACCGAGCCACGUGCCCUUUUAGAUGCCAUUCCAAAUACUAGACCCACGUGCAUUCUCUAAGGUACUCGCUUACCAAAGUGACGCAUCAGAUCACCGAGCCACGUGUCAUUUUAGAUGCCUGGGCCCAUGUGCAUUCUCUAAGGUACUCGCUUACCAAAGUGACGCAUCAGAUCACCGAGCCACGUGCCCUUUUAGAUGCCAAACUCUGUCACCGAGCCACGUGCAUUCUCCAGGACGACAUACCGAGUCUCCGAGCCACGUGCAUUCUCUCAGGCGACCUCUUCGCCAAGGUGACAUAUUCAACCACUGAACUCACGUGCAUUUUCCAGGUGACAUUCCAAUUCACCGAGCCCACGUGUCCUCUUUCAAGUGGUUACCAAUCUUCUUUCAAUACCGACAACCAAUGCCCAACGAUUUCUCAAUCAAAUAAUUAAAUCAACUCAACAAAGAAUUAUAAAUGCUGAAUAACAUACUUGGCCAAUCACCAAUCAAUAAUUCAAUCUCAAUCGAUUCCAAUCAAUUUAGGAUAAAUCCCUAAAAUAUCACAAUUUAUUCAAUUCCAUACAACGUAGAGCUCAAAUAAAUAAACGGACUACGCCACGACAAUCAGCACGAGAUUUUGGUCGUCGGCCAUCAAAAUCUUAAUUUCCGAAAAAUAAUUAAUUAAAUAAUUAAUUUCGAAAAUUAAAUAAUUAAUAUUAAAAAUUCAAUUUAGCUCAAAAUAAAGCCUGAUUAAAUAAACGGACUUCACCACGGUCAUCAGCAUAAUAUUCCGGUCCCGGGCUAUCUCAGUUGAAUUUUCGGAAAAUAAAUAAUUAUUUAAUUUAAUUCCGAAAAUUAAUAUUUAAAUACUAAAAAAAUCCACUUAGGCCCGAAAAGCCUAAUUGGAGCCCUCUAAGGGUCAGGAAAAAUCCCGAGGCACUUCCAAUAAUUAGUAGACCACGUCUACUUGCUAAUUGCACAAUCAAUUUAUCUAAAUCGCAUCACAAUUGACUAAUAAUUGCUAAUUUAUUCUAAUCUAACAACCUAAACAUAAUUAAUUAAAUCUAAACCAACCUUAAGCAUAAUUAGCUAACUAAUCAAGGAUUAGUGAGAUUACUCACCAAAUCGCGCGCAAAUCGGAUCAAUCCGACGGCGGCGACGCGAGGAACGAAACUUCCCAAAGCGAUUCACGGAUCCGGGGCCUGGAAACGGCCCAAAACGAGCCUUGAACAGUGCUGGAAACCCAUUUUUCCAGCAACUGUUCUUGGCUGGACGAAGCUCGUUCGGUGGCUAGGGCGGCGAGGGGAGGCCGGCGGAGGACGAGGGGGACGCGGGGGAGGUCCGGCGGGGCUGGGCGGUGGCCGGAGGUGGCCGGACGGGGGUUGGUCAGGGCGAAACCGAGUUGAACAGAGGCUGGUUCGCUCGGGGAGGUCGCCUGGUGCGAGGGAACGGAGCUGGCGGUGCACGGCGGCGAGCGGCAGGCGCGCGGGCGGUUCGGCUCCAGUGCGGCGGCGAUGGGCGACGGGCUGCUGUCUCGGCUUCUUCCACCUCUAGUUCUGCUUGCCCGAAGAAGAAAGAUGAAAAAGGGGGUUCGGUCACGAAGGGGAGAAGAGAGAAGAGAGAGGAGAGAGAGAGAAGGGAUAAGGGGGUUUGACUGGUCAAAAAGAAAAAAAGGAGAGAGUAGGCGUGGGGAAGGGGUGUCCGCACGAAGGGGAGGGGAGAGGAGAGAGAAGAGAGAGAGAGGAAAGAGAGAAGAGGGAGAGAGAGAGAAAAAGAAUUAAAAUAAUAACAUUAUUCUUAUUUUUCUUUUUCUCUUUCCGAUUUUCUUUUCUAUUUUCUUUUGGUCUUCUAUUUUUCCUCCGAUAAUUUCUUUCUUGAAAUUUCGGACUUGGCAAUAAAUUGAUGGACGAUGAGACGGUCCUAAAAAUGAAUUGUGACACGCCCAAAUAUUCGAUUCCCAAAACCGAAUUAAAUUUCAUGAUUAAAAUCGACCAGACGCGAUUCUAGUCCAAUCCAACAAAUUAGGUAGCUUUUAGGGAUUUUACCACGGUUAUAUCCCUUAACGGCUUCACCCAAUUGGUUAGCUAACUCGUGAGUGAUCAGCUCAGAGAAAAAGGACCAUAGGCACGUCGACGAAAUGCACAUUUCAUUUUAUCGAAAUAUGGUCGAAUUUCAGGAAGUCACAUCAAGAUUCUCAUUAUUGAUUUCACACCGAUAUCUGACUUGCCGGAAAGCAUCCAGAAUCUUUCUUCUCUCCAACACCUUGACCUAUCGGGCUGUGAUGAGCUCCGGUCGCUGCCAGAGCUUCCUUCGGGCUUAACAUAUCUGUCAAAGCCCCCAAUUGUAAGAACUCCAUCUUCAGGUAUGCCAUCUACUUGAACACAUCCCAAGCUUUCCUCAAGACCCUUGAAACUCUGUGUUGAGGAGUGUGAUGAGCUGAUAUUGCUUAGGCUCAACAGAUUCAUGUACUUGGAAGAGCUUUCAAUAGAAAGGUGUAGUUCCAUCGAAAGAUUGGACAUUUGUCGAUUGAUUCGUCUGAGCAUUGCGAUAGCCUAGUUGAAAUUCAAGGCCAUGAUAAUUUGGCGUUCUGGGAGGUCAUGUUCAUAUAUGAUUUGAUAAGCUCAAUUUUCAUGUAUGCGGCACUGGAUUUGUGAAGUUGAAAUUGACCUCCUUGCAAAUUAUCCUAUAUUACUGAUUUUGCUAAUUGGAUCUUGCAAAUUAACCGGUGGCAAAUACAUCUUAUUGUCCUAUAGUUUAGGCACUUCACCUUUUCAGCAUAAUUUUUUAACUUCAAUUAUGUUCCUAGACACACACAGGGAAAGUGUUGCUAAAUUGCUUACUUCUUUUAGACCUGUUGGUUUCUUUUUCAUCGGCCAACUAAUGAAGUAUUUGUUCAUUGUGGUCCAACUCCAAUUGGUGUCAAUGUUUAUGCAAUUUUACCUUAUCUAUCAUGGGGUAAAUUCUGAUGCUACGAUCUUGGAUAUCUUCAUUUAUUGAUAAUUAGUCAGUGCUAUCUUCCUUGUGCAGAUUCAGAUUAAAGUUGCAUUUGAUGAAACUUGAUGAAACUUGAAGAAACUCCCAAAACACCACGGGUUGGAGAUAUAGGUAAGAAUGAGCUAUGUCGGUAUGGAAAGGCAUUCCGAAGUCAUUUGCGAUUGGCGUUUAUCAUUUGCUCCAUGUUGUUAAGAAGGAUUCUUGAUAAAGGCGAUCUCUACUCAUGUGGUGUAGUAGUCCGUUGCAAGCUUUGAAAUUGUGCUAUUCUUUAGCAAAGGCUGCAUCACAAAUCUCUUGGAGGAAGACCGCAUGUGCAGGUGGUUUUAUAUGUGAAGUCAAGCAUAAAAUAAGAUUUGUUAACAGGAUUACCAUUUAGAUUUCCACCUCAAGCUACAGUUUUGUGACCGGGAAAGACCUUUUUGUGGAAAAAGCAAAUAAUCUGUCAAUUGCACCCAGUUUCAAUGAAAAGGUUUCCAAGAAGACUGUAGUUUCUCAUUUGGAAAAAUUUUGAACACAAAAUAAAGGCCAUCAUUAGUGUAAAAUCAUCUCUUGUAUGGUUACGUUUGAAAAUUCAUAUGCAGGCUUUUUGCAAUCACUUUGGUUUUAUAACCUAAAACUUGAUUUAUUUAAGCAUGAAUUAAAAAGCAGAAGAGACACAGCCAUGUGCAUUUUCAUACCUAAAACCAAGUAGAGUGCUCUCUCUCUCUCUCUCUCUCUCUCUCUCUCUCUCUCUCAGAUCAAGCAAGCACUGGGGUCUAGAGUGAAGUAUUUGGUUGUUUUAUGCAAUUCUCGAUCAAAUAAGCAUGAAUUAAAAAGCAGAAGAGACACAGCCAUGUACAUUUUCAUACCUAAAACCAAGUAGAGUGCUCUCUCUCUCUCUCUCUCUCUCUCUCUCUCUCUCUCUCUCUCUCUCUCUCUCUCACAGAUCAAGCAAGCGCUGGGGUCUAGAGUGAAGUAUUUGAUUGUUUUAUGCAAUUCUCGAUCAAAGGUUUGUCUGAGUCUCUAGUGUGUAUGGAGUUUAUGUGGGGUCUAUUUCUUGAAGGAGAAUCUGUGCAGAAAAAAUAGUUAUUCUAUUCUUCUUCCGAGUUCUUCUCGCAAUAAACGCUAGUAGCAUUGAUUAUUUGACGUCGUCUUGAUUUUGAGGUUCUUCUUUGAAUGUGGUGUUAAAUGACAAAGAAUGAAUCGGUAGUUCAAGUGAAAAUUGUUGUUUAAGUUGUUUGGACAAGGACGAAGGCAAUUGGUAGAAGCUAUAAGAUUUAUUGAAUGAAUGUGUUUAUUGCAGAAAAGAGGAGAAGAAAGCAAAGAAGAUCAUAUCAAAGCCAAGAUGGGAGAAGGUGCAUCUCAGCGUUCGGCUGGAUCACCAAGUUGAAAUUGGAGAGAGUGGCAAUCUUAGGAUCCACAAGAAAUUUGAUCGUGGAAGAAGAAUGUGGCAAUGGACUAGGACAAGAGCAGAUGGAUAUGUGAGUUAGAACUGAAAGGAGGUGAAUCUAUCGAAUUAGAAGUACUAAUAUAAGAUUUUGCUGAUAUUACUGAUAUUCCCACACCUGUCGGUUCUUUGAGGAAACUCGAGAAACCGAGUGCCAGCUAUUGUGAGUCACUUAGAGACAUCGCUAGCUCAACUUGGGACUUACGAAAUUUGCAACAUAUGGACAUUAGUGGUUCUGGCAUUGAAAAGCAUCCUAGUGCUAUAGGAAGGUUUAAAAAUCUGUGCACUAUAAGUCUCCUAUCAUGCUGUAAUCUGAAAGAGCAAUUCCAAGUGAAAUUGGUGACUUGUCUUCGCUUGAGAUUCUCUAUGUUACUUGAGGAAGUUUUGAUGCUUGUGAGGAUCCAAAAAACUUUAUCUGGUCUUGACAGCACAUACUUGAAUGAUUUUGAUGUUGUAUUUUGAGUUGAGUCUGCUUUUUGUAUGCUCACGAGGUUCAACCUCUCUGUUAAUCAAAUACAUAGAUACUGAUAUUUUUUUUUAUGUCACUCUGAUGCAUAUGUCUUUGAUGUUGUUGCAUUCUAAUGUUAUCACUUCUGAACUCAAAAAGGCUUUGCAGAGGGAGGUAUGCACUACUAGUCAUGCCAUAAAAUUAAAAAAAUAACCUGUGUGCUUAUACUAUAUGAGCUGUGGGAUUGCACCUGAAAAUCAAUAUGCACGUAUUCAUGAGGACGAUCUCCUUCAUUUCUAUCAGUUUAUCAAUGUGAUACUAUCCUUUGAAUGUUGUCAUAUAGGUUUCUGAUUUUAGUAAUUUGCUAAGCUCAAUUCUCAUGCAACGUCAACUUUGUAAAGUAGAAAUUCACCUUCUAGCCAAAUAUCUUGUAUUGCUGAUUUUGCUAACGGGGCUAACGGGAUAUUGCAAAAUAACCAAGACAUAAAUUCAUCUUUCUGUUCUGUAGUUUAAGCACUUUGCCUUCCAGCAUAUUUUUGUUGACAUCAAUUGUGUUCUUAAACACAAACAAGAGUAGUGUUGCUAGUUGCUACUUCUCCCAAACCUGUUGUUUUCUUUUUCAUGGGCCAGCUCAUGAAGUCUCUGUUCAUUGCGGUCCAAUUGCAAUUGGUGCAAUGAUGCUUGUGCAUUUGUACCUUAUCUCUCAUAAUGUAAAUUGUGAUGCUCCGAUCUCAAUUAUCUCCAUUUAUUGAUAAUUAGUAAAUCAUAUCCUUCUUGUGUCGAUUCAAGCUGCAUUUCAUAAAAUUCAGAGAACAUUCCCAAACAUCACUGGACGAAGAUGUGGACCGGAAUGAGAUAGGUCAUGAGACGUUAAGGAAAGGCAUUCCAAAGUUCUUUGCAAAAGGUGCUUAUAACGUGCUCCAUGCUGAUCAUCUUGAUAGGGUUUUUGAUAUAAAGGGACCUCUUCUAAUGUGGUGCAGUAGUCCUUUGCAAGCUUUGAUAUCAUGCUAUUAUUUAGCAAAGGUUGAAUUUCAAAAUGCUUGCAGGAAUGCUGCAUGUGCAGGUGGUUCUAGAUAUGAAGUUAAGCAUAAAAUCAUGUUUGUCAACAAGAUUACUGUUUAGAUGUCCACUUCAAGCUACAAUUUUGUGAAUGCGAGAGACUUCUUUCAUGGAAAAAGCGAAUGUCAUGGAAUCAGUAAAUAAUCUGUCAACUGCAAGCUAGAUUUUCAGUAAAAAGCUUCCCGAAAGAUAGUAGUUUUUCAUUCAGAAGAAUUUUGAGCACAAAAAAAAAGUGUUCGUUAGUGUACAAUCAGCUCUAGUUUUUCAUUUAGAAGAAUUUUGAGCACAAAAUAAAAGUGUCCGUUAGUGUACAAUCAGCUCUUGGAUCUCAAACUUGAUUCCUUUUGAGCAUGAGUCUAUAAAGCAGAGUGGACACAGCCAUUCAUUUUCAUACUUGAAACCAAAUUUUCUUUGGCGUUGGCUACAGUUUAAGACUGAUUAAAAAAAAUGUUAAGAAAAAUCUUUGGAAGGGUGAAAGAAGCCCCUCCCAAAAUUUAUACUUAUUUGGUUUGGACCAAACCAUUGAAUGGUCGUCUACUUGGUUAGUACUUGGACUCUACUUCCAAAUUGUAGUAGUUGGUCAUGCAUUCAAGUUUCAAUCGAACCAAUUUUUUUGGGGCUAGUACUCUCAGAUGUUCCUCUUCAUCGUACUACAUUACAUUGGUGGAACUUUAGUAGUUAAAAGAUACUCACAAGAUAAUCAUAUAUUCCGAUUCAGUCAUUGUCUACUAGAACUUUAACUCAAUACUUUCCGGAGCUUGAGACAAGGCCAAGUAACUUGUUAAGCCAAGUUUGAAUCUUUAAGCACUAAAUCAUACAUAAUGCGGGCCGCACGAACGAGUCAAAACAUUAGUUAAAUAUAUUAAACACAAAAUAAUCUAAUUUUGAGCAUAUUAAUUAUAUAUAACACGAGAAAAGUCGCAAGUAAAGUCAAUCUAUUGAUUAUAUAAUUUAUAACAUAGCUACUCAAUAACACAAGAAUGAUAGUAUGCCAUUUCUUUUUAUAGCAUACAAUCUAGACCUCUACAGUAUGCCAUUUCUUGACGGGCUACUAAUCCAGCAUGAUAGUACAAUGUCUUUAUACAUCACUUCUUAUUCAAGUAUUUUGCGACAUCAACGCAUUCACUCUUUGCAAGGCAAUAUACUAUGCCACAAAAAUUAGCAAAAUAAUUCUUUAGCAGCUCUCCAAGCUGCUUCAGUGGUUCCUCGGUCUUAGCUAUGACCUCAUAUUUUAGACUUAGUGUGACAUCCAGAAUUUUCAGUAUUGUUUUCUAUUAAAUUAAUUGGGCAUUUCAUUGACGGGUCUAUAGGGUUGUUCUCAGAGCUGAUCACUCUCGAGAUAACUAGACUAGCUGGGUAAGCCAUUAAAGAAUAUUAAGGCAAUAGACUUGAGAAUUCGACCAGGAAGCGGCUUCUCGACCGUGUUCAUUUUUAGAGGUCAUUACUGCACAGUAAAGAUCGAAUUGAGAUCAGAGAUAGGUCGGUUCGACUGAGAUGUGUGGCCGAUCGUGGGUGACUCCACUAAAUUGGAAAAUUCUCGUCGACCGGCACUAAUUUGAUUUUCUGUCGUUUUGGUACCCUGUGUUGGUAGUCGAGCCCUCGAGAUUUUCACGACAAUUGAGAGUCGCCAAUGUGUCGAGUGGGUUCAUUGUGGCUCGAAGAAAAUCGACCACGAGUCAAUUGCCCUAAAAAGUUCUGAAAACUACCCGGUAGUCUAGGUCACACUAAAAGCACGCCGGAGUGAAAUUAACCGUCGAUUUGAGUCAGAUUUCAGAAAUCGAAAGUUCAGUGAUGUCACAAGCUAUUUUUGGAGCAUCGACUCAGUCUUAGAAGAUUUUCGGAGAUUCAGGAAUUUUUACAGAAAACCGUUUCGGACGUCGCGGAAGUUUGGCCGAAGUUCAGAUUGGCUAAAAUAAUGGGAAAUUUGACUUUCGGGUUGAGCUUGUGUGUGUCGGAGAUUUAUAGAAGCCAAAUGAAGAUGGAUUGAAAUUAUUCAAGUAUCCAAUUGAGAGGAGAUGAUCCCAAAUUCGUAACCCCCCAUAAGCCUAGCUAAUUUGAACCAAUUGGAAGGUCAUGGAGACUGUCUUGGUGGCUCAUUGGAGGCCAUGAGUUAUACUUGGCCUAGGAUAAAUCUUAGAGAGCAAGAUUGGAAAAUAUCAAGCCUUGGUGGAGCCCUCCACUCUCUCUUAUCCUCAAGACCAUGCGUGACCAGCAAAAAGGGAGGUAGAACCAGCAAAGCUUCCUCCGCGUGUCUUCCUCAACUCCACUUCUCUGCCCCGUAAACGACUGCAACCCAGCGUCCACCGAAGCCAUCUACCGAGCUUUCUUCAUGUCAGCUGCGAGAUCUUCAAUUUAAAUUGCUCCUCGCCACUUGUCCAUGUCCAGUGGAUCUUCAGUCAAUAGCAGCCGAGUUUCUCCCAUUCGGUUGACCCUACAACGCCAGCGAAGAUCCCUGCAGCAGCUUCACCGAGUCCAACAUCUUCAGUCUUCCCCUGUGGCGUGCCCUCAGCUCGACGCCAGCCCGCCAGUCAACUCCAACGCCCUCAGAAGACCACCGAUUCAACCAAGUCCUCGCCCACGCAGAUCCAGCAACCGAAGCUGCUCCCCAUCUCUGCCAUGUUUCGGUCGAUUUCACUGGUCAAAGUCCAGCUGAAAACCAUUGAAGAUUGAUCGAGGAAAUCCCCCACCGAGCGAAGCCCUGCCACGAAGCAAAUCCAAUUUCCUCUCCAUCUUCAGCGCCCGAAGUUCCUCACGUGGCCAGCUCCACCUUCGUUUAUUCACAAAUCAAUUCACCGAAGGCAGCAUCGAUCGGUCAAUUGACCGCAUACUCCCACGACCAGCUGCACGCGUGCCCUCAGCCCAAACCGAAGCUUCAGCCCAGCAAGUUGAUUGUUUUCACAAGUCAGCCCAGUCUUUGAAGUCCUGCGGCCCAAGAAGCCCAGCAAGUGCUAUUUCAGUCAAGCUUGGCCCAUUUCAGUAACAAAUCUCAGUUGGGCUGAGAUUUGUUGGGCCAAGGUCAAGGCCCGGGCCCAAGCCCGCCGGUGUUGUCGAAAGUCCGAUUUCGGCCGCCGUCGCGUCGCCGUUGCGGUGAUUCGGUCUCCGCUUUUGUCAAGUGAGUUUUACUCACUAAAGCUUUCUUAGUUUGCUAAAUAUGCUUAGGGGUUGGUUAGAUUUAAUUAAAUGCAAUUAGGUGGUUAGAUUAGUUUAGAUCAAUUAAAUUAGAGACUUAAUGAUGCAUGUUAGGUGGUUAGAAAUAGACAUUAGCAAGUAGACAUGCCCUGUUAUUUAUGGAGCGAAUCUCGGUAAUUUUCCGGGCUUGUCUCGGAAUCCAAUUCGGCAUUAUAAGCCUAAAUUGGAUUUUUAUAAUUAUUUAUUUAAUUUUCGAAAUUAAUUAUUUAAUUAUUUAUUUUUCCGGAAAUUCAACCGGGAUGGCCGGUGACCGGAAUUUCGUGCUGAUUGUCGUGGUGCAGUCCGUUUAUUUAUUUGAGCUUUAUUUGGUGCUAAAGUAAUUUAUGAGUGAAUUUAAGAUUUAUUCCUAAAUUGAAUCUGGAGAGGGUGGGGUGGGACCGUAAAGCCACUAGUUCUUGAGAGGGUCGGGUGGGACCGUAAAGCCACUAGUUCUUGAGAGGUUCCGAUUGAUACGAAAUCGACUAGGUCGAUUCGAUCGAUGCUUCGAUCGGUGAUGUGAUUGUUUGAAUGCCUAUUGAACUGUACUAAUAUGCAGAUGGAAUCUGAGGCCAAGGUAAGUCCUCCAACUCGUGCCGUGUUUAGGCAGCCUAUAGUGUAUUGGCUUUCUAAUCGAGUCUUAGGGGGUAGGACUCGCUGAGACGUGGUCUCAUUGGUUAUUGAAUAACCAUUUCAGGACCCUGAGGAGAAGCUAAGGAAGGGGAACCUGAAGGGGAGAAAGUAUUUUGAAGUAGAAGAUGAUCCAGAGAGGGAUCUUGAAUAUAACCCGGAUGUGGAUUGAGAUCCCAUCCCUUUUGUGAACCCUGUCUUGGUAUAGAUAGGUGUGAGACUUUUAUGCUGUAAAUAGUAUUGUAAAUAUACUAUGAGUUGUGCUGUUAAUGAAAGUGUGGUUGUGAAUUUCAAUAUGAAAAAUAUGGCCUGCUUUCCUAUCCCAUUGUUUUAUUGUCUGGGGAUUUAUAACUGCUUCCGCAUGUGCUUAAUAAAAAAAAAGGGUCGGCGAUACAUAGUUCUGGGAUAUCGCAUUAUAAAAUCGACCAAGUAGAAGGAUGUGCGUGCGUCCGAGGAUCGGGGCGUGACACUUAGUCUGUCAAAGCUUGUCUCAAGAACAAGAGCAUGGGGAAUCCCAAAAGAUUUUAGGAUAUCUUACAAUGGAUGGAUAAUUCAAUCAGAAUGAACAGAUUAUUUCAACAUAAUAAGGAGAUUAAUAUAUAAGUUUAGUACCUUGCGAAUUGAGUGAGUGGCAGUUUCAGCUAAGGCCAUCACUAGGUCAUAUGCAAAGUUAGGCUUGAGACAUACCGGUCCAUAAUCUGGAUGAGAAUCGUGUCCCCAUAGACUACAUUAAUGACAACCACAAAGUGACAAUCAAUGAGCUUUCAACGUUAAUCAGUCACAAGUACAAGAAAAGCUCAAAUCAGCAGUCUGUUCCUUUCAAGAGAUCAAACUGACAAAGCAAAUCUAGUUAAGACCUUGUAAGAAACACAAUCAAUGAUCACAUGGUUGAACCUUUGCUUUCGCAAAUUGUUAACAUAAAGUAUAAGCGUUAAUGAAAUAAAUAGGGAUACGAGAACCAGCUUAAGAGACUGAGUAUCCUCCCGAAUAUAGAGAGGUGAUUGGAUCCUUAUCCAAGCUUAUGCCGGAUCCAAUUACUCUAGGAAGUAAUUUCCAUUGGAGCUUAUUUAAGUUGUGUCCUCUUUACUCAAUAUAAUGAAUGAUGUGCCACUGAGUGUUCCAAAAUGACAAAACCUAAAUCUUUUCAUCAAACAAGGAACACUGCAUUCUGUUAUAUUAGAACUUCACAUGGUUCUAGGCUUCGGAAGGUCUAGUGUAACACUAACAAUUUUAUUUAGGCUAGAAACCCAGAAAAUGCAGAAAAGUUUGGAAAAAUAGUUCAAGUCAGCAUAUAUAAAAGUCAACUUGCUUAUAUUUAUCAGGAACAAGAACAACAGUUUUGCAGUGGCAACAUCACAAAUAAUUAUUCCUUUUGAAGUAGCUCUAGCAUGACCUUUCUUCAUGUACAAGGCAUGCUAAAUAUUACGCAUACCUCACGCAAUGUGCCUCAUCAAUAACAAAACCAGCUAGUUGUGCCUGCAAUGCAUGAUGGUCGAAUAUAAUACAUUUACAAAGGAACCUUUUAGAAAAAAAGUAAUGAUGCAUCAGAAACAAUCCCUUUCUAUGCAAGCAUUUCAAUAUCUCAAGAAAUGAUGGGUUUCCCACAAUCCUUUCAAUAGUUACAUACAAUAGCUUGCAUGAUGGUUUAACUUUUCUGAAAAGGCAGGCAAAGCAGAAGUGGAGAUAUAUAAUUUAACAAUCACAAUACUCAGCAUAAAUCACAAGCCUUCGUUUAUGCAAAACAUUCCUAUCAAAGACGCCUGAUUGCUAAUCCACACUUUGACAAUCUGCUGUACUCAAAGUAUUUGAGAAAUAUAGGUAUUUGUACAUCAUCCAAAACUUAUGUCAACUUCUCUAUUGACCAAAGAGUUCUAAUAUGUCAUUUUGGAUCUUGAAGAGUGUGGAAGAAAUUGGCAAAAGUUAAGAUUGUCUAUUGGACAUUUGAUUAGAUGAGAAGCUGCAUAAGCAAUUUAUUAAAUGCUUUUGGACAUGUACAUUGUGUACAUCCUUUGUUGUGUGCAGAAUCACAAGCAAAUUGAAACCGACCAAGCAGAGAAUAAAUUAUAUGAGAACACAACUGUGACACAGUGAUUUAAGUGGUUUGGCAAGUAUUGGCUAUGUCCAUGGUUGAACCAUACCAUGGACUCUAAAGAUUGUCUGGCCAGAAGUUGAGUGGAAAAAUAGUUGGUACCUUAUCUCUUCUUGCCCUCCCUGAUUCUUGGUAAUAACUUUCGAUUGACUUGGACAUUGUGUUGCGGUUGACAAAAUGCUGACCGCAUGCCAUAAAAUAUAAUUACUAAACCAAUAAAAAAAGUAGAAAUAUGACAAAAACAUUAUAACUAAAGGUCAAGUUAGAUUAGAGUCAUUUGCCACUUUUACUGUAAAGAAAAGAACUUUAUCCUAGUUGAACUUAAUUUCAGCACACCAAAGUUCCAUGCUUGGAAGAAAGAAUUCGGCUAGAAAAAUAGCCAAGAAUGACAAUUUAGCAGGCCACUGGACCAUGGAACUAGCAAAGUUUACUUUAAAGCACACUAAGAAACCAAUUAGUGAUACUUAAACAUUUGAAGAAAAGUGGAUUAAUCGAGUAUUUGCCAGCAUGUCAGUUCGGUUCUAAAACUAAAAAUAGACAAAGGUGCAAAGUCUAUUUCAGCUUACAACAUUCGGUUUGUCUAUUCCCAUGCCAAAAACAAUGGUAGCACAUACAACCUGGAUCUCUCAAGUGUGCCAUUUCUUUUGAACAGCUACUCUUUGACGGGCUGCUAAUCCAGCAUGAUAGUACACCAUCCUUAUACCGCACUUAUCAUUCAAGUAUUUUGCAACAUCACAUUUACUAUUUGAGAGGCAAUAUACCAUGCCAAAAAAAUUAGCAAAAUGAUUCUUUAACAACUCUCCAAGCUGCUUAGGUAUGACCUCAUACAUUAGAUUUGGUCUGUCAAAUCUGUCUCAAGAACAAGAGCAAGGGGGAUCCAGAGAGCUUUCAGGAUUUCAAUCGGUCCCAAAUGAUUAUUUCAAUAAAAUCUGGAGUUUAAUGUGCAAGUUUCGUUCCUCACAAACUUGCUGAGUGGCAGUUAAGGCCAUCAUUGGGACGUAUGGAAAUUUUUGCUUGAGACAUCCCAGUCCUCUAUAAUUUGGACAAAAAUCAUGUCCCUGUGGACUGCAAUAAUGACAACAAAGAAAGUAAUGAUCAAUAAGCCUUACCCGUUUACAAUCAUUCAAAUAUACAAGAAAAGCUUAAACCAGCAGUAUGUUCCUUUCAUGAGAUUGCGCUGGCGGCACAAAUCCAGUAAGGACCUCAUAAGAAACACAACCAACGAUCCAAUGGGCAAAGUUUUGCCUUAUAUCUCAAGUUGUUAAUAUCAAGCCAAACAUGGACACUUCCAAUCACUUCCGAAAGUAAUUUCCAUUGGAGCUCAUUUUAGUUGUGUGCAUUUUGCUUUGUUUGAUUAACGAUGUGCUGCUGACUUUUUCCCAAAAGAAGGAACUAGGUCAUUUCCAUAAUUAGUUAUUUCAAUAUUGCAUUAUGUUAUACUAGAUCGUCACAGAAGGUCGGGGUUUCAAAAGGUUCAGUGUAACACCAACAAUGUACUUAGGCUAGAAACAUAUAAAAUGCAAAAACGUUCAAAAAAGAGAGUUUGAGUGAGCAUAUAUAAAAGUUAACUUGCUUUUCUUUAUCUAGGACAAGGAGAGUUGUUUUGUAGUGGCAACAUCAUAAACACAUAUUCCUUUUGAAGUAACUCUAGCAUGAACUUUGCUUCAUGCCAAAGAGCAUACCUCAUACAAUGUGCCUCAUCAACAACAAAACCAGCUAGUUGUGCCUGCAAUGCACAACAAUCGAGUAUCAAAAAGUUAAAAAGAAACUUUCAAAAAAGUUAUAGUUUAUCAAAAAUAGUACCUUUCUACGCAAGCAUUUCAAUAUCUCGAGAAAUGAUGGGUUUCCCACAAUCCUUUCAGGAGUUACAUACAAUAGCUUGCAAGAUGGAUUUUCCUGAAAAGGCAAGCGAAAAAGUGGAGAUUAAUGACUUGAUAAUCACAACACUCAGCAAAAUAAAUAAAUAAAUAAAUAAAUAAUUAGAAGUCCGAUAGAAACCCUAUAGCAACAAUUAUAGCCCAACAUUUUAUGGAAAAAUGAUGAUUGUAUGGUAUGAUGUACUUCUCUAGGAACACUAAGAUCCUAAAAUUUAUUUUUAAGGCAAACAUCUUAGGCAUGAAUCUUCUCAUUAACUACAUGAAAAAUGUGCAUUCAUUGCAACAUAUGGAGCAUAGCAUUUAUGGCAGGAUAAAGAUCGUAUGGUAAGAUAUACUUCUCUAGGAACACAGAGAGAGAGAGAGAGAGAGAGAGAGAGAGAGAGAGAGAGAGAUCGUAUGGCAAAAUAAUGAUUGUAUGGUAUGAUAUACUUCUCUAGGAACACUAAGAUCCUAAUAUUUAUUUUUAAGGCAAACAUCUUGGGCAUUAAUCUUUUCAUUAACUACAUAAAAGAUGUGCAUUCAUUGCAACAUAUGGAGCAUAGCCAUUUUAUGGCGGGAUAAAGAUCGUAUGGUAAGAUAUACUUCUCAUAAGGAACACAUAGAGAGAGAGAGAGAGAGAGAGAGAGAGAGAGAGAGAGAGAGAUGGAGCAUAGCCAUUUUAUGGCGGGAUAAAGAUCGUAUGGUAAGAUAUACUUCUCAUAAGGAACACAUAGAGAGAGAGAGAGAGAGAGAGAGAGAGAGAGAGAGAGAGAGAGAGAGAGAGAGAGAGAGAGAGAGAGAGAGAGAGAGAGAGAGAGAGAGAGAGGGGAGGGAGAGACAGAGAGAGAGAGAGAGAGAGAGAGAGGGGAGGGAGAGAGAGCUAAACCUUACCUAAGAUCUUGGAGGACAGCCGAUGCUUGGGCAGCAGUUUGCUGAGACUUCAAGAAAGUAGAUAGUAUUCCACACUUGAGGGCUAGAGUAAUUAUUUGAUCCUGGAUGAUUGAUAGAAGGGGACAUAUAAUGACUGACACUUGGUUUAAGAGUUGCUGGCAGCUGAAACGAAGGGUAAAAACAUCAGAAGAACACUUGAAGAAAAGGUGGGAUGAGGGAAUUAUCCUUUCAUUCACCUUCAGCUGAUCAGAAAGCACUGGUUGUUACUAUUUGUAUUAUAUUUACUUCAACUAGAAACAUAUAUCAACUAUUUCAAGACUGAAUAGAAAACACUUUAGGAUAACUCAACUUAAUAAAUUCAGAAUAAUAACUUCCUUUGAGAUUCAGUAGACCAAAUAUUCGCAUGCUACCAAGAUCCAUUAUAUGAUCACCCUAGUAGAGAUGAUGACAUAGCACAUACCUGCAGGAGAUAUAGACAUCUACAAUCUGUAUUUGGUGCAAGUAAUUUGAAAACUUACUCCUCUUUGACUUAAUAACCCUUUUGAAUUGGACCUAAACUAUGACUGACAACAACACUUACAUGCAAAAACAAGAUAAAUUUUCCAAUAAGUAAUUAGAAGGUCCUAGAAGCAUAGCACAAACCUCGAAUUCUAGAAAUCACAGAAUAGAUAGAACUGUGCGAAGGCAGAACAAGAAUGUCCUGCAUAAUAUUCUUUUCCUACUUAGUCAGAUCCUGUACAUUGGAACCCAUGGUUCUGUAGUUGAAUCACUUCUUAUAGCUUAAUUUGCAUUUGGAAAACAUUUGUAUCCUUAAGUUUGAGCACAAACUUUGUAACAGUGCCAACAAAGCAAAUUCUAAGAUCAUUUUAAAGCUUAAAUUUCAAUAUACAAGUCUGUCCAUCUAGUAUUUAAACAAUGGAACCAUUAAGCAAAGUGCACAGGGCUUGUGCUCUAAACAUUGUCUCCACUUUCUUCUACUUACAAUCAUCACGUUGUGACAAUUUUAACAUUCACUAAACUGGCAACAUAAACUUUUACCACCUCCAAUGGGCAUGAGAAUGAAGCAAUCUUGCUUGGCUAUAGAAGCUUUACAUGCCUGAUGCCGCAUUGGUCAAAAUGCCUUGUUUCUGAGACAAUGUUUGCCGAUUUUAUUUGAAACUAACGAUAUUGAACAUUGAGUGACAGUGCUCUUACAGUCCUUCAACAGAAUUAAGCUUCUUUAGCACCGUAAUAGUUUCUGACAUGGAUUGUCAUGGAAAAUGAAAAAUGUGCACAAAGAUCACGAGCCUUCAUUUAUGCAACACAUUCCUAUCAAAGACGAUGGAUCGCUAAGUUCCACACUUUGAUGAUCUGCUAUAUUCUCAAAGUAUUUUGAGAAAAUUGUUACUCAUACAUCAUCCAAAACUAAAGUCAACUUCUAUAUCGACCGAAGAGGUCCAAUAUGUCAUUUUGGAUCUUGAAGAUUGUGGAAGUAAGUGGCAAAAGUUAUAACUGUCUAUUGGACAUUUCAUUGGAUGAGAGGCCCCAUAAGCAAUUUACUAAAUGCUUUUGUACAUGUACAUCAUGUAGGUCCUUUGCUGUGUGCAAAAUCACAAGCAAAAUGCAAAUGAUCAAGCAAAGAAUAAAUUAUACGAGAACAUAAUAGUGACACAGUGAUUUAAGUGGUUUGGCAUGUCAUGGCUAUGUCCAUGGUUGAAGCAUACUAUGGAUUCUAAAGAUCGUCUGGCCAGAAGUCGAGUGGAAGAAUCGCUCAAAGUACUGCUUUAGUCAAGAACAUAGCAUGUAGAUUUCCUGCCCAUUUUACUGCCAAAUAUCUUGCCUUCGUCAUCACUAUCAGUAGAGGAAUCCUCACCUCAAGAAAAGUUUGGUUUUUCUUAGGUUGUGGAGAAUCUUCUAUAACAUGGACAUCGUGUAUAACUUUGCAUUCAUCGUCAUAACGGAUAUCUUGGCCAAACAUAUUGGUCAAAAUUCCACAAGCUUCUGAUUCUGCAGCUUGCAAAUCAUCCCAAUCCUAAGAAUCUUGCAUGGUUUCGGCAAGUUCUGCUAGGAAGUUAUCGUCACAGUGCUCCACAGUGAUAAACUCUCGACCUUAGUCCAUCUUAAGAAAACCAAAAGAAGAAAGAGAUGGCUUUGCAAGUUCCAUGUCAAGCGAGAGAUCAAAUAAAUACAAUCUUCAGUACGUAAUUUGCACUUAGUUCAGUGAGACGAUAUUAGUAAUAUUGCAAGACACCAUAAGCAAUUCGCAGUGAGUUUAGAAAUAAGCCAUAUAGUUCACUAGUCAACAGGACUACUCCACCAAACCCACAAAGAAACAAGGAUGGGAUUAACACUCAAUGAACUAAAUUUAACCAGCUCCGGUCCAUUCCAAUCCAAAGUAGACUAUUCCAUAGCCAUCAUCAAAAUCAUGACUAGCUGCGAUAAAUGUCCUUAUUAGCAAUGCACAAUCAACCAAUUCACAAAUUAUCCACUCAACACAAGCAAUCAUGUCAUUCUCUAAUGACUAGAUAUUGUGCAAUUUGGUCAAUAAACAAGGAAAAACCAUCACCUAAAGUAACCUAAAACAUCAAACUAGAACGGUGCCAGACUUUUUGCCCAUCAGUAAAACUACUUCACGGAACCCGCUCCAGUCCAUUCAAACCUAGAGGAGACUAUUCCACAGCCAUCAUCGUCGUGGUGGACGAGAAAUACCUACACAACCUCUGCAAACACUAAUCAGCAAAAAAAAAAAAAAGGCGGGUGAUAAAGUAACGAUUCGAGUUACCGUAGAGGGAAACAAGACAGUUCAAGCACUUGCUGGCAGACUCCUCAUUGAAGCCGAACUUGAGAGCCAAUCUCAGCAACCCCGAGCUUUCCAUUGAGUCUCAACCUGUUCGACGCGAUUUGAUCGAUCGAUGAUGCAACAGUAGGAAUGGAAAAUCGAUCCGUAGUCUCUCUCUCUCUCUCUCUCUCUCUCUCUCACUCUGCCUUUUUUACCUGCUGGAGUGAAGAGGCUGGAGCCAUUUUUUCUUUUUCAUUCUUUCAAAAAUUCCGUUUUUGCACCUGAAUUUUGUUGGAAGCUCUAUUUUUGCCCCCUCAUAAGUUUUCUUGGUUUCAUUUGACACCCUUGGGUUGGGUCUGAGUAAAUAUUAGAAGAAGAGCAAGUAUUUCACGUGAGAGUUACAAGUAUACCGUCACGUGAUACAUCAAGCCAAGCGUUAUUUAACAAAGUGGCUAUAGGUUACAAUUAGCAGUGAGAUUGUCCAAUUAGUCCUGAAACUAUAUAUACGUAUAUCAAUUUGGUUAUAAACUUAUCAAUUCUACCAAAUAAAUCCAAAAUAUUUGCUAAAAAAAAUAUAAUAUAAUCAUUAUGGCAAAUUUUUGCUAAACAUUGCUGACAUUGUAGUGUGCCGCAUAAGACGACAAACAAUAAUUGGACUCCUGCGUCAACAAUUUCUAGCGAAAAUUGACCAGAAUGACUACAUUGAAAUUUCGCGCCAAAGUUUAGGAUUAAAUCGACAAAAUUAAAAAAAUUUAGAAUCGAAUUUGUAUAUGUACAAUAAAUUUACAACCGAUUAGGUAAUUUCCUUUAAAACUGGCAAAGCAGCUUUACUUUUUUGUGUUUUUUUUUUUUAAUUUCAAGUUAUAUAAAGUCCGAUUUGUGACAUUUAUAACAUGAAACCCAAGAAGAUCUUCUCUCCUUUCUUUGUCACGUUUUUUUUUCUAUUCUUUUAGGGCUUUUUCAUUUAUUUUUCUUUUUUGCCAAUGACGUUCUUUAUUUUCUUUAUAUGUUGAAUUUCUAAAUCCAUGGACCUUACCCCUAAUCUCAAAUUACAUAAACACCCCCCUCACGUUGAUGUUAUACUUAACUAUUGCGUAAAAAACUGACGUCUUUCUCUUUUCUAUUUUUUUUUCCUCUGCAAAGAGAAGAUUUUGCGUGUCAAACUUAAGAAGUUUUUUUAUUUUUUUCUAUUCAACUUAAUUAUAAAGUUUGGAUGGUUAUGUUAUUGACGGUCUAUGUUGAACGUUCUUAUUUUGCUUUUUUGGGGAAUGCGGGUUUUCUUAAGACUCAGCAUCAUGAGCCGGAUCAUCAUAGCAAUUGAAACUCAUUUUUACGAAGACAAGCAUGGACCUAGAAAGCCUAAUUAUCCAAUGGGGUCGGCCCAGUUGAUAUUGGCGAAAACACGUGUUGAGUUAUAAUACUAGGGGCGGUUGGGGGAUCGCUCACUUAAUCGCAGCUCCAGUGGAGGCAAAUUUGUUGUUUGUGAUGGGCGGGGGUGGUGUGGUGACAGGGAUCUAACCUCUCCUUUCAAAAAUUGAUCUUUGGAUAAGGGCGGGCGGCAGCAACCGCGCCCGCUAAUGGAGCGACCGUGAUUGAAUUGAAUGGGAUGGGAUGGGGAGGGGCUUGGCAGUGGGCACAAACCUCCAGCGAGUCUACUGCUUUUUGAGGGUUGAGGUUGGGCGAUGAUGAUGAUUUACGCGACAGAUUUGGAAGAGCGACCCGUUUCUUUCUUCUCCUGUUGCUGCUGAGUUCCUUCGUCUUGCACGUGACCCAUAUGGUAAAAACACAAAGAUAAGAAAAGCAGCCCAACAAGCGCGAUGGCGACAGAUGAUACAAGCAUCCCCAUUGACUUCACCAUCAGAAUGACAUCGAGAAUCAGAACAUACCAAAGAAUGCUGGGAGAGACAGAGAGACAGAAGAGCUUUAAAAAUGGUCGCGAUUCGAGGAUGAACAACGUGAAGGUUCAGACCUUAGAGCAUGAAAAAGAGCAAGUUAAGAGGGACGUAUUUUCCAAACGUGGGAAUUCCUAUGAGGGGCUUGCCCACAUAUGCGAAAAGAGACAACACUAAACUUGGUCACAAAGAAAGAGUAUUUUGACAAAUUGGAGAAUCGUGCCCGCUUGAAUUAAAGCGGUUUCCACAAAAUGUUUCAAUUAAAGUUGUUUACGUCCCAACCAUGCAACAUCGAAUGGUCGACACUAACUAAAUCACCACAUGAGCAAUUUUGAGCGAAAAUGGAGUAAUGAAUUGAUAAUUUUCCCUCAGAAUUAAGCUAAAAAAAUUAUCAAGUUGCCAUAAUUUUCUAACGUGUAUUUAGAUAGCCUCUCUAUGAAAAUCAUACGAUCAAGAGGGUGGAGCGGACACCUAACCCACUACUAUUAUAUAGAAAAAAGGAUGGACGCCAGUUUCCUUAUUUGCCCUUACAUUCAAUCACAAGAAUAUAAGUCAAAUGUUACUAGGUUUCUCUUUAGGGCGCGUUUGGUAAUGAAUUUGUUCCCGGGAGCCGAUUCUGACUAGGGAUGAUUAUUUUUUAUUCUGUUCCCGGGAACUGAUUUUGAGUAAAAAAACGUGUUUGGUAACUGUCCAAAUUUUUUAAUUCUGGCAUAGAAUUGCGUUUGAUACCGUGCUAAUUGAUUAUGUUCCAAAUUAAUUUCUUUUGAUUUUUAAAUAAUUUUUUACUUUUUUUCUUUUCUUUUUUCCUUUUUUUUUCUUUUAUUUUUUUCCCUUUUUUCCUAUUCUUCUUCUUCUUCAUGUGGCCGGUCACCGGACUGGCCCUCGUCGGCCGAGCCUCGCUGGCAGCUAGGCAAGGCUCACCUAGCCUUGCCAGUGGCCAAGCCGGCCUCGCCCAACCUGGCCACCGGCGGGGUUGGGCGAGGCUCGCCCAGCUGCCGGCGAGGCUGGGCUUGCCUCUAGCGAGCUCGUUGGACCUCGCCUUGUCCUGGUGAGCCUCCAGCAAGCUUGCCGGACUGGCGAUUGGCGGCGGAGGGCAGCGGCGGGCGACGAAAACAGUGGCGGGCGGUGGCGAACGGCAAUCGCGAGAUGACGGAAGGGAAGAAUGAGAGUUUUAUUGUUUUGAUUCUUUUUUUGAUUCUCGGACGAAGAAUCAUAUUUUUUUUUUCUCAAUUCUCUUCCCAAUCUGUUUUCGGGAACAAAUUUGUUCCCGAGAAUUAAAAUUUUACCAAACAUGAUUCUCGUCCCAAACUGAUUCUGGGAACAAAAAAUCAGAAUCAGGCACUGUUUGGCACGUUGCCAAACAGGCCCUUAGUAACCAACGGUGGGGUUAUGCUUUUCCCCUUAAAAAAGUUUAGUGUGAAUUAUUUUAUUAUUCUAAAAAUGCAAUGUGUUUCGUAUUAAUAAAAAAAUUUAUAUUGUAUAUAUCGAAGCUCAUAUAUCUUCGGAUUAUAAUAUAUAUGUAUAUCGAGAGGCGUAAACUAAAAGCUUAUGCUAAGGCUUCAUCAGUUCCAUGGCAAGUAAUUCCUCGAAUGGAUGCUCAUAUUAAGGAAUCUCGUCCUCCUUUUCAAUUGCCUAAAUUGUAAGAGAUUUAAAUCUUUUGAAAAGGAAUACUUCUCAUUGGCAGCGGCAACUACGAUAAACGACUGGCGACUAGGGACCAAUGGGGGCAGCAACUUGCGGCCAAUGAUAGUGGCGGCAAAGUAUAGUGGUUACUGGUUUUAGGAUCUGGAAUUGGAAUGUCCAUAUAAGCUAUUGCCGAAUCAUUCCCCGCAUGCUUUUCAAGGAAAAUCUUAUUCCUUGUGGAACCCAAUUUCACAUUUCGAUUUCACUCCAAACAUGAAAAUUACGGGACCCGAAAAUCUUGUUUAGAAGCUUUUCUGGGUAGCUGGCUCUCCAGCCUUUUCCAAUGGAAAGAACGCACUUCUGGUUCGCGACCGACCCAACGAACGGUAGGACGACAGAGCUAAUUAAGUCACGACAAAGUCCAAAGACCCCCUGAUUGCGGGGGAAGGUGAGGAAGGUCCCACGUUUGAACAUUCAAAUAUCAUUUAUCUGUUGCUGUGCAUCAGCAAAAGAAGAUAUUGGCAAAGUAAUACGGUUGGUUAGUUACAUUUUUACCUUUAAUAUAUUUCAAUGGAACGAUUUACAAAAUUUUGGAAAAAUAACAUUUCCAACACUACUUUACCGUUGGCAAAAACUAAAGAACUACUCUUUUUUUUUUUUUUUCAAACAGAACCUAUUAUAUUUAUGGACCAAACUGAUUACAAGCAGCAGCUAUCGCAUCAGCGUAAAUAAGAUCUAAAAGAGGGGGAGGGGGAAAACCAGCCCAGUUACUUCGCUUGGAAUUGACCCUAUGGGCCUUCGCAGCCCAAUUAGCAGCAACAUUUGCCUCACGACUACAGAAUGCUAGGGAAAUAUUGGGAAAAAACAAAAGCAGGAAGGCAGCUUUGAAGAAGAGGCUUCGUUCUUGCCAUGGCGGCGAGCGUUGACCCUUCAGUGUCUCAAUGAGGGUUUGGCAAUCAGAUUCAAGAGUCAGCGCAGCAUGAGAGAGGUCUUGAUCAAUCAAAUGAUGGAGAGCAAGCAAGCAAGCGUGGAUCUCCGCCUGCAGAGCCGAGAAGGCAGCAAAGCUAUCUGAGAAGCCACCAGUAAGUUGUCCUUGCGAAUCACGACACACACAAGCCAUAGUCCCUUCCCUGCUCCCCAGUUGAUAAGAUCCAUCGAUAUUGACCUUUAAAACCCCCGGAUCUGGGGGUCUCCAUAUAGUUUCGUGAUGUUGAAAAAAAGCAGCUUUGCAGGUGGAAGAACGAGCAACAGUAGAAUCCACACGAGAUUGAAGCACUGCUUCUUCAGCUACACGAUGCGGAUCAGGAUGUUUUCGUCCAAAAAUAAAUGCAUUUCGAGCCUUCCAUAUGUGCCAAGGGACUGUGGCGAUCACUGGAAGACUAGGUAAGGGUUUCUGAUCACCGGCAUGCUCUAUGAUCCAGGCUGUGAUAUUCCUUAUAUGCUGAGUUUGAAUGGGGAGGUUGAUCUGAAGAUUACUCCAAACACGCCAAACCCAGGGACAGAAUAAGAACAAGUGUUCCAAGGUUUCCGGGGUGUCUUGAUCACAAAUAAGGCAUUUUGGAUUGUCAAUGAUAUGCCUAUGAUGCAGAUUAACUCUUGGUGCUAAACUAUUUUGACAUAAUAACCACCAGAAGUGGCCUACCUUAAGAACGGUGUGCAUUUUCCACAAUUUGUGCCAUAAUAAAGAUGGAUGUUGAUGUGAAGAUGAAGGCGCGCUAUUGAGUUUAAGCUCUGCUGAAUGGUUGAUAUUGUGAUAUGUUGAUUUAACUGGGUAAUCCCCAUUAAAAAUAACAGUCCAAAUAAGUUUAUUCAUGGAAAAUCUGGGUCGUAUCGGAAUAGNNNNNNNNNNNNNNNNNNNNNNNNNNNNNNNNNNNNNNNNNNNNNNNNNNNNNNNNNNNNNNNNNNNNNNNNNNNNNNNNNNNNNNNNNNNNNNNNNNNNNNNNNNNNNNNNNNNNNNNNNNNNNNNNNNNNNNNNNNNNNNNNNNNNNNNNNNNNNNNNNNNNNNNNNNNNNNNNNNNNNNNNNNNNNNGCAAACAUAGGGAAGAAUGGCAUCACGUCACUCAAAAGGCUCUGCAGCCCCAUGACGGGCGAGAGCCUUUUUCUGCCUCAUCAAACCGUGAGGUUGGAAAAUAUAAUCCUUUAAAAACUUUACCCCACAAGGAGGAUGGCUAAAGAAGUAGUCGCCACGCUUGCUUACCCAGCAUGGCUAAAUUAAAAUUGAGGAGAUCCCGAAACUCUAAACCACCAGCUACCUUUCUCUGUUUUAGUACCUCCCAAUUUCGCCAAUGUAUGCAUGUUCGUUGUCUAUCAUUCUGCCACCAAAAUUUCGCAAUUCUUUGUUCAAUAGAGGUACAUAGAGAAAUGGGUAAUCGAAAUAUGGACAUGGCAUACUGUGGUAUGGAUUGUACUACAGCCUUCAACAUAAUCUCUUUCCCCGCCUUUGAGAAAAGGUUUUCCUUCCAACCUUCCAAUCUGGUAUUCACUCGAGCUAGUAUCCAAGAGAACAUAUCCCUUUUCGACCUACCCCAAUCAGAUGGUAUACCAAGAUAUUUCCCACAACUUUGCAAUAUAGGAACUCUAAUAGCAUUAGCCAUAUUUUCCUGUAGAGAAGUAGGGCAAGAUUUACUAAAAAAUAUACCAGAUUUGUUGCGGUUCACCUCUUGGCCCGUGGCAAAGCAAUACUAAUUCAGCACAUUUGAUAAAUUUUGACAUUCCCGAACUGAUCCUUCUACAAAGAAAAUUGCAUCGUCUGCGAAAAGAAGGUGUGAAAGAGUUGGGCACCAUCUGUUGAGUUUAAUACCUUUGAGUGUCUCCAUAUCGAGUGCAUUAUGAAUAAGAGAUGAUAAUAGAUUGGAUAAAAGGAUAAAAAGGUAUGGGGAGAGAGGAUCUCCUUGGCGAAGGCCCCUGGUAGGAUGAAAGGGCCUAAGCUGAUCGCCAUUCAUGUUGAUACAUAAAGAUGUAGUGGUGAUACAUUGCAUGACCAGAGUACUCCAUAAUGGAUGAAAGCCUAACUUAAGUAGAUAAGCAUGUAAAAAGUCCCAUUCCACUCUAUCGUAGGCCUUCCGCAUAUCCAACUUGACAACAGCAUGAAAUUUGCGCAUCCUCCUUUUAGAUCUAAGUUGAUGUAAAACCUCCUGUACUAGCAAGAUAUUAUCUUGUAUCUGGCGCCCACCCACAAAAGCAGAUUGUUCCUCAGAAAUUAGAGAUGGUAGCAGAGGUUUCAGUCUAUUUGCAAGCACUUUAGAGAUAACCUUAUAGGCAUAAUUGCAUAAACUAAUAGGGCGAAAUUGAUCAAGACUCUCAGGUUGAGGGAGUUUUGGGAUCAGAGUAAUAACUGUUUUAUUUAAGGCUAAAGGGAAACAGCCUGAGAGAAAGAAAUGCUGAACCUCUUUGAAGAAAUCAUCCUUUAUAAUAUCCCAAUGAGUCCUAUAAAAAAGACCAGUCAGCCCAUCAGGACCAGGAGCUUUGGUUGAAACGUAGCUAGUCUCAAUUCUUCCAAGGUCAACAAUGACAUUAGAGCAUUAUUCAUGGCUGGCGUCACCACUGUAGGACACUGAUCUAAAAUAGGUUCAAAGUUGCGAGCUCCGACUGUGGUAUAUAAUGAUGAGAAGAAAGAAGUUGUCAUCUCCUAAAGCCGACUAGGAUCCCUGACCCAAUCCCCCGUUUCAUCCCUGAGCAUCGUAAUCUUAUUCCUUUGUCGCCUCUGGACUACUUUAUUAAGGCCAAAAUGUCUUGAUUGUGAUGGACAUUUCAUAAGCAAAAGUUCUCUUUUAUGAGAUCGGCCCUACAUUCAACAUGGACUGUUGGAUAAAAAGGGAAAAAACACGAUCCAUCAAUCUAUUUGGCAAAAUCGAUUUUCUGUCAUCACUUCCGAAUAUUAAAGGAAAGUUGCAGGCGCAAACUUGAUCAAAUUAUAAUUUGAUUGAAAAUAGUGACGAUGAGUAAGGAAAAUUACUAAAGCAUAGGUCUCAAAACUUUGCCAAGUGCAAAGUAGAGGAGAGUUACGAUCAAUCUACAUAUUUUAGUAAAAAUACACAAAAAGAAAUUUACUUUUAACCGAAUAAAUAUUAUCUUUGUGGAAUUUCACCAAACAUAGGUUUCAAAGAAUUUAUGACCUCCAAAGAAAAAGUACACCCUCCAAACUCAAAAGAAAACAUAUGAAAGGAUUUUUUACAGGAAAAAUUACUAUUAGUGAGGACAAUUACGUCAUCAAAGGAAAGUUGUGAUUUAUCCAGUAAUUUACUAACCAUAGAAAAAACAAUUUACCCAAAACUUGGCAGAUUAUUAUAUUUUGAGGAAUAUUACAAAUCAUUUGACCUCCAUAACUUAUGAUGGCAACCUCAAAAGUAACAGAUUUCUCAAGAAACGAUGCCCUAAAACACAAGACGCUUCCAAUUACUCUAGGAAGUAAUUUCCAUUGGAGCUUAUUUAAGUGUUUGCUCGUUACUCAAUACAAUGAACAAUGUGCGACUAAGUGUUCCCAAACGACGGAACCUAAAUCUUUUCAUCAUACAAGGAGCAAUGCAUUAUGUUCUAUUAGAACUUCGCAAGGUUCUGAGCUUCAGAAGGUCUAGUGUAAUAUUGACAAUUUAAUUAGGCUAGAAACACAGAAAAUGCAGAAUAGUUUGGAAAGUUAACUUGCUUAUAUUUAUCAGGAAAAAGGACAACAGUUUUGCAAUGUCAACAUCACAAAUAAUUAUUCCUUUGAGGUAACUCUAGCAUGAUCUUUCUUCAUACAAAAGGCAUGUCAAAGAUUACGCACACCUCACACAAUGUGCCCCAUCAACAACAAAACCAGUUAGUUGUGCCGGCAAUGCAUGAUAGUCGAAUAUAAGAAAUAUACGCCGAACCGUCUAGAAAAAGUUAUGGUGCAUCAGACACAAUACCUUUCUAUGUAAGCAUUUCAAUAUCUCUAGAAAUGAUGGGUUUCCCACAUUCCUUUUGGGAGUUACAUACAAUAGCUUGCACGAUGGUUUAUCUUUUCUGAAAAGGUAAGCAAAGAAAAAGUGGAGAUUAAUAAUUUGACAAUCACAACACUAAGCAUAAAAAAUCUAGAAGUCCAAUAGAGCUAAACCUUGCCUUAGUUCUUGGAGAAUAGCUGCCGCUUGGGCAGUAGUUUGCUGAGAGUUCAAGAAAGUAGAUGGUAUUCCAUACUUGAGGAUUAGAGUAAUUAUUGGAUCUAGAAUGAGAGAUAGCAAGGGAGAUAUAAUGAUUGUGACACCUAUUUAAAGAGUUGCUGGUAGAUGAAACCAAGGAUAAAAACAUCAAAAGAGCGCAUGAAGAAAGGAAGGGACAAGGGAACUAUUAUUUCUUUCACCUUCAGCUGAUUAGGAAUGACCAGUUGUCACUACUUGUCUUACAAUUAAUUACUUUCAGCUAGAAACAUGUCACGCCCCGAUCCUCGAGACGCGCCCAUCCUUCUAAUGGUCGAUUUUAAAGUGCGAUAUCCCAGGACUAAGUAUCACCAACCCUUUCGUUUAUUAAGCACAUGCGGAAGCAGUUAUAAAUCCCCAGACAAUAAAAUAAUGGGAUAGAAAAGCAAGCCAUAUUUUUAAUAUUGAAAUUCACAACCACACUUUUAUUAACAACACAACUCAUAGCAUAUUUACAAUACUAUUCCCAACAUACUUGUCUCACACCGAUCUACACUAAGACAGGGUUUACAAAAGGGAUGGGAUAUCAAUCCACAUCCGGGUUAUACUCAAGAUCCCUCUCUAGAUCAUCUUCUUCUUCAAAAGUCUUUCUCCCCUUUAGGUUCCUCCUCCUCAGCUUCUCCUCAGGGUCCUGAAAUGGUUAUUCAAUAACCACUGAAACCACGUCUUAGCGAGUUCUACCCCCUAAGACUCGAUUAGUAAACCAAUACACUACUCGGUUGCCUAAGCACAACACGAGUCAGAUGACUUACCUUGGCCUCAGAUUCCAUCUGCACAUUAGUACAGUUCAAUAGGUACUCAAACAAUCACAUCACCAAUCGAAGUAUCGAUCAAAUCAACUUAGUCGAUUUCAUGCCAGUCGGACCAUUUCUAGGUCAUUCAUCCCACACCAAGCAAUUCCUUAGAUUUAGUGGCUUUACGGUCCCAUCCGACCCUUUCCAAAUCUAGUGGCUUUAUGGUCCCACCCGACCCUUUCAAGAUCUAGUGGCUUUACGGUCCCAUCCGACCCUUUCCAAAUCUAGUGGCUUUAUGGUCCCACCCGACCCUUUCAAGAUCUAGUGGCUUUACGGUCCCACCCGACCCUUUCAAGAUCUAAUCUAGGAAUGAAUCUUAAAAUCACUCAUAAAUUACUUUAGCACUGAAUAAAGCUCAAAUAAAUAAAUGGACUACACCACGACGAUCAGCACAAAAUUCCAGUCAUCGGCCAUCCCGGUUGAAUUUUCGGAAAAAUAAAUAAUUAAAUAAUUUAUUUCGAAAAUUAAAUAAAUAAUUAUUUAAAAAAAUCCAAUUUAGGCCCAUAAUGUCUGAUUGGAAGCCGAGACGAGCCUGGAAAAUUACCGAGACUUGUUCAAUAAUUAACAUUGCAUGCCUACUUGCUAAUGUCUAUUUCUAACCACCUAACAUGUAUCAUUAAGUCUCUAAUUUAAUUUAUCUAAAUUAAUAUAACCACCUAAUUGCAUUUAAUUAAAUCUAACCAACCUUAAGUAUAAUUAGGAAACUAAGAAAGCAUUAGUGAGUAAAAAUUACUUGGUAAAAGCAGAGAUCGGGACACCGCGAUGAUGACGCUACGACGGCCGAAAUCGAGCUUUCGACAACACCGGCGGGCUUGGCCCAACAAAUCUCACCCAACUGAGAUUUGUUCUUGCUUUUGGGCCAGACCCAAGUUGGAUUGGGCUUGCUACGAAGAUGGGCUUCAAGCUAUGGGUUGGGCUUGAAGACUACGGGAGAUGGGCCUCAAUAAAAUUCUGCUGAUGGGCUGCUGCUGGUGAAAUUCGACUGGGCUGGCUUGCGACCCAAAUGGGCUGAACAAACUGCAACUGGAAGCUGGCUGAUCUGUGGGCUGCUUGAUCGAGCGUGGACUGACGCUAGCAGGAGGAAGGAGCAAUGUCGGCGGUUGCUUCGGCUUCGCUGGGAUCUUCAAAUUGCUGAAGUCCACGGACGUGAGGCUUCUCGGUUGGGAUUGGGAUUUGGUGGAGUGGGUUGUUGACCGAAGGGGACGUGUGGAUGAGCAAAGAUGGAGCAGGGAAGCAGCUGGCGUGGAUGCAUGGGACAGAGAGAGAUGAGGCAGCGUUCAUGGCCACCAAACUCGGUGGAGUCGUGGGCUUCAAGCGGUCAACCAAGAGCUUCAAUUGAAGCUGUUGUUGACCGAACCAGGCGUACACACGGCCAAGUGGUAGCAAGCUCGGCAGAAUCAGUUUCGGUGAAAACAGAGACAAACGAAAGUGGGCUUUGCUGGCAGGGAGAAUUCGGUGGAUUGUGGCUUCGCAUGGAGUAGCUUCGGUAAGUCUUCAACGCUUCUGGAGAAGACACGAAGCAGUGGAGCUGCAUGCGGUCAACAAUCUUUGCUGAGAUUGACCAAAACCUCAGUGGAUUGGUCUUCGGUGCAGCUGGCGGACGAAGGAAAAUUUUUGAAGGAAGCAGCUUGGUCUUCUGCAGUUGCUGUUGGCGAUGUCGCACGAAGUGGGGAGGGAGAGAGAUAGCUGUCCGGUUGAGGGUGAGAGGAAAAGGAAUGGAUAUAGAUGAGUGAUGGGGCCCUUUAGACUUGAUCUUUCCACACAAAUAUCAUUUGUUUUUAUCCCUCCAUAUGGCUGGCACCCACCAACAAAUUUUCAGCCCAAUUUACCCCUUCUAGAGAGUUGAGUUGGUCCAAAAGUCACCACUUGUGGGGCAUGCAAAUUUCUUAGCGCAAGGCUCCAAUUGCUUAUCAAAUCUCCCUCAAUCGGCUUUCAUAAAAUCAAUCAACGCUUCAAUGCCUCAAUUGCUAUUUUUCCUCAUCCAAUAACCCAUCUUGCAUCUCGAUUUUGCGAUCGAAACCAUCUUCAGCAUUGUCGGCACAAAAAUGACCCAACGACAACUUUUUCCCAGAAAGUGUCGGGUGUCAGAAAAAUCUUCUGAGACUGAGUCGAUACUCCUAGAAUUUAUUAUGACAUGGCCAAAACUUCAAUUUCUGAAAUCGGACUCGAAUUGGCAGUUAAUUUUCAUUCGACGCGUUUUUAGCGUGACCUAGACUGUCGGGUAGUUUUUCAUAACUUUUUAAGGCAAAUAACACAUGGUUGAUUUUCUUCGAACCACUAUGAACCCAUUCGACUUAAUGGCGACUCUCGAUUGUCGUGAAAAUCUCGAGGUUUCAAAUACGGACAUAGGGUACCAAAAUGACAGUUAAAUCAGAUUUGUGUCGAUCGACGAGAAUUUUCCAAUUUAGUGGAGUCACCCACGAUCGGCCACAUAUCUCAGUCGACCAAACCUAUCUAUGGUCUUAAAUCGAUUUUUAACUGUGCUGCAAUGGCCUCUAAAGAUGAGCACGGUCGAGAAGCUGAUUCCUGAUCGAAUUCUCAAGUUUAUUACCCUAAAAUUUCUUAAUUACUUACCUAGACAAUCUAGUUAUCUCAAGAGUGAUCGGCUCUGAAAAUAGCCCAAUAAACACGUCAACGAAAUGCCCGAUUAUUUUAGUAGAAAACAGGUUGAGAAAUUCAAGAUGUCACGAAACAUAUAUCAACUACUUUAAGACUGAACAUAAAACACUUCUAAAAAAUCCAGUAUAAUAUCUUCCUCCUUCAUUCAUUACAUCAAAUAUUUUUCUUGCUACCAUUAUAUAUUGUAUAUUGAAGGAAAUUAAUUCCAAACCAAUUAUGGGAAAAAAAGAAGUCAUAGAUCAUUACCCUAUGUGAGAUAAUGGCAUAGCCAACAACUACAAGGAAAUAUAGAAGUCUAGAACCCAUAUUUGGUGGAAGUACUUUGAAAAAUUAUUCCUCUUCGACUCAGUAACCCAUUUGAAUUGGACCUGAAUUAUGACUAACAAUAGCACUUACAUGCAUAAACAAUUUUCCGGUAAGUGAUUAGAAGGUCCUAGAAGCAUAGUACAAACUUUAAAUUCUAGAAAUUAUAACAGAUAGAGAUGUGCGAAGGCGGAAUGAGAAUGUACCGUAUUUCCUUCUUGUCUAAUUUUGUCCAAUGCCAUAAAUUGGAAUCCAUGGUUAUGUACUAGAAUCACUUCCUAUUGCUUAAUUUUCAUUUGAAAAACAUUUACUACCUUUUAUGUUCACAACCUUCUCAACGGUGCUUAAAAAAACAUAUUAGAAGAUCGUCAAAGCUUAAAUUUUGACAUACAGGUCAACCCUUUUACAUUUAGUUGGUGGAACCAUUGAGCAAAGUGCACAGGGCUUGUGAUCUUAACAUUGUCUCCACUCUCUCCUACAUACAAUCAUUACAUAGUUGAGACAACGUUAACAUCCACUAACCUGGUAACAUAAGCUUUUACCACCUCCAGUGGGCAUGAGAACAAAGCAAUCUUGCUUAGCUACAGAAUCUUUACAAGCCCGAUGCUGCAUUGGUCGAAAUGCCUCGUUUCCGAAUAUGACAACAUUUGCCAAUUCUACGUCAUCAAAGGCUCGCAAUUCCUCAUAACUCAAAGUCCCUUGUUGGAUGUUGAAAUCUGAAAGCAAUGUGUUUUAUUUGAAAUUGACUAUUGAACCAUGAGUGACAGUGAUUUUAUAGUCCUUCAACAAAGAUAAGCCUCUUCAGCACCGUAAUAGUUUUUGACAUGGAUUGUCAUAGAAAAUGAAAAAUGUGCACAAAGAAAUCACAAGCCUUUAUUUAUGCAAAACAUUCCAAUCAAUGACGCUGGAUUGUUAAGUUCCACACUUUGAUGAUCUACUAUACUCUCAAGGUAUUUGAGAAGUAUAGGUAUUUUGUAAAUCAUCCAAAACUAAAAUUAACUUCUUUAUUGACCAAAUAGUUCUCAUAUGUCAUUUUGGAUCUUGAAGAUUGUGCAAUAAUUGGCAAAAUUUAGGAGUGUAUUGGAUAUUUAAUUGGACGAGAGGCCUCAUUCAUAAGAAUUUUUUUUUUGGUCGAAUCCUCAUAAGAAAUUUACUGAAUGCUUUUGUACAUGUACAUUGUGUAGGUCCUUUGCUGUGUGCAGAAUCAAAGCAAAUUGGAAACAAUCAAGCAGGGAACAAGUUAUAAGAGAAAAGGACAGUGACACAAUGAUUUAAGUGGUUUAGCAGUAUUGUCUAUGUGCAUGGGAGAAGCAUACCAUGGAUUCUAAAGCCCCUCUGGCCAAAAUUUGAGUGGAUGAAUUGGUUAGAUUACUACUUUAGUCAGGACUAUAGCAUGUGGAUUUCCUACCCGUUUUACUACCCAACACAUCUUCUUCGCUUUACUGUCAGUAGAGGAAUCCACCCCAUGGAAAUUUGAUUUUUCACAGUUUGUGGAGAAUCUUCUAUAAUAUUGACAUUGUGCAUAACAUUGCAUUCACCAUCGGAUAUCUUGGCCAAACGUAUCAGUCAAAACGCCACAAGCUUCUGAUUCUGCAGCUUGCACAUCAUCCCAAUCCUCAAUGUCUAGCAUAGUUUGGGCAAGUUUUGCUAGAAAAUGAUCACCACAGUGCUUCAUAGUGAUAAACUCUCGACCUCCGUCAACUUAAGGAAACCAGAAGAAGAAAGAGGUGAUUUUGCAAGUUCCAUGGCAAACAAGAGAUCAAAUAAACAAAAUCUACAAUACGUAAUUUGCAAUUAGUUCAGUGAGAUGCCAUAUUCGUAGUGAGUUCAGAAAUAAGUUAGAGAUUUCGCUAGUCAAUAAGACUACUCUGCAAAACCCACAGAUAAAUGAGGAUGGGAUUAACGCUCAAUGAACUAGAUUUAACCAUCUCCUCCAGUCCAUUCAAAUCUAAAGGGUAGACCAUUCCAUAGCCAUCGUCGAAAUGACGACUAACCGCAAUAAAUCUCCUUAUCCAGGAAUGCACAAUCAAUCGAUUCACGAAUUAUCCACACAACACAAGCAAUUACAUCAUUCCCUAAUCACCAUAUACCAACGAUUUAGCUAAUAACCAAGAAAAACCACCAUUCGGAGCAACCUCAACACAUCAAACUGGAACCACGCCACACAUUUCACUCAUCAACAAGAUUACUUCACCAAACCUGCUUCGAUCUAUUCAAACCUAGAGCAGACUAUUCCACGACAAUCCUCAUCAUAUUGGACAAUGAAAUACCUAUAUGGGUGACAAAGUAACGAUUGGAGUUACCAUAGAGUAGAUGUGUCAAAAUGGGUCAUUGACCCAUUUAUGGACCCAUUUAUGGUUAAAUGGGUCGUUAAUGGGUCAAGCUUUAGUUCCUAAAGCACCCAUAAUGGGUUUUAAUGGGUCAAGACUGAGAUAUAUUGAUCUUAAAUGGGUCAAAGAGCUACCCAUUUAAGACCCAUUAAAAAUAAACUCAUUUAUUUUCACUCAAAACCUCACCAUCUCUCUCUUCUCUCUUUAACUUUACAACUUUUUUUAUAUAAAAACCGAAAUUAUAAUUAUUUUUUCUUUUAAUUUUCUUUCCUUUUUUUUCUUUUUUCUUUGUUUUUUCUUUCUUCUUCCUCCGAUCGUCAACACGGCGAUGGCCGGUGAUCGGCCAAGCGAGCCUCGAGCUCGCCGACGUCGGGCGAGCUCUAGCUCGCCGGAUCUAGCAAGGCGGAGGCCUCACCGAUGCCUAGUGAGGCUCGAGCCUCGCCGAUUUGGCGAGACUUGAACUCGUUGGUGUCGGGCAAGGCUCGAGCCUCGUCGGCAUCAGGCGAGGCUCAAGCCUCGAGCUCGCCUAACGCCAGCGAGGCGGAGGCCUCGCCAAUGUUCGACGAGGCUUGAGCCUCGCUAGAUUCGGCUAGGGGCGAGCCUUGAGCUCGCUCGGUGCUGGCGAGGCUCGAGCCCCCGCCAGAUCUGGUGAGGGGCGAGCUCGAGCUCGCCCGACACUGGCGAGCCUCGAGCUCGCCGGAUCUAGCGAGGCUCAAGCCUCCCCGAUCUGGUGAGCCGCGAGCUUGAGGCUCGCCUAUGGCCAGUCGUCGGCCGUCGUCGUGGCCAACGGCCGGCCAAAGAAGAAGAACAACAAAAAAGAAAAAAGAAAAUUAAAUUUAAAUUUAAAAAUUUAAAAAUUUAAAAAUUAAUGUUUUAAAAUAAAAAUAAUUAAAAUUUGAUGUUUUAAAAUAAUUAUUUUAAAAAUUAUAAAAAUUGUCCAUUAAAUUUGUGCUGUAUAAAACUAUUUUAGCGAUACCAUUUUAUAUAUACAUAUAUAUAAGAAAUAAUUUUUUUUGAAAAAUUAUAAAAAAUUGAAAAAUUAUUGAUUGGAUUUGUAUUACUUGGAAGUUUUUUAGUAAUAUAAUCUUAAAAAAAAACAUAAGAAUAAGUUUUCCUAAAUUUUGUUAAAUAUGAAGAUAUUUUAUUAAUAUGGGUCGAGUCGGGUAUAGGUCGAAAAAUUUAUAUUAGACAUAAAUGGGUCAUAAAUGAGUUAAUGGGUCAAUUUAAGUCAACCCAUUAAUGACCUGAUCCAAACCCGACCCGACCUACCCGUUUGACACCUCUACCGUAGAGAGCGAAAUGAGACGGUCCAAGCACUUGCUGGUGGACUGCUCGUCGAAGCAGAACUCGAGAGCCAAGCUCAGCAACCAAGCUUUCUCCACCUCCUCCAAGCCUCGAUCCUCCAUCGAGUCUCAACCAGUUCGACGCCAUUCGAUUAAUCGAUCGAUCGAUGAUGCACCAGCCGAAAUCAAAUCGAAUUGAUUGCUAGUCUGUCUGGAGAGCGCACGCUCGAAGUACUCUUUCGAAAAGCAUUGCCAACGAUGGUGAGGAUUGAUGUUGUUUUCCGCUUUCUAUUUUUAUGCGCUGGAGAAGGGGAGAGAUUGGAACCAUAUUUUUUCAAUUUUUUUUUUAAAUUCUGUUUCGCACCUGAAAUUUGUUUAAACUCUAUUUUUGCCCCCACCAUAAGUUUUCCUGGUUUCAUUUGACACCCUUGGGUCUAUAAAUUUUUUUUUUUUUUUCUGGAUAAAAGAAGUCGUGCACUUUUCUCUAAGCGUGUAGUGUCGAUCUUUCCGAGUCAAUGCAUAAGUCCAAUUCAUUUUGGGGCGUCCUUCCAAUAGCGCUUGUCGCACCAAUUCUUCUAAGGAUGUGCGCUUAUAAUCUUCUCAAGACGAGGAAAAAGAGCGGAAGCAAUACCACAUGCAAAAAAAUAAGCGUCAACGGGUCAUCGACAUCUAUGUUUGUCUCUCCAACACUAACAAAAGGGGGGAAGUGAUCCCUUUAACGUAUUCUUGAGCUUUCGAGACGACAAAAAUAUCAUAGAUGAAGGAACUGUGCCAAUAUUUGCACUUACGGAUGAUGAUAGCCUCCCUACUAGUGAAGGGUUGGGUUUAUGGCAUCUCGAUGCAAUCACAUGGACUAAUGUUUUCCACGAAAUAAACGGAACCUAAAGUUCCAUCCAUGUUACCUAGCCAAAAGAUGUUUCGGCCAAAUAAGAUAUAUUAGUCGUCCUUGGCCUAGAUCGAUAUAAAAUGAAAAUGCAACAAAACUUCAACAUGGUCGGCCAACAAAAAAAAGUAAAUUCUAUUGAUGAUCCUUUUGAUUCCAUCAUAACUCUUUCCGUAAUUAUCAUUGAAAGGUUAAUGGUUGUCGAUCAAUAAAACAUUUCCAACAUCAUAACUCUUCCUGUAAUUAUCGUUGAAAGGUUAAUGGUUGUCGAUUAAUAAAACAUUUCCAACAUGCAAAUCUUUUAAUAAUGUAUGGUAAAUCGCAUUGUAAUGAAUUUUAACUGUUUCUACAAAAAUUUUGUAAAUUCUUCUACGUUUCGGAGAUAAUGGAGGAAUCUAGAUAUUUUUGUUUUGGUCGAAGUAAACAUCUUUCAUUAUUUCAAGUAGCUCCAUGAUUACAAACUAAGUGGGCCUCUAAACAAAUCAGGCCUGACAAUAUUUUUGGGGAUAAGAAACCUAGUUGGUGGGAAGGGAUUUUCGCCAAUGGGCUUAGAGAUCCAAUCAGCUACCUGGCUCGCUUCUCUCCUACAGUAGGCUAAUCACAUGCUCUUGUAUUGGGCCAGCAGGUUUUUGCCUUUAGAGAUAAGAGACUGGAUGCUCCACGUUGGUUGUUCUUGAUCUGAAAGUGCAAUUAUCGUUGACCAACUCUUCAACUCUAGAGAGUACUUGAGUUCAAACGUAAGACAAAAGAAGCGUAGGGCUUCCAUGCACGCUAGGGCUUCCACUUGCUCCGCCGAGUUCGCCCAUACUUCCUUCGUAAAUCCAGCCACGAUGUCCCUAGACUCAUCUCUAUAAACGACGCCGAUGAUUCCUAUUCUCUCUUCCUUCGCACACGAGCCAUCCACAUUGCUCUUUAGAGUGCCUUUCUCGGGUGGAAUCCAUUUUGCAGCCAAAGGCUAAAGUACGCGCAUCCUUAUGAUACAAUUAAUUGCAAAUAAUAGGAAAAAAAGCUAGGACUUUCAUAAAUGGCUAUCUAUAUAAAGCAAUUGGUAGAUGCAGAACACAAAUACAAAAAAGAUCAAUUAAAACACUCAAUUCCAGUGGAAUACAUGAAUCAUUAAGUGCCUAGUUUUGAGGCACCUACAAGGCAUCUGGACAAAACAGUGAUUGACUUCCGAGGAACAAUGCCUAACAUGGACCUGAGAGCACCCACAGCAUUGGAUUGUAUGAAUCAUGGUGAAUGACAUGAUUGUUCGAGUGCAAUCAUUAUUAGAGCACCACUAAGUGUAGUUUUUUUUCAAAUUUAUUUGAAGAUAUACUUGUGUUCGGUUUGGUUUAACUGAAUGAAUGUUUUUCCUUAUUAAUUUCCCUCAAAUAAUUUCUCAUUAUUUUCAUUAUUUGAGAAAAAAAUUACAAUUAUUUUGAAUUUAAUUCUGCUUAAUUAAUUUUUAAAAAUGUCUAGGCCCAUGCCCACCAUGCUUAGGUUGUGUCAGCCCAAGCUUGUCGUGGUGCUCCGUCCUAGUCACACUUCGCCAAGUGAGAAGCCUCGAAAACUACAUUGGUUGUAGUUAAGCUUGGAAAUCACAUCGGUUGUGAUUAAGCCCAAAAUAAAACCAGCCUACGAUCAUCGUACACAUCUCAAGACGCAUAUCAACCGUAAGCACUAAUCCAAUUUCCAUAGUUCAUAGUCCAACAUGCCGAGAUAUGCUAGAAAUAUUUCACCCAUGUAUAUAUUUUCUAUGCAUGUCCAAAAUAACAAUCUUAAUUGAGUCCAUUCAAUGCUUGAUCCAAUUUUAUUAAAUAAGAUGCCAUGAAAUGGUUUAAUUUUUCCCUUGAUUCUCAAAGUGCAUGGGUUGAGGAAAUAUGUGGUUGACUAUGAAAAAUGCUAUGUUAUGCACUUCAUAACUAGUUUGAAAUGUACUCACACGUUCAAUGAAAUUUAUAACAUACAAGAAGUUGGACAAGAAUCAUUUAACAAAUUUAGGGAAACAUUGAAUUGGCUCAUCGAAUAUCCAAACAUUUAAUUAUUGUCUCGUUUGCCCUUUUGUCAUAAGUGCGAGAAGUUUCCAUGAUCUUUCUGAGUGUUGGCUGCAUUCAUAAAGAUACACAUGAAACGCCAGGAAACAUUGAAUUGGCUUAGCGAGAUUACAACUAAUAACAAUAAUAAUGUAAUGAUUGUAUUGCGUGAGUGCAUCCGUAAACAAAAGUAGUCUUCCUACCUAAUUCUCUUUUUUAAAUUGAAAUAAUAUUAUAGUUGUUGUGCUUUUACCAUGCAUUAAUUAGUUUAAUAAUAGUCUAUUUCGCUAUCAUUACCCACAGCAAAUUUUUAAGGGCAAUUAUUGAUUUUUAAUCUUAGGAAGAAUGCCACUAUCUAAGAUUCCAUCCAUGUUACCUAAUUGGAAGAUGUAACAAAGACCAAGACUUGUUCUGGCCAAAAAUAAAAAAUAAAAAACAAAGACCAAGAGUCACCCAUAAUGAAAGACCAAGACAAAUAAUUAGUCACUAGUGGGGCAAACUCUAAUUAAUUGUAAUAAUAGUAUAUUUCUCUAUCAUUACCGACAACCAAUUUUUAAAGGCAAUCAUUGAUUCUUGAUCUUAGGAAGAACGUCACCAUGUAAGAUUCCAUCCAUGUUACCUAGCUGGAAGAUGUAACAAAGACCAAGACUCAUUCAAACCUAAAAUAAAAAUAAAAAACAAAGACCAUGACUCGCCCAUAAUAAAAGACCAAGACAAAUAAUUAGUCACUAGUGGGGCAGAUCAAAUUAAUUCACUAUUAGUAUAUUUCUCUAUCAUUACCGACAACCAAUUUUUAGAGGCAAUUAUUGAUUCUUAAUCUUAGGAAGAAUGUCACUAUCUAAUAUUCCAUCCAUCUUACACGGCUGGAAGAUGUAACAAAGACCAAGACUCUUUCUAGCCAAAAAUAAAAAUAAAAACAAGGACCAAGACUCACACAUAAUAAAAGACCAUGACAAAUAAUUAGUCAAAAGGGGGUAGACUCAUUAAUUUAUCUUUUUUGGCCGAGACAGACUUAUUAAUUAUCCUCGACCUAGAUUGAUAUAAGAUAAAAGGGCGACAAAAUUUAAUUAUGAUCGGCAAGCGAAAAACAUAAGUCCCAUUUAUGGUCCUUUAGAAUUCAUUAAAAGAAUAGUCUAUCUAACUUAAAUAACUCUUCCCUCGAUUAUCUUCAAAUCUUGUUCUAUUUUUUGACGUAUCUUCUAAUAAUGGACCAAAACUUCUUGAACAAAUUUUUUAAACCACGUGCCUUCUAUUCAAAUCUCCUUAUUUAUUUAUUUAUUUAUUUAUUUAUUGUUUUUUAGUGAUUGAGGAUGAAGAUUAUUUCUUUGUUUCCACAUUCACCAACCAAAUCCAAUUAACAAGCAAUAUUGCAAAAGACAAACACCAUGUUUUCUUAUUUCAAUGGAAAAAUUAUCAAAAAAUUCUUAAACCUAUUGUACAUGUGCUAAUUCAAUCUUAAACCUUUUAAUUUUGACAAUUGAUUCAUAAACCUUUUAACGAUUUGCCAAUGUAGUCAUUCCUGUCAAUUUUGUCCGAUAACUAAUGACAUACACCAACUAUCCUAUGUGGCACAGUGGGCAUUGAUGUGGACAAUUUUCGCUUUUUUUUUUUCUAUAUUUCAAUCAUAUGUAAAAAGAAUGACUAUGAUUCAAUGUGAAGACUAUGAGUAAAUUGGAUAAAUUUCAAGUGUAGAGAUUGCAAUGGGAAUUUAGUCAGGUAGAUCUACAAGAUGAAUCUCAAGUUUCUUGGUAGAAGUGUUAGAAAAGUCAUAGACCUAUUAUGUUGAUGUCAAUUUAAUCAUAAAUCUUUUAAUUGUGCUAAUUUAAUUUAGUAUUAAACAUUUGGACCUAGUGCUAAUUUAGUCAUUCUAACUAUUUUUUGGAUGGAUAUCCUACACGAUACGGCCGGUGCUGACGUGGAUAAUUUUGAAUGAUAUUUUAAUAAUUUUCGAAUUCCUUCUUUCUUUACUUUCUUUACUUUCUCUCUUAUAUUUUCCUCCUCUUUUUGGUGGUUGGCAAGCAUCAAUGAGGCUGCCCUCACCCAGGCAACACUUGGCCUCACUAGAUCUUGCAAGGGCAGCCUCACCAGCACUUGCCCUCACCCUAGCAAGGCUGACAAGGUUCACCCUCGCUCAUGUGAGACCCAGCCAUUGGAAAGAGGAGGAGAAAAAGAGAUAAAAAAAGAAGGAAAAAAAUUCAAAAUUAUCAAAAAUAAUCCACGUCGCCUAUAAUGCAAUGUAGGCUUGCUGACGUUUAGCAAUAUUCGGCUAAAAGUAGCUUGAAUGACUAAACUAACACUAGGCCAUAAGGUUUAGAAUUAAAUUGGCACCAUUAAAAAGUUUUGGAGUAAAUUGUACCAAUACAAUAGAUUGGCUUUUCUAAUACUUUUCCCUGAGUUUCUUCUAUAUGUUGCUUUGCAUUAGCAAAAGAAAAUAUUGGCAAAGUAACACUAUUUCUUAAUUUACAUUUUUACAUGUAUAUAUUAAUUUAAAUAUUGCAAUGAAAUUAUUUUAAAAAUUUAGAAAAAAUAUUGUUUCCAACAUUACUUUACUGUCUAUCAGUUUUUCAAAUAUUUGAAAGUAAUGGCUUUGAUAGGAGUUAUGGAAAGCAAUUCUUUUUGUAACGGUUUUUUACCGUCACCAAUUUGUAAUGGUUUUUGUGUAACAUUAAUCUAUAAUGUUCUUGUAACGGCUUUAUAAUGGUCAUCAUUUUAUUAAUUCUCAAUUAAUUUAUAAUGAUUUCUUAAUGGCCCUCUCUUUUGUUUGAAUAUAAGAUUAAAUUCCAAAUCACAAUCCUUUUUUUUUUUUUUUGGGUCAGUAAAUCACAAUCCUUUAAGAUACGCCGAAUUAACAGAAUUCACAUAUCUUUCCUUUUUUGUCAGGUUAUACACAUAACCUUGUUCAUGUUCCUGCUAUUAUUCAGUGCGGAAUAAAAAAAACUGUUUAUUAUAUCUUGAGAAGAUAGCUAUUAUGCCCUAUUGCAUCGAAUUUUUUACUCCAAAAGACAGAAUUAUCCUUAAGUAUAGUGUUUGCAAGUCUCAAACAUUUGGACAAAGGGCAAAGCCGGAGAAAGGGAAACAACGGGAUGCCCUAUUUCAUUUAACAUUAUUUCCUUGCGGGUGCUUGUUGCCGAUUGUUCUCUCUAUGCUUGUAUUCAAUCAAAAAGAAGAACAAAAGCGCCGCAUAAGAGAGCAUCGAGGGAGCAUCUGUCUCUUCUUCGGUGUCAUCUUGUUGGAGAAAUCUUUCCAGAAUAUUUUGAAGCUGACAAAACAUUUCUAUCAGUCUAAGUCUGGAUAUCGAUAGUUAAAGUCUCAAGACUUUAUAGUCUCAAGACUUUGUUAUCUCAAGACUCAAGACUCAAGACUCAAGACUCAAAAUUAUUCUCACUGACAGUCUUUCUAAUCCAGUGUUGAAGGAAAUUCAAAGCCAAGGUUUAUGGUUGAGGAUUUGAUCCUAUCCUCUGGAAUAGAUUCUUUGGUUGGAUAAUCAUUUCGGAUUCUUUAAUUCUUAUCUAAGAUCGAUUGAAGAUCCGAUGGUCGACGAAAUAAUCUUGGAUUAUUCUAUUCUUGGAAACCGAGAUCCUGAUUGUAUGGGCGAACAGGAUUGAUGGGCUAUCAUCAGAUUCCUUAAAUAGCUCGGAUGAUCUUCUUGAUUGAUUCCGUCCAAUGGGUAGAUUGGAGGAAUUCCUUUGGUAAGUACCAACGGCUAUGAUGGCAUGAAAGAGUAUAAAAGGAAGACGUUCUAGUUGUUUCAAGUGUGUGAUCGAUAGAAAAAUUCCAGAGUCUGAAGAUCCUUGAUUGUUAGUUGAGACUGAGCGAAAUUGUAUACAGAGAGUGUUUAUACUUGGUGACGCCUUGAGUGAGUGUGGUAGAUCAUCUACACCUAGAAAUCAAGGAAGAUCAACACUGUAACAACUCUUUGAUCAUAGUGGAAUCCAGCCAAUCGGCUGUCAGUGCAGAAGAGUGGACGUAGGCUUGAAUCAAGCCGAACCACUAUAAACCGAGUGUUCAAUUCUCUCUUUCCCUUACUCAGUCUUGCGAUUGAAUUUUUAACUGUUGCAAAUUCUCUAAUUGUUUAAAUAUCGUGCAAGCUUCGAGAAAUUUUUUGUAUACCUAUUCACCCCCCCUCUAGGUACUCGUACUAGCUACUUCAAUUGGUAUCAGAGCUCGUGUUCUUACUUUGUUUGAAGUGUUUUACUUCAAAGUAAAAGAUCCAUGGCUAGUAUGCUAGCACCGGGGCUGAUGGAGGGGCAAAGCAAUACCAGACCUCCCUACUUCGAUGGAAAGGAUUACAACAUCUGGAAGAACAAGAUGAAAGCUUUCCUACGAUCAAAGGAUCCUCUGGAAUGGGACGUAGUGGAAAAAGGAAUCACUCCUGCUGCUGCAUCAAUCACUGAAAGAGGGAAAGAAACUGUUGAAACCAGCGGAAUGUCUCAAGAAGAAAUAAACAAGAGACAAGCACUCGAUGCUAAAGCAAUUUAUUCGUUAUAUUGUGCUUUGUCACCAACUGAAUAUAACUGAAUAUCUUCUUGUGUUACAGCAAAAGAAGUCUGGGACAGGUUACAUAUCACUUAUGAAGGGACAGAUCGAGUGAAGGAGACCAGAAUUAACAUUCUUCUUGGUCAAUAUGAAUCCUUCAAAAUGAAACCAGGAGAAUCUAUAACUGACAUGUUUAGUCGUUUUACAGUUAUUGUCAAUGGUCUUGAGAACCAAGGACAAAAAAUUUCUGAUCCCAUGAAGGUGAACAAGCUUCUACGUGGACUCUCCAAGGAUUGGAAUCAUAUAAAGACUUCAAUAAGAGAGACGCAAAGAAUCAUGCCAUUAUCUGUAGACGAACUGAUUGGAACUCUUCAGUCUUACGAAGUGGAACGAAUUAAUGAAGACGAAUAUCCAAGAGGUAAGAAAUCUAUUGCACUAAAAUCAAAUGAUGAUUCUGAUGGUGCAGAUUCUGAAGAUGAUAUGGAUGAUAAGGAGCUCGCCCUCAUGAUAAGAAGAUUCAGAAAACUGAAUAGAAAAGGCAGAAGGUUCAUCCCAAAGAAACAAAGUUUUCAGAGACAGCAGACCAAGUCUGUUGAUGAUGAGGAACCAAACAAAGAUGUAGUUUGCUUCGAAUGUAAAAAGAAGGGACACAUCAGACCCAACUGUCCUCUUCUGAAAAAGAAAAGAGGAAAAGCUGAGAAAUCUCGAAAAGCUCUUAAAGCCGAAACCUGGAGCGAUACAGAGUGUGAAGAGAGUGAUGAGGAAUAUGCCAACCUGUGUCUAAUGGCGCAAUCAGACUCAGACUCUGGAUCAGACUCAGACAGUGAAUUUGAGGUAAGUGAUUAUAAAAUCCCUGUCAAAGUCUCUAAAUAUAUUGAUGAGUUAUGUUUUAGUCUUAAGACUUCUCUUAAAAAGAUUUCCGAACUUAAAAAGGAAAACUCAGUUUUAAAACAAAAGGAAAACAUUUUAGAAGAAAAGGUAAAAAAUUUAGACUUGAAUGUUUCUACUCUUAAAGAGAGUGAAGACAAUCUUUCAAAAGAAAAUGCUUUCUUAAAAACUGAUUUAUCAAAUAUUUCAAAGAAAUUUUCAAUAGGGUCCGAAAAACUUGAAAAAGUCCUUUCAAUCCAAAGACCUUACUUCAAUAAGUCAGGUCUAGGUAUGACAGCUGAAACAAUCCCUUUGAUUGAUUUUCCGAAAGUAAAAGAAAGAAUUAAGAAAAGACCAUCGAGAGAGGCUUAUAAAAAUCAUUUCAAAAGAGUUUUUGUAAAGCCUAUAGGUCGAAAUGCUUUAAGGUGUUCUAAGUGUAACAGUCAGGAUCAUUUUGAAAAAGAGUGUCCUAUGGUUUGGAAGCCUGUUAAGAGAGUAUGGCCUAAUAAUGCUCAUCCUACUAACACCAAAGGACCCAAGAAAAUUUGGGUACCAAAGAAAGCUUGAGACUCUUUUUUGAAUGCAGGUCUCUGUCAAAAAGAAGGUAAAGUGGUAUCUUGACAGCGGAUGCUCAAGACACAUGACAGGAGACUCAAAAUGUUUCAUAAAGCUUAUUAAAGUAAAUGGUGGAAAAGUUUCAUUCGGAGGAAAUAGCAAAGGAAGUAUUGUGGGAUUCGGAACUGCGAAAAUUGGAAAUCUCACAAUAAGCAAUGUCUCUCUAGUGGAAGGACUCAACUACAAUCUACUCAGCAUUAGCCAAUUGUGUGAUACUGGUUACAAGAUCUUCUUUCAAGAAGGCAUAUGUUCUGGAAUUAGCAAAGAUUCGACUCAGUCUUUCAUGGGUCGAAGGCAUGGAAACAUCUACCUCCUUGAUGUAAAGCCAAAUGAAGAACAAUGCUUAAUCUCAAUUCAAGAUGAAGCAAUUCUAUGGCACAGAAAACUUGGCCAUAUCAACAAGAAGCAAUUAGCCAAAAUCUCUUCAAAGCAGCUUGUUCGAGGUCUACCUAAACUGCCAUAUCAAAAGUCUGACUUAUGCACUCCAUGCAUUCUGGGAAAACAGGUAAGAAAUUCAUUUAAGCAAAUAAAUCAUGUAUCUACUAAUCAUGUACUACAGUUGCUUCACAUGGAUCUCUUCGGACCAACAAGAACCCAGAGCAUUAGAGGUUAUUCCAAAUGGACGUCAAAAGUGCUUUCCUAAAUGGAUUUAUCCAUGAGGAAGUUUAUGUGGAACAACCGCCUGGAUUUGAAGACCCAAAGAAGCCAGACUCAGUCUUCAGACUGAAAAAGGCUCUGUAUGGUCUAAAGCAAGCACCUCGAGCUUGGUACGACAGACUAAGUAAGUUUUUAUUACAAAAUGGUUUUGUCAAAGGUAAAGUAGAUACUACUUUGUCUAUCAAAAAGGAAAACAAAAACUUUUUACUUGUUCAAAUAUAUGUUGAUGACAUUAUAUUUGGAUCCUCUAAUGAAAGUCUUUGCAAGAAAUUUUCUAAGUCUAUGCAGGAUGAAUUUGAAAUGAGUAUGAUGGGAGAGUUAACAUUCUUUCUUGGACUCCAAGUGAAACAAAUGAAGGAAGGAACUUUCAUCCAUCAAGAAAAAUAUGCGAAUGAUCUUGUCAAAAGGUUUGGAUUGGAAAAGUGCAAAAAGAUCGAUAUACCAAUGUCAUGUUCUCAGAAGAUAGACAAGGAUGAAGAAGGGAAGAAAGUAGAUCAAAAGCUGUACAGGAGCAUGAUCGGUUCACUUCUUUAUCUUACUGCUUCUAGACCUGAUAUUUUGUUUAGUGUUUGUAUCUGUGCUAGGUUUCAAUCAGAUCCUAGAGAAUCACAUCUCAUUGCCGUGAAACGAAUUAUCAAAUACGUUGCUUCAUCUUCAAGCAUCGGUCUUUGGUAUCCAAAGAGGGGAGACUUUAAUCUUCUAGGAUACUCAGAUGCAGAUCUGGCCGGUUGCAGAGUCGAUAGAAAGAGCACUUCUGGAACUUGUCAACUACUUGGAAACAGAACGGUGUCUUGGUUUUCGAGGAAGCAAAACACUGUAGCUUUUUCAACGACAGAAGCAGAGUAUGUAGCUCUUGGAAGCUGCUGUUCGCAAAUUCUAUGGAUAAAACAACAGCUACAAGACUUUGGCAUUGAAGACUCAUGCACAGAAAUUAGAUGUGACAACACCAGCGCUAUCAAUCUCACCAAAAAUCCAAUCCUUCAUUCAAGAGCAAAGCAUAUUGAGAUUCGACAUCACUUUAUUAGAGAUCAUAUUCAAAAUGGAGAAAUCUCGAUUCAAUUUGUUGAUUCAAAAAGUCAACUAGCGGACAUAUUCACAAAGCCUUUGGAGAAGAAUCAGUUCGACUUUAUCCGCUCGAGACUCAACAUUUUGAAGCUUGAAGAAGUUAAAGUCUAAAGACUCACCAACUCUAAGACUCUGAUCUCUUAGACUCUAAAUCCUGAGACUCAAUCAUCCAUGGCUAUAGACUGUAAGUUGUAAAAGGUACUAAUUGUCAUUUAGUUAUAUUAACUCGAAAAGGUACGAUCUUUUGUUUAAUAAUUUUGGCAGUUAUUGAUUUUGAAAAGUAGUGAUCGUUCACUUUCCUUGCACCGAUUGAACUUUCUUUUUCAAAACUGAGUUAUAUAUAUACAGUUUUUUUUUCCUUUCCCCAAUCUUCAAAACCCUAAAAGGCACUCUCCUCUCGAUACUGUUUCUACUCUUUGUUCAUCGUCGAGAAAGUGGUCAUUUUCCUUGGGAAAGCAAGUGAAGGAAUCCUCCAAUAGACAAAGAAGGAUGUCGACUUCGAGGAAAUCAUCAAGAAUCGCAAACAGGGGACCACAAAGAAUGAAGAAGGGACCGACUCAUUUCGAUCUCACUGAGGAAGAAGACUUACCAAGUCAGCGACAGAGUCCGAUUCGCUCUCCUCCACGUCAUUCAGCAUCUCCUGCCCCACAAAGUGCAAGUCACAAUCUGGAAGAAGAGAUAAUCGAGGAUGCCGACCCAGUAAGAGUUCAAAAGCCCUCCUUUUUGUAUACUCUUUAUCGUGCAUUGAAAAGCACAGGUACUCCAUUGAACUAUAUAGAUGACUUCCUUAAGGACAAAAAUUAUGGGAAUGAGUAUCUUUUUCUGAAGAAAAUGGAGGAAUGGGGAAUUGCCCCGAAAGGAAAAGCAGAGGAAGCACUUGCGAACAUUCCAAGAGAUCCUCGUAUGCCAGGACAAAAUCUGAUUGACGGGAACGAUGAUGACAAAAUGUUCCUUGAAUUUAAACCUAAAAUGGGUGUGGCAGUAAAGGUGAAAGGAAAUCGGAUGGAUUUGUUUAAAUCCAAGGAUCAGGAAAAAGUGUAUUUCAGUCUGUUGAAAAGAGGGGUAAUCAACCCUAGAAGUGUCGAUUUUGACUUCCUGGAUUCCAUCAACUUGAACCUAAGAGAGAAGUUGAAUUUGCUUCAACUUGAGACUUUCUGCUCUGACUCUACAGACGGGUAUGAUCAUCUGACCGCUUAUUUCUAUUCAAAUCUUAGCUUUUUGGAUGCGAAUAGAAUUUCAUUCAGUGUUCGAGACAGUCUAUGUGGUAGAUGUGAAUAUGUUGACGGACAUAGUUGGAGUUGAACGGGGACGCUAUCUCCCAAUCAAAGUCUCACAUGCUCGAACUACUCUGGAUCUUGUCAAAGAUAGGGAUGUAGAUAAGAAAAUUAUCUAUUCCAGGAUGAAUGCCAUCAACAUUGUGCUUCACAAGAUUGUGAUCAAUUGUCUCAGACCUAAGUCUACUUCAAAGACUUCUGUGUCUCUUUCUGAAGCAAAAUUGAUGUAUGCGAUCAACUCAGGACGGAAGUUCUCUCUCCCGCACACUAUUCUCUUCCAUAUGUACAGAGCAGUGUCAAAAGACAAAGGACAAUUGCCUUAUCCUGGUCUGGUGACCAAGAUCUUCAGACAUCUGAAUAUUGAACUGCCACAUUCUUUUUGUGUUCGAACGUGUGAUAAGAUGGUGGUAGGGUUGAAAAUGUUAAUGAAGAUGCGUCUGCAAGAACUCUCUAAGGCAAUGGAGAAAUUCAAAGUGAAAUCUCCAGUCCAGUCUGCUUCAAAAAGGAAAGGAAAGAAGGCCAUUGGUACUUCAUCGAAAAAGAGGAAAAGAACUCUUAUCCUGGAGGAUGAGGAUGAGGAUGAAGAUGAUGAAGAUCCCACUAUUCCAGCACUGACAAGAACAAGACGUUCUGUGUCUUAUCCGACAGAACUUCAGCAGAGCAGAGAAGAAGAAGAACAGAGAGAGAAGGAGAAAGAAGUUGAGGAAGAAAGAGAAGAAGAAAAAGAACAGUCUGCUGAUAAAUCUGGAGAGAAGGGAAAUCAAGAGCAUGAUCAUCACUCUUCCCCUUUCGAUGUCCUAGAGACAGGGGGAGUUAGUGAGCAAGAGAGGUCUCCACCUCAUGCUGAAGAUCCAAGACAAUCUCCAGAAGACCCAGAAGAAGUUCAGGUCUCUCAAUUGCCUGAAGAAGGUGAUACGUCGAUUCCAAAUUUGCCAGACCGAACAGAAGCGCCAUCGUCUGCAUACACACCUUCUGAGAAAGUCAAUGCCAGUACACAGACGGAUGAUUCUGCAGAUCUUCGUAGUAUCAUGAAUAUUCUUCUGGAAAUGCGUAACCAGAUAUAUAUUCUGGACUGUGAAAUCCAAGCUUUGAAGCAUGCUGGACAAGCAUCUUCAGUCUCUCUGGAAGAUAAAUUCAAAGACCUCGCUCUGCAACUUCAAGCCAAUGCCAAGAGAGAAGAGGUAGCUCAUCUGCGAGAAGAUCUGAAGAAGCUCGAAGGAGUAGUCCAGUCCAUUGGGGAUUUCCAGAUCGUGCGCAUUCCCAAGCAGACAUGACUCCUUUCUCACCCUCUUUUUAAUGAUGACAAAAAGGGGGAGAACCAAUUUGAACAAACAUUAUUUUAAAACUUUAUUUGACUUUUGUGUUUAUGUUUAUUUUUGAGUAUGACUUGAGAACUUGAACUUGAGUGUUAGACUGAAUUGGCUGUGGAUUUUGAUGCUUGACUGGUUGCAUUUAUAUCAAGUAUUGUUACAUGGUAUUACUCAUGAAAGACUAACCAAUUUGCUGUGGAUGCAGAGUCUGGUUGUUUAUUAAUCUUUAUGAGUUAGCCAUAUUGCUUGAGAAAUGUUUUUGCAGGUCAAAGUUGUUCAAAUCUUCAAGAAAGUUUUGUCACCAUCAAAAAUGGGGAGAUUGUUGGAGAAAUCUUUCCAGGAUAUUUUGAAGCUGACAAAACAUUUCUAUCAGUCUAAGUCUGGAUAUCGAUAGUUAAAGUCUCAAGACUUUAUAGUCUCAAGACUUUGUUAUCUCAAGACUCAAGACUCAAGACUCAAGACUCAAAAUUAUUCUCACUGACAGUCUUUCUAAUCCAGUGUUGAAGGAAAUUCAAAGCCGAGGUUUAUGGUUGAGGAUUUGAUCCUAUCCUCUGGAAUAGAUUCUUUGGUUGGAUAAUCAUUUCGGAUUCUUUAAUUCUUAUCUAAGAUCGAUUGAAGAUCCGAUGGUCGACGAAAUAAUCUUGGAUUAUUCUAUUCUUGGAAACCGAGAUCCUGAUUGUAUGGGCGAACAGGAUUGAUGGGCUAUCAUCAGAUUCCUUAAAUAGCUCGGAUGAUCUUCUUGAUUGAUUCCGUCCAACGGGUAGAUUGGAGGAAUUCCUUUGGUAAGUACCAACGGCUAUGAUGGCAUGAAGGAGUAUAAAAGGAAGACGUUCUAGUUGUUUCAAGUGUGUGAUCGAUAGAAAAAUUCCAGAGUCUGAAGAUCCUUGAUUGUUAGUUGAGACUGAGCGAAAUUGUAUACAAAGAGUGUUUAUACUUGGUGACGCCUUGAGUGAGUGUGGUAGAUCAUCUACACCUAGAAAUCAAGGAAGAUCAACACUGUAACAACUCUUUGAUCAUAGUGGAAUCCAGCCAAUCGGCUGUCAGUGCAGAAGAGUGGACGUAGGCUUGAAUCAAGCCGAACCACUAUAAACCGAGUGUUCAAUUCUCUCUUUCCCUUACUCAGUCUUGCGAUUGAAUUUUUAACUGUUGCAAAUUCUCUAAUUGUUUAAAUAUCGUGCAAGCUUCGAGAAAUUUUUUGUAUACCUAUUCACCCCCCCUCUAGGUACUCGUACUAGCUACUUCACAUCUAACAACUUACAGCUCCAUAUAUCGAUCAAUUAUUUAAAAUUUCUAAGGUUUAAAAGAAUAAUUCAGUGAUAUCGUAUCAUUUUAAGAGGUAUUGGAUUCAGAUGAAAUUGUUAGUACAUGGAGUUAACAUGGAAUGAAUACAACAAAAGUCAACGUCCAUUUGCAGAUUCCAUAUGGGUAGUUUUGGGAUUUUAUCUUCCAUUUCGCUGCUUUCGUUCUUGUGCUAAUUUACAAGUAUAAUGCUUACUCCGCCCAGAAGCUUUCUUAUUCUGCCUAGAUUUAGUAUUUUUUUUUUUUAAGUGGGGUUCCUUGCCUUAAAGAAAUUUUGACUAAUUUAUUUUGCAUCAAAUUUGACUAAUAGCAGAAACAUGCUUGAAACAAUCACAUUCCGCUUUUCUGAUAUGAUAAUUCAAGCUCUUGUUUUACACCAUGGUGGAUUUGUUCCAUUGAUACAUGUCUUGUACCUUGGAAUGAGAGAAUGAACUUGCAAAUCACAUGAAAAACGAAGAAUUUAUUGAGAUUGAGACUCGAAGAUUUAGAAUAAUGGUCAAGCAAUUGAGUCAUUCUAACACCUAAUGUCAAUUGAAUUCGUGAACAAGAAGGGUGAUACCUUUUUCAAUGAAAUAGCAAUGGCCAUAAAGGCAAAAUUCCUCAAACAUUACAAGAAUGUCUCGCUCUUUUUUUUUUUUUUUUUUUGGUAGCCACUGCCUUGGCUUCAAGGUUCAAGUUGGAGGGGCUCACAAUGCUUCCUAUUCCAUAUUACAAAUCUUUGGGACUGAGUCAGGAGCUCCAACUGGAGCACAUAUUGGCGAUAACGACGAGUAGACUCUCAAAUAUGCAUGUGGCAUAUGUUGGUCGAUAUAAUACAAUCCAUCUACAAAGAAAGAAUGCAGCCUCAUUAAGUAGUGCCCACAAACCUCUAUGGUCUUUGCUUCGAAGAACACCCCACGGUCUGCUAGGUAUUCAUCUUCAUUGUCUACUGGUGAAUUGGAGAUGUAAUUGGGAAUAGACUACACCAAGCACAUUAAUAGAGUUGGUGAAAAUAACCUCGAGAACGUGAAAUGGUGGAACUUGUGACUUACUCAUUCCACUGACAUAUACGGCACCUUCGAAGUCUAUGUUCAUUACUAGCCAACUUUUGGAAGUCAAAUAGAUCCAACUUGUUUGCGUAAAAUUUAGAAAUAAUUAGCGUAGGGUGAAAUUAGUUUUUACAAGAAUCAACUCCAUAGGAAUGUACCCAACAUGGACACAAGAACAACAAUGACACUGUAUAGUCCAAAUCAUGGUGAGGAUAUGAAUUAGUAUCGGAUGAAAGAGGGAAGAGUCAAAGAUCCAAUGGUGUUCCAUUUAUCCUACUAUUGCUCUGGAAGACAUUUGGGUUUCAUUUGUUUCGCGGAAAACAAUUUCCAAGAAAAGUUUUUUGGAUAUUUCAAGGUUCGUUUAAUAGAAAAUGAACUAGUUGAGAAAAAUAUUUUGCAUUAAUAGCAAAAAGUUUUCUAAAAUAGGAGAAAACAUUUUCCUCACUUACUCUAUGUUAUCUCACACCCUUGCUAGCCUCUUCAUCUUUCUUUUUUUCUUUUUAAAAAAAUUUGAAAAUUUUAAAUCAUUUUUCAUUUUUUUCCUUUCUUUUAUUUUCCUUCUUUUCGGGCCCAUCCUAUGGUUGGUGAUUGACCAAAGAAGGAGGAAAAGAAAAAAAAAAAAAGAGGUAAAAAUAGAAAAGAAAAAGUAAAAGAAAAAAAAAGCCGAAAGAAAAUUUAAAAAUAAAAUAAUCAAAAUUUCGAUUUUUUAAAAAAUAAAAACAUAAAAAAAUUAUUAAAUUGAGUGCACAAAAAGAAAUUGAAUCGAAUUUUCUACAUUGAAUGGCGAAAAAUAUUUUCUAGUUCAUUCUCGUGUUUCAAGCAAACACCGGAUAAUAUUGUUAUUUUCUUAAAAAAUGACUUUCUAGAAAAUAUUUUCCAGAAUCACAACAUUUUAUGCGAAACGAAUGAAGCCAUGGAGAGUGCCUAGAUACCUUUGAUUCCUGGGGUUUAUGACUAAUAACUAAUAAGAGCCAGCAAAAAUCGUAUUUUUCAUAUCAUCAUAACUGUCCAUUAUCUAUUAAGCCAAAAAACGACAAGUAUGUUCCUAGCAAAAGGCAUAACUCUCACUAGUUUUACAUGUUACUCCUUUUAAUAGCAUUCUCAUGAUAUGGAGCAAUUACUCUGUAAAUCUGAUAACCAAAAAAAUGUUGGAUGUAAUGUAAAUCUCAUAAAAAAAGAAAAGAAAAGAAAUUCACGAUCAACAUAAGCAAAGCAAGCAGGAGAGAAGAAAAUUAAUUUUAUGAAUCUAAAUAAAGAUGAUAAUUUCACCAACUUAAUGAAGUAACUACUUUUGGCUGUGCUGAUUUAUAUUUUCAAGUAACAUAUAGCUUUCAGAUAUAAAUUUCAGCUGUCCUCAGACACUUGAUGAUAAACUAACAUUAGGAUCACACCUAUCGCAUAUUCAUUCAUUCACAUCUAUGGACUGUGACUUAUAUUGCCUCACUCUUGUCAAUUUAAAGGAAAAAGAGUAUAAUUAUAGAAGAAUAACAUUACCAUGUAUGCCAUUAGAACAAUAUGAGUUACUUAGAGUCAAUAGGCAAAUUGAAGAGUUUGAUGUAUAACAUAUUUACGAAGCAUUGUUGAACAUCUAGAUUUUAUUAAAAUACUUAAGAGAAACCGUGCAGACCCCAUAAGAAACCCAAUCGUAAAAUGCAAAAUUUUGGUACAGUUAUUAUCUUAUAAUUUUCCACCACAUCAUUUAUUUAUUAAGUUUAUAUAAUAUUUUCAAGAUAAAUAAUGGCCUCUCGUCUCCUUAUGCAACCAAGCAAGUGAGAUGGUAGAAGACUUUGACUUGCUUGUAAUUACUAGAAUCUUCCCCCUAGGUUUUGCCGGCUUUUUAUCUUAUCCCUUUCUUUGCAGCUAAGCAAGCAAGAUAGUGGAAGACUUUAACUUGCUUUUUCUUCCCCUUCCUUCCCCCCCCCCCUUUCUUUUGAGUAGGUCUUGUUGACUUUUGCCUUAUCACUUUCUUUGCGAUUAAGCAAGCAAGAUGGCGGAAGACUUAGACUUGUUUUCCCUCACUAGAGAAUUUUUUAAAAGGUAAUUAACUCGGUUCAUAGAAAAAUUGAUAUAGAAUCUCCGAAAAAGUCUUUUUCUUGAUAAAGAUUUCUUUUGCAAAAUGCAAAUACUAACAUGAGCAUGCUAUGUAUGGAGAAAUAUCCUAUUGACCCAAUUUGGCAUCGUGCUUGAUUACUGCAACAACAUAUUUGUUCUUGAGAUAUCAAUCCUCGAUGAUGGUCAGAAUGACUCACGUAUAGCUCGAUGCAUGCCAGAAUGACUCAAAUGUGACGCUAGAUCUAGUCAAGUGUCGUUACAACAAGAUGCCUCUAUUUUUUAGUAGAGCCAUGACAAAGGGUUGGGGGGGGGGGGGGGGAGAGAGAGAGAGAGAGAGAGAGAUUGCGGGGGAGGGGAUAGAGAUAGGGGAUAAGUUGUGGAAGGCAUCAUUGGUGUUGGUUAGGGGAGUGAUUAUGGGAUGGUGACAUUAAUUGGUAGUGGUAGUGAAGGGGGGGUUGGUGGAGAGAAAGAGAGAGAAACGAUGCGGUAGAAUAAAUGGUAUUUCAUGUGACAAUUGUACGGAGGAGGUUUGGCUGAAUUGCCCCAAAUUGAUGUUGUCAUCUGGACGUGAAGCGCAUUGAUAUCAAGAGAAAGAUCAUGUUUAGAAAACUAAAAAAGAUAGGAUCCAUAUAAGUUCCUCUUGAGUUCCACUAGAUCUAGAAGUUUGUAACGAGUAUGGAACGAACGACGUACCACUCAAUUGUUGGUCAAAGCAAUAGGCAAGUGAAGAAAAAGCUCAUGUAGUUGUCACACCACAUACAAUGGGCUCCAUAUGCCGGGGGUUCCACACUCGAGCAUGAGGCCAACUAAGGAGUCCCGUGAAAGCAAAUGGAAAAAUCAAUUUUAUUUUUUCUCCGUUGAUUAACAUGAAUUGCAUAUAGACAUGAUUCAGACUCAUUAAAAUAUAUAUUAAAUUAAAUACUUUGAAUUCAUAAAAGCAUAUUUUUUAAAUUUUAGCUAAUUCGUAUAUGAUCCAAGUCACUGAAUAUGGUUAAGAUGUAAAUUUUUUACCAUUUCAAUGCCUCUAGCAGUGAGAGGCUUUCAUUUCAAUGGGAAGGGAAAGCAAAGUGUUGUCCAUCUGCACUUUGAUUUAUGCGGUCAUGCGAUCCCAUUACAUAGAGAACUAACAAAAGCUGAGAGUUAAUCGGUUAAAGUAGUAAAUUUUUUCAACAAGGAUGCGUAAAUCCAUGGUGGGAUUGUGUGUAUCCCAAGCACAUCUGGCUCAUCUUUUAAGGUAAGAGGGGAAGUAAUUUCCAAUGUGAACACUUUGCAGAAGUUGCCAAUUAAAGUAGAUGAUUGUGGGGCUCUUUCGAAAUAGUAUCGUAUGAAAACUAAUUUCCAUUGUGAACACCUUGACUUCAACAUAAAAGUAUGUACUCUUUCAAUUAAUGGGGCUAGAAAAGCAAAAGCCGAGGAUAAAGCAAAAUCUUCAAUUUGAUUUAAGUGGCCAUGAGGUCCAAUUACAAUCUAAUGGCUACGUCAAUCAGCAAUAGGGGUGCCAAUCAAUCAAUAAUUUGAGUGGCAAAGUGGAGCCAUUGUCAAAAGGUGAGGAUAAAGCAAAAAGUAUUGCCCAUCUUCAAAAAGUUAAUUUUCACUAUGAUUUGCUUGGCCAACGGAUCCAAUAACAAAAAGAACUAACAAGGAAAGUCUACAAAGGGGUCGUCUUGGCAAUUUCGAGGGAGGAAUUGUUUUGGGCUCUUGGUCAAAAAGGUUAGAAUCAAAAGAAGUCUCGGCAAUUUCAAGGAAGGAAUUGUUUUGGGGUCUUGGCCAAAAAGGUUAAAAUCAAAAGAAGACAUGGGAUGGUCCUCGGUAAGACCUUAAACUGCAGCAGUCCGGGGGGGACAACCUCGAUAACAAGGCCCCGCGCGGGCAUGUAAUCCCGUGCCUCCCCUCCUUGGGGUCCCCGAAGGCCAUACGAGGGGUAUUCCCUUUCCUGGGGAAGAAAAUUAUCCGGUUGGGGGCAAAAGCCUGGCCCCUGGAAAAUACNNNNNNNNNNNNNNNNNNNNNNNNNNNNNNNNNNNNNNNNNNNNNNNNNNNNNNNNNNNNNNNNNNNNNNNNNNNNNNNNNNNNNNNNNNNNNNNNNNNNNNNNNNNNNNNNNNNNNNNNNNNNNNNNNNNNNNNNNNNNNNNNNNNNNNNNNNNNNNNNNNNNNNNNNNNNNNNNNNNNNNNNNNNNNNNNNNNNNNNNNNNNNNNNNNNNNNNNNNNNNNNNNNNNNNNNNNNNNNNNNNNNNNNNNNNNNNNNNNNNNNNNNNNNNNNNNNNNNNNNNNNNNNNNNNNNNNNNNNNNNNNNNNNNNNNNNNNNNNNNNNNNNNNNNNNNNNNNNNNNNNNNNNNNNNNNNNNNNNNNNNNNNNNNNNNNNNNNNNNNNNNNNNNNNNNNNNNNNNNNNNNNNNNNNNNNNNNNNNNNNNNNNNNNNNNNNNNNNNNNNNNNNNNNNNNNNNNNNNNNNNNNNNNNNNNNNNNNNNNNNNNNNNNNNNNNNNNNNNNNNNNNNNNNNNNNNNNNNNNNNNNNNNNNNNNNNNNNNNNNNNNNNNNNNNNNNNNNNNNNNNNNNNNNNNNNNNNNNNNNNNNNNNNNNNNNNNNNNNNNNNNNNNNNNNNNNNNNNNNNNNNNNNNNNNNNNNNNNNNNNNNNNNNNNNNNNNNNNNNNNNNNNNNNNNNNNNNNNNNNNNNNNNNNNNNNNNNNNNNNNNNNNNNNNNNNNNNNNNNNNNNNNNNNNNNNNNNNNNNNNNNNNNNNNNNNNNNNNNNNNNNNNNNNNNNNNNNNNNNNNNNNNNNNNNNNNNNNNNNNNNAUAGAUUGAAUUAGAGAAACUUCAAUUUAGUGUGGUUUCCAUAUGAUUUUUUUUUGGUGACCCGAGAACCACUGUACAGCCGGCAAUCGGCGAUGUAAACCUGGGGCGACUAAGCCACCACCACAGACCCAAUCACAGUUGAGUUGCGUGAUUUGCGGUACACGGGAUUUGAACCCCUCCAUCCUGCACAUAUGUCAUAGGGGCGCUUAUCCAGUGUAGCCACCACGGGCAGUGGUUGGUUUCCAUAUGAUUUAAUGAGGGAAAAUUAUCAAAAAAGUUCUAAAUUUAUUGCACUUUUACCAAUUCAAUUAUAAAUUUUUUAAUUCAAUUUGUUUAAUCUUUAACUUAUUAAUAAUUUCCCAAUAUAAUCUAUUUGUAUAAUUUUGAUAUAAAAUUGUUGAUUUGAACUAUGAGCGUCUUUACUUGACAUGGCUGGUGAGGACUGGCAGCCUGACCAUAGCGGGCUCUCGGCUCCUGCUUGCCGUGUAUGAGGGCAGCGUGCCUCGGCCUUCACCUGCCAAUCAGCUUUUUGAUUCGCCGUUCUUCCACAGUGGGCCACCCAUAUUCUUUUGAAAUUUCGCCAACUUUGGGUUGGGCGUCCAAGACACGUGCCUCCACCUAAACAUGGCACGUGAUCAUGUUCCCGCCGCAGAAAGUGAACACAGAACCGCGUCGUCGGACUCCCCAGGUACAAGUUCUAUCUACUUCCAUAUCUGAAGCAUAUCGAAGCCUCUACGACCAGAGCGAGAGCUUCGGCUUAUAUCGGCGGAGGAAGCAGCGAUCUUCUUUCUCGUGAAUCCACCGAGCAGUACACCCGAGGCCAUCGCGAAGAGCAUCUGCAGUCACUCCUUCCGAACCACCGGCCUCAAAGGACUGGUUUUUCAGCAGGCACCAAUCAGCAGGUAAAAUCAACUCGAAUCGUCUCGAGUUUCGAACUUUUCAGUGUUCCGCUUGCUAUAAUUUCUGAUAAUGGACUCCGCUGAGGUGAGUAGGGUUCUUGGAUUUGGGGGGUCUUUGGUGGAACACGAGGGUCGUUUCUGGAUUUUAUCGAAAUACGGUAAGUUCCCCCUAUGUAGUUGGUGAUUUCGUAGCCACUACUCGUCCUUUCUCGCGACGUUCUGACCUGAGAUGAUCUGCAAAUUUACCUUCGUCUCUUUCCAAACCAAGCCGGUCUAGGUCGAGGCGUGAAGGUGAUCCUCGGAAUUGCGCAGCCUUUCGGGACUCGGACCCAACUCGAUCUGCUUCAAGGCGACUUCUUCUCAAACACUGAAACCCGUCACAACUAUUUCAUCUCUGAAUCGCUGCUAGAGGUAAGCACAACCUUCAUUCUCUGGUCCAUACCAAUUGAUAGCACAAAGAAUAAAAUACAUGUGAUUAUUACUCAUCCCAUGACGCCUAACAUCCUUUUAAGGCAUACAGAAUAAUACAUGUGAAAUUCCUUCGACUUUUGUAAAAUCAUUAUCAAAUACAUAUUACUAAUUUUUGUUACUACAAUCUUGUCAUUUAAACUAAUCGGUUGAAUUUGGUGGAAUCACACGUUGGCCCUUAUCCCGGUAUUGUUUUCAAAACAUCAACGGUUCACUGAACUCCAUUGGGAUGAAGGCCCCAUUCCAUGAAAAUUAUGAAAAUACCCUUCUAGACCUGAUUUUGGGUCCAUUGGCCCUAUAGGUACCCCACUUGUCAAAAAUUACUUAAAGCUUGAAACAUCCAAAAUACUUAGUUUUUGUAGAAAUAAUUGUCUUUUUUCUCUUGAAAACAGUUUAAAACUAACUAUAUAUAUAUAUAUAUAUAUAUUUCCAAAUAUAGAUCGUGCUGGUCUAUUCUCUUCAAUAAUUGCAGAAAACCUUUCAAAGCCUACGGAUCAAAAUUGUCAACGACAAAAAUUUAUUUGAACAGAUCAGAUCAACUAGAGAAUUUUUGAAUGUCCAUAAAACUAUUAUCCAUUAUAUUGGUAAUGAUCAUAAUUUUUGGAAAAUGACAGAAUAUUCAAAUAUUUUUUGGAAGUUAUGAAAAAUACACAAUUGUACUUAUUAUUAUUAUUAUUAUUUUUGGUGGUGCUGGUCACAAUGGAAAACUUGAAAGUGAGCAAUGCUGCUGUUUUCAAUGCACUCACACAUAUUUAAUAUGUGGAUUAUGUGGGUUAAAAUAGAGAAACUUGUCAUAAAGUGUGGUUUUCAUGAGAUUUAACUGCUUACAGCAAAGCAGUGAUAUAGCAUAUAAAGUUACCAACCUACGAUAGAUUUGACAAUAUGAUUUAUGCAUGUGUAGGGUGGGAGAGAAUGUAGCGUUUACAGGAGGAAGAACGUCUAUGAUAAUAUCAUACUGAUAUAUUAGCAGGAGCCACAUUUAUUUGUUUAACAAUAUGGUUUAUAAGUAGAUAUGAACAGAAUUGGUCAUUCUGUACUCUCGUCCAAAUUGUGCUCUCUCACAUUCAGCCUCUCUCUUGCAGAACAAUUCGGAACUAUUGUCCUCUCUUGCUUGCUUUGAUCUUUUCCCUCUUGAAAGUUUUCACCCGGGCUUGUUUAAGGUCUCCUCUCUCCAAUCUCGCACCUCUCUUUGCAUCUCAGCUCACGGAAGGUAAUUGCUUUUUCAUGUCUUAUUAGCGUGUCGAUUCUAUUGAUCCGUUGCUUUGUUAUUGGAAUAAUCGGCUGAACUAAGUGCAUUUUGGGCCCCUUUUUGUCAAUUGGGGAUGUGGGGUGGCCACUAAAUAGCAAAGGAGGGUCUUUUAUUCUCUCUCUAGAGUCGUCGUUACCUGUUAACGAGGAAUGUACCCAGCUCAGACUUGACUUUGGUGAAAAAAGAAAACCUUUGUUUUCGACUAUAGACGUAGCUAAUCCUAAGAAUGUCUGAUUGUUAGUUGCAUCGUAAUUCAGUAUUGAUCUUUUGUUGAACUAGAACGAGUAGGUCUGCAAGCGCGCUAGACUCUAUUGCGUGCAAAAUUGCCACAUUUCGCUUGAACCCAUAGGCCAUUUCUUUUUUUAUGAAUUGUGAGGUUUUUCUGUGUUUGAAGGUCCUAGAUCAAUUUAUAGAAAAAAAAAAUCAGAAAAAUAGAAGUAGGCUAGUUCUUGGGUCAACUAGUUUUGUUCUCGGUUACAAAAAUGGAGAACUAAUUAUUACAGAAUCAGUUCCCGAUUCUUAGUUUAGAACUUACUCAUCCUGAAACCAAUCAUCCUAAGAGUUAGUGUUCUCUUAAGGAGAUAAUGUUCGACAAUUUUACCUCCCUAUAGAACAUUCCAAAGGAGUGAUUCUGUUUUCCUCAAAUUGUUGGACCAUUAAUCGUAGAAAGCACUUGCAAUAGUAGGAAAAAAAAAAUCUAGUUGAUCUUCUGACACACAUGAAAACGAUCAAAUAAAUCGAGCCAUACAUGCAAAUUAGGAGAUUCACCUAGCUUUAUAUCACUUAUUUCUUACACCUCUUUGUGGUGAUAUUCUCAUUAUGGGCCCUCCGACAAAAAUGGGGACAAGCACUCAACGCCAUUCUCAAGGUGGUCGUCUCUGAAUUUUCCUCAGCAACUUCUUUUUACUUCCCUCCUCUUCUUCUCCUUCUUCCAUUGAAUCAAUACCUAAUUUCUAAUCGUUCAGACUGUGAGAAAGAAAAGAGUGCAUGAAAAGAGAGCACCGAGGGAGCAUCUACUCCUCCGUUUUUUUCCAUCUAACAAAUUAUAGCUCUAUUUUACAGACAAAAUAUCAAUCGACCUAGUAGAUUUGAAAAUUUGAAAUGAAAGGCUUAGUGAUAACAUACCACUUAAAAAUAAUUUCAUUUUGCAUGGAAUUGGAGCAUGUGGUGCCGGCUUGGAAUGGAUAAAAGAUAAAUAACCACAAGCACUUUUUUUUUUAAUCUCUACCUCACGUUUCCAACUUCAUUAAGAAUGACAACUUUAAACAAAAUUAAAAUGUAAAAUCUCAUCCACAGCUCGGUCCUUUCUUGAUGCCUUCCACACAUUUCUAAUUCCGUUUCAACUCAAUUAUUAUCUUUUUAAAUGAUUUAUCAAAUUCUGAUUUUCAAUAACCAAAUUAAAACCGGACUUAUGCUUAUAUUUAUAAUUGAAUGUAAUAUGCUUGUGCACAAAUUCUAGUUCUUUAUAGCCCAAUUGAAAAAUUAACGUUCACGUUACCGGUGAGUGGAUCAAGCCAACAAGUUUGACUUGAAUAGUGUGAGGUCCAAAAGAAGAUAAGGCGAGGUCUAAAAACAUCCAACUGCUCCUAGUCAAUCAAUUACCAAUUAAUUAAAGAUUUCAUGUUGGUUUUUUCUUGCAUGGUAAUAGAUUCACGUUCAUACUCGUUCGUAGAGAUUAGUUCAUCGAUCCUUUCAUGCAACAUAAAAGCAUCUUUUGUUCCAACUUUCACCCUUAGAUUGCCAUGCAUCUUGCGUUCCCUUUUUUACUUUUAAUUCAGCAAAUGGAUAAUUCAAAAGCCUUUUGGAAGUUACCUCUAAAUAUCGCUGCUUCCUUCUAAAAGUAAGCCCGGACACUUCAUUCCCUUCUUUUCUAUUUUUUUUCCUAAAUUAUCUUUUAUCUUUUAUUUUUUUGAAUAUUUCACAUACUUCUUUUUUUAUUAGUUUACUGACUUUUCAAGAGCUGAAUGAUAUGCCAACAAAAUUGUAAUAAAACAAUUGACCUAAACAAGAACUCAAGGAUUGUGUACAAGUAUUUGAUAUAUCAUUUGUAACUUAAUACUUAUGAGUUUUGCUCAUUUCAUGUGAUUUAACAAAUUAUAGCUCUAUUUUGCAGACAAUAUAUCAAUCAAUAAUUUAAAUUUGAAACUUUGAAGUGAAUAGCUCAAUAAAUCAUAUCAUAGAUUCAUCUUAUAUAAAGCUAUUGGCAUUUGGGGGCCAGCAUGAAAUAUAUAAGAGAGAAAGGACACUGACCAUUUGUGGUUCAUAUAAGCAAGAGGGAGAGUACCUUGUUCCGAGCUGUUGGAAGAGAGAAGAACGUAUCAGCCUAUCUGGGAAGCUUGAGUUUUUAUGGAGAACAAAGGUUGAGAGACUUGUUCACUUGUAGCAAUUUUUUGUUGUUUGGAAAAAAAAAAAUCAAGUAAAAGUUUCGCCGUGCGGUCCUUAAAACCUGCAAAAGCUCAGACUUUGGACAUUCUUUCCCCCACUGUUUUUGUGAGCGAUAAUAUUACUAAAGAUUCAUUUGAUGAUUCAUGUCGUAUCAUAUUAAUUGUGUCAUAUUUAGUUAGGAUAUAACAUGCAUAUGGCAAAACCUGAACAAGACAUGUUUAGCAAACGUGUUGAAUGGCCUCAAUAUGAACAUAACACUUUUAAGAAAGCAAGUCAAACGCCAUUACACGACAAAUGCGAUUAUUAAAAGUCACCAUAUAGAAAUGUCAACACGACACCAGGCAAUAUGCUAGCCUAUAUACAUGCAAGAAUAUGCAACACAUUGCAUUAAAUCUAAAGCAAAGAGCAAAAUUGCUUCCCAUGAUAUUCUAAUUACAAGCGAGACGCAGCCUUUUGUAUUAAUAUUAAUCCUAUUUAAAGCCAUAAAAUUUUAUCACAUAGAAAGCCCCAAAUUUCGAACAUACUAAAGCCAUGAAUUUCAAAAUCUAAAAAUUAAGAACAAAAAGAAAGCAGACCAUGAAAGAAGAGAGAAAAAGUUAAAAUUCGUCGUUAUAUAUUGGAUACGUGUUGGGUGGAAAUGUUGGGUGGAAAUGAUAUAAAUGGAACUUAAUUUCAUUGAUGGACUUAGUUAUCCUUCAUUCUAAUCAUCCUUAAAAAGGAAGAAAGGCCAAUUUUGGAAGAAAGUGCAAUUUUUGCAUUUCUUCUCAUUUCUAUGCACUUUUAGAAAGAAAUAAAUUGUGGGCCCAAAAGAAAGUAUUUCCCUUUCAUUUAUAAUCUUUUUCAUUGACUUCCUUCAUAAUUUAAACAGUUGAGAAAUUGAAAAUUUUUCCUCGAUUAAUAUUUAAGCUUUUUCGUUAAUUUUACAUAUAAUCAACGCCUAAAACUUGAAAUCUACCAUAUUAAAAAACGUGAUUGAUGGAAAUUUCCAAUUAGGAAAGUGCACGAAUCUAGAGGAAGAGGUUUAAUGGGCAACACCUACAUGACACCACAUUAGUUUGGCCAAUGAAAAUGGGAUUAGACAGAAAGGGUUGUGAAAAUGAGGUGGUGGAGAUAGUUAGGGUGGUUCAUAUAUUAGGCUAAAAAUAAUAAGAGUAAAAAUUAUGAUAACGAUUAGGCACCUUGUGAGCUUAUAUUUAGAGGAAGAUAUUUCCAUGGACUUUCCUAACAAUUUCAAUAUGUUAGGUGUGAAUUGAAAGAAUCCGUCUUUAAAUAUCAGACGUGUGAAGUUAUGUAGUUGUUAGUCGAUUAAUUACACUUCAAUAUGUUUAAAUAUGUGUUUUAAUAUCUACAAGUGUAUCAAAUAUGUGUUUCUGAACAAAUAAAUGAUGCGGGCUUUUCAGGGGCCUCUUUAGGACCACCUAAUCUUCCGCAAUGAAACGAGGUUAGCUUACUUAACUGAAGGCAGCGUCUUCAUAACCUAUCUCUUUCUCAAGAACAAGAACCUUCUUCAGCAUUGCCUGGGGAGAAAUUAACGUACACAUUAUUCGGAGUGGACCAAGCCAGCAAGCAUUUGCAGAAAAGCAUCCUAAAAGUGUCUUUCAUUGUUCAUCAAUCCUUUCGAGUAGCAGGAAAAGCAUCUUUCUUUUCAACUUUUCCCCUUAGAUCGUCAUGGACAGAGGGCAGAGUCAGGGAAAGAGCCAUAGAGCCAAGGAAGAGAGCACUGAGGAAGCAUCCACUUCUUCAUUCAUCUCUCUGAAAGCAACAGGUGUAGGUAGCGGUCAAUAUGACGUGUUUUUGAGCUUUAGAGGCUUGGAUACCCGCAAGGCAUUCACCGAUCACCUCUACCACAGUUUGAGCAAGGCCGGCACUAUACCGAUUUGCAUGUUCAAGGACGAUAACAGCAUACCGGUUGGUGAGGAAUUUGGUACAAAGAUUCUUGAUGCCAUCGCACGAUCUAAGAUUUCGAUCCCCAUCAUAUCCGAAAAUUAUGCUUCGAGUAAAUGGUGCCUCCGUGAGCUCAUUCAUAUCAUGGAUCGGAAGAAGAGCAUGUCACAUAUAGUUUUGCCCAUUUUUUACAAAGUUACCCCGUCGGAUGUGCGACAUCUAAAAGGAAAUUUUGGAAAUGCCUUCCAUUUGAAUCGGGCGCAUUUUGAGGAGAAGGAUAUCCAGGAAGGGCAACGAGCACUUAAGGAAGUUAGUAACUUAAAUGGAUGGGAAUCUGAGAAAUUUGUUGACAUGUACUUCACUAAACUUUUCUUUUUUCAAUUAGUAAGUUCUCUUCUUCAUGUAGAAUCGAUGAAAUGCAGAUAAAUUACUUUCAUUGCAAGCUCGGAAAAGAUCCCCAAAAUGUCCCAAUAAACAACCAUAAUGCCUCGAAGACAACAAACACCGGUACUCCCCAAGAUAUCACUGAAAACUAAACCAACGACAACUAAAAUCGAAACAUCCCAUAGUGCCCUAGAGUUUUACAUUUUCCUCCGGUACGAAGCGAAAACAAAGAAAUGAUAAUACCCCUAGCUAAUAGCGUCAAUCACUAAAGAAUAGACCGACAAAGUACUCCAAUGCUCAGUCUUCCAAACUUGAUCCCCACCAAGAUAAAAUGGACCUCCUAUAGCUCAGUUGAUAAGAAUCGAAUAUUUUGCAUAGACUAUGUCUUCAUUCAUAACCUCUCAUUGUUCUUGUUGUUUGACAGGCAUGAGGGAAAAUUAAUAGAAUGCGUGGUCGAAACUGUUAUAAACAAGUUACAGAAAGAUUUUCAGCUGGAUGUGCCUGAGCAACUAGUUGGACUUGAUGGUCGUAUGAAGAAAAUUAUGAAUUGGAUCGACAAUCCUUCCAUCAAUGCUCGAAUGAUUGGAAUUUAUGGCAUGGGCGGGAUAGGCAAGACAACUCUUGCCAAGUGCAUCUACAAUCAACUCUCGAAUAAAUUUGAGCAUGUCAGCUUCCUUUUAGAUAUUCGAGAAACUACCAGGCACCACGGUAUUACGUGUCUACAGAGUCAACUUAUAUCGGAUAUACUUAAUGAAAAAAGGGAAGUUUCUAGAAUUGAUGAAGGAAUUAAUAUAAUCAAAUCUAGAUUCGGACAAGAAAAGGUUCUCAUUCUUUUGGAUGAUAUAGAUGAUAAGAGUCAACUAGACGCGUUGGCUAGGAAAUGUAAUUGGUUUAUGGCAGGAAGUUUGAUCAUUGUUACCACUAGAAACAAAGCUAUUCUUGAUCAAUCUGAAUUUGAGGUAGAAUACAAGUAUGAAUUGAAUGAAUUGGACAAGGAGCAAGCUUUGCUUUUGUUUAAUAGACAUGCAUUUCAUAUGGAUCAUUCUCCGGGGGACUUUGACAGCAUAUCUCGUGAUAUCAUAUCCACCAUGGGUGGGCUUCCCUUGGCACUUCAAGUUGUAGGUUCAUACUUGUAUAGAAAAACAAAUCUAAAAGUAUGGGAAGAUGUGUGGAAGCAAUUAAAAGACCAACCGCAUAGAGAUGUCCAAAAGAUGUUGCAAAUAAGUUAUGAUGCAUUAGAAGAUAGACAUAAGCAAAUUUUUCUCGAUAUUGCUUGUUCCCUUAUUGGUCAAAGGAGCGAAUUUGCCAUGUAUAUGUGGGAGGACUGUGGGUUUUAUCCAAGUCUAGGAAUUGAAGAGUUGAAGUUGAGGUGCUUUAUUAAAAUUGGAGAUGGUGGUCGGUUUGAGAUGCAUGACCAAUUGAGAGAUCUUUGAAGGACAACUGCUUGAGCAACGUAGCGGACCAUGGGACCACGACUAUAAGGGAGUCCCAAGAGUACUAAGAAGCUUUGAAUUGGUAACAUAUGGCACUCCUUUCUUUUUCUCUCCCUCUUAUUUUAAUAUGUUUAAUCUAAUCUAUUCUAAUAUUUCAUCUAGGAUUGACGUAUGCUCUUACUUUCUAGGAGUAAACAUCCAUUUAUGUACAUCUUAGAUUUAAUGUGAUAGUUAAAUGGAUUAUAAGUAUCUAUAGGAUGAAAAAGUUAUACCAUUUGAUUCGAUUUCAUUGAUAUAAAUUACAUCUGUAAAGAUUUGAUUGACAAUCAAUUUAAGAUCCUUUAACUACAAAUUAUAAGUAUAAAUCUCAUUUACUAAAAGCAUGUAAUUGUCAUAUCUAGCUGAAAAUAUUGAUAAUAUAAAGGACUACAAUAAUGAAUGAAGAUGAAAAAUAAACAUCAUAGAUCAGAUAAAUGAGGUUUCUUGAAAAAAAAAAAUAGCAUGUGCCAAUUAUAAUAACUAGGGUUAAUACCUUGAAAAACCCCAAACUGGUACACUUGUGACAAAUUUACCCCAAACUAUUUUUUUGACCAUAAAAAACCCCAAACUGGUAAACUUGUGACAAAUUUACCCCGACUGAUUAUAAAAAACCCUAAACUGGUACAUUUAUGACAAAUUUACCCUAAACUAAUUUAUUUGACUGCAAAAAACCCUAAACUGGUAAAUUUGUGACAAAUAUACCCUACGCUAAAUUAGAUUAAUACUACAAAAAAAUCAUAAAAAUUGUAAACUGUGACAAACGGAACGUAAAAUCCUAAAUUAGUAUACUGGUUAACUGUCACGUGUCAUUUAACUUAAUAAUUUGAGAAUAAAAUUUAACAAAAACUAACAUAGGGUAAAUUUGUCACAAGUGUACCGGUUUGGGAUAAAUUUGUCAAAAGUAUACCAGUUUGGGGUUUUUGGUGGUCAAAAAAAUAGUUUGGGGUAAAUUUGUCACAAGUGUACCAGUUGGGGUUUUUUUAGGGUAUUAUCCCUAAUAACUAAUAAUUAAUUCAAAACGACAAGAUUGGAAACAAUUUCACAUUUAUCACAUGUUCUUGCUUAUUAGUAUGGCCAAAUGUAUUGGUGGUACUCCUGUGAUUUAGGAAUCCAAUGUUUGAUAUUUUCUUCUCCAUUUUGAUUUUGAAGAUACCCGUCCCUUUAAUCUACUAGUUAUGUCUAUCUCUUUUAAUUCUUAUUUUCUUUUAAUAGAUAAGAUAGCAAAAAUGCCCUUAAAAGUACUUUUAGGAAAAUCUUACUGUUUUUUAAGGUUUUAUCACGUUGACCUUGGUCAUUUCAUGAAUUAGGUUAGGUGUAUGAUAAAGAGUGGAUUUUCUUAUGACAAACGCUUGUAUCCGUCUAUGUAGCACAGACAUGGACACGCAACACGAGACACGACACAACACAACACGCCGACACGCCGACACGUCAUUUAUUAAAAAUAGAGAAUUUCGACACAUUCCGACAUAUUAUAUAUUAAAUAUAUUUUUAUAUAUAAAUACAUAAAUAAAUAAUAAUAAUAGCCUAGAAUUAAUUUACACAAAAAAAUAUUAAAUAAUAUCAUUCAUUAUUUUAAUUUGUUACAAUAAUACACAAAACUUAGAGGAAAAAAAUAUUGUUUAAAGAAAAAUACUGAAAUGAUAUUUUUAAAUUUAUUUAUUUAUCAUAUAUAGCAUUUUUUAUUACUUCUUUCAUAGUAAAAGACUUUAAAAAAAAUAAAAAAAUUCUAAAAAAACAAAACUGAAAAAAAAUAUUGACCCCGUGCGUGUAUAUUUAUAACAAUUUUAUUACUUCUUUUGUGUAUAUUUAUAUUUUGACCCUUCAAGUAUUAGAAAUUUUUAAAAUUGACCCCGUGCGUGUCGGAAUCGCGUGUCGGAAUUCUAGACUUGCGUGUCGAAAUUCUGGACUCGCAUGUCGGAGUAUGUCGGAAAGAGUUGACCAUGUGUCGGAUUUUUCGACAUUGGUUGACCGCAUGUCGGACCGUGUCGGGACGUGUUGGAGCAUGUCGGACACGUGUCGGAGUGUCGGACACGACACGAAGGCUUGUCACACCCCGAUCCUCGGACGCGCGCACAUCCUUCUACUUGGUCGAUUUUAGAAUGCGAUAUCCCAGGACUAUGUAUCGCCGACCCUUUCUAUUUGUUAAGCACAUGCGGAAGCAGUUAUAAAUCCCCAGACAAUAAAACAAUGGGAUAGGAAAGUAGGCCAUAUUUUUCAUAUUGAAAUUCAUAACCACACUUUCAUUAACAGCACAACUCAUAGUAUAUUUACAAUACUAUUUAUAGCAUAAAAGUCUCACACCUAUCUAUACCAAGACAGGGUUCACAAAAGGGAUGGGAUCUCAAUCCACAUCCGGGUUAUAUUCAAGAUCCCUCUCUGGAUCUUCUUCCUCUUCAAAAGUCUUUCUCCCCUUCAGGUUCCUCUUCCUUAGCUUCUCCUCAGGGUCCUGAAAUGGUUAUUCAAUAACCAAUGAGACCACGUCUCAGCGAGUCCUACCCCCUAAGACUCGAUUAAUAAACUAAUACGCCAUACGGUUGCCUAAGCACAACACGAGUCAGAGGACUUACCUUAGCCUCAGUUCCAACCUGCAAUUCAAGGUUAAACAUAGAUAUUCAAACAAUUCACGACAUACGAUCAAGCACUGAUCAAUCGACUAAGUCGAUCACAUGUCAACCAGACCCUUUCUAGGUCAUUCCCACUCAUACCACGAUUUCUCAGUGGUGGACUCAUUCACCAAAUCACAUGUGUUUCUCGGGCGUCGUUUUCGCCAAUGACAUACCGAUCACCGACACCGUGCGUUCUUUAAGGCGCCGUUUUCACCAGUGAUAACCUCGAUCACCGAACCACGUGUCCUUUCUAGGGCGCCGUUUUCGCCAAGGUGACAUCGGCUAUAGACAACAUCGUGAGUUCUUUAAGGCGUCGUUUUCACCAGUGAUAUUCCCAUAACCACCGAACCACGUUUGUCUAUAAGUCAUUUACGUGCGUUCUUUAAGGCGUCGUUUUCGCCAGUGAUACUCCCAAUCACCGAACCACGUAUGUCCAAUAAUAUCGUACCUGAUUGGUCUCAGCCAAUAACAUUCUCAGUUAGCUCUCACCGCUCUCCCUACUAUAUAGCCCAUCAACGUACUGGCGUUAUAUAUCCAUACUCAGCCAUCCAUCAAUCAAAUAUUCAAUAACAAACAAUUUAGGACAAUUCCUAAAAUUCCACAAUAAAUUCAAUUCCACACAACGUAGAGCUCAAAUAAAUAAACGGACUGCACCACGACAAUCAGCAUGAAAUUCCGGUCACCGGCCAUCCCGGUUGAAUUUCCGGAAAAAUAAUUAAUUAAAUAAUUAAUUUCGAAAAAUAAAUAAAUAAAUAUUAAAAAUCCAAUUUAGGCCCAUAUUGCCUUAUUGGAGCCCGAAACGGGUCGGGAAAAAUCCCGAGAUGCAUUCAAUAAAUAACCAAACAUUUCUACUUGCUAAUAACUAGGUCUAACCACCUAACAUGCAUCAUUAAGUCGCUAAAUUAAUUGUUCUAACCUAAUCUAACCACCUAAGUCCAUGUAAUUAAAUCUAACCAACCCUAAGACAUAAUUAGCAAACUAAUAAAGCAUUAGUGAGUAAAACUCACUUGACAAAAGCGGACAUUGAAUCACCGCGACGGCAACGCGACGGCGGCCGAAAUUGAACUUUCGACAACACCGGCGGACUUGGACGGGGCCUUAAGCUUAGGCCCAACAAAUCUCAGCCCAAUUGAGAUUUGUUCUUGCACUGGAAUGGGCUGGACCUGCUGAAUUUCUGGACUGAACUAACUUGGUCUUCAAAUUGGUGGGCUGGACUUCAAUUGGUUGCUGGAAACUGGGCCUCAAAAAGGCUGGGCUUCAAUUCUAAUUGAUGAUGGGCUGAGCUGGAUGGGCCUGCUGCAGUUGAAAACUCACGGCUGGGUUUCUGCACUUGCUAAAAUUGGGCCGUGAAAUUGCUGCAAAGAGAAUGGGCUGAGAACGCUGGAUUGGGGGUUGCUUCGGUGGAGCUAUUGGUGGUCAACAACCGAAGCUAGCUGGGAAAUUUUGACUCGGUGAAGGCGUGGCUUCUUCAAGCGGCGUUGCUGUCGUUGAACUCUUGGCAGCUGCAGCAAGGAAGUCGAGCUGCAGACGUGAACAACGAAGGGGAUGGAGCGGCAAAAGGUGGGCCGAGCUUGGAGAUGGGUUGAUCCGAAGCUGCUUCACUGGCGUUGAAGAUUUCGAUGGAGAAGCGUGGAGAAUUCGGUGGACUCGGCUUCGGUGGUCCGUUGUUGACCGAAGCAGAAGGAGAAGUUGGCAGGUGGCAGCGGCGGUGAGGAGAGACCACGAUUCUGGUCUUCACUUGGAGAAGGCUUUGACCGAACGGCUUGAAGAUUCGGCAGCUUGGAGGAAAAAAUCAUGGGGGCUUCACGGCGUUGGGUUGACCUAGCUUGGAGGAAUCAAUUCGGUGGGGAAGCUGGCGUGGCUGCAGGUCUUCGAAGGAGGAGCUUCGGUUGACUGGAUUUUACUCGAUGAAAGACUCAAGCUGGGACACGCGACUGAAGACACGGAUGGAUGCAGCUUCGCUGGGUCUUCAAUUCGGUUGAAGAAGGCACACGGGCGAAGGGAGAUAGCGGCCACAGAGACUGUACGCGGGGAGGCUUUGCUGGACUUCUUCCGAAAGAAUUAAAGCAGAAGUUGAAAUCUAAGGAACAAAUUGAAGAGGAGCCGUGCGUGAGGAAGAAGAUAAGAGAGAGGGUGGGCCAUCCUUGCCAAUUUUCCACAAGAAAUAUCUUCAACAAUCAAUCUAGGCCAAGCAUUAAACCUUGGCCUUCAUUAGGCCACACCAACAACUCUCACAACUUCUCAAUUGGUCAAUUUUGGGCUAGGGGGAGGGGAUGAUACGAAUUUCACCAUUUGAACUUCAAUUUCUCCAAUAAAUUCCCAAAUUGAGGUCCAAUUUCGACGUAGAAAAAUCCCAAGAAUUUUCUAUAAAUCUCCGACACACACGGGCUCAACCCGAAAGUCAAAUUUCCCAUUAAUUUAGCCAAUCUGAACUUCUGCCAAAUUUCCGCGACGUCCGAACCCAAUUUCCGUAAAAUUUCCCGAAUCUCCGAAAAUCUUCUGGGACUGAGUCGAUGCUCCAAAAAUUUAUUGUGACAUGGCCAAAACUUCAAUUUCUGAAAUCGGACUCGAAUUGGCGGUUAAUUUUCAUUCGGCGCGUUUUUAGCGUGACCUAGACUAUCGGGUAGUUUUCAGAACUUUUUAAGGCAAAUGACCCGUGGUCGAUUUUCUUCGAGCCACUAUGAACCCACUCGACUCAAUGGCGACUCUUGAUUGUCGUGAAAAUCUCGAGGAUUCAAUUACGGACACAGGGUACCAAAACAAUAAGAAAAUCAGUCUAGUGUCGGUCGACGAGAAUUUUCUAAUUCAGUGGUGUCACCCACGAUUAGUCACAUAUCUCUAUCGAUCCAGUCUAUCUCUGAUUUCAAAUCGAUUUUUUAACUAUGCCGUAGUGACCUCUAAAGAUGGACACGGUCAAGAAGCCGAUUCCUGAUCGAGUCCUCAAGUCUAUUGCCGUAAAAUUCCUUAAUAAUUUCCCCAGAUAGUCUAGUUAUCUCGAGAGUGAUCGGCUCUGAGAAUAACCCUAUAGAUGCGUCAAUGAAAUGCCCGAUUUAUUCAGUAGAAGACAGGGUUGAAAAUUUGGGAUGUCACAAGGCUUCUGGAGAGUGUCCGUGCUACAUAGGUAUCCGUUGUUACUUAUAGCACAUACAAUUGUUUGUCAUAAACAAAUCCAUCAAAACUUGACUAAUUAGAGGAGAUGCCAUACUUAUUAUUAUAUCCAUACCUUUGAGUAUAAUGAUGCUCAGCAUGUAGCCAAUCUUUUAGUUAAAUUAUCAUUGCUCAUGUCAUUUUAUUAUCAUAUAUUGCCCAUUUGGGCUGCCUCAUGAUAUGAUUUAUACACUAUUGUCUAAUGUCACCACAUAACUUUUUAAACAUACCUAACAAAAAAAAAAAUCGUUCCAAUUUUCAAAGAAAUGAUUAAACACUUCACAACAAUAGUUAAUGAUGUUAAAGAUAUGUAGAUAUCUCCUAGAGAUGUUUAGGAAAUUUUCUCUAAUUUUCUAUAUCUAUUUUGAUUAUGCAUAUUUGAUUUGAUUUUUUAUUUCCUGAAAUAGUCUUGUAAUGAAGUUUAUAAAUAGGCUCUCCAUGUAAUCUUUUCUAUAUAUAGAAAUAUAUUGAAAAUUUCCCUUUUUUCUCUUUGGCAUUAUUACCUCUAACUAAUGAAAUGAAAAUCAGGUGUUUCCAUAGCUACUUACAGGUGGUCCACCGGUGCUCUUUAACAAAUUCUUUUGAGAAAUUAUACGAAAGUCAUGAAAUUUUAUGAGUAAAUAUUUGUAUGUCGUAAAAUGGUUUCAUGUAUGUCGUAUUAAAUAGAAGUCAAAGUGCAUGUGCUACACAAUUUGAAAAAAGAAGGAAAAGAUAAAACAUUGAGUUGCAUUUGCCUUAGUUGUUUUAGAGCAAUAACCAUUUUUUCUUUAUUUUCAUCUUGUUUAAUUUUUGAAAGUUCGUCAAAAAAGAAAUUAAAUGUGAGUUCACAUGUCCGUGUUUUAUUUGUACACGGGAAGGAUAGAAAGGUUACAAAUCGUGAUUUAAGAAAAGCAAAAACUAAAAAGUUCAAAAACUCGCAGAGAGGCCCCUCCUGGUUCCCUUGCCGGUCCCCCUCUAGGCCCCCCUCUUGGUUCCGCAAAAUUUUGCAGAGAUGCCUAUCCUAUUUUCGCGACAUUUUGCGGGCAGAUUCAAGCGGAAACUCCAACUACGAACUCCUUUCUGAAAUGAGCGGAAACUCCAAUGGCGAACUCCUUUCUGAAGUGAGCGGAAACUCCUACGACGAACUCCUUUCUGAAGUAAGCGGAAACUCCUACGACGAACUCCUUUCUGAAGCAAGAUGGCUCCAAUGGAAGGUCAAGGGAAGCGAUUUGUCUUUUUCGACGACCAAUUUGCAUCUACCGAAAUUAUCAGUGCUGGAUUUCUCAUACAGCCACAUCACAAAGGAUUGGCGAGGAUGGAAGUCAUUAAUGGUAAGAUUAGGCAAAGAAGACAUCCUCUUUGCGAUUUUAGGGUUCUAUUCUUGUUUAGCCAAUCAAGUCAUUCUUUGACAACUUAUUCUCCUUUUGUAUUAGGCGUCAAAACGGCUAAAAGUUCUCAACCUUGGAUGGUGUCUUAAAUUAAGACGUACUCCUAAUCUCUCGGCUUUCACACAGUUGAAGAUUCUCAUCUUGCUCAAUUGUGGCGGACUGGAGCAUCUCCACCCUUCUAUUGGCGAACUCACGAGCCUUGUUUCCUUGGAUUUGAGUGGCUGUGAAAGUCUCAAGGAGCUACCAGAGGAGGUGGGCAACUUAAAAGAUUUGGAAGAACUUUUAUUAGAUAGAUCUGGUAUUAGAGAUAUUCCUCUGUCUAUUGGUUCUCUGAGGAAGCUGGAGAAACUAAGUACCUGCAUUUGUGUGUCAUUGAGAGAAAUCCCUAGCUCAAUUGGGGAUUUACAGAAUUUGCAACAUCUAAACUUGAGUUAUUCUGGGAUCAAAAAGCUUCCCAGUGCUAUUGGAAGGUUGAAAAAUCUGCGGACUCUAAGUCUUGAAUCAUGCUUCCUCAGUCUGAAUGGGGCAAUUCCAAGUGAAAUUGGUGACUUGCCUUCGCUCGAGUAUCUCAAUCUCACUUGGACACCAAUAUCUGACCUACCAGAAAGCAUUCGAAAUCUUUCUUCUCUCCAACACCUUGACCUAAGGGGCUGUUACAACCUCUGGUCACUGCCAGAGCUUCCUUCAGGCUUAAAAUAUUUGUCGAAGCCCUCGAUUGCAAGAACUCCAUCUUCAGGUAUGCCAUCUACUUGAACGCAUCUCAAGCUUUCCUCAAGACCCUUGAAACUCUCUUGUGUUAAGGAGUGUGAUGAGCUGAUAUUGCUUAGGCUUGACGGUUUCUCUUUGAAUGUGGUGUUAAAUGACGAAAUGAAUCGAUGUUUCAAGUGAAAAUUGUUGUUUAAGUUGUUUAGACAAGGAAGGAGGCUAUUGGUAAAAGCUAUAACAUAAUGUGUUUAUUGCAGAGAAGAGAAGAAGAAAGUGGAGAAGAUUAGAUCAAAGCUGGGACAGGAGAACGUGCAUCUCAGCGUUCGUCUGGAUCGCCAAGUUGAAAUUGGGGAGAGUGUGGCAAUCUUAGGAUUUGCAGGAGAUUUGGGAUCGUGGAAGAAGAAUGGGGCAAUGGACUGGACCAAGAGCAGAUGAGCAUGUGAUAAGAACUGAAAGGAGGAGGAUCUAUCAAAUUAGAAGAACUUAUAUUAGAUUUUUCUGAUAUUACUGAGAUUCCUACAUCUAUCGGUUCUUUGACGAGGCUGGAGAAACCGAGUGUCAGCUCUUGUGGGUCACUCAGAGACAUCCCCAGCUCAACUUGAGAUUUACAAAAUUUGCUACUUUUGGAUGUUAGUGGUUUUGGGAUUGAAAAGCUUCCUAGUGCCAUAGGAAGGUUGAAAAAUCCAUGCACUAUAAGUCUCCUAUCAUGCUGUAAUCUGAAAGAGCAAUUCCAAGUGAAAUCAGUGACUUGUCUUCACUUGAGAUUCUCUAUGUUACUUGAGGGAUUUUUGAUGUUUGUGAGGAUCCAAAAUAGUUUAUCUAGUCUCGACAGCACAUACCUGAAUGAUUUUGAUGUUGUAUUUGAGUUGAGUCUGCUUUUGUAUGCUCAUGCGGUUCAAACUCUCUGUCAAUCAAAUACGUAGCUGCUGAUUUUUUUUUUUUUUGUAUGUCACCCUGAUGCAGAGGUGUCUGAUGCCAUUGCAUUCUAAUGUUAUCACUCCUGAACUCAAUAAGCCUUUGCAGAGGGAGGUAUGCACUACCGGUCAUACCAUAACAAUGAAAAUAUAACCCAUGUGCUUAUACUAUAUGAGCUGUGGAAUCACACCUGAAAAUCAGUAUGCAAGUAUGCAUGAGGACAAUCUCCAUUUUUAUCAGUUUAUCAACGUGACACUAUCCUUUGAAUGUUGUCACAUAGGUUUCUAACUAUUUUAAUUUGAUAAGCUUAGUUCUCAUGUGAUGUUGACUUUGUAAAGUUGAAUUAACCCCUAGCAAACUAUCCUGUAUUUCUGAUUUUGCUAAUGGGAUAUUGCAAAAUAACCAAGUAAUAAAUUCAUCUUUCUAUUAUGUAUUUUAAGCACUUCACCUUUCAGCAUAUUUUUACUGACAUCAAUUAUGUUCCUAAACACAAACAAGGAAAGUGUUGCUAAUUGCUAUAUCUGCCAAACCUAUUGUUUUCUUUUUCAUCGGCUAGCUCAUGAAGUAUCUGUUCAUUGCAGUCCAACUGCAAUUGGUGCAUAUGAUGUUUGUGCAUUUGUACCUUAUAUUUCAUGAUGUAAAUUGUAAUGCUUCGAUUUAGUUAUCUCCAUUUAUUGAUAAUUAGUGAAUCCCGUCCUUCUUGUGUAGAUUCAAGCUGCAUUUCAUAAAAUUCAGAGAACAUUCCCAAACAUCACAGGACGGAGAUAUGGACUAGACUAAGAUAUGUCAUGAGAUGUUAUGGAAAGAAGUUCCAGAGUUCUUCGCUAAAGGUUUUUAUAAUGUGCUCCAUGCUGAUAAUCUUGAUAGGAUUCUUGAUAUAAAGGGACAUCUUCUAUGUGGUGCAGUAGUCCUUUGCAAACUUUGACAUCAUGCAUAAAGUUAAGCAUAAACUGUCUUAUAGGUGGUUCUAAAUGUGAAGUUAAGCAUAAAGUUAUGUUUGUCAACAAGAUUACUAUUUAGAUGUCCACUUCAAGCUACAAUUUUGUGAAUGUGAGACUUCUUUCAUGGAAAAAGCAAAUAUCAUGGAAUCAGCAAAUAAUUUGUCAACAGCAGGCAAGAUUUUCAGUAAAAAGGUUCCUAGAAGACAGUAAUUUCUCAUUCUGAAGAAUUUUGAGCACAAAAUAAAAAUGUUCAUUAGUGUACAAUCAGCUCUUGGAUCUCGAGAAAUUCAUGCAUUGGCAUUUUGCAAUCACUUUAAUAGUAUAAUCUCAAACUUGAUUCCUUUAAGCAUGAGUCUAUAAAGCAGAGUAGACAAAGCCAUACAUUUUCAUACUUGAAACCAAAUUUUCUUUAGCAUUGGCUACAGUUGAAGACUAAUAAAAAAAAUGCCAAGAAAAAUCUAUGGAAGGGCGAAAGUAGUAUAUGCAUGUGGUUUGGACCAAACCGUUGAACGGUCGUCUACUUGGUUAGUACUUGGACUCUACUAUGCCAAAUUACUGUCGUUGGUCAUGCAUUCAAGUUUCAAUCGAACCAAUUUCUUUGGGGCCAGUACUCUCAGUUGUUCCUCUUCAUCCUACCACAUUACAAUGGUGAAACUUUAGUAGUUAAAAGCUACUCGCAAGAUAAUCAUAUAUUCCGAUUUGGUCAUUGUCUACCAGAACUUUAAUUCAUUACUUUCCAAAGCUCAAGACAAGGCCAAGUAACUUGUUAAGCCAAGUUUGAAUCUUUAAACACUAAAUCAUACAUAAUGCCGGCCGCACUAAUGAAUAAAAACAUUAGUUAAAUAUAUUAAACACGAAAUAAUCUAAUUUUGAGCAUAUUGAUUAUAUAUAACACGAGAAAGGUUGCAAGUAAAGUCAAUGUAUUGAUUAUAUAAUUUAGAACAUAGCUACUCAAGAACACGAGAAUGAUAGUAUGCCAUUUCUUUUUAUAACAUACAAUCUGCACCUCUUUAGUAUGCCAUUUCUUUUGAAUAGCUACUCUUUGACGGGCUAUUAAUCGAGCAUACUAGCACAUUGUCUUUAUACAACACUUCUUAUUCAAGUGUUUUGCAAAAUCAAUGCAUUCAUUGAAAGUGUCAUGACCUAACCUUGCAUGCCAUGAAAAGGAAAGGUCAGGUUUAGAGAUACUUGACUAUGAGAGUUCCCUCAUGGUUCAUAUUCCAAAAGACGUUACCCUUGUGAGUCCCCUCAUUUAUGAUCAUGAGCUCUCCUAAGCUCGUACCUCGUGUGACAGUGCAAGGUAUCGUGAUUUGUACACACACGAGUGACACACCUUGAAAGAGGAUGUUUGGUGUGGAUAUCGAAUUUAGAUGCAUCUUUACCAUAGUAGCCCUCCCAAUAGUACUUGCUUCCCAUGAAUGACAUCGUUUCAUACAUUAGGAACUUUCGACGUGCGGACUCCUGGAGUGCCUUAACUUUGUCCUAAGGGACACUUAAGUGCCAUAACUUACGAAAGAUACAUUAAGUGCCAAAAUCGGAAUAAAAUGGAUCACUUGAGUGCCAAUUCGGCCAAAAUCCGUCCAAAACGUCAACGUGGCAUUUCUCCGGCGAACCGAGCCCAUAAUGACGCCGUUUUGGGCUGACAUCGUAAAAAUAAAAAAUAAUAAUUUUAAAAUUAAAUUUAGUUGAAAUAUUAAAGGCUUACGAACUCUGCCGGAAUGACUCGCCCNNNNNNNNNNNNNNNNNNNNNNNNNNNNNNNNNNNNNNNNNNNNNNNNNNNNNNNNNNNNNNNNNNNNNNNNNNNNNNNNNNNNNNNNNNNNNNNNNNNNUCCCCCUUUCCUUUUCUUUUUUUUUUGAAAUUUUUUUUAAAUUUAAAUUAUUAAAUUUUUAAUAUUUCAAUUAAAUUUAAUUUUAAAAUUAUUAUUUUAAAUAUUUUAACUAAAUUUAAUUUUAAAUUUAAUUUAAUUAUUUUUUUUUUUUACCACGUCAGCCCAAAACGACGCCGUUUUGGCCAGUCAGCGUGCAAAACGACGCCGUUUUGGGCGCGCUUCGCCGGAAAAAUGCCACGUCGGCAUUUUGGCCGGACUCUGGCGGGAGUGGCACUCAAGUGAUCUAUUUUUCUUCGAAUGUGGCACUUAAGUGUCCCUUUGGCCAAAGUUAUGUCACUUAAAGCGUUCUUUUGCCAUGAACUUUCCAUAGUGGAUAUGCUAAACUAUGGUGAGUCCCAUCGAGACUCAUACCUCUCAUGACAUGUUUAUUUUAGGGAUAAGUGCAUUGGAAGUCCUAAAAUUUGUCAUGAAAACGCAAUUAAAUUCUAAAACUUUCAAAAAAUGCAAUUAAAUCUUAAAAUUUGUCACAAAAUGCAAUUAAAUCCUAAAACUUUCAAAGAGUGCAAUCAAGUCCUAAAACUUAUCAAAAUGAUUUAAUCUAAGUCGUCCAUUGAUUAUACUUUUUGAAAGUUUUAGGACUCUGUUGCACUUUCGAGACAAGUUUUAGGACUUCAUUAAACCUUUUAAAAGUUUUAGGAUUUGAUUGAACUUUCGUGAUAAAUUUUAGGACUUAAUUGUACUUUUUGAAAGUUUUAGGACUCAAUUACAUUUUCAUGAUAAGUUUUAGGACUUCUAAUAUACUUAUCCCUUUAUUUUAUUAUCAAGUUGUUCAGAACAAUUUAAUAAGAUGUAAGUUGCCACUAGCUUCAUUUUUGGGGGUCGGCUAGAAAACCUAAUCGAGGAUUGUGAGUUAUCUCUUGAUUUCUACGCAACUAGAGAUUCUAGAUUUGGGGACUUGGGUUAUGCUAAUAUUUUUAUUAGUGUCAUUUUGGUACCGAAUAGUUUGUCGUGUCUCCAAAAGUGUCCAUGCUUUUCACCAUGCUUUUCAUUUGACUUUUUAAGGCUGAUUACACUAACUAAGUGAUCAUACGUGGAUGGUUGGUUUCAUGCAAUUCUAUUUCUAUAAAAGAGAAAAUGAGGCAUACAAUUGAAAUUUAAAGACAGAGCGGUAAGUAAACAAUCAAGUAAGUAGUUUAGGGAAAGCAGUGAAUCUAAUAUGCAAUCCUAAAAAACAAAGAAAACAAAAUGAAAGAAAAAAAUCUGCAACUUGUUGGGUGUUUAUAUAUCACAAGACAACCCAAAACAAAAUAUUAAGGACAAAUGGUACAAAAAUACGGUCGGAGUGUGUGAAAGCUAGUAUAAGCACCUAGAGGGGGGUGAAUAGGUGCGAAAACAAAUUUUGCAGAAUAAAGUAUAAAAUUUUACUUUUAAAUCAACUCUGUUUAGCAAUAGACUAUGAAAAGGAAAUUAGACUCUAAUAAUCCGAUAGAGUUACGAUCAAAGUAAAAGAGCUUAGGGAAGAGAAUAAGAACACAAGGUUUAUAGUGGUUCGGCUUAAUCCAAGCCUACGUCCACUCUUCCGCACUGACAGCCCACCGACUGGAUUUCACUAAGAGUCAAAAGAGUUGUUACAGUAUAGCUCUUCCUUGAUUCCACAGUGUAGAGACUACUACACUUUCUCAAUGUCUCACAGAAGUAUAAACUCUAUUUUGAGUACAAGUUCACACUCAACAAUUGAAUUGACAAAGAACAAGGAGUUUUAAACUUUGGAAUUUCUUUAUCGCGCACUCACUUGAAUAACUAGAACGUCUUCCUUAUAUACUCCUCCAUGCCAUCAUAACUGUUGGCACUUACCAAAGGAGCUCUUCCAAUCUAUCUGUUGCACAAAAUCAAUUAGGAAGAUUUCGAGUUAUUUAAGGAAUAUGACGAUAGCCCACCAAUCAUGCUCGCCCAUACAGUCAGGAUCUAGGUUUCCAUAAGUAGAACCUUCCAAGUAUGCUUCGCCAAUCAAUGGAUCCAAAAUUCCUGAAUCAAUCUCAAGAUGAAUAAAGGAUUCCAAGAUGUUAUAUUCAGCCGAGAGAUCUUCUUUAGUCGAUAGAAUCAAAUCCUUAAAUAAAUACUUAAUUCUGGAUAAGUCUUCUUCGACGGUCUAAAAACUGUCAAUGAGGAUAGACUUUGAAUCUUGAGUUUGGCGGUCCAGCGGUCUUCAGACUUAGACGAAAGAGUCUGCAAGUCUUCAGACUAGAUUGAUGGAAACGUUUUGUCAGCUUCAAAACACGUAGAGAAGUUUUCUCCAACAAUCUCCCUCUUUUUGAUGGUGACAAAACAUCACUAGUAAAUAAAGGUGAAGAAAUACCUUUUGGUCCAACAGCUCCCCUUGUUUUGUUGCCUUCAGGUUGAGUAGAUAAGUUUUCUUCUUGUUCAACUUUAGCUUCAGAGUGAUGAAUGUCAGCAGUUCCUGCCAUCUUAGAAUCACUUGAUAGGGAGACAGCCAAGGUUGGCUCGAAAGAGUCUCCUUGACCUUGAUUUUGUUCUCCUUCUUUCUCUUCUUCUUCUUCUUCUUCUUCUUCUUCUUCUUCUUCUUCUUCUUCCUCUUCUCUUCUUUCUUCCUCUGUCCUCCUCUGUUCAACCUCUCCCUUCUCUAUCUCUUCUCUCUCUUUUUCUCCUUCUGUUGGCUCUACUUCUUCAAAACUAACAAAACUCUUCAAAUUACGUAAGGCUGGAAGAGUCAUCUCAUCCUCAUCCUCUUCAUCCUACAAGAUGAGAAUUCUUUUUCUCUUCACAAGAGCAGCCAUGGGCUCCUUGCAUUUCCUUUUUACUGCAGCAAAGUCUUCUUUUGCUUUUAGAGGAGACUUCUCUUCCAUGCGUUCCAAUACCUUACUUAGCUCUUGCAAGUGCAUCUUUUUGACCAUUUCGAAUCCAAUCACCAUUAGAGAAAUUGUUGACAAACUUAAUGGAGCAGGGAUGUGAAUUUUAAAAUGUCUAAAAAGACGCGAGAUAAGAGCAGAAUAAGGGAGUUGUCCCUUAUCUUUCACAACUGUUCUAUACAUGUGGAAAAUAAUAGUGUGAGGCAGAGAAAAUUUGUAUCCAAAAUUGAUGGCAUGCAUCAGUUUCGCUUCAGACCGAGACACAUCAGUCUUGGAUGUCGACUUUGGCCUAAUGCAGUUGAUCACAAGUUUAUGUAACAAGAUGUUGGUGGCAUUCAUCCUAGAAUAGGAUAUCUUGCCUUUAGCAUCCUUGUCAUUCACCAAUGACUGAGUAGCAUGAGCAAAAGGUACACCAAAUGGUCGGAAACAUCCUCUUUCCACUCCAAUUAGAUCAGCCAAAGUAUCCAUAUCCACCAAAAACGCCUUGUCUCUCACAGUAAAAGAAAAGCUAUUUGCAUCCAUAAACGAUAAAUUCGAAUAAAAGUAUGCAGUGAGUUCAAUAUAAGUAGUAGUGGAUUCAAAACAAAAGUGCUCCAACUACAGGGCAGCAAACUUCUUUCGCAGAUUUAUUUUCACUAAAUCAAGGAAAUCAAAAUCAACAUUCCUUGGGUGCAUAACCCCUCUCUUCAACAAAUUCGAAUAAACCCUUUUGUGAUUCUUUGAUCUGAAUAGAUUAGAACCAUCAUUAAUAUUUUCAGCCACUCCCAUUCUAGGCUAAAAAUGGGAAAACAUUCUUUCAUCAUCAUCUAGUCCUAGAGGUUGAUUAGCAGUCCCCAUUUGUGGGUCACUAGGAAAAUUAGUAAAGGCUUUUUUAGCCAAACCUUUUCGGUAAUACCCAUCUUUUCCAUGUCACGUAAAGAUAGAGUCUCGUUCUUAUACCCCCUCUCUUUCAAGUAUUCAUCAAUCAAUGUCAUAGGAGUUCCUCCUCUUUUUAGAUUAGAAUAAAGCUUGAAAGCGACUUUAGGAGUUAAUGUUCUUACAGGUUCCGCUUCUUCCAAAACUUCUUCUUCUAUAUGAGUCGGUGGAGGAGUUUGACGCUGCUGAGAAGGUUGUUGUUGAUUUUGUUGCUGUAGAGGAGUAGAAACUUCUUCUUCGAUCAAGUCGAAGUGGCUAGGACCCUCGGGCAUAUGUUGUGGUCCCCUGCUUGCAAUCCUUGAUGACUUUUUUGAAGACAUUGUCUCUUCUAAGGGAGGAAUUCACAAACUUGCUUGAAAAAGGUGAAAACUUUUGAAUAGAUCGAGAGUGAAAGUGAGAGCAAAUAAGAAUUUUGUAUUCUAGGGUUGUAGUGUAAAAACAAAGAAGACGAGUAAAACAAAGAAGAUGAGUCUCGACAGUAUAUAAAGCAAGUGAAGCGAGGUAAACGAAACGUCAUAAAAGGAAAAUAAAAAUACCUUUUCAAAAACGACGAACUUCCAUUUUUGAAAAUAACUGCCUUUUUGAAAAAAGAGAAACUUAGAAAGAUAAUUUCAAUUAGCAAUUAAUAAAUAACCGUACAUUUUCAAGUUUAAAAUAUUGAAAAAUGAGCAACUUACAGUCGUAACUCUUGAUCUUCUGAGUAUGAAUAUCUUCAGACUUUACCUUUGAGUCUUGAGCACGUCCAGACUUUACUGGAUAAGAGAUGUAAUGUUCAGUCUAAUGCGAAUAGACUCAGAUAGGCUUUUCUCCAGAGGUUUUGUAAAAAUGUCCGCCAGUUGAUUCUUUGAGUCAAUGAAUUGAAUCAUAACUUCUCCAUUUUGAACAUGAUCUCCAAUAAAAUGAUGUCGAAUCUCUAUAUGCUUUGCUCUUGAAUGAAGAAUUGGAUUCCUAGUGAGGUUAAUUGUGCUGGUGUUGUUACAUUUGAUCUUGGUGCACGAAUCUUUAAUUCUAAAGUCUCUCAGUUGUUGUUUUACCCAUAAGAUUUAAGAGCAGCAACUUCCAAGAGCCAUAUAUUCUGCUUCCGCUAUUGAAAGAGCUACAGUGCUUUGCUUCCUUGAUGACCAAGAUACUAACCUGUUUCCUAGCACUUGGCAUGUACCAAAUCUUCCUUGAUAACCAAGAUACUAACCUGUUUCCUAGCACUUGGCAUGUACCAGAUGUGCUCUUUCUAUCAACUUGGCAACCUGCUAAGUCUACGUCUGAAUACCCAAGGAGGGUAAAGUCUCAUUCUUAAGGAAACCACAAACCCAAAUUUGAAGUAGUUGCAAUGUAUUUGAUGAUGCGUUUUGCGGUGCUUAGAUGAGACUCUUUUGGAUCAGAUUGAAAUCUAGCAAAAAUACAAACACUAAACAAAAUGUCAGGUCUAGAAGCAAUAAGAUAAAGAAGUGAACCAAUAAUACUCAUGUAAAGUUUCUAAUCAACUUUCUUUCCUCCUUCAUCUUCAUCCAAUUUCGAAGAACUAGACAUUGGUAUCUCAAUCUUUUUACAAUUCUUCAAUCCGAAUUUUUAAUAAGUUCUUUUGCAUAUUUCUCUUGGUGAAUGAAGAUUCAUUCUUUCAAUUGUUUUACUUGUAAUUCGAGAAAGAAGGAUAAUUCACCCAUCAAGCUUAUCUCAAAUUCAUCUUACAUAGACUUAGAAAACUUCUUGCACAGGUUUUCGUUAGAUGAUCCAAAUAUAAUAUCAUUAACAUAAAUUUGAAAAAGUAGAAAGUUUUUACCUUCCCUUUUAAUAAACAAAGUAGUAUCCACUUUUCCUUUGACAAAACCAUUUUGCAUUAAAAACUUACUUAACCUGUCGUACCAAGCUCGAGGUGCCUGUUUUAAACCAUAGAGAACCUUUUUCAGUCUAAAUACUGAGUCUGGUCUCUUUGGAUCUUCAAAUCCAGGAGAUUGUUCCACAUAAACUUCUUCUUGGAUGAAUCCAUUCGGGAAUGCACUCUUGACAUCCAUUUGGAUUAACCUAAAAUUUUUAUAACAUGCAAAAGCAAGUAAUAAUCAUUUGGCCACGAGUCUUGCUUUGUUCUUGAUCACUUUUCCUUUUUCGUCCAACUUGUUCCUGAAAACCCAUUUAGCUCCAAUAAUGGAUUUACCUUUUGGUUUAGGAGUUAAUUCCCAAACAUCAUUAAUGUUGAACUGUCUAAGUUCUUCUUGCAUUGCUUCAAUCCAGCUUUCGUCAGUUAAAGCUUCUUCUAUGCUUUUGGGUUCUAUUUUAGAAAUAAGUGCCACAGCGCUAAACUCUUCUUGCCUUUUUGAUCUUGUAUGAAUUCCUUCAUUGAUAUCACCAAUGAUGAGUUCUUUGGGAUAACUAGAUUUGUGCUUCUAGUUAUUUGAUGGUCUGGCAGGAAGCUGUUCUUCUACUUUAAUUGAUUCUUCAACUUCCUUUUGAUGAUUUUCAAAGGUCUGAGCUACUUCAGGGGAGGUAGACUUUGUGGAGUUUGGAGCAGAUUCAAAUUCUUCAGGAUGAGUUUGAAUCAGUUGAUUUUGCAAAAAGUCUUGGAAUUUGACAUUCGUAGAUUCUUCCACAGACCGAGUCUUUUUGUUCAAUACUCUGUAAGCUUUGCUGGUGGUUGAAUAUCAAGGAAGAUUCAUUCGUCUGAUUUCUCUUCAAACUUACUAGUUCGAUCAUUUGUAUUUUUCAAAACAAAAUAUUUGCAACAAAAUACAUGAAAGUAUGAAACAAUUGGCUUAUUUCCUUUGAAUAACUCAUAAGGAGUUUUCUCCAGAACAAGCCUUAAAAAGACUCUGUUAAUAACAUAACAUGCUGUAGAAACUGCUUUAGCUCAAAAAUGAGAGGAAAUACUACUUUCUAUUAGAAGAGUCAUUGCCAUCACCUGCAAAGAUCUAUUCUUUCUUUCCACAACUCCAUUUUGUUCUGGAGUGUAUGGAGAAGAAAAAACAUGUUGAAAACCUAACUCAUCAAAAAAUUUUGCAAAUUCUUGAUUUUUAAACUCACCUCCAUGGUCUGUUCGUAUACUUGAAAUAGCACAUCCUUUCUUGUUCUGAACUUUCUUAGCAAACUUUGAAAAGUAAGAAAAGCUUCAGACUUACUUGCUAGAAAGUAAACCCAGGUGAAUCCUGAGUAGUCAUCAACGAUCACUAGACAGUAUCUCUUUCCGCCUAUACUUCUAGUUCUUGUUGGUCUAAAGAUAUCCAUAUGCAGAAGCUGCAAAACGCAAUUAGUAUAAACCUGAUUCAAUGGUUUAAAAGAACUUCUAACAUGUUUUCCCAAUACACAUGGUGUGCAUAAAUUAGAUUUUUGAAACUUCAGGUUGGGAAUCCCUCGAACAAGAUUCUUAGAAGAGAUCUUGGCAAUCUACUUUACAUUGACAUUGCCAAGCUUUCGAUGCCAAAGAUUUGCUUCAUUUUGUAUUGAAAUUAGACAUUAAGACUUCUUUGGUUUUAUAUCCAGAAGAUAGAUGUUCCCAUGUCUUCGUCCAGUAAAAGAUUGUGAAAGAUCUUUAUUAGUUCCCGAACAUAUUCCUUCUUGAAAAUUGAUCUUGAAUCUAGUGUCGCACAAUUGGCUAAUACUCAACAAGUUGUAAUUGAGUCAUUCAACUAAGGAAACGUUGUUGAUUAUGAGACUUCUAAUUUUUACUAUUCCACAUCCAACAAUUUUUCCUUUGCUGUUUCCACCAAAAGAGACUUUUCCACCAUUAACUUGUGUAAGCUUUAUAAAACAACUUGAAUCUCUAGUCAUAUGCCUUGAACAGCCACUAUCCAAAUAUCAUUUGACAUUUUUCUUGAUAGUGACCUGCAAUUAAAAAAGAAACUCAAGCUUUUUUUGGUACCCACAUUUUCUUGGAUCCAGAUGAGUUAGUGCGAUAAGCAGUCUUUGCCCAUUCCUUCUUAACAGGUCUCCAAGCCAUAGGACAUUCUUUCUCAAAGUGUUCUGAGCUGUUGCACUUAGAACAUUUGAGAGCACUUCGGCCAACAGGUUUUACAAAGACUUUUUGAAAAUGAUUUAUGUAAAAAGUUUUUGUAAGCCUUUGUUUAAUUCUUUCUUUUACUUUUGGAAAAUCAAUUAGAGGAAUAGUUUCAGAAGUCAUUCCCAAACCUGAUUUGUUAAAGUAGGGUCUUUGUACUGAAAGAAUCUUUUCCAAUUUCUCAGAUCCUAUAGAAAAUCUCUUUGAAAUAUUUGAAAUGUCAUUAUUCAAAAAUGUAUUUUCUUUUGAAAGAGAGUCUACAGUUUCUUUUAAUGUAACAAAGCUUUUAUCUAAAUUUUCAAACUUUUCUUCCAUAAAAUUUCUUGUUGUUUCAGUGCAGAAUUCUCCCUUUUUAACUCGGAAAUUCUCUUGAGAGAGGUUUUGAGACUAAGACACAGUUCAUCAAUAUAUUUAGAGACUUUAGUAGGGAUUUUAAAAUGACUUACCUCGAUUUCACUAUCUGAGUCUGAGUCUGUAUCUAUAUCGGAGUCUAAAUCUGAUUUUGAUUUUGCCAUUAGACAUAAUUGGCAUAAUCUCCGUCACUUUCUUCACAUUCAGUAUCACUCCAUAUCUCUGCCUUGAGAGCCUUCCUGUAUUUCUCAGAUUUUCCUUUCUUUUUCUUCAACAUGGGACAGUUGGGUCUGAUGUGUCCAUUUUUCUUGCAUUCAAAAUAGAUCAUAUCUUUAUUGGAUUCAUCAUCUUCAGUUGAUUUGUUUUGAGACUUCUAAGUGCUUUGUUUCUUCCAAUUGAAUCUUUUUCCUUUUUUGUUCAGUUUCCUGAACCUUUUUAUCAUAAGGGCUAGCUCUUCAUCAUCCAUGUCAUCUUCAGAGGCUAUAACAUCAUAAUCAUCGUUGGAUCUCAAAGAAAUUGAUUUCUUACCUUUGGAAUCUUUUUCUUCAUUGAUUUGCUCCACUUCAUAGGACUGAAGUGUGCCAACCAACUCGUCUACAGAAAGUGGCAUGAUCCUUUGUGUUUCCCUUAUCGAGGUCUUUACGUGAUUCUAGUCUUUGGAGAGUCCACGCAGCAACUUGUUAACCUUCAUGGGUCUUGAGAUUGGUCGUCCCUAAUACUCUAGACCAUUUACGAUUUCUGUAAAACGACUAAACAUGUCAGUAAUAGAUUCUCUUGGCUUCAUCUUGAAGGCUUCAUACUGUCCGAGUAGAAUAUUGAUCCUUGUCUCUUUUACUAAUGUGCAACCUGUGAUAUAGCUAGUACGAGUACCUAGAGAGGGGUGAAUAGAUAUAUAAAAGAUUUUUCUUGAUGAUUGCACAAUACUUAGACAGUUGAAGGAUUUGCGACAAAUAAUAAUUAGCGUAAGACUAAGUAAAGAAAAGAGAGAAUUGAACACGCGGUUUAUAGUGGUUCGGCUUGAUUCAAGCCUACUUCCACUCUUCUGCACUGAUAGCCAAUUGGCUGGAUUUCACUAUGAACAAAGAGAUGUUACAACGUUGAUCUUCCUUGAUUUCUAGGUGUAGAUACUCUACCACACUCGCUCAAGAUAUCACCAAGUAUAAACACUCUCUGUGUAUACAAUUUCGCUCAAACUGUAUCGACUAAUAAUCAAGGUGCUUCAGAUUCUGGAAUUUCUCUAUCGAUCACACUCUAUAAACAACGAGAACGUCUUCCUUUUUAUACUCCUUUAUGCCACCAUACCGUUAGCACUUACCAAAGGAUUUCCUUCAAUCUACCCGUUGGACGAAAUCAAUUAAGAAGAUUAUUCGAGCUAUUAAAGGAACCUGACGAUAGCCCAUGAAUCAUGUUCGCCCAUACAAUUAGGAUCUUGGUUUCCAAGAAUAGAACAUUCCAAGAAUAUUUCGUCGACCACCGGAUCUUCAAUUGAUCUAGAUACAAAUAAAAGAAUCCGAUAUAUAUUUAUCCAACCAAGAGAUCUUCUCCAGAGGAUAGGAUUAAAUCCUUAACCAUAAACUUCGGCUCUGGAUUUCCUUCGUCACUGGAUCAGAAAGGCUGUCAAUGAGAAUAGUCUUGAGUCUUGAGUGCUGAGUCUGGAGAUCAGAAAGUCUUCAGACUUUAAACCGACGGUCUGCAAAUAUCCAGACUAGACUGAUAGAAACGUUUUGUCAGCUUCAAAAUAUUCUGGAAAGAUUUCUCCAACAAUCUCCCCCUUUUUGAUGGUGACAAAACUUUCCUGUAGAUUUGAACAACUUUGACCUGCAAAAACAUUUCUCAAGCAAUAUGGCUUUCUCAAAAAGAUUAAUAAAACAACCAGACUCUGCAUCCACAGAAAAUUGGUUAGUCUUUCAUGAGUAAUACCAUAUAACAACACUUGAUAUAAAUGCAAACAGUCAAGCAUCAAAAUCCACAGCCAAUUCAAUCAAAUUUAAGUUCACACCCAAGUUCACUCAAGUCAUACUCAAAAACAAACAUAACCACAAAAACAAAUUUAAAGUCGAAGUUUAAAGUUGGUUGGUUCAAAUUGCUUCUCCCCCUUUUUGUCAUCAUUAAAAAGGUGAGAAAGGAGUCAGGUCUGCUUGGGAAUGCGCACGAUCUGGAAAUCUCCCAUGGACUGGACUAUGCCUUCUAGCCUCUUCAAGUCUUCCCUUAGCUGAGCUACCUCCUCUCCUUUGGCAUUGGCUUGAAGUUGUAGAGCGAGGUCUUUCAUUUUGUCCUCCAGGGUAACUGAAGAUGCUUGUCCAGCAUUCUUUAUGGUUUGAAUCUCACAGUCCAGAGCAUAGAUUUGGGCCCGCAUUUCCAAAAGAACGUCUAGAAUACGACGAAAAUCUGCAGAAUUGUCCGUCUGUGUACUUGCAUUUGCUUUCUCAGAUGGAGUGAAUGCAGACGAUGGAGCUUCUGUAUAAUCUUGCAGAUUUGGUGUUGACGUAUCGUGUCCUUCUUCAGGCAAUUGAGAAGCCUGAAACUCUUCUGGGUCUGCUGGAGAGUGUCUUAGACCUUCACUAUUGGCAGCAUGAGGUGAGGACCUUUCUUGCUCGUCAACUCCCCCUGUCUCUAGGACAUCAUAAGGGGAAGAGUGAUGACCAUGCUCUUCUGUAUCUUGAUUCCCCUUCUCUCCAAAUUCAGCUGCAGACUUUUCUUUCUCUUCUUCUCUUUCUUCUUCAGCUUCUUUCUCCUUCUCUCGCUGCUCUUCUUCUUCUCUGUUCUUGGCUUGCUCCUCUUCUUCUCUCUGUUUCUUCUGAUGUUCUGUCGAUUGAGGUACAGAACGUCUGGUCCUUAUCAAGGCAGUGAUUGUGAGAUCUUCCUCCUCAUCUUCAUCCUCCAAGAUGAGAGUUUUCUUCUUUUUGGAUGGGGCACCAAUGGCCUCCUUCCCUUUUCUCUUUGAAUCAAACGGAACUGGAGUCUUAACUUGGAAUUUUUCCAUUGCCUUGGAAAGUUCUUUCAGACGCAUCUUCGUCAACAUCUUCAAACCUACCACCAUCUUAUCGCACGGUUGAACACAAAGUGAAUGUGGCGGUUCAAUAUUCAUGUGUCUGAAGAUCUUGGUCACCAAACCUGGAUAAGGCAAUUGUCCCUUGUCCUUCGACAUUGCUCUGUACAUGUGAAAGAGAAUAGUGUGAGGGAGAGAGAACUUCUUUCCUGAGUUGAUUGCGUACAUCAGUUUUGCUUCGGAAUUAGACACAUCAGUCUUUGAUGUAGACUUGGGUCUAAUACAAUUGAUCACAAUUUUGUGCAGCACAAUAUUGAUGGCACGCAUCCUUGAAUAGAUGAUUCUUCCCUCAAUAUCUCUAUCUUUGACAAGUUCCAUUGAGGCACCAGCAACUAAGACUUUGACUGGUUGAUAACGUCCUCGUUCAACUCCGAUUAUGUCCGCCAACAUGUCUACGUCUACCACAUAGUCCUGGUCUCGAACACUGAAUGAUAUUCUAUUCGCAUCUAAAAAGCUGAGAUUCGAAUAGAAGUAUGCUGUCAAUUGCGCAUAACCAUCUGUGGUAUCGGUACAAAAUUGCUCAAGUUGAAGCAGAUUGAACUUCUCCCUUAAGUUCACAUUAACGGCAUCCAAGAAAUCGAAAUCAACACUCCUAGGGUUUAUCACCCCUCGUUUCAGUAGUCUGAAGAACAGAUUCUCGUGUUCCUUCGAUUUAAACAACUCCAUCCUUUUUCCCUUCACCUUCGCAGCAACACCCAUUCUAGGUUGAAAAUCACUGAACAUUUUAUCAUCAUCGUUCCCGUCAGUCGAAUUUGGUCCCGACAUACAAGGGUCACUUGGAAUGUUCGCAAGUGCUUCUUCAGCCUUUCCCUUGGGAGCAAUUCCCAAAUCCUCCAUUUUUCUCAGAAAGAUAUACUCAUUCCCAUAAUGCUUAUCUUUGAGAAAAUCAUCCACGUAUUUCAACGGAGUCCCAGUACUUUUCAACGCACAGUAGAGUUUAUAACUAUAAGAGGGUUUUUGGACUCUUACAGGGUCUGCGUCCUCGAUUAUCUCUUCUUCCGGUUGUUGACCCGCACCUUGUGGGGUAGAUGGCGUUGAGUGACGUGGUGGAGAGUGAAUCGGGCUCUAUUGCUGACUCGAUAAUUCUUCCUCUUCGGUGAGAUCGAAAUGGGUAGGUCCCUCCUUCAUUCUCUGUGGUCCCCUGUUCGCGAUUCUUGAAGACUUCCUCGAAGAAGACAUUCUUCCUUGUCGCUGAAAGAUUCCUUUACUUGCUUUCCCAAGAAAAGAUGACAACUAUCUCAAAGAUGAACACGAAGUAGAAACCGGAUUGGGAGGAGAAUGCUUUUUUUAGGGUUUUGAAGAUUGAAAAAUGAAAACUGUAUGGCUGCGCAUGGUAAAAUUUCUGUUUUUCAAUUUCUCUAUUUCUCUGUUCCCUGGAACAGGUUUGGAACAGAAAUCCGUUUGGUAACGCAAAUUGAUUUCUCUAUUUCUAUUUCAAAUUUCUAUUUCAGAAAUUGUUUUGGAGGAGAAAUCAGAAGCUAAAAAUUUUAGCUUCUCUAUUUCUGAAGUAGAAAUAGAAAUUAUUUCUUCUGGGCAUCCUUUCGUUCACGGGUUUUUCUUCUAUCUGGGCAUUCUUUCUCUUUCUCCUCUCAACGCUUCCCACCAAAAACCCUAGUUGUCCAUCCUCGUCGUCGACUCCGUCGCCGUCCUCUUGCCGUCCUCAAAGCUCAACCAAAAACCCUAGCGCCGGCGACUCCGAAUUCAUCCUCGUCGUCGAUGCCGUCGCAGGUUUUUGCUCCAGUCGUGCCGUCGACUCCGAAGCUGUCCAUCCUCGCCAUCGACUCCGUCGCCGUCGUCUUGCCGUCCUCAAAGCUUCAACCAAAAACCCUAGCGCCAUCGACUUCGAAUCCAUCCUCGCCGUCGACGGCGACGGAGUUUCUAUUUUGUCUAUGUCCAAAGCUUCGAAUUACAAUGCCAGUGAUAAAUUUUUAAUUGGUGUCCAUUGAAACAGUAAGUUGAAAAGCUAUAUGUUCCGUGCAUAUAUGGCUAGGCGAUUGAUGUGUCAUCGAAUUGAGAUUUGAUCCUGGGUUUCUCUGGUUUUCAUGGUUUCAGAGAUCGGAGCUACUGCUGGAGGGGAUUGUGUGUGCGACCAGUGUUUUGCCAUUCAGAAGCUCGCUUCUUCAACAAAAAGACUUUUCUUGGAUUCUUUCACUGCUUGACCUUCUCUGGAACUUCCCCCCGCGAUUCCUCACGAGGUUCGAUCAAUCCUUCCCUUCUCGCCUCUCUUUUCAUGUUUCGGCUUUCGUCUGCAUCCUCUAUUUUCCCCUGAUUAAGUUUAUGCUUACACUAGAACUUUGUUUGAUGGCAUUUGAUGCAUGAUGUGGAACGGUCGUGUGUGAGUCGAGGGUUGACUGGAUAUGCAGAUUGUGGAUCUGUUUUGGAGUCAAGGACUGUCGUGCUUGGUCUUGGAAAUGGUGUUUUGGAAGCAAUGGUUGGUGUUUAGCUUUGUGAUUGCUUUAGCAAUCUGUGAGAGAACCUAUCUUCUUGCUUGCUUGUUGUGAUUGUGGAUGAAUUGGCAUCUGUUGUUGAGAGAUAUCUGUGCUGCAGAGAGUGUGGCUCAAGGGUUCGGGUUCUUUUUAGGCGUUGUACCUUCAUAACUCCGUCGGGUGACUUUGAUGGGGUUACGGAAUGAGAGCUGUUUACUGCUUUUCAUCGGAUAUCUGUCAUGCUUUGUCUACAAAUCUUGUCAUGUGAUCUGCUCAUCGAGAUCUUAUAUUGCUUUCCAUGCAUAAGGAUGUUUGUGCAUUCUUUCAUGUCACUGGAAAAACUUUCAGCUCUUAUUUUUUGCACUUUUUCAACUAAAAGACUGAACUAUACUCAACCUUUUCCUUGCGUUUCCUGAUUCUUUUCUCAGUCUUACAGUGGUAUUCAAGCUCUCCUCUAGUAUGUUAUGUAAGACUAACAUUCUGCUGGAAGUAACCCCUGUGCUUUAGAUAUGCUUUAGUAAUGCUAGAACGAUCAAUCUGUCAUUAAGGCAAUUUCCUUACAAAAAGAGGUUGCGCUUAUCUGCGAGUUCAUUUGAGUUUAACCUUUCCUUUGUAGAAGCUGUCAUGCCUUUCUACUGCUGGUUUAGAUGUAUGUGCAGUCUAGAUAAUUGGGACUGGCCAAGGAAGGGCACAGCAUUUUUUGAAAUUCCAUGCCUGAUUCUUUGGUUUCUUGGCCAAGAUGCCUUCUAUUUCAUGGUCAAAAUUUAGCUAAGAUGGUGACUUGAUUAUCAGCAGUCAGGAGACUGAAUGGAACCAAAGAGCCUGGUUUUGGUGUUGCCUUCGCAUAAUUGUUGGUGAAGCCAUUCUAUAUCAAGGGGGCAUAUUGCUAGAUGAUGUCUUCAGUAGCUGUAGGUCCUUGGUGGAAAUUAUCACAUGUUUUGACAUGUAUGGUAACUUGCGGCUUUGAGGCAAGAACUGGAGCAUUAUGUUUUCAUACGCCAGUUUUUUCAAGGGGACAAUCACCUCGUGGCACACUUCAACACACUGUAUCGACAGCUUUAGAUGGGGACUUUGGCAGUAGCUGAAAAUCAAGCUGCGCAUGACUCUGAACUCCUGGGCUAGUCAAUUGUAUCAAUGCAUGUUUUUGACUUAGUCCACUUAUUUAUAGCAAACAAUUGUAUGCGGGAUUCACCUCCAGCUUUCAUAAUUUACAAUAUUCAAAGCCCGGUUUGUUAUCUUCUUCUUUUGCACUUCCAUUUGAUGCAGCCAUUUGCAGAGCGCCCCCUUCGAAUUAAAAGGCUUGGGAGAGUUCUUUGCUCGGAUUGUGGAAUGUUUGGGUAAGAUUGAUGGUUGUGUAAGGUGCUGAUUUGAAUGCCUUUACUUCUAAGUUGUACAAUAUGGAAAAGACUAUGGAGAACAGGGCAUGUCCCCUGCCCAGCCAAAACAACAUUGCUUAUCAUUUAAAGUCCCCACCAGAAACUCACAGAGGACGACAAACGGUUGAAAAGGACCAGCCUUGUCCUGCAUAUAGUUAAUCUCACAUUCCACGAGAUGAGAAUGAACCUCGUGUCAUCAAAGAAUCAGUUUUCAUGCCAGACUGAGGGUCCUCCACUCCCCAUAAGGUUCAUAUGAAAUAUGGUAAAGGUGCCUGGACUUUGUUUGUAGGUGAUUCAACAAACUAUCCCUUUUAGUUAGAACAUCCAAUUGUGAUCUUACAACCUAUACAACGGCUUCUGUUAGCAAUCCCGAUUGAACGUCGGAUUGAUGUCAUGUCAAUGCACAUUCACCGUCGUAAGCAUGUACCGAUCUUACGGAUCUUAUCAAUCAUAAAGGAAAAUGAAGAUAACCAGUCUCUUUUCCAACUAGUCAUUGACCAUUGCACUGUCAAAUACAAACAUGGCCAGAAAAUGUAAACGGGAAUACCAACAAGAAAAAAAUAAAAUAAAAUAAAGAAAGAAAAAGGAAUGGGGGGAAGGCGUAAAGCAAAACUUGGAUCUUCGAGAGCCUGGACUAGUGAGAAAUGGCGCUCUUAUCUUUUAUAGUUUGCAUAUUAGCAUUUGAAAAUACCAAAUCUUUUAUAGUUUGCAUAUUAGCAUUUUUUAUACUAAUUACUAGCUUUUAUUUACAUAAAUUGCUAAUGUUUUGAAGUUCCUAACUACUCUAUCGAAUUACCAAUCUAAAUUAAAGUGAUUUACCAACUUUUAUCAAAUUAAAUUACCAUCACAAGCACCAAGAAGAGUGAGGUAAAAGAUGGGGACAACAUGAUUCAUAGAAAUAGAAAUUUUUUUCUGUUAUCAAACGGAUUUCUAUUUCAGAAAUAGAAAUUUUGAGUCGUUAUCAAACGGGUUUCUUUGCUCAGAAACUUGUCCAGGGAAUAGAAAUUGAGAAAUUGAUUUCUAGCCAGAAAUCAAUUUCUGUUUCAGAAAUUUUACCAUGCGCACCCUAUAUAUAUAACUCAGUUUUGAAAAGGGGAAGUUCAAUCGGUACAAGGAAAGUGUACGAACACUUCUUUUUAAAAUCAAUAACUGCCAAAAUUAAUCUUUUUGAAAAGACAGGAUUUCGUUUUUCACGGAGACUACAAAAUAACUGAAAAAAAAAAAUCAUACCUUUUCGAUAGCAACUUACAGUCUAUAGCCAUCAAUGUCUGAGUCUGAGGAUUUAGAGUCUGAUGGAUUAGAGUCUGAUGGAUUAGAGUCUGAUGAUCAUCAAUUUUCUAAGUCUGAGGGUUGGAGAGUCUCUAGACUUUAACUUCUUCGAGCUUCAAAAUGUUGAGUCUGGAACGGAUAAAAUCGAAUUGAUUUUUCUCCAAAGGCUUUGUGAAUAUAUCCGCUAGUUGACUUUUUGAAUCAACAAAUUGAAUCGAGAUUUCUUCAUUUUGAAUAUGAUCUCUAAUGAAGUGAUGUCGAAUCUCUAUAUGAUUUGCUCUUGAAUGAAGAAUUGGAUUUUUGGUGAGAUUGAUUGCGCUGGUGUUGUCACAUUUGAUUUCUGUGCAUGAGUCUUCAAUCCCAAAGUCUUGUAAUUGUUGUUUUAUCCAUAGAAUUUGCGAACAACAGCUUCCAAGAGCUACAUACUCUGCUUCUGUUGUUGAGAGAGCCACAGUGCUUUGUUUCCUUGAAAACCAAGACACUGUCCUGCUUCCAAGCAACUGGCAAGUUCCUGAAGUACUCUUUCUAUCGACUCUGCAGCCGGCCAGAUCUGCGUCUGAAUAUCCCAGAAGAUUAAAGUCUCCCUUCUUAGGAUACCAAAGACCGAUGCUUGAAGAUGAAGCAACGUAUUUAAUGAUACGUUUUGCAGCACUGAGAUGGGAUUCUCUAGGAUCUGAUUGAAACCUAGCACAGAUGCAAACACUCAACAAAAUGUCAGGUCUAGAAGCAGUAAGAUAAAGAAGUGAACCAAUGAUGCUCUUGUACAGCUUUUGAUCAACUUUCUUCCAUUCUUCAUCUUUGUCUAUCUUCAAAGAACUUGACAUUGGUAUAUCAGUCUUUUUGCAAUUUUCCAAUCCAAACCUUUUGACGAGAUCAUUAGCAUAUUUUUCUUGGUAAAUGAAAGUUCCUUCCUUCAAUUGCUUUACUUGAAGACCAAGAAAGAAUGUUAAUUCUCCCAUCAUACUCAUUUCAAACUCAUCCUGCAUAGACUUAGAAAAUUUCUUGCAUAGACUUUCAUUAGAGGAUCCAAAAAUAAUAUCAUCCACAUAUAUUUGAACGAGUAAAAAGCUUUUGUUUUCCUUUUUGAUAAAUAAAGUAGUAUCUACUUUACCUUUGACAAAGCCAUUCUGUAAUAAGAACUUACAUAGUCUGUCGUACCAAGCUUGAGGUGCUUGCUUUAAACCAUACAAGGCCUUUUUCAGUCUGAAGACUGAGUCUGGCUUCUUUGGGUCUUCAAACCCAUGUGGUUGUUCCACAUAUACUUCCUCUUGGAUAAAUCCAUUUAGGAAAGCACUUUUGACGUCCAUUUGGAAUAACCUGAAAUUUUUAUAACAAGCAAACGCAAGUAAUAGUCGGAUAGCUUCUAACCUUGCUACAGGAGCGUAAGUCUCAUCAUAGUCUAUUCCUUCUUCUUGCGUGUAUCCUUUGGCCACGAGUCUUGCUUUGUUUCGUACGACUUUUCCUUUUUCAUUCAUCUUAUUUCUAAACACCCAUUUGGCUCCAAUAACAGUUUUACCUUUCGGUUUAGAUGUCAAUUCCCAGACAUCAUUAAUGUUGAACUGUCUUAGCUCCUCUUGCAUAGCUUCGAUCCAGCUUUCAUCAGAUAAAGCUUCUUCUAUGCUUUUUGGUUCAAUUUCAGAAAUGAGAGCCACAGCACUAGACUCUUCACGUCUUUUAGAUCUGGUGCGAAUUCCUUCAUUAAUUUCGCCGAUGAUGAGAUCUUUAGGAUGACUGGACUUGUGCUUCCAGUUACUGGUUGAUUUGUCUGGAUGAUGAUCUCUUUAUUUAUUUGAAUCUUCAUGAACAUCUUGAUGCUGGUCUUCCAGAGUCUGAGAUACUUCUUGAGUUGUAAGCUUUGGAAGGUCUGGAGCAGGUUCAGACUCUUCAUACUGAGUCUGACUGGACUCAUCUAGCAGAGAGUCUUUAAAUUUGACAUUCAUUGACUCCUCCACAGACUGGCUCUUCUUGUUAUAGACUCUGUAGGCUUUGCUUGAUGUAGAAUAUCCAAGGAAGAUGCCUUCAUCUGAUCUUUCUUCAAACUUACCAACUCGAUCUUUUGCAUUUUUCAAUAUAAAGCAUUUGCAACCGAACACAUGAAAGUAUGAAACAAUGGGCUUCUUACCUUUGAAUAAUUCAUAAGGGGUUUUCUCUAGAAUAGGUCUUAGAAAGACUCUAUUGAUGAUAUAGCAUGCUGUUGAAACAGCUUCAGCCCAAAAACAUGAAGAAAUUUUACUUUCAAUUAAAAGAGUUCUAGCCAUUUCUUGAAGAGAUCUAUUCUUUCUUUCCACAACUCCAUUUUGCUGAGGAGUGUAUGGAGAGGAGAACACAUGCUUAAAUCCAUAUUCAUCACACAAUUUUGUAAAAUCUUGAUUUUCAAAUUCACCUCCAUGAUCUGUUCUUAUACUUGAGAUAACACAUCCUUUUUUCAUUUUGAACCUUUUUAGCAAAUUUUUCAAAAUACGAGAAGAUUUCUGACUUGCUUGCAAGGAAAAAUACCCAAGUAAAACGAGAGUAAUCAUCCACAAUUACUAGGCAGUAUUUCUUACCUCCAAUACUCUGGGUUCUGGUUGGUCCGAAGAGAUCCAUAUGCAGCAACUGUAGUACAUGAUUAGUAGAGACAUGAUUUAUUGGCUUAAAUGAAUUUCUUACCUGCUUUCCCAGAAUACAUGGUGUGCAUGGAUCGGACUUUUGGUAUGGUAAUUUGGGUAGACCUCGAACAAGCUGCUUUGAAGAGAUUUUAGCUAAUUGCUUCAUGUUGACAUGACCAAGCUUUCUGUGCCAUAAGCUUGCUUCAUCUUGAAUUGAGAUUAGGCAUUGUGAUUCAUUUAGAUUCAUGUCUAAGAGGUAGAUGUUUCCAUGUCUUCGACCCAUGAAAGACUAAGUAGAGUCUUUACUGAUUCCAGAGCAUAUUCCUUAUUGAAAGGAGAUCUUGAAACCAGUAUCACACAAUUGGCUAAUGCUGAGAAGGUUAUAGUUGAGUCCUUCCACUAGAGAAACAUUGCUUAUUGUGAGAUUUCCAAUUUUCACUGUUCCAAAUCCCACAAUGUUUCCUUUGCCGUUUCCUCCAAAAGAAACUUUUCCACCAUUCACUUGAAUAAGCUUUAUGAAGCAAUUUGAGUCUCCUGUCAUGUGUCUUGAACAUCCACUGUCAAGAUACCAUUUUACCUUUUUCUUGAUGGAGACCUGCAUUUAAAAGAGAGUCUCAAGCUUUCUUUGGUACCCAAAUUUUCUUGGGUCCUUUGGUGUUAGCAGAAUAAACAUUAUGAGGCCAUACUUUCUUAACAGGCUUCCAAACCAUAGGACAUUCUUUUUCAAAGUGAUCUUGACUGUUACACUUUGAACACCUUAGAGCAUUUCGACCUACAGACUUUGCAAAAACUUUCUUGAAAUGAUUUUUGUAAGCCUCUCUUGACGGUCUUUUCUUAAUCCUUUCUUUUACUUUAGGAAAAUCAAUCAAGGGAAUUGUUUCUGCUGUCAUACCUAGACCAGACUUAUUGAAGUAAGGUCUUUGAACUGAAAGAACUUUUUCAAGUUUUUCAGACCCUAUCGAAAAUUUCUUUGAAAUAUUUGAUAAGUCAGUUUUUAAAAAAGCAUUUUCUUUCAAAAGAUUAUCUUCUUUUUCUUUAAGAGUAGAAACAUUCAAGUCUAAACUUUUAACUUUUUCUUCUAAAAUGAUUUUCUUUUGUUUUAGAUCUGAGUUUUCCUUUUUAAGUUCGGAAAUUCUUUUGAGAGAAGUCUUAAGACUAAAACAUAGUUCAUCAAUGUAUUUAGAGACUUUGAUAGGAAUUUUAAAAUCACUUACCUCAAAUUCGCUGUCUGAGUCUGAUUCAGAAUCUGAGUCUGAGUCUGAAUGUGCCAUCAAACAUAUGUUGGCAUAUUCAUUAUCACUUUCUUCACACUCUGUAUCACUCCAGGUUUCGGCUUUGAGAGCUUUUCGAAACUUUUCAGCUUUUCCUCUUUUCUUCUUCAGAAGAGGACAGUUAGGUCUGAUGUGUCCCUUUUUCUUACAUUCGAAGCAGACUACAUCUUUGUUUGGUUCCUCAUCAUCAACAGACUUGGUCUGCUGUCUCUGGAAACUUUGUUUCUUUGAGUUGAACCUUCUACCUUUUCUAUUCAGUUUUCUGAAUCUUCUUAUCAUGAGAGCAAGCUCCUCGUCGUCCAUAUUAUCUUCAGAAUAUGUAUCAUCAGAAUCAUCAUUUGAUUUUAAUGCAAUAGAUUUCUUACCUCUUGGAUCUUCGUCUUCAUUAAUUCGUUCCACUUCAUAAGACUGAAGAGUUCCAAUCAGCUCGUCGACAGACAGUGGCAUAAUUCUUUGCGUCUCUCUUAUUGAAGUCUUUAUAUGAUUCCAAUCCUUGGAGAGUCCACGUAGUAGCUUGUUCACCUUCAUGGCAUCAGAAAUUUUUUAUCCUUGAUUCUCAAGACCAUUGACAAUAUCUGUAAAACGACUAAACAUGUCAGUUAUAGAUUCUCCUGGUUUCAUUUUGAAGGCUUCAUAUUGACUGAGGAGAAUGUUAAUUCUGGUCUCCUUCACUCGAUCUGUUCCUUCAUAGGUGAUAUGUAAUAUGUCCCAUACUUCUUUUGCUGUAACACAAGAAGAUAUUCUGUUAUAUUCAGUUGGUGACAAAGCACAAUAUAAAGAGUAAUUGCUUUUGCAUCGAGUGCUUGUCUCUUGUUUAUCUCUUCCUGAGUCAUUCCGCUGGUCUCAACAAUUUCUUUUCCUCUUUCAGAGACUGAUGCAGCAGUAGGAGUGAUUCCUCUUUCCACAACGUCCCAUUCCAGAGGAUCCUUUGAUCGUAGGAAAGCUUUCAUCUUGUUCUUCCAGAUGUUGUAAUCCUUUCCAUCAAAGUAGGGUGGUCUGGUAUUGCUUUGCCCUUCCACAAGCCCUGGUGCCAGCAUACUAGCCAUGGAUCUUUUACUCUGAAGUAAGACACUUCAAAUAAAGUAAGAACACGAGCUCUGAUACCAUUUGUAAUAUCCCGGGCCCCACUGUGUGAUAUUGUCCGCUUUGGACACUGAGUCCUCACGGCUUUAAAACGCGUCACACAGGUUAAGAGGGACCCAAGCCAUUAUAAAUUGGCCCAAGACUCUCUCCCUAGGCGAUGUGGGAUAGGGAACCCUUCCUUGCGCACGUCCGGGGACCGAGGCGCGGACGCACCGCCAUCCCUCCUCCCCGCGCACCGCCGCUCGGGCCGUCACACUCUCCCCCCUUGGGAGCACAGCGCCCUCGCUGUGGCCCCACACGCUGUCGGGAGUCAGCUCUGAUACCAAUUGAUAUAGCUAAUACGAGUACCUAAAGGGGGGUGAAUAGGUAUAUAAAAGAUUUUUCUUGAUGAUUGCACAAUACUUAGACAGUUGAAGGAUUUGCGACAAAUAAUAAUUAACGUAAGACUAAGUAAAGAAAAGAGAGAAUUGAACACGCGGUUUAUAGUGGUUCGGCUUGAUUCAAGCCUACGUCCACUCUUCUGCACUGACAGCCAAUUGGCUGGAUUUCACUAUGAACAAAGAGAUGUUACAACGUUGAUCUUCCUUGAUUUCUAGGUGUAGAUGCUCUACCACACUCGCUCAAGGUAUCACCAAGUAUAAACACUCUCUGUGUAUACAAUUUCGCUCAAACUGUAUCGACUAAUAAUCAAGGUGCUUCAGAUUCUGGAAUUUCUCUAUCAAUCACACUCUAUAAACAAUGAGAACGUCUUCCUUUUUAUACUCCUUUAUGCCAUCAUACCGUUGGCACUUACCAAAGGAUUUCCUCCAAUCUACCCGUUGGAUACAAUCAAGAUCUUGGUUUCCAAGAAUAGAACAUUCCAAGAAUAUUUCGUCGACCACCGGAUCUUCAAUUGAUCUAGAUACAAAUAAAAGAAUCCGAUAUAUAUUUAUCCAACCAAGAGAUCUUCUCCAGAGGAUAGGAUUAAAUCCUUAACCAUAAACUUUGGCUCUGGAUUUCUUUCGUCACUGGAUCAGAAAGGCUGUCAAUGAGAAUAGUCUUGAGUCUUGAGUGCUGAGUCUGGAGAUUAGAAAGUCUUCAGACUUUAAACCGACAGUCGGCAAAUAUCCAGACUAGACUGAUAGAAACGUUUUGUCAGCUUCAAAAUAUUCUGGAAAGAUUUCUCCAACAACCUGUCCCAAACUUCUUUGGUUGUUUUACAAGAAGAUAUUCUAUUAUACUCUAUAGGAGACAAUACACAAUAUAAAGAGUAAAUUACUUUUGCAUCAAUGGCUUGUCUCUUAGUUAUUUCUUCUUGAGUCAUCUCGCUAGCCACUACAACUUCUUUUCCCCUCUCUAAGACUGAUGUAGCUUUAGGAAUGAUUCAUUUUUCUACCACAUCCCAUUUCAGAGGGUCUUUUGAUCUUAGGAAUGUCUUCAUCUUGUUUUUACAUAUGUUGUAUUCAUUUUCAUCAAAAUAAGGUGGUCUAGUGUUGCUUUGGCCUUCAACCAAACCUGGAGCCAACAUACUAGCCAUGGAUCUUUAACUCAGAAGUAAAAACACUUCAAACAAAUGAGCACACGGGCUCUGAUACCAAUUGAUAGGGCUAGUACGAGCACUUAGAAAGGGGUGAAUAGGUGAUAAAAGAAAUUUUUGUGAAUUUUUAACAAAAUUAAUUUUUAAGCGUAACAAGUUGAAGGUGUAAAGAACUAAAAGCAGAAGUAUGAAGUUGCAAUUUUAAAGUAAGGAGAUAAGGGAAAGAGAAUUGAGAUACAAAGUUUAUAGUGGUUCAGACCAAGCCUAUGUCCACUCUCUCGCAUUGACAGCCCACCGGCUGGAUUCCACUAUGAAUCAAAAGAGAUUUUAUAGUCUCACGUCCUUGAUUUCACAGUGUAAAGACUCUACUACACUUCCUCAAGGUCUCACAAGUAUUUAAUCUCUCUUUUGAAUACAAGAAAAGCUCAAUAGUUGAGAUAGUGAAGAACUAGGAGCUUCAGACUUUGGAAUUUUUCUUUCACGCAUACACUCAAAUAACUUGAGCAUCCUCCUUAUAUACUCUUUCAUGCCUUCAUAACCGUUGGCACCUUCCAAAGGAGUUUUUCCAAUCAACCUGUUGGACAGAAUCAAUUAGGAAGAUCUCGAGUUAUUUAAGGAAUGUGAUGAUAGCCCACCAAUCCUGCUCGCCCAUAUAAUCAAGAUCUAGGUUUCCAUAAGUAGAACCUUCCAAGUAUACUUCGCCAAUCAACGCAUCUAACAUACUCGAAUUAAUUUUGAUACGAAUAAUAGAUCUUAAGGUGCAAUCUCUAGCCAUGAGAUCUUCUUCAACCGCAAGAACCAAAUCCCUAAAGAUAUACCCGCAUCUGGAUAAGUCUUCUUCAACGAAUAAUACUUUCCCUCGUCGGUCUAGAAUCUGUUAAUGAGGGCGGACUUUAAAUCUUGAGUCUGGAGGUCUUCAAAUUUUGACGAUAGAGGCUGCAAGUCUUUAGAUUAAACUGAUGGAAACGUUUUGUCAACUUCAAAACAGAUAAGGAAGUUUUCUCCAACAAUGAUGAGGUGGGUUUAGCAAAAGCAAAAUAGGGGUUCAUCAAAGGAAGUUGAAUUUUAGAGAUCUUAAUUUCAUCCUAAGAGAGAUUUCAUAGAGAUAGUCUAUCUUAGAAGCAUUGGAAACACGAAAAUCUAAAGGGGUUGAAAAAGAUGGAGAUGCAGCGAGAGAAAUAGGUGUGGAAAGACCGCUGUUGACACCUGAAAUUUUUUGUCGACAUUUUAAACAAAUAUUUUGCAAAAAUAUAAAAAAAAUGAAAAAAAAUGAUGAAAUGAGAAGAUAAAAAAAAUUAGAAAUAAGGAAAACGAAAAAAAGAAAAAAAGAGAGAAAAACAUAAAUAAAUAAAAAGAGAGAAAAGAAACAAAAAAGAAACAAAGAAAACAAAAAAAUAUAAAAGGGCUCACUUAUUUUUUUUUGGUGGGGGGAUUGGACGGAUCCAUUUUUCACUCUCUGGACAACCGUUUCUCUCUCUCUCCCACGCUCGCUCGAAAAUUCUUUGGGCUCUCGCUGCUAAACGGCUGAAUAGACUCUCUCGAUCGGGAUCUCUCCAGAAAUCUGUUCGGUUCAAAGGAUUUCGAUUGAUUAGAACCGACUGACGAGGAUCGACAGAGACGGUGGUGGCGACGGUGACGACAACGGCGACGGUGAUGACAACGACAGCGAUGGAUCACUCUUGGAAAUCAGACAUCGCUCAUUCAAUCGUCUCAAACAAUCGCCGGCCAAGGAGCGCAAGGUCUGAUGCUUGAUCCAAAGCUGACCAUCAAGGAUUGGUGACAUGAGUGACGACGCCCAUGGUUCCGUUCGCCGGAUCUAACUUGAUCCGAAACCGCCCGUUGAGGAUCGGUGGGUGAGGAUCGGCGACAAUCGCAACUACAACGACGCUUGACCGGUUUUUUUACUCUGGAUCGAGCUCACUCGAUCGGUGAGCUUUCUUUCUAUCCCUCUCGAUCAGUUAGGUUUCAAUUUCUGUUCUCUCUCUCAAUCCGUUUGAGUCUUGGAUUCUGACCUUCCCCUCUCUUGUUCGUUUUCUCUAGUAAUCACUCUCUCGGUUGGAUCUUACUCCCUCGUUACGAAUCACGCCCUUUCGGAGCUCGAGAUACAGUGGCUCAAGUCUGCGCCGAGUUGGAAGCCUUGGCUCAGCUCUCUGUCUCUGGCUCGAUCAGGUGAGGAAGAACAAGUUUAUCAAGAUUUUCCUGAUAAAUGUCGUUUGUUCAAGUGCUGUCAUUGUUGUCUUCGUUGUUGAUUGAUGGAUUUAGAGUAUCCGUUUAAGCUCUGUUUCGGAUUUGGUAUUGAGUUGAGUAGAUAUUUGAUUGAGCCGUGUUCUGUGCUGUGUAAUCAAGACAAAUGAUUGAUGUAUCGUACAGGGAUGGAAAUUGGUGUUGGAAUCGUUGCUUGUAUGCUUAGAUUUCUCUAUUAUAUCUCAUUUUCCCCUGUCCGUAUCACUCUGAUGUGUCAUCACUGUGUAUGUGGUGUGGCCAACGAUCAAGUGAGAGCUUGCCUCUUCAAAUGGAAGUUUACUGACAGUGGUUGACAAGGCUACAAUCAUUGACUAUGGACUCUCUGCAUUUAGUUGUUUUCAUUACUUGUGUUUCUUCUUUUCUGUCCGCCAUUUCACAUCUUUGUUAUUGAGCUGUUUCAAGGCCCUAUGUACAUGAAGGUGAGACUGUACAGCAUCCUAGGUUUAGAAUUCUUACAAACAAUUUUUUCAUGUUGAGUUGGAGAAGUAAGAAAAUGAGUUUUACUCUUAGUUUGUCUAUGAGUAGUAUUAAAGAGGGCAUGAGCCAUCAGUGAAGUUGUUUACUACUUAAGAGUGAUGGUAGUAUUCUUAACUGUUAUGCUACUAUGAUUUGUUGUUAUCAUGUUCGCUUUUAGUUGGUCAAAGGCAGGUCACGUGCAUUUGAUGUUUUCUGUUCAUUGCAAAUGCAAAUUUGAUUUUCCAUGACACACGCCAUAUAUGAAUAUCAGUAUGCUAUAAUUGCUCCUUAUGAUUGAAGCAUGUGGAAAAAAUAUUAUGUCAAGGAUAAGUCAAAUUUUACUGAAAAUCGAUCCAUGUAUGCUGACCAUGUUUUGAUAUCCCAUGAUUGGGUGUGCAUUUGAUUCCAACUUGAGGCUAGUUUGGUUAUGGAUUGAUGCCAUUUUGAUCAAGUAGACUCAUUCAUGCUUGUGAGAAAAUAUGGCUUCAAUUUCAUGGCAAUUUGUCAUCAAACAAUCACAAUUUGUAGUCUCGUAUGCUCUGUUACCAUUCCGAUUGCAUGCUGGAAGUUAUGGAUUAAAUAUAGAUUAGAUAAAUUCUGUCUUAGCUUGGUUCUGUUUUGCUGUGUUGCUGCUCUGUUCUUGUGUAGAUUGUUUUAGCCGAUUGAUAUAUCUUUGCUCUUGGAGUUUUUAGAAAAAAAAUAUGCAUGCUGAAUUUGAGAAUGUUGUCUUCUUAAAGCUGCUUGUGAUAUGCUGUUUUUUUUUUCUGUGGCUGACUGCUUUUAGUAUUGAAAUGGAAUAGUCGAUGUGUCGCGAUUUCGUAUGCCUGAUGUCACUUUCUGUUUUGGCUGAAAUGAGGUGCUAGAUGAGUAUAUAUUUUUUUUUACCUCGAGCCCUUCUAGACAUAAAAAGUACACUUCUAGAGCUUCGAUUUGAUAUGCCGUAUGCCCUGAAUGGAUGUUAUUUGGUUGCUCAAAAACACCUACAAAGUCUGUUGAUUCUGCAGUAGUUUUAGAUUGAUUUGCUGUUCUGACUUACUGCAAUUUUCUGUUUUAAUUGGAAUGAGCUGGUAGAUGAUGUUAUUAGAACUUAAUAUCUUCUGGAGAUUUAUAAUAGACUUCUCAAGCGUUCCAUAGACAUAUAAUAUGCUUGAUUUGGCAAUCGUUUGCCCUGUCAUAUGUUUGUUGCAAAAUAGAAGUCAAUGUCUUCAUGAAUUUUGCUCCUCAUAUCUGAAAGUCUACUGUUCCAGAAUGAUUUUUGUGUGUUCAUCGAUUUUUAUAAAAUUGUGUGUUCUCAAUCUGACAAUAAGGUCAUAUGGCUUGAAUGCUUGUCAUGUUAUACAUUUCACAUGUGAUUGUUAGAUGAAUGAUUUAGGUAUGACAUACAAUAAUGUUGAACCUUGGGGUAUUACCUAGAAUUCAACCUAUAGACUUUGUGACUUUGGUUACUCUUGAACACAAAAGAUGUCUUGUUUUUUUUAUUGUUUUUGAUAUGUGAUGAUUGUUUCUUUCAUUUGUAUGCAUCUAGUCAUCCAGAUGUCUUAGAUUAGGUUUAGAAUAGGAUCCUGAACAUGGAUAAAGCGUGAAGAUGGUGGAAGUCGAUGUCCAUUCUGACCAUUGUCAUGUACUAUUUGUUUUCCCGACAUAUGUCUCAGGUUCCAUACAUUGUAUAAAACCCGACAAGUUGCAGGUUUCCUUUCUUUCCCAAUUGUUUUCUUUUUUUUAUAUUUUUAGAAUUACAUGAUUAGGUUUAACUGAUUUUCUUGAUUGUUUACUUCAUGUCUUGCAAUUUCAUUUUCAUUGUUUGUUUUCCUUUCAUUUCUUAGGAAUAGAAUAGAAUGAAAGUAAUCCACCACUCAUGAUCAUUUAGUAUAGAAUUGACGAUCCUGAAAAUAUAAAAAGAAAUGCAUAGACAUGUUAGGAAAAACACAACAUACUGUUUAGGUACCGAAAGGGCGUUAAUAGCAAUAUUAGCGUAACCCAAGUCCCCGAACCUAGAUAUCUGGUUACAUAGGAAUCGAGGGAACACUCCCGACCCUUGAUUGGGUUUCUAGCCAACCCCUAAAAUGAGGCUAGUGGCGACUCCUGUCUAUUUUUUAGGUUGUUAUAAACAACUAGACUGCAUAAAUAAACCCGUUGUCACGCGGGGUACGAGCUUGGGAGAGCUCGCGAUCUCGUGAGGGAACUCUCAUGAUCAAGUACCCCUAAACCCGACCUUUCCCACCUUGGACAUUUCGAGGGCGGCGAGAUCGGGUCGCGACAACUGCUAACUGUUGAGUCAGCCGUGACCGUUGAGUCAUAAUCAAUUGGGACACAUGGAUGAUUGAAAUUGACACUCUGGAUUAUGGGACAAAAUUGUGUGGCAUGGUAUGGGACGUGUCAUAACGAUUUGGCCCUAUAAUCGGGACUCCUAUGAUUGAUUGAAAUAUGAGUGAGAUGUUUCAAUUGAUGUGUGCAUCUGUUAUAUGCAUUAGUUAUAUGAAUUGUACUGACGUGCAGGAAGGAACUAAGGCGAGGUGAGUCUUGUAUAAUGUGUGAUUAGACUGCCUCUAGGAGUAUGUCCUUCCUAACUGGGGUUUAGAGCGUGAACUCACUGAGACAUUGUUUCACCCCGUCUUGGGUUUAACUUUUCAGGUCCAUAGAUGGAGGUGAGGCCAGUUCGUUUUGGACAGCCACAGGGGUAUACAGAGUAGAGUACUAAUGUCCUUGUCCUCAAGAGUCCCUAGCUCCAUGAGCUCAUCGUGACCAAUAUCUUGGUUGAAAGGGCCUACCACAGUUAGUACCUCAUCGAUUCAGGACAUGGUUUCGCUAUGGGCCUAAUGGGGUCCAAGAAGGUCCCCUGCAGGGUUUCAACGUCCUCACCAUUACGGUCAACGCCGCUGCAGGCGAGGGAGUAGCUAACCCCCCUAAUGGUGUUGUAGUAGACCCGAAUCCCAAGUAGAUAGGGUCCGGGGUAGGGUUAGCUUGGCAGCUCUUUUGUUUUUGUGGGCCUCUGUGUAUAAACUUAGUUUGUUUAUAUAAGUGUGUUUGGUUUGAAAUCGUUGUCUUGCUUUUCUAUCACAUAUUUGUGUUGUCUGGGGAUUGUUUAUUAUACACUUCCGCAUGUGCAUAAAUAGUUGGGUCAGCGACGCGUCCUGGGACGUUGCAAUUUUAUCAACCACUGAGGGAUGUGCGCGCACUCAAGGGUCGGGGUGUGACAUCCCCUCCCAGAGUGGUGUCAGAGCUAGUCAGUAUUUGAAGUGAUAAGGUAUGAUGAGUUAUGGGAUAGUUAGUAGAAAAUGCCUUUUUAUUGUGCUAAUGUAUGUAUUUGAUAACUGAUAGGUAGCUUGUUUGUGUGGUCACUCAUUUUCUAAUUUUGUGUGGAAUUGGAAAGUAGGUUUUUGUAAAGAAUCUGCAUCAUGAGUGACCAAGAGCAGAGAACUCCUAGGAAUAGGGUAGUAGCCCCUGUGACUCGGGGUAUGACGCAGACAAGAGUCGGUACGUAAGGUGGCCAAGGUAGAGCGCAGGCUCAAGCUAGCGCAAGUGGGAUAGUGCCGCCGUCGGUUGGUGCUAGUGUAACAGCACCUGGCAAUCUUAGAAUUGAGGGGAUCGUUUAGGUGCUAGAGACGCUAGGCAACAUAGUAGGGCAGCAGGCUUAGAAUCAAGCUGCCGCCGCCACCGCUACAGCCACCACUACUACAGCUGCCACUACUGCUGCUAACAUUGCUGCUGCCAUAGCUAUUGUUGCACUUGCUGAGGCUCCACCUUGGAACGUAGUUGCUGAGAGAGCGAUGCACAAGCUUGUGGAACAGUUCCUGAAGUUGAACCCGCCGAGGUUCACCGGCGCAGGAGAUCCUGAGGCUGCAACUCUCUGGAUCCAAGACUUGGAGAAAACAUUUGUACUGCUGAUGUGCAUAGAGGAUGAGAAGGUUGUCCUUGCAGUGUAUCAAUUGCAGGGCAAUGCAAGUACUUGGUGGAGAGCCACCAGAGGGAGGGUGACCCUAGAAGGCGAGGUUCCGAUAUGGAACGCCUUUCUCGAAGCCUUUAAUGGCAAGUACUUCUCUGAUAGUGCAAGGGAGCAGAAGAUGGAGGAAUUCCAGCGUUUUCAUCAAGGUCUGAUGAUAGAGGACUAGUAUGAGGCCAAAUUUGUAGAGCUAUCACAAUACGCCCCUAGGCUGAUAAAGGAUCUAGCUAACAGAGUUAAGAGGUUCAGGAAUGGCCUCCGAUCGGAGUUGAAGAAUCCAUUGGUACCAUUCAACCUGAAGGAUUAUGAUGAUUUGUAUGAGCGAGCCCAGUUGAUAGAGAGGAAUCUGAGUGAGCAAGCUACUGCAUCUAGGUCGAGGUUCAGUUCGAAUAGAGAUGGUGAUAGUUUGGGAAGAAACCUAUGACCGGACGAAGGUACCCUAUCCCGCCUAACAGGAAGGAUGGGGUAAGCAAGUUAGCACCAAACUUUAGUGGAGUCUGUCGUUUUUGUGGGAGACGACAUAGAUCAGCCCUGUGUCGUUCUGCGAUGGAUGCUUGCUAUGGGUGUGGCCAGUAGGGCCACCAGGUCAGAGAUUGUCCUUGUAGACCGAUGGGACCGCAACAGUUGCCGCCGCCGCCACCAAUAAGACAGAACAGGGGAUACGAGUUGCAAAAUAUGCCUCAGGGUGGAUUGAACCGACCUCCAGCACAAGGAAGAAUGUACGCCAUCACUAGACGACAGGCAGAGGACUCGCCUGACGUGGUCACAGGUACGGUCUCGUUAAAUGGCCAUGUUACUUAUGCUUUAUUUGACCUUGGCGCUACUCAUUCAUUUAUAGUUGAGCAGUUCGUUAAGUUGGUAGGGUUGAGUCCUGAAUUGUCGAAGUCAGUGGUUAGUAUAUCUACAUCGUUAAAGGAUAAGGUGUUGUCUACGGUAGGCUGUCUUGAUUGUAAGUUAGUUAUUGGUGAGCGAGAUGGAAAGAUAGAUUUGAUAGUCCUAACUAUCUAUGAUUUUGAUGUGAUAAUUGGCAUGGAUUGGCUCACCAAGUAAAGAACUAAGAUGGACUGCUAACAUAAAGCGAUUUAGUUUAACCCGUUAGUGGGUGAAAGUUUCGAGUUUAUUGGAAGUCGAGGAGGACCCUCGAUUACCUUAAUCUCGUUGCUUGAGGCAACCCGUUUGUUAGACGGGGGUUAUCAAGGUUACUUGGCGAUUGUCGUGGAUACAACAGUUGAGGAGCUGAAGAUCGAGGACAUCGCUAUGAUACAGGAGUUUCCAGGCGUGUUUCCAAAGGAGUUACCUGGUAUGCCACCAGAGAGAGAGAGAUCGAGUUCGUGAUUGAGUUGGCCCCUGGAAUAGAGCCAAUCCCUAAGGCUCCUUACUGUAUGGCGUUGUCAAAGUUGAAAGAAUUGAAGGUGCAAAUGCAGGAGUUGUUAGAUAAGAGAUUCACACAUCCCAGUGCAUCACCCUGGGGAGCACCAAUUCUGUUCGUGAAGAAAAAAGAUGGUCCGUUGCAUCUUUGCAUCAAUUAUCGACAACUUAAUCAGAUGACGAUCAAGAACAAGUACUCACUGCUAAGGAUCGACAACUUGUUUGACCAAUUGUAGGGAGUGUCGAUAUUUUCUAAGAUCUACCUAAGGACGAGGUAUCAUGAAUUGAGGACUAGAAAGGAGGACAUACUGAAGACAGCGUUUCGUAUGCAAUACAGCCAUUAUGAGUUCACUGUAAUGCCGUUUGGUUUGACAAAUGCCUUAGCUGCUUUUAUGGAUCUGAUGAAUCGAGUCUUUAAGGAGUAUCUAGAUCAGUUUGUGAUCGUUUUCAUCGAUGAUAUCCUGUUGUACUCAAGAAGUCUAGAGAAGCACGAAAGGCGGUUGAGGACAGUGCUUCAGACUCUACAAGAUAAUGGAUUGUACGCUAAGUUCAGUAAGUGCGAGUUUUGGUUGACUCGUGUGGCUUUCCUAGGUCACGUGAUUUCAGGUGAAGAAAUCUCCAUGGACUCGACUAAGAUCUAAGCAAUUAUCAACUGGCCAAGACCGAUGACUGUGAUAGAGAUCAGAAGUUUCUUAGGUUUGGCAGGUUAUUACAGAAGGUUCGUGGAAGGAUUCUUAGCAUUAGCCUCACCUUUGACUCGACUGCUGAAGAAAUAAGAGAAGUUUGUGUGGACAGAUAAAUGCAAGCGUAGUUUCCAAGAGCUAAAGCAGAAGCUGACUACUGCAUCGGUGUUGACAAUUCCAUCUGGUCUUGGAGGAUACGAGAUCUAUAGUGAUGCGUCGUUUAGGGGACUAGGUUGCGUGUUAAUGCAGCAUGGUAGAGUUGUUGCAUACGUGUCCCGUCAGUUGAGACCUUAUGAGCUGAAUUACCUUAUGCAUGACUUAGAACUCAAAGCAAUUAUCUUAGCUCUGAAGAUUUAGAUACACUAUUUGUGCGAAGAAAGGUUCCAGAUCUUUAUAGAUCAUCAUAAGUAUUUAUUCUCUCAAAAUGAGUUGAAUAUGAGAUAGCGUCGUUGGAUGGAACUUCUUAAAGAUUAUGAUUGCAACAUCCUGUAUCAUCCUGGAAAAGCUAACAAGGUUGCAAAUGCGUUAAGUCGAAAGUCUUAUUGCGCGGAUGGUGAUCAAGGAGCGAAUCUUACUCGAAAGAGCUUGAGAUUUGGUUUUCAAAUUUGAGGUAGGCCACCUUUCAAAUCUUAUGGCCACCCUCAGAAUUGAGUAUGAAGUGUAGAUAUGGAUCAAGAUGCUUCAGUUGAUAGACCCAGAGAUCCAAAAGAUUUUGCAAGAGGAUGCAGACAAGAGAAAGGCUGAUUUCCAGAUUUUUGAAGACAGAACACUGAGGUUUCGUGGACAAUUGUGUGUACUUGAGGAUGCAAAACUUGAGGAGGAGAUUUUGUUAAAAGCUCAUUGUAGCAGUUAUAGCAUUCAACCAGAUAGUAUGAAUAUGUAUUAGAAUCUGUGUCAACACUUUUGGUGGACUGGUAUGAAGGCGGAUAUUGCCAAGCAUGUCGCAAAGUGUCUGACGUGUCAGCAAGUGAAGGAACAACACUGUAAGCCAGGAGGGCUUUUGCAACCUCUCAAGAUUCCCGAGUGGAAGUGGGAACACAUCAUAAUGCACUUUGUGAUGAGCUUACCAAGGAGUUAGAGAGGUAAUGAUUCUAUAUGGGUUGUGGUCGAUAGAUUUACGAAGUCUACUCACUUCAUAGCCAUAUGAAAAGGACUAUGCAUUGGACAUAUAUGCAGAACUGUACAAGCGUCAGAUAGUUCUCUGCAUGGAGUGCUAGUGACAAUUACAUUUGAUCAAGACCCGAAGUUCACGAAAACCUUCUGGAAAAGUUUACAGACUGCCUUGGGAACAAAGCUGCAAUAUAGUACGGCUUAUUAUCUACAAACGGAUGGCCAGUUUGAGGGGACAAUUCAAAUUCUCAAGGACAUAUUGAGAGCUUGUGUACUAGACUUCAAAGGAAGCUGGGAGGAAUAGCUCCAUCUUGUCGAGUUCACCUACAACAACUAUCAGCAGAGUAUUCAGAUGGAACCGUUUGAAACGCGGUAUGGCAAAGCUUGCAAAACUCUAGUUUGUUGGGAUGAAGUCGGAGAACGGAAGAUUACAGGCCCAAAGUUGGUUCAACAAUCAAUGGAUGUAGUUGCAGUUAUUAGGGAUAGAUUAAAGACCGCUCAGAGUUGUCAGAAAAGCUAUGCUGAUAAGCGUCGGAGACCAUUGGAAUUCUAAGUUGGUAAACAUGUCUUUCUGAAGGUGUCAUCGAUGAGGGAUACUUCGUGCUUUGGCAAGAAAAGGAAGCUAAGUCCGAGGUACGUUGGUCCCUUCAAGAUUUUGUAAAAAAUAGGGACUUUAGCGUAUCGUCUUGCGUUGCCGUCGAGACUAGCGCAAGUGCAUGACGUCUUCCAUGUGUUGAUGUUGUGAAAGUAUGAACCUAACCUGACCCAUGUGCUAAAUUAUGAAGAAUUAGACGUGAACGACAGAGUGUUGUACGUGGAGAGACCAGUCCAGAUUAUGGACCGGAAGGAGCAGGUUUGGUGCACCAAGAUGAUCCCGUUAAUCAAAGUGGUCUGGCAACACCACGGGAUAGAAAGAGCAACUUGGGAAAGUGAAGUGAAGACUUGAUGAGACGACAAUACCCCCAUCUUUUUGUUUAAGAUUUAUAAUGGUUAAAUUUCGAGGACGAAAUUUUUAUAAGAGGGGAAGAGUUGUGACAUCAUGAUUUUCAACCCUGUUUUAGAUGAAAUGAAAUGGGCUUUUCAUCGACACACCUAUGGUCUUUUUCUCUGAGUUGGCCACUCACAAGACAACAAGUAUAUCAGGUGAAACCAUUAAGGAAUCUAAACACAAUAAACUUUAGAAUUCGAUCAGAAAUUGACUGCUCAACUGUGCUAGUCUGCAAGGGUCAAUACGGCAUCGUCAAAAUCGAUCGGAGACCGGAGAUAGGUUGUUUUGAUAUAGGCAUAUGAUUAAAGUGUGGGUGAUUCCAUCUAAUUGCAAAAUUCUCGUCGAAUGCAUUAAACCGAUUUUUUUGUCAUUUCUAUAUCCUAUGCCCGUAUUUGAAACCUCUAGAUUUUCCCGACAACCGAGGGUUGCCAAUGAGUCAAAAAUGCACAACGUGGCUCGAAAAUAAUCGACCAUGGGUCAAAUGCACUAAAAAUUCCUAAAAGCUACCCGGUAAAUUAGGUUAUGCUAAAAUCACGUCCGGUUGAAAUUAACCAUGAAAUUAAACUCAAUUUCAGAAAUUGAAAAUUCUAUCUGUCACGAUUUAUUUUAGGAACGUUAACUCAUCUUUCAAAGAAUUUUCGGCAAGUCCAGAUUUUUGGCGAAAAAUCAAAAUUAGCAAAAUUUGGACCGGGAAAUUAAGAUGGCUUUUUUUGUGUGGAUUUUUUGCGUUAAAGUUGGACCAUUUGGUGAAGGAAAUUGUGGAAUGGAUGUGGAUGCCUUAGCUAGAACUUUUGGGUACCUAUUAGAUGGAAUUGUAGUGAAAUUGGAUUGAAUCUAAAGGGGAGAUGUCACAAAUUUGUAGCCAAGGGUGGGGUGCAACAUUUCAGCACCCUUCGAGACUUCUUGGAGAAGAUUUCGAGGGAUAAGGGCUGUUGGGUUGUGGCUAAGGCUCGUGGGGGCCAAGGGAUGAUGGUUUUGUGAUAUUUUUGAAGACUUUUGGGGCAUUUGCUUCCCCCUCCAACAGCAGAUCAUCUCCUUCUUCUUCCCUGCCUCACCAUUCCUCCAUUGUUGUUGAAUCAAGUGCAGAAAGCCAGCUAAGAACCAGCAACAGCCGUCAACCACCCCUCCUUAUCUUCCGAGGACCGUCGAGCAUCGCUCCAGCCUGCCGAAGCCGCGCACCUGUUCCCUUGCGCUCGCGCCAGCCAAUCGUGCGUCCACCAUCCCGAGCCGUCAACUAGGCCACCUGGAAGCCACGUCGCCAUCAUUCCAGCCACCAACCGUCAUCGUCAAGUCCCCUUCCGCCACUUGUUCAAGCUGCCGUGUCAUUUCCUCGCCGUUCCAGCCAAGUUGAGCUGCUCGUCCGGCUCUUCCAACCCAAGUUUAGAAUUGAAAUCCCAGCUAGGUGCUAAGACUUCGUGGGUUGUUUUGGGCCCCUUUCGAACCUCUCUUGGCGUCGCUCUAGGCUUGAGUCUUGCCUGCCUUGGCGUUGCCGUCAUUGUGAACUCACCGGCUCGCUAAUCCGAUGAGUUUACUCGCUAAACUGCUAGAGGUCAUGAUGCUUAAGUGGUGAUUAGAUUANNNNNNNNNNNNNNNNNNNNNNNNNNNNNNNNNNNNNNNNNNNNNNNNNNNNNNNNNNNNNNNNNNNNNNNNNNNNNNNNNNNNNNNNNNNNNNNNNNNNUAGAUUAGCAUUUUUAGGCUUAAUUAGGCAUUUAUUGAUUUAAUUUGCAUUUAUUUUAAUUACUUUUGCAAUUAAUUUAAUUAUUUAAUAUUUUCCGAAAAUUAUAUUGGGAUAGUCAGUAGCUGGAAUUUCGUGUUGAUUGUCGUGGUACAAUUAGUUUACGCAAUUAAAUGAUAAUUUGUGCAAUUGAGUGGUGAUUGUGAUUUUUGAUUAAUUAUUUCAAAAUUGUGAAAUUUUGGUAUUUAAUUAGAAAAUACCGGGUGUUGGGUUUUGACACCAAAAAUCUUUUUAAGUACUAUAUCAAACAAUGUGAUUUUUAAAAGUAAUGAUAUCAAUUUUUAAAGUUCGAUCUGAUUGUGUACCCACAACAAUUAUUUUACUGAAUGUUUUUAAUAUGAAGAAAAUAGACCAAGUUCAUUAUUUUAAUUGAGACAUUUGAGUGCAAUGCACGGUGUCCUUGGUCGGGAUUAAAUAAUCGUGUGAUGGCUAUGAGAAUCCUUCAUGAGCUUUUGAGUUAGACGAUGCUCCUUUGGGAAUAACCCAAGUCAAUGGAUGCCGAUUGCAGUGGAGGCUGGACCGAUGCUCCCUUGUGGAAUGCCAUCUAGAUGUAGACAUUACCGUGCUCGAUGGUGUGAGAUAACACCCGGCUAUGCCAGAAGACCGCUGAUUAUUGAGUUGGUCGUGGCCGUUGGGUUGUAAUUAAUUGGGAUGCAUGAAUGAUUGAAAUUGACGCACCGGAUUAUGGGACAAAAUUGUGUGGCACAGUAUGAGACAUGUUAUAACGAUUUAGCCCGACAAUCGGGACUCCUAUGAUUUAAUGAAAUAUAAGCGAGACAUUCCAAUUGAUGUGUGCAUCUGUUAUAUGCAUUAGUUAUAUGAACUGUAGUGACGUGUAGGAAGGAAUUGAGGCAAGGUGAGUCUUGUAUGAUGUGUGAUUAGACUACUUCUAGGCGUAUUUCCUUUCUAAUCAAGGUUUAGAGCGUGAACUUGCUGAAAUAUUGUCUCACCCCAUUGUGGGUUUAACUUUUCAAGUCCGUAGAUGGAGGUGAGGCCGGUUUGUUUUGGACAAUUGCGAGGGUAUACAGAGCAGAGUACUGAUGUCCCUGUCCCCGGGAGUCCCUAGCUCCAUGAGCUCAUCGUGACCACUAUCUUGGUCGAUGAGGGCCUACCACAAUUAGUACCUCAUCGAUUUAGGGUGUGGUUUUACCAUGGGCCUAAUCGGGUUUGGGAAGGUCCCUUGCAGGGUUUUGACGUCCCCGCCAUUGCGGUCAAUGUCGUUGCAGGCGAGGGAGUAGCUGACCCCCCUGACGGUGUCGUAGUAGACCCGGAUCCCAAAUAGAUAGGGUCCGGGGCAAAGUUAGCUUGGCUGCUCUUUUGUCUUUUUGGGCCUCUAUGUAUAAACUUAGUUUGUUUAUAUUAGCGUGUUUGGUUUGAAAUUGUUAUCCUACUUUUCUAUUACAUAUUUGUGUUGUCUAGGGAUUGUUUAUUAUAUGCUUCCAAAUGUGCAUAAUCGAUUGGGUUGGUGACGCGUCCUAGAACGUCGCAAUUUUAUCGACCACCGAGGGACGUACGUGCACUCGAGGUUCGAGGUGUAACAUGUGCUCAAUAAAUUUCAAUCACAAUUGGCCAAAUUGAUGCGUGAUUUUCACAUAUCAAAUGAGAUUCAAAUAUGACAUGCCAUACAUGAAUGUGAAGCUUGUCACACGUACUUCAAAUGUCGAGGAGACACCAAGGCAUGAUUUUCUUUUAAGGAGCCCAAAAAAAUGGGUUUAUAUAGGCUCGUGAUAAACCCCUAAUUCAACAUAACCAUCAUAGAACAUGAUCAAAAAAAAUUUUUAUAUGAUAUAAUGAUGUGCAAAAAUCUUAAGAAAAAUUCUAUAUGUAAAAUUCAACAUGAAAACAUGUUUCAUGAGACAUCUAAGCUUAAUUUGGCUCACACAAGCCUAUACAAAAAUGACAAAAAAAGAGAGUCAUGCAAUGAAGCAUGCAAAUCACAGAAGCACCAACAGGCUUUUGCGCAUGUGAUUAACAUGGUAAACGAUACUCAAUUCGUGCGAAUCAUACCUUGUUAGAAUAUUCAAAAUGUGUAUUACAAGUCUCAUGAAUGAUGCAACAUCAAAUGGACUCAUCUAAAGCCUUAAUUCCAAACAAACCUAAAUCGGACUUGGUGCAAGACAAACUAAUCCUAUGACAAAUUUCGGCGAUUUUACCUAACCAAAUCAAUUUCAAAAAAGCUAGAAAAAUAUAUGAUGUAUCAAGUCCAAUUUAGGUUAAUUUGUGAAAUCUAUCGAUUCUAUAGUAAUUUUCAGGUUAAUUUGUGAUUUUGAUUUGCUGCGAUUUUCUGUUUUAUUAUUUUUACAGUGAUUUUUUCGCAUGAAUUUUGGAAACAAAUUGACGUCCUCUUGAGGCAUGCAAUCUAUCAAAUCGAAGUUUGAGAAGUCUAGUUUCUGUCUAUAAGGACUUGAGGCCAUAAGAUAUCAUCUACUACCUCAAUUUAGCCAGAACAAAAAGUCACACCACAAAGAUACAAAAUUGCAGAUUAAGGCAAAUCAAGCUCAAUCAAUUUCAAAUUCAUUAUCAAUGAUCAUCAAAUCAUUGUAAAUCAUCCAAUGAAAUUCUAAAUCUCAUAUCUAAGCAUAAAUCGUAAACCUAGGGUUGAAUCAUAAACCCGAUUGGCUAAUCCAAUCUCACUUCAUUGGAUUUGAGAUUAGGAGCAUUACCUUUGUGAUUUUUGUUGAACUUUAAGUGUGAUCGAACCUCGAACUUCAAAGACAUGACCGGGCCUUUGUGGACUCGCUAAGGGCUUAGAUUUGCGGUUAGACCGCCGGUUUAGCAAUCUAGACAGAACCAGUCCAAGUCAGACUACCUUGAACCACCGGUGAAGAUUGGGCGAUUUGGAAGCCUUCAGUUGCUGCUUGGUUGGACUCUAGCUACCGAUGGCUCUUGGACAACCUAAAGAAACCCAUCACAAGUGGAUCACGUCCAAGCAAGCCCAGUUGAUCACCGAAACAAGCCACUCUUGCAGCGUUAAAGACCACCAGCCUUCGCGCCAGUGAUUGCUUCGAUCAAGAGAUCGAUUUGGAUGAGGCAGACGAACGGCUACCAAGGAUCCGAGCAAUCAGGAUAGGAGAGGAGGAAGAUCAAAGGAAGAUGUCAUGGCUGGGAUGUCGCCCACAGGGGCUCCAGCGAGCGGCAGUGAUUGCGGCAACCGACAAGUGUGUGUGAGAGAGACAGACAGACAGACAGAGAGGGAGAGAGAGAGAGAGAUAGAGAUAGAGACAGAGAAAUAGAGAGAUCGAGAGAGAGAGAGACAGAGACAGAGACAGAGACAGAGCUGGAGAGAGAAUUUUCUGCAAAUUUAACUUUGAAAAAUCAUAAAUGAUUCCCCUUUGAUUUUGGAGGGAAAAUCCUUUUAUACGUUUGACUAAUCGCCAAAUCUUGAUCGUCAGUUUGAUCUAAUUAUCAAAAUUUUGAUUUAAUGACCAAACUAAGCUCAUCAAGGGCUAAUCCGACUUAGAAUGUGUCUUAUGACUGAUCGAAUGGCUUUGAUUUGCAAAAAUCAGGGGUUAAAAUGGAAAUCGCAACUAGGGUCUAGUUAGGGGCGAAAUCAUAAAUUUACAAAAUUCAUGGAUCAUUUUGCAAAAUUUUCAAAAUGUAAGAACAUAAAGGCGAAAUACACAUGACAAGGAUCCAAGAGGCGGUCGCCGGCGAUCCAGAAUUGGCUGGCAAGGGGCCGAUAGGCCUGCCUCACUGGCUACCAAUUAGACUAGUCCAACCAGUUUACCCAGUUCGACCGGUUUUGGUUGGGUUGUCCUCGAGGAUUUAAAAAAAAAAAUACAAAGAGGAAACUUACCAAAUUUGAGAAGAAAUGAUCCAAUUCUAAUCAAAUUAGGCCAAUUAAACCAAAUGAAUGUAAUCUAUUGGUUUUUUAUUGACUUAAUUGAUUGAUUAUUGUGGAAAAUAGUGAACCUAGACCAUGGGUACACUUAAUUGAACAUUUAUAGGCCAAAACGGGAAAUUUUGCAAUUCCUUGAUCGAAAUUGCAAAUUAAUUGAAAUUGAAUUCAAUUAAUAUUGUGAAAUACCUAGUUCACUAAUUUCCCAUGCUGAGAAUAGUUUAUUGCAUCCAAAUUGACCUUAAAUUGACAUCAUGAGACUCAAGCCAAAAAUGAAUCGAGGUCUAAUAUCAAAAUUGGACUUCAAUUCAUGAAAUUAAACCUUAAUCUCGAAUAGAUCAACUUUAUUUCCUCGAUUGAAGGUCAAUAACUUGAUUUUCUCAUAUUCAAGAGAAUGAAAUUCUUCAAAUUGGGAAGUUCUCGAGUGAAUUUCUCAAAACGGACCUCAGAUUUGGACUUAUCUUAAAAAAAUAAGUGAAAUACAAGUGCUUGUUUGCAAAUCAUAAAGGAUUGAUUCAGACCAUUCGCCUUUUGACAUGAUGAUUCUCACAAUUGAGUGAACAAGUGAAUGAGAAAUAGUCCUUCGAUCAAAUGUCAUAAAAAGAACUAGACCUAAUUAUGACUAAAACAAAAGUAAAUUUAUUUUUGGUUGAUUUUGAACUUAAAAGUCGAAAAAAUCGGAAAACAAGGUUCUCAAUCAAUUUUCAAAAAAAAAAAAAUUGACACUAAAGUUAAAUUGACAAGUGUCUUGUGAUAAAUUUAUUUAUAUAUUUUAUUUUUCCUAAAAUGUUGAUUUUUUUAGUGAAAUCUUUGAAAAUUUUGAAAAUUAACUUGGCUAAAGUGAAAUUUAAAUCAUUUGACAUCUUUUUUUUAGAAAAAGUCAACUUUUGACUUGGGGUUGACCUUUGAUCAAAUGGUUGACUAAAAAGUCAAUCGUUUGACUUUUCAAUUUUUUUUGGAAAUGAAUAGAAAAUUACUUAAAAACGACAAAACAAAAGAAUGAAAUGAAAAGUCCCUUUUUUUUGUCAAGAAAUGGGAUCCAUCAUGAUCAAAAAUCCUAAUCUCGAUUUUUCUAUUUUUUUGACAUGUCGACUGAAAGUCAGGUAUCAAAGUUGCCCCUCUUUGAGUGGGAGUUUAGAGAGGUUCCAUUUGAAGACUAAUUGAUAUAUGCAAUUUUUAGUCGACUUCUCUUGGGGAAAAGAAAAUGAUAGGAAAUGAAAUUUGAUCAGGGAUAUACCUGGGCAUUUACCGUUGUUCAUUGUAAACAUGUGCGCUCAUGCUUGAGAUCUUUCUCUUCAUAUCUCUCAUUGGAUGGAACGAAGGAAAUGUAAUAAAUAUGGAAAAGGAAAGGUUUAAAGACAAGCCUGAGGAUAAGGUUCAAGAAUAAACUAGAACCUAAAAAUGAGGUUUAAAAAUGACCUAGAACCAAAAGAGACAAUGUUUAAGGUUUACCAGGAACCUAAGGGGACAAGGUUUAAGAUUUAUCAAGAACCUACAAUAUGAGAUUUAAGGUUGAUCAAGGACCUAAAUGACAAGGUUUAAGGUUUACCAAGAACCUAAGGGAUGGGGUUUAAGGUUUACCAAGAAUCUAAGGGACAAGGUUUAAGAUUGACCAAGAACCUUAUGAACAAAGGGGUAUGGUUUAGGAUGACCAAAACACAAAGACAAAGGAUAUGGUUUAGGAUGACCAAAAACAUAUCCAUUGGGGAAAUAUAUAUUUUGAAAAAGGAAUUCCAAGAUUUCUCAAAAGCUAAUAUGUGCAAUCAUUCAAACACGCCUUGGUAAAUGAUACAAAAUUGUCAAAUUCCUUAGGAAAGAAUUUUAACAAAAUGACGUUUGAUCAACCAUCUAAGGGUUAGAUCAAAUGUGCCAAAGUGGAAAUAACUUAAUCAAAAAGGUCUUUUGCAUUUGCUCUCAAUAAAGAUUUUUAUGUGGAAAAGCUAUUUAUUCUCAUUAAAAAGGUCUCACAUAACCUAUGGUGAAGGUUUUCAUAUACGUUUACAGUGAAUAUGAAUUCAUUGAUCAAAAGGUUUUUUGAAAGGACCGUAAUGUAGGCUUAGUCAUGGGUUUACACAAAGGAUAGUCACUUUGAGACCAAGAAAAGAACAAUCAUUCUAUAUAUUCAUCAGGUUUAUAAGUCAAGAACUUUGUAGAUAAAAUAAGAUAGAAUUGCUUUUACUCCUUCUAGCAAUAGCUCUUAUGUGAAAUUCCUACUUCAACUCAAACCAUCCCAAUCGAAAGAGACUUUAGAUAAAAGUUGUAAUGUUGGUUACGAUGAGGCUUAGAAGGCUUGAAAUUUUUAAGAUAUCAAGGGUAUUAAAGUGAAUGAAUAUGUUGGCAUCAUUACCAUCACACAACUUUCAUAAAGACAUGAUUUUUGAAAUUUGACCUAUAUCGAGAGUCCCUUUUGACUAUUUUGUUUUAAGACAUGAGAGCUUUGCUCUCUUUUCUAAUGGCAUAGCUUGCAAUACAUGCUUUGCAAAGCAUUUCUUUUGUUUCUUGUGUUAAUGGUCUUUUGCAUGACCAUUGAUCUUGUUUUUCUCGAUGAAUUUUUCAUAGGCAUUGGCCUUACUUUUACCAAGCACUAUUUCACCUGUCUCAUGGGCCUUUCUUACAAACUCACAGACCCAAUAGGAGGUCCUAUACUCAGACUCAUCAUUGUCGGAGUAAGCUCUUUCAUCCUCCAACGGGGAUGUAACAAGACCAACCUCAUCUUCUUCGUUGCCCCAUCUACUCGGGACAAUGUCUUUCAUAUUUACGAAAAAGCUCGGUGGAGGUGUGAACUUUAUCAUGAAGUUAUACUUGCUACUUGGUUGGCCAAGAGUAUCAACAAUUUUUUCUUUUUCGCAAGCUUUCUUAAUGAACUCACGAUCCAUGUGGGAAUUUUUAUACACAUCCUCACUCUCAGUAUCCGAGUCCUCUUCUUGGUAUAUUGGGGCUUUCCCUUUUAGGGCUCGACGAUCAUCAUCUCGAGAAUUAUUCUCGUUCAAGUCUUCAACUUUUCUUAUGACCCUUGAAAUCAUAUUCUUAUCGGACAAAUCAAACUCGACUAAAGUUAUUGGCUCUGAGUUGCUCCAUCAUCUUCGUAUUGGAUUACAUCGGACUCGGCCAACUUGGCAAGCUAUCUUCUCAUCGUGGGAGAUAUCAUCGCCUUUUAUUUGAUGAUUAGCAAAGGCCAUGAUUUGACUCAGCUUGGGAGUAUCAACAAGGAAAGGAUCCUUGUAUUCAUCCCCAAAGAUCACAUAAUGGCCUCAGCAUGCUUCGGGAGUGAAUAUUACGAGUCCUUGAAGGUUAGCAAAUUUUUAUCCAGUAGAUUCUGAAUCUUUGAUUGAAGAACGUAAUAGUUGUCAACAUUGUGACCAUUUUCUUACAUGUGAUAUUCACAAGUCUUAUUGAGGUCAAAGCCAAGGAACUUCGAUGGAUUGUCCCUCAGGACUUCUCUUGCUACCAGUCAGUUUUCAAUCAACAUGGGGAGUAACUGAGACAUCGAUCUUGGUAGAGGUGUGAAUUGUCUUUGCGGGGUCUUCCCCUGGUGAUCAAAACUUCGGGAAGAGCUCCUAGCUUCCAUGGCGGGCUUAUGAGAGGGAAGAGCUUAUGGCUUUUGAACAGAUGUAUUUUGAAUAUAAGCGAUCUCUACAAUGGGCUCCUUAUCCUUCUUUGGAGCAAACCUACAAACUAUCAUUUCAAACAGUCUUCCAUCUCGCAUGAUUUCCUCUAUACGUUCCCCCAAUUCAACCAUUGCAGGGAAGUUAAUUCAAAUAUUAUUGUACAUAUUCUCAAAGAAAUCUCGAGGCAACUCUCGAAGGAACAACUACAUAGUUUCCUUUUCAGAUAAAGGAGGCUUAACUUGAGACACGGCGACUCUCCAUCUCUAGGUGUACGCUCUAAAUAUUUGUCCUCCUUUUUAUCAACUCGGACCAAAUCCUCAGGAGUUGGAGCGAUUUCAGUAUUAUACUUGUAUUGUUGUAGAAAUUCAUCUACCAAAUCCUCCUAGCUAUAUAUCUUCUCUAAAUCCAGCUCAAUAAACCAGGUUAAGGUGGGACCUAUCAAGCUAUCUUGAAAAGAAUUAAUCAAUAGUGGAGAGUUGUCAGACUAAUGGGUUAUCUUGCCCAAAUAGUACUUGAGAUGGGUCUUUGGACACCCAGUUCCAUCAUACUUCCUUAUGACCGUAGGUCUUUAUAGAAUUCUGGGACUUUCACCUUAGCAAAGGGUGACAACUUGUUGAACCCUUGUAGUUGAUAGCCUUGCAGCUUGCACAGGCGUUCCUUGAUCUUCGCAAGGCGUCUUGCACUUUCUUCGUCAAGGUGAGAAUAGGAGUUUCCUUGGGUGGAGCCUCCAAGUCUAUAACGGUUGGGGUAAUAGUAGGAACUUCUUCAACAUAUCAUUUCUCUAUGGGAUCAACCACUAGCGUGUCAACAAGCGUGAUGGAAACAGUCGUCACAGCAGCGGGAGCUACAGGGUAAGAUUUUUGACUUGGUUGGAAAGAUCGAUCAGUAGCACCAUCAUUUGUGCCAUUUGGUUCUCCAUAGUGAUGAUACGAAUUCGUUCACCAUCCUCGCUUGAUGAUGGGUGCGUAUAAUAAAAUACUUCUUAGCCGUGUUUUAUUACCUAUGCGAAAGAAGGAACUCAAAUCAGCAUGUGAUUAAAGAAAUUAGGAAAGUAUGAACCUUGUUAAUUUUAUAUUUUCUUGAGAUGAAAUAGUGAUAAGAAGCAUAUAUGACCCCAGUAUUAUAUAACGUCAUCUUAUCAAAAUUUCUUCAAAAGAAAUUAUAUAAUUGAAAAGGAUGACAAUGAAUAUUUAAUCCAAAUACCCAUUUUCUAAAAGUCACAUCAAAAGGCAAUUCUAUGAACUUUCAUUGAUUACAUCAAACAAUUACAAGGUAAACAAAACCUUAGAUAUCAAAACUUACAAAGCAAUUAAACUUGCAAGUAAUACAAAUGUGAAUAUAGAAAAAUUUCGAUUACAACGAAACGAGGAAAAUACAAAGAAUCUUCCUCUACAAGGACAGGGAAAUACAUGAAAGGAUUUCUAGUAAAAAUCCUAAGAACUCAAUAAGACCGUAUGGAGAUGCCUGUUAUCAUGGGUCAAGCGUUCCACAUUGGUCAAGGCUUCGUCUUCAUGCUCCAUUACAUGAACUUGCUGAAAUUAUUGAGGUUUGGGAAUAUCAGGCAAUUCGACCUUGAACUCAAGUUCUACUUAACAAUAGAUAAGUUGAUCGUCGCAUGGUGUGUCCUCAUUUCCCCCUCUAAGUCAAAUUUGUCAACAGCAACUACAUGAUGUGACAUGUGGGGAUACCAUGUCUCGACAGUAGCUCGAAUUAUGGCUUCAAUGUGGCUAUUUGGUCCUCCACAAUGACCUCAUUGUGAUAAUCAAUAUGGUACAACCUCAACUUAAGAAUUGGUGGGAUUAUUUGAAGCGCGCAAUAUUGACGGAGCACCCUCAAAGGAUAAUACGACAUUAGACCAGUCAAUCCCAUAAGAGGGAGUGAGUCAUGUACUUCGCUAAUAAGGCGCACCUCGAGAUUCCCUAGCCAUCGGACUUGCCAUUGGAUUAGGCUCAUAUUGAGUCUUUUAAGGAAAUGCAACCAUAUAGAGAAGGACCACAACAGCCACACUGGAAAGAAAUUAUUCUUUCCAUGGAACAUGAGAAUGGGAUGGUAGUUUUUCGUGAUAUAGAUUAUCAUCAUGCGAGGAGCAAACUCUUUAAUGUAAGCAAUAAGCCAAAUUUGGACAUGACCUAUUGGGGCUAUAAGAGUUCCUCGUCUAUUUACUUUGAAUCAAUUGAGGGAUACAAAAGUCUUAGUGAGGCUCAUGCAUGCAAAGUGACUAAAGGCACACGCUUGACUAACAACAUGGGUAACUAAGGGCGCGUAUGGCAAAAUUUUGGAACAAAAAUCAAUUUCUAGCCAGAAAUUGAUUUUUCAAUUUCUAUUCCAAGGAUGAGUUUAUGAGUAAAGAAACGUGUUUGAUAACGAUUCAAAAGUUCUAUUUCUGAAACAAAAAUUCGUUUGAUAACAGAACAAAGUUUCUAUUUCUAGGAGUGGCAACGGCCGGCAUCUAGUGGCCGAAGUCCAAUGUUCGGCGACCGAAGUUCAGCGUCUGGUGACUAGCGGUGGGCGACCGAAGUCCGAAGUCUGGUGCCAAGUCCGGUGAUCGACGAGGGGUGGCUAAAGUCCGGGGUCCGGUAAUCGGCAACCAACAUCCAACGUACGGAGUUCGACAUCUGACGUUCGACAUUCGGAGUCCAGCGAUAGGAGGCCAGCGGUGGGUGGCAGGCGACCGACAUCUGGCAGCUGGUGGCGAGCGGCAAAUGGUCGCCGACGAACAUCCGGUUGUUGGUGAUGAGCCUCCGACAUCCAAUGAUUGGCGAUGAGCAGCUAACGACCAGUGGGCAUCCGGAAUCUGGUGACCGGUGGUUGGUGAUGGGCGGCCGGAGUGUGGUGGCUGGCAGCCGACAUCCAAUGUGUGGCAUCCUAGAAUUUCAUGUCAAUCCUUAGAUGUGCUUCGAUCCAUGAUUUGUAAUAAGAUUAAGGCCAAGCUUUUAGUGGAUAAUUAUUUGAUAGAAAAUAAAAUUCUAUUCUUGGCUAUGUGUUUUAUAGGUUGGAAUUUAUAAUUUAUGUUGCAAGUUUUAUGGUUAUAUAAAUUUGAAUUAGGUAUAUAUUUGAGUGGGGGUUUAGAGUGGAGUAUUAAAAGAGGAAGUGGGCCAAAAUUUUUAGGCCAAGACCAGCCCUCAAGACCCCACCAUUCGGCCAUUUAGGCCUGGCCUGCAAAGCCCAAAGGAAAGGAGCUGCCAUUCGAUUAGCCCAAGGAGCCCAAUGGGCUGUCAACCAAGGGGAGAGGCUAGCCCAAUUAGCCCAUCAACCUGCAUGGCAAAAUAAACAAGUGGCAAGAGAAGCUUGCCAAGUGUCUUUCCCCUAGAGCCAAGUGGCAUUAGCCAUGCAAACCAAAUGAUUGCAAAUGAUGAAGGGGAGAGAAAGAGAGGGAGAGUGGGCGGAUUGAGAGAGAGGGUUACCGAGAGAGAGACAGUGAAAUCAAGAGAGGGAGAGUGAGUGUGCGAGGAAGAAGGAGGAGGUUCGUCGCCGUUGUUGAGCCGCCGAGUCCCGCCGUCGAGCCGCCAUUUGCUUGCUGUGUUUUGCUUGGAUUAGAGGCAAGUAGAGUCCAUUGAUCUAUCCCUUGCUUGCUGUGUUUUGUGUGUUAUGAACGGUGAAUUUCGGAUGUGGAUGAAGUGUGAAAUUUCGAAGUUAUAGGAGUUGUGUUCUAGCCUAGUAUUCUGUUUCUGGAAAAACAAUUUGACCUUCGAUGAUUUCGUGAGUUGCAUGCAAUGUUCUAGUUGGAAUCUUGAUGUGGACAUCGAGCCAUAUCGAGGAGGAGGUGCUAGGGACCCAUUAUCUAUUCCUAUUGGUUCGAUUACUCGAGCACGGGCCAAACAAUUCAGGCAAGCUGUUGGCGUCAUGGUUCAUGAUCUUUGGCGUGAAGAUGACCUUGAAUCAAAUCUUGAAGAAUCUUGGAAAUCUUGGUGCAAUUUAAUUUUCUUGUCACCAAAUAAUUGACCAAGUCAAUUUUUAUAUAUUCUUGUUUAAGAAUAUUCUAAAAUAGGAAUAUUUUAGAAUAUAACGCAUUAGAUUUUUAGGGUUGGUUUUUAGGGUUUGUGUGACAGUCUAUAUAAAGGAUUUGCCAAAUUUCUUUGGGGACAGAUAUAUUUUAUUUUUGAGGAAAAGAAUUGAGAGAUUCUUUUUUUAUUGUUCUUUUGAGGACUUGACCUAAUCAAGAUUCUCUUGUGGCGGUCAAUUUGACUUAUCGAGCUAGAUAGCGAAUUCUUUCACUCGUGGCGUUUAUAACGUUGGUUGGUUGACACGUGUUCGUCAACAGGUCACGUUCAUACCGAGGUUGCCAAUCACAGGUUUGAUUGGAGGUCGAGGUUUGCAAUUCGCACCAUCUGGGCCUUCGUAGAACGAUCCUUCCACAACGAUUCACAUCAAAUCUGACUUCGACUUCUUGAUGAAAGUUAUAGAGGACUUCUUGAAGAUUAACAUACUAAAAAUUGAGAUGAAACGGACAAUUAUUGUUGGUGAAAUGAUUUUCCUUUUAAGAAACUAGAUCUGGAAACUGUUAUGUCAACCUUUGGUGAUUUCGUGAGUUGCAUGCAAUUUUCUAGUUGGAAUAUGACUUCGACUUCUUGAUGAAAGUUGUAAAGGACCUCUUGGAGAAUAACGUAUAAAAAUUUGAAAGGAAACGGACAAGUAUAGGUCAAUGAAACUAUUUUUCUUUGAUGAAGCAAGAUUUGGAAACUGUUAUGUUGAUCUGUUGUGAUUCCAUGAAUUUUGUGAAAUUAUCCAGUCCGAAUUUGAUCUUGUGUUCAUGAUUAGAGUUGUAGAAGACAUCGUGAAGAGCAACAUACUAAAAUUUGAGGAUAAACGGACAAGUAAUGAUCGAGGAAAACAAUUUUCUUUGAAAAAGAUGAAUCUGGACAGUAAACCGAGAGAUAGGAAGAGUUAUAAAAAUUAUAGCUUUUAAUCCAGAAGGAAUUAAAUUUCUAUUUCUGUAUGAGAAUUUUACCUUUAGAUCUCAGCUAUAACAUAUCAAAAUCUCAGAAUUUUCAGAGUUCAUUUAGGGGCUUAAUCGAAAUUAUUUCCGAAUUUGUGUAAAAGUGGUGCUGGAAUUUCUUUUGUUGUGAUGUAUGGAUCUAUGUAUUGAUGUGGAACUUUUUUGACAUGGUGUUCUUCAUGAAAUAUCUUCAUCUGGAUCUUUUUUACAUCAUGUUAAAUUCUCAAAAUUUAUUGAGAUUUUUUACUAAUUUUCCAAUAGUUUUCACUAAAGAAGUGCAUUCUGUUUUAUUCGAAAAUUGGUUCUAGUUUCAAAAACCAAUGAACUUCUUUAUGAAAUGUGAUAUCGUGGAUCUUAUGCGUACUGCAUAUAUGGUGAUGUUUGGCAUAUCAUGUGACAUCAAAAGAUGGUUUAGAUCUUUGAUAUUGUUGCAUCUAAUGCCAUGAUGAAAAUGAGACAUAAAUGAGAUUAUAUAUUGUGAUAAUAAAGAGACCGUCGGAGGUGUGAGCUGACGAUGCCCCGGGAGUGUUGAGAUGCCCGGAGUGUGUGUGCCGAAAUCCCUGGAGGUGUGUGCCUAGGGGAUUCCUCAUGAUGCUAGUUGGGAUACGAGAUGCCCAAAUGUUCGAAUGAGUCAAUGCCCUUUGGAUGCCUGGUUGUAUUAUGAUACAUGCCCGAAAGGUAAGGGGUUGUAUUAUGAUAUAUGCCCAGAGGUUCCUCGUGACGUCAAGUUGGGUGCGAGCGAUAAAUUGUGAGAUGCAAACAUUGGUCCCUGGAUGAAAAAUGAUGAGAUCCUUAUGAAAGAUAAGAAUUGAAAUUGAAUCAUGUGCAUGGGUGUAUGCAUAUGGCAUGAUGCAUGAUUUGCUUAUGAAAAUAAAAUUGAUGCUAUUUGAUAUUGAAAAUGCGAUCAUGAAGGCGUGAAUGGAUCUCAUGGUAAUGUAUGCUUGAUAGCAUGGAUGAUACGAAUCAUGGUGAUAUAUGCACGAUGGCAUGGUGAGAUAUGCAUGACUGCAUGGUGGUAUAUGCACGAUGGCAUGGCAAGAUAUGCAUGACUACAUGGUAAUAUAUGCACGACUGCAUGGUGAUGUAUGCUUGAUAGCAUGAAUGAUAUGUGCUUUACUCGUGAUAUCUUGAUUGUCUUGCUUGUUACAUUGUGUAGUUUGGUGGAUCUUUACUGCUGAGUGGUUGUACUCACCCAUUUUGGGGACUAACAUUUCAGACUAGAUAAGAUACCUCUGCUGCCACUGCCACCGGUAGAUGGAUCAAGUGGUUGGAUAUGACCGCGAGGAGGAGAAUAGCAAAGGAAGGAACUUUUGAACGUCGACACUAAUCAAUGGACUUUAAGUAUACGACUAUUGGAGGAGAUGUCGAUCAUCUUUUGAAGUAUAGCCGAGUAUAGAAGACUAUGGAAUUUUGAUGUACCGAUGAAUGAUGUCCAUCUGGUUUAAGUAAAUAAAAGUGUUUGGCUUUUACCUAUAAAUGUUUAGUGGGUGUGCAUCGUUUUCUGAAUAUAGGGAAGGGAGUUGAUGGAUGUGCUUCCGCCAUAUUUUUGCGCAGGGAUCUAUGGAAAUAUAUAUAAACCCCUAGGACUUAUAGACUUAUUAUAUCUCUUUGGUAUUAGAGUGAUAUAUUAUCAGGUCAAGUAAAAGGUAAGUGAACAGUGGCGACCCUAAUGGUUCGGGGGCCGUCGAGGGGUGCCACACGGUGGCUGACGAUCGGCGACUAGUGGCUGGGGUCGGUGGCAGGUGGCUGGCAACUGGCAGCAGGCGUACGGCAUCCCACGAGCGGCAAGUGGACGACAGGCAAUGACAAGAGUGAACGAUGAGAAAAAUUUUGAUUUCUUAGUUCCAAAAAUAGAAAAGCUAAAAAUUUUAACUUUUGAUUUCUACUCCAAAUCUAUUUCUGGAAUAGAAAUCUAUUCCAAAAAUAGAAAAUUGAAAUUGCAUUACCAAACGGAUUUCUGUUCCAAACCUGUUCCGGGAAACAAAAAAAUAGAGAAAUAGAGAAACAUAAAUUUUGUUAUACGCACCCUAAGGGAUCCAUUGUUUUUUGAGCAUGUGGAAAUAUCACAAAACCAAAUGAUAUAAUAAGAAAGGUACGAGGAAUUUGAUUUCUAGACUUAGGCUCAAGAAUAAGAAGAUGUUGCUCAAGGAAAGUAGCUCAAGGAAAGUAUAAGUCAUGGAAUUUGAAUUUUCCUUAUCAUAGGGAAUGUUUAGGAAUUGACUCAAAAGAGAGAUUGGAUUUUGGCCAAUAGGAGGAAUGGCAAAACCUUGGGAAACCUUACCUAACCUAAUGACUAUCUCAAACUUUUCAAUUGUAGGGGUCAAAAUGUAUUGAUUGAACACGAAGAUAGAAGUCACAGGGUUCCAAAAGUGGACCAGCGCUUUCACCACGACAAUUUGGGGUUCGACCUUCAGUAGCACUUCUCCACAUAGUCUUGAUGCUUCGGGUCGAGGUUAUCCUAUAUAACCUUGAGACUUUUCGGCACGGGAAUAACGUUGAUCUUGGGCUUGCCCAUCUAAAUCCUAAAUCCAAAAGGGCAUUCAAGAUUAAAAACUCAUCGUCGUUGGAAAUACAAAGUAUGGAAUUGAAAUCCAGAAAUUAGAAAUAAUAACAAUAAUAAAAUGGGAAUGAUGUCUUACCAACCAAAACCAUGGCAAGCACAACCACACAUCGCAUGAGGACUUGUGAGGUUUUGACGCCUAAGGGUGAGGACGCUAAAGGCUCCAGGUCCCCAUCCCGAAAGAUAAAAGUAGUUUUCUCACCACUACUAUCGUCAACUAGUGCAAAUUUUAUCAAUUGAGAUGAGUAGAUAUAUGGAAGUAUAGAUUACCACGAGUGUUUACUAGCAGUUUCCACCCCCACAAACCCUCCUAAAGGUUCUAAAUUGGGCAAUCGGGGUUUUAGACCGCGAUUAUGUGUGUGAUGUAGUGCUAAAACUUUCAAAUAUGCAUUUAAGUUUAAACAACCAGCACUUCAAUAUAACCAAUCAUUCAUUCAUAUGUCCUUUCGCCACUUGCAAGACAAGGGGUUUACACUCACUUCACUCCUUAUGCCUUCCACCAACAAGACCAUUUAACACAUGGUUAGUGACUUACCUCUUUUUUCACGCGACUUUUAUAUGUAGACAGCCCUACCAUAAGACAUGCUAUUUAACACGACAACUAUUUUAAACAACUUCCAGUCCUCUUAACUAGUAACUAGUCUCUAGUGGAGUCGUCAAGCUUGUCACGACCCGACCUUGCACGCUAUGAAGAAGAGAGGUCGGGUUUAGGAGUACCUAGCCAUGAGAGUUCUCUCACAGUUCAUAUUCCAAAAGACAUCAUCACCUUGUCUUAUGGGACGAACCCUUGUGAGUUCCCUCAUUCACAGUCGCGAGCUCUCCCAAACUUGUAAGUCCUGUGACAGCGGAAUGUGUCAUGAUUCGUACCUACACGAACGACACACCUAAAAAAAAAGAGAGAGAUUGAAAUUUAGGGCCAUCUUUACCAUAGUAUCCCACCUCAUAGUACUCGCUCUCCAUGGAUGGCAUCAUUUCAUCCAUUAGGAACUUUUCACAGUGGGUAUGCCCUCACGAUGGGUUUAUUUUAUUAUCUAAUUGUUUAGAAAGUACUAAGAUGGGAGUUAUCACUAAUUUCAUUUUUGGAAGUCGGCUAGAAAACCUAAACGAGGGUCGGGAGUUAUCCCUCGAUUUCUACGCAACUAGAGAUUCUUGAUUUGGAAACUUGAGUUACGCUAAUAUUUCUAUUAGCGCCCUUUUAAUACUUAACAGUUUGUCGUGUCUCCUAAAGUGAUCAUGCAUUUCUUUUUACUUUUUAGGGCUGAUUACACUAAUUAAGUGAUCAUGCGCGGAUGGUUGGUUUCACGCAAUUCUAUUUCUAUGAAAGAUAAAAGAAGGCGCGCAAUUGAAAUUCAAAGAUAGAGCGAUAAGUAAACAAUCAAGUUGGCAGUUUAAGGAAAUUGGUAAAUCUAACAUGUAACCCUAAACAACAAAGGAAAUAAAAUGAAAAAAAAAAAAACCCGCAACUCUUCUGGUGUUUAUACAUCACAAGACAACCCAAAACAUAUAUCGAGGACAAAUGGUACAAAAAUACGGUUGAAGCGGACAUCGACUUUCCAUCCUAUUCGAGUCUCGAGGGACCUCCACCUUCAAAGACCUAAUCUAAUCCUAAACUAAAAGUAGGGCUAGGUGCAUACAAUAGGAAAGAAACAAUCAUUCAUGACAAAAACAAUCACAAGCCAAUCAAGAAUAAUCAAGCAAUUGAAAUCAUAUGCAAAAGUAGACAUAUUGAGUCUCGAGGUCAACCUUUGCAAUUUAUGCAUCUAUAACAUCCUCAAUUUCAACCCUUAUUUUAGCCUUAACUAGUAGGCCAAUGACCAGAACACCAAUGGCAAAACUAGGCCAUGACCCAGCAUAAAGGCCGGUCAUGAGUCAAAUUGGCCUAAUCGAGACUUAGCAACCAAAGGUCUGGAUAUGGAGUGUUCAACCAUGGGAGGGUUAUUUGACCAAAAAGAUUAGCCAUGGGAUGAUCACGUACCAUCAUGAAUCGGUGGAUAGUCAUGACUCGAUUUCGAUUGGUCAAUGUACUGAUUGCAAGUGAUUCCACCUAGUCAUUUUAACAGCCAUGAUGACCAUGAAUCAAUGUAAGACGACCGUGAAUCAAAACGAAUCGAUCAAUCCCACAUGAUUAUAUGACAACCAAUAAUCGACCAUGGAUCGAAUAAACUCAACAUGGUUCAAUUUUGGACUAACUAAGACUUGUGGUGCAUGACUUUAUACUGGUCACUGGAUCGGCUAUGAGACUAGUUGACUGGCUUAGUGAUUGACCACGGGACUGGCCAAACAAAAUUGACCCACAGACUAGCCCACAAAUUGGUUAGAGGACUGAUCGGUUGGGCUAGGACCUAGCCAAUAAACCUACAUGCAACCCCUUUUCUCGAUAAAAGGGAGCUCAAGUUCGGUUUGGUCAAUCGAGCCUGGUUGCAUUUGACUCCGUUUGGGCAUGGCUUAAGCACGAACCACGAGCCAAAUAAAGUGGCCAAUCAUGGUCAAACUCAACUAAUUUCCACCUAAUGACAAGCCAUCACAAAUUUAGAUAUUUUUCCAAGUUGCAUUUAAUAUAUCCGUCACUUAGUAAUGGACACUUGGCACGUUGGGGCUUUACCUUGGAAAAUAAUAUUAGCCUUGAACUUAGAACCAUUAAUGAAAAGGACAUUUAGGCAUGGGACUAGUAAAAUCUUCUUGAAAAACAAGUGUAAACAAAUGUGAACAAAUAUGAACAUAUUAAAUGGAGUGUGGAAUAGGUGUCCCUAUAGCCUAAGCCUAAUCAUACCCUAAUGACUAAGUGUGAAACAUGGAUUUUGCAGCCCACAAGGAAGGGCCACAUGCCAAAGAGAGAGAGAGAGAGAAGCAAAGUGAAGUCCAAACUUUGAACUAAAGAUAAGCAUAAGCCCACAUUAAUAUCUCUUGGACUUUAGCCAUUCGAUGACCAAGAAGAAGUGUCCAAGCUAACUUAGAACUUAAUUGGAAACUUGGAAGAUAAGAUUUUCCAACCAUCAGUGAUCCUUGACUCAAGACCAAGUGGGGCACCUCCUCUUUCCAAUUGGAUUUGCCGCCUUUGAUUUUUCAAAAUUGUUGGACCUUCACUGUUUGUCAAUUUUACAGAACUUUUUAUGAUUUGAAUUUGAAGAAACUUCCUUCAUAAAAUUUGGUCAAAACAUCUUGGUCUACAAUAUACUUAAAUUUCAGAUUUUUUUGAGGUGAAAUGGUUAGGGUGAAGGCCUAAUCAUUUACCAUCUAGAACCUGCCUAGUGUAGUAAAAAUAGUGACCAGGUUGCAUUCUUGAAUUUUUACAAAUUCCUUUCGAAUUUAGAAUUCUUCCUGCACAAAAAAUUUAAAGGAUAUCCUUAUCUACAACAUAUAAAAAUUUCAAAGAGUUUUGAAAAACUCUAGAAUUUGAAAUGGGUCUUUCUUUGCGGUCAUUAGAUCUGCUCAAUAGGCAGAAUGUUAUUUAAAGUCUUCUCUACAACAUAUUAACAUUUCAUAAUUUUUCUAUUUUGUUUGAUAGGGUAAUGACACUAAUUUUGAAAAUUGCUCAAAACUAUUUCUUCACCCUAGGACAAGCUUGAAGUCUAGUUCUUAAUUGUCAUCCUGAGGUAUCCCAAGCUACUUAGCUAUAGUCAUACCCUACUUUGAGGCUUGAUGACCAAGUAAGGCCCUCUUAAAUGACUAUUGACUAGGUUUAUUUGAGGCGGAUAAUGAAGGUAUACUAGAUGACCUAGGGCACCUAUUAAGGGGGGAAUCAAGUGUGAUCAUUCAUUAAUUAAGGGCCAUUAUUAUAGACCAAGUGGGCCAAUUGGAAAUUGGUCACCUUGCCCCCACACUUUUUACCUAAGCCACGGUAAUUAAUGGCCCAUUAGGACCGUUUUUGGGGGAAAGCCCUGUAAAUAGGAGCGAAAACCAUUCACCCCAACACAACUUCACGUUCAAAUCCCCACCUUCUCAGGGGGGGAUGGGGUGGGGACGCGUAAGCUUCAGAAGUGGAUUUCGACUCCCACGCCCUGCAAGAGGCAGGGCAAAAGUCUGAGAGUGAGUGUAGAGUAGGAAUAGAGUAGGACUGACCAAAAAAAAAAAAAAAACACAACUUCACCAAAGCCAUCCUCCUCUCUUUACCUUCCACCACCAACGACCCUCCUCUCUCCCUCUCAAAAUUCAGCCUCCUCUCCCCUAGGAAUCCCUGUCACCACCCUUGCCAUUGUCGCCACUGUUUUAAAAACAUUAGCUUAGAAAGCCGUAAGUAGACGUCCUAACAUUUGGUUAAAACGUUGUGUUAUGCUAGUCCAAGCUUGUAAGAAGUUCAUAUUUGAUUGUUGUUCUUGAUUUAGGUUUUAUUUAUGCUUAUUUGAGUUGGUUUUGGAUUGGCUCUUUUGACUAGAUCAGGUAUUUAUUGGCCUUGGCUUGGUCGUUUGCUUUUGAAUUUGAAGUAGCGUAGUUCUGAUGCUUGAUUGUUGUACCUUUACUUGGCUUGUUAAAGUGACCAUUUUUUGUGCUUGUUUUACUAUGCCUUCGUUUUAUUUUGAUCCCAACAAUUCUAAAAAGCGUUUUAAUGAAAGUUCAUUGUUGUUUUAUAAAGUAUUCUAAACCACUUUUGUAAAUGUAUGUUCAUGACCUGAGUUCCAAAUAAAGGUUUCGCCGGCCUGGGAUGAACGUGAGAUCAUGACAAAUUGGUCCUUUCUUAGUCUUGGGGCAUUAUUGAGGCGUAUCGGUUCCCCAAGCCAAGUUCGGUACUAAAUCCGUGUAUCGUACGAGUCGAACCAAGCCACGAACCUUCAUUCAAGCUCGGUGUGCUCAACUACUUGGAAUUAGUAAGGCAUUUCACAUACUUAUGCAUGGGAUGCCUUUGGGGUUUGAAUUAAAAGCGAAGAUAAGAAUCAACUUAUGAUGCUUGAUGCAUGGACAAAUAAGAGACUAAAUUAUGCCGUCGACCGAUGGAUUUCAGCGAUGAUGCCCGAUGGAUUUUGGAAGAACCAAUGGAUUUUGGAAGAACCAAUGGAUUUUGAUUAUGCCGUCGACCGAUGGAUUUCAGUGAUGAUGCCUGAUGGAUUUCGAAUGCCUGGUGAAUUUCGGAUGGCUCAAUGGAUUUCGAUUAUUAAUAAACGAACCCCGUGCGGGUGAGUUUCACAUAUGUGUAAUGGAUCCUUAGUAUAUGCUUGCAAUUAAUUAAUAACCGUCGACCGGUUAUUUGCUUGUUGAAAAAGGCGAGGCAUCAUCCUAUCCGGAUUUUAGUAAGUUAACUUACUAAGUUGUACUCACUUGUUUUUAUCCUCUAGAUUUGUAGGAUGGCUGCGCCGCCCGUAAAAUUCGGCAUUCCAAUAGAUAUGACUGUGUCUUAGUAAAUUUUGUAGUAUUAAUAAAAAUUCACAUUAAUAAAAAUUCACUACAACCAUCUGGGUGGAAGGACUUGACUAGCUCGUCCCACACAAGUACCACAUUCUAUGAGUGGAUUGACGAAGGCUUCGUCGGUCCCCUUCAUGGUUUCGAGGGUCCCCCAGGGCCUGACGGUGAUGUCUCACCCAAUGGCAUUGUAGAAGACUAAGUAGAAAUCAAUCCUUAGGGGUGCUAAUUUUGGUAGGAUCUCAUUAGAGGAGAUUAGAAUACCCCAAAGUCUGAUGUGUUUCAGAAAAAGGACUGUAUGUAUUAGAUAGUGUGGAACCUAGCUCGAAUAAAUGGACUUGUAAGAUAAAUAAGGUAUAUAUGUAAAAUUACAAAUGGUUGUCAUGUAUAUAUAAACAUAUGGUUGUAUGUGUAUUUUUCCUACUAAAUUGUUGUGAUUUUUUGUGAUCGGGUGUUGAUCGCUUUCGCAUGUGUAUAACUCAAAGAUCAAUAAAAGAAAGAAAUACUGGUCACCGACACGCUUGGGAGGUUGCAAAAAAUAAUCAUCACUGCUCGUGACCUUGGAGAUGGAGUUGGGGUCAUUACAGUGUCGAUCCCUCUAGAUGCUUAUCUCAAUUCAUUUUUUUGGCUUAUAGCCAUUUGCUUCCAUUUGUGUUCUCGCAUGGCAACCAACACUAGUAAGCUCCUAUGAUGUGUUCUAAUUUAAUCCCAAGGUCAUCCCACAAAAUCAUGCAUCACACUUAUGUAUAUACCUAAAAUCCACAUGCAUAGUGAGAAAUGAACAUGCAGGCAGGCCUAUGAGCCUCAAACAAUCAGACAAUUUUAGUGAGCCAAUGUUGGACACUUAUUCAGUCGACAAGCGCCAAAAAUAAUCAUAGGCAUUUCUAACGAAAGGAAUGAUAUUACGUAUGUCUAGUUCAUGUGAUACUUCAAAAAGUUUGGAUAUGUUUAAAACAUUGAGAAGGGAAAAUGAAGUACUUUGACAAAGGUACAACUCGACUAUGGAAUGCAUUUAAUUGUCAAGGCUAAUCUGGGGCGCAUAUCAUGCACUACUAAUAGAUAUCACAGACAUUUUAAAUACAGUCCAAAUCUAGACAAGUCCAAUGUCAAAUCAAAAUUUUAAAGAUACUAAACGACUAACGUUGGAAGUAUCACAUGUACCAAAGCCAUUUUUAUAUGCAAAACCAAUGUUUCACCUUGAAUUUGGAAAAAAGCGUUACUCAAAGACCACUUUAUUUAUUUUAAAAAAAAUCAACAAAGAAGAUUAGGGAAUUUAUAAUAGAUUUCAUGAAGAUGAUGAAUCAUAAUUCCAUAUGUAAGCCAUCCUAAAAAAUACUAAAAUAAUAUCACAGCAAAGAUUUGAAACAAAACAUCACAAAGCAGGACAAAUAAUAUCAACGCAAUUGAAAAUGAACCCAAUGAUAAUGUGUUCCAAGAAAAUUACACAAUAUUCACAAUAUUAUGGGGAACAAACUUCAUGAAGAAAGUUCUNNNNNNNNNNNNNNNNNNNNNNNNNNNNNNNNNNNNNNNNNNNNNNNNNNNNNNNNNNNNNNNNNNNNNNNNNNNNNNNNNNNNNNNNNNNNNNNNNNNNUAUCAGAAUUCCACAAAACAACAUGGUAUCAUGACAUAUCAACAGAGAUUUAACCUAGUAAGCAUGGUCUAAAAAAUAUGAAAUUUUACCGCAACAUAGACAAAAUAAUGAUGGACAAAGUUCAUUAAGGGUAUGACCUAAGAAUCCUUAAGGAGAAAAUCACACAAAAAUGACAAAAGUUUAGACUUAACAAGGGUAAAACAAGGGUUCUAAAUUUUGCCUAAGUUAGAUUUCUAACCAAAAUGAACAAAAAUAGAAAAUGGGUCAAAAAUUAUGAAAAUCGCACAAAAUCAGUGCAUUGGAAAAAUCUAGACGAGUCCUAAGACUUUCUAAGAAUAGACUUAGGAGCUAAGAGAGAUUGAUAAGGUUUAAAUAAGAGUGUGCCUAGUGUCUUUCACUGUCUGUUAUUAUUAAAGGAAGUGAUCGAUGGAGGAUAGAAGGCUAGGAUGCAGAAGAGUUCGAGUCCAAUCGAGGUCAAAUUGAUGCUCGAAAAAUGAUAUUCGUGAAAUUGCGCAUGUCAGCCACAUACAAAAUAGAAUAUGAUGCAUGCUUAAUAGUCUAUAAAACCACCUAGACAAUACAUGAAAAGAAUGAAAAUCACAUAUGACAUAAGGUUGAAUGUGAAAAAAUAUCAUCAAAAAAUUUUGGAAAAAUAGUGUUUCCAACACUAUUUUACCAUUACUCUAUCGUGCAGAAAAUAUCAUGAUUGUCAUGGAAAUUUCAUAAGUCAAAGCUCUCUUUUAUAAAAUCGGUCUUACAUUCAAGGUGGAUAGCCAGAUAAAGAGGGCAAAAACAUAAUUCGUCAAAUUUUUUUCACGUGAGAAAAGUUAUUACAAGUAAAGGAAAUUACUAACACAUUGGCCACAAAAAUUUACAAAAUAUAAAAAAUGUUACGAUCAAUUUAAUUUUUUACUAAAGAUACACAAUCUGUGUUUAUUUUGCGGAAAAGUACUUUUUUCAUAAUUUCUAAUAUUUAGAGCUUCUCCUCGCGCUUCUCUUCUAGAUACUAGAAAAAAAAAAAGGUCAAUUCAUAUCUCUCUCUCCCUCCCCAACAUAAAACUGAAACCCCGUCAAAUCUAAUGAAUUAUCAUUCGAUUUUGUUGAGAAAAUAUGUUUUGAUUGCCCUUGUUAUUCCCAAUAGGAUGGCGCGGUAACAAAUCGAUUCUUCCAAAGCGCGCCCCAUUCAUGCCACCUGCAAAACCUUUACACACCUUCAUUACCUUUUGGAUCAUCGAAAGGAUCUCGGAGACCCACCAAAGCACAAAAGCUACGAUCUUUCAGAAAUUGAUGCUAUCCGUGAACCUGUUUCUGGAUCUCUACUUUCUAGAAACAAUAUUAUCUCAGGUGCCAUUAUUCCUACUUCUACAACUAUACGUUUGCAUUUUUACCCAAUAUGGGAAGCGGCAUCUAUUGAUGAAUGGUUAUACAACGGCGGUCCUUAUGAGUUAAUUGUUCUAAACUUCUUACUUGGUGUAGCUUGUUACAUGGGUUGUGAGUGGAAACUUAGUUUCCGUUUGGGUUUUCUUCAUUUUCUCCCUCCUGUUGUUCCAAUCAUAAUUAUUGAUAUGGGCCCUUUCCACAUAAAAGGGGAAUCUUUUGAUAAUAGUAUCAAAUCUUCCUUAGCUUUGUCGGGAUUACUUCACUCGAGAAAUUGAGCUAUUUUCUCGUGAGAUUGUCAAUCCAUAGCCAAAGACGCUCCUUUUCAACUGACAAGUGUUGACAAAUGCGUAAGUCAUUUACAGAAUGCUUGGUCUACUGAAUUCGUUGGUGAUGUUGGAAGCAAGUCAGAAAUGGAUUGACCGCAGAUGAAUAGAUGGACCGUCUAUGCAAUCAUAGUUGUCUUGCUUUAGCUAGUAAAGUUUGAAGGGAAGUCACCAUAAACUGUUGGACUAGUUUAGUUAGAAGAACAAUUCAGUGAUCUGGCCCUUUGUAAUAGAAUCUAAUAAUUCAUGCGUAUGUCUCGAUUUGGACAUUUAUGUGAGAAGGAAAAGCAUGGACUGGAUCAUCGCACUAUCACUUUUUGCCUGAUUCUAGGGUCUUCUCUGCACGACUUCCUUUUGCCAGAUAAAUCAGACUGUUCUUGCACAUCAUGAUACUAUGAAAUACUAGCGUGGACCAAUGAUAAUUCUUUUUUCAACUAAUUUAGUGCUUAAAUUGUGUGAUAGAGAUUCCUUGUUCUAUUGAAUGGGAUGGGAUAGGGAUGAUAAUUAUGCGUCUUAUUUUGAUGUAGUGUUUAUUAGUUUGGUAGCCAUCUUGCCCUGCAGAUUCAGUUCAUUUUCCCUUCUCAUCUGGUUGUCAUUGAUUGUUCGACUGAUUCUUGGCUUUGAGUUGUGAAGAUCAUGCAGGAAUUUGUUCUACUCAAAAUGGUAUGUCUCAGCUUUCAGUCUUUGCCUUUUUUUUUCUCUUUGUAUAGCCGUGGUGUAUGCUUUAAAAUUUUUUAUUCUUCGCAUGAAGUAACUACUGAAUUUAUAUGAUUUUACUACUACAUUUGCUUAUAUCAACUUUUGCGAUCAAGCCAAACUCAACUAGAAUAAAUGAUACUUGAUUAGGUUUCGAUUUUUAACAUUUUAUAUUAUUAUAAUUUUUAAUAUCAUUUUUAAUAGUCUUUUUUCUUUAAUUUUAAGUUCUUUAAAUAUUUUUUAAACUUUUUAAUAUUUAAUAUUAUUAUAUUAAUAGGAAAACGGGUCCGGACGGGUAUCCUGAUUCGGACUGUUGACCUGAUCCAACAACCUGGAUCCGACCCACGUCCGAAAAGAACCCAAUUUUAUAUAUUUCGUUUAUUAUUUUUUCUGUUCUCUUUUUGUCUUUUCCCCUGUUUUGUCCUUUUCUUCUGGUCAUUUUCUUCCUCCGAAGCUUUCAUUCUCUGCAACUUCUUUUCUUCAUAUUUCGAACCAAUGCACCCAGGCAUCACACCAUCCUCCAUGGGCGCUGGAGCUUACACCACCGCACCCUGCCGGUCAUCCGUUCCGACCAGCAUGUACCAACACCGAAAUAAAAUGAGCUCACUUUCCGGCGUCUUCCAUCACACCGUCCACUCAUCCAGUUCAAUGAAGUAGACACAACAUAUAUCAAACAAAAUGCAACGUAGCGAUCUCAUUAUUCAUGAAAACCAAGUUAACGACCAGCACCUUCAAAUUCGAACAGAAACAGCAGCUAUUUCUUACAUAUUUCUUUGAAACAUUUCGUCGAAUGGGUUUCCGGUGUCUAACUAAAAGUAAUAUAGCGUGUCAAUGAACAUACACGUUGGUGUCUCAUUCAUCCCGCAUUAAACAAAAGACAUUUCAAGUCGAUGAAAAAAUAUUUCAACAGAUCCUCAACAUGCUUUCACAGAAGCAAAUAAAACCCCGGUCUCAUCUUUAGAACAACACUAAGGCAUCAUAUCGAGCGUGUGAUGAGCACGGAAGAAAGAGAGGUCAUAGACCCGUUGUAAACUCUAGCUCAUGCCCAGACUCAAAAGAGAAUAGCGAGUGACGCUCAAACACGACAGAAGGGACAGCUAAUUUAAACCGAGCGUGAUCGUGGACUAGCGGAAACAAGACCCUGCUAUCGUUUCGGCUCCGUUUUAAAUAAAGCCAAGCAACGGAGUUCCCAUAGACAAGCGUUUGACCGCGGAUGUCCGUACCCCAUGGCCGAACGCUACCUUUUUUUCAUCAGUCCCCGUCGAGCACCCCACUUCUCUCUGCCAAAUCAGCCGCGCUCCUCUCGGCCGAAUCUUUUUCUGUUAGGCCUCUCUCUCCCUUACACGACAGCUCACCUAUUCUAGAAGGCUUGGGCACGCUCACUUCACUUGCUCGCCGCUUCUCUCAGCCGAAUCAUUUUGAAUUAUUUUCUUCUAUUUUCUUUUCGUGGCCCUUGUAGGCCGGCGGCCACGCAUACUAUGUUAACUUUUUCAAAGUUGGAGAGCAGUCGUGUAACGGUGCGAAAGUUAGGGGGCUUUUGAGAAAUUAUCCACAAAAUUAAGAGCAAAAAAGGGGAAUUAAAAGGGAAAUCCGAAAAGAACCCAAGAAAAAACCCCUUCCCCGCGCUUUCUCAUACCCUAAUCAAUCCCAAUUUGGGGAAGAAUUCGGAAAAAGCUCACUCCCGUCAAUUUUCCCCAAGUCGCUUCUCCUUCAUCCUCUUCCAAGAAGGAAGAAAGGAAAUGAUGAACGUGUUCAUGCCGAGGAACUUGGUGCCUCCCGCGCUGUUGGACGCGCUCCACGACGCGCUCAAGCUGAAGGGAGCUGUUUCUUCCAGGGGUGGGCCCCGCGAUUUUCACGCCGUUUCUUCCCCCGAUCACGUGAGUACGUUGGGAUUGGGCGGCGCUACGGCUUUUGGGUUCAUUUUUUAGAAUUGGGUUUGAGGUUGUUUUACGUCUUGAGAAGUUCGAGGAUCUUCAGGCGAAAGGGUGGAAGCUAGUCGGCAAAGAUCUUGUUCUCAUCCUAGUUUUAUCUUUUGGUUUCUUACUCGAGGCUGCUAAAUGCUAAACCAGAACUUGUAGUUGAGAAACGAAAGCGGAAGCAUUGGGGUCAACGUGCUGGUCAAGCAAGUCGAGAGAAGUUCUUUCGGCUGGGAAAAAAAAUGUUGAUUUCGAUGGGGGAUAUUUCGGUUUCUUGUAGUUCUGCAGUGUGUGGUUUCGUGUGCGAAAGAAGGGAGACCUCUGCCUCAAAAAGGGUAUAAUUGUUUGUCUUGCAAUGGAUGGUGUCGAAGUCCUCGCAUCUGGAUUUGAGAUGGAUGAGAAGGUAUGUCUGUUCCUAGAUAAGUCUGGCCUUGUAUGAUUUUUUAGCGUGUAAUCUUUAUUGUUACUUGUCUCUCUAAUUCAGUGCGGCGCGUCACUUAUCCUUAUCCAUGUAUCCUUCUAUGUGAUCCAUUGAUUCUUAUGCCUUCAGACAUGCUUUUGUUUGAACAAAUAUGGCAAUAGCCUGUUGUCUCUCUUAUUGUUUCACCAUUUCCGCGAAUGUGCAAGCUGAGAUUGGGAAACUGGUAACUUCAAUGGGGGAGUUCUACAGACCAAAACUUUAGCAAAUGUUAGCUUCGUAAUUGCGAAGAUGUUUUGGCUGAACUGAGGAAGGGUUUCGUCCAUACUUUUUUGAGUAUUCUCUGUGCAAGUUCUUUUGUAAUCCCAUCUUGAGAGAUAAAUUGUAUUUAUCAAUUAGUAUUGUCCUCAUGCAGUGGGCUUUAAUUGUUCUGAAGAUACCUGUUGUCACCAUUACCAAUGCCGUAAUGAGCACCGUGUUGUUCCUCUGGAGUCUUACAAAGUUCUUCCAUUUUUUGGAUCAACAAUAUGUGUCAUAGGAAUUCCUACAGGUACUGAUGAUUUGAUAUAGUUGCUGCUAUUGAUUGUCCUCUAGUUCUUCAAUUUCUAUGUUGUUCAUUAUCUUAGAUGCACGUAAGGAGAUUCAAAAGCACAUCACACAAAAAAAAAAAAAAAAGGCAUAUCACAAAAAAUGGUGGGAAAUAUUCCGCAGAAUUGACCAGGAAAUGCACUCGUUUAAUUGCAGAAAUAUCCUUUUCUUCUUCAAGAUUAAGGUCCAGUGAUUUGCUUGCAUAUUUUCCCUUUGAUAUCUGAUCGCCGUAUGAAAAUGCAUAUAUGUUUAUCUUGUCUUCGCUCAUGAAAAGACUUUUAAGAGUUUGAAAAGAAAAUUUGUAUAAUUUCAAGGUUUAGUGACAAUUAUAGUUUGAAAUGGGAAAUAUCUAUACUUGAUUUAAUCCUUGUUUCUGGUAAUAUACUUAGUUGGGAAUUUGAUUACUCAAAUGAGAAACAGUGAAACUUCCUGGCACAAGAAUAUCAUUGACUUUGACUUCUAAAUGAGGCUCUUGACUUCGCCAAGAUCUCUGCAUCCUCUGUUCCUUGCUUAACUCCAUCUACAACAAGAAACAGAGCACGUUAAUAGCAACAUAUGAGCCAUUUACCAGAAAACUUUCAUAAAACCCCGGUCUUAUCUUUAGAACAAAACUAAGGCAUUAUAUCGAGCGUCUGAUGAGCAUGGACUAAAGAGAGGUCAUUGACCUAUUCUAAACUCUAGCUCAUGUUUUGACUCAAAAGAGAAUAGCAAGUGAUGCUCAAACUUGACAAAAGGGAUGGCUAGUUCAAACCGUGCAUGCUCGUGGACGAGGGAAAACAAGAUUUUAUUCCUUUUCAAAAUCUGAAGAAAUUUCUAGAGAACUUAUUAGAUCUUCAGUUAACUCCUCAAUCAAUUACUUAUUCAUAAUGCUAAAAGAAAAUUAAUCGAUUUUUCUUUUUCAAUAUACUAUAUUCCACACCCCCAUCGUCCAUCGAUUUGAUUCUUUCAAUAGAUAUAGGUAUUCGUAUUGAAAAUAAUUAGAAAUCUAGGAAUUCGAAGCGUACUAUUAAGAAUUGCCUUUCGAUUGCUUUAGAUUGAUUGGAAUCAAGACAAAUUAAAUAGAAUUUAGAUGCUAUGUACAUUACAUAUAUCAAUACAUAUAUAAAAAAGAUACAUAUCGUAGAUUAAUCUAUAUUAAGAUUAUUUAUAUAUGUUUUUAUUUUAUACCCAGCUAUCAUUUCGGCUCCGUUUUAAACAAAGCCAAGCGACAGAGUUCCAAGUGUUUGACCGCGGAUGUCCUUACCCACCCGCCCCCCCCCACAGGGUUCAAGUUGGUGAAUGUGACCACGAAAUUUGAAUGAACCCUGGAGACUUUAAUUGAUUUAAAUGGGACUUUCCUUGUCAAGUUCAUAGAAUAUGUUCUUCUUCUAUUUAAAUUGGCGGCCAUCUCAAAACGCAUUUAUCUUUUUCUCUGUUAUCAGGAAAGACGGAGAGUUCAUCAAGUAGACGAACUCUGGUGGUUGGUAAGUCUCGAUAAAACCCACACUUUGGUGCAAGGAUGUCGAAUUGAGGUUGGAAGAGGGGGAUUGUUUGGAAGAGUUGAAACCCAUUUAUAGAGGGGAAGGGAGAGUCUAAUACUAUAACCGCNNNNNNNNNNNNNNNNNNNNNNNNNNNNNNNNNNNNNNNNNNNNNNNNNNNNNNNNNNNNNNNNNNNNNNNNNNNNNNNNNNNNNNNNNNNNNNNNNNNNUAGAAGGGCUUGGGGCACGCUCACGUCACUUGCUCGUCGCUCCUCACCCUCGCUCACGGACGUUCCCUUUUUUGGUCACAGCACGUCCUUCUACCAUCUCUCUCUCUCUCUGUGGAGAGCGCCCAUUUAGAGAAGAGAAGGGGCCAUGGGCUGGGCUCCUCUCUUUUCAUAACUCUAAUGGGCCAUGAAGGAAACAAAAGGGAUGAAAGAAAUGGGCUGGAAAAAAUAAUUCAACGGAUGGGCCAACGGAAAGAAGGAGCUGGCCGACCAUUUGUUAAAGGAGUGGGACCGGCCCGUUCGACUUAAUCAUUUUACUUUAUUUUUUUUUAUUUCCUCUUCAUUCCACCUAUUUUCUUUCAUUUCUUUUUUUUUUAUAUAUAAUUUUUUGGAUCUUUAUACUUCCAUUAUUACUAUUUUCUUUAUUUUAAAUAUAUUUUAUUUUUGGCUUUUUUUAUCAUUUUAUAGAUUUUUGUAUUUUUGGAAAAUGAGUGGACAUUUAAAACGUCGAUAAAACUUCGGGCGUCAACGAGAUCUAUUGGUGAUUUCCAUGACCCUUUCGUUGAAGUACAUAUCUCAUCUACUUUUUUUGUACUGCCUUUUUCAAGUUGAAACGUGCUUUAGAAAGCUACUUUUAAACGUGAUUUUUUAUUAGAUCUCAUGCUUUCAAGGUCUUGAUGAGGACAUCGGUCCACAAGUCAGAAAAUUAUAUGCUGAGGUAUCACUAGCCCCAAAACUAAAAAUUACUAUUUGCAUUGCUCUCUAGCUGCUAUAGACAUGUUGCAAUCUUGUUUUGACAGUUCCUCUUCGUGAAGUGUUCACAAAACCAUCAUGAUUUUGUAUAUUGCCAUAGUUUGCAGGAAAUAAUAGUUGGAUGUGGGAUCAACUGCAUUUACGGUGUUGAUAUUUAAUAUAUUUUAUGGUCACGAUUGCAGGCACAUGUUCAUAUAGUGGUCAAACAUGGUGAUGGUUUUCCUGAUGUGGGUUCCACAUGUGUUAGUUUAUGAUUUAUUUAUGCAAUCAUAUGAAAUUAUGCAAGCACCAAACCUGCCUUUCCCCUUGUUCUGAAUUAACAACUAAUGUAAAUAGUGGACAGUGCAACCUGCUUUUUGAAAUGGCUGCAGUUGUCAACUUUGGGUCUCUGUGAAGUCGUUCAAGGAAACAUUUUGAUGAUGAUCAUGAUAGCAUGCAUAAUGAAACGUGGAGAACCCACUAAAUUGGUUGGCUUGACUUGUUAUUUUAUAUGAUCUCUAUUUAUUCAUCAUCUUUUGAUCAUUGUCCUUGUCCAGACCUUGGGAUCACUGAGAUGUAAAACAAUUAGAGGGUAUUCUUUCCUACUUGAAAAGAAGAAAAUACAGGGGGAAUUGAAGUUGUGAGGUACGUGGGCAUCAGCAUAUUAAAAUAAAUAAUGUUUCCAUGGAGCCCGCCAUCUCUACAUUGUAAAUGGUUUUAUAUAAUCUCUAUUUAUUUAUCAUCUCAAUUGGUUUUUACUUGCAUCCACUAGUUUUUUGUUCGAAAUUUCUUCGUUCAUACUGAACCGCUUGCAGAAUCAAAUCCUAUCCCACAAGAUUGUAUAUCACGAGGCUUUUGUCAGUGUAAUGUCUUGACUUUUGGAGACUUGGUACAGCUCGCAGAGUUGUGGCCAAAUGGUUUUAUGGCAAUUUGUAGGGCCAAAGAGAAGCGAAGGGCACUUUAUAGCAGACACAAGGUAUGAUUAUUUCUACGUUCUUCCAGGAACUUCCUUUUCCAUGAAAAAGAAUAUGUAGUGCUUGGUGAAAAGGGAGAACGCCAUGUUUUUGACGAUAAUCCAAUUUCAGAAAAAUCCCCGAAAAUAACCUUCUAACAUUGUAAACCGAAUAAAACAUAAGUCAAAAUCCUAAUAAGUAGCCAAAGCAUUUGUAGUACUUCUUUUUAUACAACGCAUCUAAUCCAUAUCAAGAGAUUAGAUUCAUUCUCAUUUUUUGCAAAAUUGAGGUUUCUCUACUAUUCGAAAAUAAUUUUAUUGCCGAUAACUGAAAAUGGAAACAAACAAGGGUAUCCGGGUAUACACUGCUUCAAUUUGAUGGACUUUCCCUUUUCAAGAUCUCUUUCAUUAAACUAGCGAAAAAAAAAAAAAGAACUGGAAAUUUCGUCCUGCAUAAAAAUCCCAAGCGGAGGAGAAAAAAGAAUGUAUGGAAAUCCAGAAAAGGGGAGGAGAGGGGAAAAUGGGGAUUUGGCCUUUAACCAUAUUCGAGAAAAAGAAAAAAAAAAGGAAAUAAAGAAAAGAUUAAAAAUUAAAAAACAGGGGAUGGAAGAGCGAAACGACGUUCCCCUCUGCCAAGAACUGCCAAGGUCGAACGGUUCGUGCUGCGUCGUCGUUUUUUCCUUUAAACUCCAAGCGCUGAAGCUGGCGGAUGUGGGCGUUCGAGGUGGGGUCACAUGAAAACCGGAAGCUUUCGAAUCUCUCUCUGUCUCUGCACCUGCGAGUCACGUGCCACGGACGAGAAAUGUGGGGGAUGGAUCGUGGGUCGGGCGAGGAAAGGGUGCCAUUUGCCCGUUGCAAUCGGUGCUGCGAAAACAGUGCUGAGUCCGGAUCCGAUCCGGGCGUGGUUUUGUCUUUUUAUCCCUCUUGAAUAUCUAAACCCAUCAAAAUAGAUUGAAAACGUACAUAAUAAAUUAUGAAGUAUUAAAUGGGUUUAUGACCCGACCCACCUCAAUUUUGGAUGUAAAUUUUCCUAGAUUUAGGUCAAAUAAAGAGAUGUUUUAGCAAUGCGGAACAUGUCAAAUAUGAGUCACUAUAUACAUAUUGUAUGUAAAUAGAUUAAAACAGAUUAAAAUGAGUUUAUUUGGGCCGGACCAUUUCCGACCCAUUCCAAAACAAACUUGAAACACCCUUUUGAUGGGUGUAUGAAGAUCUAUCUCCAAAUGACAAAAUAAGUUCAUUGCCAUUCAAUCUUUAUCACUCGUGAUCCUGGAUUUGAAUAUCGCAGCAUUUGCACCUCUUUGUUUUCACCAAAACAUCAUUUUGUCGCUCUCUAUUUUCCAAAAUUGCCCUCCUGUCGAAAGUUAAAAUCACACACCAUCUCCUUACCAACUAAUCACCAAAUUACACCCGUGUGUAAUUAGCAUGCACUCCACAUCCGCUCAAUAAAAAGAAUUCUUUUCUCUUCAUACGUUAUCCAUUUGUGAUCACGUAUGCACGCAGUGCGGGCCUCAAGACUAAAGCUGAUGCAAGAAAAUAACUCUUCGUUCCGUGGAGGCUUGGCGAUCUUUUUUUUUUUUUUUUUGGGCGUCUCUUCAAAGUUAUUGCACCUAUAAUUGCAACAACGUUGCCCUAAUUUAGUAAAGAUGUGAUGGAUCUAUAAGAAAGGUGGGGAGUGAGGGCUGACUCAUUGCCUAGAAUUUCUUUAUGCAAAAAGGCUUUCGAUCCUUACCAUGUUGACCUGAUUCUGGGACCAGAAUCCCAGCCGCUCCAUCUCUCCAAUCUGAGCAUAUUUAACUGUAUGCCAUGAUUACAUGUGGAGCUCCGCAUCGAAAACGGCAAACAAAGGAAUGGAUGGAAAAGAAAAGCUCCAUUGCCUUGUAUAAAAGUAGCUGUAAUCAAUCAUUAUCAUCACCAUCAUCUGGUGCUAAAAGAAUCCUAAUAAACUAUUACAGAUCAGAUAGAAUUAAGCAAGAGGAAACCAAGAUAACUUCGAGCACCUUCUCGGAAGAUGCAAGACAAGGAAAGGCGAUAUUGCCGUAGAAGAAGAUUAAGAGAAAAUCGGAGGUGGAUUUGAAUGAAAUGCCUUUCCACUCAAAGAAGUCCAGAGAGGAAAGACUCGUAUCUACCAAAUCCAAUCCCUCUCUUCCCCCUAAAAUAAACCUUCAACCAAUUGCACAUCCAAGUUUUGAACAAUCUAGUUAAUGCUACAUAGCGAGAAUUAAAAAGCAUUUGCCUUUAAGAUGUCCCUUAUGACAUAAGUUCACUUCCUUUUGUUGAACUUUUCAAUAGCUAAUUGAAUUCAUUUGAUUGACUGGUUGUCAUUGCCUUUGUAGUUAAUUGGCAUUGUGGAUGCCUCAUAUCUCCAGCAAUGAUUUUUUUGGGGCAAGAGCUGUAAAUUCCUAUUUGCCUUAAAAUUAGUUGCCUUUUUUGAGUUUAUUUUGGAGAUCGUCUUCUAUGUCAUCAAUAUAGAGCGGCAAUUGCCGGUAAGUUUUGUCACUUGGUGGACAAGGUUUUCUGUAAUGAAGUACCUUACUAGGUGCAUAAGUUGGGAGUGGCAAGGGAAACGGAUCGAGAUUUCUUGAAACUUUUUGGUGUUUAACUAUUUGAUCAUGUGGAGCCUAGUUGAUUCCAUUGGUCAGCUCCUAUAUUAAGGCUAACCAUGGACACACUGAUGAAUUAGUCUAGCAAUCCCGCAGAAGCCUUAAUACAAACUUGUUUAGAAACUGAGGUCAAACACAUUUCUGAUGAAUAGUAGACUUAUCAUAGGGCACUUCAAGAAGAAUAGCGUCACAAACUCAACAUGGAUAUAGCUGUAGGAUUAAUUAAAUGAAUGCAUAUCAUAUAAACCAAUAUAUCUAUAUGGAAAUUGUUUAUAUGUAGCUUGAUGGCUUAUUCAAAAUCUUCUUUGUACGAGGUGUGUUGGAAUUUAGGGGUCCCACCUCCUCUAUAGUUUCCGAAGUCCCAAAGUAUUGAUUGGAUCUAAUUGUACAUCUACUCCUACUGCCAGGCUUCCUUUUUCAUCUUGUAAGACUACAUGUUUCAAGGGGCUCUGAAUGCUCUGUCCAAUAUCGCGAUAGUCAUGUCCAACCUAAGAUGUCAUGGAUUGAUUCAUUGGAUUUUUGUAGUUAUUAUAUUUGUCCCAAGAUUAUAUGUGCAAACAUAGCAAGCAUAUUUCCAAAGUCAAGUAUAAGGAAUGAUCAUAAGUUUUGUUAGCAUGAUGAAUUUGUAAGUCAAUUUAAAAGAUGUCGUGACGAUACAUUUGGGUCUUAAAACUUUCAUUUUGUGCACCCGAGCCUCAACUUGUUGUAUUCAUCCACUUUAGUCUUCCCAUUAGUCCUAUUAGGUUUUGGCAGACAGAAAAUGCCCCGUGAGUAGAAAAAAAGCCACUUGUUAUUAUCCAUCCCUUGACAGAAUUAACAAAAGGACCCACAUAUGUUGGAGUUACAAAUUUUGGGAUUUAAAUGUACGAAAUGAAAGUUUUGACUCACGUUUAUUAUUAUAAUUAAUAUCAGGAUUUGCUUUGAAAGUGUCUCUAAAAUUCUUUUCGUUGGUCAUAUAAUGUAGUGUUGAACUCUAUAAAAAGAUAUCACCCAAAAAAAAAAAAAACCUAUAAAAAGAUUUAUCGCCAAGAAGCCCCAAUCUUUGGUUGCUCUUGAGACAUGAUAAAAAGUGUUAUCCAUGAUCCAAUGUAAUUUUUCGGCACUUACGGGUCCACAAUAAAAACUUCAUGUGAAGUUUUGAUCUAAACAUGUGACUAAAUUCUUAGGGAAAAUUAACAAAAUAAUCCUCAACGGAUGCUAAUUCGAUUAUAAAUAUUUUAAUUUGGUCAAUUUAAUUUUAAAACUUUUGACAAAUCGUUAUUGUAAUUCUUUUGACUAAUUUUGAUUGAAAAUUGCUAAUGUGAAUAUUGAUCAUUUAUCAUGACACAAUCAAUGUUGACAUGGAUAAGUUUUUGCAAUUUAAAAUUUUUUCUUUUUGAAUUCUUUGCUUUUAUUCUUUGCUUUUAUUUUCUUUCAUGGCUCGUGUCGCCGGCGCGGGCAUAGUGCGUAACCUUUUCACAGUUGGAGAGCAGUCAUGCAACGGUGUGAAAGUUGGGGGGUUUCUGAGAAAUUAUCCACAAAAUUAAUAGCACAAAAAAGGGGAAUUAAAACGAAAAUCCGAAAAGAGCCCAAGAGCAACCCCUUUCCCGCGCUUUCUCAUACCCUAAUCCAUCCCAAUUUGGGGGAAGAAUUCAGAAAAAGCUCACUCCACUCAAUUUUUCCCCAAGUCGCUCCUCCUUCAUCUUCUUCCAAGUUCCGAUUCCCUUCGCGCUUCACCGUUGCUCUCUCUCUCUCUCACUCACGCAAAUGCAUUUGGAUUUCGCAGAAAUCCUUAGCAACGAGACCGAUCAUCUGUUGAGGAAGUCGCUGCUGGAGAAGGAAGAUAGGAAAUGGCGAAGACGAAGCCAUUUCAUGGGGGGCGACCGUGUUCGUGCCGAGUAACUUGAGUGCCUCCCGAGCCGUUCGACGCGCUCAAGCUGAACGGAGCUGAGGCCUUCCUCCGCUGCGACCCUUGCAGAAGUGGGCCCCGCGAUUUUCACGCUGUUUCUUCUCCCCGAUCACGUGAGUACGUUGGGAUUGGGCGGCGCUAACGGCUUUUGGGUUCAUUUUGAGAAUUGGGUUUGAGGUUGUUUUACGUCUUGAGAAGUUCGAGGAUCUUCGAGCGAAAGGGUUGUAAGCUAGUCGGUGAAGAUCUUGUUCUCGUCCUAGUCAUAUCUUCUGGUAUUUCCUCGAGGCUGCUAAAUGCUAAACCAGGACUUGUAGUUGAGAAAUGAAAGCGGAGGCAUUGGGGUCAAUGUGCUGGUCAAGCAAGUCGAGAGGAGUUCUUCUGCCUGGGAAAAAAAUGUUGACUUUGAUGGACGAUAAUUCUUGCAGGUCCGCAGUGUGUGGUGGUUUCGCGUGCGAAAGAAUGGAGACCUCUACCUCGAAAAGGCUAUAUUUAUUUGUCUUGCGAUGGAUGGUGUCGAAGUCCUUGCAUCUGGAUUUGAGAUGGAUGAGGAGGUAUGCCUGUUCCUAGAUAAGCCUGGCCUUGUAUGAUUUUUUAGCGUGUAAUCUUUGUUGUAACUCGUCACUCAAAUUCAGUGUAGCGCGUCACUUAUCCUUAUCCAUGUAUCCUUCUAUGUGACCUCCUGAUUCUUUGCUUUCAGACAUGCUUUUGUUUGAACAAAUAUGGUGGCAGCCUGUCGUCUCUCUCAUCGUUUCACCAUUUCCGUGAAUUUGCAGACUGAGGACGAGUUUCCCCCAUAUUUUUUUUCUUGAAUGUUCUCUGUGCAAAUUCUUUUAAGAAUCCCAUCUUGAGAGAUAAAUUGUAUUUAUCAAUUAAAGUUGUCAUUGUGCAGUGGGCUUUAAAUGUUCUGAAGAAACCUGUUGUCACCAUUAAUUGGUUACACGAAUGUUGUAUUGUGCAGCGUGUUGUACCUCAGGAGUCUUCCAGAGUUCUUCCAUUUUCUGGAUCGACAAUGUAUGUGUCACAGGAAUUCCUGCACACACUGAUUAUUUGAUAUAACUGCUGCUGUUGGUUGUCCUCCAGUUCUUCAAUUUUUAUGUCCUUCAUUAUCUUAGAUGCACGGAAGGAGAUUCACAAGCAUAUCACACAAAAUGGUGGGAAAUAUUCUGCAGAAUAGACCAGGAAGUGAACUCAUUUAAUUGCAGAAAUAACCUUUUCUUCUUCAAGAUUAAAGUCCAGUGAUUUGCUUGCAUAUUUUCCCUUUGACAUCUGAUCGCCGUGUGAAAAUGCACAUAUCUUUAUCUUGUCUUCUCAUAUGAAAACACUUUUACGAGUUUGAAAAGAAAAUCUGUAUCAUUUCAAGGUUUAGUGACGAUUAUAGUUUGAAAUAGGAAAUAGCUAUACUUCAUUGAAUCAUGGUUUUUGGUAAAAUCCUUUUACUUGGGAAUUUGAUUACUCAGAUGAGAAACAGUGAAACUUCCCGGCAUGAGAAUAUCAUUGACUUUGACUUCUAAAUGAGUCCUAAAGAAUUGUGUUCUGUGGUUCAGGAAACAAGGUGUUAAACAACUUACAAUUUGAACCACCAAUUGUUAAAUGAUCCUCAGCCUGUUCUCGCUUUUCCAGUGUGAGUUAGGACUGCCUGUUGGUUGCUCAAAGCACAUUGCUCAGCAAUGUUAUUAUUUUUUGAAUCUUUCUAUUGGCCUCAUAAAUGAUGCUCUGAAGCACUGUGAGUCCCACUACGAUGCCCUUGACUGGCUGUAAGCUCCAGGAGAUAAAUACAAGGUCACUAAAAGAUGGGGUCACAUUCAUAUGUUGAAUCGCAAAUGGUUUGAUCGAUCAACUUCCAGGAAAGGUGAUAUUUCAGUUACUAAAAUACCUUGUUGCUGUCAAUUGUAGUAGCAUUUAAGUUCUUUUUGGGCCAUCUUGUUGUCUGCCUCUAAUUUUGAGUGCUUUUGCCGACUAGCAUGUCUUAAUGAGGAGUCCUAUCCUGUUCAGGGUAGUUCCAUGUCUUUAGUGAAAACUGCAAGUAGUCAGCAAAAUCAGUACAGAGUUAUUAGAAGUUCACAGUCUCUCCCCUCUUCAAUGGUUGGAGAUCAGGACUUCCAUUCCAUUUCCGCUACUGACAAUGCUGAUCCAGAUUUAGAAAUUACUCUCUCACAGAAUGUGUCUUCAAUGUUUGUGGAUCCCAUUUCCUUGCAAAAGAGGAUAAUAGUGAAGUGGCAGCUGUGCAAUCCAAUGGUGAAGUGAAUCAUGAUGGUUGGGUUGCUGAAGACUCUGAAAAUGAAGACAAUGACCUGUAUUUGUUAGAAUAUGGGUUAACAUCAUCAAAUGCUCGAUUUCCCCAAGAGUGUUCCUAAAAGAAGUGAUCUGCAACAACCAUUCAAAGUUGGCUUGAAGAUACAAAACUUGGUGAUCUGAUUUUGAAGGCAGUGGAGCCUUAAAUGGUUCUGCUUGACACAGAUGAUGACUGACUAAAGAGUAUAUCAUUGUACACUGCUUUCUCUCUUUUCAUUAUGAUUCUCCGUGCUCUUCAUGUGAACAAUGGGAAGGCUGAAAUGUUAGUAUUGCCUAAUAGGACAGUAGUUGCUGAUUCACAUGACAUUUGGCUGUCUUUCACAUAUGAUUAGUGGCUGAAGGCUGCGAUCCUUUAAAUGGCUUUGUCAGCUUGCAACUCUCCAAUUUGAGGAUACCAUGCACUUCAUGACAUGGGUGGCCAAUUUUGCUGAAUGAAAUCCUUGUGUUUACAUGUUAAAAGAUGACGUAUGACUCUAAUUAAUUUGUGUUAAAGACAAUCUUUUAGCUCUUCCCGCUAAUGACAUGCAUAUAGUUUCCAGUAUGGUAUAUCCUUGUAAGUAAUAAACGGUUUCAUGUGGUUUUCUUCUGGAUCUCUUUCCUGCAGUUGCUGCUGACCUUGCAAUCUUUUGGCUGGUGAAGGUAAAGAUCUUUUUUCUCUUCAUGUGUUGAUCCUUUGCUUUUGUUUAUUGUGCAGCAGAACCCAGGAUUUUUAACCUUGUUUUGAAGUCUUAUAUUUGGUGGUACGGGUGUCACUGAAUUUAUUCCUUUUUGUCCUUUUGUGUUUUGGGCCACUGAUGUCUUAUCUCAGUCAACGGAUGAAAGUGGGAAGGGUCAAAGAGCCAAUAGUACUCCAUUUAUCCUAGUAUUGCUCCGGAAGACACUUGAUAGAGCACCGACAUACCUUUGAUUUAUGUAGUUUCUAUCCAAUAAAAGCCGAUGAAAUCAGAUUUUUCUAGAUCAGUCUAACGGUCCGUUAUAUGUUAAGCCGGAAAAUGACAAGUUUGAUCCUCAGCAGAAGGCAAAAAUCUUGUUAGUUUUUCAUGUUACUCCUUUUAAUAACACUCUCCUACUAUUGUUCCCCUGGAUCAAUGAAAAUAAUUGGACUAACGUGGACUCAAUAAACUCAUCAUGAGCAGAGCAAUCAUGAGAGAAGAAAACACAUUAUGAAUUAGGACAAAGAUGAAAAUUUGACAAAUUUCAUUAGGAUAUUGAUGUAUAUUCCAAGCAACCAAUAGCUUGACAAAUCAAUGUCGACCCUCGUCAAACCUUUCGUGAGGCUAGCAAUUGAAUGCAUCGCAUAUUCUCGUGUUCACAUUCAUGUAUCAUGACUUAUAUUAGGUCACUCCUUUUCAUUUCAAGGUGUCACGCUCCGAAUCCCGAGCAUGUGCCCAUCCUUCUUUGGUCGAUAAAAUUUUGCGACUUCCCAGGACUAGUCGUCGAUCCUUUUUGUUUUAUUGCACAUGUGGAAGCGGAUUAUAAAUCCCCUGACAAUAAUUAUCUCGGGAUAGAAAAGCAGGACAAAACAAACAUGCUUUUAUAUAUACACUAAGUCAUGUACAAAAAUCUAUGGCCAAAAGACUACAGAAGACUGGCCUUCCAAAAAGAAGCGGUCCUAACUGACUUACACUUCCGAUCACCUCCUCUCAGCUCUAGGUCCUCCAUUCGACUACCCUGAAAAUGUUGUCCCACAAUUACUUGGAGACAGUUCUCAGUGAGUCUAGCUUUAAACCCCAAUUAGGAGGGAAAUACGCCAAGAAGCGUCCUAAUCACACAAUCAAGAAGACUUACCUCAUCUUAGAUCCACCUGCAGGUCAGUACAAUUUAUAACUCAGACAGCAUGAAAACGUGAGCAACAAAUAAGCUCCAACAACUGGAACGUCACACUCAAUUAAUCAUGUGUUCAUAGUUUUAAUUUCGGCAUAUAGCACGGCCUAUUCUCUCUUCGGUGGUCUUCAGGCAUCAUCUCACCCCAUUGAGCACGGCACAUCUCUUUAUCAGACAGCUUUCCCAAAAAAGCAUAGGGUCUAGAAUUUACGGUGACCGGCUUCCCGUUGUCCAGGGGUAUCCCGAAUAAGGAUAACGUCUAGCUUAAUAGCUCAGGAUGAUUGCUCUUAACCAACACACGAUCACUCAAAUAUGGCCUAGAGCACCGUGCAUUGUACUCAAAUGCUUCAAUUAAAAAUAGUGAGCCUGGCUUUUUUCCUCGUAAUAAAAAUUCACAUGAAAUUACUCGUGUGUAGAUACACGGUCAACUUGACCUAGAAAAUUUGAUAUUCUUCCUUUUUGAAAUCCCACUAUUUCAAAUAGUACUAAAAACUAUUUUCGGUGCCAAAAUCUGACACCCGAGAUUUUUUGAAUAAAUAUUGAAAAUUCAUAAUUUUUGGAAUUAAAUACCAAAAAUCCAAUCAACAUUCAAUUUGCAAAAUUUAACACUCAAUUGCAAAAAUUAACCACACCAUUGCAAUCAGCACGAAAUUUCGAUCACCGAAUAUCCCAGCCUAAUUUCUAGAAAAUAUUUAAUAAUUAAAUAAUUACUGAAAUUAAUUAAAUAAAUCAAUCUAAAUUCUAAAAAUACUAACCUAGGCCAAAAUCAUUAAAUUAAUAAUCAAUAUGGACCCGGAAAAUUUCCGAACCCCUUCUAGAUAAAUAGUACAAUUUAUUUAGGCCUUAGCUAAACCAUGCUAACCACCUAACAUGCUCAAUUAAAUAAUUACAUUUCUAAUUUAAUCUAACUAAUAACCUAAUUCCUAAUAAAAUAAAUCAAAAUAUCCUUUAAACGUCAUUAGCCUACUAAGCAGAGUUUAGAGUAUAAACUCUCCGAUUAAUUGCGGAAACCGGUUCACCGCGACGACGAUGCGACAGCGGCCGAAACUUGAAUUUUCGGCGGCGUCAACGGAGCUCAGACUAGGCCUAGAACGGGCCCAACAAAUCUCAGCCCAAAUUGAGUUUGUUAUUGGAACGGGCUUGGCUUGAAGCAGGUUGACCUCGCGGGCUUGGACUGCCGAAAAAGACAACUUGCUGGGCUUCAAAGUUGGACUGGACUGCUGAUGGGCAGAACAAAAUGGGCUCAAAGGAGCUGCUUCUUGGGCUGCAGCGUGGGCUCGAAACUGGACAAAGGUGGAGAUGGGCUUCGGCUUCAAAUGGCGUGGGUUUCUAUUGCUCGCGUGGGCUGCUUGUUUCGGUGAUGCUGGGCCCAUGAGAUGGGCUGCCGAAUUGAGCUGAGGGAGAGAAGCAGCUUCGGGGAUGUUUGCUAGCGUUGGAUCGAAUGGCAGCUUGCAGAUGUCAAAGAAGAUGGCGUCAACGCGUGGCUUUGGUUCAUGGGAAGCUGCUCGCUCGUCGAUGCUGGGCUAGAGAACUUCACGGUCAACCAAGAGGGGCUUUGGUGGGGGAGAGUUGACCAGCGUGGGGACGUGGACUGGCGAUGCAGGCGUGAGGCUUCGGUGGAUGAUGGCAGCUGGGAGAAAUGAAGAUGGCAAGCGCGUGGACAUGUAGGCAAGAGGCAGCAGGUUCAGUCGCGAAAGAGCAGCUCGAUGAAGAAAUAAUUGUUUCGAUGGACUUCGUUCGUGGAUGAAAAUACAGAGGAAGAUGGGAAUAGAAGCAAGUGACAGAGGCUGCUUCGGUCUUUGCUUGGGACGCCGCGGAUGGAGGAAAAUUAAAGAGCAGGCAGGACUGAAUGAAGAUGGCUGAAGAAAUGAAGAGAUAAGGCCAAUUGGUCAAAUGAAUGAUUAAAAUGCCCCAAUAGUCCAAGCUGCAUCCUCUCAAUUAAAUGCAUUGUCCCCCUAAUUCUUUCCACAAUUUAAAUCUCACAAUAAUAUCCAAAUUGAAAUCCACCCCAUUCUUAAAUUCGAAUUUCACCAAUUAAAUUUUAAUUUCUUUACUCAAUUUCCCAAAUUGAGGUCCAAUUUCGAUGUAGAAAAAUCCCGAACAAUUUUCUAUGAUUCCCCGACACUCAAAGGCUCGGCUUGGAAGUCCAAAUUUCCAUUGACUUAGCCCAUCUGAAUUUCUGCCAAUUUUUUGCGACAUCCAAAUCAAUUUUCCAUAAAAAUCCUGGAAUUUCUGAAAAAUCUUCGGAGGAUGAGUCGACGUUUCUAAAAUAGCUCGUGACACCACAGAACUUUCAAUUUAUGAAAUCGAGUUCAAAUUCGCGGUUAUUUUCAAUCCGGUGCACUUUUAACGUGACCUAGUCUACCGGGUAACUUUUAGGAAUUUUUUGUGCAAUUUACCCGUGAUCGAUUUAUCUUGAGUCAAAAUGUACAUCUCCGACACAUUGGCGACUCUCAAUUGUCGUGAAAAUCUCGAGAUUUCAAUUACGGGUACCGGUACCAAAACAACAGAAAAUCAAUUUAGUUCCGAUUGAUGAGAAUUUUGUAAAAUCACCCACAAUUUGAUCACAUAUCUCAGUCAAAUCGACCUAUCUUUGAUCUCUAAUCGAUCUCUGACAGUGCCGUAACGACCCUUGCAGACUAACAAGGUCGAGUAGUCGGCUCCUGGUCGAAUUCUCAAGUCCAAUUGCAUUUAGAUUCCUUAAUUGUUUCCCCAGAUAGUCCAAUUAUCUCGUGAGUGAUCAGCUCAGAGAAUAACAUUAUUGGUGCAUCGACGAAAGGCCCGAUUUAUUUAAUCGAAAACGAAAUCUGAAAAUUGAGGCUGUCACACAAGGGGGAAAAGAAAAAAGUAUAGUUAUAGAGCAGCAAAUGUAUAGAUAAAUGAGAGUUACUUGGAGAUAAUAAACAAAACGAAAAGUUCAGUGCAUAUCAAAUUUACAACAAGCAUCAAAAUUUCGCAAAAUAUCUAUGAAAAACUAUGAGAACCCUAUAUCAAGUCUUACUAGAAAACACAAGUAGCCACACUUUCAUCCAAAAGCUCCAAAUUAUGAUUAGCACUGUCCAUUGCAUCACUUAUAAAUUAAUCCUAUGCAACAUUUCCAUAAUAAAGACCGGUCUCUUGUCUCGCCGUGAACAUAACCUAAGUGUUUGUAAUUAUGAUGUCCCCUCACAUUCACACACCUUCGAGGCAAUUCAGGGGAAGAACAAGAAUCACUCCAAAGUUGAACGUUGACUAAAGUCUUUUAUUUAUUUAUUAAUUUUUUGGAGUAGGUUUUGUCCGCAUUGCCUUGUCCCUUUCUUUGGUUAAAAGAGGACUUGGGAAAUGCAAUGAAGCGAGCAAGAUGAAGGAUGACUUUGACUUGCUUUCCCUCGCCUGACGCUAUGAAAUAUGAUUAGCUAACAACCAUGAUUUGGAAGUUGUAUGCUUUCCAUAUAAAUAACCAAUCAAGAUUGAUUUAAAUAUGAGUAUACAUCACCUCCUUCAUUACCUUCUUUUAAAUAUAAUUUAAGCAAGCUGCAAAUUAAAAAUAUGGAAUGAAAUAUAUCAAGCUGCUCUGAUUACAUCAUAAUUAUAUAAAAAGAAUUAUUACGAAUUUUUUAAUUCAAUCCAUUAUUAAGUCGUAGUAUGGGUGAAAAUUGAAAACUAUCAGCUAGAACCGUAUUCAAUUUUUAACGCAAAUCUUCUUUGGUUCCCACAUCCAAUGACCCAGCAACACUGCAGAAGACAGAGACCGUGUUUUCUCAUUUUCACACGUGCAAAAACCAAAGAUAUUUGCAUCCAUUUUACUUGCCAUAAACCAAAGUAAAACAUCUGUUUCAAAUUUCCCUCUCCUAGUUUUAAACAUUGAAGCUGUUUGACAUUAAGGGUGUGUUUGUCUUGUGAAAAAUGAAUUUGACAAACAUUUCCACUAAAAUCGCUAACAAUAACGAAUGAACAAAAGAUACUUUUAUGACUCAUGAAAAUGUUUGGACCUAAAUUUUGUCAAUAAUGAAAAUAAUUUUCAUUGGCUAAUUACGUUAAGUGAUAUAAGCAAUAAUUUUUAUGAUAUAAAUACCUUGCCAUGUGCAUGAAAAGUACGUUUGAGAGUGAUGUGCUUUUUGAAUAUCAUGCUCUUCAUGACAAGGGGGGUAAAUUUUACCGAAUGAAAUGGUUGUUUUUACAUGUUAAAAAAGAUGAGGUAUGACUAUAGUUAUUUUGUGUUGAAGACAAUCUUUCAGCUCUUCCCCUUGAUGGCAUGCAUAUUGUCUCUAGGAUGGUUUGUGUUUGUAAAUAAUAAAAGGUUUUCUUCUGUUUCUUUCCUACAUUUUCUGUUGACCUUGCAAUCUUUUGGCUGGUGAAGGUAAACAAUAUUCUUUGUUCACAUCAUGUGUUUAUCCUUUGCGUUUGUCUAUUAAGCAAUAGAAGCCAAGAUUUUUAACCUCGUUUCAAAGUCUUAAUAUUUGGUGGUACUAAGAUUAUGGGUGUGAAUGAAUUUAUUCCAAUUUGUUCUUUUCCAUUUUGGGCCACUGAUGUCUCAUCUCAGUCGACUGAUGAAAGAAAGAAGAGUCAAAGAUACAAUCUUAUUCCAUUUAUCCAACUAUUGCUCUGGAAGACACUUAAGAGAGUACCAAGAUACCUUCGAUUCCUGUGGUUAAUGACCAAUAAAAGCCAGCAAAAUGGGAUUUUUCAGAUCAGUUUAAUAGUCCAUUAUCUGUUAACUUGUUAAGCCCUAAAAUGACAAGAAUGUUCCUCAUCAGAAGGCAAAAAUUUUACUAAUUUUACAUGUUACUCCUUUUAAUAGAAUUCUCAUAAUAUGGAGCAAUUUUUUUUUUUAUCUUAUAUAUGUGCUGAAUUGUAUCCGGACCAAAAAAAAAUGUUGGAUCUAAUGUAAAUCUCAAAAAACAAAACAACUCACGAGCAGCAAAAGCGAAGCAAGCAGGGCGGAGGAAAAAGGAUUUUAUGAAUUUAAAUAAAGAUAAAAAUUUGACAAACUCUAUCAGGUAGCUAUUUUUGGAUAUGUUGAUGUAAUUUCAAGUAACAGAUAGCUUUCACAUGUCAAUUUCAACUCUUGCCAAACACUUGAUGAUAGACUAGCAUUAGGAUUACAUGUAUCAAAUAUUCGUGAGGUACAUUCAUGGACCAUGAUCUAUAUUGGCUCACUCUUGUCAAUUUAAAGGAAAAAGAGCAUAAUUAUAGAACAAUAAUAUUACCACAUUUGCUAUUAGAUAAAUAUAAGUUGUUUAGAGUCAAUAGGACAGUUUGAUGUAUAACAUAUUUAUGUAGUAUUGUGAAACAUUUAGAUUUUAAUAAAACACCUAAGAGAAACCAUGCAAACCCCAUACAAAGCCCCUGCUGCAAAAUACAAAUUUUAGUACAAUUAUUAUAUCAUAAUUCAUUUGCCCCGUCACAUCGUUUAUAAAUUAAAUUUAGACAAUAUUUUCACCAUAAAUAAUGGUUUAUGUUCUCCUCAUGUAACUAAGCAAGCAAAAUGGUGGAAGAAUUUGAUUUGCUUUCAAUUGCUAGAAUCUUUUUCCCCCAUUUCUUUUGAGUAGGUCUUGUUGGUUUGGCAAGCAAGAUGGCGGAAGACUUUGAUUUCUUUUCCUCGUCAAUCCUUUGCCUGCCUCCUCCUUCUUGUUAGCUUUUUCCUUACCACUUUCUUUGUAAUUGAGUGAGCAGGAUGGUGGAAGACUUUGAUUUGCUUUUCUUUGCCAGUUCUUCCUCUACCUCUUCUUUUAGGUCAUGUUAGCUUUUGCAUCGCUUUCUCUACAACUAAGCAAGUAAGAUGGUGGAAGACUUUGACUUGCUUUUCCUCGCCAAUCCUUCCCCUUCUCUUAGGUCUUGUUAGCUUUUGGCUUAUCACUUUCUUUGUAACUAAGGAAGCAAGAUGAUGGAAGACUUUGACUUGCUUUUCCUCACUAGUCCGUCCCCUCCCCCCCCCUUCCUUUAGGGGUGAGCACGGUUCCGGGGUAACCGGGAAACCGGGAACCGAACCGGAAGAGGGUCCCGGUUCGGUUCCCGANNNNNNNNNNNNNNNNNNNNNNNNNNNNNNNNNNNNNNNNNNNNNNNNNNNNNNNNNNNNNNNNNNNNNNNNNNNNNNNNNNNNNNNNNNNNNNNNNNNNAUUUAAAAAAAAACCCUAACGUCCCCUCCGCAAGAUUUCCCCCCCCCCUCUGCGGAUUCUUCCCCCCCUUUCCCUUUCUUUUCUCUCUCUCUCUCUUUCUUUUCUCCCCUUUUCCCUCGUCACGUCACUUCCUGCCCCCUCAACUUUUUUCUUUUCUUCUCUUUCUCUCUUCUCUUUCCUCCUCUCUCGGCCAAAACCCUACCCCUUCUUCUUCUUCUUUUUCUUCUUCCUCCUCCUCUUGCUGGCUGCUGCUUCACCCACCACCACACCGCUGCCCCACGCCCUACUCACCACCACCUCUUGGCCACCGAACCACCACCACCCACCGCUCGUCCGACAAGCCGUCUCGCCGUUGAGUCUGACGAGCUGUCGCGCCGUUCGCGCCGCCCCUCGCCGCUGUGAGCCACCGCCGCCGUCCCCAAGCCACCGUCACCACCUCUUGCCGCCGCCGCCUGAGAUUAGCUUCCGGUCCGUACUGAAAUGUCGCUCUCCGCGGCGUUCGGCAAGUGGCUGGAACAACUGGACCGGACCAGGAACCAGCGCCUCUCUCUCUCCUCCAGGUCUACUCCACCGCGACGCGAUCUCUCGAACUUUUCUUCGUGAGGCGAUCGGUUUGGAUCGGUAGCGGAUGAGAGGUGCUGGAAGUUUUUGCAGGCGAAGAGAGAGAGCUGCAAGCCGCCAAAUCGCUGGUCCUGGAGUCGAAGCGCGCGGCCAUCAGGUCGAUGGAAGAGAGGUGCUUGAGGCUCGAGUGGAGCCUGGCUUCGCAGAGCUUGAAGAUCUCGGCUCUCGAAUCUAAGAUUGCCGCUCUCGAUGCCGAGUACGACAACAAUGUCCAGCGACUGAGGUGAAGCAUAGACUUGUCAUCAUAAGAUUUUGGUCGCAUGUUAUGGCUUAUUUGUGCUUGAUUUUAGGGAGUUGAAGUGCGAGGUGGAGGAGCUUGAGGAGGCGGAGAAGGAGAAGGACGGAUUCUACCGAGCGCAGACCAGCGAAAUGAAGGAUUUUAAAGAAGCUACUAACGGAUUCGUCGUGGAUUGCCAGAUUUGCAUAGAGGAAUUAAGAGACGAGCUAAAUGAGGUAAAAGAGAAGCUCUCUAUUUUCGGAUCCUUGAGCUAACGUGAUACUGUGCUGGAUCAUUCUGUUAGCUGGAUCAAAGGCUGCAAGGUGAUAGCAAUAACGGUGAACUUUUAUCGCUUGUUUGGCUACUAUACCAGAGAAUGAAGAAAGAUUAUUUUCCCCUGUUAUCUUCGCUCAUGUUCGAUUUUGAUUUGAUGAAAUAGAGCUAUGGUUCAUCUUGAGUAGCAUACGAGAUAACUUGAAGAUAUAAAGUAUCAUGUUUUGAUAUUCUAUGACUGCAAUUAUUUGUGAUGUGCUAACUGCAAAAUGAAGUGGAUUUACAAGAGUCCAUGCAAUUGCUUCUCCCACAAUAUACCGUAUAGGCAGAACUAGCUGGAGAUGCUUCCAUAUGGUAUGUUGCUUGAGACCAAUAUGCGACUCUGCACGAAUGAUUGAUGGUGCUAUGAACUGGUCUCAAUCUCGUGAACUAAUUCUUUGCUUAGUUUUUCAGCAUGGUCGUCGUGGCCACCGGCAAAUGAGUACACUCGAAUGCGAAUUGAAAAGCCCUUCAAAGCAUUUUUGUGUAAUUAGUUCUUUGUGUUUGUGAUUUUGUUAACGUCAGUUUGUUCUCAAUUUCCUUUGCUUCUCUGCUUUCCUGUGUCAGAUCCAAAAAAGAAAGGAGCAGUUGAGGGCUCACGUUCUCUUCCCCGAGUAAUAUGUAAAUUGUGAAGACGGCUCACUGGUCAAGAGCGAAAUGCCAAGAGCCUAUGCUCAUACAACAUGCCUGUAGUUAUUAUUAUGAAACACAUUAACGAUAAGGAAUCACCAAAUUAUACAUUAGACAAUGUUUUCUCUAGAAAACUAUGAAAUUAGUUGUCUAUUUGGAUGUAAAAGAUUCACAUUGCUGUGUAUUGGUAGGUACUGAAAAUGGAGGGCCAACUAUUAAAUUAUUUCGGCUUCCGGAUAUUCGUGCCCACUACGAAAAUGAAAAAAAAAAAAAAAGAACCUGUUGGAACUUGGAACCGACCCCGGAGCGUGUGACAGGGUAGGUUCCAGGUUCUCGGUUCUGACGGGUAGGUUCUAGGUUCCAAAAAUUGAGGAACAUGUACCCGAGGGUAGGUUCCAGGUUCCAGGUUCCCGACGGAACUGAACCGGAACCGGGAACCGCUCACCCCUACCUUCCUUUUAGGUCUUGUCAGCUUUUGUCUUAUCUCUUUCUUUGUAACUAAGCAAGCAAGUUGGUGGAACACUUUGACUUGCUUUUCCUCACCGGUCCUUCCCCCCUCCCCCCUCUUCUUUUAGGUCUUGUCAGCUUUUGCCUUAUCGCUUUCUUUGCAAAGCAAGCAAGACGGUGGGAAUAUUUUUGACUUGCUUUUCCUNNNNNNNNNNNNNNNNNNNNNNNNNNNNNNNNNNNNNNNNNNNNNNNNNNNNNNNNNNNNNNNNNNNNNNNNNNNNNNNNNNNNNNNNNNNNNNNNNNNNNNNNNNNNNNNNNNNNNNNNNNNNNNNNNNNNNNNNNNNNNNNNNNNNNNNNNNNNNNNNNNNNNNNNNNNNNNNNNNNNNNNNNNNNNNNNNNNNNNNNNNNNNNNNNNNNNNNNNNNNNNNNNNNNNNNNNNNNNNNNNNNNNNNNNNNNNNNNNNNNNNNNNNNNNNNNNNNNNNNNNNNNNNNNNNNNNNNNNNNNNNNNNNNNNNNNNNNNNNNNNNNNNNNNNNNNNNNNNNNNNNNNNNNNNNNNNNNNNNNNNNNNNNNNNNNNNNNNNNNNNNNNNNNNNNNNNNNNNNNNNNNNNNNNNNNNNNNNNNNNNNNNNNNNNNNNNNNNNNNNNNNNNNNNNNNNNNNNNNNNNNNNNNNNNNNNNNNNNNNNNNNNNNNNNNNNNNNNNNNNNNNNNNNNNNNNNNNNNNNNNNNNNNNNNNNNNNNNNNNNNNNNNNNNNNNNNNNNNNNNNNNNNNNNNNNNNNNNNNNNNNNNNNNNNNNNNNNNNNNNNNNNNNNNNNNNNNNNNNNNNNNNNNNNNNNNNNNNNNNNNNNNNNNNNNNNNNNNNNNNNNNNNNNNNNNNNNNNNNNNNNNNNNNNNNNNNNNNNNNNNNNNNNNNNNNNNNNNNNNNNNNNNNNNNNNNNNNNNNNNNNNNNNNNNNNNNNNNNNNNNNNNNNNNNNNNNNNNNNNNNNNNNNNNNNNNNNNNNNNNNNNNNNNNNNNNNNNNNNNNNNNNNNNNNNNNNNNNNNNNNNNNNNNNNNNNNNNNNNNNNNNNNNGAAGCCUUUAUUUUCGACUUUAGAUGUGGCUAAUCCUAUGAUGGCCUUAUUACACGAUUGUUGGUUGCAUCGUAAUUCAGUACUGAUCUCUUUUUGAACUAGAAAGAGUAGGUCUGCAAGCACGCUAGACUCUAUUAAUUGCCACAUUUCGCUUGAAUCCGGAGACCUUCUUUUAUCUUCUUUUUCUUCCAUUGAAUAAGUACCUAAUUUCUAAUUGUUCAGACUAACAUGAAGAAAGAAAAGAGUGCAUAAAAAGAGAGCACUGAGGGAGCAUCCGCUCCUCCGUUUGGUGCCGUCUAACAAAUUAUAUUUCUAGUUUACAAGGAGAAGGAAGGCUUUGUGCUGUGCAGGAGGAGAAAUCUAUGGCCAAAUUAAAUUUAAAAUCACAUUCAUAAUUACUAGCUAGGUCCUUUCUUCACGCCUUCCCCACAUUUCCAAUUUUGUCUCAGCUCAGUUAUCAGCUUUUCAAUGAUUUAUCAAAUUCUUUGACAAAAAAUGAUUUAUUAAAAAUUUUAUUUUCAAUAAUCAAGUAAAAACUGAACCACUACGUAUAAUUUUGAACGAAUGCAAUCUGCUUGUACAUAGAUUCCAUUAUUCUAUAGCCCAAUUAAGAAAUUAAUGUACGCGUUAUAUGUUAGGGGACCAAAGCCGGCAAGAUUGACUUGACUAGAGGAUGAUAUCCAAAAGAAGAUAAAGCAAGGAUUAAAAGCAUCAGCGACUGCUCCUAGUCAAUCAAAUAAUAAUUAAUUAAUAAUUUCAUGUUUCUUUUUUCUUGCUUGGUAAAAGAUUUCAUGUCCAUACUUGUUCAUACUUCAUAGAGACUAAUUAUCAAUCCUUUUAUGCAGCAGAGAGCAUCAUUCUCUCACUUUUCCCACUCAGAUGCAUUGACAAAGGGCGGAGUCACACUGAAACAAACGANNNNNNNNNNNNNNNNNNNNNNNNNNNNNNNNNNNNNNNNNNNNNNNNNNNNNNNNNNNNNNNNNNNNNNNNNNNNNNNNNNNNNNNNNNNNNNNNNNNNNNNNNNNNNNNNNNNNNNNNNNNNNNNNNNNNNNNNNNNNNNNNNNNNNNNNNNNNNNNNNNNNNNNNNNNNNNNNNNNNNNNNNNNNNNNNNNNNNNNNNNNNNNNNNNNNNNNNNNNNNNNNNNNNNNNNNNNNNNNNNNNNNNNNNNNNNNNNNNNNNNNNNNNNNNNNNNNNNNNNNNNNNNNNNNNNNNNNNNNNNNNNNNNNNNNNNNNNNNNNNNNNNNNNNNNNNNNNNNNNNNNNNNNNNNNNNNNNNNNNNNNNNNNNNNNNNNNNNNNNNNNNNNNNNNNNNNNNNNNNNNNNNNNNNNNNNNNNNNNNNNNNNNNNNNNNNNNNNNNNNNNNNNNNNNNNNNNNNNNNNNNNNNNNNNNNNNNNNNNNNNNNNNNNNNNNNNNNNNNNNNNNNNNNNNNNNNNNNNNNNNNNNNNNNNNNNNNNNNNNNNNNNNNNNNNNNNNNNNNNNNNNNNNNNNNNNNNNNNNNNNNNNNNNNNNNNNNNNNNNNNNNNNNNNNNNNNNNNNNNNNNNNNNNNNNNNNNNNNNNNNNNNNNNNNNNNNNNNNNNNNNNNNNNNNNNNNNNNNNNNNNNNNNNNNNNNNNNNNNNNNNNNNNNNNNNNNNNNNNNNNNNNNNNNNNNNNNNNNNNNNNNNNNNNNNNNNNNNNNNNNNNNNNNNNNNNNNNNNNNNNNNNNNNNNNNNNNNNNNNNNNNNNNNNNNNNNNNNNNNNNNNNNNNNNNNNNNNNNNNNNNNNNNNNNNNNNNNNNNNNNNNNNNNNNNNNNNNNNNNNNNNNNNNNNNNNNNNNNNNNNNNNNNNNNNNNNNNNNNNNNNNNNNNNNNNNNNNNNNNNNNNNNNNNNNNNNNNNNNNNNNNNNNNNNNNNNNNNNNNNNNNNNNNNNNNNNNNNNNNNNNNNNNNNNNNNNNNNNNNNNNNNNNNNNNNNNNNNNNNNNNNNNNNNNNNNNNNNNNNNNNNNNNNNNNNNNNNNNNNNNNNNNNNNNNNNNNNNNNNNNNNNNNNNNNNNNNNNNNNNNNNNNNNNNNNNNNNNNNNNNNNNNNNNNNNNNNNNNNNNNNNNNNNNNNNNNNNNNNNNNNNNNNNNNNNNNNNNNNNNNNNNNNNNNNNNNNNNNNNNNNNNNNNNNNNNNNNNNNNNNNNNNNNNNNNNNNNNNNNNNNNNNNNNNNNNNNNNNNNNNNNNNNNNNNNNNNNNNNNNNNNNNNNNNNNNNNNNNNNNNNNNNNNNNNNNNNNNNNNNNNNNNNNNNNNNNNNNNNNNNNNNNNNNNNNNNNNNNNNNNNNNNNNNNNNNNNNNNNNNNNNNNNNNNNNNNNNNNNNNNNNNNNNNNNNNNNNNNNNNNNNNNNNNNNNNNNNNNNNNNNNNNNNNNNNNNNNNNNNNNNNNNNNNNNNNNNNNNNNNNNNNNNNNNNNNNNNNNNNNNNNNNNNNNNNNNNNNNNNNNNNNNNNNNNNNNNNNNNNNNNNNNNNNNNNNNNNNNNNNNNNNNNNNNNNNNNNNNNNNNNNNNNNNNNNNNNNNNNNNNNNNNNNNNNNNNNNNNNNNNNNNNNNNNNNNNNNNNNNNNNNNNNNNNNNNNNNNNNNNNNNNNNNNNNNNNNNNNNNNNNNNNNNNNNNNNNNNNNNNNNNNNNNNNNNNNNNNNNNNNNNNNNNNNNNNNNNNNNNNNNNNNNNNNNNNNNNNNNNNNNNNNNNNNNNNNNNNNNNNNNNNNNNNNNNNNNNNNNNNNNNNNNNNNNNNNNNNNNNNNNNNNNNNNNNNNNNNNNNNNNNNNNNNNNNNNNNNNNNNNNNNNNNNNNNNNNNNNNNNNNNNNNNNNNNNNNNNNNNNNNNNNNNNNNNNNNAAAAUCAUUUAAAGCCUAAAACAUCCAAAAUACUCAGUUUUGCAAAAAUAACUCUUUUUUUUUUCUUGAAAAUUGUUAAAAAUAUUUUCCAAAUAUCGAUCAUGCUAGUUUUUUCUCUUCAAUAAUGCACAAAACCUUUCAUAGGCUACAAAUCAAAAUUGUCAACAAUAAAAAUUUAUCUAAACAUAUCCGAUCAACUAGAGAAUUUUUGGUUGUCCACAAAACCAUUUCUCAUUAUAUUGGCAAUUUUCAUAUUUUUGGAAAAAUGAUAGAAAAUUCAAAUUUUUUCCAAUUAUAAAAAAUUCACCAUUGUACCUUUUUUUUUCUCAUUUUUUUUUUGGUGCUAGUUACAAUGGAAAACUUGAAAGUAAGCAAAGCUACUGGUUUCAAUGCACUUGCACGUAUUAAUUAUGUGGACAAUUUUUCGCCCCCACUUUAUCUUUGUGGAUUGAAUUAGAGAAACUUAUCAUAAAAUGUGCUUUUCAUGCGAAUUUAUUGCUUACAGCAAAGACAUGACUUUUACGUAUAUAUAGUGCCGGAAAUUAUUGACCUACAAUGGAUUUGACAAUAUGAUUUAUGCAUCUUUGUGGUGGGAGGAAAGUGCUGCACCUACGGUAGUAAGAACGUCUUUGGUAAUAAUAUAAUGGAAGAUUUACAAGCUGGUUAGAGCCACAUUUAUCUAUUUAACAAAGUGAUUUUUAAGUGGAUAUGAAUGGAAGUGGUCAUUCUGUACUCUCGUCCGAAUUGUGUGGCUUGACUUUGCUUGCCAUCUGAAAAGAAUUUUUAUUGCUACCAGUCAAUUAGCCUAUCGUCCUAUGAAGCACGGACACGUUACACGUGCUUCCGUGUCGUGUCCAACACGUGUCAACACGCUCGGACACACGUUGACUGCAUGUCCCAAAAACAAUGGAGGGUGGAGGCGAGGGCGAGGGAGCAUAGAUGAGGCCACGAGCGAUGGCGAGAGAUGGCCAAAGAAAGAGCAGAGACUGAGGCGAGGACCGCCACUUUGUGAUGCUGUGAUGGAUCGGUGACGAGGCUACAGCUGCGAGGGAGGAAGAGCUGGAGGCGAGGCAGUGAGCGAUUGUGAUGAGGACUGAGAGCAAGCAAAGAUCGAGAGGAAGGGGUCAUGCGGCGAGGAGGAGGAGAAGAAGGUCACUGCUAGGGUUUUGAGAAGGAAACUAAAAGAAUAAAAAUGGGAUUUGGCGUGUUGGAGGGAGGGAGAAGUGACAGGAAGGAGGGGUAAGUGUCAGGCAAUGUUGCACGGACACAUUGCCCAUGCUUUCGUGUCGUGUCCGACACGUGUUGGACCGUGUCAGACACGUUGACACGGUUGGACACGCAGUCAAUGCAUGUCCGAUUUUCCGACACGUUAUCAACUUUUGCUCAACACGUUUCGACACACAUGUCUGGAAGACGAUGGAGGGUGGAGGCAAGGAUGAGGGAGCAAAGACGAGGCCGCGAGGGACGGCAAGAGAUGGCUAGAGAAAGAGCAUAGAUUGAGGCGAGGGCCGCCACUAUGAUGCUGCGAUAGAUUAGUGACAAGGUUGCAGCUGCGAGGGAGAAAGGGCCAAAGGCGAGGCGGUAAACGAUUGUGAUGAGAAUCGAGAGCAAGCAGAGAUCGAGAGGAAGAGGAGAGGAAGGCGGUUGUGCGGCAAGCGGCGAGGAAGGGGGUCGUGCGGCGAGGAGGAGGAGGAGAAGGAUCGAGAGGAAGGGUCGUGCGGCAAGUGGCGAAGAGGAGGAAGUAAAGGAGCUAAGGUUUUUGAUAAGAAACUCUAAAUGAUAAAAAAAAAGAAAUGGGGACUCUGAUGGGCCAUCAGUGAUGGCGUGACUUUUGGGAGAGGGGGAGUGACAGGGACAGCCUAGGUGGUGGGGAGGGAAAGAAAAUUAAAAUUAGGGUGGGGGGAAAUGGACGAUGGUGGGGAAGGAAAGAAAUUUAAAUUUGGGGAUGGGGGGAAAUGGACGAGGGAGAGAAGAGAGUGGGGGUGGACCCCAGUAGGGAUUUUUUUAAUGGGAAAAAUAAAUAAAUGGGAUUAAAAAAUAAUUUCGGAAAAUAAAAUUACUGAAUUUGNNNNNNNNNNNNNNNNNNNNNNNNNNNNNNNNNNNNNNNNNNNNNNNNNNNNNNNNNNNNNNNNNNNNNNNNNNNNNNNNNNNNNNNNNNNNNNNNNNNNNNNNNNNNNNNNNNNNNNNNNNNNNNNNNNNNNNNNNNNNNNNNNNNNNNNNNNNNNNNNNNNNNNNNNNNNNNNNNNNNNNNNNNNNNNNNNNNNNNNNNNNNNNNNNNNNNNNNNNNNNNNNNNNNNNNNNNNNNNNNNNNNNNNNNNNNNNNNNNNNNNNNNNNNNNNNNNNNNNNNNNNNNNNNNNNNNNNNNNNNNNNNNNNNNNNNNNNNNNNNNNNNNNNNNNNNNNNNNNNNNNNNNNNNNNNNNNNNNNNNNNNNNNNNNNNNNNNNNNNNNNNNNNNNNNNNNNNNNNNNNNNNNNNNNNNNNNNNNNNNNNNNNNNNNNNNNNNNNNNNNNNNNNNNNNNNNNNNNNNNNNNNNNNNNNNNNNNNNNNNNNNNNNNNNNNNNNNNNNNNNNNNNNNNNNNNNNNNNNNNNNNNNNNNNNNNNNNNNNNNNNNNNNNNNNNNNNNNNNNNNNNNNNNNNNNNNNNNNNNNNNNNNNNNNNNNNNNNNNNNNNNNNNNNNNNNNNNNNNNNNNNCGGCUGAACUAGUGUCUUCUGGGCCCUUUUUGUCUACUGGGGAUGUGGGGUGGCUGCUGAAUAGCCGAGGAGGGUGUCUUUUAUUCUCUCUUUUGGAAUCGUUGUUGCCUGUUAACGAGGUACCUUAGCUCAGAUUUGACUUCGGUGAAAAAAGAAAGCCUUUAUUUUCGACUUUAGAUGUGGCUAAUCCUAUGAUGGCCUUAUUACACGAUUGUUGGUUGCAUCGUAAUUCAGUACUGAUCUCUUUUUGAACUAGAAAGAGUAGGUCUGCAAGCACGCUAGACUCUAUUAAUUGCCACAUUUCGCUUGAAUCCGGAGACCUUCUUUUAUCUUCUUUUUCUUCCAUUGAAUAAGUACCUAAUUUCUAAUUGUUCAGACUAACAUGAAGAAAGAAAAGAGUGCAUAAAAAGAGAGCACUGAGGGAGCAUCCGCUCCUCCGUUUGGUGCCGUCUAACAAAUUAUAUUUCUAGUUUACAAGGAGAAGGAAGGCUUUGUGCUGUGCAGGAGGAGAAAUCUAUGGCCAAAUUAAAUUUAAAAUCACAUUCAUAAUUACUAGCUAGGUCCUUUCUUCACGCCUUCCCCACAUUUCCAAUUUUGUCUCAGCUCAGUUAUCAGCUUUUCAAUGAUUUAUCAAAUUCUUUGACAAAAAAUGAUUUAUUAAAAAUUUUAUUUUCAAUAAUCAAGUAAAAACUGAACCACUACGUAUAAUUUUGAACGAAUGCAAUCUGCUUGUACAUAGAUUCCAUUAUUCUAUAGCCCAAUUAAGAAAUUAAUGUACGCGUUAUAUGUUAGGGGACCAAAGCCGGCAAGAUUGACUUGACUAGAGGAUGAUAUCCAAAAGAAGAUAAAGCAAGGAUUAAAAGCAUCAGCGACUGCUCCUAGUCAAUCAAAUAAUAAUUAAUUAAUAAUUUCAUGUUUCUUUUUUCUUGCUUGGUAAAAGAUUUCAUGUCCAUACUUGUUCAUACUUCAUAGAGACUAAUUAUCAAUCCUUUUAUGCAGCAGGAGAGCAUCAUUCUCUCCAACUUUCCCACUCAGAUUGCCAUUGACAAAGGGCGGAGUCACACUGAAACAAACGAAGGGUUGCACCCUUUAAUAAUGCCCGCGGUGCUUGCGGCGACCAUUCUUUUUGGUAUUCUUGCAUUCAAUCUUGUCAAGAAGAAGAGAGCAUCCACACCUUCGUUCAUCUCUCCAACACUCAUAGAAAUUGGUAAUAAUCAUUAUGAUGUGUUCUUGAGCUUUAGAGGGUCAGAUACCCGCAAGGGAUUCACCGAUCACCUCUAUCACAGUUUAGUCAAGGCAGGGAUUGCACCAGGUUUUGUGUUCAGGGAUGCUAAGAGCGUCCAAAUUGGUGAGGAAUUUGGUCCACGAAUUCUCAAUGCCAUCGCUUGGUCUAAGAUUUCGAUUCUCAUCAUCUCAGAAAAUUAUGCUUCAAGCAAAUGGUGCCUCCGCGAGCUUAUUCAUAUCAUGGAUCGCGCGAAGAGCACAUCACACACAGUUUUGCCCAUCUUUUAUAAAGUGGACCCAUCGGAUGUGGGGCAUCUAAAAGGAAACUUUGGGAAGGCCUUUCAUUCAUGUAAGAAGUAUUUUGAUGAGGAGGAUAUCCAUAAAGGGCAGCAAGCACUCAGAGAAGUGAGUCAAUUACAUGGAUGGGAGUCCGAGAAAGUUGCUAACGGGUACUUUGCUUCCACCUAAACUUCUCUUUUUUGAUAAGUACGUUUUGGGGAAAUUACCCAAAAAAAUAAUCUAUUAUAACAUUGAUAGUUUAGUUCUAGACCUUUUCAUUUAGUUAUUUUAGUCCUAAACCUUUUGAAAAUCUACCAAUAUAGUCCAUCCGACUGAUUUUAGCUAGAAAUCCCUUCUUUCUCUCCGGUUGCUAGCCUCCUUGAUGGCUGGCAACAGGCUAUGGACUAGGGUUGGUGAGGCUCGUCCUCCCUGUCAAGGGCCAACCUCGCCCGAAUCUUGUCCUUCUAAAGAGGUCAGGCCAACACAAAAUGAAAUGACCGUUGGUGAUCAUCCCCCAUUGUUAUUUGUAAAACCAAAACAUUUUGCUUGUUAAUUGGUCCCAUCCAUUCUUCACAUGUCUGUCGGUGACUUUUGAUGAGAUUAAGUAUAAUCAUGAAAUUAUCAAUGCAUUUUUUUUUUUUACAGGCAUGAAGGAGAAUUAGUGAAAAAAGUUAUCGAAGAUGUUUGGAGCAAGUUGCAACAAGAUUUUCAGCUUGAUGUUACGAAGCACUUAGUUGGAAUUGAUGAUCAUGUGAACAAAAUAAUGAAUUGGGUAGACACUCCUACCACUGAUCCUCGAAUGAUUGGAAUCUAUGGCAUGGGUGGGAUCGGAAAAACGACUCUUGCCAAGGUAAUCUAUAACCAGCUAUUGAAACGCUUUGUGCAUCAUAGCUUCCUUGCAGAUAUUCGAGAAACAACUUGCUGCAAAAAAAUUGUUUAUUUACAAAAGCAACUAAUUAAGGACAUUCUAAAAGUUGAACAUGAAUUUUGGAAUGUCGAUGAUGGAAUUAGAUGGAUUGAAUCUGGAUUUAGAGGAAAAAAGGUUCUCAUUCUUCUGGAUGAUAUAGAUCACAAUGAUCAAUUAAAUGCUUUGGCUAGAGAAUGUAAUUGGUUUAUGGAGGGAAGUAUUAUUAUUGUUACAACCAGAUAUGAAGCCGUUCUUGAUCAUUCUGAAUUCCAGGUGGACAAGUAUGACUUGAAUGAAUUGGAUCGGGAGCAUGCUUUGCUUUUGUUUAAUAGACAUGCAUUUCGUACAAACCAUUCUUCGAUAGAAUUUGAGGGUCUAUCUCAUGACAUUGUAUCCACCAUGGGUGGGCUUCCCUUGGCACUUAAGGUCGUAGGUUCAUACUUGUAUAAAAAAACGAAUCGAAAAGUAUGGGAAGAUGUGUGGAGGCAGUUAAAAAACCAACCAUGUGGAGACGUCCAAAAAACAUUGCGAAUAAGUUAUGAUGCAUUAAAGGAUGGACAUAAGCAGAUUUUUCUCGAUAUUGUUUGUUUCUUUAUUGGCGAAAAGAGUAAAUAUGCCAUGUACAUGUGGGAGGAUUGUGGGUUUUAUCCAAGUGAAGGUAUUGAAGAGUUGAAGUUGAGGUGCUUAAUUAAAAUUGGAGAUGAUGGUAAAUUUGAGGUGCAUGAUCAAUUGAGAGAUCUUGGAAGGAGCAUUUUUUGCCAAGGACAACCUAGCGGACCAUGGGACGACGACUACGAGGGAAUCACAAAAGUACUAAGACCCCGUGAAUGGGUAAAUAUGGCACUCCAUUCUUUUUCUUUCCCUCUUAUUUUAAUAUAUUUAAUUUGAUCUAUACUAAUAUUUUUUCUGGCAUGAACAGAUGCUCUUACUUUUUAGGAAAAAAGAUCUAUGUAAACAUCCAAUUAUGUCCAUCUUAGAUUAUUUGUGACAACUAAAAGGAUUAUAUGUAUUUAAAGGAUGAACAAGUUAUACCAUUUGAUUCGAUUUCAUUGACAUAAAUUACAUUUAUAAAGAUUUGCUUGACAAUCAAUUUAAGAUCCUUUAACUACAAUUUUGCUCUAUAAAACUCAUUUACUAAAAGCAUGCCAUUGUCAUAUCUAGUUGAAAAUAUUGAUAAUCUGAAGGACUACAAGAACGAAUGUAGAUGAAGUGCAAACAUCAUAGAUCAGAUAAAUGAAGAUGUCUGGGUUUAAAAAAAAAAAAAGAUAGUAUGUGCCAAUUACAAUAAUUGAUAAUUAAUUCAAAACAAUAAGAUUCGAAAAAAUUUCACACUUAUGAUACGUGCUUAUUUUCUAGUAUGGCCGAAUGUAUUGGGGGCUCUUGUGAUUCGGGAAUCCAAUGUUUGAUAUUAUUUUCUCCAUUUUGAUUUUGAAGAUAUCGGUCUCUCUAUUAGUUAUAUCUCUCUCUUUUCAUUCGUAUUUCCUCUUAAUAGAUAAGAUAGCAAAAAUCUCCUUAAAAAUACUUUUAGGAAGAUCUUACGAUUUUUAGAAGUUUUAUCCCGUUGACCUUGCUCAUUUCAUGGAUUAGGUUAGGUGUAUGAUAAAGAGUGGAUUUUAUUGUAACAAACAUUUCUAUCCGCUAUAAGUUUUCUUAUAUUAUUUAUAUUGUUAGGGACAAUGCCUCUUUCAUGCUAGAAAUGUCUAGACUGAAUUGACUAUUUAUAAUUUUUUUUUUUAAAAAAAGACCAGUUAAAGGAAAUGCCAUGCUAAUUAUUAUAUCCAUACCCUUGUCUUAUGAUAUAUGAUUUUCAGCAUGAAGUCAAUUUUUUGAACUAUGUUUUAUCUUUUACUUAAAUUAUCAAUGUUCAUGUCAUUUUAUUAUUAUAUAUUGUCCAUUUGGGAUGCCUCAUAGGCUCAUGGCUGAUCAAAGGCGAGGAAUUAACCCUAGCAAUUAACCAAGAGAUGGGCAAACAAAACGGCUUUAUAUUCUUGAUAUAAUUUGAAAUAGUUUGUUCCUAUGAUUCCAUAUCACACUCUUUUGUUUUUUUGUCGGUCACUCUUUUGUUGAUCCAAUAACUUUUUAACAUUAGCAAAAAGAGCACACCAUACGGGUGUUUGAAAAAUCAAAAAAAAAAAAAAAGAAGUCAAAUAUGUUUUGAAUGGAAAAAAUAGCUGAAAGAUGAUAAUUAGUGUGGUAAAAAAAAUUAAUGAUUGUACGAUUCGAGAGAUUUUGAUUUAAUUUUGCAAAUUGAAAUACAUAUGGGAAUAAUUUCCAAUUGUCUUGACUAUUUCAAAUAUGAUUAUAUCUAUUUUGUUAUAUCAUAUUUUUUCAGUUCAUUUUGGUGAAAUAUAUGUGUAUUGUGUGGAAACUUUUGACGAAAGUUUGAGGUUUGAAAUCCCAUUUCCAUAUAGUAGAUUUUUUAAUGUAAUACAUAGUAUAGAUCGAUGUACAAGCGAAAAUCAUUGAAGAUAGUGUGGGAUGGUGAUUAUAACAAUUUAGCGACAUUUUAGGCAAAUAGACUUAAGAGAAUUUAUUCCCAUUGCAUUUCACUGGUUAAUAUUUAAAGCAUAGAUAACGACAAAGGUGUCAACCUGUAAAAGCGAAUUUCUAACCAAUUAAACAUUUGGGGGAAAACAUAGGUAUUAUUACAAAAUUCAAAUAAAGCCAUAAGGGAAUUUCUUUUGCCGUCUUCAACUAAUUAGAGGAUCUGUGUUUAUAAGAUGGAAAAAGAAACGAUGCAAUUCUUAUGGAAACGGACAUGUGAUGAUUAAACAAUGUCACCACAUUACUUUUUAGUUAAUCGGUUUGUUUUCUAGUUGUUCUGAAAGCGACUUAUUUUUUUCAAUCCCGGUCAAAACUGCAAACCAAUGUCAUCACGUCACUUUUUAAACAUACUUCACCGAAAAACAAAAAAACGUUUCAAUUUUCAAAGAAAUGAGUAAACACUUCGCACAAAUAGUUAAUGAUGUUAAAGACAUUUAGAUAUCUUCUAGAGAUAUUUAGAAUAUUUCUUUUGAUUUUCUAUAUCUAUUUUGAUUAUAUAGAUAUAUAUAUAUAUAUAUAUAUAUAUCAGAUUUGAUUUCUUUUUAUUUCCCUCCAUGUAAUCCUUUCUAUAUAUCUAAAUAUAUUAAAAACUUCACUUUUCUUCUCUCUUGUAUUAUUAUAUUUAACUAAUGAAAUGAAAAUAGGGUGCUUUCUUAGUUGCUUACAGGUGGCCCAUCGGCACUCUUUAACAAAUUCUUUUGAAAAAUUAUACAUAAGUCAUUUGAAACUUUACAAGUAAACAUUUGUACGUUGUAAAAUGGUUUCAUGUAUUUUGUCUUAAAUGAAAGUCAAAAUUCACACGCUACAAAUUAAAAAAAAAAAAAAACAAGAGAUGAAACAUCGAGGUGCAUUUGCCUUAGUUGUUUUAAAGCAGUAAUUAUUUUUUCCUUUAUUUUCGUGUCAUUUGAAAAAAAAAAAAAAGAAUUAAAUGUAAGUUCACAUAUCCAUAUAUGUAUAGGGGAAGGAUGGAAAGGUGUCAGAUCGUGCAAAUCCAAGAUUUGAAAAAAGCAAAAACUAAAAAUUUAAAAAAACUUGCAGGGACACCCCUGGUUCCACGACUUUUUAGGGGCAGCUUCAAGUGAACACUCCAAGCAACUCCUUUCUGAAGUGAGAUGGCUUCGGUGGAACUUUAUUAAAAGCGAUGCAUCUCUUUUGACGGACAAUUUGCAUCUACCAAAAUUAUCGGUGCUGGAGUUAUUGAAAAGCGAUAUCACCGAGGAUUGGGAAGGAUGGAGUUCAUUCAUGGUAAGAUUGAAAAAAGAAGACAUAAUUUCUGCAAUUUUAGAGUUCUGUUCAUGUUUAGCCGAUCAACUCAUUUUUUCACAGCUUAUUCUCUUUUUGUAUUAGGCAUCAAAGCAGCUUAAAGUUCUCAAUCUGAGGCUUAAAUUAAGGCGUACUCCUGAUCUCUCGGCUUUCACGCAGUUGAAGAUUCUCAAGUUGAGCUGCUGUAAGAAAUUGAAGCAUCUCCACCCUUCUAUUGGCAAACUCACGAGCCUCAUUUCCUUGAAUUUGAAUUGCUGUAAGCAUCUCAAGGAGUUACCAAAGGAGGUGGGUGAACUCACGAGCCUCGUUUCCUUGGACUUGCGUUCCUGUGAAAGUCUCAAGAAGUUACCAAAGGAGGUGGGUAAACUGACGAGCCUCAUUUCCUUGAACUUGUGUUACUGUGAAAGUCUCGAGGAGUUAUCAAAGGAGGUGGGCAAACUCACGAGCCUCGUUUCCUUGGACUUGCGUUACUGUGAAAGUCUCGAGGAGUUACCAAAGGAGGUGGGUGAAUUAAAAGAUUUAAAAGAACUUUUAUUAAUUGUUACUGGUAUUACAAAGAUUCCUCCGUCUAUUGGUUCUCUGAGGAAGCUGGAGACAUUAAGUGCCGAUUCUUGUUACUCAUUGAGAGAAAUCCCUGGCUCAAUUUGGGAUUUACAGAAUUUGCAACAUCUUUACUUGAGUGACUCUGGGAUCGAAAAGCUUCCUAGUGCUAUUGGAAGGUUCAAAAAUCUAUGGACUCUAGAUCUCUCAUCCUGCGAUAGUCUGAAAAGGGUAAUUCCAAGUGAAAUUGGCGACUUGCCUUUCCUUAAGGAUCUCAAUCUCUCUGGCACACCAAUAUCUGACCUUCCAGAAAGCGUCCAGAAUCUUUCUUCUCUCCAAGGCCUUUACCUAAUGGGCUCUAAGUAGGGGUGUCAAUAGUUUGGUUCGGUUCAGUUUUUCAAAAAAACCGAACCGAAUCGAACCGUUAGAAAAAACUUUUAAACUGAACCGAACGAGACCCGAAUCGAAUACGAACCGAAUCGAAAAUUUCGGUUCGAUUCGAUUCAGUUUUCUGGUUUUUGAUUUUCAGCUUUUGGUCUUUGGUUUUUUUUUUUUCAUUUUUUUUUCUGUUCAACCCAAAAUAAUUUAAAUUCAAUAUGUCCCGCGCAUGUAGUCACAUGCUAUACAGUUUCUCUUAUCUUCCCGUCCAUGCAAGCAUGCAAUUUGCAGGGUCCGUAGGUCGCUUCGUCUUCAUGCAUGGCCCUGCAUCGAACCCAGAGAAAACCAGGCUAGACGAUCAUGGAGAUCAUCAGUCAUCAUUUCGUCUUCGGGAAACACUGAAGAGAAAGAAGGAACAGCCAUCGCUUCUUCUUUCUCUUCUUUUCGAAUCUGUCGUCGCUCUUUCGUCUUCCUCGCAUCGAAAGACCAAACGCCUCCAUCGAAGAAAGUUGAUACUUUAUCAGCAAUUUUCCCUAUAAAUCACACCGCUUCCCGUCUCCCUCAUGCACGUCUUGCAUUCGAUUCUCACAUCACUCAUCACCCACAGAGAGAGAGAGAGAGAGAGAGAGAGAGAGAGAAUGGUUGAAGGCGGCAAGAACACUUCUUCUAAGUCGACGAUCAUCGUCAACCCCUCCGCCCAAGAUGGCGCAGACCUGGCCCUCACCGUGUCAGUCGCCCACGCGCAGCCACUUGCUGCCUCCUACAAUGACAGAAUCCACCCUCUUCUCGACGCUGUCGACACUGUCGACAGUUUAUUCUCAUAAUGAAACCGAAUUUUUAAUGGUUUGGUGUUAUCGGUUUGUGGUUCGGUUCGGCUCGGUUAACCGAUAAUAAUCAAACCAAUAAAAAAAAUAUUAGUUUUUAAUGAGAACCAGAUCGAACAAAAAAAUCGAAUUUUUCAGUUCCUGACACCCCUAGCUGUAAGGAGCUCCAGUCACUGCCAAAGCUUCCUUCGAGCGUAACAGAUCUGUAGGUCAUUUGUCAGAGUCUUGGACUGCCACAGCUUUUUAGCCUCACCCACCUAGAAGAACUCGAUCUUGAGGUAAGCCAUCUACUUGAAGACAUCCGCGAGCUUUCCUCAAUACCAUUGAAACUCCGUUUUGAGGAGUGGGAUAAGCUUACAUUACUUUCGCUCCACGGAUUUGGGCACUUGGAAGAGCUUUCAAUAAAAAAAGUGUAGUUCCAUCAAAACAUUGACGCUUUCACAAUUGAUUCAUCUUAAACGAUUACGCAUUGAGCGUUGCGAUAGCCUAGUUGAAAUUCAAAGCUUUGGUAAUUUGGAGUCCGGUCAUAUUUUUAUAUGAAUGCAAGUGUUUGGAGACAUUAAAGGCUUCUGGGUGCCACCAUCUAGUUGAAAUUCAAGGUCUUGAGGGUGCGAAGUUCUUAGAAGUGUUGGAUUUUACAGGAUGCAAAUCGAUAAAGACUUUGCCAGAUUUGAUAGGAUUCAAGAAGUUAUGAUCUCUAAUAGUUCAAGACUGCAAGAAACUUACUCAACUUCAAGGACUUGAAAAGUUGAAUUUAAGUGAUUUGGAUAUUUCUGGUCGUGACUCAUUGGAAGCAAUACUGAAAUUAUCUAGAAUGCACAUCUUUAGAAAAUACGAACGAUUUUGAGUUCUCUAUGGAAAUAUUAUCUUGCAGUGAUAAUGAUGUGAGGAAUCCUAUACCCAUAUACAACAGUGAGACUAGUUAUGUUUCUUCAACAAAGGUAAUUAAGUAGUGAACAAUUAUUUUUCCUCUGAGAUUCAGGACCUCCUUUUCAUCACUAUCUUCUUUUGACAAGAAGGUUUUCCAUGACAGGAUUUUGUACUUUCCUAAAUUGCUGGUCUUGCACAAUUGAAGGAGUGGAGGAGUUGGUCAUAGAAGCUCACAUGAUGGUUCGGCCAAGAUCAAAAUGUAGACCCAAAUGUCAAUAGAAGGCAUAGUAAGAUUCUCCAUCCUUGAACGGUCAGCGUGAGCGAAUAGAGUGAUACUUUUCUCGAAGCUCUAUUUUUUUAGAAUGAUAUGCUUCACACUGGAUAUCUAUUUGAUUGAUUUUGGAAACUCUGGAUUUGCCUCUGUAUAAUUGUUAUUGAUUACGUUAUAGCAAUGUUUUUUAUUCAUCCUUCCAUUGGCAGCUUCUGUAGACUGCAAACAGAUAGCAGCUUGCAAGGCAAGAAAGAAAAUAUCAACAAAGGUAAACAAGAAUUACCUAGUGAUUUCAGUUCCCCUAUCAGCAAAUUCGGGAUUUGAAAUUUUCAUCUAGAGGCCAAUGAACUUCUGCUACUCAUUAUUGUANNNNNNNNNNNNNNNNNNNNNNNNNNNNNNNNNNNNNNNNNNNNNNNNNNNNNNNNNNNNNNNNNNNNNNNNNNNNNNNNNNNNNNNNNNNNNNNNNNNNNNNNNNNNNNNNNNNNNNNNNNNNNNNNNNNNNNNNNNNNNNNNNNNNNNNNNNNNNNNNNNNNNNNNNNNNNNNNNNNNNNNNNNNUCCCUUGAUGGCCCUCCAUUAGCCCUCUAAGAAGAGCAUCCACUUCCCAGUUAUAUGGUGAACUGAACUAAAAUAAAAUUCAAGGUUUAAGUGUUUCUGAUUGGUGACAAAAAAAAUGUUAAAGUAGUUUGGGCUAGUUUGUCAUGUAUGAAUGUUGACCAAUUUAACAUUACCAGUAGGCAAACUAUUGUUUUGAAAUAUCAUUAAGCAAGGCAAAUUGGUGCUGCUUCUAUGACAGAUUUGGUUGGUCUAUAUAACGAUCUAGGCUUACUUUGGGACUUCAAUUCAAUCAACUGUAUCGAUGGCCUUUCGCAUUAAAGGACAAUUUUUUGCCUGUCUGUGAAACAAGCUGGGACGAGGAGCUCAAGAAUUUGCUAAUUAGUCUGUAUCCCGUUUGAUCCUAUUGUUGUCAUGGAAUUGCUUUAUGACGUGACUGAUUUGGGUGUGGCUAAGUGGGCUGACGAACUUCAAAUUGCAUACUUGAGAUCGAUCAAAAUAAAGAAAAGGGAUUUUGCAAAGGAAUCAUCAGCAACAAUUGAGGACCAUCUUGCAUGCCAAACUUAAAGACACUUUGGGGCUAACUGGAGUGUCCCAAGGAAGUUUUGAUGCUUCUGAAUAUUCAAAUACUUGAUCUGAUCUCAUCACAUCCCUAAAUGAUUGUAAAUGUAUUUUUUUAGAUUAAACAUGCUUUCUUUAUGCUCAUUAGGUUCUAGCUCUCCUUUAAUCAAAUACUAAGCUACUGAUUUUUUGUAUGUUACCCUGAUGCACAGUUGUUCGACGCGGUUGCAUUCUAAUGAUAUCACUUCGGAAUUGAUGAGGCUUUGCAAAGGGAGGUAUGCACUGCUAGGCUCCUCCAUUUCUAUUAGUUUAUGGGCGUGAUGACAUCCUUUGAAUGUUGUCAUAUAGUUUUCUGAUUUGAUAAGCUCAGUUCUGAUGUACGCGGCAUUGGAUUUGUAAAGUUGAAAUUGACCUCCUCGCAAACUAUCCCGCAUUGCUGAGUUUGCUAAUUGGAACUUGCAAAAUAACCCAGUAGCAAAUGCAUCUUUCUGUUCUGUAGUUUAGGCACUUCACCUUUUUAGCGUAAUUUUUUAGCUUCAAUUCUGUUCCUAAACACAAACAGGGAAAGUGUUGCUAAAUGUUUAAGUCUAUUGGUUUCUAUUUCAUCGGCUAGCUAAAGGAGUCUCUGUUCAUUGUGGUCUAAGUCCGAUUGGUAUCAAUGUUUACGCAUUUUUACCUUAUCUGUCAUGGGGUAAAUUCCGAUGCUAUGAUCUUGGAUAUCUUCAUUUAAUUAUAAUUAGUUAGUGCUAUCUUGCUUAUGCAGAUUAAAGCUGCAUUUGAUGAAACUUGGUGAAACUCCCCAAACACCACGGGUUGGAGAUAUGGGCAAGAAUGAGCUAUGUCAGUAUGGAAAGGCAGUUCCAAAGUUAUUUGCAAUUGGCGUUUAUCUUUUGCUCCAUGUUGUUAAUACUCUUCGAAGGAUUCUUGAUAAAGGUGACCUCUUCUCAUGUGGUGCAUUAGUGUUGGAGAAAUCUUUCCAGAAUAUUUUGAAGCUGACAAAACAUUUCUAUCAGUCUAAGUCUGGAUGUCGAUAGUCUCAAGACUUUAUAGUCUCAAGUCUCAAGACUUUGUUAUCUCAAGACUCAAGACUCAAGACUCAAAAUUAUUCUCACUGACAGUCUUUCUAAUCCAGUGUUGAAGGAAAUUCAAAGCCGAGGUUUAUGGUUGAGGAUUUGAUCCUAUCCUCUGGAAUAGAUUCUUUGGUUGGAUAAUCAUUUCGGAUUCUUUAAUUCUUAUCUAAGAUCGAUUGAAGAUCCGAUGGUCGACGAAAUAAUCUUGGAUUAUUCUAUUCUUGGAAACCGAGAUCCUGAUUGUAUGGGCGAACAGGAUUGAUGGGCUAUCAUCAGAUUCCUUAAAUAGCUCGGAUGAUCUUCUUGAUUGAUUCCGUCCAACGGGUAGAUUGGAGGAAUUCCUUUGGUAAGUACCAAUGGCUAUGAUGGCAUGAAGGAGUAUAAAAGGAAGACGUUCUAGUUGUUUCAAGUGUGUGAUCGAUAGAAAAAUUCCAAAGUCUGAAGAUCCUUGAUUGUUAGUUGAGACUGAGCGAAAUUGUAUACAGAGAGUGUUUAUACUUGGUGACGCCUUGAGUGAGUGUGGUAGAUCAUCUACACCUAGAAAUCAAGGAAGAUCAACACUGUAACAACUCUUUGAUCAUAGUGGAAUCCAGCCAAUCGGCUGUCAGUGCAGAAGAGUGGACGUAGGCUUGAAUCAAGCCGAACCACUAUAAACCGAGUGUUCAAUUCUCUCUUUCCCUUACUCAGUCUUGCGAUUGAAUUUUUAACUGUUGCAAAUUCUCUAAUUGUUUAAAUAUUGUGCAAGCUUCGAGAAAUUUUUUGUAUACCUAUUCACCCCCCCUCUAGGUACUCGUACUAGCUACUUCAAUUAGUCCUUUGCAAGCUUUGAAAUUGUGCUAUUCUUUAACCAAGGCCCCAUCACUAAUCGCUUGGAGGAAGACCGCAUGUGAGUGGUUCUGUAUGUGAAGUCAAGCAAAAAAUGAGAUUUGUUAUCAAGAUUACCAUUUAGAUGUCCACUUCAAGCUACAGUUUUGUGACUGGGAGAGACUUUUUUCUUGAAAAAGCAAAUGCUGAGGAAUCAGCAAACAAUCUGUCCAUUGCAGCCAAGAGAUUCAAUGAAAAGGUUUUCAAGAAGACAGCAGUUUCUUAUUUGGAAGAAUUUAGAGCACAAAAUACAGGCGUUCAUUAGUGUAAAAUCAUCUCUCUAGGCUGGUUAUGUCGGAAAAUUCAUAUGUAGGCAUUUUGCAAUCACUUUGGUCGUAUUAUCUCAAACUUGAUUUAUUUAAGCAUGAAUCUAAAAGCAGAAGAGACACAGCCAUGUACACUUUCAUACCUAAAAUCAAGUAGAGAGACCAGUUCGUUCUUGAAGAGCAGCAUUACUUUUUCCCUUCCAGAUUCUCUCAGGUGGAUGCAUGGAGCUCGUGUCGCUUGGCAAAUUCUCAAUCAAGUACUGGGGUCUGGAGUGGAGUGUUGAGUUGUUUUAUGCAAAUUCUCGAUCAAAGGUUUGUCUGAGUCUCUAGUGUGGAUGGAGUUUAUAUAGGGUCUUUUUCUUGAACGAGAAACUUUGGUUGGUGAUUACGAAAUGUUAAAGUAGUUUUGGCUAGUCUGUCAUAUAUGAAUGUAUGCCUUUCUUAAAAUUACCAGUAGUCAAAAUGUUGUCUUUAAAUAUUAUCAAGCAAGGUAAACUGGUGCUGCUUUUAUGACAGGUUUGGUUGGUCUGUGUAAUGAUCAAGGCUUACUUUGGGACUUAAAUUCCAUCAGCUGUAUUGAUGACCUUUUGCAUAACUGGACAAUUUUUUGCCAUCUGUGAAACAAGCUGGGGCGAGGAGCUCAAUAAUUUGCUAAUUAGUUUACAUCCCAUUUGAUCAUAUUGUUGUCAUGGAAUUAUAUUAUCACAUGGCUGAAUUAGGUGUGGCUCACUUGGCUGAGGAACUUCAAAUUCCACAAAGCAUCAGCAACAGCUGAGGUGCCAAACUUGAAGAGGCUCGUGGGCCAAGCGGAACGUUCUGAGGAAGUUUUGAUGCUUGUGAAGAUCCAAAACACUUGAUCUGGUCUCAACAGCAUGUACCUGAAUGAUAGUAAAUGUAGAAUUUUAAAUUGAAUAUGUUGUUUGUAUGCUCGUUAGGUUCUAUCUCUUUGUUAAUCAAAUGAGUAGCUAGUGAUUUUUGUGUAUGUUAGCCUGAUGCAGAGUUGUUUGAUGUGGUUGCAUUCUAAGGAUAUCACUCCUGAACUCGAUGAGGCUAUGCAGAGGUAGGUAUCCACUGCUAAGCUCCUCCAUUUCUAUCAGUUUAUCCUUUGAAUGUUGUCAUAUAGGUUUCUGAUUUGAUAAGCUCAGUUCUCAUGUUUGCAGUAUUGAAUUAGUGAAGUUGAAACUGACCUCCUCACAAUCUAUCCCGAAUUGCCGAUUUUGUUGACUGGAUAUUGCCAAUGAUCAAGUAACAAGUACGUCUUUUUGUUCUGUAGUUUAGGCUUUUACCUUUUCAGCAUAAUUUUAUUAACAUCUAUUUUGUUCCUGAACACAAACGGGGAAAGUGUUGUUGCUAUUUGUUUACUUCUUUUAAGCCUAUUUUUUUCUUUUUCAUCUGCUAGCUAAUGAAGUCUCUGUUCACUGUGGUUGAACAGUGAUUGGUGUAAAUGAUGUUUAUGCAUUUGUGAUGCUGCAAUCUUGCAUUUCUUUAUUUAUUGAUAAUGAGUCAGUCCUAUCCUCAUCAUGUAGAUUCAAGCUGCAAUUCAUGGAGCUUGAAGAAAGUCCCCAAACACCACACGGGGGAGGUGCGGGCAGGAAUGAGCUAUGUCAUUAUGAAAAUGUAUUCUGAACCUAGCGAUGUUUAUCAUGUGCUCCGUGUUGAUAAUACUCUUCAAAGGAUUCUGGAUAUAAAGCAGCCUCUUCUCAUGUGGGGUAUUUGUCAUUUGCAAGCACAAAUUGCUUGCAGGAAGACCGCACGUGCAGGUGGUUUUAUUUGUGCAGGUUAUGCAUAAAGUGAGAUUUGUCAACGAGAUUACCAGUUAGGUGUCCACUUCAGGCAACAAUUUUGCGACUAGAAAAAGUGAAUGCCAUGGAAUCAGCAAAAAAUCUGUCAAUUGCAGCCAAGAGUUUCGGUGAAAAGGUUUACAAGAAGACAGUAGUUUCUCAUUCGGUUGAAUUUUGAACACAAAAGAAAGGUGUUCAGUAGUGUAAAAUCAUCCAUCUGUUCUGGUGCUACAUCAGAAAAUUCAUAUGUCCGCAUUUUGCAAUCACUUUUAUUGUAUAAUCUCAAACUUGAUUUAUCUAAGCAUGAAUCUAAAAGCUGAAGAGACCCAACCGUAUAUAUUUUCACACCUGAAACCUGUUUAUCUCUUGCAUUGGCUGCAGUUGAAGACUAAUAACAAAACGUGGACUACAUUUUUGGAAGGGUGAAAAGAGCCCUUCCCAAAAUUUACUCAUUUUCAUUGAACAAAAAACUUCUAAAGGUCAUCUAAUUGGUUUAUAAUGAGAUGAUACUCCACCAAAUUGUGGUCACUGUUUCACACAUUCAAGUGUCAAUCAAAGCAAUUUCUUUGAGGCCACUCUCAGAUAUUCCUGUACCCUGUACUAAAUUAUAAUGGUGGAAUUUUAGUAGUUGAAAGCUACUCCCAAGGUAUUCAUGGUUUGAUGUGCUUGUUGUCCCCUUGAACUUUGACUCAAUUUUUCCAGAGCUCAAGACAAGGCCAAGUAGCUUGUUAAGCCACAUUUGAAUCUAUAAGUACAUAUGUAAUGCAGUUUGUGUUGAAAUACUUGUUAAAUGUACUUAACAUGAAAUAAUUUAAUUUCAGAAUAUUGGUUGAACAUUGCACGAGAAAAGUCGCAAGUAAAGUCAAUGUAUCAGCUCUACACUUUAUUUACUUAGCUGCUUAGCCAGUGUCUAGGUAAUUAAUCCAAAGGGCAAUAGCUUUGUGUUUGACUACUUAUGGAACAUCAUUCACAGCCCCAUCAGCCGAAUUGAUUUGAAGUCGGAACGCAUGAAUAGACCGGAUAAUUGGAUGAACAUUCUGAACCAAUUGAGCUGAUGUGAUUUUGUUCAUGGGCUUUCCUCCCUUUUUCUCUUCCACUUUCGUUUCAUGCCAACAAUUUGCUUCGAGCUUGUUUUUUUAAAGUUCUAUCACAUUUUACAUCAAGAUCAUAUGAAUAACAGCCGUUCAAACAAUAACUAUGUAAGUUCCCAAAGGACAAGAGAAGAUUUGGUUCGGGCUCUUUGAUUUCCUCAUAUUUGUAACUCCAAGCUCGACAGGAUGGAAGUUGAAAUAUGAAAACUGUCCUCAAAUCAGAAUGGAACUAUAGAAGGCCUUACAGCUUAUUUAACACCUGCUAGCUGCAUGUUAGAAUGUAUAGGUUUGGUAGCUUGCCAUAGGAUAAAUAAUAUAAUGCACAUGAAUCGAAAUAGACAAAUUGAGGAAUUACAGGGUUAAUGAACCCCAAAACGGAGAAUUAAAACAACAUUUGGCCAAAAAUAAAAGUUCUAAACAAUGAAAUCGACCACGAAAGUAAAUGUAAACGUCAAAUCCUCCAAAUGAAAGCAGUCGUCUUAUUUUGCAAUCAGCAUCGUGUUGUUGAGAAGAGAAAUUAGUAGGUCAGACAAUUUUUACUUUGCACGAGAAUGCAUGCAUAAUCAUAUUGCAGAUAAAUCAGAAGGCAAGGAAAUUCGAGGAAAAAAAUCUUUUGGCAAAUAUAAAUAUAUGUGAAUAUCACAUACGAGUGGUCUCAUCUUCCUAUGUUUCAGAUGCUGAAGAUCAAUAAAUGAAACAAGGAUUCGAACAAACAUUAUACUGGAAAGAUCGAACAUUGUGGCACUCUUCUGAAUACUUAAUUACCAUUAGAUACAUAUUAAGAUGAUUAGCCAAUAAACAAAGCAAACCUCUUUGUUUCCUCCUGACCGAUUUCAUCCUUUUCUCUCUUGAUGACAAUGAGCAUGAUAUUCCGUAAUUUCUACAUAUUAAAAAUCGAUACAUAAAGCCCUAGCAUUGCGCUUCAACCACCGGAACCCUUGUUUGAAAGAAGCCUUGAACUUGCCCUCGACCAAAUAAAGCUUGUAUCUUGCCACCUCCUCUUCUCUGCUUCUCCGGGUCAUUCCACCACGUUUAUCAAAUUCUAAAACGUAAGAAAUAGGCAAAGGCCAGAGUCCAUUUCGACUUACAACAUCAGGUUUGUCUAUUCCCAUCCCAAAGGCAAUGGUAACACACAAUCUGGACCUCUUCAGUAUGCCAAUUCUUUUGAACAGUGACGAGCUACUAAUCCAGCAUGAUAGUACACCACUUUUAUAUGACCUUGUAUUUUAGAUCUAGUCUGUCAAACCUUGGGUCCCUGAGCUUUGACAGACUAGAUCUAAUAUAUGAGAACAUGGGGAACCCCAAGAGCUUUUAGGAUAUCCUGCGAUGGAUGUAUAAUUCAAUCAAAUUAAACAGAUUAUUUCAACAUAAUCAAGGGGUUAAUAUGUGAGCUUAGUACUCAUGAACUGACUGAGUGGCGGUUGCAGUUAAGGCCAUCACUGGGACAUACGGAAAGUUCUGCUUGAGACAUCCUAGUCCCCUAUAAUCUAGUUGAAAAUCGUGUCCCCCUUGACUAAUAAUGACAACCACAAAAGUGACAAUCAAUGAGCUUUACUCCUUAAUCAGUCUAAAUGUACAAGAAAAGCUCAAACCAGCAGCAUUUUCCUUUCAUGAGAUCAAACUGGCAGAGCAAAUCCAGUUAAGACCUUGUAAGAAACACAAUCAAUGAUCACAUGGUUGAACCUUUGCCUUUCUCAAGUUGUUACCAUAAAGUAUAAGUGUUAAUAGAAUAAACGGGGACACAAGAACCAGCUUAAGAGACUGAGUAUCAUGCCAAACAUAGAUAGGAGGUAUAAUCCUUAUCCAAGCUUAUGCCGAUUCCAAUUGCUCUGGGAAGUAAUUUCCAUUGGAGCUUAUUUAAGUUGUGCGCUCUUUACUCAAUAUAGUGAAAGAUGGGCCACUAAGUAUUCCCAAACGAUGGAACCUAAAUCUUUUCAUCGAACAAGGAGCACCGCAUUAUGUUAUAUAGAAAUUUCAUAGGGCUUUGGGCUUCAGAAGGCCUAGUGUAACACUGACAAUUUAAUUAGGCUAGACACAUAAAAAAUGCAGAGAAGUUUGGAAAAAGAGCUUAAGUUAGCAUAUAUAAAAGCUCAAACCAGCAGUACAUUCCUUUCAUGACAACCAUGAAAGUGACAACCAAUGAGCUCUUGUCGUCAAUCAAGCAAAUGUACAAUAAAAGCUCAAACCAGCAGCACGUUCCUUUCAUGAGAUUAAAUUGGCAGAGCAAAUCUAGUCAAUACCUUUUAUGAAACACGAUCAAUGAUCACGUGGGUGGACCCUUGCCUUUCUCAAAUUGUCAGUAUAUAGUAUAACCAUUAAUAGAAUAAAUAGAUACACAAGAACGAGCUUAAGAUAUUGAGUAUUAUGCCAAACAUAGAUAGCAGAUAGCAUCUUCCUUGUAAGAAACACAAUCAAUGAUCACGUGGGUGGACCUUUGCCUUUCUCAAGUUGUCAGUACAUAGUUUAACCAUUAAUAGAAUAAAUAGAUACUCAAGAACCAGCUUAAGAGAUGGAGUAUCAUGCCAAACAUAGACAACAGAUGGCAUCCUUAUCCAAGCUUAUGCCACUUCCAAUUACUUUAGGAAGUCAUUUCCAUUGCAGCUUAUUUAAGUUGAGUGCUCUUACUCCAUAUAAUGAAUGAUAUGCCACUAAGUUUUCCCAAACGACAGAACCUAGAUCUUUUCCAAAGCUCAAACAAGGAACAUUGCAUUCUGUUAUAUUAGAACUUCAGAGGGCUUCAGAAGGUCUAGGGUAACACUGACAAUUUAAUAAGGCUAGAAACACAGAAAAUGCAAAAAAGUUUGGAAAAAGAGUUUAAGUUAGCUUAUAUAAAAGGAAACUUGCUUAUAUUUAUCUGGAAUAAGGACAAAAGUUUUGCAAUGGCAACAUCACAAAUGAUUAUUCUUUUUGAAGUAACUCUAGCAUGAUCUUUCUUCAUGUGCGAGGCAUGCCAAAGCUUAUGCAUAUGUCACGCAAUGUCCCUCAUCAACAACAAAACCAGAGAGUUGUGCCUACAAUAAAAUAUCAUCAAAUAUAAAAAAUUAUAAAGAACCAUUUUGGAAAAAAGUUACAGUGCAUCAGAAACAACACCUUUCUGUGCAUGCAUUUCAAUAUCUCGAGAAAUGAUAUUUUUCCCCCAAUCCUUUUAGGAGUUACAUGCAAUAGCUUGCACGAUGUUUAUCUUUUCUGAAAGGGCAGGCAAAGCAGAAGUGGAGGUUAAUAAUUUGGCAGUCACAACACUCAGCAUAAAAGUUUUUUGAUCAAAAACCGCGAGGACAACUGCCAAUUGGGCAACAGUCUGUUGAGAGUUCAAGAAAGUAGAUUGUAUGCUGUACUUGAGGGUUACAUUAGUUAUUUGAUCCUAGAUGAGAAAUAGCAAGGGAGAUAUAACAACUGUGACACCUGGUUUUAAAGUUGCUAGCAGCUGAAACGAAGGUAAAAACAUCAGAAGAGCAAAUGAAGAAAGGAAGGGACGAUGGAAUUAUUAUUUCUUUCACCUUCAGUUGAUCAGGAAGGACAAGUUGUCACUACUUGUUUUAUAAUUACUUUCAGUACAUAUAUCAACUACUUCAAGACUAAAUAGAAAACACUUCUAAAAAAAUCAACUUAAUAAAUCCAAACUUAUAUCUUCCUUCUUAAUUCAGUUAUCAUUAAUUUUGCUUGCAACCAAGAUCCAUUGUAUAUUAAAGGACAUUAAUUUCAAACCAAUUAUGGGAAAAAGAAGUCCUAGAUCAUCACCCUUUGUUGAGAUAAUGGCAUAGCAAAUAACUGCAAAGGACCUUACCAAAAAAAAAAAACUGCAAAGGACAUAUAAAAAUCUAGAACCCAUUUCUCUCUGACUUAAUAACCCUCUUGAAUUGGACAUGAAUUAUGACUGACAACAACACAUAACAUGCAUAAACAAGAUGAAUUUUCAUGUAAGUGAUUAGAAGGUCCUAGAAGUGUAGCGCAAACUUCAAAUCCUAAAGAUUACAGACUAGAUAGAGAGGUGCGAAGGCAGAACAAGAAUGUACAAUAUUUCCUUCUUUUCUACUUUUGUCCGAUGCCAUACAUUGGAACCCAUGCUUAUGUGCCUGAAUCACUUCCUAUAGCUUAAUUUCAUUUGAAAAACAUUUCCUUCCUUAAGUUCACAACCUUCUUAAAAUGCUAAACAAAGCAGAUCAGAAGAUCAUGUUAUAGCUUAAAUGUUGACAUACAAGUCUACUUAAACAUUUAAUUGGUGGAACCACUGAGCAAAGUGCACAGGGCUUGUGCUCUAACAUUGUCUCCACACACUUCUACAUACAAUCAUCACCCAGUUGAGACAAUGUUAACAUUAACUAACCUGGUAACAUAAACUUUUACCACCUUUAUUGGGCAUGAGAAUAAAGCAAACUUGCUUGGCUACAGAAGCUUUACAAGCCUGACGUUGCAUUGGUCGAAAUGCCUUGGUUCCGAAUAUGACAAUGUGACAUCCCGAUUUUUCUCAAUUUUAUUUUUAGUCAAUUGAGUCGGGCAAUUCAUCUGUGCGUGUAGUUCGUCUCUCAGAGUUGGCCACUCACGAGGGAACUAGUCUAUUGAGUGAAGCAAUUAAGGAAUUUUAAUGCGUCAGACUUGGGGACUGAUCACCCUCGGGUCGGAUGCAAGAAAAUUUCCCCAAAAGCUACUCAGUGGAUUAGGCGCGCUGAAAUCGCACCAGAGUGAAUUCAACCGUAAAAAUUGGGAUUGAAUUUAGAAGUUGGAAGCCCGGUUAUGUCACACAUCUUAUUAGGAUGAUGGGAUAAUUUUGUGGAUUUUAAUUGAAUUCAAUUAGAAGAGAAUUGAAAGAAAAAUUGAAGAAAUUGGAUGUGCAAGGAUUUGGACCCCUGUGGAAAUGAUAUUGCACCCAUUGAAGAAUGUUGCGGGAGAGGAGAUACUGGAAGAUGACAUCAUGGGGGUGAUGUCAUGCUGAUUGAAGCCAAGGAUUGAGGGCUUGACAAGUGGAGGGUGGAGAUUUAAUCUCCAAAAAGGGGGCCAUCACCAUCAUCUUCAACCUUGGGAAGGAGAGAGAGAGAACUGGCGAAGGGGAGCUCGCCCGUCGACCAGCCUGCCCGCGCAUGCCGCUCCUCUGCCGUUCGUCGUCGUCGUGCAGCGCCGUCGUCACCGUCCCGUGCGACCGCGCAUCGCCCCGCACCCGCGUGCUCAUGCUUCGUCAACGCCGCCUCAGCAGUGCUCGUCCCGUCGGCCCAGCCACCCCAGCCGCUGUUCGACCUUGCCAGAGCCUCCUUCACCGUCGCCGUUGAGCCAGCCGAGCCGCCGCCUCUUCCUCCGCUCGUUUCGCACGCCUGCACCUCCCCGUCGCGCCUCUUUCCGGCCCGGUUCAACUGCUCCAUUUAUGGGUAUCUUAGCCCCUUCUAGGCCCACUUUGGCUAUCUUCCCGGCUCCGGAAGCUAGGCCCGCCUUUGGAAAAGUCAAUCCCGGCGUUGCCCUCGUCGUUUUGGUCCAAGCGGUGAGUUAAUCAAGUGAGUUUAUCUCACUAAACCCUAAUUAGAGUGUUAAUAAUGCCCUAAGUUUGUUUAGUUUGAAUUAGGUGAAUUUAGGUGGGUAGAUUAGUAUAUUUAAUUAUAAAUUGGGUUAAGAGGUUGGUUUAUAUUAAAGUAUGUUUAAUUAAGGUGAAAAUAGGUUAUUUAAUGUUAAGCCUUGAUGGGACAUAAUAGGAUUUUAGUUUUGAAUUAUUUAAUUGCUUCAAAAUUCUGGAUAAUAUAAUAUUAUAUUAUAAUCCGAAAUUAUUUAAAUAUUAUUAAAAAAACGGAAAAAUUAUUUUUGACCCCGGUUGCUCAGAAUUUCGUGACGAUCGCUGCUAUGCAUUUAGAAUUUGAAAUUGAUGAUUGAUUGUGACAAAUUGAGUGUGAUUGCGAUAAAUAGAGAUUUUUUUUAUAAAAUCUUAAGUGUGGAAAUUGAUGGGAGAUUGGCCGUGAUUGACCACCUAUUAGAGGUCGUGCCCAAUAGGGUCGUGAUUAACCACCUAUUAGAGGUCAUGCCCAGUGAGGUCGUGAUGUACCACCUAUGAGAGGUCGUGCCCAAUAGGGACGUGAUUAACCACCUAUUAGAGGUUGUGCCCAGUGAGGCCGUGAUGGACCACCUAUGAGAGGUCGUGCCCAAUAGGGCCGUGAUUAACCACCUAUUAGAGGUCGUGCCUAAUGAGGCCGUGAUGGAUCACCUAUGAGAGGUCGUGCCCAAUAGGGCCGUGAUUAAUCACCUAUUAGAGGUCGUGCCCAGUGAGGCCGUGAUGGACCACCUAUGAGAGGUCGUGCCCAAUAGGGUCGUGAUUAACCACCUAUUAGAGGUCGUGCCUAGUGAGGCCGUGAUGGACCACCAAUGAGAGGUCGUGCCCAAUAGGGCCGUGAUUAAUCACCUAUUAAAGGUCGUGCUCAGUGAGGCCGUGAUGGACCACCUAUGAGAGGUUGUGCCUAAUAGGGCCGUGAUUGACCACCUAUGAGAGGUCGUGCCCAAUAGGGCCGUGAUUGACCACCUAUUAGAGGUCGUGCCCAUCGGGCUGAGAUCUACCACCUAAUUAAAGGUCGUGCCAAGUGGGGCCGUGAUUGCCACUGGUUAUUAAACCUUCCUAUAGGGUCCUGAUUGGAAGCAGUAAUUGAUUUGCUAGAAUGACAUGUAAUUGGCCGAGUCAAUUGAUCGCUAAGACGAUCCAAGUGAUUGAAUUGUUCUGAUAAUGUGAUUGUGCCUCAGUUGUUUGGUUAUCAGAAUUGCACAUUGUUGAAUUAUAUAAAUUGUGCUAACCUGUAGAUAAAGGCUAAUGUGAGGACCGUAGAUGGCGGUACCCCCGGAGAAGAGUGGCAUGCCGACAGAGAUUGACCAGACGACGCAGAGUGCUCCUGACCCUGGAAGUCCUUGGGUCUAUCAGUUGGUUAGGUCCAUUGUCUAGGUCUAGGUGACUGUGGAUGUCAGGGUACCUUAUAUGUUUAGGGCUUGGUUUCGUUUUGGAGUCGAUGGCGUUAGGGUUGGCCCACUGGAUAGUAUGGACAUUCCGUUGGCUGUGAUGAACGCCAUUUUGGGUGAAGGCGUGGCGGAUCUUCCUGACGGUAGAGUGAUCAAUGCAUCGCCCCCAGCCUCUUGGGUGACAGAUCCUAAGGAUGUGGGAUCGUCGAACGAGGCCAACCAAUAGUCUUAGGACUGUUUUUCUUUUUGGCGGACCGAUCCAUGUUGUGUAGACUAACCCUUUUUUAUGCACAUAAGCUUUGACCCAUUUUUGGUGCAUAUAGUCUCUGGAUCCUGUUGGUGUAUAUAAACCCUGGAAUGAUGAUGAUUUAUGAAAGUAUGUUUGUUUGAUUUUGAAUUGAUUUUCCUGUUGUCAUAUCCCGUAUGUUUUUAUCAGGGUUUCUUAGCACAUUCCACAUUCACAUAAUAAUUUAAAAUGGGGCCGGCGACACUACCUGGGAAUGUCGCAUUUACAUGACCAUGGCAGGUUGUUCAAGUGUCUCGGGGUUUGAGGCGUGACAUCCCCGUUUAAGUGGUAUCAGAGCAUGUUUUGUGUAUGGAGUGAUAAGGGCGAUGAGUCAUGGGAUAAUUAGUAGGAAGAACUUUCCAUAUCCUAAUGCACGUGAUUGUUAGUUGUUUGUUAACUUGGUUGGAAUGUUACUCAAAUUCUAAUAUGGUAUUGGAAUUCGCCAAUAGGCGUCUGUAUUGAGCCUGUAGCAUGAGUGACCGAGUGCCGAGAGCUGUUAGGAAGAGAGCAGCAGGUCCCGUGUUUCGAGGUGGGUCUUCGUUGAGGGCCGGUGCCCGUGGUACCCUGGGAGGAGCGCAGGCCAAGACCAGUGCAAAUGGUGCAGCUUUGCCUCCAGACGGUGCAACAGCGUUAGAGGAUUCGAGGUUUAUUGGAAUCAUGCAGAUGCUCGAGGCGAUGGGAGACAGGAUGGAUCAGCAAGCCACUGCUAUAGCCACCGCAUUGAACACCGCCAAUACCACUGCUACUGCCGCCGCACCGGUUGCCGAACCAGAAGAGGAACCCGAUGAAAUUCUACUUGAGGAUGUGGCCGCUGGGAGGCCUAGACAGAAGUUGGUAUAGCAUCAACGUUCACGGGAGCAAGAGACCCCAAAGCUACAGCAUUAUGGAUCCUGGAGUUAGAGAAUGCCUUUGAGUUGCUGUUGUGCACUGAAGCAGAAAAAGUCGUCCUGGCAGCCUAUCAGUUGAGGGGGAUCGCGGCUACAUGGUGAAAGACUAACAAAAGGAUAAUGUUCCCUAAAGGUGUGGUUCUAGAGUGGAAUGCUUUUCUUGAAGUCUUCAAUGAGAAGUACUUUUUUGAUUGUGCCAGAGAGGUGAAAAUGGCGGAGUUUCAGUGCCUUCGUCAAGGUACCAUGUCAGUUGAUCAUUAUGAAGCGAAGUUCACCGAACUGUCGCAGUAUGCCCCUGAGUUGGUCCAGCGACCGUCAGACCGAGCUCGAAGGUUUAGAGAUGGGUUCCGAUCGGAGGUGAGGAGCUUGUUGGUACCACUGGAUUUGAAGGAGUACAAUGACCUCUACAAGCAGGCCCAGCUAAUCGAGAAAGACCAGAAUGAGAGAGCUGUCGCAUUUGGGUCACGGUUUAAUUCAAACAGAGAUGAUAAUCGGUUUGGGAAGAGGCCGAUGCCUGGGGGAAGGUAUCAUGUUCCACCCAACAGGAAGGGUGGAGUGGGGAAGUCGUCAUCGAGCUUCAAUGGAGCAUGUCGUUCGUGUGGAAGGCGACAUGGCUCAGCCCCGUGCCCUCUUAGGACGGGUGCUUGAUAUGAGUGUGGCCAGCAGGGUCACAUUACUAGGGUUUGUCCCAGGAGACAGAUGAGACAACCUCAAUUGCCGCCACCACUGGGUCAGAACAGAGGAUUCGCACCGCAGAUCGUGUCGCCCGGUGGAUUGAACCGACCUCUAGCUCAAGGAAGGACUUAUGCACUCACUAGAGGACAGGCGGAGGAUGCACCUAAUGUGGCCAUAGGUAUGGUCUUGCUGAACGACAAACCUGCUUAUGCUUUAUUUGAUCCCGGAGCUUCGCAUUCGUUUAUAGCUGAAAUAUUUAUUAAGUUGGUAGAAUUAAUUCCUGAAUUGUUGGAGUUUGUGAUUAGCGUAUCUACUCCGUUGAAAGAUAAGGUGUUAGUUACAGUAGGUUGCCUAGGUUGCAAGCUAGUGAUUGGUGAGCGAGAGGGGAGGAUAGAUUUGAUAGUCCUAGCCAUGUAUAAUUUUGAUGUGAUAAUUGGCAUGGACUGGCUCACCAAGCAACGAGCUAAGAUGGACUGUUAUCGCAAGGCGAUUUAGUUUAACCCAUUAGAGGGUGAGAGUUUCGAAUUCAAUUGGAGUCGAGGAGGACCCUCGGUUUCCUUAAUCUCAUUGCUCGAGGCAACUCGCUUGCUAGGCAAGGGUUGCCAAGGUUACCUGGCGACUAUCGUGGACAUGAUAGUAGAGGAGUCGAAGAUAGAAGACAUUCCAGUGGUGCGAGAGUUCCUAGAUGUGUUCCCGAAAGAAUUACUAGGUUUGUUGCCAAAAAGAGAGAUAGAGUUUGUAAUUGAGUUAGCUCUCGGGACCGAGCCUAUCUCCAAAGCUCCUUACCGGAUGGCCUUGUCAAAGCUUAAGGAACUAAAGGUGCAAAUGCAAGAGUUGUUGGAUAAAUGAUUUAUACGUCCAAGUGCAUCACCUUGGGGAGCAUCGGUGUUGUUUGUGAAGAAGAAUGAUGGUUCAUUACGCUUGUGCAUCGACUACCGACAGCUCAACCAGGUGACAAUUAACAACAAGUAUCCGUUGCCAAGGAUUGAUGAUUUGUUUGAUCAACUUCAAGGAGUGUCGAUAUUUUCUAAGAUCGACUUGAGGACGGGAUAUCAUCAGCUAAGAAUCAAGAAGGAAGAUAUACCGAAGUCGGUGUUUCGCACUCGAUACGGCCAUUACAAGUUUACCGUGAUGCCGUUUGGGCUGACGAACGCCCCGACUGCUUUCAUGGACCUAAUGAACCGGGUGUUCAGAGAGUAUUUAGAUCAGUUCGUAAUUGUCUUCAUCGACGACAUCCUGGUGUAUUCAAGGAGUACUAAGGAUCAUGAAAGGCACUUAAGAAUAGUGCUUUAGACUUUGAGAGAUCACGAGUUGUACGCUAAGUUCAGUAAGUGCGAGUUUUGGCUAACUCGUGUGGCUUUCCUAGGUCAUGUUAUCUCUGGAGAAGGAAUCUCAGUGGACCCAGCCAAGAUUGAAGCAGUGAUCAACUGGCCGAGACCUACUACAGUGACAUAAAUAAGAAGUUUUCUGGGUUUAGCAGGGUAUUACAGACAGUUUGUAGAAGGGUUUCCAAUGUUAGCAUCGCCGAUGACGAGACUGCUGAAGAAGGAAGAAAAGUUUGUAUGGUUAAAUAAGUGCGAGUGUAGUUUCCAAGAGCUCAAGCAAAAGCUAACUAGUGCACCUAUACUUACUAUUCCAUCUAGUCCAGGAGGAUUUGAAAUCUACAGCGAUGCGUCGUUUAAAGGAUUAGGUUGCAUAUUGAUGUAGCAUGGUAGGGUUGUUGCGUAUGCGUCCCGUUAGUUGAGACCUCAUGAGUUGAAUUAUCCGACGCAUGACUUAGAACUUGCAGCGAUCAUCUUUGCCCUUAAGAUUUGGAGGCACUACCUGUGCGGAGAAAGAUUCCAAAUCUUCACUGACCACCAGAGUCUUAAGUACUUAUUCUCUCAGAAGGAGUUGAAUAUGAGACAGCGCCGAUGGAUGGAACUCCUAAAGGACUAUGACUAUGAGAUUUUGUAUCAUCCCGGAAGGGCGAACAAGGUCGCCGAUGCAUUGAGCAGGAAGUCUUCAGUUGCACAUAUGGUACUCAAGGAAUGGAGUCUACUUGAGGGAGCACGAGAUUCGAGUUUCAAGUUUGAAGUAUGCCACCUUUCGAACCUUAUGGCCACCCUCAGAAUUGAGCCAGAAGUUCAGGUCAGGAUCAGGACACUUCAGCAGACAGAUCCGAAUAUUUAGAAAAUCGUACAAGAGGAUACAAAGAAGAGGAAAGCUGACUUCCAGAUUUCUGAUAAUGGAACGUUGAGGUUCCAAGGACGGUUGGUUGUACCCCGCGAUGUGGAGCUUAGGGAGGAGAUUUUAUCAGAAGCGCAUCGUAACAGUUACAACAUUCAUCCUGGUAGUACCAAGAUAUAUCAGAAUCUGCGUCAACACUAUUGGUGGUGUGGCAUGAAGGCGGAUAUCGCCAAACAUGUCGCCAAGUGUUUGACGUGUCAGCAAGUGAAAGCCCAGCAUUGCAAACCGAGAGGACUUCUGCAACCCCUUGAGAUCCCAGAAUGGAAAUGGGAGCAUAUCACGAUGGGCUUCGUGACGGGACUACCGAGGAGCUAGAGAGGAAAUGAUUCGAUUUGGGUAAUAGUUGACAGAUUGACAAAAUCGGCUCACUUCAUUGCAAUUUGAAGGGACUUGAGUUUGGAUAGACUCGCAGAUCUGUAUGUACGUUAGGUAAUUCGUAUGCAUAGAGUGCCGGUCACAAUUACUUCAGAUAGAGACCUGAGGUUCACUGCCGCUUUUUGGAAGAGUUUGCAAUCCGCUUUAGGAACGAAGCUGCAGUACAGUACGGCCUAUCACCCGCAGACUGAUGGCCAGUCUGAGAGGACAAUUCAGACUCUUGAGGACAUGCUGCGAGCUUGUGUCUUAGACUUCAAAGGAAGUUGGGAGGAACAGCUUCAUCUGGUUGAGUUUGCCUACAACAACAGUUAUUGGCAGAGUAUUCAGAUGGCUCCUUUUGAAGCGUUGUAUGGUAGAGCAUGCAGAACGCCAGUGUAUUGGGAUGAGAUCGGAGAAAGAAAGAUCACCGGUCCAGAGUUAGUACAGCAGUCAGUGGAAGCAGUUGCAGUUAUCAGAGACAAACUAAAGACUGUUCAGAGUCGACAGAAAAGUUAUGCCGAUAAUCGUCGGAGGCCAUUGGAAUUCCAAGUUGGUAAGCACGUCUUCUUGAAGGUGUCAUCGGUGAGAGGUACUUCCCGCUUUGGCAAAAAGGGGAAACUAAGUUCGAGGUACGUAGGUCUCUUCGAGAUUUUGGAAAGAAUAGGGACUCUAGCGUAUCAUCUUGCACUGCCGCCGAAGUUGUCACAGGUGCACAACGUCUUUCACGUGUCGAUGUUGAGGAAAUAUGAACCUGACCCGACUCACGUUCUAAAUUUCGAGGAAUUAAACGUGGACAACAAAGUGUCGUACGUUGAAAACUCGAUUCAGAUUGUGGAUCACAAAGAGCAAGUUCUGCGCACUAGGACCAUCCCAAUGGUCAAAGUGAUCUGGCAACACCAUGGCACUAAAGGAGCAACCUAAGAGACCGAAGAAUCAAUAAAAAAAUUGUACCCCUACCUUCUUGUUUAAAGAUCUGUAAUGGUUUAAAUUUCGAGGACAAAAUUUUUAUAAGAGAGGAAGAGUUGUGACAUUCCAAUUUUUCUCAAUUUUAUUUUCAGUUAAUUGAGUCGGGCAAUUCAUCUGUGCGUGUAGUUUGUCUCUCAGAGUUGGCCACUCACGAGGGAACUAGUCUAUUGAGUGAAGCAAUUAAGGAAUUUUAAUGCGUCAGACUUGGGGACUGAUCACCCUCGGGUCGGAUGCAAGAAAAUUUCCCCAAAAGCUACUCAGUGGAUUAGGCGCGCUGAAAUCGCACCAGAGUGAAUUCAACCGUAAAAAUUGGGAUUGAAUUUAGAAGUUGGAAGCCCGGUUAUGUCACACAUCUUAUUAGGAUGAUGGGAUAAUUUUGUGGAUUUUAAUUGAAUUCAAUUAGAAGAGAAUUGAAAGAAAAAUUGAAGAAAUUGGAUGUGCAAAGAUUUGGACCCCUGCGGAAAUGAUAUUGCACCCAUUGAAGAAUGUUGCGGGAGAGGAGAUAGUGGAAGAUGACAUCAUGGGGGUGAUGUCAUGCUAAUUGAAGCCAAGGAUUGAGGGCUUGACAAGUGGAGGGUGGAGAUUUAAUCUCCAAAAAGGGGGCCAUCACCAUCAUCUUCAACCUUGGGAAGGAGAGAGAGAGAACUGGCGAAGGGGAGCUCACCCGUCGACCAGCCUGCCCGCGCACGCCACUCCUCCGCCGUUCGUGGCCGUCGUGCAGUGCCGUCGUUGCCGUCCCGCGCGACCGCGCGUCGCCCUGCGCCCACGUGCCCGUGCUCCAUCGACACCGCCUCAGCCAUGCUCCAUCCCAUCGGCCCAGCCACCCCAACCGCCAUUCGACCUCGCUGUAGCCUCCUUCACCAUUGCCGUUGAGCCAGCUGAGCCGCCGCCUCUUCCUCCGCCCGUUUCGCACACCCACACCUCCCCGUCGCGCCUCCUUCCGGCCCAGUUCAGCUGCUCCAUUUGUGGGUAUCUUAGCCCCUUUUAGGCUCGCUUUAGCUAUCUUCCCAGCCCCAGAAGCUUGGCCCGCCUUUGGAAAAGUCAAUCUCGGCAUCGCUCUCGUCGUUUUGGUCCAAGUGGCAAGUUAAUCAAGUGAGUUUACCUCACUAAACCCUAAUUAGAGUGUUAAUAAUACCCUAAGUAUGUUUAGUUUGAAUUAAGUGAAUUUAGGUGGGUAGAUUAAUAUAUUUAAUUAUAAGUUGGGUUAAGAGAUUGGUUUAUAUUAAAGUAUGUUUUAAUUAAGGUGAAAAGAGGUUAUUUAAUGUUAAGGCUUGAUGGGAUAUAAUAGGAUUUUAGUUUUGAAUUAUUUAAUUGCUUCAAAAUUCUGGAUAAUAUAAUAUUAUAUUAUAAUCCGAAAUUAUUUAAAUAUUAUUAAAAAAAUGGAAAAAUUAUUUUUGACCUUGGUUGCUCAAAAUUUCGUGCCAAUCGCUACCGUGCAUUUAGAAUUUGAAAUUGAUGAUUGAUUGUGGCAAAUUGAGUGUGAUUGCGAUAAAUAGGAAUUUUUUUUUAUAAAAUCCUAAGUGUGGAAAUUGAUGGGAGAUUGGCCGUGAUUGACCACCUAUUAGAGAUCGUGCCCAAUAGGGUCGUGAUUAACCACCUAUUAGAGGUCGUGCCCAGUGAGGCUGUGAUGGACCAUCUAUGAGAGGUCGUGCCUAAUAGAGCCAUGAUUAACCACCUAUUAGAGGUCGUGCCCAGUGAAGCCGUGAUGGACCACCUAUGAGAGGUCGUGCCCAAUAGGGCCGUGAUUAACCACCUAUUAGAGGUCGUGCCCAGUGAGGCCGUGAUGGACCACUUAUGAGAGGUUGUGCCCAAUAGGGCCGUAAUUAAUCACCUAUUAGAGGUCGUGUCUAGUGAGGCAGUGAUGGACCACCUAUGAGAGAUCGUGCCCAAUAGGACCGUGAUUAAUCACCUAUUAGAGGUCGUGUUCAGUGAGGCCGUGAUGGACCACCUAUGAGAGGUCGUGCCCAAUAGGGCCGUGAUUAACCACCUAUUAGAGGUUGUGCCUAGUGAGGCCAUGAUGGACCAUCUAUGAGAGGUCGUGCUUAAUAAGGCCGUGAUUGACCACCUAUGAGAGGUCGUGCCCAAUAGGGCCGUGACUGACCACUUAUUAGAGGUCGUGCCCAUCGGGCCGAGAUCUACCACCUAAUUAAAGGUCGUGUCGAAUGGGGUCGUGAUUUGAAGCAAUAAUUGAUUUGCUAGAAUGACAUGUAAUCGGCCGAGUCGAUUGAUCGCUGAGACGAUCCAAGUGAUUGAAUUGUUCUGAUAAUGUGAUUGUGCCUCAGUUAUUUGGUUAUCAGAAUUGCACGUGGUUGAAUUAUAUAAACUGUGCUAACCUGCAGAUGAAGGCUAGCUCGUGUCCAGACUCAUAAAAGAUUAGCAAGUGACAUUCAAACAUGACAAAAGGGACGGCUAAUUUAAACCGAGUGUGAUCGUGGACCAGGGGAAACGAGACCCUACUAUCGUGUUGGCUCCGUCUUAAAUAAAGCCAAGCAACAGAGUUCCCAGAGACAUGUGUUUGACCGCGGAUGUCCGUACCCCAUGGCCGAACGCUACCUUUUUUUCAUCAGUCCCCGUCCAGCACCCCCUUCUCUCUGCCAAAUCAGCCGCGCUCUUCUCAGCCGAAUCUUUUUUUGUUAGGUCUCUCUCUUUGCUCACUUCACUUGCUCGUCUCUCCUCUCAGCCGAAUCAUUUUGAAUUAUUUUCUUUUAUAUCGUGGCCCUUCCAGGCCGGCGGCCACGCAUGGUAUGUAAACUUUUUCAAAGUUGCAGAGCAGUCAUGUAACGGUGCGAAAGUUAGAGGGCUUUUGAGAAAUUAUCCACAAAAUUAAGAGCAAAAAAAGGGGAAUUAAAAGGAAAAUCCAAAAAAGAACGCAAGAAAAAACCCCUUCCCCGCGCUUUCUCAUACCCUAAUCGAUCUUGGUCCUCGGCAAGACCUUAAACUGCAGCGCUCCGGGGGGGACAACCCCGAUAACAAGGCCCCGCGCGGGCGGGUAAUCCCGUGCCUCCCCACCAUGGGGGCCCUGAAGGCCAUACGAGGGGUAGUCCCUUUCCUGGGGACGAAAAAGAUUCAGGUUGGGGGUAAAAGUCCAGACCCCUGGAAAAAACAGGAGAACCUGGCGUCGGACCUGAGCAGGUCCUUAAAAGGCUCAAGGGGGGCCACCCCGACAGGAGGAAUAACCUCCCAGGGGUGAGAGACCCCGCGUCGGGGCCCCCUAUUCCCGUGGGAGGGAAGAAAAAAUAAAACUACCCCCACUGCCUCGCCCGCCACAGCUCUGGAACCCAGAAGGGUAAAGGAGAGGGAUGGCACACGGUAAGGGUAGAACGGCAGCCCUCUCGGUAGCCGAACCCAGGCCCGAGACAGGACCUAGUAGCCCAAUGACCCGUGCCAGAAAGGAAACUUUCUGGGUGGCGGCGGGCGGCUUCGGAAAAAGUUCACUCCCGUCAAUUUUCCCCAAGUCGCUCCUCCUUCAUCCUCGUCCAAGAAGGAAGAAAGGAAAUGAUGAACGUGUUCAUGCCGAGGAACUUGGUGCCUCCCGAGCUGUUGGACGCGCUCCACGACGCGCUCAAGCUGAACGGAGCUGUUUCUUCCAGGGGUGGGCCCCGCGAAUUUCACGCGUUUCUUCUCCCGAUCCCGUGAGUACGUUGGGAUUGGGCGGCGCUAAGGCUUUUAGGUUCAUUUUUGAGAAUCGGGUUUGAGGUUGUUUUACGUCUUGAGAAGUUCGAGGAUCUUCAGGCGAAAGGGUGGAAGCUAGUCGGCAAAGAUCUUGUUCUCGUCCUAGUUUUAUCUUUUGGUUUUUAACUCGAGGCUGCUAAAUGCUAAACCAGAACUUGUAGUUGAGAAACGAAAGCGGAAGCAUUGGGGUCAACGUGCUGGUCAAGCAAGUCGAGAGGAGUUCUUCUGCCUGGGAAAAAAAAGGUCGAUUUCGAUGGGGGAUAUUUCGGUUUCUUGCAGGUCCGCAGUGUGUGGUUUCGUGUGCGAAAGAAGGGAGACCUCUACCUCGAAAAGGGUAUACUUGUUUGUCUUGCGAUGGAUGGUGUCGAAGUCCUUGCAUCUAGAUUUGAGAUGGAUGAGAAAGCAUGCCUGUUCCUAGAUAAGCCUGGCCUUGUAUAAUUUUUUAGGGUGUAAUCUUUGUCAUUACUCGUCUCUCGAAUUCAGUGUGGCACGACACUUAUCCUUAUCCAUGUAUCCUUCUAUGUGACCCCUUGAUUCUUUUGCCUUCAGACAUGCUUUUGUCUGAACAAAUAUGGUGGCAGCCUGUCAUCUCUCUUAUUGUUUCACCAUAUACGUGAAUCCGCUGGCUGAGAUUGAGAAAUUGGUUACUUCAACGGGGGGAGUUCUACAGACCAAAACUUCAGCAAUGUUAGCUUCGUAAUUGCAAAGAAUAUUUUGGCUGCAAAAUGCAAGGUUUAAGUCUUGGAGUUAAUAAUUUGAAUUUAGUUUAAGAGUUGCGAAUUUGUUGUAUCUUGUUAAGGUUAAAUCACCUUAGAUGAGAUUCAUUAUGCUUUUUCACUAAGUAUGGGAAGUAUCGUGGGUAGUACUCUCAUUGAGUUGGCUGAACUAAAGAAGAGUUUCCUCCAUAUUUUUUUGAAUAUUCCCUGUGCAAAGUCUUUUAUGAAUUUCAUCUUGAAAGAUAAAUUGUAUUUAUCAAUUAAUGUUGUCAUCGUGCAAUGGGCUUUAAAUGUUCUGAAGAAACCUGUUGUCGCCAUUAAUUGUUAUACCAAUGUUGUGUUGUGCACCGUGUUUUACCUCAGGAGUCUUACGAAGUUCUUCCAUUUUCUGGAUCGACAAUGUGUGUCACAGGAAUUUCUGCACAUACUGAUUAUUUGAUAUAGCUGCUGCUGUUGGUUGUCCUCCAGUUCUUCAAUUUUGAUGUCCUUCAUUAUCUUAGAUGCACAGAAGGAGAUUCAGAAGCAUAAAACAAAAUGGUGGGAAAUAUUCUGCAGAAUUGACCAGGAAGUGCACUCAUUUAAUUGCAGAAAUAACUUUUUCUUCUUCAAGAUUAAAGUCCAGUUAUUUGCUUGCAUAUUUUACCUUUGAUAUCUGAUCGCCGUGUGAAAAUGCACAUAUCUUUAUCUUGUCUUCGCAUAUGAAAAGACUUUUAAGAGUUUGAAAAGAAAAUCUGUAUCAUUUCAAGGUUUAGUGACGAUUUUAAUUUGAAAUAGGAAAUAGCUAUACUUGAUUUAAUCCUGGUUUUUGGUAUUAUCCUUUUACUUGGGAAUUUGAUUACUCAGAUGAGAAACAGUGAAACUUCCCGGCAUGAGAAUAUCAUUGACUUUGACUUCUAAAUCAGUCCUAAAGAAUUGUGUUCUGUGGUUCAAGGAAACAAGGUGUUAAACAACCUACAAUUUGAACUGCCACUUGUUAAAAGAUCCUCAGCCAGUUUUCGCUUUUCCAGUGUGAGUUAGGACUGCCUGUUGGUUGCUCAAAACACAUUGCUCAGCAAUGUUAUUACCAUUGAAUCUUUCUAUUGGCCUCAUAUAUGAUGCUCUGCAACACUGUGAGUCCCACUACGAUGCCCUUGACUGGCUGUAAGCUCCAGAAGAUAAAUACAAGGUUGCUAAAAGAUGGGGUCACAUUCAUAUUUUGAAUCGCAAAUGGUUUGAUCAAUUAACUUCCGGGAAAGGUGAUAUUUCAGUACUAAAAUACCUUGUUGCUGUCAACUGUAGGAACAUUUAAGUUCUUUUGAGCCAUCUUGUUGUCUGCUCUAAUUUUGAGUUCUUUGCCGACUAGCAUCUCUUAAUGAGGAGNNNNNNNNNNNNNNNNNNNNNNNNNNNNNNNNNNNNNNNNNNNNNNNNNNNNNNNNNNNNNNNNNNNNNNNNNNNNNNNNNNNNNNNNNNNNNNNNNNNNGUAGUCAGCAAAAUCAGUAGAGUUAUUAGAAGUUCACAGUCUCUCCCUCUCAAUGGUUGGAGAUCAGGACUUCCAUUCCAUUUCAGCUACUGACCAUGCCAAACCAGAUUUAGAAACUACUCUCUCACAGAAUGUGUCUUCAAUGUUUGUGGAUCCCCAUUUCCUUGCAAAAGAGGAUAAUAGUGAAGUGGCAGCUGUGCAAUCCAAUGGUGAAGUGAAUCAUGAUUGUUGGGUUGCUGAAGACUGAAAAUGAAGACAAUGACCUGUAUUUGUCAGAAUGUAGGUUAACAUCAUCAAAUGCUCGAUUUCCCCAAGAGUGUUCCUAAAAGAAGUGAUCUGAAACUACCAUUCAAAGUUGGCUUGAAGAUACAAAACUUGGUGAUCUGAUUUUGAAGGCAGUGGUGCCUUAAAUAGUUCUGCUUGACACAUAUGAUGACUGACUAAAGAUUAUAUCAUCGUACACUGCUUUCUCUCGUUUCAUUAUGAUUCUCCGUGCUCUUCAUGUGAACAAUGGGAAUGCUGAAAUGUUAGUAUUGCCUAAUAGGACAGUAGCUGCUGAUUCACAUGACAUUUGGCUGUCUUUCACAUAUGAUUAGUGGCUGAAGGCUGCGAUCCUUUAAAUGGCUUUGUCAGCUUGCAACUCUCCAAUUUGAGGAUACCACACACUUCAUGACAUGGGUGGCCAAUUUUGCCGAAUGAAAUCAUUGUGUUUACAUGUUAGAAGAUGACGUAUGACUAUAGUUAAUCUGUGCUAAAGACAAUCUUUCAGCUCUUCCCGCUAAUAGCAUGCAUAUAGUUUCCAGGAUGGCAUAUGCUUGUAAGUAAUAAACGGUUUCAUAUGGUUUUCUUCUGGAUCUCAUUCCUGCAUUUGCUGCUGACCUUGCAAUCUUUUGGCUGGUGAAGGUAAAGGAUCUUUUUUCUCUUCAUGUGUUGAUCCUUUGCUUUUGUUUAUUGUGCAGCAGAACCCAGGAUUUUUAAACUCGUUUUGAAAUCUUAUAUUUGUUGGUACGGGUGUCACUGAAUUUAUUCUUUUUUGUUCUUUUGUGUUUUGGGCCACUGAUGUCUUAUCCCGGUCAAUGGAUGAAAGAGGGAAGGGUCAAAGAGCCAAUAGUAUUCAUUUAUCCUAGUAUUGCUCCGGAAGACACUUGGUAGAGCACCGACGUACCUUUGAUUUAUGUAGUUUCUAUGCAAUAAAAGCCGAUAAAAUCAGAUUUUUCCAGAUCAGUCUAACGGUCCGUUAUAUGUUCAAGUUUGAUCCUCAGCAGAAGGCAAAAAUCUUGUUAGUUUUUCAUGUUACUCCUUUUAAUAGCACUCUUGUACUAUUGUUCCCUUGGAUCAAUGAAAAUAAUUGGACUAACGUGGAUUCAAUAAACUCACCAUGAGCGGAGCAAGCAUGAGAGAAGAAAACACAUAUUGAUGUAUAUUCCAAGCAACCCAUAGCUUGACAAAUCAAUGUCAGCCCUCUUCAAACCUUUCGUGAGGCUAGCAAUUGAAUGCAUCGCAUAUUCUUGUGUUCACAUUCAUGUAUCAUGAGGCUAGCAAUUGAAUGCAUCGCAUAUUCUUGUGUUCACAUUCAUGUAUCAUGAGGCUAGCAAUUGAAUGCAUCGCAUAUUCUCGUGUUCACAUUGAUGUAUCAUGACUUAUAUUAGGUCACUCCUUUUCAUUUCAAGGGAAAAAAGAAAAAAAAAUGUAUAGUUAUAGAGCAGCAAAUGCAUAGAUAAAUAAGAGUUACUUGGAGUUAAUAAUCAAAAUGAAAAGUUCAAUGCAUAUCAAAUUUACAACAAGCAUCAAAAUUUCUUAAAAUAUCUAUGAAAAACUAUGAGAACCCUAUAUCAAGUCUUACUAGAAAACACAAGUAGCCACACUUUCGUCCAAAAGCUCCAAAUUAUGAUUAGCAUUGUCCGUUGCGUCACUUAUAAAUUAAUCUUAUGCAACAUUUCCACAAUAAAGACCGGUCUCUUGUCUCGCUGUGAGCAUAACCUAAGUGUUUGUAAUUAUGAUGUCCCCUAGNNNNNNNNNNNNNNNNNNNNNNNNNNNNNNNNNNNNNNNNNNNNNNNNNNNNNNNNNNNNNNNNNNNNNNNNNNNNNNNNNNNNNNNNNNNNNNNNNNNNAGAAGAAGAAUCACAGAAUCACUCCAAAGUUGACGUUGACUACAGUCUUUUAUUAUUUAUAAUUUUUGAGUAGGUUUGUCCGCAUUUGCCUUGUCCCUUUCUUUGGUCAAAAGAGGACUUGGGAAAUGCAAUGAAGCGAGCAAGAUGAAGGAUGACUUUGACUUGCUUUCCCUCGCCUGAUGCUAUAAAAUAUGAUUAGCUAACAAUCAUGAUUUGGAAGUUGUAUGCUUUCCACAUAAAUAACCAACCGAGAUUGAUUUAAAUAUGAGUAUACAUCACCUCCUUCAUUACCUUCUUUUAAAUAUAAUUUUAGCAAGCUGCAAAUUUAAAAUAUGAAAUGAAAUAUAUCAAGCUGCUCUGAUUACAUCAUAAUUAUAUAAAAAAAAUUAUUACAAUUUUGUGAUUCAAUCCAUUAUUAAGUCGUAGUAUGGGUGAAAAUUGAAAACUAUCCGCUAGAACCGCAUUCAAUUUUUUACGCAAAUCUUCUUUGGUUCCGACAUCCAAUGACCCAGCAACACUAUGGAAGACAGAGACCGUGUUUUCUCAUUUUCACACGUGCAAAAACCAAAGAUAUUUGCAAUCCAUUUUACUUGCCAUAAACCAAAGUAAAACGUCUGUUUCAAAUUUCCCUCUCCUAGUUUUAAACAUUCAAGCUCUUUGACAUUAAGGGUGUGUUUGUCUUGUGAAAAAUGAAUUUGACAAACAUUUCCACUAAAACCGCUAACAAUAACGAAUGAGCAAAAGAUACCUUUAUGACUCACGAAAAUGUUUAGACCUAAUUUUUUGUCGAUAAUGACUAUUUCAAUGCCUCCAACGGUGAGAGGCUUUUAUUUCAAUAGGAAGGGAAAGCAAAAUGUUGUCCAUCUUCACUUUGAUUUGUGCGGCCAUGUGAUUCCACUACAAAGAGAACUAACACAAGGUGGGGGUUCGUUUGUAAAAAUAGUAAAUUUUCUCAUUGAGGACACGCAAAUCCAUGGUAAGAUUGUGUGUGUCCCUAGCACAUUGCACUCACUUUUCGAGACAAGAGAAGAAGUAAUUUUCAAUAUGAACACCUUGCAAAAGUUCCCAAGUAAAGGAGAUAAUUUCUUUUGACAAAAAAAGAAAAAAAAAAAAGAAAGAAAAGGAGAUGAUUCCGGGGCUGUUGAGGACUAGCAUCGUGUAAAAAAGUUAAUUUCCACUAUGAUUUACUUGGCCACAGAAUAUAAUAACAAAAAGAAUUAAUAAGUGAAGUCUAUAGGGGGUCGUCUUGCCAAUUUCGAGGAAAGGAUUGUUCUGGUAGUCUUGGUCAAAAAGGCAGGAAUCAAAAGAAGUAAAUAAUUGCCUCGUCCAAGAAACGCAAUCCACCACAAGUUGUCUCUACUUCUAGAUCUGAAGCACAUCGAAUCCUCUACCAGAGCGAGAGCUUCAGCUUGAAUCGGCGGAGGAAGCAAGGGAUCUUCUUUCUCGUGAAUCCAUCGAGCGGUACGCCUGAGGCCGUCGCGAAGAGCACCUGCAAUCGCUCCUUCCGAACCACCGGCUCAAAGAACCCCAUCGAUAGUUGUCUUGAGGGACGGGGUUUUCGGCGGGCAUCCAUUAACAGGUAAAAUCGACUCGAAUCGCGUCGAGUUUCCAACUUUUUAGUGUUCCGCUCGCUAUAAUUUCCGAUCGUGGACUCCGCUGAGGCGAUUAGGGUUCCUGGGUUUGGUGGCGCGGUCUUUGCUGGGAACACGAGGGUUGUUUCUGGGAUCUCCAGAUAUACCAGAGAAGAGCUGCAAUUUAAUCGAGAGAUAGUAAGUUCCUUGCAUGUUGUUGGUGAUUUUGUAGCCACUACUCGUCCUUUCUCGUGAUGUUCUGACCUGAGAUGAUCUGCAAAUUUACCUCGGCGUAUCUCCAAACGAAGCCGGUCCAGGUCGAGGCGUGAAGGUGAUCCUCGGGAUUGUGCUGCCUUUCGGAACUCAGACACAACUCGAUCUGCUUCGAGGCGACUUCUUCUCAAAAACUGACGCCUAUCACAGUGAUUUCAUCUCUGAAUACCCCCUUCUGGAGGUAAGUCCGACCUUCGUCCUCCGGUCUAUUGCAAUUGAUAGGACAAAAAUACAUUUGAUUAUUACUCACUGCUUUAUCGCCUAACAUCCUCAAAGGCCUACGGAAUAAUACAUGUGAAAUUCCCUUGGGACAAAAAGCCCGUUCGAUUAAAAUUACGAGAAUACCCUUCUAAACCCGAUUUUGUGUCCGUUGGUCCUAUGUUCACCCUAAUUGUCCAAAAUUACUUGUUUUUUUUGGUCGGAGCCAACAGUACUUAAAGCCUGAAACAUCCAAAAUACUCAAUUUUUGCAGAAAUAAUUCUUCUUUUUUCCUUGAAUACAUUUAAAAACUAGAUUUUUUCCAAAUAUCGAUCGUGCUGGUCUAUUCUCUUCAAGAGUCGCACAAAACCUUUCAAAGGGUGUGGAUCAGAAUUGUCAACAACAAAAAUUUAUCUGAACCGAUCAGGUCAACUAGAGAAUUUUUAAAUGUCCAUAAAACCAUUUUCCCUUAUAUUGGCAAUUUUUGUAAUUUCUAGAAAAUGACAAAAAAUUCAAAUGUUUUCCGGAAAUUAUGAAAAAUUCACAAUUGCACUAUUUUUUUGUGCUGGUUACAAUGGAAAUUUGAAAGUGAGCGAAGCUGCUGGUUUCAAUGAGCUUACACAUAUUUGUGGACAAUUUUUAGGUGGACUUUAUCUUAGCGGAUUGAAUUAGAGAAACUUGUCAUAAAGUGUGGUUUUCAUGCGAUUUUACUGCUUUCAACAAAGACUUUUACGUAUAUAUAGUGUAGAAAAUUACUGACCUAUGAUAGAUUUGACGAUAUGAUUUAUGCAUAUUUAGGGUGGAAGGGAAAUGUAGCAUUUACAGAGUAAGAACGACUUUGACAUAAAAUUCACAAGCCGAUUAGAGCCACAUUUAUCUGUUUAACAAAAUGUUUUAUAAGUAGAUAUGAACAGAAGUGGGCAUUCCGUACUCGGGUCCAAAUUGCGUGACUUGACUUGGCUUGCCAUUUGAAAACAAUUUAAUUGCUACCAGUCAAUCAGCCUAUCGUCUACUACUCAUUAGUCCUCUCUCUCUCUCUCUCCCUCUCUCCCUCUCUCAUUUCUUACUUUUAUGUUUCACAUUUGGCCUCUCUCUUGCACUCUCUUGCAGAACAAUUCGAGAUUAUCAUCUACUGAUUAGUCCUCACUCUCUGUCUGUUCUUUCCCUCUUAGAAGUUCUUGCCCAGACUUGUUUAGGGUCUUCUCUCGCCGAUCUCACGCCUCCCUCUGCAUCUCAACUCACGAAAGGUAAUCACUUUUUCAUCCCUUAUUAGCAUGUCGUUUCUAUUGAUUCGUCGCUUUAUUAUUGAAAUGAUAGGCCGAACUAGUAUGUUCUGGGCCCUUUUGGUCUAUUGGGGAUGUGGUGGUGGCUGCUGAAUUGCAGAGGAUGGCCUUUUAUUCUUUCUUUUGGAGUCGCUGUUACCUCCUAACGAGGAAUGUCCCCAGCUCCGAUUUGACUUCGAUGAAAAUAGAAAGCCUUUGUUCUCAACUUUAGAUGUGGCUAAUCCUAUGAUGGCCUUAUUGCCUCAUUGUUAGUUGCAUUGUGAUUCAGUAUUGAGCAUUUGUUGAACUAGAACGAGUAGGUUUGGAAAUGCGCUAGACUCUAUUGCGUGCAAAAUUGCCAUGUUUCGCUCGAAUCCAGAGACCAAUUUUUUUUUUUAUUCAUUGUGAGGCUUCUCUGUGUUUAAGGGUCCUCGAUCAAUUUAUAGAAAAAAAAAUAGUUGGGUGGUUCUGGGGUCAACUAGUUUGGUUCUCGGUUACAAUAAUGGAGACCGAUAUUAAAGAAUAAGUUCGUGAUUCUAAUUAAGAAUCUAGUCAUCUUGAAACCGAUCAUCCUAAGAGUAAGUCNNNNNNNNNNNNNNNNNNNNNNNNNNNNNNNNNNNNNNNNNNNNNNNNNNNNNNNNNNNNNNNNNNNNNNNNNNNNNNNNNNNNNNNNNNNNNNNNNNNNUGAGUAAUAUUCUAUUUUCCUUGAUUGUUGGACCAUUAAUCCUAGAAAAAAAAAAUCUAGUUGAUCUUUUGACACAAAUGAAAUCAAUCAAAUAAAUUGAGCCAUACGCGCAUAUUAGGAGAUUCACUUAGCUUUAUAUCACUAAUUUCUUACACCUCUCUGCGGUGAUAUUCUCAAGAUGGGCCCUCCACAAAAAUGGGGACAAGCACUCAACGCCAUUCUCAAGGUGGUCGACUCUGAAUUUUCCGCAGCAGCUUCCUCUUACUUCCUUCUCUUCUUCUCCUUCUUCCAUCGAAUCCGUACCUAAUUUCUAAUCAUUCAGACUAACAUGGAGAAAGAAAAGAGCGCUAUAGCUCUAAUUCCAUAGACAAGAUAUUGGAUUUGAAAAUUUGAAACAAAAGGCUCGGUGAUAACAUGCCACUAUAAAAUCAUUUUACAUAGAACUGGAGAAUGCGGUGCCGGCAUGAAAUAGAUAAAAGAUAAAUAGCCAAGAGCAUUUUUGUUUGUCUCUACCUCUCCUUUCCAACUUCAUUAAGAAUAUGACCAUUUUAAACAUAAUUAAAAUAUAAAAUCACAUCCACAAUUACUAGCUUGGUUCUUUCUCAAUGUCUUCCACGCAUUUCUAAUUUUGUUCCAACUCAAUUAUUGUCUUUUGAAUGAUUUAUCAAAUUCUGAUUUUCAAUAACCAAAAAAAAAAAAAACCAAACAUAUGCUUAUAAUUUUAAUUGAAUAUAAUAUACUCGUGCACAGAUUAUAGUUCUUUAUAGCCCAAUUGAAAAAUUAAUGAACACAUCACUCGUGAGUUAAUCAAGCCAACAAGUUUGACUUGAAUAGUGUGAGGUCCAAAAGAAGACAAGACGAGGUCUAAAAACAUCUGCAACUGCUCGUAGUCAAUCAAUUACCAAUUAAUUAAAGAUUUCAUGUUGGUUUUUUCUUGCGUGGUAACAUUCAUGUUCAUUCUUGUUCGUAGAGAUUAGUUCAUCGAUACUUUUAUGCAGCAUAAAAGCAUCUUUCAUUUUCUUUUUAACUUUAAAUUCACCAAAUUCAUAAUUCAAAUGGCUUCGGAAAUUAUGAAAAAUUCACAAUAUUACCAUUUUUUGUGCUGGUUACAAUGGAAAACUUGAAAGUGAGCAAAGCUGCCGCUUUCAACGUACUUGCACAUAUUUAAUAUGUGGACAAUUUUUAGGUGGACUUUAUCUUUGUAGAUUGAAUUAGAGAAACUCAUCAACGUACUUGCAAACAAUUUGAGACUAUUGUCUACUGAUUAGUCCUCACUCGCUUUCUCUGUUCUUUAUCCCUCUUGAAAGUUCUCGAUGGAUUUGACAGUAUGAUCUAUCCAUGUUUAGGGUGGGAGGAGAAUGUAGCAUUUACAGGAGUAAGAACGUCUUUGAAAAUAAUAUAAUGGAAGAUUCACAUGUCGGUUAGAGCCACGAUUAUCAGUUUAACAAAGUAGUUUCUAAGUAGAUAUGAAUAGAAGUGGUCAUCCGUACUGUGGUCCAAAUUGUGUGGCUUGACUUGGCUUGCCACCUGAAAAUGGUCCAAAUUGUGUGGCUUGACUUGGCUUGCCACCUGAAAACAAUUUUAUUGCUACAAGACAAUCAGCCAUAUUCCAUAGAUAAUAAUUCGAGACUAUCGCCUACUACUAAUUGGUCCUCUCUCUCUCUCUCUCUCUCUCUCUCUCUCUCACUUUAUCAUUUGCAUGCGGCCUCUCUCUUGCAAACAAUUUGAGACUAUUGUCUACUGAUUAGUCCUCACUCGCUUUCUCUGUUCUUUAUCCCUCUUGAAAGUUCUCGCCUAGGCUUGUUUACAGUUCCUCUCUCUCUGAUCUUGUGCCUCGCUUCACACCUCAGCUCACUUGUGAUAAUCACUUUUUGAUCUCUUAUUAGCAUCUCGUUUAUUUUGAUUUUGUCACUUUAUUAUUGGAAUAAUCGGUUGAACAAAGUGCGCUCUGGGCCCUUUUUGUCUAUUGGGGAUGCGGGGGUGGUUACUGAAUAGCAUAGGAGGGUCUUCUAUUCUCUCUUUUGGAGUCGCUGUUGCCUAUUGAACGAGGUAUGUCCCCGGCUUAGAUUUGACUUCAGUGAAAAAAGGAAAGCCUUUUGUUUUCGACUUUAGAUGUGUCUAAUCCUAUGAUGGCCUUGCUGUGUGAUUCUUACUCACAUCGUAAUUCAGUAUUAAUCUUUUGUUGAACUAGAGCGAGUAGGUCUGCAAGUGCACUGGACUCUGUUGCGCGCAAAUUUGCCACAUUUCGGUUGAAUUCAGAGACCAUUCUAUUUUUCUUUUGCAUUGUGAGGUUUCUCUAUGUUUGAAGGUCCUAGAUCAAUUUAUGGAAAACUAAAUCAGAAAAAUAAAAUUAGGCUGGUUCCUGGGUCAACUAGUUUGGUUCUCGGUUAUAAAAGAGGAGAACCAAUCAUUACAUAAUAAGUUCCUAAUUCUUUGUUUAAUACCCACUUAUCCUGAAAUUAUUCAUCCUAAGAGCAAGUCUUCUCUUAAGGAGACUUCAUUCAACAAAUUUACCUCCCUCUAGAACAUUCCAAAUGAGUAAUAUCCUGUUUUACUCGAAUUGUUGGACCAUUAAUCCUAGAAAGUGUAUUCGCUUUCUCCUCUAAUUCAUUUUCUCCCUUCUUUAGCAAGAAAAAAGAAAAUAAAAAUCAUUUUCUCACUUCAAAGCUUCAAAAGUUGACCAAGUCUUUACUUGAAAAAAAGAAAAGUAAAUGAGGAAUUAAAAAGUACGGUGAGAGUUUAAGCAUUUUAACUAUAUUGCUACAUUUUACCUGCUCACAACUCAUUAUAAUUUCAAUCACUGCAAUAUAAAACAUACCAAAGUCCAUAGAAUGAUACUUCUUAAGAUCUUUUACAUGAUAUCCAAUAGUAAGAAAAAAAAAUAUAAAUCGAUCUUAUGACACGCACACGAAAACAAUAGAAUAAAUUGAGCCAUACACGCAUAUUGGGAGAGUCACCUAGCUUUAAAUCACUCAUUUCUUGCACUUCUUUCUUUACAAACAAUAAAUUUAUUCUUCAAAAUGUGAUUAUCAAUUUAACCUGAAUUAUCACAAAUUUACCCAAUUAUCCUAUUCUACUUCCAUUUCAAGUCAUUCCUUUGCAGGGCUUCUUGUGUCUUUGUGCUUGUAUCCAAUAAUCUCAAUAAGAAGAAAAAAGAGUGCAUAAAAAGAGAGCACUAAGGAAGCAUCCGCUCCUCCAUUUUGUGCCAUCCAACAAAUUAUAGCUCUAUUUUAUAGACAAGAUAUCAAUCAACUUUAUAGAUUUGAAAAUUUGAAAUGAAAGGCUCGGUGAUAGCAUACUAAUUCAAAAUAAAUUCAUUUUACAUGGAAUUGCAGCAUGUGGUGCCAAUGUGAAAUAGAUAAAAGAUAAAUAACCACGUUCAAUAAUCUCAAUAAGAAGAAAAAAGAGUGCAUAAAAAAAGAGCACUAAGGGAGCAUCCGCUCCUCCAUUUGGUGCCAUCUAACAAAUUAUAGCUCUAUUUAUAGACAAGAUAUCAAUCAACUUUAUAGAUUUGAAAAUUUGAAAUGAAAGGCUCGGUGAUAGCAUACUAAUUCAAAAUAAAUUCAUUUUACAUGGAAUUGUAGCAUGUGGUGCUAUCGUGAAAUAGAUAAAAGAUAAAUAACCACGUUCAAUAAUCUCAAUAAAAAGAAAAAAGAGUGCAUAAAAAGAGAGUACUAAGGGAGCAUCCACUCCUCAUUUUGGUGCCAUCUAACAAAUUAUAGCUCUAUUUUAUAGACAAGAUAUCAAUCAACUUUUUAGAUUUGAAAAUUUGAAUUGAAAGAUUUGGUGAUAGCAUACUAAUUCAAAGUAAAUUCAUUUUACAUGGAAUUGUAGCAUGUGGUGCUAGCGUGAAAUAGACAAAAGAUAAAUAACCACGAGCAUUUGUUUAUCUCUACCUCACAUUUCCAACCUCAUUAAGAAUAUGACAAUUUUAAACAAAAUUAAAAUAUAAAAUCACAUCCACAAUUACUAGCUUGGUAUUUUCUUGAAGUCUUUCACACAUUUCUACUUCUGUUUCAACUCAAUUAUUAUCUUUAAAUGAUUUAUUAAAUUCUGAGUUUCAAUAACUAAAUAAAAACCAAACGUAUGCUUAUAUUCUUAAUUGAAUGCCAUAUGGUUGUACACGAAUUCUAGUUCUUUAUAGCCCAACUGAAAAAUUAAUGUACACGGUACUCGUGGGUGGAUCAAGCCAACAAGUUUGACUUGAAUAGUUUGAGGUCCAAAAGAAGAUAAGGCGGAGGCUAAAAGCAUCUGCAACUGCUCCUAGUCAAUCAAUUACCAAUAAAUUAAAGAUUUCAUGUUCGUUUUUCCUUGUGCGGUAACAGAUUUAUGUUUGUUAUUGUUCAUGGAGAUUAGUUCAUCGAUCAUUUUUAUGCAGCAAAAAAGCAUCUUUUGUUCCAAUUUUCCCCCUCAAAUUGCCAUACAUUUUUCAUUCCCUUUUUAGCUUUCAAUUCAUGUUCAUGAAAUUUUCCAUGUGUCGUGAAUUCAUAAUUCAAAAGCCUUUUGGACAUUACUUCUAAAUAUCGCUGCUUCCUUAUAAAAGUAAGCCUAGACACUUCAUUUCCUUCUUUUCUAUGUUUUUCCCUAAUUUAUCUUUUAUUUUUUAAUAUUUCACAUUCUUCUUUUAUCAUUGUUUUGCUGACUUUUCAAGAGUUGAAUGAUAUGCCGACAAAAUUGUAAUAAAAAAAAAUGACCCGGAAAAGAACUCAAGGACAGUGUACAAGUAUUUCAUAUAUCAUUGGUAACUUAAUACUAUCGUGUUAUGCUCAUUUGGUGUCAUUUAACAAAUUAUAACUCUAUUUUGCAGACAAUUUACCAAUCAAUAAUUUAAAUUUUAAAUUUUGAAGUGAAUAGCUUGGUAACAUCUUAUCAUAGAUUCAUCUUAUAUAAAAUUAUUGGCUUGUGGAGCCAACACGAAAUAAAUAAGAGAGAAAUGACAAAGACCAUUUGUUCAUCUCUACCUUGCAUUUCCAACCUCAUUAAGAAUAUGACAAUUUUAAAUAAAAUUAAAAUAUGAAAUCACUAAAUUUGGACGAAAACAUCAAAGAAGUGAAGCAAACGACCCGAAACAAAUAGAGAGGCAACAUUCACACAAAAAGAGAAAAGAACAUAGGAGGGAGGGAGAACAAAGACGGUCUAAGAUUGAUUGAAGGGAGGGGUACCUUGUUCCAAGCCAUUGGAAGAGAGAAGAGAGAAGCUUGAAUUUUCUUGGAGAAAUAAGUUAAAAGUCGUCGAAAUAUUUUGGAUACAUGUUGGGUGGAAAUGACGUAAAUGGAACUUAGUUUCAUUGAUAGACUUAAUUAUCGUUCAUUCUAUUCAUCCUUAAAAAGGAAGUAAGGCCAAUUGGAAGAAAACUGCACUUUUUGCAUUUCCUCUCAUUUCUAUGCACUUAUAGAAAGAAAUAGAAUGUGGGCUCAAAAGGAAGUAUUUCCCUUUCAUUUAGAAUCAUUUUCAUCAACUUCCUUCAUAAUCAAACAACUGAUCAAUUGAAAAUUUUUCCUCGAUUAAUUUUUUAGAUUUAGUUAAAAUGCCUAAAACUUGAAACCCGCCAAANNNNNNNNNNNNNNNNNNNNNNNNNNNNNNNNNNNNNNNNNNNNNNNNNNNNNNNNNNNNNNNNNNNNNNNNNNNNNNNNNNNNNNNNNNNNNNNNNNNNUGGGUAACAAUUACAUGACACUCAUUAGUUUGGCCAAUGGACAUGGGAUUAGACAGAAAGGGUUGUGAAAAUGAGGUGGUGGAGAUAGUUAGGGUUGUUUAUUUAUUAGGAUAAAAAUAAUAACAGUAAGGUCGAAGAUCAUGACAAGAAUUAGGCAUCGUGUGAGCUUUAUUCAGAGGAAGAUGCUUCCAUAAAGUUCCAUACAUAAUAUCAAUAUCUUACCUUGAACUGAAAGAAUCCGCCUUUAAAUAUCAUACACAUACGUGAAGUUCCGUAGUUUUUCAAAUGUGCUUUAAGUAAGUCGAUUAAUUACAAUGCAAUUUGUGUAAUUUCAAAUUUGUGUUUCUAAACAAGUAAAUGAUGUGGGCUUUUUGGGGGCCUCUUCAGGGCCACCUAAUCUUCUGCAAUGAAACGAGUUAGCUUACUUAACUGAAGGUUGUGUCUUUAUUACCUAGGGAAUUAACGAACCCAUUAUUUGAAGCCAACAAGCAUUUGCAGAAAAAGCAUCUUUCGUUGUUCAACAAUCCUUUUAAGCAGCAAAAAAAGCAUCUUUCUUUUCAACUUUCCCCCUCAGAUUGCCAUGGACAGAGGGCAGACUCAGGGAAAGAGAAAGAGGGCAGAGGAAGAGAGCACCGAAGGAGCAGCCACUUCUUCUUUCAUCCCUCUAGAAGCCACAUGUGUAGGUAGCGGUCAAUACGAAGUGUUCUUGAGCUUUAGAGGCUCAGAUACCCGCAAUACAUGUCACGCCCCGAUCCUCGGACGCGCGCACAUCCUUCUACUUGGUCGAUUUUAUAAUGCGAUAUCCCAGGACUAUGUAUCGCCGACCCUUCUUUUAUUAAGCACACGCGNNNNNNNNNNNNNNNNNNNNNNNNNNNNNNNNNNNNNNNNNNNNNNNNNNNNNNNNNNNNNNNNNNNNNNNNNNNNNNNNNNNNNNNNNNNNNNNNNNNNNNNNNNNNNNNNNNNNNNNNNNNNNNNNNNGCAUAAAAGUCUCACACCUAUCUAUACCAAGACAGGGUUCACAAAAGGGAUGGGAUCUCAAUCCACAUCCGGGUUACAUUCAAGAUCCCUCUCUGGAUCAUCUUCUUCUUCAAAAGUCUUCCUCCCCUUCAGGUUCCCCUUCCUUAGCUUCUCCUCAGGGUCCUGAAAUGGUUAUUCAAUAACCAAUGAGACCACGUCUCAGCGAGUCCUACCCACUAAGACUCGAUUAAUAAACUAAUACGCCAUCCGGUUGCCUAAGCACAACACGAGUCAGAGGACUUACCUUAGCCUCAGUUCCAACCUGCAAUUCAAGGUUAAACAUAGAUAUUCAAACAAUUCACGACAUCCGAUCAAGCAUUGAUCAAUCGACUAAGUCGAUUACAUGUCAGCCAGACCCUUUCUAGGUCAUUCCCACUCAUACCACACUUUCUCAGUGGUGUACUCAUUCACCAAAUCACAUGUGUUUCUUGGGCGUCGUUUUCGCCAAUGACAUACCGAUCACCGACACCGUGCGUUCUUUAAGGCGCCGUUUUCACCAGUGAUAACCUUGAUCACCGAACCACGUGUCUCUCAAGGGCGCCGUUUUCACCAGUGAUAUUCCCAUAAUCACCGAACCACGUGUCUAUAAGUCAUUUACGUGCGUUCUUUAAGGCGCCGUUUUCGCCAGUGAUACUUCUAAUCAACGUACUGGCGCUAUAUACCCAUGCUUGGCCAUUACCAAUCAAAUAUUCAAUAACAAACAAUUUAGGACACUUCCUAAAAUUCCACAAUAAAUUCAAUUCCACACAACGUAGAACUCAAAUAAAUAAACGGUCUGCACCACAACAAUCGGCACGAAAUUCCGGUCACCGGCCAUCCCGGUUGAAUUUCCGGAAAAAUAAUUAAUUAAAUAAAUAAAUUUCGAAAAUAAAUAAAUAAACAUUAAAAAUCCAAUUUAGANNNNNNNNNNNNNNNNNNNNNNNNNNNNNNNNNNNNNNNNNNNNNNNNNNNNNNNNNNNNNNNNNNNNNNNNNNNNNNNNNNNNNNNNNNNNNNNNNNNNNNNNNNNNNNNNNNNNNNNNNNNNNNNNNNNNNNNNNNNNNNNNNNNNNNNNNNNNNNNNNNNNNNNNNNNNNNNNNNNNNNNNNNNNNNNNNNNNNNNNNNNNNNNNNNNNNNNNNNNNNNNNNNNNNNNNNNNNNNNNNNNNCGGAGACCGAAUCACCGCAACGGCGACGCGACGGCGGCCGAAAUCGGACUUUCGACGACACCGGCGUACUUGGACCGGGCCUUGGACUUGGCCCCAACAAAUCUCAGCCCAACUGAGAUUUGUUUCUUGCUUUUGGGCCAGACCCAAGUUGAAUUGGGCCUGCUGCGAAGAUGGGCUUCAAGCUAUGGGCUGAGCUGCAAUUGAUUUGCUGAAAAUUGGGCUUGGCCAAUUAACUCACAUGGGCUGGACUGGGCUUGAACUUGGGCCAAACUGAUGCCGAUCACUUGGGCUAGAAUAAAACUAAACUGGGCUGUCUUUGUUGGGCCCAAAAGAAAUUCACUGAGCUUGGAGACUGCUGGACUUGCGGUUGAACUCACGAAGGAGUUGGGCUUCGCUGGCCUCGCUAGCUUCGUUGGACGCUGCUCCGUUAGCAAAUCAAAGGGGCGGGUUGUUGGAGUUGACCGGUUGAUGCUGCCUUCGGUGAAUUGAUUUGAAGGCACGAAGGAAGACCGAAGAUGGGUGGUCUUCGCUAGGGUCUUCAAGUCGUUGAAGUCCUCGGACGUGCGGCUUCUUCAGUCAACGGCGGGGCUUCUUCUGAUUUCGCUGUUGACCGAGCGUGCUGGCUGAAGACAUGAAGCGGUGGAGAUGACUUCCGCAGCUACUGGACGCAUGGAGGGGGUCUUCAAGCGGUCAACCAAGAGCUUCAAUUGAAGCUGUUGUUGACCGAACCAGGCGUACACACUGCCAAGUGGCAGCAAGCUCGGCAGAAUGGAGCGGGCGUCGUUGCUUGCGGAGAAGGCCGUUCGGUGUCACAGAGACAAACGAAAGUGGGCUUUGCUGGCAGGGAGAUUUCGGUGUAUUGCGGCUUCGCAUGGGGCAGCUUCAGUAAGUCUUCACGCUGCUGGAGAAGACACGAAGCUCUGCACGCGAUUAACGAUCUUGUUGCUGCUGUUGUCUCGGUCCUCAAGCGGCAGUAGUUCUCGGCAGAAUGGAGAUUGUCGCACAAAGAAAUGAGAAGGGAGGGAGAGAGGUAGUUCACGGCAGCAAGAUGGAGAGGAUGAGGAAGAGUUGGGCUCCACUUGGUUGGAUAUUUCACAAAAUAUCUUCCAAAAUCAAUCUUGGCCAUGUAAGAAUACUUGGCCUUCAAUAGGCCAUCAAAACACUCUCUUCUAGAAGACCAAGUGGUCCAAAGGUUGUGGCUAGGUGGGGGUACACGAAUUUGGGAGAGAUGGCUUAACUUGCACAACCAUUCUCUCCAAAUUGAGGUCCAAUUUUGAUGUAGAAAAAUCCCAAAUGAUUUUCUAUAAUUCCCCGACACACAAUGGCUCAACCCGAAAGUCAAAUUUCCCAUUAAUUUAGCCAAUCCGAACUUCGGCCAAACUUCCACGACGUCCGAACCCAAUUUCCGUAAAAAUCUCGGGACCUCCGAAAAAUCUUCUGAGACCGAGUUGACGUUCCUAAAAUAGCUUGUGACAUCACUGAACUUUCGAUUUCUGAAAUCUGACUCAAAUCGACGGUUAAUUUCACUCCGGCGUGCUUUUAGUGUGACCUAGACUACUGGGUAGUUUUCAGAACUUUUUAGGGCAAUUGACUCGUGGUCGAUUUUCUUCGAGCCACAAUGAACCCACUCGACACAUUGGCGACUCUCAAUUGUCGUGAAAAUCUCGAGGGCUCGAUUACCAACACAGGGUACCAAAACGACAGAAAAUCAAAUUAGUGCCAGUCGACGAGAAUUUUCCAAUUUAGUGGAGUCACCCACGAUCGGCCACACAUCUCAGUCGAACCGACCUAUCUCUGAUCUCAAUUCGAUCUUUAACUGUGCAGUAAUGACCUCUAAAGAUGAACACGGUCGAGAAGCCGCUUCCUGGUCGAAUUCUCAAGUCUAUUGCCUUAAUAUUCUUUAAUGGCAUACCCAGCUAGUCCAGUUAUCUCGAGAGUGAUCAGCUCUGAGAACAACCCUAUAGACACGUCAAUGAAAUGCCCGAUUAAUUUAAUAGAAAACAAUACUAAAAAUUCUGGAUGUCACAAUACAUUCACCGAUCACCUCUAUCACCGUCUGAUCAAGGCAGGGACUGUACCGUUUUGCGUGUUUAGGGACGAGAACAACAUCCAAAUUGGUGAGGAAUUUGGUUCAAAGAUUCUCGAUGCCAUCGCACAGUCUAAGAUUUCGAUUCCCAUCAUCUCCGAAAAUUAUGCUUCGAGCAAGUGGUGCCUCCACGAGCUCGUUCAUAUCAUGGACCGUAAGAAGAGUGCGUCACACAUAGUGUUGCCUAUAUUUUACAAAGUUGCCCCAUCGGAUGUACGGCAUCUAAAAGGAAAUUUUGGAAAUGCCUUCCACUCGAGUCAAGAGCGUUUUGAUGAGAAGGAGAUCGCGAAAGGGCAACAAGCACUAAAUGAAGUUAGUCAAUUAAAUGGAUGGGAAUCUCAAAAAAUUGCGAACGGGUAUUUUACUGAACUUUCCUUUUUUGAUAAGUAAGUUUUCUUCUUUUGGUAGAAUCGAGGAAAUGCAAAUGAAUUACUUUUACUACAAGCUCAGAAAAGAUCCCCAAUGACAACAAACACCAGCACUCCCCAAGAUGUCCCUGAAAACUAAACCAAUGACAACUGAAACCAAAGCAUCCUAUAGUGCCCAAGAAUUUAAAUUUUCCUCUGGAAUAGAGCAAAAAAAAAAAAAAAAGAAACGACAAUAUCUCCAGCCAAUGGUAUCAAUCACUAAACAAUAGGCCUCCAAAUGACUCCAAUGCUCGAUCUUCAAAGCUNNNNNNNNNNNNNNNNNNNNNNNNNNNNNNNNNNNNNNNNNNNNNNNNNNNNNNNNNNNNNNNNNNNNNNNNNNNNNNNNNNNNNNNNNNNNNNNNNNNNCUCUCAUUGUUUUUGUGUUUGACAGCCACGAGGGAAAUUAAUAGUAACGUGUGUUGAAACUGUUUUAAGCAAGUUACAGGAAGAUUUCAACUUGAUGUGCCAGAGCAACUAGUUGGACUUGAUCAUCGUACGAAGGAAAUUAUGAAUUGGAUCGACAAUUCUUCCAUCAAUGCUCGAAUGAUUGGAAUUUACGGCAUGGGUGGGAUAGGCAAGACAACUCUUGCCAAGUGCAUCUACAAUCAACUCUCAAAUAAAUUUUCGCAUGUCAGCUUCCUUCCAGAUGUUCGAGAAACUUCCAGGCGCCACGGUGUUACAUAUUUACAGAGUCAACUUGUAUCGGAUUUACUAAAUGAAAAAACCAAAGUUUCUAGAAUUGAUGAUGGAAUUAAUAUAAUCAAAUCUAGAUUCAGACAAAAAGAGGUUCUCAUUCUUUUGGAUGAUAUAGACGACAAGAAUCAACUAGAUGCAUUGGUUAGGAAACAUAAUUGGUUUAUGGCAGGAAGUUUGAUCAUUGUUACCACUAGAAACAAAGCUGUUCUUGAUCAAUCUGAAUUUGAGGUAGACUACAAGUAUGAAUUGAAUGAAUUGGAUAAGGUGCAAGCUUUGCUUUUGUUUAAUAGACAUGCAUUUCGUAAGGACCAUUGUCCGGGGGACUUUGAUGGCAUAUCUCGUGAUAUCAUAUCCACCAUGGGUGGGCUUCCCUUGGCACUUCAGGUUGUAGGUUCAUACUUGUAUAGGAAAGAUCGAAAAGUAUGGGAAGAUGUGCAGAAAAAAGUAAAAAACCAACCAGAUAGAAAUGUCCAAAAGAUAUUACAAAUAAGUUAUGAUGCAUUAGAAGAAGGACAUAAGCAGAUUUUUCUCGAUAUCGUUUGUUUCUUAAUUGGCAUAGAUUACGAUGACGAAGCUGCACGACUCGCCAUGUACAUGUGGGAGGACUGUGGGUUUUAUCCAAGUCAAGGAAUUGAAGAGUUGAAGUUGAGAUGCUUAAUUAAAAUUGGAGAUUAUGGUGAGUUCAAGGUGCAUGAUCAACUGAGAGAUCUUGGAAGGAGCAUUUUUUGCGAAGGACAACCGCUUGAGAAACGUAGUGGACCAUGGGAUGAUGACUAUGAGGGAGUCCCAAGUGUACUAAGACAUCUAGAGGUAAAAUAUGGCACUCUUUUCUUUUUCUCUCCCUCUUAUUUUAAUCAAUUUAAUAUGAUCUAUUCUAAUAUUUCAUUGAGCGGGAAAUAAUGCUCUUACUUUCUAGGAAAAAAAAUAUAUUUAAACAUCCAUUUAUGUCCAUCGUACAUUAACCGUGACACUAAAUAAAUCGCAAGUAUCUCAGGGAUGAAAAAGUAAUAUCAUUGAUUCAAUUUCAUUGUUAUGCAUUACAUAUGAAAAAAUUUAAUUGACAAUCAAUUUAAGAUCCUUUAACUACAAUUUUAGACUAUAAAUCUCAUUUACUUAAAGCAUGCAAUUGUCAUAUCUAUUUGAAAAUAUUGAUAAUUAGAAGGACUAUAAUUAUGAAUGAAGAUGAAGUAUAAACAUUAAGAUCAAAUAAGUGAAGAUUUCCUGGUUAAAAAAGAAAGGAUAGUAUAAUAACCAAUAAUUAAUUCAAAACUAAGAUUGGAAAAAAAUUUCACGUGUAUCACAUAUGUUUGCUUUCUAUUAUGGCCAAAUGUAUUGUGGUGCUCUUGUGAUUUAGGAAUCGAAUGUUUGAUAUUUUUUUCUCCAUUUUGAUUUGGAAGAUACCGUCCCAGAUCUAUCUGUUUUCAUUCUUAUUUCCUCUUAAUAGAUAGCAAAAAUCUCCUUAAAAAUAUAUACAAGAAAAUCUUACUGUUUUUUAAGGAUCUAUCGCAUUGGCCUUGCUCAUUUCAUGGAUUAGGUAAGGUCUAGGUGUAUAAGAAAGAGUGGAUUUCCUUAUAACAGACAUUUCUAUCCUCUAUAAGUUGUUUAAUAUUAUUUAUAUUUUUUAGGACAAUGCCUCUUUUGUGCGAGAAUUCGCUGGACUAACUUGACUAUUUUAAAUUAAAAAAAGAAAAAUUGAUUAAUCGGAGGAAAUGUCAUGCUUAUUAUUAUAUCCAUAACCUUGUAUUCAUCAUGUAUGAUUUUCAGCAUGAAGCCAAUUUUCUCAAAUAUGUUUUAUCUUUUACUUAAAUUAUCAAUGUUCAUGUCAUUUUAUUAUAUAUUGUCCAUCUGAAAAGCUUCACAGGCUCAUGGCUGAUCAAUGGCAAUGAAUUAACCCUAGAAAUUGACCAAGAGAUGUUGGGCAAACAAAGCAGCUUUAUAUUCUUGAUAUAAUUUGAAAUAGUUCGUUCCUAUGAUUUAAUAUCAGUCUCUUUUGUUGAUCCAAUAACUUCUUAACAUUAGCAAAAAGAGCACACCAUUUAGGUGUUUGAAAAAAUGAAAAAGAAGAGUCAAUUCUGUUUUGAAUGGAUAAAAAUGCUGAAAGAUGAUAAAUAGCGUCGAAAAAAAUGAAAUUAUUGUACAAUUCGAGAGAUUUUGAUUUAACUUUGGAAAUUGAAAUACUUAUGGGACUAAUUUCCAAUUGACUACUUCAAAUAUGAUUAUUUCUAUUUUGUUAUAUCUUAUUUCUUUAGUUCAUUUUGGUGAAAUAUAUGCGAAUUGUGUGGAAACUUUUGACGAAAGUUUGAGGUUUGAAAUCCCAUUUCCAUACAAUAGAUUUUUUUAAUGUAAUACAUAGUAUAGAUUGAUGUACGAGUGAAAAUUAUUAAAGAUAGUGUGGGAUGGUGAUUACAACAAUUUAGCGACUUUCAGACGAAUAGACUUAAGAGAAUUUAUACCCAUUGCAUUUCACUCGUUAAUAUUUAAAGCGGAUAUAACGACACACGUGUCUAACCAUAAAUGUGAAUUUCUAACCAAUUAAACUUUUGGGGGAAAAUAUAGGCAUUAUUAUAAAGUCAAAUAAAGCCAUAAGGAAAUUUCUUUCACCGUCUGCAACUAAUUAAAUGAUCUGUUUUAGUAGGAAAGUUAAACAGUAUGUUUUUUGAUUUAUAAGAUGGAAAAAGAAACGAUGCUAUUCUUAUGGAAACCAACGUAUGAUGAUUAAACAAUGUUACCACGACACUUUUUAGUUAAUCGGUUCAUUUUCUAGUUAUUCUGAAAGCGACUUAUUUUUUUCAAUCCUGGUCAAAACUACUAACCAAUGUCGCCACGUCACUUUUUAAACAAACUUUACCCAAAAAAAAAAAAAAUCAUUUCGAUUGUCAAAGAAAUGAGUAAACAUUCCGCGCAAAUAGUUAAUGACGUUAAAGAUAUUUAGAUACCUUCUAGAGAUAAUGAUAUGUCUUUUUAAUUUUCUAUAUCUAUUUUGAUAAUGCAUAUCAUAUUUGAUUUCUUUUGAUUUCCCUCCACGUAAACUUUUCUAUAUAUCUGAAUAUAUUAAAAAUUCCCCUCUUUUUUUUCUCUUCCACAUUAUUACAUUUAACUAAUGAAAUGAAAAUAGGGUGAUUCCUUAGCUACUUACAGGUGGCCCGUCGACACUCUUUAACAAAUUCUUUUAAAAAUUAUAAGUCAUUUAAAAAUUUACAAAUAAACAUUUAUACGUUGUAAACUAGUUUGAUGUAUUUCUUCUUAAAUGAAAGUGAAAAUCCAUGCGCUACAAAAUUUUGAAAAAGAAGAAGAAACAAGAGAUAAAACAUUGAGGUGCAUUUGCUUCAGUUGUUUUAAAGCAAUAAUUAUUUUUUUCUUUAUCUUUGCGUCAUUUGUUUAACUUUCAAAAGGUCGUAAAAGAAGAAGAAAUAAAUGUGAGUUUACAUAUCCAUACAUGUACAGGGGAAGGAUAAAAAGGUAAUCGUGCAAAUUCAAGAUUUAAAAAAAGCAAAAACUAAAAAGUGAAAAAACUUGCAGAGACGCCCCUGGUUCCACGGCUUUUUGGGGGCAGCUUCUAGCGGAGAUUUCAAGUUUUCUGAAGUGAGAUGGCGUGAGUGGGACGUUCGUGGAAACGAUGCGUCUCUUUCGACGAUCAACUUUCAUUUGCCAAAAUUAUCGGUGCUGAGCUUAUGGGAGGAUUGGGAAGGAAUCGCAAAGGAUUGGAGAAUCACAGAGAAUUGGGAAGAAUGGAAUUCAUUAAUGGUAAGAUUGGGAAAAGAAUACAUCCUCUCUGCGAUCUUGAGGUUUGUUUUUUUGUUUAGCCAAUCAACUCCUCAUUUGACGGAUUAUUCCCCUUUUGUAUUAGGCGUCAAAGCAGCUUAAAGUUCUCCGCGUUAAAUGGUGUAAUAAUUUAAGAUGUACUCCUGAUCUCUCAGCUUUUACGCGGUUGAAAAUUCUCGUAUUGAGCGAUUGUGAUGGAUUGGAGCAUCUCUACCCUUCUAUUGGCGAGCUCACAAGCCUCGUUACCUUGGACUUGCGUUUCUGUAGAGGUCUCAAGGAGCUACCAGAGGAGGUGGGUGGAUUAAAAGAUUUAGAAGAACUUCUUUUAGAUGAAUCUCGUAUUACAGCAAUUCCUUCGUCUAUUGGUUCUUUGAGGAAAUUGAAGACACUGAGUGCCGAGUGGUGUAAGUCACUGAGAGAAAUCCCCAGCUCAAUUGGGGAUUUACGGAAUUUGCAACAUCUUAACUUGGGAAGUACUGCGAUCGAAAAGCUUCCCAGUGCUAUUGGAGGGUUGAAAAAUCUGCAGAUUCUAAAUCUCAGCUGGUGCAUAAGUUUGAAAGGGGCAAUUCCAAGUGAAAUCGGUGACUUGCCUUCCCUCGAGACUAUCUAUCUCAAUCUCACACUGAUAUCUGACCUGCCAGAAAGUGUUCGGAAUCUGUCUUCUCUCCAAAGCCUUUACCUAGAGGAUUGUAAGGAGCUCUGGUCGCUGCCAGAGCUUCCUUCUUCUCUCCAACGCCUUGAACUAUUGGGCUGUGAGAAGCUCCAGUCACUACCAAAGCUUCCUUCGAGCUUAACAUCGCUGCGGGUCACUUGUCAGAGUCUUGGACUGCCUCAGCUUUUUGGCCUCAUCCACCUAGAAGAACUCCAACUUGAGGUGCGCCAUUUACUUGAAGACAUCCGCGAGCUUUCCUCAAUAACACUGAAACUCUGUUUUGAGGAGUGGGAUAAGCUGACAUCACUUAAGCUCGUAUGGCUCACGCACUUGGAAGAGCUUUCAAUAAAAAAAGUGCAAUUCCAUUAAAACAUUGAGCUUUUCAGGAUUGAUUCAUCUGAAACGAUUACACAUCGAGCAUUGCUAUAGCCUAUCUAGAAUUCAGAAUUUUGAUAGUUUCAAGUCCUCGGAGGUCAUGUUUUUAUAUGACGACAUUUCCAUUAAAAGGCCAUUCCAUCCAAAAUCAGAGUGUUUGAAGAAAUUAGUGGCUGUUGGGUGCGACAAUCUAGUCAGAAUUGAAGGUCUUGACAGUGCGAAGUUCUUAGAAGAGUUGGACUUUACAGGAUGCAAAUCAAUGGGGACUUUGCCAGAUUUGACAGGAUGUGAGAAGUUACAAUCUCUAAGAGUUAAAGACUGCAAGAAACUUACUAAGCUUAAGGUACUUGAAAAGUUGAAUUUAAUUGAUUUGGAUAUUUCUGGUUGUGACUCAUUGGUAGAGCUUUCAAUAAAAAAGUGCAAUUCCAUUAAAAGAUUGGAGCUUUCACAAUUGUUUCGUCUGAAACAAUUACGCGUUGAGCAUUGCGAUAGCCUAAUUGGAAAAUGGGGCUAUGAUGAAUUGGAGUCCUUGGAGGUCAUAUUUUUAUAUGACUGCAAUUCCAUUAAAAGGCUUUUCCAUCCAAAAUCACGGUGUUUGAAGAAAUUAGUGGCUGUUGGGUGCGACAAUCUAGUCGAAAUUGAAGGUCUUGACAGUGCGGAGUUCUUAGAAGACUUGGAUUUUACAGGAUGCAAAUCAAUGGAGACUUUGCCAAAUUUAACAGGAUGUGAGAAAUUACAAUCUCUAAGAGUUCGAGACUGCAAGAAACUUACUAAGCUUCAGGGACUUGAAAAGUUGAAUUUAAUUGGUUUGGAUAUUUCUGGUUGUGACUCAUUGGAAGCAAUACCUAACUUAUCUGGAACGCGCAUCUUUAGAAAUUAUGAACUAACUCCUCUGUUUUUACCGAACUUAUCUGGAACUCGCAUCUUUAGAAAUUAUGAACAAGAUCUGUCUUUUGAUUGAUGGAGUGAUGUUUCCUGAAUAGAGGUAAAUAAGCAAUGAACAAUCAUUUUUCGUUUGAAAUUCAUGACCUACUUUUCAUCACUAUCUUCUUUUGACAAGAAGGUUUUCUGCGAUGGGGUUCUGUACUUUCCUAAAUUGCUAUUCUUACAUAAUUGAAGGAGUGGGGCAGUUGGUCGUAGAAGCUGACAUGAUGCUUUAGCCAAGAUCAAAAUGCAGACCCUGAUGUCAAUAGAAGGCAUAGUAAGAUACUCCAUCCUUGAAUGGCCAGCGUGAACAAAUAGUGAUACUUUUCUCGAAGUUGUAUUUUUUUAGAAUGAUAUGCUUCACACUAGAUAUCUAUUUGAUUGUUUUUGGAAACUCUGGAUUUGCCUUUGUAUAAUUGUUGUUGAUUACAUUAUAGUAAUGUUUUUCAUUUAUCCUUCCAUUGGCAGCUUCUGUAGACUGCAAACAGAUAGCAGCUUGCAAGGGAAGAAUAUAAAUACCAACAAAGAUAAACAGGAAUUAUCUAGUAAUUAACAUUUCCCUUAUCGAAAAACUCAGGAUUUGAAAUUUUCAUCUAGAGGCCAAUGAACUUCUGCUACUCAUUAUUGUAUUAUUGUAUACUAAACUCGAAAUUUCCCAGUGUCCAAAGUUUAUAUUUUCUUUUCAAAAUCCUUGGCCAUUUUGAGUUCCUUUAGUUCUUUUGUAUGUCAAAUUUGACUAAUGGCAGAUGUCCUGUUUAGGACGAACGCCUUCUGAUUUUCUGUGAUGAACGAAAACCCUGUCAAGUUUCUUAUUGCUCCCUUGAUGGCCCUCAUUAACCCUCUAAGAAGAGCAUCACUUCCCAGUAUAUAUGAUGAACUGAGCUAAAAUAAAAUUCAAGGUUCAAGUGUUUCUGUUUGGUGACAAAGAAAAUGUUAAAAGUAGUUUUGGCUAGUUUGUCAUGUAUGAAUGUUGACCACCUUAACAUUACCAGUAGGCAAACUAUUGUUUUGAAAGAUUAUUAAGCAAGGCAAAUUGGUGCUGCUUCUAUGACAGGUUUGGUUGGUCUAUGUAAUGAUCAAGGCUUACUUUGGGACUUCAAUUCAAUCAACUGUAUCGAUGGCCUUUUGCAUUAAAGGACAAUUUUUUUCCUAUCUGUGAAACAGCUGGGACGAGGAGCUCAAGAAUUUUAUCAUCUGAUUUAGGGGUGGCUAACUUGGCUGAGGAACUUCAAAUUCCAUACUUGAGACCGAUCAAAAUAAAGAAAAGGGAUUUUGUAGAGGAAACAUCAGUAACAGCUGAGGACCAUCUUGCAUGCCAAACUUAAAGACUAUUUGGGGCUGGCUGGAGUGUCCCAAGGAAGUUUUGAUGCUUCUGCAUAUUCAAAUACUUGAUCUGAUCUCAACAUCACAUCCCUAAAUAAUUGUAAAUGUAUUUUUUUCAAUUAAAUAUGCUUUCUGUAUGCUCAUUAGGUUCUAGCUCUCCUUUAAUCAAAUAUUAAGUUACUGAUUUUUUGUAUGUUACCCUGAUGCACAGUUGUUCAACGUGGUUGCAUUCUAAUUAUCACUUCGGAAUUGAUGAGGCUCUGCAGAGGGAGGUAUGCACCGCUAGGCUCCUCCAUUUCUAUUAGUUUAUUUGUGUGACAAUAUCCUUUGAAUGUUGUAAUAUAGGUUUCUGAUUUGAUAAGCUCAGUUCUGAAGUAUGUGGCAUUGGAUCUGUAAAGUUGAAAUUGACCUCCUCGCAAACUAUUUGCAUUGUUGAUUUUGCUAAUUGGAACUUGCAAAAUAACCCAGUAGCAAAUGCAUCUUUCUGUUCAGUAGUUUAGGCACUUCACCUUUUCAGCAUAAUUUUUUUAGCUUCAAUUCUGUUCCUAAAUACAAACAGGGAAAGUGUUGCUAAAUGUUUACUUCUUUUAAGUCUGUUGGUUUCUUUGUCAUCGGCCAACUAAUGAAGUCUCUCUUCGUUGUGGUCCAACUCCGAUUGGUUCAAUGUUUACACAUUUUUACCUUAUCCGUUGUGGGGUAAAUUCUGAUGCUAUGAUCUUGGAUAUCUUCAUUUAAUUAUAAUUAGUUGGUGCUAUCCUCCUUAUGCAGAUGAAAGCUACAUUUGAUGAAACUCAGAGAAACUCCCCAAACACCGCGGGUUGGAGGUAUGGGCAAGAAUGAGCUAUGUCAGUAUGGAAAGGCAUUCCAAAGUUAUUUGCAAUUGGCAUUUAUCGUUUGCUCCAUGUUGUUGAUACUCUUCGAAGGAUUCUUGAUAAAGGCGACCUCUUCUCAUGUGGUGUGUUAGUCCUUUGCAAGCUUCGAAAUCAUGUUAUUCUUUAACCAAGGCCCCAUCACUAAUUGCUUGGAGGAAGACCGCAUGUGCAAGUGGUUCUAUAUGUGAAGUCAAGCAAAAAAUGAGAUUUGUUAACAAGAGUACCAUUUAGAUGUCCACUUCAAGCUGCAAUUUUGUGACUGGGAGAGGCUUUUUUCUUGAAAAAGCAAAUGCCGUGGAAUCAGCAAAUAAUCUGUCAAUUUCAGCCAAGAGUUUCAAAGAAAAGGUUUUCAAGAAGACAGUAGUUUCUCAUUUGGAAGAAUUUAGAACACAAAUACAGGCAUUCAUUAGUGUAAAAUGAUCUCUCUAGGCUGGUUAUGUUGGAAAAUUCAUAUGUAGGCAUUUUGCAAUCGCUUUGGUUGUAUUGAUUUAUUUAAGCAUGAAUCUAAAAGCAGAAAAGACACAGCCAUGUACAUUUUCAUACCUAAAACCAAGUAGAGAGACCAGUUCAUUCUUGAAGAGCAGCAUUACCUUUCCCCUUCCAGAUUCGCUCAAGUGGAUGCAUGGAGCUCGCACCGCUUGGCAAAUUCUCCAUCAAGUUCUGGGUUCUGGAGUGGGGUAUUGAGUUGUUUUUAUGCAAAUUCUCAAUCAAAGGUUUGUCUGAGUCUCUAGUGUGGAUGGAGUUUAUAUAGGGUCUUUUUCUUGAACAAGAAUCGGUGUAUUUUUGGUUGGUGAUUAAGAAAUGUUGAAGUAGUUUUGGCUAGUCUGUCAUAUAUGAAUGUAUGCCUUUCUUAAAAUUACCAGGAGUCAAAAUGUUGUCUUGAAAUAUUAUCAAGCAAGGUAAACUAGUGUUGCUUCUAUUACAGGUUUGGUUGGUCUAUGUAAUGAUCAAGGCUUAAUUUGGGACUUAAAUUCAAUCAGCUGUAUUGAUGACCUUUUGCAUAACUAGACUAUUUUUUGCCCAUCUGUGAAACAAGCUGGGGCGAGGAGCUCAAGAAUUUGCUGAUUAGUUUACAUCCCAUUUGAUCAUAUUGUUGUCAUGGAAUUAUUUUAUCACAUGACUGAAUUGGGUGUGGCUCACUUGGCUGAGGAACUUCAAAUUCCAUACCUGAGACCAAUUUUGCAGAGAAAGCAUCAGCAACAGCUGAGGUGCCAAACUUGAAGAGGCUCAUGGGCCAAGCAGAAUAUUCUGAGGAAGUUUUGAUACAUGUGAAGAUCCAAAGCACUUGAUCUAGUCUCAACAGCAUGUACCUGAAUGAUGGUAAACGUAGUUUUUAAAAUUGAGUCUGUUGUUUGUAUGCUUGUUAGGUUCUAUCUCUUUGUUAAUCAAAAUGAGUAGCUGGUGAUUUUUGUGUAUGUUAUCCUGAUGCAGAGUUGUUUGGUGUGGUUGCAUUCUGGGGACAUCACUGUUGAACUUGAUGAGGCUAUGCACAGGUAGGUAUGCACUAAGCUCCUCAAUUUCUAUCAGUUUAUCCUUUGAAUGUUGUCAUAUAAGUUUCUAAUUUGAUAAGCUCAGUUCUCAUGUUUGCAGUAUUGAAUUAGUGAAGUCGAAAUUGACCUCCUCGCAGUCUAUCCAGAGUUGCUGAUUGGAUAUUGCCAAUGAUCAAGUAACCAGUACGUCUUUCUGUUCUGUAGUUUAGGCAUUUCACAUUUUCAGAAUAAUUUUAUUAACAUUAAUUUUGUUCCUAAACACAAACGGGGAAAGUGUUGCUGCUAAUUGUUUACUUCUUUUAAGCCUAUUUUUUUUUUCUUUUUCAUCUGCUAGCUAAUGAAGUCUCUGUUCACUGUGGUUCAACAAUGAUUGGUGUAAAUGAUGUUUUCGCAUUUGUACCUUAUCUUUCAAGGGGUAAAUUGUGAUGUUGCAAUCUCGCAUUUCUUUAUUUAUUGAUAAUGAGUCAAUCCUAUGCUCAUCGUGUAGAUUCAAGCUGCAUUUCAUGGAACUUGGAGAAAGUCCCCAAACACCACACGAUGGAUAUGCGGGCAGGAAUGAGCUAUGUCAUUAUGAAAAUGUAUUCUGAACCUAGUGGCGUUUAUCAUGUGCUCCUGUUGUCAAUACUCUUCAAAGGAUUCUGGAUAUGAAGCAGCCUUCAUGUGGGUUAUUUGUCCUUUGCAAGCACAAAUCACUUGCAGGAAGACCACACGUGCAGGUGGUUUUAUUUGUGCAAGUUAAGCAUAAAAUGAGAUUUGUCAAGGAGAUGACCAGUUAGAUGUCCACUUCAGGCUACAAUUUUGCAACUAGAAAAAUCGAAUGCCAUGGAAUCAGCAAAAAAUCUGUCAAUUGCAGCCAAGAGUUUCAGCAAAAAGGUUUGCAAGAAGACAGUAGUUUCUCAUUUGGUUGAAUUUUGAACACAGAAGAAAGGUGUUCGGUAGUGUAAAAUCAUCUCUCUAGUCUGGUGUUACCUCAGAAAAUUCAUGUCCGCAUUUUGCAAUCACUUUUAUUGUAUAAUCUCAAACUUGAUUUAUUUAAGCAUGAAUCUAAAAGCUGAAGAGACCCAACCGUAUAUAUUCUCACACCUGAAACCUAUUUCUCUCUUGCAUUGGCUGCAGUUGAAUACUAAUAACAAAACGGGGACAAAAUUUUUGGAAGGGUAAAAAGAGCCCUUCCCUAAAUUUUAUCAUUUUCAUUGAACAAAAAACUUCUAAGGGUCAUCUAAUUGGUUUAUAAUGAGAUGAUACUCCACCAAAUGGUGGUCACCGUUUCACACAUUCAAGUGUCAAUCGAAGCAAUUUCUUUGAGGCCACUCUCUAAUAUUCCUGUACCCUGUACUAGAUUACAAUGGUGGAAUGUUAGUAGUUGAAACCUACUUGCAAGGUAUUAUCGGUUUGAUGUGCUUGUCCCCUUGAACUUUGACUCAAUUUUUCCAGAGCUCAAAACAAGGCCAAGUAGCUUGUUAAGCCACAUUUGAAUCUAUAAGUACUAACACAAAUGUAAUGCAGGUCGUGUUGAAAAACUUGUUAAAUGUAGUUAACAUGAGAUAAUUUAAUUUCAGAAUAUUGGUCAAACAUUACACGAGAAAAGUCGCAAGUAAAGUCAAUGUAUAAGCUCUACACUUUAUUUACUUAGCUGCUUAGUCAGUGUCUAGGUAAUUAAUCCAAAGGGCAGUAGCUUUGUGUUUGACUACUUAUGAAACAUCAUUCACAGCCCUGUCAGCCGAAUUGAUUUGAAGUUGGAACGCAUGGUAGACCGGAUAAUUGGAUGAACAUUCUGAACCAAUUGAACCGAUGUGGUUUUGUUAACAAUUUGCUUCGAGCUUGUUUUUGAAAGUUCUAUCACAUUUUACAACAAGAUCUUAUGAAUAACAGCCGUUCAAACAAUAACUAUGUAAGUUCCCAAAGGACAAGAGAAGAUUCGGUUCAGGCUCUUUGAUUUCCUCAUAUUUGUAACUCCAAGCUCGACAGGAUGGUAGUUGAAAUAUGAAAACUGUCCUCAAAUCAGAAUGGAAGUAUAGAAGGCCUUUCAGCUUAUUUAACACCUGCUAGCUGCAUGUUAGAAUGUAUAGCUUUGGUAGUUUGCCAUAUGAUGAAUCAUAUAAUGCAGAGGAAUUGAAAUAGACAAAUUGAGGAAUUACAAGGUCAAUGAACCCCAAAACGGGGACUUAAAACAACAUUUGGCCAAAAAUAGAAGUUCUAAACAACGAAAUCGACCACAAAAGUAGAUGUAAACGUCAAAUCCUACAAAUGAAAGUAGUCAUCUUACUUUGCAAUCAGCAUCAUGUCGUUGAGAAGAGAAAUUAGCAGGUCAGACAAUUAUUACUUUGCACGAGAAUGCAUGCAUGCAUGCAUGAAGAAUCAUGGUGCUAAAUAAAUCAGAAGGUAAGGAAAUUCGGGAAAAAAAAAACUUUUGGCAAAUAUAAAUAUAUGUGAAUAUCACAGACGAGUGGUCUCAUCUUCCUAUGUUUCGAAUGCUGGAGACCAAUGAAUGAAACAAGGCUUCGAACAAACAUUAUACUGGAAAAAUCGAACAUUAUGGCACUCUUCUGAAUACUUAAUUACCAUUAAAUACAUAGUAAGAUGAUUAGCCAAUAAACAAAGCAAACCUCUUUGUUUCCUCCUUACUGAUUUCAUCAUUUUCUCUCUUGAUGAUGAUGAGCAUGAUAUUCCGUAAUUUCUACAUAUUAAAAAUCGACACAUAAAGCUUGAGCAUUUGCGUAUCAACCACCGGAACCCUUGUUUGAAAGAAGCCUUGAACUUUCCCUCGACCAAAUAAAGCUUGUAUCUGGCCACACUCCUCUUCUCUGCUUCUCCGGGUCAUUCCACCACAUUUAUCGACUUCUAAAACAUAAGAAAUAGGCAAAGACCAAAGUCCAUUUCGACUUACAACAUCAGGUUUGUCUAUUCCCAUCCCAAAGGCAAUGGUGGCACACACAAUCUGGACCUCUCCAGUAUGCCAUUUCUUUUUAACAGUGACGAGCUACUAAUCCAGCAUGAUAGUACACCAUUUUUAUAUGGCACUUCUCAUUUAAGUAUUUUGUGACAUUAACACAUUCACUCUUCCAAAAGCAAUAUACUAUGCCACAAAAAUUAGCAAAACAAAUUUUUAGCAACCCUUCAAGCUGCUUCAGUGGUUCCUAGGUCUUAGCUAAUACCUCGUAUUUUAGAUCUAGUCUGUCAAACCUUGGGUCCCCAAGCUUUGACAGACUAGAUCUAAUGUAUGAGAACAUGGGGAACCCCAAGACCUUUUAGGAUAUCCUAUGAUGGAUGUUUAAUUCAAUAAGAAUAAACAGAUUAUUUCAACAUAAUCGGGAGGUUAAUAUGUGAGUCUAGUACUCACGAACUGAUUGAGUGGCAGUUGCAGUUAAGGCCAUCACUGGGACAUACAGAAAGUUCUGCUUGAGACAUCCCAGUCCCCUAUAAUCUAGCUGAAAAUCAGGUCCCCCUUGACUAAAAAUGACAACCACAAAAGUGACAAUCAAUGAGCUUUACUCAUUUCAUGAGAUCAAAUUGGCAAAGCAAAUCCAGUUAAGACCUUGUAAGAAACACAAUCAAUGAUCACAUGGUUGAACCUUUGCCUUUCUCAAGUUGUUACCAUAAAGUAUAAGCAUUAAUAUAAUAAACAGGGACACAAGAACCAGCUUAAGAGACUAAGUAUCAUGCCAAACAUAGAUAGGAGAUUGGAUCCUUAUCCAAGCUUAUGCCGAUUCCAAUUACUCUGAGAAGUAAUUUCCAUUGGAGCCUAUUUAAGUUGUGCACUCUUUACUCAAUAUAAUGAAAGAUGGGCCACUAAGUGUUCCCAAACAAUGGAACCUAAAUCUUUUCAUCGAACAGGGAACACUGCAUUAUGUUAUAUAGAAACUUCAUAGGGUUCUGGGCUUCAGAAGGUCUAGUGUAACACCGACAAUUUAAUUAGGCUAGAAACAUAGAAAAUGCAGAGAAGUUUGGAAAAAGAAACCAGCAGUAUGUUCCUUUCAUGACAACCACGAAAGUGACAACCAAUGAGCUCUUGUGGUCAAUCAGGCAAAUGUACAAUAAAAGCUCAAACCAGCAGCAUGUUCCUUUCAAGAGAUUAAAUUGGUAGAGUAAAUCCAGUUAAUACCUUUUAAGAAACACGAUCCUUUUAAGAAACACGAUCAAUGAUCAUGUUGGUGGACCCUUGCCUUUCUCAUGUUGUCAGUAUAUAGUAUAACCAUUAAUAGAAUAAACAGAUACCCAAGAACAAGCUUAAGAGACUGAGUAUUAAGCCAAACAUAGAUAGCAUAUGGCAUCUUCCUUUCAUGAGAUUGAACUGGCCGAGCAAAUCCAGUUUAUACCUUGUAAGAAACACAAUCAAUGAUCACAUGGGUGGACCUUUGCCUUUCUCAAGUUGUCAGUAUAUAGUGCAACCAUUAAUAGAAUAAAUAGAUACACAAGAACCAGCUUAAGAGAUGGAGUAUCAUGCCAAACAUAGACAGCAGAUGGCAUCCUUAUCCAAGCUUAAGCCACUUCUAGCCACUUCCAAUUACUUUAGGAAGUCAUUUCCAUUGCAGCUUAUUUAAGUUGAGUUCUCU